This 649154-nucleotide long non-coding RNA is filed under the name Populus trichocarpa (black cottonwood). RNAcentral describes it as "long non-coding RNA (PTRI_LNC000851)". The stretch from base 622176 to 622266 matches the Rfam family "MIR478 microRNA precursor family". The record is from RNAcentral. Lineage: Eukaryota; Viridiplantae; Streptophyta; Magnoliopsida; Malpighiales; Salicaceae.
AGUCAGAACAGCUUGAAAAGCUGAAGGUAUUCAAGGUCUGGAGCGCUUGAUAACAUUCUUACAGGUCUCUAAAAACAACAUCACACCUAAUUUCAAGGAGAAAUUGGUUUCUAUGAGAAGCAGAUUGUAGGUUUUCUAAACCCAAGCAGAUACAGGAAGCCUAUUCCUAAUCUACAGCAAGGACAACCUCCCCAACCUCGUAUUCAACCUAUGCAGCAACCCCAAUCUCAACUUCCUCACUUGCAGUGCCAUGAAAAUCAACUGAUUCCCCUGUUGCAAUCAAUGAAUACGCAAGGUUCUGUACCACAGAUGCAGCAGAACAAUAUGUCAAGCUUGCUGCAUAAUUCCCUUUCAACUUUAUCUGGGGAUUCGACGUCACAAUCAAACAUGAUGAAUCCAAUACAACCAGGCUCCAAUUUAGAUUCUGGACAAGGAAAUGCACUGAGCUCAUUGCAGCAGACACGUGUAGGAUCUGUACAACAGAAUCUCGUGAGCAUUUCCCAACCAACCAAAGUUAACACAUUGUCAACACAAAGUGGGGCGAGUAUGCUGCAGCCAAAUAUUCCCCUUCAGUCGAAUUCCAAUAUGAUUCAACACCAGCAUCUAAAACAGCAGCAUGAACAACAGAUGCUACAAACACAACAGCUUAAACGAUUGCAGCAACACCAGAAUUUAAUGCAGAAUCAACAGAUGCAGCAGCAGCAAUUACACCAGCAAGCUCCGUCUCCUAUGCCAGGAGAUUCUGACAAACCAGUUUCUGGUAUUUCCUCACUCUUAAAUACUGGAAAUAUUGUACACCAACCAUCUGUUGCACAAGCACUGGCUCCAUCCCUUGCAAUUGGCACUCCUGGGAUAUCUGCAUCACCUUUGCUUGCAGAGUUUACCAGUCCUGAUGGUGCUCAUGGCGGUGCUUUGACAACUGUUUCUGGCAAGUCAAAUGUUACAGAGCAAUCACUUGAGUGCUUGAUUAAAGCGGUUAGUGAUGCUCUCCUUUUGGUUUUAGUCCACCCCACCCUUAUUUUGGAGGUUUCUGAAAAAGAAAGAAACUUCUUUGUGAAUGAGAUGGUGAUGCUGCAAUUUUUUUUCCCAGGUGAAAUCUCUGUCUCCCAAAGCACUUGGUGCAUCUGUCGGUGACAUUGGCUCCGUUGUCAGUAUGAUUGACAGAAUUGCUGGUUCUGCAGCUGGUAAUGGAUCUAGAGCUGCAGCUGGUGAGGAUUUGGUAGCAAUGACAGGAUGUCAUCUUCUUUCGUUUUUGUCUUUUUUAUUUUUCACGUGUUUCUCACAAGAUGGGAACUCGAGGGAAUAAGAACUCGAGGGAAUAAAAAGUGCUGGGAAGUAAUUUUUGUUGGAACGUCUUGUGUAACAUCUUCUUUCGAUGAUGACCUCUUGGAUGGCUGCAUGAAGCUUGUUCCGCUUUAAAUUUCUAGGUUAAUCUAUUGCUAUGAGCACUGGUGUUUCAAUUUGAAACUUGAGUUGCAACUGAACUUAAAUGAAUAGUGUUGGAUUUGGGGCCUUCUAUUUGUUUUAACUUGUACAGGGUUGAAGUGAUAGUGAUCUUAAAAGUACAAAAGCAGCAGACAAAAAUCAAUUAGCCACGAUAUAUAGUGUAUGGUUUCCUACUUUCUCAGUAUAAAGUAGAAUGUUUUGGUGAUAUCUCUACAUCCAAAAUCUUAUAGACAGGCACAGCUACUGCUGGCACUUGCAGUAGCCAAUGAGCACUGAUAUAUAUUGCAGAGUGAACUCGUUGCAUUUUCAUAAAUUAAAGGGUUUUCUCUUCUUUUCUUUGUCAAUUACAGUGCAUGUGUAAAAGUUUUCUUACUCGGUGUAAAUGCUGUUGUAAUGUUUUCACAGAGACUCCCCUGUUUUGCAACUAAUUCACUUCUGAAUAUAUCUUGGAAACAGAAAGGCAAUCAACAAAGAGUAAGGCAUCUUCUGAUGAAACAAAGAAAUUUAAUACCCUAAACUAAGCAGCAGGUAGAAGGCGAAAACUGAGCACAAAUUUUCAGGAAGGGACAAACGAAAAAAUCCAAAAAGAAAGCAGAGAAAACUACAGACUCAAAUUCACAACACCCAUUUUCUUUCCAUUGGAACACUUUAAAUAGUUUAUUAAAUUUAUAAUGAUCUGAUUUCUAUGCAUAUAAAAAAAUCAACUUAAUGAUCAAUUCUCUAUAAUUUCAGCAUUACUAAAAACAUCCAAACUAAUAAACUAUUAGUUAUUAUAGCCAUUUUAAUAAACAUUUUAGUUAUGAAUUCACCAAUCAUUUUGAACAAUUCAUACUGAUUAAUUAACAUUUAAAUUUUAGAUUUUUUGACUUAUUAGUUCCUUCGUGAGUUACUUUUAAAGUAUGCUAUAUAUUUCUAAGCAUUUUUUUCAAUCAUCAUUCUAAUAUCUUUUUUACAAAAUAAUUUAACUUAUAUUUAUUAAGAUUGUUUCCAUAUAUUACAAAUAUUUGCUUUAUCUAUUUACUAUUAUUUAUUUUAAAUGUUAUUAGACUUUUACUUUAAUUGUUGGGGAAAACAAUCGCCUAAUAAUUUAUUGUAUACAUUUAAUAAUAACUCAAGGAUGGUGGAAACUAAAUGUCGAUAAUCCAAGUCUCCAACUCACAAUGGCUCAUGUUUGAACCCCUGAACACUUGAUUUGUUCACUAAUUUUCAACGAUUCCAUUCUGCAUUUUGUAGUUUAGUAUUUUUUGUCUUUCCAAGACUAAUAAAAAAUUGGCUCUUUUAACAAUUGUAUAUGCGGUAGAACCUCCAAGAGCACUGAAGAAAGCCAUGGAUUGGUCAUUUAAAGCUUCUGCAGAAUAGUAAUUGUCUUGCUGGAUUGUGGAUAAACGUGUGACCUGCACAGUUUUCUGUUGUCUUUCGCAGAUAAAUAUACUCGUCAGAAAUCAAGAAAAUGGACGAAGCUGGCAGCUUAUCACAAAAAUAAUAGAGCUUAAUAUGGGAAUGGAUAUGAAUCUUACUUGUAUGCAAUGUAACUUAAUAAGUAUAUUUGUCAGAAAAAAAGAAAAUGAAUGCAGCUGGCAGCUUAUCACAAAGAUAGUAGUGCUUUAAUAUAUAUGGGCAUGGAUGUGAAUUCUUACCUGAAUGUAAUGUAUCGUCUUCUAUUUUGUAUUGUAUUUCUUUCUUAACAUUUGAGAAUUCAGUUUUUAUGAAGUUAUGUAUAUUUCAGAGACUAAAUUGAAGUUCCCACCAUAUCUUUUAUGCCCAUAUUUGCAUCUUCUGAUGAGAUUGAUUUAUAUAAUUCUACAUCACAUUAGCAAACUACAAAAAAAAAAAAAAAAAAAGAACUGGCCAGGCUCGAGGUGUUAAUUAACAUAUUAAAGAAAGAAUAGUCCUGCAAAUACUAUACUGAGCAUAGAUUAAUUAAUCCACGUUUUUUUUUCAAAGAGAUAGGAUACAAACAAAUCAAUAUCCCUGACGAAUAAAUCCUUGCAAGUGUGGAUUUUAUUUGUUAUCUGGGCUUUGCCCUUUCCUAAAUUAAUGAAUUUUGUUACUGUUUAAAAAAGAACACAAAAAAAAAAAUUCAUGGUAGCUUGACAUACUUAUGGCAUAGACUGAACCAUAUUCACCUAAUCCUCAGAAAAAAAAUGUGUCGAAUUGUCAAGAACACCAGAGUGUUCUGCCUUUGUUGUCGUCUGCACUUGAUGAGAGAACAAAAAUGCCAGUUAUGGCUCUCAGAAAACAAAAAAGAAAACACCCAAAAACAUGCCAGCCCCCACGGUUUUGAUAUGAGCUACAACAUGGGCAGCCAUUGGUUUCCUAACUGGUCAAAAUUCAUGUUUUCACUUGCCCCAGACUCUUUUCCUUGUUGAGUUAGAAAUAGAUGGCAACUUCCUCUUAGUUAGGAAGUCUAUGGAGAACUUCUUUGGCUCAUCAGCACAGCAUUAUAUGUUAGUAAGAGAGUACAAUAAUCCUUCCAUCAUCAAGCCUAUGAUGAUAGUAAAGCUCAACAAAACCAUGAUUUUUUUUUUUUUGAUAGUAAACGAGUGAAUUAUAUAUUAAACAGCCCCAUCAAGUAGGUGGAACUAAACGAAAGAUAAAUACAAAGGGAAUAUAAAAGAAAAGAGAAGACCUAAGCGACGAGGGACCUAAUUAAUUAGUCCAGUUCAUAAUACAUUCAGGAUUUCUAAAAAGAUCUGAGCCUGUAUAGCUGAAAUUUCUAACUGAAGACUUCAACCAGAAGGCCAAACGGUGAAAGGUGAGAUCAAAAAUCAUAUCCCAAUCCGGAGCCUUGGAUUCAAAGAUUAGGCGGUUGCGCGCUAUCCAAAUUGACCAGUACAGACCUUUGCAGAGGAGGGUAAUAGCACGUCGCUGAAAAUUUCCAUUAAUCAAACCGGACCAUUCCUGUAGAUUUUGAUAUGGGUCUUUGUGCAGACAACCUGAACACCCAAACCAGUUCAAGAAACGACCCCAAAGAGACCAUGUUAUAGGACAACAAUGGAAGAGAUGAUUAAUUGUCUCAAUUUCCUUGCAGCAGAAUGGGUAGUGAGAUUCCUCAUAUUUAAUGAUUCUCCUCUCAGCUAAAAAACUCCGUAUACUCAAACUGCCAUGAAGAAGAAGUCAUAUGAACACAUCCACUUUUGAAGGGGCAUAACCAUUCCAUAGCAGAACAGGGGAGUGAUUAUUUUCAGUUGCCGAUAGACUAUCAAAAAGAACGCAACCUGAUUGAGCUGAGUACAUGCUAGAGCUGUGAAAUUUUCAUAACUUGCGGUCUGCACCAUCUGAGAAAAUGAGACCACGCUGCACCUCUGCAAUCAAGCUCUCCCUCAUGCAGUUUUCACGAGGCUGGAGGGGUCUUCUCCAGGAUAGGUUGAAAGAUGUAUCUGUCAAAUCACAUAUAUCUGCAAGGCUGGAUUUUUGCUGCAGGGAGAGGUUAUACAGUCUGGGGAAUAAGAGUUGGAGAGUGGUUAUAGAGCCAAGCCAAGAGUCAGUCCAAAACCGGAUGUUCCUCCCAUCACCCACCUUGAACCCGACAUUUGCAUGUAAAAGAUUGGAUAUGUUUUGUGUUGAGAAGAUCGCCGAAACAAUGCUAUGCCAAGUUGGAGAUAAAGAACCUGUAAACUCAGGGAUACCAUUAAUAAAGCGGGGUCGGUAUUUUAGAAGAAUGUGUUCUUGCCAGCCUCCUACCACUCCAUUAUCCAGAUUCCAAAGCCAUUUAAAUAGCAGAGCUAAAUUUUUGUUGUGGAUGGAUCCCAGCCCGAGACCACUAGAAGAUUUACUCUUUAUUACCUUGUGCCAGGCCACCUUAAAAAUCCCAUGAGAUGUUGAGGUUCCUUUCCAGAGAAAAGACCGGGUUAGAGAAGAGAUGACUUUAAUAAUACCCUUUGGCAUAGCAAAAACUGACAUCUAGAACAAAGGAAGAGAGCAGACUGAUUUAAUUAGACAAAACCAUGAUUUCUUAGCUUAGAUUUGACGUGUUCAUACUUGGCAUUAACCGCUGCAAGAUUGUCGUUUCCAAUGUCUUUAAAAAUGUCCCUGAAAACAAUCUCGAUAAACUGCUCGGACCAUCUGGAGCAGCUGCUGCACCAGACAUCCAUUACUCUAGCAAACAUCAUUUCACUUUUGAUGGGUCGUUGGUGAUUGUAUUAAUUUGGCUACAGCAUCUUCUGUGAGGAAAUACUUUUGUGUCCUAUCUUUUCAUUUAAUUAUUUAUGUAUUGAUUCUUUAUUUGCAUUUUGCACACUUCCCUUGUACUUGAAAAGGACCUUGAUCACUCUAAAUAAAACACUUGUCAAGAAAAUUAACGAAAAGAUAUGAACUUGUACAGAAUGACCAGUGAUGAAGUGGGGACACACUACACACACGUGUGUACAUGCAUAAAUCCACACACUUAUGCAUAUGUAUAUUCAUGUCUAGAGAAUAUUGAAAUUAUUGAGCCUAGCAUUAGCUGAAUACCUGAUCGGUGGCGGCAGUAUAAAUCUUUUCCUCAAACCCUCUUGUAAUCCCUCUUGACCAGAAAACGGAAGAUGCCUCUUUAAUAUCACUAGUCUGCACAUGUAAGACAUUACAUUUAAAUUUUAACGACAAGGCAGGUAUAGAGAAGUUAGCAGCAGUGAGAAAGAACUGUGAACUCAUACACCACACCAAUAUCAGAAAUGCAUACAACGGAAUCAUUGGCAAAAAGUAAAAACAACUAAUGAUAUAGCCGAGUGUCGGUCAAGUAAUAUAUGGCAUCAGAAUACUGACAUCUAUUUUUACUUCCUUUCCCCGUAUUAUUCCAGAGGUACAGGGUAUAGGAGUUCACUUGGCCACCCUUCUGUCUAAAAUUCUAGUUACGAGUUUCAUGGUUAAUUUUCUUGAACUGGAAGAACCUUCCAUUUAUGGCUAUAGCUAUGCUCCAAGAUAUACAAGUGAAAACAUUAUAAUAGCAUUUACUAUGAGUAAGAAAACUUUUAUACAUCAUGCACUGUAAUUGACAAAGAAAAGAAGAGAAAUCCUUUUUAAUUUAUGAAAAUGCGAUGAGAUAACCUUAUCUCACGCUGCAACAAAAAAUUACUUCCCAGCACUUUAUGUUCCCUCAAGUUCGCUUCUUGUGAGAAACACGUGAAAAAUGAAAAAGACAAAAACUUUUAUACAUGCACUGUAUGAUACUUGAGGUUGCCUCAUGGCAGUCUUUUUCCUUCUCUUUUCUUUCAUUUAUAUACAAGAUUUACUAUUUUGCAGCACUUGCACAUAUUAGGAAACAGAUUCUUGCAAUUUUUCAAAAUAAAAACACUGUAAAUUACUCCAAUAUUUUCUCACAUUAUUUUUUUUUCUUGAACACGUGAUUUUUUCCUAUUUCAUUUUUUUGUUUUUUGUAUUUAUAAUUUUUUUAAAUUAUUUUUAUCGAUUUUAUUUUUAAUAUUAAGAUGGUUAAGAAUUUCACUUUGUAUUUUUUUUCUUUUUAUUUUAUCUUUUUAUGUGGUUUGUGAGUUUAUCGAGGUAACUCGAGUUGCCUCAAUUUAUGGAUUUGAUGGGGUUUUCUUUAAUUAAACUUGGUUUUCUAUGGUAUAUUUGUUUUCUCACAUUGUUAAAAAAAAUAGUUUUAUACAAAAACCAUGUUAUUAAACUUUAUGAAAUAACAAAAAUUAAAGGAUGUGGGGGAAACCAUUAUUCACCUAACACCCAUUACACUGUGGAUUAGAAUAGUAAUCCACCAUGUUUUGCUUUCUUUUUUUUCUUUUUGAAUUUUUGCUAUGAUUUUUUUUUCAAAUCUAUUUUUGUCAAUUUUAUCUUUUAAAAUUGAGAUUCGUAAUUUGCUUCUUUUGAUUUUCCUUUAUAUGAGGUUAGUGUAGUUUAUGGGUUUGCCAAAAUAACUUAGGUUGCCUCGGUUUACGAGUUUUGUGGGUUGUAUUUAAAAAAAUUGAACUUGAUUUUUUUUAUAGUCUAUUUUUUUCUUAUAUAGUCCAUUGUUCACCUACACACAUUGCACUGUGAAUGACAAUAGUAGUAAUCCAUAGUAUUUUGCUUUCUUUCAUUUUUCUUUUUGUUUUUGAAUUUUUAUUAUGAUUUUUUUCUCAAAUUUAUUUUUGUUGAUUUUAUCUUUUAAUAUUGAGAUGGUUGAGAAUUUAGUUUUAUAAUUUAUCUCUUUUUAUUUUACAUUUCUAUAAGGUUAACAUGAUUUGUGGGUUUGCUAGAGUAACCUAAGUUACCCUGGUUUACGAGUUUGGUGAGGAUACUUUUUUUUCUAAUUAAACUUGAUUUUUUUUAUCGUCUAUUAUUUUCCUCAUAUAGUUAAAAAUAUAAUUUCAACUAUUUCAACCUUAGAAACCUCAUGAAUACCUUUAUAACACCCACAAACCAUUCCAUCAACUCCAAAUACCUAAAAAAUGAUCUAAAAACCUAAAAUCAAAUCGGUUUAGUUUUAGCUCUCAAAUCUCAUGUAUGGUUUUUCAUGCAACAUCGACACUCUAAACAACCACCAUGAAGCCCUUCUUACCUCAUGGGACCUGUGGACACCAAUAAAACUUAUUUUGGUGGCUGAAAAUGAAAUGAUCGAUGACUUUCUCUCAACGCUGGAAUCGAACAACUUCUCUAUCACAAACCAUCUCACAAACUCCAAAUACCCAAAAAAUGGUCAAAAAAUCCAAAAUCAAAUCAGUUUAAUUUUGGCUCUCUCGGCUCAUCUAGUUUUUUAUGCAUUAUCGAGGCUCUAAACAAUCAUCAAGAAGCUCCUCUCAUCUCAUGGAAUCCGUGGACACCAAUAAAACCUAUUUAGCGGGCAAAAAUAGAGUGAAUUGUGACUUUCUCUCUCAUCGCUAGAAUCCAGAAACCCCUCUAUCUAACCAGGGAUUUAAAAAAAAUCAACUUCUAUACCAAAAUUGAUUUUUUAAAAUCUAAGAAGAUCUAAAUUGUAUACAUUGCGUUAUUUUUAAAGAUCAAGGAUCUAAGUGUAUUUUUCAUGUAAUCUCUAGCAUGUCAUCCAUGUUUAGUGUCUUUUUCAUUUUGAUCUUUCUUCUUUCAAUUUCACUAUUGACUAAGAAUUAAGAUGUAAUUGACUUUGAAUUAGGAUUAAAUCACAAAAAAUAAAACUUCAAGGACCAAAAUGAAUUAUUAAAAAAUACACAGUAUGUCCACACUAUUUUUUGAGUGUAUGAACUGCACGUCACCCGCACGGUGUCGGUUUGGUGAUUUUUUUUGUUUGCCUAGUUGAUUGGUUCAUUGGAGUCGCCACCUAAUAUUUAAUUGAGGACUACUAGGAAACCUAGGUGUACUAGUCUUGUCAUAGAUUCACAGGUAAGGGACUGGUUGUGGUUAGGAAAGGUAUUAGUACCCCUAAUACAUCCUACCCGAGGUAAGCUGAUUCGUAGCUUUGAUGUGUUACAGAAGUUUUAAAAAUUUUAUCUUUUCAUCGGAUAUUAGAAAUAUAACUUACGUGUAAGUAAGGGUGAUCAUUUUCAGUUCGGUUCGGUUUUUAUCAAAAAAAUAACCAAACCGAAAUUUUUUUAAAAAAACCGAAACCGGGUCAAACCGGUUUGGCUCAGUUUUUCCAGUUUGGCUCGGUUUUUUUUUUCGGUUUGGUUUUUUCGGUUAUUUUUUUCCGGUUUUCUCAGUUUAAUCGGUUUUUUUGCUCAUCCCUAUGUGUAAGUUCAUAAUUCUCAACCGUGAACAAAUCAAAAUAUUAAAUUCUUCUUUAUUCUUUGUGAUUUUAUCAUAAAAAAAACACUCAAAAAAAAAAAAAUACAAACAACACAUUCACUUUUACUAUGUUUUUUUGUUUUUUUUUACAUCUACACUACAAAUUAUAAAAAAUUCAAAACUAAACAAAAAUUAUAUUAAGCAAUUUAAAAAUUACAAAAAAUAGCCCCUGAAACUCCAGGAAUUGCAGGGAAACUUUUUGGAAAUUCUGGUUUUUUCCAGUUUCGGUUCGGUUUUUUGCUUAUAAAAUUGAAACCAAACUGGCCGGUUUUUUCAAAAUUUUAAUCGGUUUUUUCAGGUUUUUUUCGGUUCGGUUUUUUUGGUUUUUUUUUUCCGGUUUUCUCAGUUUAAUCGGUUUUUUGGUUUUUUUGUUCACCCCUACAUGUAAGUUCAUAAUUCUCAACCAUGAACAAAUAAAAAUAUUAAAUUUUUCUUUACUCUUUGUGAUUUUAUCUUAAAAAAAAUACUCACAAAAAAAAUUACAAACAAUACAUUUACUUUCAUUAUAUUUUUUUGUUAUUUUUUUACAUCUACCCUAUAAAUUAUAAAAAAUUCAAAACUUAACAAAAAUUAUAUUAAACAAUUUAAAAAAUACAAAAAAUAGCUCCUGAAACUCCAGGAAUUGCAAGGAAACUUUUUUGAAAUGCAGGAACAAUGGUGAGGAAGGCUUCUGGACUUGUGAACAGUGGGGCCACUGUCACUACGGCGCUUGGCUUCACGCGCCGCCGCAAAAAAUCCAGACAGCAGGGGAGAUCCAAAACGACUUCCUCCCUUCUUCUUCGCCGGCGGUGACCUGCACAAACAGCAAAAUCCCAACAACCAGUUGAUUUUAAUUUUUGUUUUGUGCAGAUCCGUUCUUGGAUCUGUUGCUUUAUUCUGGUCUUGUUGUUCGUUCCUUCUUCAAGCGGCGGAUCUGGUGGCUGAGGAAGGAGUGCUGGAGGCCGGAGCUGCAGAUGCAGCCGUGCGUGGGGAGGAGCUGUUGUGGGGCCGGCUUUGCUGCGGGAGGCAGAAGACGGGCAGAUCUGUGGUGUUGGCCAGAUGAGGGAGACCGUAGGUCUGAGGAGACGGUAGGGACAGCUCUGUGGUAUGCUGCUGGUUGGUUGAAGGAGAUGAAGCAGAGAGCGGGGUUGCUGUUGUGUUCGGUCGUUCGGGGAAGAAAGGUUACUGUUGGGUCUGUCGGGUUAAAUUUGGAGGAAUGGCUGUUGAGAGGGAAGGGAACCAAGAAUCCCGAAGGAGGGGGGCCGGCGGCGCUGGCUGGUUCUGGUGAGUUUUUUUUUUGUCAAGGUAGAGAAGGAAAGGAAAUGGCGUUGGGCAGGGGAGAAUGUGGGGCUCCUGGUGAUGAGCUGAAGAUUUGUGUUGAUGAGGAGGGUGAGUGAGAGGCUCUGGUUUGGUUUCAAAGAGAAGGGAGAGUGUGCAGCGGCUGUGGUUUUGGAGAAGAAGCUGAGCCGGUCUGUGGAGAAAUGAGAGGUUGGUUCGGGUGAGGCCAAGGCACCGGAGGGCUCUAAUGGCAGGGGGUCAUUGGCUCUGUUCUGAAAACAACAACCAAGGACCCCGGGGGACGGCGGCUUUUCUAUUGGCUGGGAGAGGGGAGCCUGGUGAGGGAGACGGCUGGUUUGUAUUGGUAGAGAUAAGUUUAGCUUUAAGGUUUUUUAUGUUUUUUUUAAAUGUGUAAAAUUAUUUUUUUUAUGUGUUGAAAAUUAAUAUUUAUAGAUAAAAAUAUUAUUAGGUCUCAAACUUGAUUCCUCAAGUUUUUUUUUGUAAAUUUAAAUUUUUUAUUUUUUUUUAUUUUUCUUAUCAACAUCGACUCGAAUGAGGAAAAUCGGUAAUUUUAAAAUAUAACGCGUUAAAAGUCUAACACGUUCUAAAGAUCUUUAAAAAAUUUAAAUUCUUUUGAGAUAAUGCUGAAAAUGUUAAAAAUGAUGCAAAUAUAUUAAAAAAUAUAUUUUUUAGAUUUUUGUUAUUUCUUACUAUUUUUGAAUUUUUUUAAAAAAUUAUCAAAAAAAUUGAUCAAAAAUUGAAUAACAACAUGAUCAGCUCAACAAUGAUCUUUAGAACCAUCCUGCUCAUGUUUUAAAGAUUUAGCUUUUCUAUCUAGUAAUUCCUUUUAUUUUAAUGUUAAUUUUGAGUUUUGUACUAAUUUUUUUUUUCUGUUUAGCUUGUGAUUGAAUAUGAAAAACUAAUUGAACUCUUUUUCUUUGUUCUUUUUGUUAUUUGAAACUCAAUAAUCAAUUUUCUUUGUUCUUUGUGGGUUUUUCUUUUAGUUUAUUGCUGUUUUCUUUUUCUAGGAUUUGUGUGUUGAAUAAACCUUGUUCCUUCAUGAAGUUAGUUUAGGUGCUACGUGGCACAUUAAAAGCAAAUAGCCAGCUAAUAAACUUACAAUGGGCUAAAACUAGACUUGAGAGAAGGCCACCGUAUAAGACCAAUUAUGGGCUUCUUUUAUUAGGUCAACAAUCUAUGGGCCUCACUAUAGCCAUCAAAAACAAAAAAACAAAAUACGUCCAAAGCAGAUUCAACGAAAUCAGGUCUCUGCCCAACUUGUUUAGACAUUGCCAUAAUCAGUUCCAUUUGAUUAGCAAGAUGACUAGAAGAGCUAAUAUUAAGUGUCAUCAUAGCUUAAGCUUCAGACUCUUUAAUGCUUGCUGGACAUGAGAAGAUGCAAUGAAAAAAGUCUUUUAUGAUCACUUAUAGAGGCCUAUUGAUGCAAUUACACUUGUGAAAACUGAAGUUUCAGAGUAUUUAUAUGAGAAUUUAUCACAGGUAGACUGUGGAUAAUCUAGUAAAUUUUUUUUCUAAAGAAUCAUUGAAACAAGUUUAGGUCCCAAAAAAAGACUUGGAUAUGCUACACUAUAGUAGUGACUAAAAGAGGCUAUAAAAAAAUAUUCAACUAUUGGAUCGAUUUUAAAUUUUUACGAGGUUUUCGAAGCCCAUUUCAAUUGGAAACAUACUUUGUUGAUCAUUCGAAGUUCAGAUCCCGUGAAAUUAGGUUCAUAAAAUCCUGUUUGAGCUAAUUUUGUUAUUUUUCUUUGAUUUUCUUGAAUUUAUUGUUUUAUUUCAGAUUUUAUGUAGUUUGUGUUUAUGCUUUUGGAUUCUAAUUUUGUUUUCAAUGGAGAUAGGUUUUGUAGCAUAUUUAAAUGUUUUAGAAACCUCUUUGAGAGGCAAAAAUCAUUUUUUUUAGAAUAAUAAAUUGCGAAUUUAGAGUUUAAUUUUGCAACCCUGUUUGCUCAAUAAAUCUAUUUUCUUUGUGUUUGUUUGCUGCCUUUCUAGUUUAUGCCUGCAUCACCAACUAUUGCCCCCAGCAGAGUAGUAGAAUAAGGGAGAAAAUGGGUUUAAGAAGGAUAAGAUAAAUUGUUGUGUUGUGAAUCUUUAACAGUUGCUGUUCGUUAUUUUUAUUGUAUUAUAUAUAUAACUCUAAUGAAUUUUAUAUAAUAGAUUUUAAUAUAAUAAACACACAAGAAUAAUACAAAGCAUAGUGGAUCAUAAUGCUUCAAUACAGAGGACCCAUCUGAAUUAUAUUUAAAAGCACCUCAUGGAGGCCUACUGCAUGAGGUAAUUUGCCAGCAGUUAUGCACACAUCAUCGAUGCAAUGUUUACAAUGACAAACUUGCAUUUGUAUUCAUUGUGGUGUUAGGUUCACAGAUUCUGAUCAAAUAGAUAUUUAAUGUUCCAAAAACAUUGUAUACGCAUUUAAUGCUUUACUUCAAUAGAUAGAUCAAGUUAUAUCUCUAGAUAUCAGUAAAUCACAUCUUCAAUAGAUAGAUUAGGGCAUGUUUGAAUUUGAAGAAGACGUGUUUAUUUGCAUCUUCUCUGUCAACGUGUGUUUCCGCAGCAACUAAAAUGAAAACGAAGACCAUCCAUCAUGGUGUGGAACUAACUAAUAUACUGUUCCCGUUAUGGGGUCAAUCAUUACUAUCAGAAGAAAUUAAACCAUUUUGGUGUCCAUUGUUUUGAUGCACUGAAUACCAUCACGACCUGUUAACUGCCAAGAACAUCUAUUUUCCAGGCAAUCAAUUUGAAGAUGAAAACUCGAAUGCACAACUGUAACUGACACUGAUUUUUCAAGAGACCCACUACUAGAAAUUCGCUAAAUACCAACGGAUUUACCGACGGAAUAUUUUAUGUCGGUAUUUUGAGGUCGAAAUUACCGACGGCCAGUUUCCGUCCGUAAUUCAGUCGGUAUUUACCGAUUGAAUUACGGACGGAAAAGUUUCUGAAUUUUAAAAAAGGCGGGCCGCUGACAUGGAGGUUUUGGCGGGUUUUUUUUUUUCACCGACGGAUUCAAAACGACUGCCCGUACAGUGCCCGUAAAGUGAUGUGACCGGUUCGCCGUUUAAAUUUUUGACGGACUCACCGAGGGAUUUGAAAUGGCAGAUCCGUACGGUGACAUGUCUAUGUUUCCGUCAGAAUCACCGGCGUAAUAACCGACGGAGUGUCCGUCGGUAAAACCGUCGGAAAAAGUUAAUAUAUGACAGCUCUGCCGACCCUUUCAUCCCCUAUUUCUCCUUCUUCUUCCUCAUCCCAACUCUCCCCAUCUGCAAACAACCAGCCCCCCCUCCCCCCCCAAAAAAAAAUCCUCAUAGCAGCACAACAAGUUAUAUUUCUUGAAGUUUUGUGGUCACAGCAUCCGCGCGUGUUCUGAUUUACCGACGGAUUUUAUCAAUUUUUGUAAGUAAUUAUAUCUUUUUAAAUGUUAACAUUUAAUUAAAUGUGAUUUUUUUUUUUAGUAUAUGUAUUUUGUUAGUAGAUGUACAUGUUUUAUUGUUAUUUCUCAAACAAACUUGUAGUAUAUGAAUGUAUAAUUUUGUACCUGUUAUGGUUUGUUUUAGAUUUUGUAAGAUUGUAUUUGUUUGUAAAUUGUUAUUUCUUUAUGGAAUUACCGAAUUACAUGUGCUAUUUUGAAAUAAUUACUAGCUUGCUUAAUGGACCCAUUUAAAGUUUUAUCAAUGGUAUUGCGGAGUGGUAAUUUCUGUAAAUUUAUAUUUUUUAAUUCGUAUGGACGUUGAUAAAUGAUAAUGAAUAUUUAAUAUUUAUGAGAAGUUGUGAUUGGUUUGUUGGAUAAUCUCGAGUUAAAGUAAUAUUUGUACAAGUUUAUUUACCUAACUUAGUUAAUUAAUACAUGAUGUCAUCAUAAUUUUAUAGAGGUUCGAUAUAAGUCAUGGAUGAUCGUUCAUGGAUGUAUCGAGAUUCACCCCAAGGAUUGCGGAGGAUGGAUUAUUGUAAUGGGGUUCAGGGUUUUAUUAAUUUCGUAACAUCUAUUCCCAGAAAUUUUACUGGAGGCGGUAUUAGGUGUCCAUGCAGGAAGUGUGAAAAUAAAAAGUAUCUGCAUCCAGAUGUUGUAAUGAUGCAUCUUCUAAACAAAGGGUUUAUGGAGAAUUACCAGUGUUGGUAUGCACAUGGAGAAGUAUUUGUUAGCGAGAGUGAGAGGAGAAUGGAAGAAACGGUGGUUGGGUCUACUUCUAGUGCUAGUAACGUGCAUGAAACGACAAAUGACAACACUAAUCCUUACAGAAUGGUUAUGGAUGCAAUGAGAAUGAAUCAAGGUAAUGGCAGUCAAUGUCCAAUCGUAGAAGAAGAACUUAAUGUAGAUGCAGCUAGAUUUUUUGAUUUGUUGAAAGAUUCUGACGAACCAUUAUGGGAUGGCUGCACGAACCACAGUAAAUUAUCGGCCGUAGCACAGGUGUUCACCAUCAAGUCAGAUCACGGGUUGAGUGAGGCCGGGUAUGACAAGAUUAUUGAAUGGGCAAGAAGCAUUUUACCUGAAGGGAACAAGCUGAAAGAGAACUUCUAUGCUGUGAAGUCCAUGAUGAAACCCCUCGGUUUAGGAUACCAGAAAUUUGACAUGUGCCCUAACUUCUGCAUUUUAUACUACCUUGAAAAUGCUGAGAUGACCGAGUGCAUGACAUGCGGGCAUUCCCGUUACAAACCUAGAACUGGCAGGGAAAGACUCUAGUGGCAUAUAAAAAACUUAGAUACUUCCCGAUCACACCUAGACUGCAGAGGUUAUUCAUGUCACCAAGGACUGCUGAGCACAUGACAUGGCACCAAGCACACCAUGCGGUUGAUGGAGUGAUGGUUCAUCCUUCUGACGGCGAAGCGUGGAAACGCUUUAACAGUGUUCAUCCUCACUUUUCAGCUGAAUCAAGGAAUGUGCGUCUUGGGUUGUGUACAGACGGAUUCAACCCAUUUGGGUCAUUUGCUGCUCCUUAUUCUUGUUGGCCGGUCAUACUCACAGUUUAUAACUUGCCACCGGGAAUGUGUAUGAGGUCGGAGUUCAUGUUUUUAUCUACUGUCAUAUCCGGUCCAAGAAGCCCGGGGCGGAAUAUAGAUGUUUGUCUUCGACCGUUGAUUGAUGAGUUGGCGCAGUUGUGGUCCUCCGGAGCUCUGACUUAUGAUAUAUCGAGGAAACAAAAUUUCCUUAUGAGGGCGGCAUUGAUGUGGACUAUCAAUGAUUUUCCAGCUUAUGGAAUGCUUUCUGGUUGGAGCACGCAUGGGAAACUCGCAUGUCCAUACUGCAUGGAAAACAACAAGGCAUUCAUGCUAGCAAAUGGAGGUAAAGUUUCUUUUUUUGACUGUCACCGUCGCUUCUUGCCACUUCAUCACAUGUACAGAAAGAACAGAAAAGAUUUCUUUGUUGGCAGAGUUGAAAAAGAUGUUGCAUCCCCGCGUCUUUCUGGUGAAGAAUUGCAUGAUGUUGUCUCAGAGUACGGUGACAUUGUGUUUGGCCUUCAAUCAGGAAAGCAAAAGUUUCCUGGUUUUGGUUUGACCCAUAAUUGGGUAAAGCGAAGUAUCUUUUUUGAGCUUCCUUAUUGGAAGACCAAUCUGCUUCGCCAUAACCUUGACGUCAUGCACAUCGAAAAGAACAUGUUUGAGAAUAUUUUCAACACCGUCAUGGAUGUGAAGGGGAAGACAAAGGACAACAUCAAGGCUAGAUUGGAUAUAGCUUUAUACUGUAACCGAAAAAAUAUGGAGUUGGUUUAUGAUGAGUCACGGGUCGCAAAACCAAGAGCAAGCUUCGUGUUAGAGAAAAACGCACAACUACUAGUCUACAAAUGGCUUAAGAGUCUGCGUUUUCCGGAUGGACAUGCAUCGAACAUAUCAAGGCUGGUUAAUAUAGAGGACUGCAGAUUGUAUGGAAUGAAGAGUCAUGACUGCCACGUGUUUAUGCAAACACCCAUCCCAUUAGCUUUUCGUGAUUUGUUGCCAAAGGGAAUAUGGGAUGCACUCACGGAGAUCAGUCAUUUCUUCAGAGAUAUAUGCUCCAGCAAGUUGAAUGUUGAUCACAUUGAGAGGCUUCAAACGAAUAUCGUCGAGACACUAUGCAAACUUGAGAUGAUAUUCCCUCCAUCAUUUUUUGACUCAAUGGAGCAUCUCCCUAUACCUCUACCGUUCGAGGCAAAAGCUGGAGGACCGGUCCAAUAUAGAUGGAUGUACCCAUUCGAACGGUUAGAUAUUACAGUUGCAAUGUAAUUCAUAUAUAAAAGUAUUUUAUAUGUUUUUCUUAAUUGAAUAUACUUGAUUAAUAUUUCAAUGCAGGUACUUGUUUAAUCUCAAGAAAAAGGUUAAGAACAAGGCGCAUGUUGAGGCUUCGAUAUGUGAGGCCUAUAUUGUUGAGGAGAUCUCAACAUUUAUCUCGUACUAUUUCGAACCUCAUAUGAGAACGAGAAUCAAUCGCGUUCCACAGCAUGAUGAUGGCGGUGAAGUGCCUUCCAGUGGGAACUUGUCAAUAUUCUCCAAUACUGGACGACCCACACCUAAAAAUGCCGUAAGAGGAAGAUAUUUGUUGGAAAUAGAGUUCAAACAAGCACACAACUAUGUUCUAUUUAACUGUGAUGAGCUGAGACCUUUUAUUCAGUAAGUUUAUACUAAUUAAACUUUGUUAGUAAUAUACUGUUAAUUAUAUAUUGUAAUAUCAUACACUCAUUAUCACUUGCAGGCAACAUCGUCAAUAUUUGCUCUCCAAUAACUCACAGCUGACUGAAUCCCAGAUCUUUCAAUUACAAGAUGAGCAGUUUGCCACGUGGUUCAGAACACAUGUAAGCACUAUCACAAACUCAUUCUAACUUGCAAAAUUACUGUACGUAUGCAUGUCAUUACGAGAUUCUCGUUCUUUUACUGUUUAUUGAUGUACAUUACAUGCAAGGUUUAUCAAAUGGGAAGGAGUGCACCUAAGUCAUUGUCUUUACUAAGCCUGGGGCCUGAAAGAAAAUGUAAGUGCUACAACGGGUAUUUUGUCAAUGGAUAUGUUUUCCAUACUGAAGAAUACAGGCAAGGAAGAAAGACAUACAACAGCGGUGUUUGUGUUAAGGGAUCCACUAGUAGUGAGUUAGAAGUUGACUACUAUGGUAGAUUAGAAGAGGUUGUCGAACUGCAAUAUCAUAACGAGCAGAAUAUAGUGUUUUUAUUCAAAUGCUAUUGGUAUGACACGACUGACAGAGGAAUCAGAGUUGAUCCGCACUAUGGUCUGGUCGAAAUCAACUCAAAAGCUAGACUCCGCAACAUAAACGAUGUCUUUGUUUUCGCAAAGCAAUGUCAACAAGUUUAUUACACAUACACCCCUUCAUUUAGAAAGGAUCGAUCAAGAGUGGAUUGGUUGUCCGUUUUAAAAACGAAACCCCGGGGUCGUGUCGAGGUUGUUCAGGAUGAGAACGAAGACACAAGUGUGCGAGAUGAAGUCUUUCAAGUUAGUGAGGUGGUUGAACCAUAUCGUGUUGCUCCUUCGAUUGAAUUGGAAGAAAAUUCAAAUUUUCGUGUUUUCGAUGAUAGUCUUGUUGAUGUUGACGCAGAUGAGUUAAAUUUUGUUUUGAGCUCUAACGGACAACCAAAUAUCGAUGAAGAAGAUGAUAUUCAUAUUGAAGAUUGCGAUGAAGGUGAUGACAAUUCAAUUGAUGACGAAGAAGAAGAAAAUUCUGACUAACUACCAAAAUGAAGCCCUAUGUAAAACCCUUUUUUACAUGUAAUUUAGAUUAUGAAUGAUAUAUAUAUUUUGAAACACAAAAUAUUUAUUACUUGAAAUAAUUAGUUGAAAUGCCACACUUAUGAUGGAUGAUAUAUUUUGUGACAUGAAAUAAUUACUUGAAAUGCACCCUAUCACCGACGGCCACACCGACGGACUUAGUCCGUCGGCAUUUCACAGAGAGUUCGAAAAUAAUUACUUGAAAUGCCACCCAAUUACAGACGGCCACACCGACGGACUUAGUCCGUCGGCAUUUCACAGAGAGUUCGAAAAUUAUUACUUGAAAUGCCACCCAAUUACAGACGGCCACACCGACAGGACUAAUUCCGUCGGUGUUUCACAGAGAGUUCGAAAAUAAUUACUUGAAAUGCCACCAAAUCACCGACGGCUACACCGACGAACUUAAAUACGUCGGUAAGUUGUCGGCGGUUCAAUUUUACCGACAACAUUACCGACGGACUGCGCGAAUUUCAAAGGGUUGCGCAUUUAAUGCGCCUCUGACCGCGUAAUAUUGCCGACGGACCACAAAAAAUAUGGAGGGUCAUUAAAAAUUUUAGUGCGAAAUUCAAACUUUGCCGACGGAUUUUUAACAUAUCACCGACGGAAUAAAUUAAAAUAAUAAUUAAUUUUAUAUCCGUCGGUGAAUCCGUCGGUAAAACUGCCAUAUAAGUUCAAGUGACUGCCCGUUCAGUUCAUUUUUUCUUCUCCUUCGUUUCUCACCUUAAGCUUUUGAUUUUUUUCCUCUCCAUUCUUCAAAGCUUUCACCUCCAAUCUCUAGCAAGUUUUCUUCAUCAUCUUCAUCAGUUUAAAAGGUUAGUGUUUUCUCUAUUUCAUUUUACUUUAAUAGUUUUUUUUUUUUGCUAUUUUUUUGGUUAUUUUUUUUGUUUUGGUGUAUUUUUUGUAAUGUAGAUAAAGUCUAUAGUUGUUUUUUGCAUAAUUCAUUGCUAAAGUAUAUAGUUUUUUUUUUUAAUUUUUUGAAUAUUUUUUAUUGUUGUAUUGGCAUAAUUAUUAUUAGUUAAUUUGUUGAAUUUUUAUUGUUAAUGUUGAAUUUACCAUAGAAUUAGUAAUUGAAUAUGUUGGAAUAAUUAUUAAUUUUACUUUAUUAUUGCAUGAUUUGUGUUUAAUUUGUUCCAUUUAUUUUGAUUGUUAUUCUAGAGUUUGGGGGUGGUUAUUUAUUGUUUUGUUGUUUGGCAUAAUUAUUGAAUAAUUACUUGAAUUGUAAUUCUUAAUGUUGAAUUUACCUUAGAAUUAGUAAUUGAAUAUAUUGGAAUAAUUAGUAUAUAUUGGGUAAAUUGGUUGUGGCUAUUGUUAAUAUGUGCAGGUUUGUGGAUUUGGGUAGUAUCCGGUAUAGGGGAGGUGCUGUCGAAUUUUUUUUUUACAUUUGAAUUUAAUUAUAUAAUUAUUUGUAUCAAAUUGUGUAGAUGCGUAGAACGAAAACCAGAGCUGGUCGCUCAGGUGCGGUCGCAGCUAGUUCGUCUAGCAGCGAGGAUGAUAUUUUCUUAGGUGCCUCUCAAGAAGAGGCACCUACGCCACCUGCGCCGUCAACCGAUGCUGCCUCUUCCAGCGGUACUUCACAGCGCAGAGGCGGCGUGCCUUCGCAGCGGAAUCAAUUUACCCGUAAGUACGAGGCACAGUGGAAGGACGACCUUUCAAUGUAAGUUUGUUAAGGUUUUAGUUUUUUUUAAAAAAAAAAUUACAACAUAAUUUAUCAAGUAAUCACUAUUGAAUUUAUUUCAUUUAUUUUCAGGUUCACAAACAUUGAAGCCGCCCGAGUAAUAUCAUCGGCGUUUAAAUCGUCGAUGGAGAUUCCAUUGUUUCAAUGGAGUCAGAUAUCCAAGCAUCCUGAAUAGAUGCCUCAAAUCAAUGCAUGGUUUAACAGGUUUGAGGUUGGUAUUAAUUUAUAAUUUUCAGCUUAUUAAUAUAAUUGUAUUAUUUUUAUUUAAACUUGUUUAUUUAUACAAAGCACAAAUUCUGCUGGGACAUUGAGCAUAAAGCUGUUGUGAGGAGGGUGUGGGAAAAUCACGCGGCAACUAGGUAAGAUCGAAAACAAUACAGGAUUUUUUUUAGACAAAAAUUUAUGUUUCGAAAUAUAAUUUUUGGUUGCGUGAAGCAGGUUGCGUGAUUUUUGGUAUGAAGCACAGAAAAAGGCAAAAAAAACCGCGAGGGAUAGGGGUUUCCAAGGCUGGAACGAUGUUGCGGUUUGGAGGGAUUUCAAACCGAUAUACAUCCUGGAAGAUAUAUGGCCGCACUAUCUUGAGCACGUGACGUCUGAGCGGUUCACACGACGCUCACAGUCCGGUGCUGGCAACCGGAAUCGGCCAAUUCAUGGCGGGGUGACAACUCACACUGGCGGCUCCGUUCCGUUUGCUGCACAUGCGAAACGGAUGGUAAGAUUAAUUUAAAUGAAAUAUAUCGUUAAAUUCAGUUGUUGUUAAUAUAUCUUUUUUCAUUAUAGGCUGUGUCUCUUGGACGUGAGCCGAGCCCGAUGGAGCUGUUUGUGGAGACGCACGUGCGGAGUCAAGACCGCCAGAAGGGGGCGCAACAGUUCGUUGAUAACCGUGCUCAACAUUUCGUGGUAUGUUUGUUCAACCAUUUUAUUUUGUAAGUUAUUAUGUUUAUUGUAUUGAAUAUGAUGAUUACUUUUUUUAUUUUUUAUUUUCAGGAGACCUAUAAUAAUCGGUUGAGGGAGAGAUACGGGGACGAUACUUUGACCCAUCCGGAAUUCGAUCCGGAUUUGUGGAUGGAGGUUGGCUUGUCAGGUGGACCAGAUAAAAAUCGGGUUUACGGGCUCUCCAACACUACGGCCGACAACUUGCGGUCGACCCGUAGUGUUUCAACCGUUGGGAGCUCCCAAUCUAAGGAGUUCGUGGCUUUGCAGCAACUCAACGAGAAAUACGACAACCUACAAGCGGAGUACGCACAACUCAAAGCGUCUCAUGCACAACAAAGAGCGGAGUCUGAGCAAUUCAAAGCGUCUCAAGCACAACAAAAAGCGGAGUAUGAAGCGGCUCAGGAACAGCAAAAAGCAGCUUAUGACCAGCUUUACGAAAUGAUUAUGAAAUUGUCAAAUAGCGGAACAUGUGCGCCUAAUCCUUUUUGGCCGUAUAACCACCAGCCUCCGCCAGGAUCUCCUCCUCCUCCUCAAGCUCCAUCAUCUUUAUAUUAAUUUGUAAUCAACAUUAUUUACCUUUAAAACUUCAUUUAUUAUUUUUCUUGGAACAUAUUCAGUUUGUAAUGAAUAUUAUUUAACUUUGUUUUUUUUUAUGUUUAAUAAAAAUUUUAUUUGCAUAAUUGGUUUGUAUAACAAUUAAUUUAUAUAGUUUUAUAUUAUAUAUCCUAAAUAAUUUUUUAAAAACAAAUUAAGAAAAAAACUAUUACCAAGGAUUUUACCGACGGAUGAAUUCGGUCGGUAUUUUAAACUUUCACCGACAGAAUUACCGACGGAAUUAAUCCGUCGCCAUUUAACAGUAGCUUCCACCAGUACCGACGAAUUUACAGACGGACAUAUUCCGUCGGUAUUUUCAAUUUCACCGACCGAUGUAACGACGGAUAUUUUCCGUCGGUAAUUUCAAUUUCACCGACGGAAUGAAAAUCCGUCGGUAGAUUUCAAGCAGGAAUCUUUUUUUUUGGCGCGCACGUUCCGUCUGUAAAACCGUCGGUAAAUGAUUUUUUUGUUUUUCCGACUGAUAUACCGACGGAAUGAGGAAUCACCGACGAAGGUAAAGCCGACGGACGUAUUCCGUCGGUGAUGACAUCAGUAAAAAAAUCACCGACAAACUUCUAAUCACACACCGACGGAAUUUUGCCGUCGAUAAAACUGUGAAAUCUUGUAGUGGAAUUAGCCGUGGUGAAGUGCAAGAACAGCAGCCUGUAAAAAUCAAAUAAAAAUGGCAAACAUUAGCACAGAGAUUUACUUUCGCCGCUAAUCUUUGCUUGCGAACUUCGUUCUUAUACUUCACAAUUAAUUAACUAACAAAACAAAAUCUCAAUACCUUUACAGGUUCCGUGUUUUGGUUUACAAUUAUACUUGAGCAUAAAUUAAUUUUUAAUAUUUAAUGAAAAAAUGAGUUAGAAAUCAUUUUAUGGUCUUUGGAUAUAUCUAAGAAAAUAAGUUGGAAAAUAAUAUAUUUUGAGUUAUUAACUUUUUUAAAAUAGUAUAAAUUUUAUUUUUAUCAAAUAUUUUUUGGUGCUUGGAGAACAUUGAAAAUUAAUUUAUUUUCUAUGGUAUUUUAAUUUUAUAACACAAUUUAUAUGAUUUAAAAUGUAUAAUUAUUGUACAAUAUAACAUGUUUUGUAUUCAAAUAUAUUUUCUAGUAAUAUUAUCUAAAUUAAAGUAUUAUAUGCAUUAAUAUAUCAAAUUAAUAUACUUUUAUAUUGUAUAUUAAUAUGUCCUUCCUAUAUAAAUAUAUUAGUAAUUUAGUAUAUUUUCGACUCGAGACAACCACAGAUGCAGGCUCGUUUCAUCAAAGACUACCACAGGAUUGUUGACUUCUUGCUGUCAAUAAAGAGAAAGUUGUGUUUGAAAGGGAGGAUGGUUCAUACGAGGAGCCAAUAGGAAGGGAAAGCUUGAGAAGCCUUCCUAUAUAAAUAUACAUUUAUUUGCUUAAAUGCAUUUUGUUCCUUUAUUAGUUUUCAUUUUGGUAUUUGUGUUGAUGAAAAUUAUGCAAUUGGGGUUGAUUUUGUACGGUAGACAAAGUGGUUGAUGGAAUACCAUGUUUUAAUUCUUUUCUAAUUUUUACCAAAGUUGUAAUGUUAUUUUGAUGGUAAUCUUGUAAAUAAUUAUAUAUCUUUUUAUUAAUUUUUUUUUUUGCAAGGAAGUUAAGUGUUAGCAUGCCUAUAAAGUUCAAGAUAUAGAAUAUAAUUUUUUAAAUUAUAGGGUGUAAUCGCAAUGUGAACCAAACUAUAAGGAUGUUAAGGUUAGUUUUUCCAAUAAGAAAACAUUAAAAGGAUUUUUAUAUCCUUCUUUUUUCAGACAUUUUUAUAUUAAAAAAACCACAUUCAUUGAACUUCUUUCGAAAACGAGAAAUCUAUUAACAUAAAUAUUAGUCUUUUUAGUGGUCAAAUGUUGACAUCCAACCAUUUUCUCUCUCCUUAACUUUUUUUGAUGACUUUAUCUUUCAUCUUUCAACACCUAGAAACUAAAGAGUAAAGACAAUGAAGUUUGAUACCAAAAUAUAAAUCUCUAAAACAAUAUGGACCACAUGAUAAGAAAUUCAAAAUUCCAAUUACCAAACUGGAGUUUUUCACACCAAAAUCUAAAUGGGGCAUGUGUUUUCAUUCAUCACAUAUAAUCCUCGUUCUUUAAAUUUGUAUUUACAAUCCCAAUAAAUUUAUGAUUUUGUAAAAUCAAAACGAAAUCUAUCUUAAAACAUCUCUUAAAAGUCACUACGAACCACACAUAAAAGAAACCAUGAUAUUGUAAUUUUAGAGGAUUAAAUUUCAAUAAUUAGAAGUUUGAGGAACAGAAUGAAAAAAUAAAUAGGCAAAUUCACAGUAGUUAAUGCAUGGGUGAACAAUGAAUCACCCAUCUAUAUAUACUAGUUAUUUGACUUAUGCUUUACUGUAGGUUGGAUAAAAUUUUCUUUUUAACACAAAAAUAAAUGUGUAAGGUUAUUAACGUAUUUUUUAAUAUAAAAAAAUUUAACUAUGAAUUGAAAUACUGAUUCAUAAAUAUAUCAAAAUAAAAUGAGAAUUAUAUGUGUUAAUAAAAUCCAAAAAGAGUUGUUAACACAACACCGUCUAUAUAAUCUCAAGUUAAUUUUUUAACAUAGUAGAAAAAUACGCAAUGUUGCUAGUGCAAUUCAACAAACAUAUAUCCUACACACGUGAGAUUUUAUUUUUUUUAUAUGGAAAUAGGAUUGAUCAUAUGUCCUCUUGGAUUUUUUUUUUUAAAAGCAAACUAUGCCUUGUCUUCCUUCCUAGUUUCCAUCUACUAGGAAAUUGGUCAAAAAAUUAGGUAAGGUGUUUUAUGGCUCAAAAAUGCAAUUUUUAACCAAUUUUCACUCUAAAACACCUAUAUGUGAAUAAACCAAAAAAACCCCAAACAAGUUCAAAAACAAAAUCUUCUUUAAAGCUUGAUUUGCUUUUUCAAUCAAUAUCAAGAGAAAAAUAUCUAAAUAAAACUUCUCUGUUAAAUGAAAGUUAUUGACAUUGACACUAAUAUCAACAUUUUUCGUUGUUAAAAUUGAUAUCAAUUGAGACUCUCUUUCUCUUCAAACCAAAUAUGCCAAGUCUUUCUCUUUCUCAUUUUCUCAAACCAGUGAUUAAGAAAUAAGAUAAAUUAAUUUUUAUAUUAAAAUUAGAUUUAACAAAACCCAAUGGAUAAAAAAUGUAUCAAUUUAAAAGUAGAAGGAUCAAGGUGAACUUUUCACAUAAUUUGAAAAUAAAAAAUGCCAUUUAUUUUUUAAGCCUUUUUCACUUUGGUUCUUUUUCUUUCACUGUUAUCCUUUCGUAACAAAUUUACUUAAAUAAGCUAUCAAUUUGAUCCUAUAAAAGGAAAAUAAAAAAAAUUUGAGGAUGAAAACAAAAUAGAGUGCUAAAAAGGAUAUGUUUAAUAAUGUAGUGUAAAGUAUUUCUCAAUUGAAAAUAUAUUAAAAUGAUGUUUAAUUUAUUUUAUUUUUGAUAUUAUUACGUUAAAACAUAUUAAAACUAUUAAAACACAUAUGAAAAAAUAUUAAUUUGAGACUUCUUAAUCAUUUUAAAAAUAUUUUUCAAAUAAAAAACUAUUGCAUUGUAAUACACCUAGAUUAUUGAUCCAAGUGAUAACGAACUAGGAGAUUCAUUUUAGUCUGUGUUCUUAGGUUCUAGGAAUUGUGAAACGCUGACGUGUAUUCGUUUGCUUCAAAUAUUAUUCUAAACUUCAGUUCGAAUAUAAAUAUGACGGGAUCCCUUCCGAUCCACACGAGUAUUAAAGAUUCAAUAUUUUUCUACAUAUUUGUCAUCAUACUAUCUGAACACCACAUUUUUUUAAUUAAAAAUAAUUACCAGCCACGUAAUUGAUUGACUAAUUUUUAUGUGGAAUAUAAUUAAUUAUAUAUACACUCGCGCACGCGCGAGGAUGUUGUAAAGUACAAUGGUUAUUUUAUUUCCAUGGAAUAUAUAAAUAAAAAUAAACAAAUACACUUGCUUUUACAUUAUUAAUUAUGAAAAUCAAUGAUUGGUUUUAUCAUCGUAAGUUGAUAAGGAAAGAAAUUCAACGUGAACAAUGACAACCAUUAAAGCAUCACUGAUCGAUCGUUAUAUAUAUUUUAGGUUAAUUAUAUUUUACCUCCUUGAAGCAUAUAAUAACUAUCAAUUUUUACUUAAAAACUUCUUCUUUUUUUUAUCAAUUACCCCCAACAUUUAUCCAUCUAUCAAUAAGGGCUUUUUGUUUCAUAUAGGAUAAAAUAAAAAUUAACCAACUCAAGAGGAUAAUUGAUAAAGAUAAAUUUUAAAAAGAAAUUGACAAAAUCAUAUAAUUCAAGAGAGUAAAAUAAAAUCAACCCUUAGGUUUAGGAAAUGAGAUGUUCUCACACUCUUAACCAAAAUCGAGGAAAAAAAGGUUGGGAUGGUUCCUAGGUUGUCUUUAAAAAUUGUUUUAAAUUCAAGGAGGAGGAGGAGGAGGAGAGGAGGAGGAGGAUAGUACUAUUUGACACUGCGGUCGGAAAGUGCUUUUGAAAAAAUUAAAAUUUAUUUAUUUAUUUUUUGCUUUAAAUUAAUAUGUUUUUGAUGUUUUCAGAUUAUUUUGAUAUGCUGAUGUCAAAAAUAUUUUUUAAAAAAAUAAAAAAAUUAUUAUUUUAAUGUGUUUUGGAAUAAAAAGCACUUUGAAAAACAACCGCUACCACAUUCUCAAAUAUUCUCGAAGAAGCUGAGAGAGGUUAGAUUUCGAAAAUUUCCACCCUCAAAUUAAAGAUAAAUUUUAAUUUACCUCUUUGAAAUAUAUGGAUUCUAUUGACUCUAAGUUUAUUCUUUAUCAAUUACCCCUAAGAUGAUUAUUUUCAUUUUAUCCCAUGUGGAUAAAAGGAUCUUAUGAAUAAUGGGUGAAAUGUUAGGGGGUAAUUGAAAAACAAAAUAAGAAGAAUUUGAUAGAAUUCAUAUAUUUUAGGGGUUAAAAUGAAAUUUACCCUUCCACCAAUGAGUAAAAAGGUUUCCUAUCCUUAGGUCGGAAAAGACUAUUUCUAAAAAUUAUAUAAAAUAUUUUGAGAAUUUAUUUUUAAAAUAAAUAACAGGAUUACUAUUUCAAUGGACACUUAAUUAAUUGGAUUCAACUGUUUUAUUAAGGAUUUAAAUUAACAUGAAAAUCUUCGAAAGGUGAGAUUAGGGGAUGAGAAUGCCCCAAUUUUAUCAAUUAGAACACUUAAUAAUGUAUUUAAGCAAGCUAUUAAGUACGUAGAGUGUCAUUAUCAAUGGCGCCAAUUUUAUCUUGAAUGUUUUGAGAUUGAUAAUACCAAAGUGGUUAUUAAUUGAUGAUGAAGAGGAAAUUUUAUAUAUUUCCUGUUUGUCCUUUUAUACUUGUACGAUAUUUUCAUGGUGAUCUUCGUCUUCCUCUCUCCCUUUCCAUGUAGAAAUUGCCGCACAAGAAUUAAAAGUAAACUUCUAUUAGAUCUUCUUAAGAAUAAAGAUGUUCGAUGGAAGUGUUAAAUAAAAUGAGAAACUUAGGAAUUCAUUAAAGGGUGUUUGUGAAAGUUAUAAUAGUAAUUUUCUAAAGUAUUUUUUUUCUUGUAAAUAAAUUAAAAUAAUAUAUAUUUUUUAUUUUUUAUAAUUUAUUUUUAACAUUAAUAUAUUAAAUUAAGAAGGAAUAAAUCAAAUUAUUAGGUGAUUUAAGUUAUUGAUUCAACUAAUAAAUUAUUGGUCAAACUGUCAUAAACAAGAAAUGAUAAAGUGGCAAGUAUAUAACUUGCAAAAGCUGCAAAUUUUUAUUAAAAAAAAAAAAACCAAUUCAAUGUUAAACUCACUAGUCUAACUAGACGGGUUUGAUCAAAUCCGUUAAAUAUAUAAUAUUUUACAUCAAUCACGACUGAUUAAAUUACUAGAUCAUUAAGUUUUUAAUUAAAUCGAAUGAUUCAGACUUAAUAAUUUUUUUUAAUUUAAUAAUAAAGAUAUCAUCCUCUAAAUUUACAAAUCAAUUAAGUUAAUGUUUGUUUUUUAGAAUUCACUUUUUAGAAAAUUACUUUCAAAACUUUUAUAUGUUUGUUUGUCAUUAAAAAAAUUGGUCAACGGAAAACACUUUUCAGUCAACAAAAACACUUUUCGGUCAACGAAAAACACUUUCCAGUCAAAGAAAAAUUUGGUUUGGUUUUCAAGAAAGUUUUUUUUUUGGCUGUGUUUGUUUUCCGGAAAGUGGUUUCCGAAAAACCACUUUCCAAACUUUCCCGUGUUUGUUUGUCAUUAGAAAAAAAUUAAUUAAAAAAAAACAUUUUUCAAUAAAAAGAAAAUUUGACUUGAGGGUAGAAAAGUCUAUUUUCAAAUCAUCUUACUGCAUGUUUACGCAUUCGUACAUGUUCAGGGUGUCCUCAGGCCUUGUUUAUCACUAUUUGGAUACGCGAAAGUUGACUUUUUAUUAAGAACAACCCGCAAAUGUUGAUUUCUGGGACACCCACAGUUUGUCUCCUCAACGACAUUACGGUAAAGACCACACCAUGUGUCCCAGCUCCUUCCCUGUUCGAAAGAAAACCAACAACCUCUCUGCCAGGACAAAUUAUCCUUGGCAGGCGGCUUAGCUGAUUCUAGAUCAAUGAUACAAAGAACACGAAAUCAUGCCAGCCUUUUCGUGUUUUUUCAGCUCUCCCCUUUUUUGAUUCGGAAUACACUCACGUUCUCUUGAUCAAUUCACUCUCUUUGAUUUUUCCUAGUGGCACUCGCAACUUCCCCUCCUAUCUUUCACCAUCCCUGCCAUCCUCCCUUUCUGCGACGACCCUCUUGGGGUGGUCUUGUGUUUUACUUUUACAAGCAGUGUUUUCCUUUUCUUUGUAUAUUUUUUUCUUCUCUGGGUUUUGCUUUUAGAGCUUUGUUGACCCUUUCUCAAUAUUUUAUUACGACGACAGCAUUUUUUUCAAGAAAAGGACGCAAUGCAAAAUGAAAAAUAAAAAAUAAAAACCCGAGUAACUCGUCAUCUUUAAAAACCCCUCCUACAUUAUCUUUCCCUCCAACCACCUUACUCUCUUUCUUCCUUCUCUAAAAAAACAAACGAAAAACAUUGUUUCUGUCCCUGAACUACUGCUCUUUUUCGUGUUCUUUGAAUUAUUUUUUUUGGAGAAUUAAUUACCCCACAAUUAGAGAAAGAGUAACUGUGUUCUGCAUGCUUAAAACAUGGCGUUUGUUCAAUCACUGUCAAAGACUGUCUCUGUUUUUGUUUUCGGUUUUGUGGUAUUGAAUUGCUUGGUUGUGGACAAAUUUAGAUCUCAUGCCCAAGGAGUGACUCCACUCUUGCCACAAGAUGAAGGUAAAUGGUCAUAAUUCAACAAUCUCCUUUUUUUUUGUCAGCAAAUCAAAAUAUUUGGCAGAAUAAAUGGUUUUUCUUUCUGGGUUUUCUUCGUGUAAUGGCCAAGUGUUCUUGUUCUUAACAUUAGUUGACAGACAUGCUCUUGUCUUGUUCGUCGGGGGAAACUGCUGUUUUGACUUUCAGAUUUUUCAUUUCUCUUUAAAAACGUUUUUUUUUAUCUCUUCUUGUCAUAAAAAAAUUGUGUUUUAUUUAUUUUUUAAGAUUAAUCGGGGAAAUAUAUUGCAUGAAUUGGGCAAUAAUAGGAAAAGAGGAGGAAUUCGGAAAAAGUAUUUUUGAAAAUGUUACUUAAAUGCAUGAUUUGUAUAGUUUUCUUAAAAAAGAAAAAGAAAAAAACUGUUCAAUUUCUUGUUGCAAUCAAACAAAAGAAAUGAAGAAUAUUAAACAAAAGAAAUAAAGUACAAGAAAUUUGAUAAAAUAUUAAACAAUUCAAGAAGUGAGAAGGUGAUAUUAUUAAAAAAUAUAUUUUUCAUUUCUUCGAUGUGACAUAUUUUUGGUAUGUUCAUCGUUUCAACUUUCAAGGAGCAACUGUUGCUUGAAAGUUGCAUCUGUUCAACACUGCAUUCAUUUAUGGUAGAAAGAUUCUUGCCUCCCUGAUAUAUUUGUUAAAAUAAAGUACAAGAAAUUAUUGAAAGGUGAUAUUAUUAAAAAAUAUAUAUAUUUUUCGUUUCUUCGAUGUGACAUAUUUUUGGUAUGCUCAUCGUUUCAAGUAGCAACUGUUGCUUGAAAGUUGCAUCUGUUCAACACGGCUUUCAUUUAUGGUAGAAAGAUUCUUGCCUCCCUGGCAUAUUUGUUAAAAUAAAGUACAAGAAAUUAUUGAAAGGUGAUAUUAUUAAAAAAUAUAUAUAUUUUUCGUUUCUUCAAUGUGACAUAUUUUUGGUAUGCUCAUCGUUUCAAGGAGCAACUGUUGCUUGAAAGUUGUAUCUGUUCAACACGGCUUUCAUUUAUGGUGGAAGGUUCCUGCCUCCCUGGCAUAUUUGUAUUGUUAGCUAAAUUUAUUUAUGCUAGGUUUUCCAAGUGUGCAAAGUGUUUUUACUAUAACAACUGGGUGGCAUUAUUUUCUCUUGUGUAAUGUGAUCAAGGAGUUACCUAUCACUAUACUUUAGCAAGAUUUGCAGAGGAAAGCUCUGGGAGGCACAUGAAAAAAAAAUGGCUUCUAAAAUAUGUGCGAAAUAUUGGGUGAAAAUCGAGAGUUUCGACCAUGUCCAUGUGAUAUAUCCCAAAAAGGAAAGGUCUAGUAAAGUAAAUCUGUGCAGGUCUAUCUCACCCAUGAACAGUUAUGCUGAUCGACGUGAAAUUAUGAUUUGUUUUACUAGUAAUUUCUAACAUUAUUGUAAGCAUUUUUUCUUGGUGUUUCUUAACAUGUAUUGUUACUAUCUGAUGCAACAGUGCAAAUCCUUCAAACAAUAUCCGACAAGCUGAAAAACAACAAUUGGACGACAAUCGAUCGAACUUCCUGCAGUAGCGCACAGUGGAAGCUGUACAUCAGCGACCCCCCCAAAAAUGACAGAAUUCAAAGCAACGUUACAUGUGACUGUACAUUUGAAAAUAACACCGUCUGUCAUGUCAUCAGCUUGUAUGCACUUGUUUCCUUAUAUCCCUCCUUUUUCUUCAGAUAUAAUAACCACUCAGAUAGAGAUUAGACUCGUCUCAAGCAAUGCUUUGAUUAGAAGAAUAUAUUUGUAGCAAACACUCUCUCUUGGAUUUGGUACUGGUCCAAUUUUAUAUGAACACUGUAUCAAUUCCUAAACCUCAGCUUAUGGUAACGACCGCUUGGUGUUGUACGAAGACUUAUCACCUCUUACCUCUUUCUCUUUAUAAUCAUCUUUUUUUUCUCUUCUUCUGACAGCAAGCUGAAGGGUUUUAAUCUGACUGGAGUUCUACCAGUGGAAUUUCGAAAUCUUACCCAACUGCGCGAAAUGUGAGUGGCAAUUGCGUAUAUAUUUCUUGUUAGUCAAGUUUUUUGUUGGACAGCGGAGAUCAGUUUCUAUCUGGAUUUAUGGAUGAUUUUAAUUAGAUUUCUUAUGAUCUCAGUGAUUAGCUCUCUCCUUCAAUGGGCUAUCAAUGUGCAAGUUUCAAAUUCUCCAGGGUUACAGUGUCUUAGUUGAUAGACUCCUGUCCUGUUUUUUCUUGUUCUUUUUGGUUCUCUAGAAUGGUUUAGUUGCCAAAUAGCCCAUCCACAUUCACUCAGUUUGAUAUACAUUUACGUGUGAAAUAAUUUCCAAGUUUCAAUGCCUCUUUUCUCAAACACAGACAGCCCUGUUCACUCGCAUUUUUGAAGUUUUUUUUCCCCUUUAUUGUUAUCGUCUUAGCAAGAUUUUGUUACAGCUGCAAUGUGCAAUGUAGAAUAUUACCAUUCUUUUUACUCUGUGAGAAUUCGAAUUUUAGAAUGACUGAAAUGAAGCAUCCUGCAUUGUACAGUGAUCUCUCUCGCAACUACUUAAAUGGAUCAAUCCCAGGAAGUCUAGCUGAGCUCCCAAACCUUCAGAGUUUGUAAGUUUGUUUGUUCACUUGUAUUUCUUAUGGAGUUUUCAAUUGUGACAUGGCCAUUCAUGAAUAAAUAACCUGUUCAAUAUUUUUUCUUUUAUACCUUAGGUCUCUUCUGGCAAACCGUCUCUCCGGUUCAAUUCCUAGGGAAAUUGGCAGCUUUGCGACUCUGAAGUCCCUGUAAGUCUCAAAACAAAGUUCUCUACUUGUCCAGUAAAUGAAAUUCUGAGUUGCAAUAAAAUAGGUAUUGCGUCUUGCAGGGUCCUGGAAGAUAAUCUACUAGGAGGGUCUCUUCAUCCAGACCUUGGAAAUUUGAAAAGCUUGGAGAGACUGUAAGACAGAUGCCUUCAUCUUCUAUCUGAGUUUAUUUAUGUAUCUACUUCAUGAUAUUCAAUCUAAGUCUUUUUAUGUAUGGUACCAGUAUUUGAUGCUCACUCAGAAAAAAUUAUUUGUAACUUUGUAUUAUUUACCCCUGCAGUCUUCUUUCCGCCAACAAUUUUUCAGGAACAAUACCAGACACAUUUGGCAAUUUAAAGAAUUUAAAUGAUUUGUAAGUGAUGAUGCGGGUCACAAUUUUUUUUUAUAGUAAUUACUGUGCUGAGCUUAAAUAUUCAUAUGUUUCAUAUGCUCCUGUAGUAGGAUAGAUGGAAGUGAACUGUCAGGGAAGAUACCUGACUUUAUUGGGAACUGGACCAACAUUACGACAUUGUGAGUAUUUACUUUGUUCCAUUUAUCUGCUAAUGUGUCCUCGAGCACAAGCUGAAUGGAAUUCCAUUUUCCUUUCCCUCUUGCAUUCCUAACAAUGGUAUAUUUCUUUUGCAGUGAUUUGCAAGGAACAUCCAUGGAGGGUCCUAUUCCCUCUACCAUUUCACUGUUAAAAAACUUAACAACUUUGUGAGCUUAAGUUCCCAUUCAGUUCAAAGAAUUUUGCCUCGUUGCUUUUCGGUAAGUCUAUAUUUGAGAAAACUGAUUUUUUCUGUUGUCUUGAUUUUUCAGGAGAAUAUCUGAUUUGAAAGGAUCCAGUUCAACUUUCCCUGAUCUGAAAGAUAUGACAAAAAUGGAAAAACUGUGAGUUGAAUGAGACUGAUCAAAUAUAUUGUUACAGCAAUAUUACAUCAGUAAUUGAUUACAUAUUAUUUUUUACUCAGGAUUCUGAGAAAUUGCUCAAUGACUGGUUCAAUCGAAGAAUACCUUGGAAAUAUGGCAGACCUAGAUACUCUGUAAGUUUCUCUAACAGCUACCUUCAUGGCAACGCUUAAUUUCAUGGGCGUCAUAUUAUGUUACUCUGAUUCAAAAUGACAAGAUGUGUAAAGUGAUUGACAUCACUUUACUCUAUCGUUUGGUUUCAUUUAAAGUAAGAUAAAGCAAAGUGAAUCAGUAAAGGUGUAGCAAUAAGUUGAUUCCUUAUUUAUCCUGGUUGAACAAGGAUAUUUCCUAACCAUGAAGCUCCAGCCUUUUCCUCUUUUAAAACCGACAGUUUUGCAUUUCAUUUUUCCUUAUUUUAGAUUCUCAUUGAGUGAGGUCGGGAUGUUUUCAAACCAAUCUUGAUUUGUCAUAUGAGAUGCUGUUGGUGAUGUUCUACAUUAUAACAAUGUAAUAAGAUAAGUGGAAGACAUCUUAACAUUUGGAAGGAGUGGAAAUUCUGCUGUAUAUGUAUGUGUGAGGUUCAUAUGUUCUCUGUGAGCAUGAGCUAGACCUGCAUAUAGUCUGCAUGAUUCAAAAUCAUGAUGGUGGGGGCUCAUGUUUUUCAUAAAAGCCAUGCUGCAGAGGAUGUAAUAGGACCUUGAAUAUUAUUAGUCUGACAACACGGACUGGUCCGACAUUCCGUGAAUUAGAUUGCAGUGUGUUUAUAUUGCCCAGAGCUAAUUUUAUCUAGUGCUUUUUUCACGUGCUUUCAUUAAUUUGUAUAUAUUUCAUUGCAGAGAUCUGAGCUUUAACAAGUUGACAGGCCCGAUUCCUGGCCCAUUAGAGAGUUUGACAAAAAAUAUAAAGUUCAUGUAAGUAAAUAAACGCAUGCUAUCUGAAAGCACAGGAUCAUCGUUUCUAAUAUAUUUCUCAUAUUGACAGCUUGCUGGUUCAUUACCUGUUUAUUAAUGUGUAGGUUUCUGAAUAACAACUUACUAACUGGAGAAGUGCCUGCUUGGAUACUGGGAAGCAGGAAAGACUUGUGAGUCUAUUGUGAAGCUAUACAUAAUUCUUUAUACAUGAAAUACACCAAUCUUUGUUCUCCUCAAUCAACAACUAUAUUACCCCUGCCGUGAAAUUUUAUUUCAGGGAUUUAUCUUACAACAAUUUUACUGGGUCAGCUCAGCCAAGUUGUCAACAGCUACCAGUGUAGGCAUUAUUUUUUCCCGUUACUUGUUUCUUCUCCUUUGUCUCAAGUUGAUUGCUAACUUCUAUUUUGAAAUCAUAUAGGAACUUAGUUUCUAGUCAUGUGUCAACUGGGAGUAACAAGUAAGUUCCUCCUUCACUAAGAUGCCUUUUAAGAAAUCUAGAAAUUUGACUUAUCGACAACCCUCAUUCUUCUCUACAGGAUUUCUUGGUGCUUGAACAAGGACCUUGUUUGCACAAGAAAACCUCAACGUAAGUGUGUAAAAACAGUACUCUGGUGUUUGAUGAAGGUGUAAUUACAUAAAUACAGUACUUGUUGUCCUAGGGAAGGCAGCUUAUGAUAUUAAUACUUCGUUCUACAGACCAUUCCUUGUUCAUAAACUGUGGAGGGAGCAGUGAGACUGUUGGUGAUAAUGAAUAUGAAGACGACACAACUCCAGGGGGGGCAGCUGAUUUUGCAUCUAUAUCAGAAAGAUGGGGUUAUAGCAGUACAGGGACUUAUAUUGGCACUGAUGACGGCGCUUACAAAGCAACAAAUUCUUAUGGUCUGAAUGUGACCGGUGAAGGUUUUUACCAAACUGCUCGCCUUGCCCCUCAAUCACUCAAGUACUAUGGCCUGUGCAUGCUGGCGGGCAGUUACAAAGUGCAGCUCCACUUUGCUGAAAUUAUGUAUUCCAAUAAUCAGACUUUUAGCAGCCUUGGGAGGCGGAUAUUUGAUAUAUCAAUUCAAGUGAGUAAAAUGAUUUUCAAAUUAGCGCAUUUACUUAGGAUUUUUCUUUUUAUCUAUGAUUGUAUUUCUAAAUAACCUCAUGAGACCUACCAUGUGUUAUGGAUCCUUUUCAAGUUUCCAUAGAAAACGGUGGUAACACUCUUUAAAACCUGCAAAAGUCAUGCUCGGAACUUCUUCCUGCAGGGGAAGGUAGUUGAGGCAAAUUUCAAUAUUAUGGAGGAAGCUGGAGGUGUUGGUAUUGGCAUCACUAAGGUAUUUGAUGGUAUAAUUGUUAAUGGUACCACACUGGAGAUACACUUAUACUGGUCAGGCAAAGGUACUACUGCUGUUCCUGACAGGGGUGUCUAUGGACCUCUCAUAUCUGCCAUUACAGUGACUCCAAGUAAGUCUUGACGAAAUCAAGAGGAUUUUUUGUUUCCAUCAACGGUCUUUUUGUUUAAUUCAUUUCUCUCCUUGUAGACUUUAAGGUGGAUAAUGGUGGCGGAUUAUCAGUUGGAGCUAUUAUUGGCAUUGUAGCUGCUCCAUGUGUGCUUGCGGCAUUGGUUUUGCUGGUCCUCCGGAAGAAAGGUUACUUGGGAGGGAAGGACCUUGAAGAUAAAGGUAAGAUUAAUGGCACAAGUAGGAUGUGUCUUAUUUGAUUGUGUGCAUGCUGUAAACUUUUGAUUAUCCUUGUCAUGCUGAUUUUGAGAUUCUGCUCAUCACAGAACUCCGUGCUCUAGAUCUCCAAACUGGUUAUUUCAGCCUAAGGCAAAUUAAACAUGCGACCAAUAAUUUUGACCUUGCAAAUAAGAUAGGAGAAGGAGGAUUUGGUCCAGUUUACAAGGUAUUUAUGAAUGUUCCAGUUUACUAUUUAGUUAGGUUAUGUGCUGACAAAGUGUUCUACUGUAUGGCGCCUUCUUGUAUAAAAUCACAUGCAAAAGCUUGUGAUAAAAGGGAUGUAAUAUCUUUUAAAACAUUCUGAAAUCUCAGUCUAUUUUAUUUCAGGGCAUGUUGUCAGAUGGUUCUGUAAUUGCUGUAUAGCAGUUAUCGGCCAAAUCGAAACAAGGAAAUCGUGAAUUUGUGAAUGAGAUAGGCAUGAUAUCUGCCUUGCAGCAUCCCCAUCUCGUGAAGCUGUAUGGUUGUUGUAUUGAAGGAAAUCAGUUGUUGUUAGUAUAUGAAUACUUGGAAAACAAUAGCCUUGCUCGGGCUCUUUUUGGUAAAUGCUUGACCAACUCCUUAAUGUAUCAGCUUAUAUAUAGUCUGUAGAAUGAGAAUGAGAUUAAAUUGCUUUCCUGUUCCUCUGUCUCGUCUCUAUCAGGUCGUGAUGAACACCAGAUUAAACUGGACUGGCAAACAAGAAAGAAAAUAUUGUUAGGUAUUGCAAAGGGAUUAGCUUAUCUUCAUGAAGAGUCAAGGCUGAAGAUUGUACACAGAGACAUAAAGGCAACUAAUGUGCUGCUUGAUAAGGAUCUAAAUGCCAAGAUAUCUGACUUUGGUUUAGCUAAACUGGACGAAGAAGAAAACACUCAUAUUAGCACGCGGAUUGCUGGGACAAUGUGAGUUCUUUCUCCCCCUUGUUCUUUCAAUUUAAUUUCCUUGCUUGUGGUAAAGGGAUAAAUAAAUUUUUAUUUUUUUUGGUAAUGAUACUUUGAACAAUAUGGAUAUCAAAUGGAAAUAUUGUGAAACGCAGACAUAUUAUUUGAUGGCAUCUCAUAACAGCAGCACAAAUGAUUAUCGCCUUGGACAUGAGAACAUAUAAAUUUAUUCCACUAGCUCAUGGCCAAUACUUACUCUUCUGGUUCUUUCUAAUUUCUCUUCAGAGGUUAUAUGGCUCCAGAAUAUGCUAUGAGGGGUUACUUGACAGAUAAAGCAGAUGUUUACAGCUUUGGGGUUGUUGUUUUAGAAAUUGUCAGUGGGAAGAGCAACACGAAUUACAGGCCGAAGGAGGAGUUUGUUUAUCUUCUUGAUUGGGUAACUUGUAUCAUUUCCUUUCAGAAUUCUGUCUACACAAUUUACAUUUACACUGACCACCAAUGAGCAUGAUUGUAGACUGAUGGAAAAUGCAUGUUACUGAUAAUUGUAGGCCUAUGUCCUGCAAGAGCAAGGAAACCUUCUAGAGCUUGUGGAUCCAAGCCUUGGUUCAAACUACUCAAAAAUAGAGGCAUUGAGGAUGCUUAACUUGGCUCUCUUGUGCACCAACCCAUCUCCCACUUUAAGGCCAUCAAUGUCUUCUGCAGUGAAGAUGCUUGAGGGACAAAUUCCAGUCCAAGCUCCGAUAGUCAAGCGCAGUACCAUGAACCAGGAUGCAAGGUUCAAAGCCUUUGAGCUUCUCUCACAUGAUAGCCAAACAUACGUCUCAAAUGGAUCUCAAAACAGUCAGAUACAGAAGAGCAUAUCAAUGGAUGGACCGUGGAUCGAUUCUGAAUUUUCUAUCGAAAGUAAGGAUGAGAUCAUAGAUUCCUCAUCGACCAAGCUUCUUAAGGAUCUUUACGACGUCAACUUAGAUUGAUCAACGGAAAUUGAUGAAAUAGUCCCUCCUUUUCUUUUGGUCUGGUAGUAUUCUGAGUUUGCAAAUAGGAUUGCUGAGGAAUCAAGAAAUACAUUUUAAAUGAUUUGUUCUGGUAUAUGUUGAUUCUUUUGUUAAAAAAUAAAAAACAUUGGAGAGCUUGGUCUUUCGAAUUGGACAAAUGUUGAUGACAUGAGUAGAAAUUAGACGAAGCAUACUUAUCUUUCUUCGUCCUCCAGUAGUAGUAGUAGUAAUUUAAUUGUUUUUUUUUUUUUGAACUAGUUGAGGUGGUGGAAAGGAAAAGGCAAAUAAAGGGGAAAAAAAGAACUUAGAGGGAGAAGGUAAGGCAGGUUUAGGCCCCGUUUGUUUGCCGGAAAGUUGUUUUCUUUUGGAAAGUGAAUUCUGGAAAAGUGAAUUCUGGGAAAGUGAAUUAUUUUUCGAUGUUUGGUAGUGUAAUAAAAAAUAAGUUGGAAAACAAUUUCUAGUGUUUGGUUAUGUUAUAGAAAAUGAGCUGGAAAAUAAUUAUUAAUGUUUUAUUUUUUUCAAAUUUAUUAAAAUAAUGAGGAACAAAUCUUACAUUUUUAAAUUUUUAAACAAUUUUAAAAGUUUGAAGACCAAAUUUGAUAUAAUCAACAAAUAAUAUGAUAUUUUUAAAUUUUUCACAACUUCUAAAAAAUGUUUUCUGUUUACCAACUUUUCUAAUGACAAACAAAUAUAUAAAAAUUUAAAAAAUAAUUUUUAAAAAAUCACUUUCGAUCAAACAAACAAGACCGAAAGAGAACACAACACUACAAAGUACGGAGCCAUCUUGGCAAGACUCACGUUGCCACACACAUAUAUUUUUCUUAGCUAGUUGUAAGUUUUAGACUCACGUUUGCACAUUGUGUAGCAAGACUCACGUUGCCACACACACACACAGCUAGUUGGUUUGGCAAGAAGGAUUAAAAUUCUAGAGAAGAAAGAGUGGCAGCACAUGAAAAAAUAAGGGAAAACAUGUAGUAAGAUAGGGCAAAAAUCUAAAAAAAUCGGUGUAAAAAAAUAAAUUACAUUAUCGAGAAGAAGAAUAGUGCAUUAGAAACAGGUCAGAAACCAACAACCAACUCAAGAAACAAAGAUAGGAUCCUAGGCAACAUACAUAAUAGGUCAGAAAUAGUUCUAAAGAUAAGAAAAUAACAUGAAAAAUUAGAAAAAAAAAAGGAAUAAAUGCAUUACUAGGACAUCAUCUUUGUACUUUUUCUCAAUCAAUUACAAAUAUUUUGAUUUUUUGAUAUCAAUUUCUUUUUAAAAAUAUUUAUUAUAAUUUAAAAUAUUUUAAUUCAUUAAAUAUAGAAUUAUUUAAAAGGGUACUUUUAUCAAGAUAGAACCACAUUAAAAAAUAAGAUAUUGAUAUAAGUACUAGAUUAACAUAAUAAAAAAUGUUCGUGCACUAAUUUUUUAUUUUUUAAAUUAAAUGUACGUACUCUCGAUUGAUACAAAACCUAAGUUGGUGUACCAAAAAUGGAUUAAGGUCGAAGAAAAUGGAAGGAAAAAUUUGAUUGGAAGUUUUGAAAAAGUUAUAACGUAAUUAGCCCUCAAAUAAGUUAACAAGUAUGAACAGAAAUGAUGAUAACAAGGCAAAGUAUGAACAGAAAUGAUGAUAACAAGGCAAAGAAAUACGCUUAAAAACAAAAGUAAUAAGAUAAUGAUGGAUGGACAGUUGAUGAAGCAGUAAGUUAUUAGCACUCUUUUAUAUAGUGCACUUUAUUUUCAUAACUUAUUAGCAUUUUGUUUUUUCUUGAAUUUGUUUCUUUUUUUUUUUUACACUUUCAGAUUGUUUUGAGUUAUUGUCAAACCAGUUUCAGUAAAUAAAUUCACUUUAGAAUUUGUUGCUUACAAUUCACGCAUAUGAGAUUGAACCUCAAUUUGCAAGUGUGUUUGAAACUGAUCAAAGGUAUAAUUAUCUGUAGAAUGCAACAUCUUCUUCCUAUAUUCAUUCCAGGAUGGAGGAAGUUUUGAUAAAACAGCCCCAACUUGAAGUGAAUCAGGAACUUUGAUAUCCAAAUCACUAAGUUUUGAUUUCAGCAUUUGAAUUUCAUGGACUUGAUCCAUGAUUGCUUUAUUGUCAGUAAUCUCAUACUCAAAAAAUUUUAAAGCAAUAAAACGAUCAGAACUUGAUUUUUCCUGCUUGUAGUGUGUCUCCAAGACAGCCCAAAUUUCUUUUGGCGACUUUAAUUUGGAGAAGAUGUCAUAAAGUCGACUAGUCAGAGUAUUCAAUAUAUGCCCUUGACAAAUCACUUCAUCUUCUUCACGUUUUACUCUUGCAAUCUUAAUAGUGGCAGAUUCAUCUUCUUGUGGUUCAGGUAGUAUAGAUAGAUUCGGAUCAAGAAUGUAGAAAAUCUUUAAUGAAGUAAGCAGGAAUAUCAUCUUGUCCAUCCAUCUUGUGUAAUUUGUACCAUCAAACCGAUCUAGUUGAAUUGACAUCCUUAGCAACUUUGACUCUAGAAUUCAUAUUUGUCUCCAUCAAAAUAAACACCUUAAAAUUGUUAGGAAAAUUUAGGAUGAAACAAAUAUGAAGUUGGCUUAGAGGCAUGAAAACACUAUCUUUAAGGUGUUUAUUUGUCUCACACAAAGACAACACCUUCAGGAUACAACUAAGCCCUCUAAACCUCUAAAAGAAUGAGAAGAUAAGACCAAGAAAAUAAUAUAUGUAUUUUUUGUUGUUUUUCUUUUCUGUAUAGUAACAUGUUUUUAUAGACUUGAAACAUAACGAUGAAACAGUAUGACUGUUCAUCAAAUAAUAUGACUAUUGAUGAAACAAUAUGACUGUUCAUAUUAAGUUCCAAGUUUCAAGUUCCAAAUGCUAUCUUUUGAUAUUAUAAAUAUCCAUAUAAUAACAUUAGGAAGCCAAAUAAGAGAGUUUGUCCACCAUUGUUUAAUUUACUACACAAUAGAAACCCACACUUAGAAACAUUAGGAGGGAGUGUUUCUUUCCAAUGUAGGAUAAACAUCUUUUCUUUAUUUAAUUUACAAACUACACCAACAGUUUGUUCUACCCCAGUAGAAUCUUGAUGGUCCGGCUGGAUCUGUAUCAUCUUAGUAUAUUUUCCCUUCAAUAGUUGCUUCUUUUCCUCCACAAUUUAUGUGGAGGGAAUAGAAUUAUGGUGCCAAAGCAACAACAUAUCAAUCACCAUGGAAUACUAACAUGCACAAAUCAAACUAACAUGGCAAAGAACAACUUAUGUAUGUUGAAAAUAUUAUUGUUACCUUGUAGAAGCUUAAUUUUGUUAAGCUACUAUGUGAAUGCUUCUUUUACAAUUGAUCGUAUUCUUAUGCAAUUCUGUUCCUUUGUAAUGACAAGAACCAUGACAUCAUGGUAGAAGGUAUACUUGAUCUUUUAACUUCCAGAACAAGACUUCUGAUUUAUAGAUAUUUGGUACGUAAAAGGAGCAAAUAAUUUUCUAUAACACAAUCAUAAGCCUGACUUACGUUUUGGACAAUGAAAGCUUCUUAAGCAUGGAACAGUACUUCUGCUGCGAUAUAAAAAGAAAAUAAAAAUAAAAAACAGCAACAUAUCUGAUUAAAAUUUAGAAUAGGAAAGGCCUAGACCAAAUUAUCAAACAUCUCUCUAGAAAUAGAUAAGAUUGAGUUUUCAGGAGUCUAAAAACUUACAAGACGUUGCCCAUUGAAGCGCUGCCAAAUAAGUUUCUGUAGGAAAUCAGAGAAGUGAGAAAAAUUAGCUCUUACGCAAAUUGCAAGUGAAUGCAGGGGAAUGAGGGAUAGAAAAGAAAUGGAGAGCAUAAAACUUCACUUUCUUACACUUUGCACUGUAGACAUGAGCUUUCAUUUCUGAAAUUGUUGUAGGAAAGAUCACUGCCAGAAGAAAGGUAGAUGUCAGUUCAAAAUGUAAAUCAAUCAAACAAUUUGUUGAUCGCAUAGUUGGUUAAGUGUGCCUAAUUAGUCUUAGUGGCUAUGAACCCUUCUGAUGUUCUCAUUAUCCCUUAAUGCAUGGAAAUUUUAGUUUUAGGCAUCAAAUCUAGAAAAAGUCGCUAGAUGACUUGGUUUUCCAAAUGCAAUAGAUCAUCAAUGAGCUGCAAUCGAAACCCCAAACCAAGUUUAUUAUCUUCUGAACACAAUCUAGGGAUGGUAUGGAAUUGUGUUCCUCAAAUGGCUGCGGUAUCAAGAGAACAAUAGGUAAAUUCUGUAGGAUAUUUGUAAAACUAAAUAAGUAACUUUUAGACGUAUCAGAAAUAAAUCUAAUAGGAAAAAAAACCUUGCACAAAUUCUCCAUCCAUAGUUAUCCAGUCUCGUACGAUUCCACUUAGCUUAUUCCCCGUUAAAUAUCUAGAAAGAAGUAGUGAAUCAAUGAAAGUGGAUUUCAAGCAAAGGUAACAAAACCGUAUAGAACAAUUGUUCCUGUAGCUUAUAGAACAGUUGCAAGACUUGGUUUGAAAUAUGAGAACUGCUCGGGAUCUUCAAGCUGAAUGUAAGAAGGAACAAAUAUAAAGCCAUUUGCUUACAUGUAAUCAGCUUUUCUUAGACCACUAAAGCUGCUUGGAAUUUCUCCGAUAAGUUUGUUAAAGCUGAGGUCUCUGCAAAGAAACCAUAAGGAGAGCUCAGCAUAUUACUAGGAAAUGAAGAAAAAUGGUCAAAUAACUAAGAGAACAUCAGUGUAUCACUGCCAAGUACGCAAAUACAAGACAGGGUAAAUGCUAACAAAGUCCAAAACGGUAUAUAAAGAAGCUGACAAAAGGAACUGACAAGGUUGUCAUUUUAGGCAAUUCACCAACAAAGUCAGGUAUUGGUCCAAUAAUAUUGCAACUCCUCAGUAUUCUGCAACAUAAACAUUAAUUUUCAGAAUCACAUAAAGAAGAAACAACAACGCAAAACAAUAAUCACAUGAUGAUUGAUAAGAAAGCAUCUAGCUCACAGUGUCUUUAGGUUUUUCAUAUUAUUAAUGGUGGGAAUGGGGCUUCAGUUCCAUUUCCCUGCAGAUCACUGAUUCUCCUGCAUAUAUGCACAGUUAAGGAUAAGAGCUUUUAUUAUUGUUCUUAUAAAAGUUAUCAAUCAACAGAGCUUUACUCAUAGAUCAACCAUCUUUUCUAGAAGAGCAAUGCCUGAUGGAAUCGGCCCGCUUAGACCACUGCCUUGUAUCACUCUACCAUGCAGUUGAAUAUUGGUUCAAAUAAAUAAUCUGAUAGGCCACACAAACUGUAAAAUAAUUCAUACAAUUACAAACCAUAAAAAAUCUUACAGUUUUUCCAGGUUGGUCCAUUUCUGAAUAAGAUUCGGUAUCUGACCUGUGAAGCUGUUAUCACCAAUUCGGCUGCAAAAAACAAUAAAAUCAUGUCGUUUGAUUCAAAGUUGAACAUUUAAUUUGUGUUAUAAUUAUAAUAAUACUUCAAAAACUUACAAAUCCUUCAUUGUGGUAAGCUUUUCAAAUGUUGCUGGCAACUAUCCAGUAAAGUUGUUAGAGGAUAGAUGUGUUAAAAUAAUUGAGAUCAAAUACAAAAAGAAGGCUAGAAUUCUGAAUAAUAUGUAUAUUAUGAAUGCUUAGUCUUAACCUAAAUACAAAUAAAGUAUAUAUAGGUUAAACUGAAAGUACUAUUCUACCCUUAAUAAAUAAGACUACAUAAAUAUUAUUUAACAUCUCCCCUCAAACUCAUGAUGCGGCAGCUACAAGCAUCGAGAGUUUGCCAACCAGAAAACGAAAACGAGAGAUGGAAUGUGCCUUGGUAAAGAAAUCUGAAAUCUAUAAGGAAGAAGGAACAAAAGGCAAAGCAAUGGUGCCAUGUUUGAGAUGAUGACAAGUAAGAUGACAAUCAAUCUCAAUUUGCUUAGUGCGCCCAUGAAAAACCGAGUUAUGAGCAAUCUGAAUAGAACUCUGGUUGUCACAAUACAUAGGAGUAGGAUAAGAAAAGGAAACUCCUAUAUCAGCAAGUAACCAAUGUAACCAAACAAUCUUUUUGGUAGUAGAUGCCAUGGCACGAUAUUCUGCUUCGAUGGAUGAUUGAGAAACAAUAGAUUGUUUCUUGCUCUUCCAAUAAAUAAGAGAAUCACUUAAAAAGAUACAGAACCCGGUAACAGACUUGCGAUCUAUGGGAUCACUACUGUGAUCAGCAUCAGAGUAUACACGCACCUCCAAGGAAGAGGUGGAUGAAAGUAACAAACUCUGAAAAACUGUACCCCGAAGAUAUCGCAAAAUACGAAGAACAACUGCCCGGUGAAUAGUAGUAGGAGAAGCAACAAACUGACUAACAACAUGAGCAACAUAUGCAAUAUCUGGACGAGUAAUGAUGAGAUAUACCAAACUCCCAACAAUAGUGCGGUAUAAAGUAGGAUCUAUCAAAGGUAAACCAUCAGAAGAAGAGUACCUUGCGUUAACCUCAAUAGGAGUAUCUACAGUCUUGUUAUCAGUAAGUCUAACCCGCUCAAGAAUAUCUGCAACAUAUUUCGACUGAGAAAGAAGGUAACCUCUAGGUGAGUAUGUUACCUCAAUACCCAGGAAAUAUCGAAGAUAACCCAAACCCUUCAUUUCAAAUCGUCUAGCCAACUAUGUCUUCCAAACUGAAAUACCAUCAAUAUCAUCACCAGUAAUAAUCAUGUCAUCAACAUAUAAAGACAGAAUGAUAUGACCUGCAUCAGUGCACUUAAUAAAAAUAGCAGAAUCAUAGCUGCUAGAAACAAAGCCAAGAGACGAGAUCACAAUAGAGAAUUUCUCAAACCAAGUACGAGGUGCUUGUUUGAGACCAUAUAAUACUUUUUUAAGCUUACACACAUAUCCAGAGUCAUGUGAAAUACCAGAAGGGGGUGCCAUAUAAACUUCUUCUUAAAGAUCUCCAUUCAAGAAGGCAUUUUUAACAUCAAGCUGAGAAAUAUGCCACUGAAGAAUCGAAGCUACGACAAUAAGAGUACGAAUAGUAGUCAUUUUUGCAACCAGGGCAAAUUUCUCCUCAUAGUCCAUACCAUAUUGUUGUGAGUAUCCUUUUGCAACAAACCUAGCUUUGUAUCGCUCAAUCAACCCAUCAGAAUUAGUCUUGAUCUUAUACACCCAACGACAACCAACAACACGCUUACUAGGAGGUAGAGGAACCAAAUCCCAAGUAUCUAUCUUAUGCAAAGCAGAAAGUUCUUCAUCCAUAGCUUGCUGCCAAAGCGGAUCAAGAAUUGCCUCUUUAUAGGAAGAGGGCUCAAAGAGACAAUGAAUAGAAGCUAAAAAAGAAGUAAAUGAUGAAGAAUAACAAGAAUAAGCAAAAUCUGGUAGUUUUGUGGACUUAUGAAUGCGGAUGGACUGACGUAGAGGUGGAUCCACAAUCUUAGAUGAAGCUUGAGGGGCUGUAGAUGAGAAUGGAGCUUUAGGUGUGCCAGAGAGUAAAGUACCAGUACCUGCAGAGUUAUGAGUACAAAUUAAUCGAACAUAGGGAGAGGUAUCAUUACCAGAAUCCUCAAAAAAAGGAUUUAUACGAAUAAGAUCAAAUUUUAUCAGGCUAUGAGUAGUGGAUGGAAUAGAAAAGAAAGGUAUAUGCUCAAGGAAGACAACAUGACGAGACACAUAAAGUUUCUGAGUUAUUGGAUCAAAACAACGAUACCCCUUUUUACCUUCACCAUAACCCAGAAAGACACAAAUAGUGGAUCGAGAGGAUAGCUUACUGCGUUCUACAUGAGGACGAAGAACGAAACAAGUACAACCAAAGACUCUAAAUGAGGAAUAAUCAGGGACAUACCCAUAUAACUUUUCAAAAGGAGAUAGACCCGAACUAUGAGAAGAUGAAAUUGUAUUAAUCAAACUUACAGCAAUAAGAACAGCUUCUCCCCAAAGCUCACUAGGAACAAAAGCAGACAACAAGAGAGAAUGAGUAGUUUCGACAAUGUGCCUAUGUUUUCUUUCAGCAACACCAUUUUGCUUAGGAGUAUUUGUACAUGAAGUUUAGUGGAUGGUUCCAUCUAAGGCAAGCAAUUGAAAAAAUUUAUUAGAGGUGUAUUCCCCACCCAAAUCACACCUAAAACAUUUGAUCACAGUAGAAUAUUGAGUUUUGAUAAGAGCUCGAAAAGCUGCAUAUAUCUCAAAGAAUUCAGAACGAUAUUUCAUUAAAUAAACCCAACAAUAACGAGUAUGAUCAUCAAUAAAAGAGACAUAAUAUCGAGACCCUCCUUUUGUGGCAACAGGAGAAGGUCCCCAUACAUCAGAAUGAAUCAAAUCAAAUGGUGAAGAUGAAACAGAAAUACUUCAAUUAAAAGGUAAAGCAGAAAAUUUUCCAGUUUACAUCCACUACAAUCAGAAAUGUCACACGUUUUCAAAUUUCCUCAAGCUCCUGUAGAUGCCAAAAAUCUCAAAUGAGAAGACGAAACAUGACCUAGACGGGAAUGCCAUAAAAAAAAACUAGAAGAUGAAAGACUCAAACGAAAGGAAGACAAAUCAACAGUAGUAGCAGCAGCGGCAACAGUAACAACUGGCACUUUUAACUUAUCCAAAAUAUAUAGUCCAUUCUCCCUGCGACCCGUCCCAAUUAGCUUCUGAGACUGCAGAUCUUGUACACAACAAAAAGAACCAGAAAGCAUGACUAAAUAAUCACCAGAAUCACAUAUUUGACCAAUAGAUGCAAGAUUCAAUUUGAGUUUUGGAAUAAGAUAAACAUUAGGGAGAGACAAAUGAGGUGUGACAAUAGAACCAACACCUGCUAAGGGCAUAAGAGUGUCAUCAGCAGUCAUAACAGGAAUGGAAGACAAAGGGGACACAAAGGUAAAAGAUGAGGAAUCUGGAGACAUAUAAUGGGAAGCACCAGAAUCCAAGACUCAUUCAGAGUGUGACAUACCUGAGGAACUAUGAGCAACUGACCUAUGGAAGAAGCGGACAUUGCUUGUGGCUGCAAGGAGAGAAACUUCUGAAAUUGCUCAGCCAAAGUAUUAGGAUCGGUAAUAGAGCCCAGGGAAGCUACUGCUGCAGUAUUGUGGUGUGGUGGUUUAUAACCCUGAGGUGGUCGAUGAGCAUUAGAUUGUGACUGGCUGCCAGACUUCCAAGCUUGAUUCUGCUGUCUCAACUUAGGACACUGAGCCUUCCAAUGACCUUUCUGCUUACAGAAACUACACGCAUCGAAGCCAACCCUUGUGUAAGGCUUGUUCUAAUGAUUAGAGAAUGGCUUAGAAGGUACUGCUAGUAUAGAAGGAUUUGAAGCAGAAAGAAUUCCCUUUUCAGAAUAAGAUUGAAGAUGUAUUUCUUCAGCCAAUAACUCAUUGACAAUAGAGUCAACAGAAGGCAGUGGAGAACGAUGCAGAAUUGAACCUCUUAAGUCCUUCGAAAUCACUGUAAAGUGCUGUUAAAAAUUGUACCAAUCGUUGCUGCUCUCUACGUUCAAUAUAAGCACCACAUGCUUUUAAUUCUGCCGAUUCUGUAAGAGCCAAUUAAUCCCAAAGAUUUGUCAUGGCAGAAUAGAACUCCUGAAUACUCAUAUUUUUCUGGUGAAGAGCUCGUAUGUCAUUCUCUAACUGAUACUAUUUUGCAAAAUUUGAUUGCGUGAAUAACCGUUGCAGAUGAUCCCUAACCUCCUUUGUUGUCUCAUACUUUGCCAACUGUGUACCUAUAGAAUGCUCAACAGAAUUGUUGAUCCAAGUAAUGAUCUUUGCAUUGUUUGCUUCUCAUGCAUCUAUCGAAGCAGUAUCUCAUUCUUCAGUAUUCUUAGAUACCACAUAAGUUCCACUAACAUAUCCCCACAUCUUCUUACCCUUAAAAAAAAUUCUCAUUACAUAGCUCUCAUAUGAAUAGUUCUUCUCAUUCAACCUCGACUCACAGACUAAAGCGAAUCAUCUCUUUCAGUAGCCAUAAUCAACAGUCACAGAGAACCAGAAUGCAAAAGUAGCGGAAAACAAAAUACCAAAUUGCAGAAACUGAACAGAGAUUGCAGAAACUAAACAAAUAUCUUUUUGAUAAAAUACCAAAAUAAUUGCAGAAACUGAACGCAAAUACCAAAUUGCAGAAACUGAAGGGAAGACGAAAUACCAAAAUAAUUGCAGGAACUGAACGCAAAUAUCAAAUUGCAGAAGUUGAAAGGAAGACAAAAUACCAAAUUUUGCAGAAGCGGAAGACAAAAUAUCACUCUAAAAAGUAACUUAAAAAUUACAUAGUACAUAAACUUGUAGCGAAAGGUCUUACAUUUUUUCUAAGCGAGUCAAAUUUCCAAGCUCUGGUGGCAGAACUCCUGAAAGCUGAUUAAACUCGACAGUGCUGCAUGAUUGUUUCACUUAAAACAUCACAUCCACAAAAACCAUUACUUAGUAAAUAGAUUGAAGGAGGAAAGGAUCGAUCUUGUUUAUCUUACAAGUUUGCAAGAGUGCUGAUGUUUCCAAUUUCUUUUGGGAUUGGGCCGGUUAAUCGAUUUCCUAUAAUAGAACUGCAUAUGAUAUGUAUAAACUCAUUUUUUCAGUUAAUUUCCUGUACAACUAAACAUUGUUCAAGAACUCAUGCAUGUAUAUGAGAGAAAAAGUAUCGUACAUGGUAGCUAGUGGCGUGGCUCCCCAUUCUGCAGGGAUGGUACCGUUGAGGUAGUUGCGUGACAAGUCACUGUAAAGGUUACAACCAUGAGUUUAAUGAUAUUAAUAUUCCAUAUCAUAUGUUUAACAAUGAUUUUGGGCUAAAUUUGGUAAAGAACUUAAGAGGCAAUGCUUACAUUUCUUGGAGGUAAGGGAACCUGCCCAAAUCCUGUGGAAGACUGCCUUCAAGAUCCUGGGUCUUCAGAACUCUGUGCUUCAACAAUAUUUAAAGAUCUUAACCUUUAUUUAAACAAUAUUUUAUUUUAUUUGAGAAUUGAAACCGCGAAAAUAAUUGUUUUAUAAUUUCUCAAUAAUUUAUCAACACGAACAUAUAAUUUCUCAAUAAUUUAUAUACAUUUUUAUACAUGCAAACACAUGCAUGAUGAUUGGUGUUACAUCCAUUAUCAAAUUUGGUUUUUUUCUUAUCAUUAAUUCAUGACCUAAAUCGACUCAACUAAGCCACUAGCUGUUUAUCAUUAAUUGUUUGAUUGUAGGUACUGAAUCACUUAUGAAACUGUAUCUAGAAAUCAAUCUAAAAUAAUUAAAAUACAUUGAUGAUAAGACAAUAAAAAAUUAAAAAAUAAAAUAAACAACUGUUAGGGUGAUGGCAGUAAGAUGAUGGAGAACAUGGGGAUGAGAUUUUCAUGGCGGUGAAAAAAAUGAUAGUAGAGGAAAAGAGAAUGGUAAUAGUUGAAAUAGAUAGAUUAUAUUAUAAAUAAAUUGUUAUUUCUAAAAUUUUAUAAGUUAAAAAUAUUUUUUAGUAAAUAAACUGAGUUUAAAAGUUAAUUAUAAAAUGUUUUUCGUUGAUGAUUUUUUAUAUAAAAUAAUGUAUGGGAUAUUAAAACAUAAAUAUAUUCUUUAGAGAUAAAUAUAGAAGAAUUUAAAAAACAUUUUUCUGUAAAAUAUUUUAUGCGGACCCAAAAGAGAGUGAAUUUUUCUAUAAAAAACCAAAAUAAUUAAUCGUAUUUAUAUAUAUAAAAAAGACUAAGUUGAAAGAAGCUGGAACGUUAAUACCAUAUAUUGUAAGGAAGAUGUAUCAAAAUAAAUUCUUAUUUUGAACCCUAAAACGCCAUCAUAAUUCCCCCGAUAAAUUAAAAUGACAUCACAAAAGCACAAGAGCCUUGUUACUUUUUAAUAAAUAGAACAUGUUUGUUUUUUUGGUUUAAAAAGGGUUUAAAUUUUUUUAAUUAAUAUUUAUUUGAUGUUUUUACAUUAUUUUAAAAUAUUAUGUUAAAAAUAAAUUUUAAAAAAUUAAAAUAAAUAUAUAAUUUUAAUAUAUUUUCAAAAUAAAAAAUACUUUCAAAAAUAUUUAUUACUAAAAUACCAAACCAACUCAUCAAAUCCAUUGUAACGAGAGUAUUUGAGAAGGUGCUGACUUUUUUAUAAUAAUAAUAAAACAAUAAAAAAAUAAAGUGUUUAGUCUUACUUGAUCAAUACCAUGUGUGGUCGAAACGCAAACACAAGACCAUGUCAACAUUCUUACUGGUUGGAUCCAGAACAGCGGUGUGGUGGGAGAUAGUGCAUGUAUCCUUUUGCAGCAGGAAUGGUGUUUUUAAAAUUUUUGAAAAAGUAUUUUUUAUUUCAAAAUAUUUUUUUAUUUUUAAAUUGUUUUGAUUUAUUAAUAUUAAAAAUAAAUUUUAUAAAUAAAAAAAAAUAUUAUUUUAAUAUAUUUUAAAAUAAAAACCACUUUAGAAAAUAAUCCUUAUCCCUUCUCUAUCCGUCACUUGAUCAUUGAGUUAACUAAUAAAUUUUCAUAGCCAUGACUAGCGGUCCACAAAGUUAUUGUUCUUGGCAUCUAAAUUGUAGUGAUCCUCCAAGCUAAGGUUUAGAUUUGCGUAUUACAUAAAAUAAACACAUACAAACAAACUUCGUCUGAUAAUUAUUUACUAUUCAAGGAAAAAAAAAACCCAAUAAUUUCUAUGUAAUGAGAAAAAAUUAACCCAAUUAUAUAGCUUCAAAUUCCUUUAAACUUUGAGAUGAAUAUAUAUAUAUAUAUAUAUAUAAAAGCAAGGAUAGGAUAUGGACUAGCUUGCGUGUAUAUUGAUUAAUUCUCAUGGGUCCUGAAGUUAAUAACCAGAUAAAUAUCCAGUAGCUAUCAAUAUUAGCAACUAUAUGGCUCAAAUUUAAAAUUAUAAAAAGAAUAAAUCCUUUAAUUCUAAACUUUUAUCACUAAAUUAUCUACUUAGAUAGUUAUAAGAUAUAAUAUAAUAUUGCCAUCAUUGGUUGUCAUUUGCAAGUCAAAGUCAACACCAGCGCAUAGGUACAGUACGACUGCAAUCUAAUCCGUUUCUAUAAUUGUGACAGAAAAUAAAAACAAGGAAAAUAAAAUUAAUUACUACACAACUUGGCCAUUGGGCCGACAUAUACAGCCCUCUUCUUUGUUUUGUGUCUCAUUUUUCUUAAUUAACAAUCUGAUUUUGCACAGCCUUCGUUUCACAUGCCCACGUUGUAUUGUCAAGGUAGAUGCUAUCAAGUUUGUUAAUUUUCUUUAGUUUUGUUUGAAAUAAUCAAAUAUAUCAUACUAAUUCAAAAAACAAAACAAAACAAAACAAAAUAAUUUUUAUCUUAUUUCAAAUCUCGAUCCAUUUCAAAUUUUUCAGCUAAAUUUUGACCAAAAUGUGCCGGUUUCAUUUCACAUAUUUCAUUCUGGUCUUGAAAAGCCAUUGAAUCAAAUUGAACCUGGUUCAAUUUAAUUAAUUAAACCAUCCAAAUAUAAAAAACUCUUUUUCAUUAUUAUUUUCAAUAACAAUGAUAUUAAUAAUAAUAUUGAAAAUUAUUAUUACUAUUUUCAUUAACAAUGAUAUUAAUUUUUUAAAAUUAGAUUUAUCACUAAUAUAUAUGAUUUAUAUUCAUGUUGUUUUUUUUCAUGUUUAUACUUUGUAAGAAUUUUAGCAAAACAAGGGAUGCUUUAGAUCUCAUUAGCCUUGAUAACAUUGACCUAGUUUUAUAUUUAAAAUAUUUGUGUUAAAACAUUUUACUUUCAUAAUAUUUUGAUAUUUUGUUUAAGUUGAAUUACUUUAAGUUAAAGAUCUAUUUAAUCUUGACUAUUUAGAAAUAUUUUAAAAUUUGAAAUUAUUUGUGACAUUGUGUUUGUAUUGCAUAAUAUAUAAUUAAUUUAUUUUGAAUUUGAAUUAUGUUUGUUGAUAUAUAUAUAUAUAUAUAUGAACAGUACAACCCCGAAACGGCACGCAGAAACACUCCAAAACUGAAACAUUUCAUUCCAAUUGAAAAAAUAAAACACCUUCCGAAACGGAAUUGACAAUCUUGAUAAAAACCAGAGAAAGGCCAUGACACAAAAGGGAAGAGAGAAAAAACAGAGGAGGCACAUAAGAAUACCAGAAAAAGGACAAAGAGAAACAGAAGGAGACCACAUUAGACGUAUAAAGACAUAGGGGAUAUAGAACAGAGAGAGACUAGGAGGAACUACACUGAAAGAGUAGAGACAUAUGGCAUUCUUUUCUUUGAAUUGUUUAAGGUCGCUGCGAUAAAAAACAGAUCCAUGCUAGUUAUGGAUAAUAAUUUUAUUACUCACUUUAAUAUAAGGAUAAAAAACCUGUAUGAGGUUAAUAUUCAAAAUAUUAUUGUGAAUAAUACAACUCAUUCACUUUUAAUACAAGGAUAAGAUCCGCAAAGAAUUUUAUUUAGAAUAUUAUUUGGAAUGAUGCGAUAGCAAAAAUUCCAGUUUUCCCUAAAAAUAAGCCUCAACAUUAAUUGAGGAUAUUUCACCUUCCCAGACCGAGUUCUUGACCUAGAAAACCAGGGUUUGUUCAUCAUAGCAAACCUACCAUAGUAGGACGGUAGAAAUAGACAUCAUCAGACCAUAGCAAACAAAUAAAAAAAACAAUGCAGAUUACCUUAGGUAAGGCGUACUAGGGAUGUUAAUACAUUUUCUUUACGCAAUCAGUUCCUUACCUAGAAUCUCUAGAAAAAAACAUGUUAGUGUUCCUAGUAGCUGUAGUACUAGGUGGUGACUCCCCGAAAAAAAAAAGAAAAAAAAAUCAAAGACCGUUCUUGACUACCCUGACCCAGAAUGAUGAUCAUUGCGACAAUGCACACGUGCGACGAUAAGAAAAUUCAAGUAUUGCGAUUCCUCGAUCGCAACUACAACAUAAUGGAACUUUUUUUUGCAGUGAACGUAGGAUCUUCUCUACCACACGUGUCUCUUCCAUCUUCUCCCAAUAUCUCUUCAUUUAAUUGUAUAUGACUAAAACUCUAGUAAAGUAAUCUGAAAUAUUCUUCGAUUCAAGUAUAUAUAACUUUUCAAAGUCACCAUGUAACUUUUGUAAACGUACAUUUCUCACAUUGCUAGCUUCUUGGUUUGAUACUUGCAAAAAUUUUCAUGCUUGCUUGGCGGUGGUUGUGUUAACCACCAUCUCAAAAGUGACAUCAUCCAAACAUUGGUGGAUGAUUGUGAGUGCCUGUUGAUCAUUCUUUUGUGUUUUUGCACAACCUCCCUUUGGAUUGAAGUCAACGCUCUCCUUUCAUAGACUCUUCAAAGCCAUUCUCAAUCAUUUCACACACAUCUUGGGAACCUAACCAAGCUUUUACACGAAUACACCAUAUUUCAUAGUUGUUCUUUGUCAAACGAGGACAUUGAAGUGAAAAGUUAGGAUUGGCCAUGGCAAACAAUCAACCUAAACUCUGAUACCACUUAUUGAAGGUAAAACAAGUAUGGUAUGAGAUCAACAUAAUAAUGCAAGAUAAAGAAAAACUCAAGAACAAAUCUAAAGAAUAAGAAGAAGAAUAAGAGAAAUGUUAACUUUAUUGAAGUGUUUCUCUCUUUGAUUUAUCUAUGUAUAUUCACUUAAUAAUGCCUUAUAUUACAAGUCUAUUUAUAGGCAUUAAGUCCUAGACUAUAAAGGAAUUAAACUAAUACAAGGAAAUCUUAAUCCAAGCAAGAACUGUAUUUUGACGAUUGAAUCGGUCGACCGUUUCCGAACUGGUUGACUAGUUCAACUAAUUUCUAGAAAUCAGUUUACUGUCAACAUCAUACACACCUCCUUCCUUGAUAAAGAGUGUAUGAUAGUGGUUGACUAGUUCAACUAAUUUCAUCGAGGCACCAAAAGUUGUUGCUGACCUGUAGAAGCAGUUAUAGAAGCAAUAUAUAUUGAUAAUAAUCACUUUAUUGACAAUAUAUAAGAAAUAUUAAAAAAGCAUCAUGUGGCCAAACCAUAUAAAAUGGGUGAGAAAAAAACCUUAAAGUUAAACUUAUAGGUUCAUACAAGGAAAAUGGAUUAUGGAGGUCUUCAUCAAAGGUCAACCUGUAGGCAAAAGGAGUAUGCCAAGAAGGAAAUAACUCAUAAUAGGGUAUACAAUGGUGUAUUGAAGAAUAUUAAUAAAGCUUUGGAAGGCGAAGAGCACACAUAGGCUAUUAAGGUUUGUUAAAAUAUUGAUUUUAGGGACUGUACUGCAUUUUCAGUUUAGUAUAUAUUUCUAUGUCAUUCAUAUUUUGAAAUCAAAAGAUAUUUUUAUGAAAAUAUCAUUUAGUAUUUUAUUUUCAUUCAUAACUAGAUAAAUGUAACGUUAAAAAAUGGUUGAAUCCAAGGGCAUAUCAAACAAGCGCUAAAUGCAAUCCCCUACCCUUUUAAAACUCAUAAAAACAUUAAUCCUCAAUAUUUUGCAUGAUCUUAUAGCUCUAAUCAAAAUAUUGUGAUCAAAUGGGUGUUGUGAGAAUACUUUGCUAAAACAAUUCUGAAAAAUUAAACUUGCCCUUCUAUUUCAGAAGUAAUUUAAUGUUGGUUUAAAAACGUGUUUUGGCAUCCUGCUCAUAUGAUGACAAAAAAUAAAUAAAUCAAGCAAUUCUAGUUUUAAAAUGACCAACAUACCUCAAUCAAAAGACAUGAAAUUAAAAAACAAAACUUACAGUCACCCACACUCUACUUUUUUAGGCUAUAUUCUAGUUGUAAACAAAAUGGUAUGACCAUACUAGGUCCAUCAAGAUGGUUUAAUUUAAUUAUAUGAUAAAAAAAGGAUAAUAAAUGUAUUGAAUCUAAAAAGAAAAAAUGAUAAUGUCGACGACCUGCAGAAAAAGAAUAUUGCCAAAAGAAAGAAAUUGUUAUAACCCAAUUUUGACCCAUUUGCUUUUUAAUCUAAUUUUAAGGAGGUUAAAAUUUGAAAUUAAAAGAUCAGGUUUUGAAUGCAAAAUUUGGAAACCUUAAGAACCAAAUUGAGAAAUGGUCAUUCGCGGUACAAAACGAUACCGUUUCAAACAUACACUGUUCUUAUUCUUCUUCCUCAGACGCUGAAAGCCCGCUUGCAAAGAAGGAAAGGAAAUUGUGAAAUAUCAGCAUCCUAGUCCAACGAGAACUCAAAUUGCAAAUCUUAUCUGUGUGAAGAUUACAACCCUGGGGAGAUAAGGAUGAAUUUCUCAUGCCCUCAUGCUUAUAAAAGGGAGUCCAACAUGGGCAGGACUGUUGGUGCCCCAAUACAAUAGAAACACAAUGUCCCCGGGCCUUAUCAUGGUCCUAGGGAGGUAAGCAGCAUGGAAGCCUAUAAAAGGUAGAGGAGGAUCUGUAAAAAAAAAAAAAAAACACAAAGAGGAGAAAACAAAGAGAAAAUAAAAAGAAAAAAGAGCAGAAGAGGGAAAAGGACUGGCUUUUGAGAAAGUAGAAAUAUAAAGAAAAAGAAGAGAAGACGAGGAGCAAAAAGGGAAUCCAAGGAGUGCUUCAUCCAGCACUUGCAUCUUGCUACUAGAAAAAGGUAAGUCACUUUCAAUUCUCCCCCUCCUUGCAUUUUAAUUACUCUCCUCCUGUAGCAAGCAUGCGUGAACAGUUCAUGCACGCUUGCAAAUAAAAAAAGGAAAGAAAAGGGAGUUGGGUCAUUGGUCUGAACAAGUAACCCGGCCAGUUGGCUGGGUCUGGCCCAGACCAUACUGCUAGGUUGGACCCAGCCCAAUAUAUAUAAAAAAAAGAGAAACAAGACAAAUCUGGACCUCCAGCCCAGCUGGCCCAAACUGUGCUAGCUAAGGGUGUGUCUGGCAAAACACACCCUUAUGCUUUGUCCAUGUAUGUUAUCUCCUUCUAUUUUGAUAUCUAGCCAAACAAGCCCCGUUUUGAUAUUAGAAAAGAGACGAAGAGAGAAUUGACUGGAGAAGCAGUAAUAGAAGAACAAAAAAGAAAGGGCUGAAGGCAGAAAGGAAGUCAAACAUAGAGGAUCCGCUGACAACCAACACCUGUAGAUUUCAUCCAAACCAAGUAAGUCAUUUUAUUCCCUCCUUUUCACUUUUAAUUACCCUCUUCCUGUAGCAAGCGAGCAUGAUUAGCCCACGCACACUUGCAUAGGAAAAUAUACCAGCCGGGAUACUGGUUUGAACCAGUAACCGGGCCGGUUUGCCUGGAUCUAGCACAAUAAAUAAGCCCUUUUCAAUAUAAAAUUUUUUUAAAAAUAUUUAGGGAUCUUUAUUGAUUUAUUAAUGAGCCCCUCACACUUUGUUUUAUUAUUUUUAUUCUUUGAGUUUUGUAUUUUUUCUGCUAUAUACUCAAUCUGUGGAUCAUUACUUGUCAAAUGCAAACUCUGUUGUGCAACGUUUCUUUUAUUUCCAUCUAAAAAGGACAAACAACAAUAAAGGGUAAACAAAAAGAAAAUGACAUAGAAAAAUUCUUCUUCAAAUUUAAUUUUUUGCAAAAUUAUUUAUUGACGGUAAAGUCAAGAAUGUCGCAUUUUUUUAAGGUUUGUAUGAUAUUUAUCAAUGUUAGAGUUGAAAAUAUUCAUAAGAAUUGUUCAUUGACGCCAGAGUUAGGAACAUGAUGAAAAGAACAAAAAAAGAGAAAACAAAUUCUUAGCAAUUUUAGACAAAAUCACCAUUGCAACCUGCUUUAGAUAGGACGCUUAAGGAGUGAUAGCAUAUUUCUUUUUGUGUAACCAGUCUCAUACCAUAUAAUCUCUGUUGACCAGUUAGGGUUUCUAGAAACCAUAAUAUUAGGUGGCGACUUCUUGAACUAGACCUUCUCCUUCCCCUUCCUCUCAAAUAACAAAAUGUCAAAUAUCUAUUUUUUUUCCAUGAAAUUUUUUUUAUUAGCCGUCACGGUGUAGUGUUGAUAAAUUUAUAAGAUGAAAAAACAAAAUGUUUAUCCUUUUCUUUUUAUCUUUAUAUGGAAUGCUUUUUAGUCAAUUUGCAUGUUAACAAAUACCAAGUUUUUUCUUCGAAGAUUUUUAAAACGCAUCGCUUCUAUCAGGAUUUUAAAACGCUGGUUUUAAAGUUUGGAUUAAAUGCUGGUUUUAAAGUUUGGAUUAAAUAAAAAAAAUAAAAUAAACAUGGCUGCUGAUCCUACCCGUUGAAGUUAAAAUAAUGUAUACCUAAUAGCUAAUCUCUUUAAUUUUCGCUUUUGAGUCAUCUUUGAUUUUUCUCCAGCAGCAACAAUGGACUUUCCUAAGUCAUUAUCCUCAUGCAGCUCUCUCCCUCCCUCCCCCUCUCUCUCUCUCGCUCUAUAAAACACGUUUAUGUUUCACCAACCAACGAGCAGAAAUUUCCAAAAGAACUAGGGGGAGGCAAGCAGGCGCCCAGCCCCUGCAAAACAUUUUAAUUUUAUUUUUAUUUAGUAUUUAAAUAUAAAAUAAUAUAAUAUUUUUUAUUUUAAAUAAAUAAGCUUUUUAAUUAUCAUAUUAUAUUAUUUUUGACAUCCGUCAAAUACUAUCAGCGCCGCCCCCUGCUGUUGAUCAUCUUUAAAAUCUCCUUCCUGGUGUUUUUCUUUCCCUCAAGCAACCCACCUCUCAUUAUUGAGAAAAACACGCCGUUUCUGCUCGUGGUUUGUUGUUCUUUGAUCACCGUUCUAAAUUUCUCCCAGAUAAUAUAGCAAUUACCAAGAGAACGAGUUGUGCUUUGCGCAUGGCGUUGUGGCCACCACUACUGUCGAAGACUUUCUCUGUUUUGGUUUUUGGAUUUGUGGUGUUGAAUUGCAUUGCUGUGGACAAGUUUGGAUCCAAUGCUCAAGAAGUCACUCCACUCUUGCCACUAGAUGAAGGUACGUACGUGCUCCUAGCAAUUCAAUAAUCUCACUCUCUCUUUAGCAUGAUUGAAGGUUCCCUUUUUCCUGGAAAAUAAUUUAUUUGCAGAGAUUAACGCUUCUUAGUUUUAUUUACUAUUCUUAAAUAAAAUCAGAAUCAUUUCAAUUUGUGAUGAUUAGUGAGAGAAAUUAGUAUAUCUACUGAGAAAUAAAAUAAGAAAAAUGGAAAUUGUUAUCCACUUCGUUAAAUUGUGAAUUAUAUUUUUUAUUUUGGAUUAUCCUCUCUCUUUCGUGAUUAAGAAAACUUAUUAUAUGAUGUUGACUACCUUUCCAUUCUAAUCAUUGAGCUUCUUAUAUAAUAUUUUAAAAUAAUAAAGGAGAGCGUUAUUAACGAUUUCUUUGAGGAGUGAUAAUAAUAAUAAUAAUAAUAAUAAUAAUAAUAAUAAUAAUAAUAAUAAUAAUAAUUGGUAUGUUGAUGUCAUCGAAGCAAUUAUUGCUUGAUAUUGCAUCUUUACAAUACUGCCAAGUGACAGAUAAUUUUGGUGGAAAGGUCCUACUACCUUUAUGGUAUAUUAAUUGUACUCGUAACUAGCCAUCUAAACCGCGGGGCCUUUUUUUUUUUUUUUUCAAGAAAACAUUAUAUUCAGCACUUUUAAAAUAGAAAGAAACUUUUGCUACUUUGAUUAUAUAUACUCAACUGGAAAAAAUAUAUUGGUUUUAUUUUAAUUAGAAAAAAUAAAAUAAUUAAUUAUAGUAUAUGGACAUAAUAUUAAAAUUUUAAAAAUGAUAUCAAUAACCUAGAAUUUAUUUUUAAUAAAACAAAUAAUAUAUCUUCAUUCACAACUAAUUAAUUAUUGAAGAAUAAAAUAGGAUAAAAAAACCCUAAAAAAAUCAGUCAUAAUCAACCCGAAUUAGUAUGACAAACCUGUAGUUUUUAUUAAGUAGGGUACUUACCAUACUAGGUUGCGUGGACCCAAAUGUUUUUGAACAUAGGCCAUAUGAAUUAUUUUUUUAACAUUGCACUAAACUUGGUAUAACAUAUCAAAAUUGAAAAAUAUUCUUCACUUAAAUUAUAUGGGAGUUAUCAUGAUAUAACCUUGUCAACUUGACUGGUUCAAAAAAAAUCAAAGAAAAAAAAAACAGCCUAGGUUAACAUACCAAACUCGUAACCUAGGUCAUGGACUCUACUGAAUUCAAUUAGAUUUUUUUUAUCUUAUUAUGUGAUAAAAAAAAUAUAAAAUCAUAGUUAAAAUUAAUCAAUUAUUGAAUGAUAAAAUAAAAAAAUAAAAAAAUAAAAACACCAUGUUAAAUGAUGAGAUUAAAAAAAAAACUAAAAAAACCCAAAGAGAAAAAAAAAAGGACCAAACAUGCUUAUUUUUUUUAAAUGGGCGAGCAAUAUACAACCCGUCUCAAUUAAAAAAAGAAAAAGCAGCGCAAGGCGAUGUAUUGCCUGUUACUGCCCAAAAUCCAGCCACCAUUGUGGUGGCUGGUGAUUCUAAGGGUGGGAUUUUGAGGGUGAAAACCUAUUUUUCAGUCCAUUUUACUUAAAAACACAUAAUAAAAACCACUUUAAACCAUCAAAACCUUGAAAUCACUUAAAAAAAAUCAAUUGAAUGAAAAAAUAAAAACGAAACCAGAUCCUCUUUUUUAGACAUACUUGUAGACAAAACCCAUAAGAAUUCAAAUUCUCUCAUCGAAUAGAACCCUUUAACACCAAAAAUAGUAAAUAUAUUCACCCAAAAGUAUCCAAACUGAUCAUUUUCUAUCUUCUCUUUCUUUUCAUCCGAGUUUCUCUAUUAUCUUUCUUACUCAAGGAUUGAUAAAAAAAAAUUGAAUUUUAGAACCACAAUGAAAAGUGUCUCUAAUGUGAGAUUAACUAUAUGUUUUUUCGUGUUUUACAUUUUAGUUCCAUAUCUUGUAAUUUUAUAUUUUUUUACAUAAUUUGAAGCCUAAUUUAUUCUAAUUGGACUAUAAAAGAUUUUGAUUAAAAACAAAAAAAAACAAAAACAAAAAUUUAAUUUCUUUGUUGUUCAUAUAAAACCAACCACAUCUCUUUUAAUUAUUUUGUUAACAAGCCAUAAUUAUAAUACUGACCUGGUCAGGGAAUCAUCAUAUUUAAUGGAUUAACUUGAUGAUUGAGUUACUUAGGUUCUAGUUAUGGAUUGUUUUUAUUAAAAUGAUAUAAUUUCUAGUUUUUUUUAAAAAAAAUCUCAAAAAACAUAGUUUCAAAAAUUUUAAAAAAUCUUGAUUAAUGCAUCCAACUCACGAUCCAACCUUGAAUCAAAUCAAAUCAAUAUUAGAGUCUAAAAGCCUUAUAAUUAUAUAAUAAGCAAGAGAGCCCCAAUGUUAUAUUGUUCUCGCCUCUUCGCAAUAACCGAUUGUCUUAGACUAUCAGGGCACCAACCAAUCUUGCACUAAAUACAAUAAUUAUUCAAUUACUUAGUUGAGUUGUUUGUGUUUGUUGCUCUCGUACAAAAUUGUCUUAUAUGUAUUUUAAGUCUUUAAAAUAAUAUUGGAAUUACAUGUUUUGCUAAUAAAUUAAUAAGUAUUAAACUCAAUAAUUAUUAAAGAAAACCUUAUUAGCUUAAUUUUAGAAAUUUAAACGUUGUUGAGACUAAUUUUAAGUGCGCUAUUAUAGAUUAACAUUUCACUAUGGAUUUAUAAGUGAAAUAUUGAUUUUACCUUUUGAUGGGCAAACUAACAAGACUUGAAUUUAGAGAUAGGAUAGUUUUUUUCACAUGCAUAUUAGUCAUUACUAGAAAAGAAGGGGUUAAAUUGUAUUUUUAUAUUUUUACUUAAUUGCCCAUGAAAGACAAAAAAAAAAAUAACUUGGAUCAAUGGGCUUUUUAAUCUUUGAUGUAAUUCUUAAAUAAGUUACUUCAUUGCUUUUGAAAAAUAAAAAUAAUUGUCUUUGACAUAGGAAUUCUUUUGUCAUUUAGAUGUGGUGAUUUAAUAGUUAUUGAAUAUUAUUGGGACAGUAAGGGUAAUUUGAUAAAUAAAAAAAUUUAAAAAAAUUCAGAAAUGUGUGUGAAGUGUUCGCUACUUUUGCACAGUGUAUGUGACACCAUUCAGUGGCCAAAACCAUGAUUCCAGAACGGUGAUUGAAGUGUCUUGGUGUUCUCUAUACAAAUAAGUGGUGUGUGUAUCCUAAUGGUAGUAGAGAUGGCUAGAGUAACCUUUUGUUUUUAUUUUUUUCUUUUUCCUACUCAAUUUUUAUUUUGGCCUUAAAAAAAAUCAAAUCAACCCCUAAGAUUUGUUGUAAUUGAGACUUCAUUUUUAUUCUCUUUAAAAAAAUCAAAUCAAUACCUACACUCAUGCUUUAAAAAAAAAAAAAAACCUUCUCAUUCCUUGUAUUUCUCUAACCCUAAAAUACCUUUUCGCCUAUUUAUAAUGGUCAAAACGUUGAUGAACAAUGAAGAAAUAAACUUAGUAACCAAGCUUACAAAGCUUUGAGGUUAUUCCUCUCAUUCUUGGAAGCGACUGCACUCUUUCUUGAUCCCUCUGAUCCAUUACAAUAAACAUUUUCUAACUUUUCCCACAUUAUAGCUACCAAAAUUUCAUAUAUAUCAUUAUUGAUAGUGUUAUCAGCAAUACAAAAUCGAUCCUCCUCCAUGUCCUCUAGCUUCAUAUCCUUCUCUUUCAACGCUUUAUCCAAGACUUAUUGAAUAAGAAUAUUGUCGUUCACCCUUUGUUGCCAAAGAGUAAAUUUUCUUUUUUUUUUAAAUUUAUUUCAUGAUAAAUUUUAGCUUUUUAUCUUUUGUAGACAUUGAUCAUUAUCAAAAGCUGAAUCUCCCAAAAUCAAAUCUUCAUAUCCUAAUUUUAGGAGAAAUUAAUUUAAUACAAUAAUAUAAUUAUGAUUUUUAUGCCUAAAACCCAACCUUGUACACCCACUCUCACUUAAAAAAAUCUUAACAUUUGUGUUUUUCAUACCCUAAAAUUGCUCGUCUUUUCACCUAUUUAAAGAAAAAAAACAUAAUAUAUGAAAAGGGAAGGAACAAAUUUAGAAAACAAAUGAGUCUCAUCACCAACAUAUAUAAUAUUCAAUUAUUCUGAGAAAAAUCUAAUAUAAUUUAAGGAGCAUGUAUCAUAAUUAAAUCUAAAAUGUAUUAUAGUUAUUAAAUUCAUAUGAUACUAUUCAUCAAAAUAUUUAAAUAUUAUUAAAAGUGAUAUAUAUAACUAAUUAUUUGAAUUAAUCAAAAUAGAACAAAUUAAAAACAUAUAUAAAUAAAAGAAAAAUUGAAAAUUUAAAUAAAAUUUUGUCAUUUUGGUGUAAAAAUAUUGGCUUAAAAUUUUUGCGAGUUUUGAUAUCAGACAUACAAGUACUAAAUUGAAUAGUUUAUUUUAGCCUUAAAAAUAAUAAUUUUCUUCCAGUUAAUAAUAAUUUUCUUCCAGUUUUUUGUUUUUUUUAACUAUGUAAUAAUUGUUUUGGUGUUGUGUACUAUUUUAUUUUAAUAAAAAAGAACUAAUUCAUUCCUAAUUUAAUGAGUAUUUAAUUUGUGAUUUUUUCUGUACAGUUAGUAAUUGAAUCAUGUGAAUGCCUAAAUCCUUUCAUAAACUGGAGGAAUUUGUUAGGGCAUUAAGAAUCAUGGUUACAUAUAUCAUCAUCAUCAUUAAUAUCAUCAUUUUCUAGCUGUGUUUUAGCAAGGCCUUCAUUCAUACAUUAUUUUAUGGAUAAAUAAUAUUAAUAUUAUUAUUGUUUUUAUGGAUGAUUGAAGUUCCUGAAUUGUAUGUAACAGUGCAAAUUCUUCAAAACAUAUCCAGUUGAACAUCAGAAACUGGGCCACCAUCAAUCGAACUUCUUGCGAUAGUGCACAGUGGAAGAUCAACGGCAACGAAAUUGAAAGCAAUGUUACAUGCAACUGUACAUUUGAGAAUGGCUCCGUCUGUCAUGUCACUCGCAUGUAUGUAUGUUUUCUUUAUAGGAAAUAUUCAAGAAUCGUAAUUCUUCCCCUUGCAAAAGCCAUGAGAUUUAUAUAUAUCAUUUUCAUAAUAAAUUUUAUGUUUUGUUAAAGAGUAGAAUACAGCUCUUGGAUUAUCCGAUAACUUUUUUUUUUUUUUUUAAUGAGGUCAUGUGAAUUUUUGGUGUUGUGUAGUUUUUAAGCAUGAUAUCAAUUCAUCUUGAAUUGAUAUCAUGGUUAAAAAUAAAUCUGAUUAAAAUACUUAAAUUUAAUCAUGCAUCUUGUAUAUUUUUUUUGUGUAAAUAUUAAAAUAUAUUAAUCAGCAGAUUGGAAUUGAUAUAUUGCUGUUCGUCAAAAAAAAAAAAAAAAUUAAUGGCGAUACGUUCUCCAAGUCUUUGUAUGGUUACAUUUUCUUUUCUUUAUAUUUACUAACCAGUUCUUAUAUUUUGUUUCUGACAGAAGAGUGAAAAGAUUUAAUUUGAAUGGAGUUCUCCCAGAGGAACUAGGAGACCUUCCUCAUCUGCUUGAAAUGUAAGUGAUGAGUUAAUCAAGUUUAUUAAUAUCAUUAUUGAAUAGAGAUCAAUUGCUAUGUAUUUGGGUUUCUUUUCUUCACAUUUCCUGGCACUCCAUGUGCUUCACAGAGGAUUUUAAUUUAUUUAUCAGAACAAAUGAAAGUUUUUAUGAUGAUUCAAAUGGGAAAAGGUCUUUGUCUGUGUGGCUAAGAGAAACAGUGACUUGUAAACAAAAGGAAUUAUGCAAUGACUAAGAUGAAGCAUUUUUCAUUCGACAGUGAUCUGACUCGCAACUACAUUAGUGGAACAAUCCCUCCAAGACUUGCUCAGCUCCCUAAGCUUCAGAUUUUGUAAGUCUUUUUGUGCAUUCUGUUUAUGUGAAGGGGUUUUCAUAUCCCGAUAUGGAAAUUCAUGAACAUGUUAACCGUCUCACCGGCCCAAUUCUCUUCCAUGUCUUAGGUCUCUCAUCGUUAACCGUCUCACCGGCCCAAUUCCCCCGGAAAUAGGCAACAUUACCACACUGGAGGAGCUGUAAGUCACAAAGCGAACUUCUUAAAUGAAACGCUAAGCUAGAACGUUAAAUCUUGAAUUGGAUCUUGCAGGGUCCUGGAAGAUAAUUUGCUAGGAGGGCCUCUUCCUCCAGACCUUGGAAAUUUGACAAGCUUAAGAAGACUGUAAGACAGAUGCCUUCAUCUUCUAUCUGAGUUUAUUUAUGUAUCUACUUCAUGAUAUUCAAUCUAAGUCUUUUUAUGUAUGGUACCAGUAUUUGAUGCUCACUCAGAAAAAAUUAUUUGUAACUUUGUAUUUUUUACCCCUGCAGUCUUCUUUCCGCAAACAAUUUUACAGGAACAAUACCAGACACAUUUGGCAAUUUAAAGAAUUUAAAUGAUUUGUAAGUGAUGAUGCGGGUCACAAUUUUUUUAUUUAUUUAUAGUAGAUACAUAAAUGUUUUUCUUUAUCUAUGCUGAGCUUAAAUAUUCAUCUGUUUCAUAUGCUCCGGCAGUAGGAUAGAUGGAAGUGAAGUGUCAGGGAAGAUACCUGACUUUAUUGGGAACUGGACCAACAUUACGACAUUGUGAGUAUUUACUUUGUCCCAUUUAUCUGCUAAUGUGUGUCCUCGAGCACAAGCUGAAUGGAAUUCCAUUUUCCUUUGCCUCUUGCAUUCCUAACAGUGGUAUAUUUCUUUUGCAGGGAUUUGCAUGGAACAUCCAUGGAGGGUCCUAUUCCCUCUGCCAUUUCACUGUUAAAAAAAUUAACAAUUUUGUGAGCUUAAAUUCCCUAUCUUGUAGAUUCCUAUUCAGUUCAAAGAAUUUUGCCUCGUUGCUUUUCGGUAAGUCUAUAUUUGAGAAAACUGAUUUUUUCUGUUGUCUUGAUUUUUCAGGAGAAUAUCGGAUUUGAAAGGAUCCAAUUCAACUUUCCCUGAUCUGAAAGAUAUGACAAAAAUGGAAAAACUGUGAGUUGAAUGAGACUGAUCAAAUAUAUUGUUACAGCAAUAUUACAUCAUUAAUUGAUUACAUAUUAUUUUUUACUCAGGAUUCUGAGAAAUUGCUCAUUGACUGGUUCAAUCCAAGAAUACCUUGGAAAUAUGGCAGACCUAGAUACUCUGUAAGUUUCUCUAACUGCUACCUUCAUGGCAACGCUUAAUUUCAUGGGCGUCAUAUUAUGUUACUCUGAUUCAAAAUGACAAGAUGUGUAAAGUGAUUGACAUCACUUUACUCUAUCGUUUGGUUUCAUUUAAAGUAAGAUAAAGCAAAGUGAAUCAGUAAAGGUAUAGCAAUAAGUUGAUUCCUUAUUUAUCCUGGUUGAACAAGGAUCUUUCCUAACCAUGAAGCUCCAGCCUUUUCCUCUUUUAAAACCGACAGUUUUGCAUUUCAUUUUUCCUUAUUUUAGAUUCUCAUUGAGUGAGGUCGGGAUUCUUACAAACCAAUCUUGAUAUGUCAUAUGAGAUGCUAUUGGUGAUGUUCUACAUUAUAACAAUGUAAUAAAUUAUGUGGAGGACAUCUUAACAUUUGGAAGGACUUGGAAAUUCUGUUGUAUAUGUAUGUGUGAGGUUCAUUCAUAUUGGGCUCCAAAAGCAUCCAUAUGUUCUCUGUGAGCAUGAGCUAGACCUGCAUAUAGUCUGCAUGAUUCAAAAUCAUGAUGGUGGGGGCUCAUGUUUUUCAUAAAAGCCAUGCUGCAGAGGAUGUAAUAGGACCUUGAAUAUUACUAAUCUGACAACAUGGACUGGCCCGACAUUCCGUGAAUUAGAUUGCAGUGUGUUUAUAUUGCCCAGAGUUAAUUUUAUCUAGUGCUUUUUUCACGUGCUUUCAUUAAUUUUUACAUAUUUCAUUGCAGAGAUCUGAGCUUUAACAAGUUGACAGGCCAGAUUCCUGGCCCAUUAGAGAGUUUGAAAAAAAAUAUAAAGUUCAUGUAAGUCCAUAAACGCAUGCUUUCUGAAAGCACAGGAUCAUCGUUUCUAAUAUAUUUCUCAUAUUGACAGCUUGCUGGUUCAUUACCUGUUUAUUAAUGUGUAGGUUUCUGAAUAACAACUUACUAACUGGAGAAGUGCCUGCUUGGAUACUGGGAAGCACGAAAGACUUGUGAGUCUAUUGUGAAGUUAUACAUAAAUCUUUAUACAUGAAAUACACCAAUCUUUGUUCUCCUCAAUCAACAACUAUAUUACCCCUGCCAUGAAAUUUUAUUUCAGGGAUUUAUCUUACAACAAUUUUAAUGGAUCAGCUGAGCAAAGUUGUCAACAGCUACCAGUGUAGGCAUUAUUUUUUCCCGUUACUUGUUUCUUCUCCUUUGUCUCAAGUUGAUUGCUAACUUCUAUUUGAAAUUAUAUAGGAACUUAGUUGCUAGUCAUGUGUCAACUGGGAGUAACAAGUAAGUUCCUCCUUCACUAAGAUGCCUUUUAAGAUAUCAAGAAAUUUGACUUAUCGAUAACCCUCAUUCUUCUCUACAGGAUUUCUUGGUGCUUGAACAAGGACCUUGUUUGCACAAGAAAACCUCAAUGUAAGUGUGUAAAAACAGUACUCUGGUGUUUGAUGAAGGUGUAAUUACAUAAAUACAGUACUUCUUGUCCUAGGGAAGGCAGCUUAUGAUAUUGGUCCUUCGUUCUACAGACCAUUCCUUGUUCAUAAACUGUGGAGGGAGCAGUGAGACUGUUGAUGAUAAUGAAUAUGAAGACGACACAACUCCAGGGGGGGCAGCUGAUUUUGCAUCUAUAUCAGAAAGAUGGGGUUAUAGCAGUACAGGGACUUAUAUUGGCACUGAUAACGGCGCUUACAAAGCAACAAAUUCUUUUGGUCUGAAUGUUACCGGUGAAGGUUUUUACCAAACUGCUCGCCUUGCCCCUCAAUCACUCAAGUACUAUGGCCUGUGCAUGCUGGCUGGCAGUUACAAAGUGCAGCUCCACUUUGCUGAAAUUAUGUAUUCCAAUAAUCAGACUUUUAGCAGCCUUGGGAGGCGGAUAUUUGAUAUAUCAAUUCAAGUGAGUAAAAUGAUUUUCAAAUUAGCGCAUUUACUUAGGAUUUUUCUUUUUAUCUAUGAUUGUAUUUCUAAAUAACCUCAUGAGACCUACCAUGUGUUAUGGAUCCUUUUCAAGUUUCCAUAGAAAAGGGUGGUAACACUAUUUAAAACCUGCAAAAGUCAUGCUCGGAACUUCUUCCUGCAGGGGAAGGUAGUUGAGGCAAAUUUCAAUAUUAUGGAGGAAGCUGGAGGUGUUGGUAUUGGCAUCACUAAGGUAUUUGAUGGUAUAAUUGUUAAUGGUAGCACACUGGAGAUACACUUAUACUGGUCAGGCAAAGGUACUACUGCUGUUCCUGAAAGGGGUGUCUAUGGACCUCUCAUAUCUGCCAUUACAGUGACUCCAAGUAAGUCUUGACGAAAUCAAGAGGAUUUUUUGUUUCCAUCAACGGUCUUUAUAUUUAAUUUAUUUCUCUCAUUGUAGACUUUAAGGUGGAUAAUGGUGGCGGAUUAUCAGUUGGAGCUAUUAUUGGCAUUGUAGCUGCUCCAUGUGUGCUUGCGGCAUUGGUUUUGCUGGUCCUCCGGAAGAAAGGUUACUUGGGAGGGAAGGACCUUGAAGAUAAAGGUAAGAUUAAUGGCACAAGAAGUAUGUGUCUUAUUUGAUUGUGUGCAUGCUGUAAACUUUUGAUUAUCCUUGUGAUGCUGAUUUUGAGAUCCUGCUCAAUACAGAACUCCGUGCUCUAGAUCUCCAAACUGGUUAUUUCAGCCUAAGGCAAAUUAAACAUGCGACCAAUAAUUUUGACCCUGCAAAUAAGAUAGGAGAAGGAGGAUUUGGUCCAGUUUACAAGGUAUUUAUGAAUUUCCAGUUUACUAUUUAGUUAGGUUAUGUGCUGACAAAGUGUUCUACUGUAUGGCGCCUUCUUGUAUAAAAUCUAUCACACAUGCAAAAACCUGUGAUAAAAGGGAAGGAAUAUCUUUUAAAACAUUCUGAAAUCUCAGUCUAUUUUAUUUCAGGGUAUGUUGUCAGAUGGUUCUGUAAUUGCUGUAAAGCAGUUAUCGGCCAAAUCGAAACAAGGAAAUCGUGAAUUUGUGAAUGAGAUAGGCAUGAUAUCUGCCUUGCAGCAUCCCCAUCUCGUGAAGCUGUAUGGUUGUUGUAUUGAAGGAAAUCAGUUGUUGUUAGUAUAUGAAUACUUGGAAAACAAUAGCCUUGCUCGGGCUCUUUUUGGUAAAUGCUUGACCAACUCCUUGAUGUAUCAGCUUAUAUAUAGUCUAUACUCUAUAGAAUGAGAAAGAGAUUAAAUUGCUUUCCUGUUCCUCUGUCUCAUCUCUAUCAGGUCGUGAUGAACACCAGAUUAAACUGGACUGGCAAACAAGAAAGAAAAUAUUGUUGGGUAUUGCAAAGGGAUUAACUUAUCUUCAUGAAGAGUCAAGGCUGAAGAUUGUACACAGAGACAUAAAGGCAACUAAUGUGCUGCUUGAUAAGGAUCUAAAUGCCAAGAUAUCUGACUUUGGUUUAGCUAAACUUGACGAAGAAGAAAACACUCAUAUUAGCACGCGGAUUGCUGGGACAAUGUGAGUUCUUUCUCCCCCUUGUUCCUUCAAUUUAAUUUCCUUGGUUGUGGUAAAGGGAUAAAUAAAUUUUUAUUUUUUUUGGUAAUGAUACUUUGAACAAUAUGGAUAUCAAAAGGAAAUAUUGUGAAACGCAGACAUAUUAUUUGAUGGCAUCUCAUAACAGCAGCACAAAUGAUUAUCGCCUUGUAUAUGAUUGAUUAUACAAGGAAAAGAACAUAUACAUUUAUUCCACAAGCUCAUGGCCAAUACUUACUCUUCUGGUUCUUUCUAAUUUCUCUUCAGAGGUUAUAUGGCUCCAGAAUAUGCUAUGAGGGGUUACUUGACAGAUAAAGCAGAUGUUUACAGCUUUGGGGUUGUUGUUUUAGAAAUUGUCAGUGGGAAGAGCAACACGAAUUACAGGCCGAAGGAGGAGUUUGUUUAUCUUCUUGAUUGGGUAACUUAUAUCAUUUCCUUUCAGAAUUCUGUCUACACAAUUUACAUUUACACUGACCACCAAUGAGCAUGAUUGUAGACUGAUGGAAAAUGCAUGUUACUGAUAAUUGUAGGCCUAUGUCCUGCAAGAACAAGGAAACCUUCUAGAGCUUGUGGAUCCAAGCCUUGGUUCAAACUACUCAAAAAUAGAGGCAUUGAGGAUGCUUAACUUGGCUCUCUUGUGCACCAACCCAUCUCCCACUUUGAGGCCAUCAAUGUCUUCUGCAGUGAAGAUGCUUGAGGGACAAAUUCCAGUCCAAGCUCCGAUAGUCAAGCGCAGUACCAUGAACCCGGAUGCAAGGUUCAAAGCCUUUGAGCUUCUCUCACAUGAUAGCCAAACACACGUCUCAAAUGGAUCUGAAAGCAGUCAGAUACAGAAGAGCAUAUCAAUGGAUGGACCGUGGAUCGAUUCUGAAUUUUCUAUCGAAAGUAAGGAUGAGAUCAUAGAUUCCUCAUCGACCAAGCUUCUUAAGGAUCUUUACGACGUCAACUUAGAUUGAUCAACGGAAAUUGAUGAAAUAGUCCCUCCUUUUCUUUUGGUCUGGUAGUAUUCUGAGUUUGCAAAUAGGAUUGCUGAGUAAUCAAGAAAUACAUUUAAAUGAUUUGUUCUGGUAUAUGUUGAUUCUUUUGUUAAGAAAUAAAAAACAUUGGAGAGCUUGGUCUUUCGAAUUGGCAUUGUCAGCAGUGUAUGUCACCAUUUUUCCAAAUCUGCAGAUUCUUUUUGUAUAGAAGCACUUUUUCAUGAUCCUAAAGAGCAUUUGAACAAAAACUUGUCUUCCAUUACAUAUUGAGAAGGUGGGGUAUUUCUAGAAGAAAGCACGGCAAUCGAUGGGAAAUAUAGCAAUUAGGUUUGGCCGUGAAUUCUUCUGGUCAAGCUAUGCCUUUCUUAUGCUUUUACGUUUGCUAGCAUCAGGAUUUGUAUUUGGGGGUAUAGUGAUGAGAAACCUGGUUGAGAAGCCUGUUCAGACAACAGAAACCCUGAAUUUCGAUUUCAUUAAGACUACUCCAGUAGCUUUCGCGCCCCUAAUGCCUUUCUCUGGCAUGGGUGAUCUUUCUAGCCUGGUUGCUAAAGACAACGUAGAAGCUGGGAGGCAAGUCGGGGCCUCAUGAUCACAAGCUGCAGCUCACAGUUUCCUUAGUGAUACUCGAGUCUGUAAAAUCAGAAACUUGGCGUAUUUGAGGUAUUACUUCUUUAUCCUUUUUUUCAGCAUUUUGGAAAUUAUAAAUCUUGAAUAUUGCAAUACAUUCAUUGUCUUUCUUAUCAUUGAAUGUUAAACCAAAUAAAAGCUUCUUGAAAUCAAAAGACAUUGUCUAUAUCAUUGGAAACUUUAACAAGCCAUCGUUAUGUUUCUACAGAUUCUGGGUUCCUAGGUAGUUUAUUUUUCCAGAACCCAAUUGCAGUGGUAUUUUACACUUUGUUCUCUUUCAUUUCUUCGGGUGAGGGUUGAGCUCCUGUCAGAAAGGGGUAAAGUCACUUCAAGUUCAAGUCAGCCAUGCAUAAUGCGGUUCAAAAGCCAGCCCAUCCGUGUUGCUGCCGAAAGACAUAGUAUGAGUGGAGUCAGGAUGCUAUUCAGUCAACACCAUAAGGUUCAUAUGGGAGGCCUUUGUGUUAGUCUUGUGGAUCUAGGCAUUUUAGCGUGGUUUGUUAUAGGCAGACGUAAGUCUAUUUAGUUGCGGACAGACGGAUCAUUUAUUGAGGGAUUUUUCAAACAGACAUUUGUCCACACCUGAUGCAUUUGAAGCGGUUGCAUGUCCUGCUUAGUUAGUCUGUUUGAAAUUGUGGUUACAGUUGUAAUUCAAAGUGUUUUAUAUUUAUAAAUAUAUUAAAAUGAUAUUUUUUUUAAAAAAAAUUAUUUUUAAGAUCAGCACAUCAAAACAAUUCGAAAAAUAAAAAAAUUAAUUUUUAGCAAAAAAAUAUUGAAUUUUUGGGAAACGCGGGUUGCACCGCAUUUCCAAACGAUUCUUAAGUUAGCUAGUCAUUUUGUGCAUAGUUUUUAAACCCGGCUCGGUCCAAGGCCCGGGUUCUGGGUUUUGACCGGGUCACCAGGUCGUCCGGGUCAAUUCUUUUUAAAAAAAAAAAAAUCAAAACGACAUCGUUUUAGUAAAAAAACAAAAGUCAACGGGUCGCAACCAGGUCUUGCCGGGUCAACCAGGUCGCUGGGUCAACCCGUUGGGUCACCCUGGGCUUUUCCUUUCCCUAUUUUUUCUUAAACUCGACCCGAUUCCAGCCCCGGGUCGGCCGGGUCCAGGGUCGACCCGCCAGGCCGGGUUUCAAAACUAUGAUAAUGUGUUUCAGGGUGGUCGUGACCAAUGGGACCAUGGAGCAGGUGGUAGAGGUUUUGUGCCAGCGAGUCAAAGACAGGCGCGAGUUUUUGCCCUUACUCAGCAAGAUGCCCACGCAUCCAACAUUGUUGUCUCAGGUACACUCUUUAUAUGUUCUUUUAAAGCUAAAGUUUUGUUUCACACAAGAGCAACUCAUUUUUUCAUUUCAUCAUAUUUUACUUUGAAAUUUAGUAAACAACCUAAUUUGUUAGAGAGACCUUUGUGUGUGGCUACCUCUUCGAAUGAGGUUUUGUUUGAGGAAUAUGUUUAUAUUGAUUAUAAUUGAUUAUAAGGUUAAGGUUCAAGGUAGAAAGCUUUUAGGUGAUUUUAGAAAUAAUAGGUUUUAAUGUGAUACUAGAUAUGGAUUGGUUGUCAAGGUUCCUUGCCAUAAUUGAUUUCUGGAAUAAAACAAUGGUUUUCAAGCCUGAUGAGGAGAUAGAGUUUGCUUUUCAUGGAGAUGGGUUAUCAUCUUCGUCGCGUAUCCUCUCAGCCAUCACAAGAAAGAUGGUACAAAAGGGUAUACAAGGUUUUUGGCUUAUGUGAAGGAUAUGAACAUGGAGGUUCUGAAGAUGGAACAAGUAUCGAUAGUUAAGGAAUUCAUCGAUGUUUUACCUAAUGACUUACCUAGACUACUUCCCAAUAGGGAUAUAAAAUUAUGUAUUGAUCUAGUUUCUAGUACAAAAUUAAUUUUGAUGGCAUCGUAUAGGAUAACGUUAGUGGAAUUAAAAGAGUUGAAGGAGUAGAUUUAAGAUUUGUUGGAUAAAGGGUUUAUCUGUCCAAGCAUGUUUCCAUGGGGAGCACCUGUUUUAUUUAUAAGAAAGAAGGAUGAUUUGAUGAGGAUGUGUAUAAACUAUAGGCAGUUGGAGAAGGUCACCAUUAAGAAUAGAUACCCACCCCCUCGCAUUGAUGAACUUUUUUUUUAGUUACAAAGAGCUCAAUGUUUCUAAAAGAUUGAUUUACAAUUGAGGUAUCACCAAUUGAUGAUUAGGAAGGAGGAUAUUCAUAAAACUGCCUUUAGAACUCAUUAUAAGCACUACGAGUUCUUAGUGUUGUUUUUUGAGUAACGAAUACACCAAUGACCUUUAUAGACAUGAUGAACAAGGUUUUUAGGUUGUUUAUUGAUAAGUUUGUUAUAGUGUUAAUUAAUGAUAUCUUGGUGUAUUCAAGGAGUGAAGAGAAACAUGAAAGGAAUUUGAGAUUGGUGCCUCAAACUAUGAGAGAUCAUCAGUUUUAUAGGAAAGUUCUUGAAAAGUGAGUUUUGGUUAGAGAGUGUUGGAUUUUAGGACAUGUGGUGUUCAAGAAUGGGAUAGAGGUUGAUCCAAAGAAGGUAGAGACAGUUAAGCAGUGGCCUAGACCGACUAUGGUAUCUAAGAGUAAGAGAAGGAUUGCUUUGAUAAUUAUAUGAAUAUCUAUUAUGUCUUAAUAUAGGACUUGUUAGUAACUUCAUGCUAACAAAGAGUAGUUAUUCUAUAUGCACAUAUAUAGUAUUUUGUAUACCUAGCUGGUGAGAGAGACAUUAGCUUGUGGCAACUUAUCCUCCCAUUGUGGUCACCUUCAGAUGUCAUCUGAUCUCAGACAUGUAUUCCACUAUUUUAUGAUAAUAUGCUUAGUAUAUAUAUGUAUAUCAAGAUAAAUCAACUUGCAAACUAUUAAUAUCUAAAAUGUAUAUUAAAUGUUAUUCCCCUACUUAAUUUGUUGAACUCACCUCUUAUUUUUUAUAUUAUUUCAAGUUCUUAGUUUAUGUUAGCAUGUGGACUUUGUUCAGUGUUCCUACUUCUUCAAUUUUGGUCAGUAUGCUUUGCAUGUUUCGCAAGACUUUCCUUUUAGUUUUGAUUUAAUAUAUUAAACACUCCAUUAUUAUUCUGUGUUAAUUAAGUUUGGAUUUUGACAAUGUAAUGAGUAUUAUGAAUUCUUAUUUUUAUUUCAAUUAUCGAUGAGAAGUUUUGAAAUAUUGUGUAUUUUUAAAUAACUUGUUCUUUUGAUAUGUCCAUUCUGAGGUUUAGUAUAAGUGGGGUGUCCCGCUGGCACCUCUCCUACAUUUACCGGUAAUGAACCCGAGAUUCAGGUCGUAAUAGUAUUCUUUUUAAUACACUAUCAAACUUAAAGGGAAUUAGCUUAAUUUAUCCUUGUGUUUUAGAUCUAGUUAGUUUAUAUAAAUCUAAUUGAUUUCAAUAUUAUAUCCUCGUAUUUUACACCAUUCUUCAAUAUAUUCUUCUAGUUAAUAUUUAUAUGAAAAUUGAUAUCACUACCCUUACUCUUACUUGAGAAUUACACUUCCAUCUAAUUUAUUAAGACAUAAUUUUGAAAAAGCAAAAACUAUAUUUUCAUAUUGGUUAAAAAAUUUUCCUUUUUCGUGGCUAUUUUUUUAGUAAAUUAGAUUAGGUUUGAGUUUUUCAUGUAAGAUCAUUUUCUUCUAUAUGGAUGAAAACAUCUAAAAUAAAAUUUGAUUAGAAAAUAAUUUAGACUUGUAAGGGUAGAUUUCAACUAGAAUAAAAUAUAAGAAUAAGAGCUGAUUUUCCCUAAUUUAAUGAGCAUAGAAACCAACCUAAUUUUAAUGAUUUGCAAAUAAAUCAUGUUUUCAAUUUAUUGAUUUAUAUAUAAAGUGUUUACCUUUUUUGGAAAAUCUCUAUAUAAAAGUAUUGUUUUUCUACAAAGACAAAUGUGGGGGGUUGUUAUGAUGGCGUUUUAGGGUUCAAAAUAAGAAUUUAUUUUCCUGCAUCUUCCUUACAAUAUAUAGUAUUAACAUUCCAGCUUCUCUCAACUUAGUCUUUUUUAUUAUUAUUAAUACGAUUAAUUAUUUUGGUUUUUUAUAGAAAAAAAUCACUCUGUUGGGUCUGUAUAAAAUAUUUUAUAGAAAAAUAUUUUUAAAAAAUUCUAUAUUUAUUUCCAAAGAAUAUUUUUGUGUGUUAAUAUCUCAUAAAUUAUUUUACACAAAAAAUCAUUAAUGAAAAACAUCUUAUAAUCAACAUUUAAUCUUGGUUCAUUUGCUAAAAAAUAUUUUCAACUCAUAAAGUUUCAUGUAAUAUUUUACAAAUAAUAAUCCAUUUAUAAUAUAAUCUAACUAUUUCAACCAUCAUCAUCAUCAUCUUGAAACACCCCAUACUUUCAUAUGCAUUUAUAAUUAUUUUCUUAUAAUUUGGUACGUAAAAAUACGAGUGAUUUUUUUUUUUUACAGUUCUCAUAUAAAAGUCUACCGAAAUUUCCACCGAAAUUUUGGCAGAGUCUCCCCUACACCGGGAGGUCCCAAGUUAUUGACAUAUACCAUAUUUACACUUCUAAUAUCUCAUAACUCAAUCACGACUCAAUCGUCCUGGAUCUCAAUCCCACAAACAUCAUCAUCAUCACAACCAUAAUAUUUAUAACAUACAUAUUGAACAAUAAAUAUAAUUAUAGAGGAAUAAAUGAGAUAAACACGUAUACANNNNNNNNNNNNNNNNNNNNNNNNNNNNNNNNNNNNNNNNNNNNNNNNNNNNNNNNNNNNNNNNNNNNNNNNNNNNNNNNNNNNNNNNNNNNNNNNNNNNCAAAAAGCUAGGAUGUACUCCUGUCGUGCAUGCGACGGUCCUGAAAAAAAAAUACAUAUUAUUGAAACAUGAAUAUCACAGUAAGUAUAGUAACACAAAUAUCCAAUAAUUUAAAAAGACAAACAUGUAUUCAUAUUCUAUUCACUUCUCUAUUUUUGUUACCAUUGAAACUCUUUCUCAUUCAACUACUAAAACCAUUUCAUCUUUCAUUUUCAACUUCCAUUCAAGAUUCCAUAAGAUUAACCACAACUAUUUCUGCCUAACUCAUUAUCAAUACCAAUUUCACCGGUAUCAUCAUCACCUCGUAUGCGUCGAUGCUUAGUGAUCCCUUUACCCGGGACCCUAACAUACACUAAAUGUAUGUUAGUCGAUGCAUGGUGAUCCCCUUAUCCAGGAUCCUAACAUACACUAAAUGUAUGCUAGUCCAUGCCCCAUAGGCAUCGAAGAAUGGUGUUCCCCUUACCCGGGAUCCUAACAUACACUAAAUGUAUGCUAGUUCAUGCUAACUUCACCCAUUAAUAUUGUCAUUCUUUGUCUUACCAUAUAGUUAUUAUUACAAAUUUUCAUUUCGAACAUGGAUUGUUUCUUUUCGAAGCUAAGAUAUAAUAUCACAUGUUCCCCAAAGGGAAAGGACCUAUAUUUUCACCCUUUAAUGCGUCUAUGACAAAUAACUUCUUCUCGGAGUUUCUAAUCCAGAUCUCCACCGUUAAUAAUGAAGAGCUCGUCAGUAUAACUCACAUAUCCAAAAUUGAGCAGGAUCCAACGGUGGACGAAUGCAAAAAUGGCUAGCAACCAUGACUGACCUGCAGGUAGAUUUUUCUUGAAAUGUUGCGAGGGCUAUAUCUCUCACACCAAACCAGAACAUUCUGAUCCCAACGGUAAGAUAUUAGAGGGUAGUGAGAACCAUAAUAUAUCCAAACACCAGACAAAUCCAACGGUGUAAUACAGAGAUAUGACUGUUUGAAUGUCUGCUCUCAAGGUACUCUCUCUUUCCCUUUCUCUUUUUUUUUUCCUUUCAUUCGGCCCUCGUAGUUAAUUUCUGCACAAUUUUGCUAUUUAUAUAGCAAAUAUAUCUAUAUUUAUUAAAACACCCUUAUAUCAAGUUUAGGUAUAUUUUCAUUCAACCAAAUGCCUUUUCUCGAUCCGCUUUUAUUUUAUUUUAACCAGCUCAUUCCAUUCUCGGUUCUAAAUUAUCAAUAAUUUUAUUAAUAUCAUAAAAUUUGAUUGGGAGUUUACAAUUUACCACCAUUUUUAUUUUACUUCUCAUUAUUCAAUUCAUCAUGGUGAAAUCUUUUGUUAGGGUUUUACAUAAUUUCCACUGAAUCAUCUCCAUAUCUAAAUUAUAAAUUUUUGGGGUUUCACAUUAGGGGUCAUUUUAUCAUUUGUACAUAAACUCCUAACCUUCUGUUAUUUGAACAUUGACCCCUCUUGGUCUUACGUAUUUAUUUUGUCUCAAUAAUUUUUUCUUUCUAACAAUUUAGCACUAUAUUCACUUUUCAUUUACUUAAUUUCACCAUUUUUAUCUUGAAUUAGGUUUUUUUAAUUUAAUUUAACCCAUUUUACUAUCGGUUAAAUUUCUCUUAUUUUAAUAGCCUAGAAAAAUUAUAACGGGGGUUUACAAUCUUCUCCUCUACUACUAUUUUUUUCAUCAUCACCAAUCAUAACAACCACCUUAUCUUCAUGUUCCCCAUAGUCAAACCACCACUACCCUCACAGUUGUUUAUUUCAAUUAUUAAUUAUUAAUUAUUAAUUAUCUUAUCAUCAUUGUAUUUUAAUUAUUUUAGAUUGAUUUCUCUUUCAUAAGUGAUUCGGUACUUACAAUCAAACAAUUAAUGAUAAAUAGUUGAGUCAAUUUAGGUCAUGAAUUAAUGAUAAGAAAAAAAAAACCAAAUUUGAUAAUGGAUAUAACACCAAUCAUCAUGUAUGUGUGUUUGUGUGUAAAAAUGUAUAUAAAUUAUUGAGAAAUUAUAUGUAUGUGCUAAUAUGUUGGUCACCUUCAACAAUAUUUUUGGUGUAAAUUAAAAGUCAUAGCUAGUAGCACAUUGGAUGGGAGACAUUAUGAAUGGAGUUCCUAAAAAUUGCAACGAGUUUGAAAAUCGUUGUUACAGUUUCAAUUCUUAAAUAAAAUAAAAUAAUGACAAUGUAAAAACCUGGGUGAACCUUUUGAAGGUUAAAAUCUUUAAAUAUUGUUGAAGCACAGUGUUCUGAAGACCCAGAAUCUUGAAGGCAGUCUUCCACGAGAUUUAGGCAGGUUCCCUUACCUCCAAGAAAUGUAAGCAUUGACUUUUAAGUUCUUUACCAAAUUUAGCCCAAAAUCAUUGUUAAACAUAUGAUAUGAUAGCCCAAAUUUAGCCCAAACUCCAACCUUUACAGUAACUUGUCACGUAACUACCUCAACGGUACCAUCCCUACAGGAUGGGGAGCCACGCCACUGGUUACCAUGUACGAUACUUUUUCACUCAGGAGCUUUAGGAAAUUUGAAAAAUUGUGACAUUUCUUAUUGUAGUGGAUCUAAACUGAUAAAAUUUCCCGCUUUACCUUUUAAUCAAAGUAUUUUUGUUUCUUCUUCACCAUUUGACUUGAUUCAUUCUAAUGUAUGGGGACCUUCUCCUGUUGCCACAAAAGGAGGGUCUCGAUAUUAUAUCUCUUUUAUUGAUGAUCAUACUUGUUAUUGUUGGGUUUAUUUAAUGAAAACAUCAUUCUGAAUUCUUUGAGAUAUAUGCAGCUUUUCGAGCUCUUAUCAAAACUCAACAUUCUGCUGUGAUCAAAUGUUUUAGGUGUGAUUUUGGUGGGGAAUACACCUCUAAUAAAUUUUUUCAAUUGUUUGCCUUAGAUGGAACUAUCCACCAAACUUCAUGUACAAAUACUCUUGAGCAAAAUGGUGUUGCUGAAAGAAAGCAUAGGCACAUGUCGAAACUGCUCGUUCUCUCUUGUUAUCUGCUUUUGUUUUUAGCAAGUUUUGGGGAGAAGUUGUUCUUACUGCUGUAAGUUUAAUUAAUACAAUUUCAUCUUCUCAUAGUUUGGGUCUAUCUCCUUUUGAAAAGUUAUAUGGGUAUGCCCUUGAUUAUUCUUCAUUUAGAGUUUUUGGUUGUACUUGUUUCAUUCUUCGUCCUUAUGUAGAACGCAGUAAACUAUCCUUUCGAUCCACUAUUUGUGUCCUUCUAGGUUAUGGUGAAGGUAAAAAAGGGUAUCGUUGUUUUGAUCCAAUAAUUCAGAAACUUUAUGUGUCUCGUCAUGUUGUCUUUCUUGAGCAUAUAUCUUUCUUUUCUAUUCCAUCCACUACUCAUAGCCUGACUAAACCAGAUCUUAUUCAUAUAGACCCCUUUUCUGAGGAUUCUGAUAAUGAUACCUCUCCCCAUGUUCGACCAAUUUGUACUCAUAACUUUGCAGGUACUGAUACUUUACUCUCUGGCACACUUGAAGCUCCAUUCUCAUCUACAGCCCCUCAAGCUUCAUCUGAGAUUGUGGAUCCACCUCUACGUUAGUCCAUUCGCAUUCAUACGUCAACAAAACUACCAAAAUUUGCUUAUUCUUGUUAUUCUUCAUCAUUUACUUCCUUUUUAGCUUCUAUUCAUUGUCUCUUUGAGCCCUCUUCCUAUAAAGAGGCAAUUCUUGAUCUGUUUUGGCAACAACCUAUAGAUGAGGAACUUUCUGCUUUGUAUAAGACAGAUACUUAGGAUCUGGUUUCUCUACCUCCUAGUAAGAGUGUUGUUGUUUAUCAUUGGGUGUCUAAGAUCAAGACUAAUUUUGAUGGGUUUAUUGAGUGAUAUAAAGCUAGGCUGGUUGCAAAAGGAUACUCUCAACAAUAUGGUAUGGACUAUGAGGAGACAUUUGCCCCUGUUGCAAAAAUGACUACUAUUUGUACUCUUAUUUUCGUAGCUUCGAUUCGUUAGUGACAUAUUUCUCAGCUUGAUGUUAAAAAUGCCUUCUUAAAUAAAGAUCUAUCCUCUAACUACUUUACUGGACAGUUGCCAGCAACAUUUGAAAAGCUUACCACACUGAAGGAUUUAUAAGUUUUUGAAGUAUUAUUAUAAUUAUGACACAAAUUAAAUGUUCAGUUUUGAAUCAACCGGCAUGAUUUUAUUAUUUUUUGCAGCCGAAUUGGUGAUAACAGCUUCACAGGUCAGAUACCGAAUCUUAUUCAGAAAUGGACAAACCUGGAGAAACUGUAAGAUUUUAUGUGGUUCGUAAUUGUAUGGAUUAUUUUACAGUUUAUGUGGCCUAUCAGAUUAUUUAUUCGAACCAAUAUUUGACUGCAUGAUAGAGUGAUACAAGGCAGUGGUCUAAACGGGCCAAUUCCAUCAGGCAUUGCUCUUCUGGAAAAGAUGGCUGAUAUGUGAGUCAACCUCUGUUGUUUGAUAACUUUCAUAAGAACAAUAAUAAAAGAAAUUUAAUCCUUAACCGUGCAUAUAUGCAGGAGAAUCAGUGAUCUGCAUGGAAAUGGAGCUGAAGCCCCAUUCCCACCAUUAACUAAUAUGAAAAACCUAAAGACACUGUGAGCUAGAUGUUUUCUUAUCAAUCAUCAUGUGAUGAUUGUUUUGCGUUGUUGUUUCUUCUUUAUAUGAUUCUUAAAAUUAAUGUUUAUGUUGCAGGAUACUGAGGAGUUGCAAUAUUAUUGGACCACUGCCUGACUUUGUUGGAGAAUUACCCAAAUUGACAACCUUGUCAGUUCCUUCUAUCAGCUUCUUUAUAUAUCGUUUUGGACUUUGUUAGCAUUUACCCUGUCUUAUAUUUGCCUACUUGGCGGUGAUACACCUGAUGUUCUCUUAGUUAUUUGACCAUUUUUCUUCAUUCUAUAGUAAUAUGUUGAGCUCUCUUUAUGGUUUCUUUACAGAAACCUCAGCUUUAACAAACUCAUUGGAGAAAUUCCAAGCAGCUUUAAUGGUCUAAGAAAAGCUGAUUACAUGUAAGCAAAUGGCUUUAUAUUUGUUCCUUCUUACAUUCAGCUUGAAGAUCCCGAGCAGUUCUUAUAUUUCAAACCAAGUCUUGCAAUUGUUCUAUUAGCUAUAGGAACAAUUGUUCUAUACGGUUUUGUUAGCUUUGCUUGAAAUCCACUUUUAUUGAUGCACUACUUCUUUCUAGAUAUUUAACGGGGAAUCAGCUAAAUGGAACCGUACCGAACUGGAUAACUAUGGAUGGAGAAUCUGUGUAAGGUUUCUUUUCCUGUCUAGAUUUAUUUCUGAUACGUCUAAAAGUUAUUUAUUUAGUUUUACAAAUAUGCUACAGAAUUUACCUAUUGUUCUCUUGAUAGAGCAGUCAUUUGAGGAACACAAUUCCAUACCAUCCUUAGAUAGUGUUCAAAAGAUAAUAAACUUGGUUUGGGGUUUCGAUUGCAGCUCACGGAUGAUCUAUUGCAUUUGGAAAACCAAGUCAUCUAGCGACUUUUUCUAGAUUUGAUGCCUAAAACUAAAAUUUCCAUGCAUUAAGGGAUGAUGAGAAUAGCAGAAGGGUUCAUAACCACUAAGACUAAUUAGGCACACUUACCAAAUAUACGAUCAACAAAUUGUUUGAUUGAUUUACAAUUUGAACUGAACAUCUACCUUUCUUCUAGCAGUGAUCUUUCCUACAACAAUUUCAGAAAUGAGAGCUUAUGUCUACAGCGCAAAGUGUAAGAAAGUGAAGUUUUAUCCUCUCCACUUCUUUUCUAUCCAUCAAUCCCUCAUUCCUAUACAUUCACUUGCAAUUUGUGUAAGAGCUAAUUUUUUUCACUUCCUGAUUUCCUACAGAAAGUUAUUUGGCAGCGCUUCAAUGGGCAACGUCUCGUAACUGUUUAGACUACGGAAAACUCAAUCUUAUCUAUUUCUAGAGAGAUAUUUGAUGAUUUGGUCUAGGCCUUUCCUAUUCCAAAUUUUAAUCAGAUAUGUUGCAAUUUUUUUUAUAUAUAUCUCAGCAGAUGUAUUGUUCCAUGCUUAAGAAGCUUUCAUUGUCCCAAACGUAAGUUAGGCUUAUGAUGGCGUUACAGAAAAUUAUUUGCUCCUUUUGCGUACCAAAUAUCUAUAAAUCAGUAGUUUCGUUCUGGAAGUUAAAGAUCAAGUGUACCAUGAUGUAAUGGUUCUUGUCAUUUUGAAGGAAUAGAAUUGCAUAAGAAUACGAUCAAUUGUAAAAGAAACAUUCAAAUAGUAGCUUAACAAAAUUAAGCUUCUACAAGGUAACAAAAAUAUUUUCAAAAUACGAUCAAUUGUAAAAGAAGCAUUUGUUGGAAAAGAAUGAUAGGGUGUGAUAGUUAAUUUAUAAGAACAAAGCUAAAGAACAAGAAGAAGAAUGAGAGGAAUGAUGAUUUUAUUAAGAGUUUUCUCAAAAGUUACAACUUUAUAGCUCUUCUCUAUAUCUCUCUCAACUUGUUUUUAAUGCUUAAGAUUACAAGCCUAUUUAUAGGCCUCAAGUCCUAGAUAAUCAAGGAAUUAAACUAUUCAAAGGAAAUCCUAAUCUAACAAAGAUUCUAAUAAACUAAUUUAAACAAGGAUUAUAAUAAACUAGUCUAUUGCAAAUCCUUCUUUAUCGAGGAUUCCUACAUUAACUAGGAUUCUUCUUUUAGCUAAUAUUAAAAACUCUUAUUAACUCUAAAUUCUAUUAGUCUAAAUCCUAGUUGAUAUUGAAUUUCAACACUCCCCCUCAAUAUCAACUGUUAACAUUCUUUUAUCUUUUCUUUCUCUUCAUGAUGUCCUGCCUCAAUAGUAUUGAUGUUGUUCGUAUUCAUCAUUAUUAAAAGGAUUAGUUACCUCAUAUAAGUCAUCAAGGCUCCUCAUCUUUCUUGGUGGAGUGCCACUACUUGAGCUUUCACUAGAAGAAGAAGAAGUUGAGCUUGUUGGUGUUUGUGGAGGUGUGACUAUAGGUUUUUGAUGAUCUUCAUAUUUUUCCUCCUCUUCAUCAAGAAUUGGUAAGAGGUCAUAUUUCUCACCAUCAUUUAAGCAUUUAGGCAUAUCCAUUUCUAUGUUUAGCAAGACCAUUUUAUCAUUUGUCAUGGCUACCUUUGCAAUCAUAUCUCCUUUAGUGUCAAGUAAUGUCAAAGUACGAUCUUUCAUCGUAAUCUCAUACCCCUUCUCCAACAAUUAUCCUAAGCUCAUUAUGUUGCUUUUCACCUUUGGUAUAUAAUAGGCAUCACCAAUAAAUUGAUGACUUCCAUCUUCCAAUUUAAUCAAGAUUGUACAUUUUCCUUUGAUGGCAACCUUUGAAUGAUCUACAAAAGUGACAUUACCUCUAAUUGCUUCAUCAAACUCCAUGAACUUGUCUUUGUCUCCACACAUGUGGUUACUAGCUCAAUUGUCUAGGUACCACAUGUUCUCGUUUUCUUGCAUUUUCUCAUUAUGCACUAAUAGUAGAGUGGCUUCAUUCUCUUUUUCUAUUAUAAGAUUUGCGUUCUCCUCAACCCUCUUGGUUGGACUCCAACAAUCCUUAGCAUAAUGACCUGUCUUUUGACAAUUAUAGCAUUUAACUUUUGAUUUGUCAAACCUGCUAUCAAAUCUAGAUCUUGAAUUGCUAUUGCCAGUUGAAAUGAUCGACCGGUUCUCUUCAUUCUAUCGACUGUUUGAUUUGUUGAGGUUGUCUCGACCUCCUCUUCUAAAUCUUCCUCUUUCUCCUCCUCCUUGGGAAUAUCUAGAACCAUCUUGCUUUGAAAAAAGUGUUUGUGCACCAACAUCCUUUUGAAUCUCAUUGACUCUUUCCUCAUGAGCUUAUAAUUUCCCCAUAAAACCUUGUAGUGAAAGAAAAUCCAUAUUUUAUGACUCCUCUAUCGCGACUACCACAUAAUGAAACUUCUUUUGUAGCGAGCGUAAGAUCUUCUGUACCACACGUGUCUCUUCCAUCUUCCCCCUGUAUCUCUUCAUUUGAUUAUAUAUGGCCAAUAUUCUUGCAAAGUAUUCUGAAAUAUUCUUUGAUUCAAGCAUAUGUAACUUUUCAAAGUCAUCACGUAGUUUUUGUAAAAGUACAUUUCUCACAUUGUCAGCUUCUUGGUUUGAUUCUUGCAAAACUUUCCAUGCUUGCUUGGCAGUGGUUGCGUUAUCCACUAUCUCAAAAGUGGCAUUAUCCAGACAUUGAUGGAUAAUUGUUAGUGCUAGUUGAUCCUUCCUUCGUGCCUUUUGCACAGCCUCUCUUUAGGCUGAAGUCAACAUUGCUUCAUCUAUAGGCUUUUCAAAGCCUUUUUCAACUGUUUCCCACACAUCUUGGGAAUCUAACUAAGCUUUUACUUGAAUACACCAAGUUUGAUAGUUAUUAUUUAUCAAUCUAGGAUAUUGAAGUGGAAAAGUUGAAUCGACCAUGUUAAAUAAUCAAACCUAAGCUCUGAUACCACUUGUUGGAAAAGAAUUAUAGGGUGUGAUAGUUAAUUUAUAAGAACAAGAAGAAGAAUGAGAGGAAUGAUGUUUUAUUAAGAGUUUUCUUAAAAGAUACAACUUUAUAGCUCUUCUCUGUAUCUCUCUCAACUUUUUUUUAAUGCUUAAGAUUACAAGCUUAUUUAUAGGCCUCAAGUCCUAGAUAAUCAAAAAAUUAAACUAUUCAAAUGAAAUCUUAAUCCUAAUCUAAUAAGGAUUCUAAUAAACUAAUUUAAACAAGGAUUAUAAUAAACUAGUCUUCAUUGAGGAUUCCUACAUUAACUAGGAUUCUUUUUUUUUUUUGAUCAAAUGUUAGAAGUAUAUAGAUCAAAAAUUUCAGACUAGCUGGAAAAAGAACCAGCUAGCCAGAGAAACAACUGUACAGAACAGGCUUGUGGGAACAGGCUCCCAGCAAGCACAACCAGAAAAACUGAUCUAACCAGGCCUUCAAUUAUAACCAAAGGAAACACACCUUCAAUUAUAACCAAAGGAGACAGAAAACUAUUACAAGUGAAUUACAUAAAACAAACAGCACCGAGAGCAACAAAAGGAAGGCAGACUAGUGCCAAAACCCCAGCGGCGAGCCAGCCGAGCCGAAAUCAACCAAUCAUGCAGAGACACUUCCAGCUAGGAGGACAGCAACUCUACAGAAGAGACAAAGAGCCCGAUUGUGGAAGAAGACACCAAGCUCAAAAAGCCAGAAUCCAAGCCAAACCAUGGAGAACGAGCGUACCGACAGCCCUUCAAACUAAAAGCAGCUUCAGCCUAACACAUCCAAAAACCUGCAGCACCAUGUGUCCCCCAGCCAAAGAGACACCGACACGCCAACAGCUCAGGAGCCUGUCCAUGUAGGAGCGAGGAUGACAUUGGCCAAUAACAUAUGCCCAGGAGACAGCCAAAACCAAAUUGAAUACCCAAAAACAGAGUUGAUCAAUGCGGGGACGAGAAAUCAUGCAAAAUUCAUGCACAUCCAAGCAAGCAUCCAGUCAAGGCAGAACAACACAACACAAAGGAGACAGCCACAAUCAAUGUCAACUGUUCAUGUAGGCAGACAUUGCUCAACCAGGCAAAGGAAAAAACCAGCCAUACAUACCGAGCCACAAGACAAGCUUCUGACAACCCACAGCGUCAACAAUGGCGGCUAGCCAGCCAAGCCAAGACAGAGAGAACAGCCAAAGAAGGGCAGCUCUUCCAGCCAAGUAAGACAGAGGAGCCAGCCAAGAUUCAACAGCGUAUCAAUGCAAAACAAAGGAUCCAUGCAGACACAGCUCAGCCAUGAAGAGAUAACGCCAGCCAAUCAUGCAAUGACACCGAACUUCCCCCAUGCAGAGAGGAGGACAACCCCAGUAGCUUGAAUCCAGAAUGCAUGAGCCAUGCAGGCACAUAUUGACGAAUCUCAAGGAUAAACCAUGAGCACCAAACACAGGGAGAAUGCAAAAACCAAAGGGGUGGGCCCGACAAGAAGCUUCUUCACGUAAAUUUUCAUGCAUGGCAACAGUACUCCAUGCACGCCCAAACAAUAAACUUCAGCCUAAUGCAAGCCAAGCAAACAAAAGAGGUGGAACAGGCCAAGGAGGAGUGAACAGACAAGCAAAGAAGCUUCAGCACGCCAAUGAGGAACCAGUCAAGAGCAUCAGCCAGCGUGGAUUCCUUAAUGAAGAGAAGUGGACCCAGACCGCAUUGAACAAUCCCAAGCUGUCAGCCCACUUGCAGUAAAGAGUGAUCCCUCUCAUGAAAGUGGAAGAUGACAUAGAACAGGACUUGGAAUCUUCGGAAUACUAUAUUGACAUCUCUUGAAUUCCCAUCAAAUACUCUUCGGUUACGCUCCUCCCAAAUUAAGUAAACCACUAAGCCAAGAGAAACCCUGUUCAUGCGAGCUUGCAUACUCCUCUUGUGAGGGUAUAACCAACGAAGAGCACUAGACAAGGAGUGCAUAGUCCUGCUUAACCGCAACCAGGCUGUGACCAGCGACCACAGACGAUUUGGCCAUCCACAAAGAAAGAAUAAGUGACUGUGAGAUUCUUCCUCCUGUCGACAGAAUACACAGGUGGGGUCAAUGGGGAUGAAUCGUAAGCGAUCCCGAGUGCGGAGUUUUCCCAAAGUAGCCAACCAUAGAAUGAAACUGUAUUUUGGUAAGGACCAUUGCUCUCAAACAACUCGAUGCCAUGAAAUAGGUGCACCCACAGGUCUAAGGAAUUGGUAUGCAUGGGCAAGAAAAGGGCCUGCAUUUGUAUCCCAAGUGGUCAUCAACUGAAUGGUUUCCCUUGUACCGCCACAACGAAGGGAAAGAAGGUCCCUGACCGAAAGAAUGGACUUCCACAGAGGGGAAGAGUGUUGAUGGGGUUGAAUCGUCCAGACAUCUUCAUGGUUUAAAUAAUAGUGAUGGACCCAACGGAUCCACACCGAAUCCGUUUUGAGAUGAAGAUUCCAAAGCUGCUUGGUAAGGAAACUUCUGUUACGAGCUUUAAAGUCAAAGAGACCCAGACCUCCUUCAACUUUAGGCAGGCAGAGAAACUUCCAUGCAACCAGGGCUGAGCCAUUUCUCCCAAUGUUCCCCGUCCAUAAAAAAUUCCUGCAGAUACUGGUGAGGCGAUGAAGAACCACCUCAAAUAGCACUGAUCGAACAAGUUCAAGACGACCUGCAUAUGAGAGAUGUUUGCCAAUCCAGCCUUGAACUGUUAAUUCCAAGGCAUUCAGAAGAGGAGUAAACUGACUAGCCAAUAGCCGGUGAGGACUCAAGGGAACCCCUAAGUAAGUGAAAGGGAAAAUCCCUUCCUUGAAUCCUGAUUCAGUGAGGAUGGUAUGUUUGUGAGCAUCCCUGACUCCACCAAAGAAGAUAGAAGAUUUCUAUGGAUUGAUUACCAGCCCUGAAGUUUGUCCAAAGAGGUGAAGCUGCUGAAGAAGCCAUCUAACCGAAGUUGCAUCACCCCGUGAGAGAAGGAGGAUGUCAUCAGCAAAAGCAAGGUGAGUAAGCCGAUGAGACUGGCAUUUGGGAUGAAACCGAAAUCCAGGCUGUUGAGAGGCUAGUGUUAGCAUUCUGGAAAAGUAUUCCAUACAACAGAUGAAAAGAUAAGGGGAUAAAGGAUCUCCCUGUCUAACACCACUUUUACCCAUAAAGAAUCCAUGAAGAUCACCAUUCACAGCAACAGAAUAAGAGACUGUGGAGACACAUUGCAUGAGAAGAGAAACAAACCGGCCUGGAAACCCAAGCUGCAGGAGGAGCUGCUCUAGAAAAACCCAUUGAACAGAAUCAAAUGCUUUCCUGAAGUCCACUUUCAACAGGCAGCGCGAGGAGGAACGUUUUCUGCCAUAUUGUCUGAGAAGCUCCUGUACAAGAUUAAUGUUAUCACUCAUAAACCGUCCACCCAGGAAGGCAUUUUGUAAAGGGCUGAUAAUGGUUGGGAGUGUACAAGCCAGACGACCAGCCAAAAGUUUUGCAAUGACCUUAUAAAUGACAUUGCAGCAAGAGAUGGGCCUGAAAUCAGAUGGAGAUGUAACAUUAGCCGAUUUAGGGACCAAAGUGAUAAUGGAGUGAUUAGCCUGCCGAAGAAGUCGACCAGAAGUGAAGAAAUCUUGGACAGCAGCACAAAAGUCAUCCGCAACAAUGUGCCAAGCACGCUUAAAAAAAGAAGAAGAAUAGCCAUCUGGUCCAGGAGCUUUGUCAUCCCCUAUGCUGAAGACCACCUUGCGGAUAUCAUCUGGGGUGACCGGAGAAAGCAAGAAAGCAUGAGAGCUUGAGGGGAGACAAGGACCACUGUUAAUAACCUCACUAUCAAGAGGAAUGGUGGGGGUGGACGUUCCAAGCUGUUGCUGAAAGUAAUUGACAAAGACCCUGCCAACUUCCUCCAAGGAGAAGCUUGGACAACCUUGGUCAUUCAUAAUUGCUGGAAUGAAGUUCUUUCUGUGAGUAUGAUUCAGCAAGGCAUGAAAGAACUUGGUGCCUCUAUCACUUUCUUGAAGGAAUUUGCAUUUGAUCUUUUGGCUGAAAAAUUGUUUCUCUGCAAACUUCAGUUGAGAAAACUUAGAUCGGAGAAGCUUUUCCUGGUCCAGUAAGUUGUGAUUGUCUCUAUCCUGGUGGAGAGAUAAUUGAUGAGCUGCCAACUCAUUCUCAAGGCGAGAAACACGUUCUGAAAUGUGGCUGAAGUGGGCCCGAUUGAGCUCUUUUAGAGGCUUCUUAAGAAACUUUAGGCGACGACACAAGAGGUACAUGGGGUGCCAUACAGAUCCGAAAACCAAUGAGAAGAGACAACAUCAAGGAAUUGAUCAUGGGAAGCCCACAUGUUGAAGAAUUUGAAGCUCCGUCUGCCUGAGACAUGAUGAUCCAGACUAACUUUAGCCGGAGAGUGAUCAGUAAAAGCUCCAGGAGGAGCAAAGUGAACCUGCGUCAAGCGCUGUAGGGAAGCCCAAUAUGGAUUUGUCAUAACCCUAUCAAGUUUGCUCCACACCAAGCCAUUGGUCCAGCUGUAGUGACAACCAGUAUAAUUCACAUCCUGGAGGCCAAGGUCUAAACAACAUUGACGAAAAUUAGAGGAUUCAUAAGAGGAGACUGGUUCACCAUUGUGUUUGUCUGCCGAAGAAAGAACUGAGUUAAAAUCUCCAAGAAUCAUCCAGGGGUUUGAUGAGUGCCAGCUUCGUAAAUCCGCCCAUAGAGGUCGCCGAGCAGAAAUAGAGUGAAAGCCAUAGACAAAGGUUAUGUGGAAGCGGUAUUGAGAGAUAAGACUAUGCACAGAGAGAUGUAAAGCUUGAGCAGUAGAAGAGAUCAUAUCAACAGAAACUGUGGAAGGAUUCCAGAAAACAACAAUACGAGCAAUAGAAGCCGUAUCUGCAUUGGAAAUAUAUUUCCAAUCCCGAAGUCUCAACCGGUGAAGGCUGGCAACUCGAGAUAUAGUCAACUUAGUUUCAAGCAGGCCGCAAAUAUCCAUACGAUAUUUCUUCAUGAGGCCAACCACCUCAUGUUGUUUCAGGGGAUUAUUAAGACCCCUGACAUUCCAGCUGUAUAUAAUCAUGGAGAUGCAGGAGAAGGGAUGACCCUUCUACUACCAGGGGUGGUCCUCUUGCUAUGACGCUGCAUAGUGGUGUUAACUGAAGUCCCCAAUAGAGGACGUGCAAAAGGGCUAGGGGCUAGAAUACCAUCACCCAACUGGGGAGGCCGUAAUCUGGGAGAAGCAACUACCAAACCAACCUCUGCACCUACAGGAGAAACCACUUCUACACAGGCAGGUGGAAGAUGUGCUGUGCUGGUAUUGGCAUUAGCAAUGCCAAAAGACGGUGGAGGAACAAUAAAAUCUGUACAGGCAGGAAGUAAAGCAGGAGAAGGAGUAUUACCAGAAACUGCUUCCACGGCCGUCCCCUUAAGAGGAGAUUUGACACGGUUGUGGGACUUUCGUCUAGACUCCACCAUUGUCCAGCCCUCCUCCGAGGCAACACAGGGUUCAACUGGUUGAGGAUCCACUGCAGGGGAGUUCGAUGUAGCCAAAAGAGGAGCCGGAGCUGACGACCGACUCUGUUCUGGUAAAUCUGUGGUUGAGUCCUGCACCUGGUGAAUGUGGGGGCCCAGCCUACUAAAGACUCCCACUUUGCUGGCAUGGGGAUCCGAAGCAACUCCACCCUCUUUACUACUGGAAGCAGCUUUGGAACAGAGGAGACGAGUAUGGCCUAUAGAAUUACAGAAAUUGCAGAAUUUUGGUAAUGAUUCAUAAACUACUUUUUGGUGAAGCACCGGACCUGAUGGUAGAGGCACAGUUACAGAUGCAGGAAGGUCUUCACGAAGAUCAAGCUCAAUAAGCACUCUUGCAUAUGACAGACGAGAGAGUAGAAGUCAUAUGGUCACAUUGAAUGGGCUUGCCUAUAACACUUGCAAUUUUGGAGAGACACACAGGGGACCAGCAGCAAAGGGGGAGGUUGGGGAAUCUCACCCAUACAGGCACCCUCGUCAUCUCCUCAUUGGAGAAGUCAAAGAACUUCGUCAUCGGCUUCAAAAUGAGUGGUUUGCCAUACACGAGAUACGGUCCUCCCCGAAGAACAGAAAUCUUGUCUUCCUCCCGAGUAAAUCUAUAUAUCAGCCAUCCAGAGGCAUGGAUAGUGAGAGAAGCUUCACAUUUCCAAACAGAGGAAAUGAUGCCAUUCAAGGCCCUAUACCCAGGGCUUUUUCCUGAGACAUAACCCACAGCUCAUAAAUUCCAGACCUCAAACUGAGGUUGAAAAUCUUCCGGAGAAAUGGCACACGAUUUGGUAAGGUGAUUAAGGGGAAAAUUUCGUAGUUUUGUGCAGAGAGAGGGUGGUCGAUCUGAAGAAAAAAGGUCACACCAGUUGCGACCACUAGAGGCUGAGGGAGGGGGGGAUGUGCUGUGUCUGCCAAAGGAACAUUCACCUCCGCAGGAGCAACAGGAGGGGACGAGGCACGCACUGGGGAAGCAACAGGUUCUGGAAAGGGGCAUGCAGGGGAAGCAACAGGGGAAGCCCCAGGAUCUAUAAGAGAAGCAGCAGGGACGGAAGGGGCCUCAAAUACUGAGGAGGUGAAGAAUUGAGACCCCCCAGCACAGUCAUCUCCAGAAGAGGCAUAAUCCACUUCCUCGUCAUCAAGAGCAUCAUCGUCAGAAUCCACAAACACAUGGUUGAUAUUGGGGGAUGGAGCAACAUGGAACUGAGGUUGUAAACCGUGAGAAGCGGAGGGGACAUGGGGAUUAGGCCUGGGAAUCUCUGAAAUGAGGCCAGUAGGCGGGGAAGGAUUUGAAUUUGAAAUGGGGGGAACAAUGGCAUGAACAGUACGAGACGGGGCCUCUAAAGCAAGAACAGUGUGUUCAUUCAAAUCAGCCAAAUAUUGCUGUUGAAGCUUAGAUUUAUGGGACCCAACCUUCUUCUUUUUGUUCGCCAUAGACAGAAAAUCAACAGAACAAAGGAAGGACAAGAGCAAACAACAGCAGUAGAUCAAACCCAAGGGAAAAGCGUCAUACAGAAGGAGAGCAUCUCUCUCUAAAUUCUCUCUCAAGAUUUGACUUCUACUAUUACUACAUUAACUAGGAUUCUUCUUUUAGCUUGUCGCACGUCCCCCCUGGCGACGAUCAUGGCAAUUUUUCGUUUUCUUUUGCUUGAUUUAGGUUUUUGAGUCAUUAUCUAAUAUUUAAUUGAAAGUUACUAGGAAACCCGGAUUUACUGGUCUUUAUCAGAGAUUCGAAGGUAAGGAACUGGUUGUGACUAGGAAAGGUAUUAGCACCUCUAACAUACCCUACCUGAGGUAAGCUGCUUCAUGACUUUGAUGUGAUUUUAAAAAUAUUAGUCAAAUUCUUAAAGCUUUAAUAAAUCAGUUAUUAAAUCCACAAAUAUAUAUAGAAACAUGUUCUUAUAUUUUCAUGGAAAAUAUAACAUAAUUUUAUUUAUUCCUUAGAUAUUUAUCCAUAUACCAAUUAAAACAUUUGAUUCUUUUUUCUUUUCCUUUCGAUUUUAUAAUUAGAAAAUAUACAUAAAAAAAAAUACAAUCACACGCAUCUCCUUUACUAUUUUCUCACCCAUAAUUACAUGUUUACAAUGUGAACAGGAAUCAAAAUUACCCAAACAAAACCUUAACAAUUCCAAAAUUACAGAAUACACUCCCCAAAAAUAACAGUAACUGCAGGGAAGCCGUCUGGAAUUUGCAGGAACACUGCGGCGCGUGGACCUCACGCACCACCGCCCCUGGCGGCGCGUGGAUCCACUUGUCAUCGCCGGCUAAGACCAACAAACUAGUAAAUCGGGGUCGUCUCUUCUUCUCCUCCCGCUUGUACCGGCGGUGGAUCUCCCAGCCACCUGCAAGGCAACCCAACAAACACAAGCAGUUUCCGGUUCUCUCCUUUUUUAGAUCUGCUUCUCCACCAUUUUUUAGAUCUGUUCCACCGCAGAUCUUUCUUGGGGUUACGUCUUCGUCUCCUUCACUUCAGGUGGCCGGCGUAGGACCAGAGGGCUGCCGGUCUGCGGGCGCUGCCGGGUUGUUGUUGCUUUUGUCGCGGUGGGACUGAGAGAAGACUGGGAAGAGGACAGCGGGGGCUGCCGCUGUGUUCGGCCUGAGGAAGAAAGGAGCCGCUGUGGGGCUGUUGGGUGGAGGAGCUGGGUCUGCUGGGGGAAGACGGCGCUGCUGCACGGGGAGGGGUCGUCGCUGCUGAAAGAAGAAGAAACCAAAGGGCAAGGGGGGAGCGGCCGGUCUCUGUUUUUGACAGAGGGCAAGGGGGCCACGGCCGGCCGCUGGUUCUGAGAGCCGAGAGAGGGAGACCGUGGAGGCCGGUGUGCAGGGGUGUUUGAUGUGGGUGUGGCCUUGGGUCUGGUCUGUGUUUUGGCCAAAGAGAGAGCAGAGACCGGGAGGUGGUCUCCGGUUUUUCUUUUCAAAGGGAGGGUUUCUCUGGUUUGCUUUUUCGAAGACCAGGGGGGAAGGGGGGUGGCCACUGGCUUGGAGAAGAAAAAUUCAAGAGCCAACGGGGCUCUCUGAUUUGUCUCCCGUCCAAAAGGAGGGGGGGCCUCUUUUUUUUUGUUUCCAAGGGUGGCGGCUGCAGAGAAGAUAGAUUUUUAGGGGUUCUUUGGGUUUUAGGGUUUUUCUUUUACUGUUCCCCCAAAAUUUUCUCGGCCCCAUGCCUGUAAAUUUUUCUCCGCCUCUUCUUUUCUUUCUGUAUUUAAACUUUCUUUGUAUUCCUCCUCUUUUUUUUUUUUUUUUUUUAAUUUUAAUUUUUUUUAUUUUGUUUGUAUUGUUUAAAACGUGCAAUAUUAACAUGGACUUAAAAAUUAGUGAUUGUAAAAUUAACACGUUAAAAAUUGAAUGCAUUUAAAAUACCUUUAAAAAUUUAAAUUCUUCUGAGAUGACGUUAAAAAUACUAAAAAUGAUGCAAAUAUAUUAAAAUGCAUUCUUUUGAGGUUUUUAUUGUUUUUUGCUAUUUUUUUAUUUUUUCUGAAAAUUUAUUAAAAACAUGGGUCAAAAAUUGGAUAGCAACAUAACUAAUAUUAAAAACUCUUAUUAACUCUACAUUCUACUGGUCUAAUAUCUAGUUGAUAUUGAAUUUCAACAGCAUGCACAUAGUAGCUUAACAAAAUUAAGGUUCUACAAGGUAAAAAGAAUAUUUUCAAAAUACAUACGUUGUUCUUUGCCAUGGUAGUUUGAUUUGUGCAUGUUCCUAUUCCAUGGUGAUUGAUAUGUUGUUGCUUUGGCAACAGAAUUCUAUUCCCUCCACAUAAAUUGUGGAGGAAAAGAAGCAACUAUUGAAGGGAAUAUAUACGAAGAUGAUACAGAUCCAGCCGGACCAUCAAGAUUCUACCAGAGUAAACUAACUGGGGAGUUAGUACCACUGGUCACUUCAUGGACGAUGACCGUUCCUCAUAUUCCUACACUUGGACGAAUGCAACCAAACUCUUCGAAAAUACUUCAGCACUUUACAUGGAUGCACGUCUUUCUUCAAUCUCUCUGACUUAUUAUGGUUUCUGUAUGGGAAGUGGGAGCUACACAGUUACCCUUCACUUCGCAGAGAUAAUGUUUACUGAUGACAAGACACAUAGCAGCCUUGGCAGGUGAUUUUUUGAUAUCUAUAUUAAGGUGACUGAACAAAGUUUUAUUCUGUCAUUCAGUAUUAAGGAUUUGAAUGUACAAAAUUUCAUUCUUCUUUCGGUUUUAUUAAUAGCAAUCUGACAACAAAAAUGUAGGAAAAGCUUGUAAAAAGGGAUUUCAGUAUCCAGAAAGAAGCAGGCGGUGUUGGUAAGGCAAUUAUAAAAAAUUUUACUGCCAUUGUAACUGGAAAUGCAUUGGAGAUACGCUUUUAUUGGGCUGGAAAAGGGACAACUGGGCUGCCUGUUAGAGGAGUCUAUGGACCUCUCAUAUCGGCUAUUUCUGUGACACCUUGUAAGUUGAGGAGAUUUUAUGAACUUAAUCAUCAGGAUUCUGUUCGUACAGUACAAAACCAUCAAUGCAGCUUGGUCUUGUCCAAUUUGUGUACCCUCUCCAUCCAAAUGACCAAUAAAUCUGGGGGUGAUCGUACAAAUUUGCCGUUCUUAUUUAUUAUUGAGAUUUGGGAGAUGCAUUUAGCAAUUUUCAUGAGACCAAAUGGAAAGCUUUCGUACUAUACCUUUGCUUACUGAUUUAAUACAAAAAUAAAUUGCUUUAUCUCUAAAAACUGAUAAUGUUUCCUUUUACCGCUAUUUGAAGGUAGUCUGGAUGGUACAAUUUCUGCACUUAUAUACGAAUAAUGUAUUGUCCAACCAAUUUGACUUACAAUGUGAUGUUAUUUGUCUUUCUGUUAUAAACUCUUUGCUUCCUGCAGAUUUUGUACCUCCUUCAGAAAAUAGCAGUAGUAAUGGUAUAUCCGCUGGCACUGUGAUUGGCAUUGUGGCUGCAGUAGUGGUUGUCGUCUUCCUGAUUCUAGGAAUUCUCUGGUGGAAAGGUUGUUUAGGACAGAAGAUCAGUAUGCGUCAUGGUAUUUUCUAAAGAUUUAUCUUUAUUUUCCUAUUUCUGCAUAUGAUUUCUCCAUAUCAACUUUGUAGAACCAUAUAUAUAUAUAAUCAAACCUGUUAAGCUGAAACUGGAAAAAGAAGGCUGCUAUGGCGAAACUGAUUGACAAUGAGAAGUCAAAAGAGAGAGGGAGAGAGAAGUGAAAUUAAUUCCAAGAAACGAAUUCUUUUCUGAAACAAAUUCGCUUCUCCAACAGAUUUGAAGGGCCUAGAAUUAAAAACAGGUUCUUUUACAUUGAGGCAAAUUAAAGCUGCUACAAACAACUUCGAUCCUGCUAAUAAAAUUGGAGAAGGUGGUUUUGGUCCUGUUUACAAGGUAUUCAACAUGAACUUUACUUGGUUUCUUAAUGCAUGGCCUUUGUAACAUUUUUAAGAUUCUUAGCUUGAUGCAAUACUAGUCUUGCGAAAGUUUUUACAUUAUUUCCUUGAUGCAGGGUGUUCUAUCAGAUGGAAACGUAAUUGCUGUAAAGCAGCUUUCCUCCAAAUCAAAACAAGGAAACCGUGAGUUUGUGAAUGAGAUUGGCAUGAUUUCUGCUCUGCAACACCCUCAUCUUGUAAAGCUAACGGAUGAUGCAUUGAAGGCAAUCAAUUAUUGUUGGUGUACGAGUACAUGGAAAAUAACAGCCUUGCUCGUGCUUUGUUUGGUAAAUUCAAAGAAUAUAAUUUAAUUGAUUUCAAGCUCUUGGCUCUUAGAUGUUUCCAUACAUGUAAAGGUACGCAUGCUUGUAUGGGAAGAGACAAAAUACUCACCUUAUACUUAGCAUCACUGUUGAUCUUGUCUCAAAGGUCCUGAAGAAUACAGUUGAAUUUGGAUUGGGCAACAAGGCACAAGAUUUGUGUUGGUAUAGCAAAAGGUUUAGCUUAUCUUCAUGAAGAAUCAAGAUUGAAGAUCGUGCAUAGAGACAUCAAGGCCACCAAUGUGUUGCUUUGUUAGUUGAUUGUUUUUAGGACUGCAACGUGUCUAAGUAUCAGAAAGUAUCAGAAAUUGUUUUAUGCUUCCAUUCUGUUUUUUAGUUUGUCCUAGUUUUUAGGAAGUGGUUAGUUUGUUGAAACAUGUUGCUGUUCAUGGCACAUGUUGCUGUUCAUGGCUUAAUUCUCGGUUUCAGUUAUUUUUUCUGUUUCUAUAUAAUGUAAGCUUGUUGCAUAAUAAAAUUGUAUUCCCAGUUUGCAUUCCCUUACCUACUUUUCUAUCUUGCUUCUACAUAUCCAUAAACUUCUACCUCUGUUAUACUCCUUUUCUUUUUUUAAAACUUACAAAUUGGUAUCAGAGCUUUUUUCUUAAGGGAUUUGUGUGUGAGCUUGACAUAUCAUGGAAGUUGAAACAAGUUUCUCCUCAAUUGCUCUGCUGGUGUUCAAUGGAGACAACUACCAGAUUUGGGCAGUACGCAAGGAGACAUAUUUGGAAGCUUUGGAUCUUUGGGAAGCAGUGGAAGAAGACUAUGAUGUUCCUGUACUUCUAAAAAAUCCCACCAUGACACAGAUCAAAACUCACAAGGAGAUGAAGACGAAGAAGUCGAAAGCCAAAGCAUGCUUGUUUGUUGCGGUGUCAACAACAAUCUUCACAAGAAUAAUGUCCCAUAAGACAGCCAAGUCUAUAUGGGAUUACCUUAAGGAAGAAUAUGCAGUAGACGAAAGGAUAAGAGGAAUGCAGGUUUUAAAUUUGAUACGGGAUUUCGAGUUGCAAAAGAUGAAGGAAUCUGAAACAAUUAAAGAGUAUUCAGAUAGACUUCUUGGAAUUGCAAAUGAAAUCAGGCUACUCGGGUCUGAAUUCAGUGAUUCAAGGAUUGUGGAAAAAAUCCUUGUCACAGUACCUAAAAGGUAUGAAGCGACAGUUACCACCUUGGAAAAUACCAAGGAUCUGUUAAAAAUUUCCUUGGCAGAAUUACUUAAUUCCCUACAGGCGCAAGAGCAGAGACGACAUAUGAGGCAAGAGGUCAACACUGAAGGAGCCUUAUUUGUAAAACAUCAUGGAGCUUUCAAAAACAAAAGGAAAGAGAAGAAAGGCCAAGAGGGAAAUUCUUUUGCUCCUGUUUUGAAUAACAACAGAAGUAAAAAAAAAAGCUUCAAGGGUAAAUAUCCUCCUUGUCAUCACUGUAAAAAGGAAGGUCACCCUCCAUUCAAAUGUUGGAGGAGACCUGAUGCAAAAUGUUCAAAAUGCAAUCAAACGGGACAUGAAGCAGUAAUUUGCAAGGGAAAAGCUCAGCAGCAUGAAGUUGACGCCCAAGUUGCAGAACAAGAGGAUGAAGAUCAGCUUUUUGUAGCAUCCUGCUUUGUAAGUAGUAGUUUGACUACAAGUUGGUUAAUUGACAGUGGUUGUACCAACCACAUGACCAAUGACAAGAAGCUCUUCAGAAAUAUGAGGCCAACUGACAUUACUAAAGUCAAAAUUGGCAAUGGUGAUUACAUAUCUGUCAAAGGAAGAGGGACAAUCACCAUAACCAGCACUGCAAGCACAAAAACAAUUUCUGAUGUUCUCUACAUACCAGAAAUUAAUCAAAAUUUGUUGAGUGUAUGCCAAUUGAUUGAAAAAGGCUUUAAAGUGAUCUUUGAAGAUAGUUUCUGUCACAUACUGGAUGUCAACAGUGAGGAAAUUCUCAAAGUGAGAAUGAAAGGAAAAAGUUUUUCUUUUGAUCCUAUUAAAGAGGAACUUGCUGCAUUCUCCACGAAAGCUUGCAACACUGAGAUAUGGCACAAGCGACUCGGUCAUUGUCACUUACGAAGGAUGCAACUUAUGCAGGAAAGGGAACUCACAGUUGGCUUACCAACCUUUGAAGAUCACUUACCGAAUUGUCAUGCUUGUCAAUACGGUAAACAAAAUAGGAGACCAUUCCCAAAGUCAUCUUGGAGAGCCACUCACAAGUUGCAGCUAAUCCACACAGAUGUAUCGGGUCCUCAAAGAACUGAAUCAUUAGCAGGUAGUCGAUAUUACAUUGCUUUUAUUGAUGAUUUUUCAAGAAUGUGCUGGAUUUUUUUCUUAAAAUUCAAGUCAGAAGUAGCUGGAGUUUUCUAGAAGUUCAAGAAAAUGGUAGAAAAUCAAAGUGGCUGCAAAAUUCAAGUUGUAAGGUCAGAUAAUGGAAAGGAGUACACUUCAGCAGAAUUUAAUAUGUUUUGUGAAAAAGCUGGCAUUGAACACCAGCUUACUGCUCCUUACACUCCUCAGCAAAACGGAGUAAGUGAAAGGAGAAACAUGUACAUAAUGGAGAUGGCCAGAUGCAUGCUACAUGACAAGGAGUUGCCCAAAAAAUUUUGGGCUGAAGCGGCUAGUACUGCUGUUUUCUUGCAGAACAGAUUACCCACCAAGGCAUUGAAGGAUAAAACUCCAUUUGAGGCAUGGUAUGACUAUAAACCUUCACUCAAUUUUCUUAGAGUGUUUGGUAGCUUGUGUUUCUCUCACAUUCCACAGGCCAAGCGGGAUAAACUUGAUAAAAAGUCAGAACCAGGCAUCUUUGUUGGGUACAGCUCAUCCUCAAAGGCAUAUAAGGUUUAUCAACCUCAAACAGGGAAGAUAAUUGUCAGUAGAGAUGUGUUCUUCAAUGAAGAAGAGAAAUGGAAUUGGGAACAAACAAAAGAGACAACCACGAGUAUGCAAAAAUCAAAUCUUUCCUCCCAAACAAGAGAAGAGCAAGCAUCAGAACAGUGGCAAGAAGAAUUGGAGGAUGAUUUACCAACUCGUGGAACAAGACAACUUCAUGAUAUUUAUCAGAGAUGCAAUGUGGCCAUUUGUGAACCUGCUGGUUAUGAAGAAGCCAUCAAAGACCAAAAAUGGCAGAAGGCAAUGGAGGAGGAGUUGUCAAUGAUAAAAAAGAACAAAACUUGGGAGCUAGUUGACAGGCCAAAGGAUAGAAAAAUUAUUGGAGUAAAAUGGGUGUUUAGAACCAAGCUCAAUGCAGAUGGCUCCAUCAACAAACACAAAGCCAAGCUUGUUGUCAAGGGAUAUGCUCAAGUUUUUGGAGUUGAUUACUCGGAUACAUUUGCCCCUGUUGCUAGAUUAGAUACUAUUCGGCUUGUGCUAGCUAUAACAGCUCAAAAUGGGUGGAAGGUGUUUCAACUAGAUGUAAAAUCUGCGUUUUUGAAUGGUAUUUUACAGGAGGAAAUCUAUGUUGAACAGCCCGAGGGAUUCAUGAAACAAGGUGCAGAGGAGAAGGUCUACUUGCUCAAGAAGGCUCUAUAUGGCUUGAAACAAGCACCUAGAGCAUGGUAUAGCAAGAUAGAUGAGCAUCUGUCAAGCCUAGGAUUUCAGAAAAGCAUGUCAGAGGCUACUCUGUAUGUGAAAUGUAAAGGAGACGAUCUACUCAUAGUCUCUAUUUACGUUGAUGAUCUCUUAAUCACAGGUGGCAAUGCCAAGCUUGUUGAAGAGUUCAAAAGGGAAAUGAUGAAAAUUUUUGAAAUGACAGACCUUGGACUCAUGGCAUACUUUCUGGGAAUGGAGAUUAAACAGCUAGAAAAUGAAGUUUUCAUCUGUCAAAAGAAAUAUGCCAAGGAAAUUCUCAAGAAGUUUCAUAUGGAGGACUGUAAGGCAAUGGCUACUCCAAUGAAUCCAAAGGAGAGCUUAAGUAAGGAGGACGACACAGACAAAGUUGAAGAAGGCUAUUUCAGAAGCAUGAUUGGUUGCCUAAUGUACCUAACGGCAACCAUGCCAGAUAUUCUUUUUGCUGUAAGCAUUCUCUCACGUUAUAUGCAUUGUGCUAGUGUAAUGCAUCUUAAAGCUGCAAAAAGAGUCAUUAGAUACAUCAAAGGAACUAUUGACUUUGGUGUAAAAUUCAAGAACUGUCAAAACUUCAAGUUGCUGGGAUUUUCUAACAAUGAUUGGGGUGGAUCCGUGGAUGACAUGAAGAGUACAUCUGGGUACUGUUUUAGCCUGGGAUCAGGAGUUUUCUCAUGGAAUUCCAAGAAGCAAGAGACUGUAGCAUAAUCUACUGCAGAGGCCAAAUUUAUUGUUGCUACAGCAGCAGUGAAUCAAGCACUGUGGCUGAGGAAGUUGUUUUGUGAUUUACAUUUGAAGCAACAAAAUGAUACGAAGGUAUUUGUGGACAAUCAGGCAGCAAUUGCAAUCUCCCACAAUCCAGUUUUUCAUGGAAAAACCAAGCAUUUCAAAAUCAAAAUUUUCUUUUUAAGAGAAGUGCAGAAGGAAGGAGAAGUGAGCCUCAUUUAUUGCAGAUCUGAAGAUCAACUCGCAGACAUUUUUACAAAACCUUUGCCAGCAAACAAGUUUGAACUUCUUAGGCAAAGACUCAGAGUUUGCAGCUCUUAAAACAUGGAGGAGUGUUAGUUGAUUGUUUUUAGGACUGCAACGUGUCUAAGUAUCAGAAAGUAUCAGAAAUUGUUUUAUGCUUCCAUUCUGUUUUUUAGUUUGUCCUAGUCUUUAGGAAGUGGUUAGUUUGUUGAAACAUGUUGCUAUUCAUGGCACAUGUUGUUGUUCAUGGCUUAAUUCUCGGUUUCAGUUAUUUUUUCUGUUUCUAUAUAAUGUAAGCUUGUUGCAUAAUAAAAUUGUAUUCCCAGUUUGCAUUCCCUUACCUACUCUUCUAUCUUUCUUCUACAUAUCCAUAAACUUCUACCUCUGUUAUACUCAUUUUCUUUCUUUAAAAUUUACAUGCUUGAUAAGAAUCUAGACCCAAAGAUAUCUGACUUUGGGCUAGCCAAACUUGAUGAAGAGGAAAACACCCACAUAAGCACCCGAGUUGCCGGAACCCUGUGAGCCUGCUCUACUGUUGUAUCUUGUUAAUACUUUCUAGUUCUUAUAUUUUAAGUUGAAUACAAUGAAAGAAAGAAAAAAAAGAGAGUCCAUCCUACAGCUUCACACAGAUUUGGUCAGCAACCAAAACUUAUCCCACGUCCAAUAAUAUAAAAAAAUCUAAAAAUGAGCCAUCCACCAUAAGAUUUAAGUCUUUUGAAUAGAACUUAGUCUAAGCUGUUUGAUAUAUUGGUUAUUUUUGCAGUGGGUAUAUGGCACCUGAAUAUGCAAUGCGGGGUUAUUUGACUGACAAAGCAGAUGUCUACAAUUUUGGAAUCGUUGCCUUGGAAAUUGUCAGUGGGAAGAGCAAUACUAGUCAUCGAACAAAGGAGGACACUGUUUAUCUUCUUGAUUAGGUAGAAAGAUUUAUUUAUUUUUAUUAUUAUCAUUGUACUUAAUUAUAUAUAUCCAUCUUGUCUUCUAGGCAUUGGUUUUGAAGGAGUAUGAACUGGGCUCAUAUCAAAGCCCUCACACACCUUCCAUCUAAGGUGUCUUCGCCUUUCAUAAGCGCUCUGAAAUGGGGCUCCUAUCACGGCCCUCACACCUUCUCUCUAAGGUGUCUUCGCCUUUCAUAGGCGGUCGCAUCCUUCUACAGCUGAGAUGCUUCAAAGUGGCUUCAAAAGUUCUCUACCACCAUGUGGACUUAGGAGAGAUUACUGCCACUGAUUACAUAGAAAGAGAAAGUUGUGGUACACUCCUCGCAAUCCUCCACCUCGAUUUCUAUGUUUGGAGCUUCUGUGCCUUUCUAUUUGAUAGCUUCACCUACACCAACUCUCUUUGGUGUCUUCGCCUUUCAUCAUAGGCGGUCGUCUUUUAUCACAGGCAUUUGCACCCCCUCAAUUAGGUGCCUCUGCAACAGCUCUCUUUCCAUCCUUGCAUGCAUUGGAAAUGUCUUCGCAUGUUGUCUUCAUCAAGAGCAUAAGAGACUUCUUGUUGUACAAACUUUAACAGUCUCUGCUCUGAGCUUCAUCUGGGAACACUUCUUCUCCUUGCAUAUGUUGUCUCAUUACAAUACCUUGUUGGAUCCUACGGGUACUCCUGCACAAUCUUCGUGUGCUCUCAUGCAAUUUCUGCUCUCCAGAUUUCUCCUUAUUCCUUGCUUAUGUUUGACAGCAGCUCAUCCUGUCAUAACACCUGUCCAAGUCAAAAUAGGAUGCCAAUCUUUAUCCCCUUGUUGUAUUUCUCUUCCAUUAUCAGGGUCUUCAUCAAUUCUCCCCUUGAGAAAUCACAGUCACCGAAUCUAACUUCUUUGGAGAAAUCACCACUCCAUCAGAUCCUUGAACAUACGAAACCCAAUUGUUCCCUUGUGCCGUCAUCCUGCUAGUCUUCAACCGUUUCAUGACAAACUACUAUAUUUACGAAAAUAGUACCGUAUGGAUAAUCCUUCCCUAAGCAAGUUCCCAGGAAAGAUUGGAGGGGUCACACUGGUCCCACUUAAAACCCAAUCUCCUAGACAGAACUUCUUAGGCCAUAUCUAUCCAUCGUACUGUCUUUCCGUAUAUAUAACCAUUUGCUAGCUUUGUUGCGGCUUUCCUUUACAAGUGAUCUGAAAUAUACUGGUUUAAUACAUGAUUUCUCAACAUCUGGCGAGACUACCAGUGCUUAGAUUCAUCAAGAUUGGUCUUCGUCAAUUUCCACUCUACACCUCUAAUUGUCCACAUGAUCGGGUGUUCAGAGUGUCCCAAUUUUGCCUUCCCUCAAGGCAACUAAAAUUUUUUUCCAUUUAGCAAUUUAGCACAUGUAAUUGGGUAAACAUGUGCACCUUCUUCUUCUUCAUCUCCUUCGACCACCAUGAUGCCCUUCAGAUGUCUUUUAAUCGGGCAAUCUGUCUUAAUAAUUCACCACCACCACUUUCGGUCACAAAUCUCAAUGAUCGGACUGUACCAUUGCAUCCGGAACGAUCAAAUUAGCUGGAAACAAGUUUGAAAUCGUCCAAAUCGCAUUUCAGAUGGCUAAUAUUUGAUCAAAACAAUUCUGGCCUGAUGAACGGCCUAGAUUCAAUCUCAGAUCCGGUUGCACGUAGACUCCGCUGCAUAGAAUCUUAUCCCUCAGCUAGCGGUUCGGCUCCAACUCGGCUCGGCUCCACUCGACUCGGCUCACGUGAUGACGUGUCAGAUGACUGGCCGCUGACAUGGCAUGCUGAUGUCACAAUUACAUCAGGCUAACGUCAUCCUGGGCAUGCCUACUGUGCAUGCUGACAUCACAAUUAUGUCAUGCUGACGUCAUCUUUAUCCGGGUCAGUCACAUGGGUCGGGUCAACUGGUAUUAGGGUCGGGUCAACCCAUCCGGGUGAAGAAGAUGCGUGACGCGUGGCGCGCGUGGCCAGCCACCUCGCCGGCGCGUGAUGGCGAGUGAGGAUGAUUCCGACGUCCGAUUUCGAUGCCGUUUUCACCAGUGGCUUCGUCUCUUCCACCUCCACACAGUGGUAUGGUCAAAACAUAAUUUUGACAACUUUCAUUUUUGAACAAAAAAUCAAACACCACUUUAAACCAAAUGCUCUGAUACCAAUUGUUGGGGAUUCUAGCUCCCCAUGCGCGGACCGGUGGUGUACUGAUAGUUGCUCAAAGGAGGCUAACCACACUGGGACACAAUAUUUUACGUGGUUCGGCAAAUCGCCUACAUCAACGGGAGAGAGUCCAUAUUAUUUAGAGAUAUAGAGAAAGGUUUACAACACACAUGGAGGAGGAGGAUCACUUCUCUCAAACUCUACUCCCAUUGCUCUCACACACACUGCUACACAAGGCAGCAGGGCUGUUGCCCUUGGCAGCCCCUCUUUCUCUCUUGGUCUCGCUACUGCACUCACAAUUUCUCUGCUCUCUCUCUCUCUCGGUGCCUAUUUAUAGGCAAGAAUGGUGCCACCAGCUCCAACUCUUCUUCAACAAAGGUGGCUGCCAACUCCAUCUCUUCUUCAACAAUGGUGGCUGCCAAAGUCAAUGGUUGGUGCCGUCCAUUUGCUGCACAUUAAUGGCAACAAACCCAACAAAAGGGACUUUGCUGGUGCUUGUUGAUCCAAAACUAGGCCAAGACUACAACAAAGAAGAGGUGAUAAUAAUGAUUAAUGUGGCUCUCCUCUGCAGUAAUGUCUCUGCAGCAGUUAGGCCUGCGAUGUCUUCAGUAGUAAGCAUGCUCGAAGGAAAGGCUGUUGUUCAAGAUAUUGACAUUCCAGAUAAAAGCAUGUCAACGGAUGAGAAGAAGAUUGAAGAAAUGAGGAGGCAUUUUCAAGUUAUCAACGAACAGGAAAUAAGUGAGACUCGUACUCUGUCAAUGGAUGGACCGUCGACUGCUGCUUCUACAUCUGCUGGUGAUCUUUAUCCAGUCUCUUUGGAUUCUGACUAUUGGAAGGGUAGAGAGUAGAGAAGUUUGCUCCAAUGUGCUUCAUCAACUGUCCAUCUAUCAUCUUAUAAAUAUGGAAGUACAAAAAGGUGUUUGAGCAGUUCUACAAACUUUGCUGUGAUACCAUGUUGCAUAUCAAUGGUGUCUACAAACUGAAGUUUUCUAUAUUAUAUUCUUUUUCAUCUGGGAGGAAAUAUAUAAACAUGAUUACAAUUUAAAUAGACAAUAAUUUCAUUACAGGAAACUAUAUAUGUAUUUCUAUAUUAGCAUACAAGAUUUGAUCUGAUUGCUAUACUUGAUCAAUUCCUAUUACAAAAUCCACUUUCAUAUUUAUAAUGGAUAACUCAUGCUAACAAUUACUUUUGUUUUUAAGCAUUUUUUUUUUUUGCCUUGUUAUCAUCAUUUCUGUUCAUACUUGUUAACUUAUUUGAGGGCUAAUUACGUUAUAACUUUUUCAAAACUUCCAAUCAAAUUUUUCCUUCCACUUUCUAUAGGUUACUCCAUAAUUUGAUGACAUUUUUUGGUACACCAACUUAGGUUUUGUAUCGAUAGAGUUCAUACAUUUGAUUUAAAAAAAAAACCAAAUUAGUGCACCAACAUUUUUUUAUUAUGUUAAUCUAGUACUUAUAUUAAUAUAUCAUUUUUUAAUGUGGUUCUAUCUUGAUAAAAGUACCCUUUUAAAUAAUUCUAUAUUUAAUGGAUUAAAAUAUUUUAAAUUAUAAUAAAUAUUUUUAAAAAGAAAUUGAUAUCAAAAAAUUAAAAUAUGUACUUGAUUGAGAAAAGGUACAAAGUCGAUGUCCUAAUAAUGCAUUUAUUCCAUUUUUCUUCUAAUUUUUCAUGUUAUUUUAUUAUUUUUAGAACUAUUUCUGACCUAUUUUGUAUGUUGUCUAGGAUCCCAUCUUUGUUUCUCGAGUUGGUUGUUGGUUUCUGACCUGUUUCUAAUGCAUUGUUCUUCUUCUCGAAGAUGUAGUUCGUUUUUUUACCAUUCAUAACAUCGAUUUUUUUAUAUUUUUGCCCUAUCUUGCUACAUGUUAAGGAUUUCAAGCAUUCUUCCCCUAUGUUUUCCCUUAUUUUCUCAUGUGCUGCCACUCUUCUUCCCUAGAAUUUUAAUCCUUCUUGCCAAACCAACUAGCUUUGAUGUAAUGGCUUUCGAUGUUGUAAUAUUUUCCCUUUCUUUUCUUGUCCUGAACAUAGUUUGUGACCUCUUGCAACUGCCCUACGAACUUAAUUUGAUGUUUUUAUCCUACUUUUUCCUUAUUUUCCCUUUUCUUUGUUUCCUUUUAAUUCAUUGAAUAUUUUCCAUUUCUGUGCUUAAUUCAGUUAUGCUUUGAGUUCCAUUUCGUUUCAAGUUGCACUACGCUAGUCCUGCCUUGCCUUUACUACUUAUGUGUGUGUGUGUGUGGCUACGUCAGUCUUGCCACACAAUGUGCAAACGUGAGUUAACUAGCUAAGAAAAAUAUGUGUGUGUGGCAACGUGAGUCUUGCCAAGAUGGCUCCGUACUUUGUAGGUGCACAACCUUUUUCAUAGUAUUGUCUUGUGACAUAGCAUAUUGUAUGUAUAUACUUUCCAACUGCGUAUUAAAUACACAACGUGCAACUGUUUGUUCUGGUUCCUGUUUUUAUCGAUGUUUAAUCUACUACCUUGAACUAGUUUCUUUAUUAUUUGGGUGUUGUUUUCUCUUUAAACAUGCCUUACCUUCUCCCUCAAGUUCUUUUUUUCCCCCUUUAUUUGCCUUUACCUUUCCACCACCUGAACUAGUCCAAAAAAAAAAAGAAAAAAAAAACAAUUAAAUUACUACGAGAUGAAGGAAGAUAAGUAUGCUUUGAACCCUGAGGGGUGUAGCUCAAUUGGUUAGGUCCUGAGUUUGUUUUCUAGAGAUCACCAGUUUGAGUCUUACAAAUCUCAGGGUCACUGAAAGCUUACAUGGUCGUUAACUUCAAGACACGUGAGAUUAGUCGAGUUGCGAACAAACUGGUCUGGACUUUAUCUAAUUUCUACACAUGUCAUCAACAUUUGAACUAUGGUUUAUUGUAUUUGUUUUGAAUAUAGAAACCUUCAUAAUCUAAACUCUACCUUUUAAACAGGGGUUUAAAUUAUCAUAUAUUUUUUUUAUAUUCUAACAAAGCUUUUGUUUCAUCCACUUGAAAAUUGAUUUUUUUUUCAUUACAAAAAAUACUAAAAGAGAUUAAUUUUUUCGUGUAACCCCUCUCAUAAUUCACUAUAACUGUCAUUGGAAGAGAGAAAUACAAAGAUGGGCUUUAAUUAGGGGUAUUUUUAGACUUUUCCACGAGAUAACUUGGUAUUGUAGAAUUGGUGAGGGGUAUGUAUGUCUUUUCUCUUCUUGAAAUACUCUUGGAAGCAGAAUUUCAGUUUGCUUUGGGAGAUGGGCUUUUUCGGUUUUUUCCUUUCUUUAGCAUAACGAGGUUACCAAAAUAUACUUGAAUUUUAAAACAAAUGUUUUUCCUUUAGGGGUAUUUGCAUCGUUUGCACUCUAGGUUUUUUUGUAAAUUCAUGUGGGGUCAGGGUGUUUUUGUAUUUAUUAAAAAAUAAAGUUGUUGACGCAUGCUGAGCACGCGCUAGCAUGUGGAGGUUAUAUGUGCCAUUUUGAUGGCGUAUGACACCUCCUCCGGUCUCUGAAAAUACCUAACCGUCGUCUCAGGCAAAGUGUCUCGAUGCGACGCUUCUUCCUAACCGGCGUGUGUUGCUAACAUUUUCAUCGUUAGGCGACGGCUGAAUUCUUUUUGUCUCCCUAUCUUUUCUCUCUCCUCCACCCACCCAAAGUUUAAAAAUAUCCUAACCUUUUGUAUUAUUUCAAUUGUGGUCCUUAUUGUUUUUAUUGUUUUGUAUUUGCUUUAAAUUCUUUUAUGAUUUAUUUUUUUUCAAUUUCAUUCUUUAUUAUUUUAUUUUAUUUUAUUUUAUUUUUAUGUCAGAUUCAGUCAUCCUGAAAAUAUACAAAUGCAUAAUUAACAAAAAAAAAUUAAAAACAAAAAAAAUUAAAAAUUUUGGGAACGCAAGCCCUUUAUCAUUUAUUGUUUAUCACAGUUUGACCAUUAACUGAUCAUUAGUUGAAUCAAUAAUUUAAAUCACCUAAUAAUUUGAUUUGGUUUCUGUCUUAAUCCGGUUUAAUAAUACGUACGUUUGCUUAUAUGUUAAGAAGUUAAAAAUUAAAUGUGAAAAAUUACUGUAGAAGCAAUUAUAUAUAUAUAUAUAUAUAUAUAUAUAUUUGUGUUAUAAAGAGGAGGGUAUUCAUAUUCCACAUAAAAAUUACUCAAUCAAUUAUGUGUUUGGUAAUUCUUUUCAAUAAAAAAAAUGGUGUUUAGAUAGUAUGAUAACAAAUAUGUUGAAAAUAUUUAAUAUUUAAUACCCAUGUGUAUUGGAAGGAAUCUGAUCAUAUUUGAAGCAACACUUAUUAGUUUUAUAUGAUAGUUUGAUGUUUUUAGAUUGUUUUAAUAUGUUAAUAUUAAAAAUGAAUUUUGUAAAAUAAAAAAAAUAUUAUUUUAAUAUAUUUACAAUAAAAAAAUAUUUUAGAAAGUUACCUGCAUUAUUAUUACUGUUGCAAACACUAUUUAAUAAAUUUCUAAGUUUCUACAUGGAAAGGGAGAGAGGAAGACGAAGAUCACCAUGAAAAUAUCGUACAAGUAUAAAAGGAUAAAAGGAAAAAUAUAAAAUUUCCUCUUCAUCAUCAAUUAAUAACCACUUUGGUAUUAUCAUCAAUCUCAAAACAUUCAAGAUAAAAUUGGUGCCAUAGAUAUUAAUGACACUCUACUUAAUUAAUAGUGCCAUUAAUUACAUGCUUAAAUACAUUAUUAUUAAGUGUUCUAAUAAUGUGCAAUGGCAUUAUCAUCCCCCAAUCUCACCUUUCGAAAAUUUUCAUGUUAAUUUAAAUCCUUAAUAAAACAGUUGAAUCUAAUUAAUUAAGUGUCCAUUUAAAUAGUAACCUUUUUAUUUAUUUUAAAAAUAAAUUCCCAAAAUAUUUUAUAUAAUUUUUAGAAAUAGUCUUUUUCGACCUAAGGAUAGGAAAACUAUCCAUAACCUUUUUAUUCAUUGGUGGAUAAAAUGAGUAAAAUAUAUGAAUUCUAUCAAAUUCUUUUUAUUUUGUUUUUCAAUUACCCUCUCACAUUUCAUCCAUUAUUCAUAAGAUCCUUUUAUCCACAUGGGAUAAAAUGAAAAUAAUCAUCUUAGGGGUAAUUGAUAAAAAAUAAACUUAGAGUAAAUAGAAUCCAUAUAUUUCAAAGAGAUAAUUAAAUUUAUCUUUAAUUUGAGGGUGGAAAUUUUUGAAAUCUAAUCUCUCUCAGCUUCUUCGAGAGUAUUUGAGAAUGUGAUAACAGUUGCUUUUCAAAGUACUUUUUAUUCCAAAACGCAUUAAAAUAUUUUUUUUUAUUUUCAAAAAAUUAUUUUUGAUAUCAGCACAUCAAAAUAAUCUGAAAACAUCAAAAACAUAUUAAUUUAAAGCAAAAAAUAAAAAAUAAAGUUUUUUUAAUUUUUUCAAAAGCACUUUCCGAUCGCAGUGUCAAACACUACCCUUCUUCUUCUUCUUUUUCCUCCUCCUCCUCCUCUACUUCUUUUUCCUCCUCCUCCUUGAAUUUAAAACAAUUUUUAAAGAUAACCUAGGAACCAUCCCAACCUUUUUUUCCUCGAUUUUGGUUAGGAGUUUGAGAACAUCUCAUUUCCUCAACCUAAGGGUGGUGAAGAGAUCUAUUCUAUAUAAUAUAAAAUAGAGAAUUAUAUGAUUUUAUUUUACUCUCUUGAAUUAUAUGAAAACCAUUAAAGCAUCACUGAUCAACGGUUAUAUUUUAGGUUGAUUUUAUUUUACUCUCUUGAAUUUUAUGAAUUUUCAAUUUCUUUAAAAUGUUGGGGGUAAUUGAUAAAAAAAACAAGUUUUGAAGUAAAAAUUGAUUGUUAUUAUAUGCUUCAAGGAGGUAAAAUACAAUUAACCUAAAAUAUAACCGUUGAUCAGUGAUGCUUUAAUGGUUGUCAUUGUUCACGUUGACUUUCUUUCUUUAUCAACUUAUGAUGAUAAAACCAAUCAUUGAUUUUCAUAUUUAUAUAAAAUCUCAUAAUUAAUAAUGUUCAAGCAAGUGUAUUUGUUUAUUUUUAUUUAUAUAUUCCAUGGAAAUAACCAUCGUUUUUUACAACAUCCUCGCGCGUGCGCGCGUGUAUAUAUAAUUAAUUAUAUUCCACAUAAAAAUUAGUCAAUCAAUUACGUGGCAGGUAAUUAUUUUUAAUUAAAAAAAUAAGGUGUUCAGAUAGAAUAUGAUGACAAAUAAGUAGAAAAUAUUGAAUCUUUAAUAGUCGUGUGGAUCGGAAGGGAUCCCAUCAUAUUUAUAUUCGAACUGAAGUUUAGAAUAAUAUUUGAAGCAAAUGAAUAUACGUCAGCGUUUCACAAUUCCAAGAACCUAACAGACUAAUGAAUCUACUAGCUCGUUAUCACUUGGAUCAAUAAUCUAGGUGUGUUACAAUGCAAUAGUUUUUGCUUCGAAAAGUAUUUUUAAAAUUGUUAAAAGUCUCAUAUUAAUAUUUUUUUAGAUAUUUUUUUAAUAAUUUUAAUAUGAUAAUGUUAAAAAUAAGAUAAAUUAAUCAUCAUUUUAAUACAUUUUUAAUUGAAAAGGACUCUUUCUCACAUUAUCAAACAUAUUCUUUUAUAGCACUUUGUUUUAUUUUCAUCCUUGAUUUUUUUUAUUUCUCUUUUAUAGGAUCAAAUUAAUGGCUAAUUUAAGUAAAUUUAUUAUGAAAAAGUAAUAUUGAAAGAAAGAGAACCAAAGUGGAAAGAGCAUAGAAAAUCGAUGGUAUUUUUUAAAAAUAGUGUAAAAAGUUCACUUUUGUCCUUCUACUUUCAAAUUGAUAUAUUUUUUAUAUAAAAAUUAAUUUAUCUUAUUUUUAAUCACUGGUUUGAGAAAUGAGAGGGAAAGAGAGGGAAACUCGACAUAUUUUGUUUGAACAGAGAGAGUCUUGAUUGAAAUCAAUUUUGACCACGAAAAAUAUCAAUAUUAGUGUCAAUGUCAAUGGCUUUCAUUUGAUGGGGAAGUUUUAUUGAGGUGUUUUUCCCUCAAUAUUGAUUGAAAAGGGAGAUCAAGCUUGAUAUAAACAAACUUCAUUUUCAUGAUGUGUUCAUAAAAAUAAAAAUUAUUUGUUCUUGGUAUAAAAAAGUAACCUUAUGGUGUAAAUUAAAGGGAAAAGUGGGGUUAAAUAUCAUACUUUCUAUCUUUUACUUUUAUGGUAAUGAUUAUCUUUUUUAUUUUAGCAUUUGAUUAGCAUUAGUAGUUCUUUCUCAAUUUAUUGGUUCAUCUAGCAUAAACAAUAUCUUUACAUUUCUUAAUUAAAAAAAUCAUAAUAUAGUGAAACGUACCAUGCAUCAACAUUAUGCAUUUUUCUACCAUGUUAAAAAAUUAACUUGAGAUUCUACAGGUGGCAUUGUGUUAACAACUCUUUUUGGUUUUUAUUAACGCAUAUGAUUCUUGUUUUAUUUUAUUAUAUGUAUAAAUCGACUUGUCAAAAGAAAAUUUUAUCCAGCCUGCAGCGAAACACAGAUCAAAUAACUAGUAUAUAUAAUAAAUGGGUGAUUCAUUAUUCAUCCAUGCAUAAACUACUGUGGAUUUUCCUAUUCAUUUGAAUAAUGCAUUUUUUUAUUUUAGUUCUCAAACUUCUAGUUAUUGAAAUUUAAUCCUUUAUAGUUACAAUAUCAUGGUUUCUUUUAUAUGUGGUUCUUUCCGUUUGUGUUACAUCUAAUGUAGUGUCUUUAGUGACUUUUGGGAGAUGUUUGAAGAUAGAUUCGGUUUUGAUUUUACAAAAUUAUAAUUUAAUUUUAAUGUUUUAGAGAUUUAUGUUUUGAUAUCAAACUUCAUAGUACUCUUUACUUUUUAGUUUCUAGAUGUUGAGAGAUGAAAAAGAAAGUCAUUGAAAAAAAUUAAGAAGAGAGAAAAUGGUUAGUUAUCAACAUUUGGCCACUAAAAAGGCAAAUAUUUAUAUUAAUGGAUUCGUCUUUUCAAGAAAAGUUCAAUGAAUAUGGGUUUUUUAUGAAGAUGUAUGAAAAAAGAAGGUCGAGGUUCUUUUUUUUUUUUGGAAAAAUUAACCUUAACAUCCUUAUAAUUUGGUCCAUAUUGCGAUUACACGCUACAGUUUAAAAAAUUACAUUCUAUAUCUUGAACUUUAUAUGCACGCUAACACUUAACUUUUUUGCAAAGAAGUUAAUAAAAAAUUAUAUGAUUAUUUACAAAAUUACCGUCAAAAUAAUAUUACAACUUUGGUAAAAAAUAGAAAAGAAUAAACCAAGGUAUUCCAUCAACCACUUUGUCGACUAUACAAAAUCAACCCCAAUUCCAUAAUUUUCAUCAACACAAGUACCAAAAUGAAAACUAAUAAAGGAACAAAAUGCAUUUAAGCAAUAUACGUUGGCCAAGGCUUCUCAAGCUUUCCCUUCCUAUUGGCUCCUCGUAUGAACCAUCCUCCCUUUCAAACACAACUUUCUCUUUAUUGACAGCAAGAAGUCAACAAUCCUGCGGUAGUUUUUGAUGAAAAGAGCCUGCAUCUGUGGUUGUCUCGAGUCGAAAAAUAUGCCAAUCAUAAAUGUAUUCAAAAUCCACUCUCUGACUAUUUCCACAAGUUCCCGUAGUUUCAAAUGCCAACAUUCUACAAGACAUUUCCAUGAAACUACUGCACUCUUUAUGCCCACAUUGAAGACAACCAGCACUCCACAGAGUAGCAUAGCCCUUGUAAGCUUUCUUGUACCUUCAUGGACAGGUGCGUAAGGAAAUGCGUUGUAGAUCGCGUUUCUCUAGAAUUUAAAAUUUUUAUUUUUAUUUAAAAUUAAUUUUUUUUUAUAUUUUUCGAUUGCUUUAAUUUGCUAAUAUUAAAAAUAAUUUUUAAAAAAUAAAAAAAAUAUUAUUUUAAUACAUUUCUAACGCGAAAAACAUUUUAAACUGCAAUUGCUACCUUCAGACAAACCCGAAUAUCACAAUGGAAGCAGAAUAUGGUUUAAGGGUGCUCCACGUAGCUUUGGAUUUCCCUCAUAAGCACUGCUACCCAUCAAUCUAAACACAUUGUUGGAUGGAAUGGAACCAGAGAUAUCAUUAAAAGACAUGUUUGGAAGCACUAAGCUUGAAGAAGCACUAAACUUUGCUGGUAUGGAACCACUAAAGUCACUAUGUGACAAGUCUUGGAAGGCUUGAGAUAUCAUUCGAUUGGUUCAUUGCAACAUCAAUCUUCACCAAAUUAAUUCAACGUUUCAUCAACUCUUUGAGUUAUCUCCCCAGACAAUUUGUUAUCGAAGAGAUACAAAACAGUUAAAUUCUUCAAAAAAAAAACAAUCCAUUAGGAAUUUUACCUUCCAAAUCGUUUCCAGCUAAAUCUAAGUGCUCAAGGCUCGAAAGAUUUCUCAAACUCUUUGGGAUUUCACCGAUCAGAUUCACGAGUUUCAUCCACAAAAGCCUCAACUUCUUCAAAUGACCAGACUCCACAGGAAUUGAAGAAAUAAUUGAACAAAUAUUUAAAAAAAUUAAGGUUCUCCGUAAGAAUCAAUUUGGGUUAAAUUACUGAGAGAAAAGAAAAAACAUGUUUAGAGAAAGAAAAGUCAUGUUUGAAAAUAGAGAUUUUGUGUGAUUGAUGUGAAAAUGUGAUUAGAGAGAGAAAAGUCAUGUUUGAAAAUACAGAUUUUGUUUUGUGUGAUUGAUGUGAAAACGUGUUUGAAGAGAGAAAAGUCAUGUUUGAAAAGAGAGAUUUUGUUUUGUGUGAUUAAUGUGAAAAUGUGUUUGAAGAGAGAAAAAUCAUGUUUGAAAAGAGAGAUUUUGUGUGAUUGAUGUCAAUCAUAUCUCUUUUAUAUAUAUAUAUAUAUAUAUAUAUAUAUAUAUAUAUAUAAUUUUAUCAUUUCAUCAUAUUUAAAAUUUUUUAUUAUCUCAUAUAUAAAUUAUAAUUUUUCAAAUCACAGUGGAUAAUCACAAUAUGAAUCAAUAAUAAGAUGUCAAAAGUUUUUUUUUUUCAUUAAUGAAUUUUUUAUUUUUAAGUGAUUUUUAGAUGUUUUAGGAUUGAUAAUUGAUUUAUUGAGGUUCCUAAAAUUAAUCGCGGGUGAUAAGUCACUUGCUCUAACAAGCUAUUAGUCACAUGAUUAUUUAAAAUAAAAAAAAAAUCCAAGCAUGCCUCAAAUUUUUAAUUAGAGGCAUGACGAGUGGGCUUGGCUUAUUUAGCCAAUCAAUGCUUGGUUUUUUUUUGUUUGUUUUUUUUUAUUAGUAUUAACAAUUUUAUUUAUUUAUUUGUUUAUGUUUAUUAAUUUAUUUAAUAAAGCAUAAAAAAAUAUCCUUUUGUUUUUCAAUUAAAAAAUAUGAUACAUAAAAACAUAUUUAUAAUGUAGUUAUGUCCUUUUCUUUCAUUAACAUGAAAUCCCACUAGCAACGUGGCACAAAUACAAAUACAAAGCUAGUCAAUAUAUAUUCAUUCUUAUAAUAUCUAGGUCUUGAAAGUGUUUUUCUAGAAAGUAUUUUUUGACUUUUUUAUAUUUGACUACAUAUAAAUUGGUCAACAAGAUUCAUUUUCUAGUUAAAGAAAAAUAUAAGUUUUAGAUGAAGGAAAGUGUUUCCCAACUUGAAAAAGUGGAAAACACUUUCCAUGAAUGAUCCAAAAAUUAAAGUGAUAUAAUAUUUCAUUAUAUAUAUAUAAUACUUUAAAAUAUAAUAUUAUUAAAAAAAAUACUAAAUUACUAAUAUAUUUAUAUAGGAAAUAAUAUAUUAGGAUAUAUUAAUAUACAAUAUAAAAGUAUAUUAAUUUGAUAUAUUAAUGCAUAUAAUACUUUAAUUUAGAUAAUAUUACUAGAAAAUAUAUUUGAAUAUAAAACAUGUUAAAUUAUACAAUAAUUAUACAUCUUAAAUCAUAUAAAUUGUGUUAUAAAAUUAAAAUACCAUAGAAAAUAAAUUAAUUUUCAAUGUUCUCCAAGCACCAAAAAAUAUUUGAUAAAAAUAAAAAUUAUACUAUUUUUAAAAGUUAAUAACUCAAAAUAUAUUAUUUUCCAAAUUAUUUUCUUAGAUAUAUCCAAAGACCAUAAAAUGAUUUCUAACUCAUUUUCAUUAAACAUUGAAAAUUUAUUUAUUUUUUAAAAAAUUAUUUUUCAUGACACUAUUAAAUAUUGAAAAAUAUUUCACUCCCAUGAAAACAACUAUCUAAAAACAAAUUACUUUCCGUAAAUAAACAAAGCUAUAUACUCAAUAAGAAAGAAAUGUAUGUCACUCACUCUUGAGAGUACCUGUAAAGGUGUUGAGAUUUUGUUUUGUUAGUUAAUUAAUUGUGAAGUAUAAGAACGAAGUACGCAAGCAAAGAUUAGCGGCGAAAGUUUGACAUUUUUUAUUUGAUUUUUACAGGCUGCUGUUCUUGCAUUACACCACGGCUAAUUCAAAAUCUUGAUAUCUAAAAGGGCUUCUAAUUGGGCGAGAAGAAUAUAAUUUUUUGAUGUAAUUUCUUGUUUAGCUAGAUUAAACUCGGUAGGAGUUGUUUUUAUAUACUUAAUUAAUUUAUACAGUCCAAAAAAAAUUCUUUUAAUUGGUAAAAAAAAUUUGAGAAUAAAAUUUAUAUAAAAAAAAAUUAACAGAAAAAAUCACUCAACUUGACUAAUUGUUUAACUUAUGUUUAAAAUUGAACUAUGUAGAGUGACCUCGACUAGUCUAAAAUAAUAUGGUAAAAUUUUGAGAAUGAAAUUAAAAGAAAAAAAGGAGGAGAGAUCGAAAAGGAAGGGUUAAAAUAUAAAUAGUUAAGCUACCUCAGUUUUCCCAAGUUAUUGAGUAAUUGUAGGUAAUUAUGGGAAUUUCUUAUGCAAGGUCAAUUCUGGCUUAUAAAUGUUAGAAAUGUGACUGUUUUAAUAUGAAAACAACAACAUGAAGAGAUCAACACGCAAGAAAUGUCCUUCAUGUUGAUGUUUGUUUGCAACUUGUAAAGUCCUUUUUAAUAUGAAACCAAACCCAACGAAUUGUAGAGAUCAAUAAAUUAUAGAGUCGUUGCAUUUAAAGGUGUCAUUUAAAUCUAAUAGACAUAAAGGUAUAAAAAUAUCCACCUACGACUAAAAAAAUAAAGGAGUUAAGCAACUUCAUGGGUGAAGAAGAUAUUUGUCUUGUAUAGGUAUGAAUCAACACAUAUCUACGGUCUUCACAUAUUCCUACAGUCACAAUCGUCUUCGAUAGACAAAUAUCUACAAUUCGUUGUGAAGCUCAUCACAAAUAUCUCAACGUACACUCUUCAAAACUAGUAUCCAACACCCGGAAGCAUCCAUCUUAAAGGAUGAAGCUCAUCACGCAGUGACCAUGCUGUCAAAGAAUCAUCUCAACUCAAUAACUUAAACUUUUAAGUGAGGUUCCAGGAUAUGAUUUAUCUUAUUCUCUAACACACCCCCUCAAGUAAAAGUCCUUUGAGCUUGAAACUUGCACAGACCCACAUUACCUUGUGCUUAAUUUUUUAUCAAAUAAAUGGAGAUAAUGAGAUUUGAACUCGAGACCACUUGGUCAUAAGGCUCUGAUACCAUGUCAAAGAAUCAUCUCAACCCAAUAACUUAAACUUUUAGGUAAGGUCCCAGGAUAUAAUUUAUAUUAUUCUCUAACACACCCCCUCAAGUGAAAGCCCUUUGGGCUUGAAACUUGCACAUGCCCACAUUACCUUGUGCUUAAUUUUUUAUCAAAUAAAUGGGGAUGGUGAGAUUUGAACUCGAGAUCACUUGAUCAUAAGGCUCUGAUACUAUGUCAAAGAACCAUUUCAACCCAAUAGCUUAAACUUUUAGGUGAGGUCCCAAGAUAUGAUUUAUAUUAUUCUCUAACACACCCCCUCAAGUGAAAGCCCUUUGGGCUUGAAACUUGCACAUACUCACAUUAACUUGUGCUUAAUUUUUUAUCAAAUAAAUAGAGAUGGUGAACUCGAGACCACUUGAUCAUAAGACUCUGAUACCAUGUCAAAUAACCAUCUCAACCCAAUAACUUAAACUUUUAGGUGAGGUCCCAGGAUAUGAUUUAUAUUAUUCUCUAACGCAUGCAUCGUGAAGAAAAUGCUUUUGACCUUUGCACAGACAAACCCAAAAGAGACGACUACUCUAGCUAUUGUAUGAUCGAUAACAUCUUUUUUUUUUUGAAAAAAAAAAGAAGUAAGAAUAGAGAAAUGUAGUGUUGAUAAAUAUGUAAGAUGAAAAAACAAAAUGUUUAUCCUUUUCUUUUUGGUCUUUAUAUAUAUGGAAUGUUUUUUAGUCAAUUUGCAAGUUAACAAAUACCAAGAUUUUUCUUCGAAGAUUUUUAAAACGCAUCGCUUGUAUCAGGAUUUUAAAACGCGUCCACAGAAAAAUAUUUUUUUUUUUAAAUGCUGAUUUUAAAGUUUGGAUUAAAUAAAUAAAAAACAGAAAAUAAACAUCGCUGCUGAUCCUACCCGUUGAAGUUAAAAUAAUGUUUGCCUAAUAACUAAUCUCUUUAAUUAUCGCUUUUGAGUCAUCUUUGAUUUUUCUCCAGCUGCAACAGCGGCCUUUCCUAAGUCAUUUUCCUCAUGCAGCCCUCUCUCUCUCUAUCGCUGUAUAAAACACGUCUACGUUUCACUAACCAACGAACAGCAAUUUGCAAAGGAAGACCUUUCCCCAUGCAAAAUAAAGCAAGUUGCUGUCGAUCAUCUUUAAAAUCUCCUUCCUGGUGUUUUUCUUUCCCUCCAGCAACCCACCUCGCAUUACUGAGAAAAACACGCCGUUUCUGCUUGUGGUUUUUUGCUCUUUGAUCAUCGUUCUAAUUAGUUCCUCCCAGAUAAUAUAGCAAUUACCCAGAGAACGAGUUGUGCUUUGCGCAUGGCGUUCUGGCCAUCACUACUGUCGAAGACUUUCUCUGUUUUGGUUUUUGGAUUUGUGGUGUUGAAUUGCUUUGCUGUGGACAAGUUUGGAUCCCAUGCUCAAGGAGUACUCAGUACUCCACUCUUGCCAUUAGAUGAGGGUACGUACGUCCUCCUAACAAUUCAAUAAUCUCACUCUCUCUUUACCAUGAUUGAAGGUUCCCUUUUUCCUGGAAAAUAAUUUAUUUGCAGAGAUUAACGCUUCUUAUUUUUAUUUACUAUUCUUAAAUAAAAUCAGAAUCAUUUCAAUUUGUGAUGAUUAGUGAGAGAAAUUAGUAUAUCUACGUACUGAGAAAUAAAAUAAGAAAAAUGGAAAUUGUUAUCCACUUCGUUAAAUUGUGAAUUAUAUUUUUUAUUUUGGAUUAUCCUCUCUUUCAUAAUUAAGAAAACUUAUUAUAAGAUGUUGACUACUUUCCAUUCGAAUCAUUGAGCUUCUUUUAUAAUAUUUUAAAAUAAUAAAGGGGCUAUUCAUCCCUUAUUAUAUUAACAAUAUUCCCUUGCCUGCAAGGCUUAAUAAGAUAAGAAAAAUAUUUUUCAAAUAUUUUAAAAGGCUUUAUUUUUUCAGGACCUUCUUCACCUUAAGUCGACUCUAACUUCUUUUUGUUUGACUUGUUAUCCUCUGUAACUAGCCAUCUAAACCGUGGGGCUUUUUUUUUUUUUUAAUUUUAGCCAUCUAAACCGUGGGAUUAAUUACUACAUGUUAAUUUUUUCGUGUUUUACAUUUUAAUUUUAUAUCUUGUAAUUUUAUAUUUUGUUUACAUAAUUUCAAGCCUAACUUAUUACUAUAAAAGAUUUUGAUUAAAAGAAAAAAUAAAAACAAAAACAAAAAAUUAGUUUCUUUGCUAUUCAUAUAAAACCAACCCCAUCUCUUUUAAUUAUUUUGUUAACAAGCCAUAAUUAUAAGACUAAUCUGGUCAGCGAAUCAUUAUAUUGGAUAGACUAACCUAAUGACUUACCUACUUAGGUUCUAGUUAUGGUUUUUUUUUACUAAAAUGAUAUAUCAAAAAACAUAAUUUCAAAAAUUAAAAAAAUCUUGUUUAAUCCAUCCGUCCCACGAUCCAACCUUGAAUCAAAUCAAAUCAAAUCAAUAUUAGAGUCUAAAAGUCUUACAAUUAUAUAAUAAGCAAGAGAGCCCCAAUGGUAUACUGUUCUUGUCUCUUCGCAAUAACUAAUUGUCUCAGACUAUUAGUGCAUCGGCCAAUCUUGCACUUAAUACAAUAAUUAUUCAAUUACUUAGUUGAGUUGUCUGUGUUAGUUGCUAUAGUACAAAAUUUUAUAUUUUAAGUCUUUAAAAUAAUAUUGGAAUUACAUAUUUGAUGAUAAAUUAAUAAAUAUUAAACUCAAUCAUUAUUAUUAAAGAAAACCUUAUUCGCUUAAUUUUAGAAAUUUAUACCUUGUUGAGACUAAUUUUAAGUGAGCUAUUAUAUCCUAUAAUAAAAAAGAUUAAUAUUUUACUAUGGAUUUGCAUAGUGAAAUAUUGAUUUUACCUCUUGAUGGACAAAUUAAUUGGGCUUGAAUUUAGAGGCAUGAGAGUUUUUUUCACAAGCAUAUUAGUCAUUACUAGAAAAGAAAGGGUUAAAUUGUAUUUUUAUAUUUUCACUUAAUUGCCCAUAAAAGACAAAAAAAAAUAACUUGGGUCAAUGAGCUUUUUAAUCUUUUAUUUAAUUUUUAACAAGUAAGUUAUUUCAUUGCCUUGGAAAAUUAAAAAUAACUGUCUUUGACAUAGGACUUCUUUUGUCAUUUAGAUGUGGUGAUUUGAUAGUUAUUGAAUGUUAUUGGGAAAGUAGGGUAAUUUGAUAAAUAAAUAAAAAUUUUAAAAAAUUAGAAACGUGUAAAAAGUGUUUGCUGCUUUUGGACGGCGUGUGUGACACCAUUCGGCGGCCAAAACCGUGAUUCCAGAGCAGUGAUUGAAGUGUCUCGGUGUUCUCUAUACAAAUAAGUGGCGCGUGUAUCCCAAUGGUGGUCGGGGUGGCAAGAGUGACCUUUUGUUUUCUUUUUUUUUUUCUUCUCUCAUACUCGAUUUUCAUUCUGACCUUAAAAAAAAUCAAAUCAACCCCUAAAAUUUGUUGUACUUAAAAUUUUAUUUUUAUUCUCUUAAAAAAAAAAUCAAAUCAACACCUACUCUCAUGCUUUAAAAAAAAAAAACCUUCUCAAUCCUUGUGUUUCUCUCACCCUGAAAUGACUCACCUUUUCACCUAUUUAUAAUGGUCAAAACGUUGGUGAGCAAUGAAGAAAUAAACAUAGUAACCAAGCUUACAAAGCUUUGAGGUUAUUCCUCUCAUCCUUGGAAGCGACUCCACUCUUUCUUGAUCCCUCUGAUCCAUUACAAUAAAUAUUUUCUAACUUUUCCCACAUUCACAUUAUAGCUACCAAAUCUUCAUAUAUAUCGUUAUUGAGAAUGUACAUCCUUCUCUUUCAACGCUUUAGCCAAUACUUACUGAAUAAGAAUAUUGUCUUUCACCCUUUGUUGCCAAAGAGUAAAUUUUCUUCUUUUUUUUUAAUUUAUUUCAUGAUAAAUUUUAGCUUUUAAUCUUUUGUAGACAUUGAUAUAUCAUUAUCAAAAGCUGAAUAUCCCAAAAUCAAAUCAAAGCUGAGUCAGUACACAGUACCAUGAACAACACAAUCCAAAGAAAACAAAAAUAAUAAAGAUCGUGUACUCAUAAAAUUUAACAUGGUUCUACAAGAUCCUAUAUACAUUUGAGAGUAACCCUUUCUUACUAUAGGAGAAAUUAAUUUAAUACAAUAAUAUAAUUAUGAUUUUUAUGCCUGAAACCCAACCUUGUACACCCACUCUCACACUUAAAAAAAUCUUAACAUUUGUGUUUUUCAUACCCUAAAACCACUCAUCUUUUCACCUAUUUAAAGAAAAAGAAAACAUAAUGUAUGAAAAAGGAUCAUUUUUGCUGUACAGUUAGUAAUUGAAUCAUGUGAAUGCCUAAAUCCUUCCAUAAACCGGAGGAAUUUAAGCAUUAAAAAUCAUUAUCAUCAUCAUCAUUUUCUAGCUGUGUUUUAGCAAGGCCUUCAUACAUACAUUAUUUUAUAGAUAAAUAAUAUUAUUAUUGUUUUUAUGGAUGAUUGAAGUUCCUGAAUUGUAUGUAACAGUGCAAAUUCUUCAAAACAUAUCCAACAAGUUGAACAUCAGCAACUGGGCCACCAUCAAUCGAACUUCUUGCGGUAGUGCACAGUGGAACCAGAUCAACGACAACGAAAUUGAAAGCAAUGUUACAUGCGACUGUACAUUUGAGAAUGGCUCCGUCUGUCAUGUCACUCGCAUGUAUGUAUGUUUUCUUUAUAGGAAAUAUUCAAGAAUCGUAAUUCUUCCCCUUGCAAAAGCCAUGAUAUUUAUAUAUAUCAUCUUCAUAAUAAAUUUUAUGUUUUGUGAAAGAGUAGAAUACAGCUCUUGGAAUAUCCGAUAACUUUUUUUUUUUUUUUUAAUGAGGUCAUGUGGAUUUUUGGUGUUGUGUAGUUUUUAAGCAUGAUAUCAAUUCAUCUUGAAUUGAUAUCAUGGUUAAAAAUAAAUCUGAUUAAAAUAUUUAAAUUUAAUCAUGCAUCUUGUAUAUUUCUUUUGUGUAAAUAUUAAAAUAUAUUAAUCAGCAGAUUGGAAUUGAUAUAUUGCUGUUCGUCAAAAAAAAAAAAUUAAUGGCGAUACGUUCUCCAAGUCUUUGUAUGGUUACAUUUUCUUUUCUUUAUAUUUACUAACCAGUUCUUAUAUUUUGUUUCUGACAGAAGAGUGAAAAAAUUUAAUUUGAAUGGAGUUCUCCCAGAGGAACUAGGAGACCUUCCUCAUCUGCUUGAAAUGUAAGUGAUGAGUUAAUCAAGUUUGUUAAUAUCAUUAUUGAAUAGAGAUCAAUUGCUAUGUAUUUGGGUUUCUUUUCUUCACAUUUCCUGGCACUCCAUGUGCUUCACAGAGGAUUUUAAUUUAUUUAUCAGAACAAAUGAAAGUUUUUAUGAUGAUUCAAAUGGGAAAAGGUCUUUGUCUGUGUGGCUAAGAGAAACAGUGACUUGUAAACAAAAGGAAUUAUGCAAUGACUAAGAUGAAGCAUUUUUCAUUGGACAGUGAUCUGACUCGCAACUACAUUAGUGGAACAAUCCCUCCAAGACUUGCUCAGCUCCCUAAGCUUCAGAUUUUGUAAGUCUUUUUGUGCAUUCUGUUUAUGUGAAGGGGUUUUCAUAUCCCGAUAUGGAAAUUCAUGAACAUGUUAACCCCGUUUCCCAAUUCUCUUCCAUGUCUUAGGUCUCUCAUCGUUAACCGUCUCACCGGCCCAAUUCCCCCGGAUAUAGGCAACAUUACCACACUGGAGGAGCUGUAAGUCACAAAGCGAACUUCUUAAAUGAAACGCUAAGCUAGAACGUUAAAUCUUGAAUUGGAUCUUGCAGGGUCCUGGAAGAUAAUUUGCUAGGAGGGCCUCUUCCUCCAGACCUUGGAAAUUUGACAAGCUUAAGAAGACUGUAAGACAGAUGCCUUCAUCCUCUAUCUGAGUUUAUUUAUGUAUCUACUUCAUGAUAUUCAAUCUAAGUCUUUUUAUGUAUGGUACCAGUAUUUGAUGCUCACUUAGAAAAAAUUAUUUGUAACUUUGUAUUUUUUACCCCUGCAGUCUUCUUUCCGCAAACAAUUUUACAGGAACAAUACCAGACACAUUUGGCAAUUUAAAGAAUUUAAAUGAUUUGUAAGUGAUGAUGCGGGUCACAAUUGUUUUUUAUUUAUAGUAAUUACUAUGCUGAGCUUAAAUAUUCAUCUGUUUCAUAUGCUCCGGCAGUAGGAUAGAUGGAAGUGAACUGUCAGGGAAGAUACCUGACUUUAUUGGGAACUGGACCAACAUUACGACAUUGUGAGUAUUUACUUUGUCCCAUUUAUCUGCUAAUGUGUCCUCGAGCACAAGCUGAAUGGAAUUCCAUUUUCCUUUCCCUCUUGCAUUCCUAACAGUGGUAUAUUUCUUUUGCAGGGAUUUGCAUGGAACAUCCAUGGAGGGUCCUAUUCCCUCUGCCAUUUCACUGUUAAAAAAAUUAACAAUUUUGUGAGCUUAAAUUCCCUAUCUUGUAGAUUCAUAUUCAGUUCAAAGAAUUUUGCCUCGUUGUUUUUCGGUAAGAUGUUGUUUAGUUUUGUGGCUGCGGAUGAGGUUCACCCGCAGCCACACAUUUUGAUGUUUGGUAAAGGAAACAAACCUGAUUUUACUUGAUAGGGCCUAUUAAUUUUUGCUGCCCAGCUGCAGGAAUGGAGAAGCAGCAAAAAGUUUUUUUUUUUGGAAUAGUGGAGCAUGGCUCCACUGUUGCAAUGUUCAGUUUUUUUUUUUUUUUUUGAAAAAUCAAUGAAAAAAGUUUAGUUUUUUUUUUCCUGAACAACACCAGUGCAGUUAAUCGUGAACAAUAUUUUUUUUAUUUUUUUAAAAAAAUUAGUUUAAGGUAAAUCAAACUUACUCGUACUGUAAUGAAAUUGUAAAUUUUUUUAAAAAAAUUGUGUUGUACUCUAAAAAUUAGUAUUUAAUAUUAUUUAAUAACACUACAUAAAUUAGAAAGAUAUUGCAUGAUGACGUAACAUUUGUGGAAUUUGAUCGCAAUUCUAAUAAUAAAGAUAUCACAAUCUUUAUUAUUUAAUAACACUACACAAAUUAAAAAAUUCAGUUUUUGUUGUUGCGCGCUUAAGAAACCAUGAAAAAUAUAGUCAUUGUUGGAUAAAUUUUGUAUGUAAUGACAUUGCAUAUAGUUUAAUGGAAUAAUAAAAAAUAUUUGAUAUCAAUAUUAUUUAUUUCAUGAUAUAAUAACAAUAGUUAAAUCUACAAUAUUUAAGUUAAAAAUCAUUACUAUAUAUAUAUAUAUAUAACCUCAAUUUGAAAAGCAUUUUUUAAACCAAACACGUUAAAACUAUUUUUUCUUCAACCUCAAUUUCAACCACAGUUUUAACCAAACACCUAUUUUUUCAAACCAACCUUAACUAAAAGUACUUUUUAUAAAACAACUUUUUUCAAACCACAACCAUAACAGCUACCGCAAUACUAAACACACAAGUCUGUAUUUGAGAAAACUGAUUUUUUCUGUUGUCUUGAUUUUUCAGGAGAAUAUCGGAUUUGAAAGGAUCCAGUUCAACUUUCCCUGAUCUGAAAGAUAUGACAAAAAUGGAAAAACUGUGAGUUGAAUGAGACUGAUCAAAUAUAUUGUUACAGCAAUAUUACAUCAGUAAUUGAUUACAUAUUAUUUUUUACUCAGGAUUCUGAGAAAUUGCUCAUUGACUGGUUCAAUCCAAGAAUACCUUGGAAAUAUGGCAGACCUAGAUACUCUGUAAGUUUCUCUAACAGCUACCUUCAUGGCAACGCUUAAUUUCAUGGGCGUCAUAUUAUGUUACUCUGAUUCAAAAUGACAAGAUGUGUAAAGUGAUUGACAUCACUUUACUCUAUCGUUUGGUUUCAUUUAAAGUAAGAUAAAGCAAAGUGAAUCAGUAAAGGUAUAGCAAUAAGUUGAUUCCUUAUUUAUCCUGGUUGAACAAGGAUCUUUCCUAACCAUGAAGCUCCAGCCUUUUCCUCUUUUAAAACCGACAGUUUUGCAUUUCAUUUUUCCUUAUUUUAGAUUCUCAUUGAGUGAGGUCGGGAUGUUUUCAAACCAAUCUUGAUUUGUCAUAUGAGAUGCUAUUGGUGAUGUUCUACAUUAUAACAAUGUAAUAAGAUAUGUGGAAGACAUCUUAACAUAUGUUCUCUGUGAGCAUGAGCUAGACCUGCAUAUAGUCUGCAUGAUUCAAAAUCAUGAUGGUGGGGGCUCAUGUUUUUCAUAAAAGCCAUGCUGCAGAGGAUGUAAUAGGACCUUGAAUAUUACUAAUCUGACAACAUGGACUGGCCCGACAUUCCGUGAAUUAGAUUGCAGUGUGUUUAUAUUGCCCAGAGCUAAUUUUAUCUAGUGCUUUUUUCACGUGCUUUCAUUAAUUUUUACAUAUUUCAUUGCAGAGAUCUGAGCUUUAACAAGUUGACAGGCCAGAUUCCUGGCGCAUUAGAGAGUUUGAAAAAAAAUAAAAAGUUCAUGUAAGUCCAUAAACGCAUGCUUUCUGAAAGCACAGGAUCAUCGUUUCUAAUAUAUUUCUCAUGUUGACAGCUUGCUGGUUCAUUACCUGUUUAUUAAUGUGUAGGUUUCUGAAUAACAACUUACUAACUGGAGAAGUGCCUGCUUGGAUACUGGGAAGCAGGAAAGACUUGUGAGUCUAUUGUGAAGUUAUACAUAAUUCUUUAUACAUGAAAUACACCAAUCUUUGUUCUCCUCAAUCAACAACUAUAUUACCCCUGCCACGAAAUUUUAUUUCAGGGAUUUAUCUUACAACAAUUUUACUGGAUCAGCUGAGCAAAGUUGUCAACAGCUACCAGUGUAGGCAUUAUUUUUUCCCGUUACUUGUUUCUUCUCCUUUGUCUCAAGUUGAUUGCUAACUUCUAUUUUGAAAUUAUAUAGGAACUUAGUUGCUAGUCAUGUGUCAACUGGGAGCAACAAGUAAGUUCCUCCUUCACUAAGAUGCCUUUUAAGAUAUCUAUAAAUUUGACUUAUCGACAACCCUCAUUCUUCUCUACAGGAUUUCUUGGUGCUUGAACAAGGACCUUGUUUGCCCAAGAAAACCUCAAUGUAAGUGUGUAAAAACAGUACUCUGGUGUUUGAUGAAGGUGUAAUUACAUAAAUACAGUGCUUGUUGUCCUAGGGAAGGCAGCUUAUGAUAUUGAUCCUUCGUUCUACAGACCAUUCCUUGUUCAUAAACUGUGGAGGGAGCAGUGAGACUGUUGGUGAUAAUGUAUAUGAAGACGACACAACUCCAGGGGGGGCAGCUGAUUUUGCAUCUUUAUCAGAAAGAUGGGGUUAUAGCAGUACAGGGACUUAUAUUGGCACUGAAAACGGCGCUUACAAAGCAACAAAUUCUUAUGGUCUGAAUGUGACCGGUGAAGGUUUUUACCUAACUGCUCGCCUUGCCCCUCAAUCACUCAAGUACUAUGGCCUGUGCAUGCUGGCGGGCAGUUACAAAGUGCAGCUCCACUUUGCUGAAAUUAUGUAUUCCAAUAAUCAGACUUUUAGCAGCCUUGGGAGGCGGAUAUUUGAUAUAUCAAUUCAAGUGAGUAAAAUGAUUUUCAAAUUAGCGCAUUUACUUAGGAUUUUUCUUUUUAUCUAUGAUUGUAUUUCUAAAUAACCUCAUGAGACCUACCAUGUGUUAUGGAUCCUUUUCAAGUUUCCAUAGAAAAGGUUGGUAACACUCUUUAAAACCUGCAAAAGUCAUGCUCGGAACUUCUUCCUGCAGGGGAAGGUAGUUGAGGCAAAUUUCAAUAUUAUGGAGCAAGCUGGAGGUGUUGGUAUUGGCAUCACUAAGGUAUUUGAUGGUAUAAUUGUUAAUGGUAGCACACUGGAGAUACACUUAUACUGGUCAGGCAAAGGUACUACUGCUGUUCCUGAAAGGGGUGUCUAUGGACCUCUCAUAUCUGCCAUUACAGUGACUCCAAGUAAGUCUUGACGAAAUCAAGAGGAUUUUUUGUUUCCAUCAACGGUCUUUUUAUUUAAUUUAUUUCUCUCAUUGUAGACUUUAAGGUGGAUAAUGGUGGCGGAUUAUCAGUUGGAGCUAUUAUUGGCAUUGUAGCUGCUCCAUGUGUGCUUGCGGCAUUGGUUUUGCUGGUCCUCCGGAAGAAAGGUUACUUGGGAGGGAAGGACCUUGAAGAUAAAGGUAAGAUUAAUGGCACAAGAAGUAUGUGUCUUAUUUGAUUGUGUGCAUGCUGUAAACUUGUGAUUGUCCUUGUGAUGCUGAUUUUGAGAUCCUGCUCAUCACAGAACUCCGUGCUCUAGAUCUCCAAACUGGUUAUUUCAGCCUAAGGCAAAUUAAACAUGCGACCAAUAAUUUUGACCCUGCAAAUAAGAUAGGAGAAGGAGGAUUUGGUCCAGUUUACAAGGUAUUUAUGAAUUUCCAGUUUACUAUUUAGUUAGGUUAUGUGCUGACAAAGUGUUCUACUGUAUGGCGCCUUCUUGUAUAAAAUCUAUCACACAUGCAAAAGCCUGUGAUAAAAGGGAAGGAAUAUCUUUUAAAACAUUCUGAAAUCUCAGUCUAUUUUAUUUCAGGGUAUGUUGUCAGAUGGUUCUGUAAUUGCUGUAAAGCAGUUAUCGGCCAAAUCGAAACAAGGAAAUCGUGAAUUUGUGAAUGAGAUAGGCAUGAUAUCUGCCUUGCAGCAUCCCCAUCUCGUGAAGCUGUAUGGUUGUUGUAUUGAAGGAAAUCAGUUGUUGUUAGUAUAUGAAUACUUGGAAAACAAUAGCCUUGCUCGGGCUCUUUUUGGUAAAUGCUUGACCAACUCCUUGAUGUAUCAGCUUAUAUAUAGUCUAUACUCUAUAGAAUGAGAAAGAGAUUAAAUUGCUUUCCUGUUCCUCUGUCUCAUCUCUAUCAGGUCGUGAUGAACACCAGAUUAAACUGGACUGGCAAACAAGAAAGAAAAUAUUGUUGGGUAUUGCAAAGGGAUUAACUUAUCUUCAUGAAGAGUCAAGGCUGAAGAUUGUACACAGAGACAUAAAGGCAACUAAUGUGCUGCUUGAUAAGGAUCUAAAUGCCAAGAUAUCUGACUUUGGUUUAGCUAAGCUUGACGAAGAAGAAAACACUCAUAUUAGCACGCGGAUUGCUGGGACAAUGUGAGUUCUUUCUCCCCCUUCUUCUUUCAAUUUAAUUUCCUUGGUUGUGGUAAAGGGAUAAAUAAAUUUUUAUUUUUUUUGGUAAUGAUACUUUGAACAAUAUGGAUAUCAAAUGGAAAUAUUGUAAAACGCAGACAUAUUAUUUGAUGGCAUCUAAUAACAGCAGCACAAAUGAUUAUCGCCUUGGACAUGAGAACAUAUACAUUUAUUCCACAAGCUCAUGGCCAAUACUUACUCUUCUGGUUCUUUCUAAUUUCUCUUCAGAGGUUAUAUGGCUCCAGAAUAUGCUAUGAGGGGUUACUUGACAGAUAAAGCAGAUGUUUACAGCUUUGGGGUUGUUGUUUUAGAAAUUGUCAGUGGGAAGAGCAACACGAAUUACAGGCCGAAGGAGGAGUUUGUUUAUCUUCUUGAUUGGGUAACUUAUAUCAUUUCCUUUCAGAAUUCUGUCUACACAAUUUACAUUUACACUGACCACCAAUGAGCAUGAUUGUAGACUGAUGGAAAAUGCAUGUUACUGAUAAUUGUAGGCCUAUGUCCUGCAAGAGCAAGGAAACCUUCUAGAGCUUGUGGAUCCAAGCCUUGGUUCAAACUACUCAAAAAUAGAGGCAUUGCGGAUGCUUAACUUGGCUCUCUUGUGCACCAACCCAUCUCCCACUUUGAGGCCAUCAAUGUCUUCUGCAGUGAAGAUGCUUGAGGGACAAAUUCCAGUCCAAGCUCCGAUAGUCAAGCGCAGUACCAUGAACCAGGAUGCAAGGUUCAAAGCCUUUGAGCUUCUCUCACAUGAUAGCCAAACAAACGUCUCAAAUGGAUCUCAAAGCAGUCAGAUACAGAAGAGCAUAUCAAUGGAUGGACCGUGGACGGAUUCUGAAUUUUCUAUCGAAAGUAAGGAUGAGAUCAUAGAAUAUUCCUCAUCGACCAAGCUUCUUAAGGAUCUUUACCACGUCAACUUAGAUUGAUCAACGGAAAUUGAUGAAAUAGUCCCUCCUUUUCUAUUGGUCUGGUAGUAUUCUGAGUUUGCAAAUAAGAUUGCUGAGUAAUCAAGAAAUACAUUUUAAAUGAUUUGUUCUGGUCUAUGUUGAUUCUUUUGUUAAGAAAUAAAAAAUGUUGACAGUUGCCUCAUUUGCUGCUGAAGAAGAGGUCUUCGAUGCUGAGAAGACUGAGAAGUUUUAGUCAAGAUUAGCUUUCCAUUAUGUUAGCAUGUUUGUUACAAUAAAGCUGUUAUAGAACAGCUCUUUGUUUGUUAAGAUUUCGUCAUUAUUUUUCUGUAGUUUGUUAUCAAAACUCUUCUAUAAAAGAGUGAUUUCAUUAAUAAAGAAUUAUGCUUGCAGUCACAAUAACAACAAUUAUUAUAGCUGUCCUGUUUUCUUUGUCUCUUCUGUAUCUGUAUACUGUCUUACAACUUCAAAAAACAUUGGAGAGCUUGGUCUUUCGAAUUGGCAUUGUUAGCAGUGUAUGUCACCAUUUAUCCUAAUCUGCAGAUUGCUUUUUGUCUAGAAGCACUUUUUCAUGAUCCUAAAGAGCAUUUGAACAAAAACUUGUCUUCCAUUACAUAUUCAAAGGUAAGUUCUUAGAGUCCUUGAUGUUUAUGUGUUCUUACAAUUUAGUGCUCCAUGUUAUAGAACUCUUUUUGAUUUCUGGAAUUUAAUUAAUUGAUUACUUCGUAUCUUAUAUUUCUGAAGAUUUAAAUUUCGAUCUCUCAACUAAUAAAUGCAACCAAUUUUUUAUAACAUAUGGAGUAUUAUUCUAGAAUCAUGCCUCUAAAUUUGAUAAGGUCUGGAGCAAUGUUGGAGAGUGUGUCGCACUGAAAUUUAUCCUGACCCAUAAAUUCAUUUCUGCAGUUAAAAAUCCCAUAGUACACAACGAAAGCCUCUUUUGUUAUUUAACUCUUCUAAGUACCAUGUUGCUUCUCCCUAGUGCGCACCCAUUAGUCCAACUUCUCUCUUUGCAAAUUAAUUAUUGCAAUGGAUGAAUCAAAACUCUAAGAAAAUGAUCAUGAUGAUGUUCCAACUUCCAACCCAUGAUAGGAAUGAGUUUUUCAGAUUUGAUUACGUGGACUCACUGAGUCUUUGUGAUGCACUGAAAUGUUGCAUGCAAAAUUUGCCAUAAAUGGAGCUGACGACAAGGAUUUCUUAGAUCGAAAGUUCUCGAAAAAAAAAUUCGUUUGGCAAUGGGAUUGGGCAAUGUGUGUCGCCACGUGUUUUUUAUUGCACGUGUGCGGCGUCGCGGUAAUCAUCCACUCCUUUAAAAAAAAUUAUAAAGGUCUAUCUGGUAAAUAUGGGGAGACAAGAAGUUGUCUUUUAUCAGUGGAAAAUUUGAAUGGGAGUCGCCACCUGGUAUUCUGGUCACUAGAAACCCUAACUGGUCUCAGAGAUCAGGUACGGAGACUUGUUGCGUAAAGAGAAGGUAUUAGCAUCUCAACUACGCCCUACCUAAGGUAGGCUGAGAAACCCUAACUGGUCUCAGAGAUCAGGUACGGAGACUUGUUGCUUAAAGAGAAGGUAUUAGCAUCUCAACUACGCCCUACCUAAGGUAGGCUGCAUUGUUUUAAUGUCUGAUAAAAAAACUAUGGUCUUAUUUCGUUUUCUAAUUGUUGGUUUGUUUAAGGUUCAAGAAAAGCCCUCUUUAAUAAGGAGGUUCUUAUCUUAAUGGGGUAAAACCUAAACGUUCUAGCGUCCGAACCAAAAGAAUUUAAUAUCUGAAAUACAUAUUACGAGUAAUGUCGUACCCCAGAUACUAAAAGACAAACAAAAUAAAAUUUUUGUUGUUUUUGAAAUUUUUGCUAAUGUUCUCUUGACUUUAAUAAAUUAGUUAUUAAAACCAAAAUGCAUGCUAAAACAUUGUUUUUUAGUGUAUGAAAAACACAAUAUGAUUUUUUUAGCUUUGAGACACUUGGCCAUAUGCACAAAAAUAUUUUUUAAAAUCUUUUUUAAGUUGACGAAAACCAGGUAUUUUAAUACCGGAUUUGUAUUUUUAUGAGAUAACAUAUAGACCGAUAGUUAAACAAAAUAGCGUAAAACAAAAUGCUGGAAAUCACAAAAUGUUAAAAAUAUAUUAUUAUUUUUUUGCUUGGCCGGACCCGGCCCACCAUUGUUGGGUUGGACUGGACUCAGCCUAAGAUCAAUGAGCCCAGCCCACACCAGCUGGUUACUGUGCAUGAGCACAGUAACCAGCUUCACCUCGCCUGCAUAGACGUGCAUCGUGCACAUCCUGCAUGGCAAGGGAAGAAACAAAAGCAAGAGGGGUGGAAGGUUUACCUGGAGAAGCCUCGGUCGUCAAUGAUGGCCAGCGAUGGCGAUGGUUCCAUGUGGCGGCGGUGUUGGUGGCAGCUCAUCCUCUGUUUUUUUCUUCUUCCUUUUUCUCUGUUUUUUCUUCUCAUUUUUGUUUUCCUUCUCUCUUCCUUGCUCUGUUUUUUUUUUCUUUCCUUCUCUCCCCCUCUUUUCUCUCUUCUCUCUUCGUUUUCUCUCCUCUCUGCUCUCACUUCUGCUCUCUUCGUCUCCCCUGUAUAUAUAGGAAAAAACAGGGGAGACAUAUGGAUGGGGCGGCCACUGUGCAGCUGCCCCACGAUUGCCUGAGGAGGCACGUCUCCUCCAUUUCUCCAACACGUGGGAGGCCACGGGUCAGCUUAGCAAGUGGGUGUCCUUGGUCGGCGUCUUUUUGAGCUUUUUAGACGAAGAAAAGUCAGUGAAAACAGGGGGAACAAAACUUUCUUCUUCCCCUGUUUUUUGCUCGUCCAGGGGAAGAAGAAAGGCUACAUUGCCAUUCAAAACAGCACCGCUUUAAGCUCUCUUUUUUUAACAAUGUAUGAAACGGCACUGUUUUAGCCAAAACACGCCAUUUCAUUUAAAUGAAAACAGCGCCAAACUUAUGUCAAAGUCCAAAUCAGUCUUCAAUUUGUAAUUUGUUCAAUCAAGUCCUAAAUUGCAAUUAUGAUUUAAAAAUCAAUGCAAUUACAUCCCUGCUAAAAAUGAGACAGCGACCCUGAAGUUGGCCGCCUUUUUCACUAUGGUCCUUGGUCUUGAAUUUAUGCAAUUUGACCCUUAAUUUAUCAAUAAACUUCUAAUUUCUUCAAUUUGGCCCCUGAUUCGGUUUAACUAUAGCUCCUCUAUUUACGCACCUUUUCCAGUUUGGUCCUUGGUUUCGGAUUUCUUCAAUUAAGUCCUUAAUUGGCCAUCAAACUUCAAUAUUUAUACAAUUAAGCCACUGAUUUGACCAAAUUAACUUCAAAAAUUAUAAUUUAACCCCAGAACUUUAAUUUCUUCCAAUAAAAACCCAAAUUGACUUCAAAAUCAAUUUUUCUUGCAAUCAAACCCUCCAUAAAUUCAAUUAAACCUUCAAUAAAAUUUAAUUGAGUCCAUAAAUAUCUGAUUUUGGACUUUUCUUCCUCAAAUUGAAUUUUCUUUGUUAACAAGGCUCUCAUUAAUCAACAAAAUACUGUCAAAUUUUAAUCUUUGUAUUUUUUAACCUCCUCAACCAAUUUGUAACCAUUUUAUGAGUGUUCUAGCAUCCUCUUUUCACUGUUAUAUUUUUUUGAUAAUAUUUUUUUUGUUUUUUUUUGUUUUUUUUUUAAGAGAGAAAAAAUAUGAAUUGGGAAUAACCCAAAAAUGGGUUAUGAGAGUUGCCCCUCUCUUUACAAUGCUUACGACCGAAAUCUCACAAAAGGUUUUAGAUACUAAGCUUUGUAGAGAAGAAAAAGGAAAACGAUCACAUUAUCUUGGGCAACCUACCCCUUUUGAAGAAAAUUGGUCUGUUUUCACGGGCGACCUGCCUUUUUGAAGAAAAAUGGUUUAUUUUCAGGGGCAACCAGCCCACACACUUACACUUACCCUAGUCUAUUUUCAUGGGCGGCCUGCCCACACAUACUUAAAGUGGUCUACUUCAGGGGCGACCAACCCACACACUCACACUUACCCUGGUCUAUUUUCAUGGGCGACCUGCUCAAGUACUCAAAGUGGUCUAUUUUCAGGGGCGACCAGCCCACACACUUACACUUACCCUAGUCUAUUUUCAUGGACGACCUGCCUAAGUACUCAAAGUGGUCUAUUUUCAGGGGUGACUAGCCCACACACUCACGUUUACCCUGGUCUAUUUUCAUGGGCGGUCUGCCCAAACAUACUCAAAGUGAUCCAUUUUCAGGGGCAACCAGUCCACAUAUUCACGCUUACCCUGGUCUAUUUUCAUGGGCGACCUGCCCAAGUAGAAAAAUGAAGAGUGGUCUUAUUGUAAUAGGUGACCUACCCAGGUGAAGGAAUAGUCUCAUUGUAAUGGUUGACCUACCCAGAUAAAAACAUGAAGAAUUGGUCGAAUUGUAAUGGGUGACCUACCCAAAAAAAAUGAGAAAAAGGAAGAGUGGUCUUGUUGUAAUGGGUGACCUACCCAGUUAGAGGAAUGGUCUUAUUGUAAUAGGUGACCUACCCAUAUGGGAAAAAAAGAGUGGUCUCAUUGUAAUAGGUGACCUACCCAGGUGGAUGAAUGGUCUCAUUGUAAUGGGUGACCUACCCAGAUAAAAAAAACAUAGAGAAUGGUCUUAUUGUAGUGGGUGACCUACCCAAAUAGAAAAAGGAAAGAGUGGUCUCAUUGUAAUGGGUGACCUACCCAAAUGGAAAAAGAAAAGAGUGGUCUCGUUGUAAUGGGUGACCUAUCCAGGUGAAGGAAUGGUCUCAUUAUAAUGGGUGACCUAUCUAGAUAAAAAAAACAUGGAGAAUGGUCGCAUUGUAAUGGGUGACCUACCCAGGUGGAAAAAGGAAAGAGUGGUUUCAUUGUAAUGGGUGACCUACCCAGGUGGAGGAGUGAUCUUAUUGUAAUAAGUGACCUAUGCAGAAAAAGGAUGACGAGGGCUCAAAGGCACACUCGAAAAGAGGUAAGGUUAGAAAAUGCACUACCCAAGAGGUGAGGGCUCAAAGACGCACUAAAAAAGAAGGUGAGGGCUCAAAGGCGCACUCGGAAAAGAAAGUGGGGCCUCAAAGGUGCACUCAAAAAGAAGGUGAGGGCUCAAAGCCGCACUCAAAAUGAGGUAAGGUUAUAAAAUGCACUACCCAAGAGAUAAGGGCUCAAAGGCGCACUGAAAAUAAAGUGAGGGCUCAAAGGCGCACUCACAAUGAGGUAGGGUUAUAAAACACACUAUCCAAGAGAUGAGGGCUCAAAGGCGCACUUAAAAUGGAGGUAGGGUUAGAAAAUACAUUACCCAAGAGAUGAGGGCUCAAAGGCGUACUCAAAAUAAAGUGAGGGCUCAAAGGCGCACUCAAAAUGAGGUAGGGUUAGAAAACGCCCUACCUAAAAGGUGAUGGUGAAACACCAAUCUGACAAAUGCAUUAUGAUUUGAUAUGCAUGUAUACUUACCUGAGAAAUAUAGGUCCCCAUUUCUUCAUGGUGUCAUUCUUUUCUUAAAAGUAGGAGUAAACUUCGAUGGCCUUUUCACUCUUACUUACUCGAGUCAUAUCUUGUGAUUUUGACCCUUUAGGAAGGGUUUGAUGUCAUUAUACUUCUUUGUCCUCCAACCUUUAUCUCAAGGGUUGUCAAUUCUGCUCGAUAUUUUUCUUUAUAAAAGAAAUCAUAGAGUCAACCCUACCAUGUGUUUUUGAUUGCCCCCCAGCUUGAUCAUGCCUCCCAAGUGUUCAAUUCGGGUUUGGGAUGAGGCUAUGUGAAGGAAGGUUUGACAAGGAGUUGUUUUCAUGCAGAAAUUUUAGAAUUUCAAAGCUAUUCCAGAUACAUAAAUCAUUUUGAUAUUGAUUCAAAGCAAACUCGUUUCGAAGAAAUUCAAGGGAUUGCUAUAGAGAGGUUAAGUGAUGAAAAGUUUUUAUUUUGCUUUUGGUGAAAAAUAUGAAGUGACAUUUGGUUUGUCAAAAAGGGUUUAAAUUUCAAUUUGAGGGUUAUUGAGAACCAAAUCGGUUCAAAGAAUUUAUUUUAUUUGCAUGAAUAAUGAUUUAACCUGCACGAGAAAGCACUGCCCACCGAUCUAGAUUGCUUGCCUUUGAUCAGAAAGGGCUUGAUUAGGUACGUAAUGUAGGCUUUGGCUAUUGGUUAUGAAGAAAAGGAUACUUUGCAGGCUCAAAAGGUGUUUAAGGGAUUUCAAGACUAAGGAUCACUUGUGCUUGUUUCCUGACUUUUUUUUCUUUUGAAUUUCUUUCCAAAAAGGUUUGUGAUGCCCCCCCGAGUGUCGGGUUUGAGCUCUUUCUCUUUGUUUUCUUUAUUUUUGUUUGGUUAAACAUAAUCACCUCAGUUGUUUUUAUGAGAAGCUCAAAUUUUUUGGAUCUUUUGGAUUUUUUUUUUAUCAUGCCCCAGCUUUGCGUGAGCAGCUUUGAUCAUUGAGUUUUUUCGCACUUGCCCCCCCAAUGUGGGGUAUGAUCCUAGUCAAGGUUAUUUUCAAAAAUAUAAUAGGCUCAAAAUGGGAUUGCAAAGGAUAUAUUUCAGGCUUGUGAAAGGAUUAUCAAAGAUGGUCUUUCCUCAUCUCAAAUGCAUGCAUUUAGGAGCGGUAAGCCUUGCUUUCAUGCGAGUAUGCAAAGUGAUUAUUCAUUCAAAUAAAACUCAGCUUUGGAGUCACCUCAUGGUGUUUUUUUGUUUUUGUUUUUCAAGUUUUCUAGGUGUAAGGUUACCCUUCUAAGGAAUCACUUGAAUUUCUAGAACUCGUUUGUUUUGGACAAACACUAACAUGAUUUCUAUUUUUGUACUAACCUUUGAAUUCCAAAAAAAAAUCCUUGUGAACAUGUGCGAUCAUGCAUAGUUUUAGAAGAAAAGAGAAACACACCAAAAGAUUCUUGGCGCAAUGGUUUCAUGCAACAAGACUGAAACAGGUUGAAACAAAAAAUCAAGAAGCUUUGAAGGCAUGAUUAACCAGAGGUAGUUAUUUUUUGACAGAACAAGAACAAGCUCCAUUCUGCAACUGUGGUGCAAUUCCCUUUCGGUCAGCCUUCCCACAAAAGCUUUUGCAGAAAUGCUGGAUUGUGUUGAGGCUCUUGACCAUGUUUGCCCCUAUUUUCUUCGGGAUGAAUCAUUGUUGGAGUUCGAACAACGAUAAUAGGUCGGUUGGUAGGAACUUCACCGGAGUUAUUUCUUAGUAUUUGCUCAAGUAAGCUAGUGGUGAGUCACACUUGUCUUCAGAGACUCCAACUCUUCCUGCAAAUGGAUGUUACAGUGAGCACACUUUUCAUUUUCCGUGUUUCUCGCUCAAAGUCGGGUGUUGUAGACUUGUAGGGGACCUACUUUUCAUCCCGGUACAUGCAUGAUAAAUGUAUAAACAUGUAAUUUAUAUGAUGAACUCACCCUUUGAGGGGUGACAUAUGAUCGUAACUUUUGCAUGAUGAAACAAGAAUCUUUAUUCUUACCCAAACUCUACAAUGAAAAUUUUCUGAAUAACGGUCAUUGUGUCACCCACAAGUCUUGAGUUCAAGAUGCUUCAAGAAGGGUUUGCCCUGAUGUAAAUAAAGAUAGCACAUACAACCUAAGGAUAGGUUCUAUUCAUUAUAUGAACAUGGGAAGGUUUUCUACCUGGUCUCAAAAGAGUCUCAUAUCUGCCCAGUGACAAUCUUCAUAAAGACAGAAUAGGGUCGUUGCGAGAAAUGGUUAAAGCACGUAUACCCACCAUUACCAAGCAGGCACUCGGAUAUGAGUUGGGUGUUUCACACAUCUAAACCCUGACCAAUAGUCAUAGGGCAGAUCGCUAGUUCCCCACCUAACUUAAAAGCUUGUGUGUGCUUUCCAAAAAUUAAAGCAUGUUAUGCAUGAGGCAAUUUUAUACAAUGCAUGAACAAAUAUGUACAGAAAUUAAAACACGUAAGAAAUAAAAGGAAAUGCAUAUUAACAAUACACACAAAACUAAUCAUAAAAAUCAGACAAAAACAAUGCUUAGUCCACUAGGUCCCCAGCGGAGUUGUCAUUCUAUCGCACAUGUGCGGCAUCGCGGCGAUCGUCCACCCCUUCAAGAAAAAUUGUAAACGUCUAUCUGGCAAAUAUAGAGAGACUAGAAAUUUUUAUCUUUUAUUAGUAAAAAUUUUGAAUGGGAGUCACCACCUGGUAUUCUGGUCACUAGGAACCCUAACUGGUCUCAGAGAUCGGGUACGAAGACUGGUUGCGUAAAGAAAAGGUAUUAGCACCCAAACUACGCCCUACCUAAGUUAGGCUGCAUUGUUUUAAUGUCUGAUAAAAAAAACUAUGGUCUUAUUGCAUUUUCUAAUUGUUGGUCUGUCUAAGGUUCAAGAAAAACUCUCCUUAAUAUGGAGGUUCUUAUCUUAAUGGGGUAAAACCUAACCGUUCUAGCGUCCAAACAAAAAGAAUUUAAUAUCUGAAAUACGUAUUACGUGUAAUGUUGUACCCCAGAUACUAAAAGACAAACAAAAUAAAAUUUUUGUUGUUUUUGAAAUUUUGGUCAAUGUUCUCUUGACUAUAAUAAAUUGGUUAUUAAAGCCAAAAUGCAUGCUAAAACAUUGUUUUUUAGUAUAUGAAAAACACAAUAUGAUUUUUUUAGCUUUGAGACACUUGGCCGUAUACAAAAAAAAAUGAAGUUGAUGAAAACUGGGUAUUUUAAUACCAAAUUUGUAUUUUUACGAGAGAACAUACAGACCGAUAGUUAAACAAAAUAGCGUAAAACAAAAUACUGGAAAUCACAAAAUGUUAAAAAUAUAUUAUUAUUUUUUUGCUCGGCAGAACCCGGCUAACCAUUGUUGGGCUGGGCUGGACUCAGCCCAAGAUCAAUGAGCCCAGCCCACACCAGCUGGUUACUGUGAAUGAGCACAUCCUGCAUGGCGAGGGAAGAAACAAAAGCAAGAGGGUCGGAGGGUUUACCUGGAGAAGCCUUGGUCGUUAGUGAUAGCCAGCGGUGGUGGCGGUUCCAGGCGGCGGCGGUGUUGGUGGCAGCUCCUUCUUCUUUUUUUUCUUCUUCCUUUUUCUCUAUUUUUUCUUCUCAUUUUUGUUUUCCUUCUCUCUUUCUCUAUCUGUUUUUUUUUUCUUUCCUUCUCUCCCCCUCUUUUACUUCUGCUCUCUUCAUUUUCUCUCCUUUCUGCUCUUACUUCUGCUCUCUUCGUCUCCCCUGUAUUUAUAGGAAAAAAUAGGGGAGACAUAUGAAAGGGGCGGCCACUGUGCAGCCGCCACAUGACUGCUCGAGGAGGCACAUCUCCUCCAUUUCUCCAACACGUGGGAGGCCACGGGUCAGCUUAGAAAGUGGGUGUCCUUGGUCGGCAUCUUUUUGAGCUUUUUAGAGGAAGAAAAGCCAGUGAAAACAGGGGGAACAAAACUUUCUUCUUCCCCAAGGGAAGAAGAAAGGCUACAUUGCCGUUCAAAACAACACCGUUUUGAGCUUUUUUUUUAACAAUGUAUGACAUGGCGCCGUUUUAGCCAAAACACGUCAUUUCAUUUACAUGAAAACGGCGCUCAACUUAUGUCAAAGNNNNNNNNNNNNNNNNNNNNNNNNNNNNNNNNNNNNNNNNNNNNNNNNNNNNNNNNNNNNNNNNNNNNNNNNNNNNNNNNNNNNNNNNNNNNNNNNNNNNUGGUCCUUCUAUUUCUUCAUUUGGCCCCUGAUUUGGUUUAACUACAACCCCUCUAAAUACCUGCACAAAGUCCCCCGGGGGUGUUGAUGGGGGACCCUCCGAAGAUCAAGUUAGUACCAGGUAUUUUUUUAUGUAGCCAAAGAUAUUAAGGGAUAUGUAGCCAAAGAUAUUAAGGGAAGUAUUAAUGAGCUUUUAUGAAGAUAGAAAAGAGGAGAAGGAAGAAGAUGUAGAAUUAAGGAAGAGGAAGCAGAGAAUGUGUUUUGUCUAAGAGUAUAAGGUUUUCGAACCCCCUCCUGUAUAUUCAUCCUUCCUUUUAUAUUACCUGACUUGACUUACUUCAUACAACGUAGGAGGGGUAGAGAUGUAAUCUUGUAACAGUAAGAUAAUAUUAUCUUACUGAUUGUACCAUCACAUCUAGUUAAUGUAAGCAUGGACGGCUUGUUGUAUUUAAUGGGCAUCAUGAUUAUUAAUUCAGGCUCAGGGUAUGGGGGGCUCAGUGUAGAGUGACCCUUCAACUUCACACCCGAUCUGAGGAAUAUUGGGCUCAAUUCACACCCGAAGCCCAGGAAAAAACUAGGCACGGACGUAUCUGGUCCCAACAUGGGACUGGGCGUGGAUGCGUCCGCGCCCAAUAUAGAGUUAGGAGUGGUCGCGCCCGGGCCAAAUGUAGGACUGGGAGUGGACGUGUCCACACCCAACAUAGAGUUAGGCGUGGUCAUGCCUGGGCCCAAUCAUGGGACUGGGCGUGGAUGCGUCCACCCCAACUUAGAGUUGGGCAUGGUCGUGCCCGGGCCCAAUCAUCGAACUGGAUUAGGACACUUCCGCACCCAACAUAGAGUUGGGCAUGGUCAUGUCUGAGCCCAACACAGGAUUGAGCGUGGGUGUACCCUAACCCAACUUAGGGUUGGACACCCGAAAAGACAGCCCUAUUUUGGAUUAUGACUUUCGCGUGUUAUCUCUUAAAUGAGGUUGAUUUAAGAAACCAUGACCCAUCAGUAGCCCCCCAAGUGUGCUCAUUUUUAGAGAAAUGGGGAGACUUAAGACUAAAGAGAUUCCGGACCGAUCUUAGUUGAGUCGCGACCCUAGUCAGGCGUCUUUUAUACUCCCCUUAUCAGGGCCUUACUGGCGGGGAUGGUGUUCCCAAAGAGUUCAUUGUUUGACUCUUCAAGACGUGUUCCUAGUUCUUCCUCUAAGGAAUAUUGGACACUCACUACUGUCCUAGAGAAGUGGGUCCUAGACGCCACAAGGUUGUGUAACCCUGUUUGGACCAUUAGGAGGUGUUGAUGUAGGAGGGCUAGUUUCAGCACUUCUUGAUGUUAUAGAGGCUGGUACCCAUGCUAUCUUAGAGGGAUGUGGGUCCUCGACCGCACAUAGGGUGUGUAACCUGAGUUGGAUAGACGGUGUGAGCUUGAUAAAUGAGGUUGAUAUCUUAUGCUUUUAGGACCCACUUCUCUCGCGCGUUAUCUCUUAAAUGAGGUUGAUUUGAGAAACUGUGACCCAUCAGCUGUGAAUUCUUCUGGUCAAGCUAUGCCCUUCUUAUGCUUUUAGGAUUGCUAGCAUCAGGAUUUGUAUUUGGGGGUAUAGUGAUGAGAAACUUGGAUGAGAAGCCUGUUCAGACAACAGAAACUUUGAAUUUCGAUUUCACUAAGAUUACUCUAGUAGCUUUUGCGUCCCUAAUGCAUUUCUCUGGCAUAGGUGAUCUUUCUAGCCUGGUUGCUAAAGACAACAUAGAAGCUGGGAGGCAAGUUGGGGCUCGCAUUAUUCCUCAUGAUCACAAGCUACAACUCACAGUUUCCUUAGUGAUGCUCGAGUCUAUGUAAAAUCAAAAACUUGGCGUAUUUGAGGUAUUACUUCUUUAUCCUUUUUUUCAGCAUUUUGAAAGUUAUAAGUCUUGAAUAUUGCAAUACAUUCAUUGCCUUUCUUAUCAUUGAAUGUUAAACCUAAUAAAAGCUUCUUGAAAUUAAAAGAUAUUGUCUAUAUCAUUGGAAACUUUAAUAAGCCAUCAUUAUGUUUCUACAGAUUCUAGGUUCCUAGGUAGUUUAUUUUUCCAGAACCCAAUUGCAGUAGUAUUUUACACUUUGUUCUCCUUUAUUUCUUCGGGUGGGGGUUGAGCUCCUGUCAAAAAAGGGUAAAGUCAAUGCAAGUUGAAGUUAGCCAUGCAUAAUGCAGUUCAAAAGCCAGCCCAUGCGUGUGGUUGCCAAAAGAUAUAGUAUGAGUGGAGGUGAUUAGACUCGCAGUUAGGAUACUAUUCAAUCAACACCACAAGGUUCAUAUAGGAGGCCUUUGUGUCAGUCUUGUAGAUCUAGGCAUUAUGGCAUGGUUUGUUAUAGGCAGACAUAAGUCUGUUUAGUUACGAACAGACUAAUCACUUUAUUGAGGGAUUUUUCAAGCAGACAUUUGUCCACACUCGAUGCAUUUGCAUCGGUUGCAUCUCCUGUUUAGACUUAGUUAGCUAGCCAUUCUGUGUUUCAGGGUGGUCGUGACUAGCAGGGUCAUAGAGCAGGUGGUAGGUCAUGGAGCAAGUGGUAGAGGUUUUGUGCCAACGGGUUAGAGACAGAUGCGAAUUUUUGCCCUUACUCAGCAAGAUGCCUAGGCAUCCAACAUUGUUGUCUCAGGUACACUCUUUAUGAAAGAUUGAUUUGCUUAACUGUCUUUAUCUUCUUUGGAUCAACCUCUAUCCCAUUCUUGAACGCCACAUGUUCUAAAAUCCAACACUUUCUAACCCAAACUCACUCUUCGAGAACUUUCCUAUAAAACUGAUGAUCUUUCAGAGUUUGAGGCAUCAAUCUCAAAUUCUUUUCAUGUUUCUCUUCACUCCUCGAAUACACCAGGAUAUCAUUAAUGAACACUAUAACAAACCUAUCAAUAAAAAACCUACAAACCAUGUUCAUCAUGUCUAUAAAGGUCGUCGGUGCAUUCGUUUACCCAAAAGACAACACUAAGAACUCGUAGUGCCCAUAAUGAGUUCUGGAAGCAGUUUUAUGAAUAUCCACCUCUCCCACAGUGGUCACCUUCAGGAGUCAUCUGAUCUCUGACAUGUAUUCCACUACUUUAUGAUAAUAUGCUUAGUAUAUAUAUGUAUAUCAAGAUAAAUCGACUUGCAAACUAUUAAUAUCUAAAAUAUAUAUUAAAUGUUAUUCCCCCACUUAGUUUGUUGAACUCACCCCUCAUUUUUUAUAUUAUUUCAACUUCUUAAUUUAUGUUAGCAUGUGGACUUUGUUCAGUGUUCCUACUUCUUCAGUUCUAGUCGAUAUGUUUAGCAUGUUUCGCGAGACUUUCCUUUUAGUUUUGAUUUGAUAUAUUAAACGCUCUAUAAUUACUCUGUUUUAAUUAAGUUUGGAUUUUGACAAUAUAAUGAGUAUUAUGGAUUGUUGGUUUUAUUUUAAUUACUGAUGAAAAGUUUUGAACUAUUAUUUGGUUUCAUUAAUUUUGAAUAAUAUAAUAUUUUGAAAGAUUAUAAAAUAUUAUGUAUAUUUAAAUAAUUUGUUCUUUUAAUAUGUUCAUUCUGAGGUUUAGUAUAAGUGGGGUGUCUCGUUGGCACCUCUCCUGCAUUGCCAAUCAUGAAUCCGAGAUUCUGGUCGUGAUAAUAUUCUUUUUAAUAUACUAUCAAACUUAAAAGGGAAUUAGCUUAACUUAUCCUUGUGUUUUAAAUCUAGUUAGUUUAUAUAAAUCUAGUUGAUUUCAAUAUUAUAUCCUUAUAUUUUAGACCAUUCUUCAAUAUAUUCUUCUAGUUAAUAUUUCUGUGAAAAUUGAUAUCACUUACUUGAGAAUCAAACUUUCAUCUAAUUUAUUAAGAAAUAGUUUUGAAAAAGCAAAAACUAAAAUUCCAUAUUGGUUAAAAAAAUUUCCUUUUUCGUGGCUAUUUUUUUAGUAAAUUAGAUUAGGUUUGAGUUUUUCAUGUAGAGCAUUUUCAUUUAUAUGGAUGAAAAUAUCUAAAAUAAAAUUUGAUUAGGGAAUAACGUAGACCUGUAAGGAUAGAUUGAAAACUAGAAUAAAAUAUAAGAAUAAGAGCUGAUUUUCCCUAAUUUAAUGAGCAUAGAAACCAACCUAAUUUUAAUGAUUUGCAAAUAAAUCAUGUUUUUCAAUUUAUUAAUUUUAUAUAUAAAGUGUCUAUCUUUUUUUAUAGUCUUGCACUAAUUUUAUUAGGUUUCAUAACAAAAACUGCUCUAGAUAUUGCAAAAUAGAUUUUUUAAAAGAAAAAUGAUAUUGCUACUUAGUUAUAGUUCCAUCUUAAAAAAGUUUAUGAUAUUAUUUCUUGUAGUUAACACAAAUAAGAGUGAAAAUAAAAUUUAUGACGCAUCAAAAUAAUAAAAAUAUUUUUAUAUAAAAUUUCUAUCUUAUAUUUGUGUGUGUAUGUGUGUGUGUGUGUAUAUAUAUAUAUAUAUAUAUUCAAGGUAAGAUAAUAACUAAUUAAACAUUACUAGUUGGUCCGAAUACAUAGAAUUUCUCUUUUCAUCCUAAUUUAAUUGGUAAGAUAAUAAGUUAAGAAACUAUGGGCAGAGAAGCAAAAGGACCAAGAUGAACACUUCCAAAAGUCAUUUUGUCCACUUGGGUUUUGACUUUUGAGCAUACAAAGUCGAAAUGCUCAUGUGGCAAGACCUUAAUAAAUUACUGUUCAGUCCCUAUAUAUUUAAGAAACAAAUAAUUUUGUCCAUUUUGUUUGAAAAGUAAUUAAUUAAUCUUGACCAUAUUUUACUAUCAAGUCAGUAACAAAAAUUAAUGAAAAACUGGUUUUGGCUAUACAUAUCAUUAGCCAAAAUUAAUAGUUAAGAUUGUUUUUGUUUUUGCAUUUAAAAAAUAUUUUUGAAAAUUUUUUAAUUUAUUUUUGUUUUAAAUUAAUUUUUUUAUAUAAUUUUAGAUUAUAUUAUUGAUAUACUGAUGUCAAAAAUAAAUUUAAAAAAUAUUAUUUUAAUAUACUUUUAAGCAAAAAACACUUUGAAAAGCAACCACUAUUAUAAUGUCAUAAACAUAUAUGAAAGACAAGGAUUCCUAGACUAUAAUUUACUCCCUUUUUUUAUGCAUCUUGCAAUUUGUUUAUGUAUUAAGUUCAAAUUUUAGAACCAAUAUUCAAAAUAAAUUUAAAAAAUUCUCAAAAUAUACUAGAUGGAUAUUGUAAUUUUUGCUGGUUGAAAGAUUCAACUACAUGACCAAACUCUCAAAACACCCGAGGAAGAAAAUAUUUUUAAGCAAAACACAAUCUCUAAUCCUCCUUCCUUCCUUUGUUUCUGUAAGGUUAUCCUCAUGUUAACCAAUUCCGCAAAGACAUUGUUACAACAGCUUUUCAAAUGACUUGGUCUUGGGAUUGUAGUUUUGGCAUUUCUUAUUUUCUUUCCUGAAAAAAAAAAAAAAAAAAAAAAAAAAGAGUGAAAUAUUGACAACCACUGUCUUAACUUCCCAUCUCCUCCAUGACCUGCAUGUAGAGGAGUCUUGUUCAAUGCGUAAACAAACCACAAACUUAUUUCUGUUCUUGAUUUUCUAGCUUCUUCAUAUGUGCAUGAUUAGCAUUUUCCACCUUUUUUUUUCUUUAAUUUAAGGGUGUAAAACACACAGCAGGUGACACCAAAUCGCAUUGUAUUACGUUUUCUCUUCAAAUAUACCAUUGAAAGCUCCCACAAUGCAGCCCCUCCCGGCUCCUCAAGUUCUUGCUGGCUUCGGCUUGUGAACUACCUUUUCUCAACCUGAACUAUCUAGAUUGUUGGCACGAGAUGUGCUAACCAGGUCAUGAAAAAAAAUAUUCAAUCAUUGUUAAUGUUUUUUUAAUAAAAAAACCGUCAAAAAUAAUCCAAUAUAAAAAUCAACUCAAUAGAUUCAAAAAUAACCUAAACAACCAAUAAAAUUAUAAUUUAAAUAAAAAAUCUAAAAUGACAUUAUUUUUUUAAAUAUUGAGAUGACAAUAUAUUAAAUAAAUUCGGGCCAACCUUGUUAAACUUUCAAAUUCAAGACCUGAAAUCAUGAAACCAUGAAAACCAUAUAUAAAACAAAUCAAAACAAAUUAUAAAAUUCAAUUUCCAAUUAAUCUAAUUUUAAAGAAUACAAUUGAAAAAAAUCAAUUAAAUAUAGGAUAAAAAAAAACACAACCUAAGUUAAUCUGUCAAAUCUACGACUUAAAUCUUGUCUAAGUCUUAAGAAUAGAAUAACCUCAUAAAAAAUAAAUUAAAAUAAAUUAUUAAAAAAAUCAAUUAAAAAAAACACAAAAAAAUUAUCCAAAUCAAUUAGGAUUAAGUCGUCAUACCUAUAAUUUGAGUCACUAGACUGGACUAACCUCAUAAAAAACAAUUCAAAAAAAUAACAUGGAACAACCUUAGUUACCUUACCAAGUCACCACUCAGAUAAUAAGAUUAUAAUAACCUCAUAUAUCAAAACAAAUUAUAAAGUACAAUUCUCUUAUUGUUGAUAAAAAAAACAAUAUAAAAAAAAACACAAUAAAACAACUCGAGUUAACCCAGAUUAAUCCACAAAACUCAUGAUCCGGGUCAUAAAAUUAAAAUAACUUAAUAAAAAAUAAACCAACUGAAAUAAGAACAUAGAAAAUAAAUCAUAUAUAUAUAUAUAUAAACAAAAAAUAUUGUUAAAAUGAAUAGUGCCAUGCGCACACCACCUCUUUAAAAAAAAAAUUUAAUAAUUAGACAACUCCCACAGAUAAUUCAAUUCAGGGACACAUCAAGAGUUGGUAGAAAAAUUUCAGUAUAUUCCCUAGUUGUCGUCCUCGUCUUUUUCCUCUCUGGCUGACCAUCAUCAUCUGAACAGGUCUUCUUUUUUUUUUUUUUUGCGAAAUCAAAAUAUACAUUUAGUCCCCCGGUUAUUUAUUUAUUUAUUUUCAAAAAAACUACAAAUACACUAAACACAUGCAAGUACAAGAGGGAAGAAGGGAAAACUAUGAUUGAUGAAAAACAGUCAGAUAUACAGCGUGGUUUGAUAUGAUUAAAAGCGUAGUGACUAUUUACACUUCAACUAACAUGAAUGGGGGGCAAAACAAUCAAAACUCAAUACCACUAUUUAUCUGAACAGAAAAGGAAGGUUGGCCAACAUUGGAGAGAGGGGCAUCGAGUCUCAGAACAAAUCCUGAGCUCCCAACAUUACCAUUCCAUUUAGACCUUCCAAUCUGCAAAAGGGCCACAUAAAAGAAAUGGAUGUUAGACAAUGAUGAAUAAAUAACACCAACACUGCCCCUUAUCAUCAAUGUCUGAAUUUCAGAAAUGAUGAUUUGCCAUGUGAAUUUCAAAAUGAUGAUUUGAUAAGCUAGGGCUAUUCAUGAUUGCAAAAUGGGUUCAACUGUUGUCUUCACAAAGUAUCUGUAUACGAGAAAUUUUAGGAGGAUAGGUGAAGAUUCUUGACAUUAGUGGCCUCCUCAUGUAAACAAUAAUUUCCCAAAUAUUUCCUGAACUUUCUCACUCUCAUUUCAGUUUGUGACCCAAUUACCCAAUAUUUUCAAAAUAUUACAUGUAUCAGCCUGAAGUUUCACUUAGGAGUGGACUUCAUAUUGAUUGUCUUCUGAAGGUAGAAGUUUUGAGUAGCUUAGGGGAAAAUUCAAUGCAAAUAUCAACCAGAAUUUUCAUUAUGGUCACAAGUUGCACCCUGUUAUUUCAAAACAUGUGAUUUUCAUGCAUAUCAAGACUCUGGGCAAAGAAAUACAAUCCUAGGAGACCAUAUCGCAUAGAUGUGAAUGAUCAUGACACAAUGCAAUCCAACAAUAGAGGAUGUACGCAACUAUUCUGUCCCACAGAUGCACGCAUCUCCGCAACACAACAUAGCUCCACUAGGAAACAUUGUGAAUGAUGAUGAUAGGACAGACCAAAACUGGAUAACCCCAUCAUUAAGGAUUCCACUGGUUUGGCAUCCAUUGUCUACAUUUGUUUUCUCAAAUUAUUUUGGUGGACUUUUUGUGAUUUAGUUUUCUCAAACAGGAUGGUGAAUUGAUGGAUUGUCUUCCAAUUCAUUGUUCUCCCAGGAAGUUCCAGCAUUUAAACUUGUGCACACAUAUCAAUGAAAGUUGAACUAGCAAGUUGUACCUCUUCAUUUCAAAGUGGAUUAAUGGGUUGGAAAAGAAUUAGAAUAUUUCCUAUGGCAUGAAGGGUGCAUGCAAUUAAACCUGUGCAUCUUCAGAUUCUUUCAGUUACAAUGAAGAUAAUUUGACGUAUCUCUCUGUUUUACCUUUUGUUUUCAACAUUUUGAUAUUUUUUUAUCCUGCCAUUCACUUGAUUUUCAUGAAUAGGAACAGGUGCAAACUUCCUGUGUACCUGGGUCCCAUCCUGUUAGCUAACAAAGUAAAAGAUGGACCAAGAAACCAAAGAUCCUACCAAGCAGAGAUGUAUAGUCAAGAUAAGAAAAUAUAGACCAGUUACAACUUACUGAUAGCGAUGCAAAUGCGGAAGGGUGUGUCGUCGCAGCACAGCCACAUAUCAGAUUCAAAUGGUCAUUCACUGAAUGAAUCAGUUCUGCAUGCAACCCAGGAUUGCUUCCACCAAAAGUGGGGCACAAACUGACAAGAUGUCAUUAAGAGUAGAAAAGGUAAUUAUAUUUACUUACAGUACCAUAGAAGCUGAAACUUUUGCUUGAGUUUAAGUAUACACAACAAGAGUGAAGUGAAUACACCAAAGUAAAAAAGGCAAGGAAAAACAGGUUCUGCAAACAUAGGAGGACCACAUAUUCAAAUCAUAACUGGCAUGUAUAUUUUACCCUCAACAAGACCUACUUUGUUUCCACCAAUAUAAUUAUUCAUGCUUUUUCCAAAAGCAUGAGAUAAUUGAUAUCAGGAUACAAUCAGGCCCAAGAUGUAUCAAUAAGAUAAUUAAAGGCAGGCUGUCAUGGCCUAAUAAAACAAUCAUGUUCUCCAAUGGCCACCUAAUUGUCUAUAGUGGAGCACCACUGAUUAAAACAAGUAACUGAGAUUGACCACAGAAAAAAGCAGGUCCAGCCUUCACUUGGCAGCAUCAAGAAAUGCAGACUGACCCUGGUUUGUGAUGGGUUAACUAUGGACUCAAUGGACCAAAUUCUAAAGAAAUCUGUGGAUAACUAACGCCCAUUUUGUUGCUGGAAAGUAGUUUUCUGUUGGAAAGUGGUUUUCUUGGAAAGUGAAUUUCUGGAAAGUGAAUUAUUUUCCGAUGUUUGGUAGUGUCAUGAAAAAUAAGUUGGAAAACAUUUUCCAGUGUUUGGUUAUGUUAUGAAAAAUAGCUUAUUAAUGUUUUUUUUUUUCAAUUUUAUUAAAAUAAUGAGGAACAAAUCUUACAAAUUAAAAAGUUGAAUGAGAAUAAAAUUGAAAAAAAAUCUAAUUUCAUAAAUUAUCUCAAAUAAAAUAAAUAAUAAUGGAAAUAAUGGAAAUCAAAUCUAACAAAUAAAAAAAUUGAAAGAUGAUGAAAUUAAAAUAAUAAUAAUUACAAUUUCAUAAAUUAUUUCAAAUAAAAUAAGUAACAAUCAAAAGAAUGAGGAUUAAAUUUGAUAGAUAAAAAAUUUCAAUUAAAAAAAUGAUAAGAGAAAAGCAAAUAACAAUCAUAAAAAUAAGGACCAAAGUUAAUAUAAAAAUCAAAUUUUAUUAAAUUUUAAGGGAUGAAAUUAAAAAAAAAAGAUUCAAACAAAAUAUAUAUCAAUAAAAAGUUUGAGGACCAAAUUUGAUAUAAUCAACAAAUAAUAUGAUAUUUCUAAAAUUUUCACAACUUCCAGAUAGUGUUUUCCGCCCAAAUUUUCCAGGAAAACACUUUCCUGGAAACCAAGCCAAAUUUUCCUUUGACUUGAAAGUGUUUUCCAUUGACCAACUUUCCUAAUGGCAAACAAACACAAGAAAGUUUGGAAAGUGAUUUCCAGGAAACCACUUUCUGGGCAAACAAACGCCCCCUAAAAGGAGUACACAAGUAAUGUGUGGAUUGUUUCCUAUUAACCAUAGUCAUCUGAUGCCACUUUAUAAGAAGCUGGAAAAUGAUAGUUGCACUGUCAGUGUGUAAAGCAGUAUGUUAAGUAAAUGUAAUAGAACAAGCGCAUAAUUAGAGCACAAAUAUUUUUUGGAUGACAACCAGUAUUCAGUUAUCUUUGCUAUAUUCAUUUUCUCAAUGAAAUUUUCUCAGUUUUGAAGGAAAACUAGAGUGCAGUUUAAGUGUAACAUGGCAUCACAAUGAUCCCAAUGCAACAGAUAUGCUAACAUUCAGAAGUGAAGGCAUAAUUAGAGCACAAAUGGUAGUCUUAAACACAGAGUAUCCAAUUUUAUUUUUUUUAUUUUGUUCUUCACUGUUGCUUCUGCAGUCACCAAUGCAGGUAAUUCAGGAUUUACUAUUUCUGCUUUUCUUUUCCUUUAUUCCACCCUUUUUCCUUUUUUAAUGGCUAGUUCAUUGAGUUUCCUGGUUUUUGUAGAUUGUCCAGAAUUACAUAUAACCAGACCAAGGUACAAAAGGAACCACAGGAUAACUUAAAAUAACAUUUUACAAGGUACUUGGAGAGCUCUGCAAGCAGAAGUUAUUAAUAUAAAUUGAAGAAUCAGCCUGAGAAACCAUGUUCUUUUUCACAAAUUACUGAAGCACUUUCGAGUUCAAAGGCCAAAGUCAUUAAUAAGACAGCUACUUUGCUCAUCUCUUCCACAUGUAUGGAAAAACAAAGAGAGAUUGUAAUUUUAUUGAAAUUGAUAUGAAUGUAGAACUUUACCUGAACUGAGCAGUUGGCCUCACCAUAAGACCAGAUCUCUGCCAUGCCAAAGAUUGUGCAAAACCUAAUGUAAAGGAUUUGUCAGGCCACUGUACCAUCGGUGUGAUUCGUGUUCCCCACUUAUUCUGAUAAAUAUUCAGAACAACAGGCCUUAGUUCACACCAAAAUCAAUUCAGAGAAAUCCGCUAAUGUACCUUGAAAUCAUAAGUACUGGCUGACAAGUUCAAAACCGGACCUUACAAGAGAAGCUGAAUCUCAUUUCCCCAGGAUAUUGCCCUUGAGCUUGAAGAAGACCUCCGCAAAGAGGUGCAAAAGCACUGGUAGACAGCCCCUCACCAGAUACAUAAGUCAAUUGCCCAUUUGGAAACUGUAAAUCCACAAAUGACUGCAUGUUGAAAGAGAUCAAGGAAAGGAAAGUAAGUGAAAAAUUAGUUCAACAUAUUUUAAUACUACAAAAAGACACUAAUAACUGCAUCCAAAUCUUCAUGCUUUCAUUACAGAGGUUAUUGCUUCUGUACUCAAUAGGAUCACCAGGCAGCAGCAAAGGCAAGUAUACCUAUUUUGGAAGAGAUUGUGCUUGAGGACAGGAGGAAGGAUGGCAAGGCUGCUCUGAUAUUCUUACUUUUUCCCUUUUGAAAAUAAUUUCAACAAGCUCUCCUGCCCCAUCACUCAAACUAAAAUCUGAAUUUAGGAUUUCAGCCUAGUUAAAUAGAGUGUUAACUUCCAUCCAUAUCACUGCCUUGCACCACUUCCAAACCUAAGGAAUUUUUACUUGGUCUGACGAAGGGGAAAUGGCAUGACACUUGUUGAUUUUCAAGACAGUGAAACAACUACAAAAAAAGAAAAUUCAACUAUGAAACAUCAUGCACUGACAAAAAUGCACUUUUGGGGAAGGAUGAAAGAAGGAAAUUUGUUAGAAUGGGAAGGAUUUAUAGAAGAAAACCCCAAUAAAAAGAACCAAACACAAGAGAGCACUUUGAUUCUGUUGAAUACCAGCUAAACAAUCCUAAAGCAUUAUACCAUAAGGAAGUGUGGAACACAAUCCUAUCCCACAACAGUAACUCAAAGUCAAAGGAUCAUGCUUCCUGUAUCCACUUCUUCAUUGAUUCUACAAGAUGUAGAAUACAGCCUAUUGUUUUUGGCUACCCACACCUUUGAUUAAGCCUCUAAAAAAAAUGUGAUAAUUGAAACAUAAACUGAUUUUAAUGCCUUUCAUAUCUUAAAAGGAGCUCUAACUUACACAAGCUAUAGGAUUGAGACAUAGCAUUGACAUUAACAACCACCUUCGAUGCUUUGACCACACAGCUGGACACAGAGAAUGCAUUCCACUCUGACAAAGAAACAAGAAAAAUGGCACAUGAGAAGAACAAUUUCAUAAAGCAAUCAUUAAAAGACAUCCAAAUGCAGAUUCUAGUAUAGUACAAGGAAAAAAUUGAUUCUCAAUGAACUGUUCUGUAUUAAAAAACAAGAAGACAAAUCAAACAAAGGCAGGAAAACAUGAUCAACAACAGAAGAUCUUAAGAUAUGGAAGCUAAAAGGUAAAUAAUAGGUAUUGAUGGUGAAGUCUAUAUCAGCAUAUGCACCAAAAAACAACAAUUGUAAUGUCAAAAAUAAGUACAGAAGAAAGGUUGCCAUAAAGCUAACAACAUGCAACUAAUAGGAAUAGCAGGAGAUCAAUAAAACAAGUGGGAUUGAGCAAACAACUAAUGUUUAGCGAUACUUAAGCUCACGUCUUUAUAGUCCAUUACCAUUUCUUGUCAAGCUUCAGGCAAAAUCUGAAGCUUAAGAGCAAAUAAGUUUGUUGGAUAGAUGAGGUUUUUUCCUUGUUUGAUUGAAGGUUUAGAAAAGAAUAUCGAAAAGCUUGAGCAUCUUUUUCCACAGUUCUACAAUCGCAUCUAUUUUCACAUUUCAGCGAGGUAAACAGAAAAUUGGCCAUACCUUUCUAUCAUAGCCAUACCAAAGCAAGUGUUGCUUUGACAGAUGCACGGGCAGAAGAAAGGUUGAAUCACGCAAAAUCAGCACAGGUCCAAGCUGGACUAGGAACAGAGAUGAAUUAUCAUUUUCUGAUGUGGAACUUCCAUGUGAUGCCUCUACUCUCCAUAAAUCUCCCCUUGCAACCAAAGAACUCUCAAUGUUGUGAGUUCUGCUGUCAUAAGUUGAGGUAAUGUUUAUAGUCCCCUGCAUUCAGUGGAAAUGAAUCAUCAAAUAAACUGCACAAAUGGAAUACAAUUAAAGCCAAAUUGAUAGCCUUCAAUUAUGAUCACAAAAAGGGCAACAGGACAAGAACACUACAGCAGGGAAACUUUUGCUGUCCAUCUGUACUUAAAAUUCUUUUGGCCAUAAAAAAUUAAAGAGGAUAAAAAACUACAGACAAACAAAAUGAUUCAACUGAACCAAGCUCCAUGUUACUGCCCCCUUUACACUACUAUAUCAAACACAAUCAAGAUAAUUCAACUGAACUGACCUCCAGCCAAGAACAUAAGGUUACAUGUAAUCAUAACAUGUUAUUGCCCUUUUAUUAUUACCCCACCCAGUCUUUCAAGCAUUUCACUUAUGGUUGCAGAAUCUCCUAUUUGAAUAAAUAGCUACAAUGAAAGCAUGUAUAGAAAGAACAUUAUCAGACAACACAACCAAUUUUGAUACAUGCAACCAAUUCUUUUACCUUGUUGCCAAAAAGAACCAGACUGAAACAUACAGAGAUUGAAAAAAAAAAGAAAAAAAAAAGGAAAUUGAAAAUGAUACAUUGAGAAAUGCACAGGAAAAACAGUACAGGAAAAAAAUCGGGCAUGAACCACAUAAAGGUCUAAUUAGUGAGAUUAUGUCUACUUAAUCAAUGUGUUAAUGAUUAAAAGGAAUUAACUAAAAACAAAAAAAAUCACAAUAACGAAAAAAAAAACAAAACAGUGAGACUUAGUGGCUUCUGCAAGGGUUGCUUGAUGUUGUUCAGAUCAUGCAAAAUUUAAACAUCAAAGCAAAUUGUGCUUUGACACAUUCUGCAACAAGUGACAGGUUACACCAUAGAACCACUCCUUCAGUUGCAUAUAAUUUGACUAGAUUCCAUCAAAUGCGACCUUGCUACAAAACCAAAUCCAACAGGUAAUUCUAUAUGUAUGAUCAACCACAUUAUCCAAGGACAAGUUCUACUUAGAAACAAUGAAAACCACAAGGAUAUUAUACUCCUCUCAAAGCCUUUUAAGUUACUUGAAACUUUAAGUUAAACAUACAGCACAAAGCAAAAGUAGAUCAUUAAUGAGAACAUAACAAACACAACUGACCUUAAAAGGAAAGCAAGUCAGCAUUUGUUAGACAAACUGCUUCUAAAACAAAGCAUGUCUGCCAAAGGAGAAAGGAGGUAGGUGAUUCAUUUUUCUUUGUUUUAGACACAACCGUUAUCAAAUGGAAUGGCAUAAACUUCAAACGUUCAGUUGUUUCCAUAUAGGCACUACUAACUAGACUGGAUGCUGUACUAUUGUAAAAUUUGCACCAGCCAAUACUUCUAAAAAGACAUGGUCUUUCUCAAACAGGAAGUCCUAUGGCUUCCAAUGCAUAAUUGUUUCCAAAAAAGUCACUAUUAUCUAGACUGUGUAACAUACUAUUUCUGUGAACUUCCUUUCCAGACUUCAAAAGGUUGAAAAUCAAUCAAAUCACAUCCUCCAUAAAUCUGUGGAACCAAGAAAUUUUCCCAACCGAGUUUCAAAAGAUAAAAUAUCGCUUCCAAGCAAACAGUUAAACGGACAAUUUAAUUUAAAAAUCUAAUAGGCAAUCUAUUCCUUCAAUAGCAUUAGAAAAUACACAUAAAUUACCAUUGUUGUAUGAAAUAAGGACUUUCCACGCUAACAAAACAAACACAACCAAAUUCUUAAUCAAAAUGGCGUUUAAAAGUCAUUACCUGUGGUUUACCAAGAUAUCCCACACCCUUCAAAUUUAACCCUCCAAUCUCCUCUUCCAACAAGCCGUCCACUCCACCACCACCACCAUUAUCCUCCACAAACCCAAAAUCCCUCAACCUCUCACUAACCAAACCCAACUCUCCCUCCAAACCCAACCCCACCUCACUCCUUUUACCAUCCAUCCUCACCCCAACCCCCCCAGUCUCAUCCUGCUUAAACGGCACCGGCAAUCUCCUAAAAAACUGAUGCACCAUCCCAUUCAAAGCCGCACCAAAAUCAGCCCCAGCUUGUCCAAUCCUAUUUCCAACAUCCAAAAUCGCCGAAAACCCAUUUAUCCCAGAAUUAUCAGUCAAAACCCCAAAAUCCCCUUUACUAAAACCGUGUCCCGGAAACUCCACAUCGAAAAGCUUCGAUUUUGGAGGGUUUGGCCAAGAAAACGCAGGUGGGUAAGUUAUAUGUGACUGUAUAAGGCCUGUAAAGCCUUGAGCUAGCCGGUCUGCGAAGUCCUGGCCAUGCCUUUGGACCUCCUCCCAUGCUUCAAAUGAUCUUUCUACCGACAUUCGAUUGUGAAAUUCAAAUAUUCAUGUGAUUUUCACUAUUGGGCACUAGACAAAUUCGUUGAAAACACACAAUAUUGAAGGUUUUGGUGGCUUAUUAACAGAAAAAGUUUAAAGACUCUAAGGAUGAGCCUGGGUUAGGUGACAGUGGUAGUUGUAGAAAUGAUCGAAACUAAAAACAGCUUCAAUAUGACGAGAAAAAAAAAAUCCGCUUCAAAGAUAACAAAAACAAAGUUAAAAACAAAAAACUCUAACUUUGAAGUAGAAUCUGAGAAACCCUAAAGUCCAAAGCUAAUAAAUCAAACAAAAUUUCAAGCUUUGAUUUAUAAUUUGAGGCAAAAACAAAAAAAAAAAGACGUGAUUUUGAGAUCAGAAUUUUAUUUUUUUAUUUUUUUCGAUUUAAAAGGAAUGAAUUAUAGGGUUUGUUUUGCCUAAACAGAGGAAUCAAAGUGUGAAACUAGGGGUUUGAAGGAGAGAAUUGGGGCUUCGUGUUUUCUAAACAGAGAGUGGAGAUCGAUGAAGAAGCGAUUUUUUUAGUGUGAAAGGGGUAGAGCGUGAAAAUGUGCGCCGGGGGUGUAGUGCGCAUAUAGAUUGCUUUGCUGCCACGUUGAUGCUAAUACCUGUGUCUAGCUAAGGAUGGAGAUUUUAUUAUAGGGCGACCGGAAUGCCAAUCAAUGUUACGUGAUUGUCACCAUGUUGUUGUUUUUUUUUUUUUGGAAUGGUUGUUUUUAUUGUAAAAUUUUAAAAAAAAAAAAAAUUAAUUGUUUUUAUAUUUUUAAAUUAAUUUAAUAUGAUAUAUCAAAAAAAAAUUUAAAAAUAAAAAAAUAUAUAUUAUUUUAAUAUAUUUUUAAAAAAUAUAUAUUUUUAAAAAAACUGUUAUUAUCCUUCUUUUAAUUUUUAGUAUUUAUAUAGAGUUGGAAUUUGGAAUGAGAGUUUAUUUUUUUGUUCUUUUAGUAUAAUAAAAAAAAACGAGUAAAAUAUUAUAAUGGAGAAAAUAUUUAGAAAUAUAGUGAAUAGCGGAUGGGAUGUUCCAGCAGUGAGUCAGAGUGAUCUUAAGUUCAACAUAAUUGACAUCGUGAUAAGGCUUUAAGGUGGUAAUGAUUCCAAGGCUGCAACCUUGUCAGGGAAUAAUGGAGCUGGCUCGGUGAGCCGAUGGAUGGGAGGGUCUUCGUAUCAUUGUCUUGCCAAAUACAGAGAUGGUGAAAACUUUCUUUGUUGAUAAAUUCAUGUCUUAUAGUAUUCAACAGUGUAGUUGAGUAACAGACAUAUAUUGGUUUUUUAUAUAUAUAUUUUAAAAGUAUUUAUAAAAAAAAUUAGAAAUUUUUUUAAAUUUUUAUUUUAUUUUUUUCAUAUUAUUUUAAUAUACUUAUGUUAAAAUUAAUUUUUUAAAAAAAUAUAUUAUUUUAAUAUAUUUCUAAGUAAAAAACAUUUAAAAAAACAACUAAUAUCACACUUACAAAUAAACAUUGAGAUCUAAAGGGUCAAGACUUUUCAUGUUUUUUUAAUUAACGUGGAUGUUCGAGCCUACUUGUGCAUACCUCGACAAAUCUCACGGGCCUUGAAGUUAACGAUCAUGUAAGUUUCUAGUGACUCUGAGGUUUGUAAGACUCAAACUAAUGAUCUUUAAGAAACAAAUAUAGAAUCUAACUAGUUGUGUUAUACCCCUCAGAUUGUAAAUAGAUUGUGAUGCUUUUAUCAAGUUUUUGGCCUGGUUCAAUAAAUAUGUAUGUAUGCAUGUGUAGCAUAGAGAGACAAUUCCUUAACGAGAUUUAUUAAGCAAAAAUUGAUCCACGGUUACGUUAAGCUCAGAACAGUAAUAAACAUUGGAUCAUUGCCUUAGUUUUUGUUCAAGAAAAUUACAGAUUUUAUGGUCGGAUGCAUGCUACAUAGACUAACAUUUUUAGCCUUUGGCAUCUUUGUCAUCGUUAUCAUAGGAUAGAGGUAUACACUAACUAUCUGGUAUGCGCGUAGUUGUGGGCUGGCCUUUUUUUUAUUAUUAUUGGGCGCAGAAAAAAGAAUGUGCAAAAGUUUACAACGUGUAAUUUGGCUCCUAGCAAAAAUUAUAAUUGUAAACGCAUGUGUUUAUUUAAAUAGAUCAAGAAUUAUUUGUGAUAAUUAAUAAAAAAAUAUUAAUAAUAACUAAAAAUAAAUUAAAAUAUUAAAAAAUAAAUAUGUAUCAAGAUAUAUGAUAUCGUAAUAUAGAUAACGAACCCAAUUGUGUUGAAUAACUUUAUCUUUUAGAAUCAAUCUUUUAUUAACUCGGAUGAUAAGAAAAACACGCAAAAAAUGGUCAAAUUAAUCUCUCUUUUUUAAUGCAAAAAAAAAAUCCAAACAUAGUUAAUGUGUUUUUUAAGAGAGAAAAGGAAGUUAAUCAUGAAUUCAGAAUCUAAUGAAUAUUGAACAAUAUAUUUUUUUAAAAAAAGUACUGAGACAACAAUAUUUUAGAUCGAUAUGAGUAAACUGAGUUAAUUAACUAAGUCUGUGACCUUGGUCAUAAAACUGUAAUAAACCCAUAAAAAACAAACAGAAAUAAAUUAUGAUGGUUGGAAAAAAAAUCAAUUAAAAAAAUAAGAAAAAAAAACCCGCAUUAACCAAUGUUAACUUGUCAAACUCGCGAUUUAGUUCAUGUAUUCCAUUGGAUUUAAUAGCUUUUUAUUUUCAAAAUUAUUCUUUAUUUACUUAUAUGUCAACUAGAUGCAUGAGACUAUUUUUAUAUCAAAAAACAAGUUCAAAAACAAAAAAAUUAAAGCUGGUGUUUGGGACUAAAAUAACAACUUAAAAGGUUUCUUUUAAGUCAAAUAAAAACAAAAUACCUUUAAAAAAAAUGAUGAAAUAAUUUAUUUUUUAAAUUUUUAAGGGGUUAAAAACAUAUUAAAUUUAGAAAAUAAAAAAAUAAACCAGGCAUUUGGGCCUACCAACACUCCUGACCCAUAAAAAGGCCUGGCUUGCAUGUCUAGCCUAGGAGAAAGGCCUUCUGUCCCACUGUUAAAAGACGGACGAUGCGUCAUUUUCUCUAUUAUUAUUAUUUUAAUAUUCAAAGGAGGACGAUAUGGCACCCACCCUUUAAUAUAUAUUUUUUAAAAUGAUAUAGACAACUCGUUUGUUUGCAUACCUAGUUUCUAGUGACUAGGGGUUGUUGGAAAAUUAGGUGUUCAAUUUUUUUUCUCAAAAAAUCAAUUUUUAACCUAAAAAUCCUUCGAGAAAUCCAAAAUCAACUUAAAAAAACUUGAGAGAUCUUAGAAAAAACUUGGGGAAAAUAAGAAAAAUAAAAAGGAAAUCUUAUGAAAUUGUAAGAAAUAAACCUCUUAAACACUAAAUAAAGAGGAAUCAAGUGAGGAGAAGUAAAAGGAAGGGGAUUUGAGAGAGAGAUAGUCAUGGCAACAAGGGGAGAAAAAAUGGAAGAGAGGAAAAUGGAUAAAAAGGUUCCUCUUACAAAUUGUUUUUUUGAUUAAUUGUGAUUUGAAGUUGAGAAUUUUUUUUACUAAAAAUAAUGAUGUUUGUGAUGGGAUUAGAGGUGAUAGUUAGGUUUAUAAUUUUAAAAAAUUUAGCUUGACGAGUGGAUAUGAUGUUGAUAAAAAAUUUUAAUUUAAUUAGUGUUCUUUAGCAUGUAGAUUUAAUGGGUUUAGUGUUAAUUAAAAUAAAUUGAAGAAAAAAUAAAUGUUUUUUUAUACCUGGAAACUAUCGGCAAACACAUAAUGUUUAGGAGGGAAUUUUAAUGGGUUAAUUAAAGUAUUUAAUGCAUGGAAAUUAAAUGAAUUUGCAUCAUAAAGAAAAAUGGAAGGAAUGCGUGGAUUUUAUUUAUAAGGAGUUGGGUUAAUUAUAAAUAUUAUGAAUAGAUUUAAUAAAUUGUGUUAUUAAUUGUAUGUAGUUAUGUUGGAUUAAGGAAAUUGAGAAAAGAAAAGAUUGAAGAAAUAAUUAUAUAUAGUCAUGUAUUGAUUGGGAAUACCUUAAUAGUACUGUGACUUUCUAACAGCAGCAGAUAAGUGUUUAACACCUAUUUCAUAGUUUUUAUUAUUGGUAGAAUUAUUUUAAUUAUUAAAUGAAUUGUUAUUAAUCUAACUUGAUAUAUAUAUCAGUGGAAUAAGAAUAAGAAUUUAUAAUUUGAUUAAUUGUUCUAAUGAUGGAGGCUAGUGUGCCAAAGGCUUCUUGACAUCAACAUUAUUGAUUAGUCUUUUUUGAAUAAUAAAAAAAACUAAUGAUGUCAUUACAAGGGUAUUGAUAUAAGAAUUAUUAAUUAGUCGAUCUCAAAUGAAAAGGAAGACAAGGAUAUUAACAUUGAUAUUUAUUGAUUAGUCAUUCUUGAAAAAUUAAGAAAGACUAAUGAUAUUAACACAAGUAUAUUUUGAUAUCGACAUUUAUUGAUUAGCUGACUAGUGAAUUGAUGGGUAAUUAAUGAUACCAGGUGAUUUGAAUCGGUAUAUUUUUUUAUUAACCAUAUUGAGAUGAAAAUGGUUAAUGAUAUCAAUUCAAAAAUUGAUAUUAGUAUUAAGUUAAUGAUACAUAUAUUAUCAAGUAAAUAAUAUGUAGUAAUAAUGAAAAGAUAGAAGUGAAAAUAUUGUUUUAUUUCUUUGUUGUGGGAAUUAUUUUAUUUACUUGAUUUGUUUAUAUUAUUUGUUGUUUUAUUUUCAAGUUCCUACGUUAGUUUCAAGAGUAGAAUACUUCAUGUUUUAAUUCAUGUAAAUAUAAUAACAUUAGGUCUAUUUUGGACUUAUAAGACAUAUGUAUGAAUACUAUAUUAUGAAGAUGUAAUUAGUAUUGUUAAUUUUUUUAUUGUAAAUAUAUGUGAAUUAAAUGUUUAGGACAUUAAAGUUUUGUGUUAUAAUUGUAGGAUAGAUAUACAAUAACAUAUUUUCAAGUAUAUGAUGUGUGGUGUGUGUGUGUGUGUGUAUAAAAGAAAAAAAUUAUUUUAUUAUGUAAUGUUAACAUUUUAUGAAGUAAUGAACUUGUGGGAAAUGUAUUGAUGUGGAAAUGAUACAGGAGAUAUUGGAUCAAGAAAAUAGAAACAUUAGGUUGAGAAUUUUGUCUGUGAAACAUGGAAUUAUCGAUAACUUGGUAUAUUCUAUUUUAAGAAAAACUCUGUUGAAAUUUUGAUAAAUAUACAAUAAUAAAAAAAUCAGUUUACUAUUAAUUAAUAACUAAAUUGAUUGAAAAAUAUGUUUAAGAGUUGGGUUGUUACAAAAUACCUAGACUAAACUCUCUUAAUCGAAAGGAAUCAUUUAACACCAAAAUCAAUGUUUUUGUUGUUGUUGGAAUCAGUGUCAACCAAGAGUUCCUUUCUCAAACCAAAGAUUAAAAAAAAAAUAAUGUUUUGGACCAAUUAGGCCUUGAAUUUUCUCCAAAAUUACAGCUUGAUUUUUUUUCUAUUUUUGUAGUACUCCUUGAAUUGCUUUCUCCAUAUUACCAGCCUUUAUUUUAUUUUUUUUAUUUUUAUUUUGAAAAAAGGUGAUUUUUUAGGAAUAACCCAGAAUUGGGUUAUGACAGUUACAAAACACUUAGACUAAACUCUCUUAAUCGAAAGGAAUCAUUUAACACCAAAAUCAAUGUUUUGUUGUUGUUGGAAUCAGUGUCAACUAAGAGUUCCUCUCUCAAACCAAAGAUUAAAAAAAAAAUGUUUUGGACCAAAAUUAAAUUUACAAAAUAUUGAGGAACUAAGAAAUUAUAAGUUGAACAAUAGGAGAACCAAAGUAAACUUUCAAUCCAAUUUUGAAAUUGCCUCCCAAUUUCUCCUGCCUUUUCAUUUCAAUCUUUUUUCUUUCAUUCUUACUCUUCCUUUACAAAUUGAAAAAAAUUAUCUUCAUUGAGUCACGGAAGGAUGAAAUCGCCUAAAAACAAGUUUGAUGACCAUAAUUAAAAAAAAUAAAAAAUUUACACAAUGAAAUGAUUCUUGGUCCAUAGUGAAAAAUCCUACAGUUUUUUUGUCCUGCCUUUUGGAGUUUCUUAUAAUAUGAAACUCGAGUUUGAAUUGUUGUUUACUUUUAGAUACAACUAGCCUUGUACUCACUCUACGCUGCGGGUAGGAUUUCAAUCUAAUUCUUAAUGCAAUAGAAGGAAACGAUUAUGUUAUAGAUGGAUUUUCAUGUAUAAUAAAAAAAUUUAAUCAAUAAAUGAAAAUAUAUUUGUCAUGCUUUAUAAAAUGAAACAAAAAAAAUUAUGAACUGAAAAGUAAAUAAAAAUUGUUAACACUAGUUAAAAACUAAAGUAGAAACUGGUAAGCUAAUCUUCAUAGUUGAAGUAGAAGAUAGAUGCACAUAUAAAUAUUUUAUAUUGAUUUUGAUUUUAUGCAUUUUCAUUUAUUUCAUCUUGGAGGCUAAUUUUCAUUUAUUUUAUAAAAAUAUCAUAUAAAGACAAUUAAUUUAUAGUAAUAUAAAACAAGACAAAUUAUAGACAAAUUAAAUUAAUCUUUUUAGAACAUUAUGAAACUAAAAAAAAUGUAAAUGGAUCAAUCACUAUUUUAAAAAAAUAAAGUAAAACAAAGCAAUUUAAAAAAAUAAAAGAAAGGUUAGCCCUUAAUGAGCCUAAAAGGCUAGGUCUCUAAUAAAAAAUCCUGGGCAUGAAGUCUAGGAUUGCACUUGGAUUUGUUUUCCAAGGAGGGGACAACAUCCUCCAAAUUUUUUUUCAAUAAUCGAGUGACAAAUCGCUUGUUGGUAAAUUAUCUAAUUAUCUCUCAUAAGCAAAAAUUCAAGGUGUAAGCUUUUGAACCCAAAACCCAAUUUUUAGAUUGUUUUGACAUGAAAAAACCUCAAAAACACCAUAUAUAAACCUCAAAAAACCAAUUGCCAAUCCCAAAAAAACCCAAAAUCAUUAUAUAAAAAAUGAAAAUUGAACAAAUAAAAAAACUAAAUCAAACCCUAAUUUAGUUUUCUAGCAUGUUCAUAGAGAAACAUAACCCAUAUUGCACCACUUUCAAGAAAAAAACUUGUUGACACCAAUCUCGACCUUUUUUAUGGCUGGAAUAUUGCUAUUCAACCAUUUUCUCUCUCCUAAAAACUUUUCGAUGAUAACCACCAGAAAAUUGGUGAAUACAAACAGAAACACCGACAGAUGUUUUGUUGUUGAUAUUUUGCUGUUAUAUUUACUGAUCGAAUUUUUCCAUCACUAAACCCAUUAGUAAAUACCAAUGAAAAUAUGUCGUCGGUGUAUAUCGAGGGAAUCACAAUCGGAAUAGAAGGAAUAAAAAAAUUCAAACAAUGCGAUGACGUGUAAGUUUUUAUAGACAUAGUUAUCGACAGAAUUACAGUUGGAUUCAAAUAAGCAAACCAUAUAGUGACAUGGCAUUAAUACAGAUAGAAUGAUCAAUGGAGUCACUGUCGAUAAAUCUAUCGGUAAUAUUUAAUAUAUGACCUGCUGCUCGAACCUCCUCUCCCCCUCCCCCCAUUUCUACUUCUUCCUUGUAAAUUUUCUAUGCAACAAAACAACUCCCCUCAAUCUCAACACAACUCAACCUACCAUAACUUUUUGAGUCACAAUAACACUCUAUUUGUCAGCAUCCAUGUUUUGAUUAAAAUUUUAUUGAGGAUUCUCCACCUUAAGUAAGCAAAUCUAUCUUCUUCUUCUUUUUAAUUUGAAUAAAAUUUUAAAAUGUUAAUUAUUUUUUUUACAUAUUUUUAUAGUAUAUGUAUUUUUUUUUGGUGUUUACUUGUUUUAUUGUUUUUUCUCAAAUAAACCUGUUUUAUGAAUUUAUGAUUUGUACAUGUUAUGGUUUGUUUUAGAUUUUGUAAAAUUAUAUUUGUUUGUAAAUUGUUGAAACUUAUGUUGAAUUACCAACUUAGGUGUUUUAUAGUGAAAUAAAUAAUGGCUUGUUUAACUGGUUUGUUUUAGAUUUUGUUAAUUUUAUUUUCGAGUUGGAAUUUCUGUUAAUGUGUAUAAAUUUGUAUCUACGUAGAAAAUUGAUAAUGAAUUAAGAGAAUUAUUAAAAUAUGUUGAAUAAUCUUGAGUUAAACCAAUAUUUUUGCAAAUUUAUUUAGUUAAUGUAGUUUAAUUAAUAUAUGUUAUCAUCAUUAUUUGAUAUAGAUUCAAUAGAAUAUGUGUAAAAAUAUCUAAUUAGAGCAUUACGUGUCCAUGCAAAAUGUGUAAAAAUAAAAAGUUUAUCGAUCCAAAUAUUGUAACGAUGCAUCUUGUGCAAUAGAGGAAUAUCUGUGGUGGUAUGCACACGGAAAACCAUUUGUUUCUUACGAGAUCAUGGUAGAAAUGAUGGUUAGGUCAACUUCUAGUGCUGACAACGUGCAUGUAGUUGAAGAUGACAAUAGUAAUUCUUAUAGGACAAUGACUUUCCCUCUUAGCUUUCAACAUUUAUGGAUUGAAAAUUAAAAAAAAAAUACAGUUUGGUACUAAAAUGUGAAUCUCUAAAAUAAUAGGGACUAGAUGAUAGGAAAUCUGAAACUUUAGGGGUUGAACCGCACCAAAAUCUAAAUGGGGCAUGUAUUUUAUUCAAGAAGAAAAAUUAAUUGUGAAUACAAAGAACAAUAAAUAAAAAAAACUUGAGAUAAUCCAAUUGAAAAAAAAAUGAAGGACAAAACAAUGGAGGUAGAUAGCAAAUAAAAAAUUAAAUACUAAUUUUCAAUUAAAUAAAUUUCAAAGGAUAAAAAUGAAAAAACAUUAGCUUGAAAAAAUGAUAUAAAAAAAAAAACCAAAUCUAUCAUGGGUGAAUCUUCUAGAGCUGGAUUAAUUUUCCAAACUUGUAACCUGUAAAAUCCUAGACAUGGGCUUAACCAAGAAGUUCAAAUCCAAACUAAUUUAAUGUUGAAGGAUGAAAUUGAGUAAAAACAAAUACCAACCUAAAAAAUUUGGCAAAAAAAAAAUAACAAUCAAAAUAAUGAAGGAUAAAAUAUGACAGGAAAAAAAAUAAUAGAGGGUGAAAUCUAAAAGAAAUUCAAUUCUAAAAAUUAUCUCAGAUUAUAUAAAUAAUAAUUAAAAGAAUGAACACCAAAUUUGACACAUGAAAAAAUAUAAAUGAGGAUAAAAUUGAAACAAAAUACCAUUUGAAUAAAUUAUUUAAAAUAAAACAAAUAUUAGCCAAAAGACCAAGGACUAAAUAAAAAAGACUCGAAUUAUAUAAAUAGCAAUUAGAAGAAUAAAAACCAAAUUUGAUAAAUGAGAAAAUUGAAUACAGAUGAAAUUGAAAUAAAUUUAUUUUCAUAAAUUAUUUCAAAUAAUACAAAUAUUAACAAAAAAAACCAGGGACUAAAUCAAAAAGUAAGAGAAGUUAAAAGGAUUAUUUGAAAAAUUACAAGGCAGGUGUAAACAUCAAAGAAUAGAGAGAGAAAGAAGAAGAAGAAAAAGAAAUGGUCGCUAGAGCCAAACCGAAUAGUCGUUUGGUGUAUACGCGGUUAGUACAUGGAGGAAACACCGAGAAUAAUCAAACGUUGUCCCAGAACAGUGUUUUUUGCCACCAAAAUCAUCCACGCGCAUCGUUUAAAGAUGACAUAGCGGCUAACACGUGAACAAUUUUUUUUAAUGCUUUUAAUCUAUCAAAAGACCAAAAUGCCCCUAACUUUACCCAAUAACAAUGAAAAAACCAAAACUACAAUGACAGAAAUACCCUCACAACCAGACAUAAAAAAAUGAACUUCAAGAGUAAUUAAGUAUGGACUAUGCUUAUAAAAUGAAAAAGAUGAAAAACCCCUCAUUGUCAAUUAAUUGUGUUUUUUUUAUCUAUAAAGGCAAAUUGAUUAUUUUGUUGUGUACAUUUAAUAUAAAAGUACAAAUAUAACCCACUAUAGCAUCCAAGAAUUUCUAACCUUUAAAGGUAUUAAUGUUAUUUUAUUGUGUAUUUGAAAAGAAAAAUAUUUGUCUUGCCCUCAGCAAUUUGAAAAUGCUGAAAUUAUCUUAUUGCAUUCACAAUCAAAACCCUUAUCCAUUAGCAAAUGAGUGCAAUGUGGUAAAAACAUUAGUGGUAGGGUCAUAGUGUUUAAUUUAACUAUCCUUAUCAUUUUUUUUUUUUAAAAAAAGAAAAUUCUAAUUCUAAUGUUUCCUCAACUGCUUUGCCUCAGAUUGAAGGGUUUUCAGAUUGAUUGCAUCUGAAAUUCAAGAACACCUCGAGACUCUAUUUUAUACAUAUGAAUUAUGAGUCUGAAUUUUCACUGAAUAUUAGACCCAAAGUUUUCUCAAUUGGUUUGCAUUAGAUUGAGGGAUUUUGAGAUUGGAUGCACUUUGGAAUAUAUAUAUAUAUAUGUGUGUGUGUGUGUGUGUGUGUGUGUGUGUGUGUGUGUGUGUGUGUGUAGCUAUAGAAGAAGCAGCAGGAAUGGAAGCUGGAAUUCUUCCAUGUUAAGUUAAAGGUCUUGUUCGGUGGAAGGAUGAAGGAUAGAGAUGGAAAGAGUAAUCUGAAAUGCUGGAGGAGGAAGGAUGUAAAGCAAUCCUUCUUCUCUCUAGUUUUUUGGUUGGGGCAAGAAAGAGGAGGUCAAAGCGAAGACUUGAAGGUGAAAUAGAAAAAUCUUUUUCCUUCCCCUUAUAAUAAUCCCUCUUUAGAAUUGGAUAAUAUGAACCUAGAAGAAAGGGAUGUAUCCUUGUUUCCUGCUGAGUGCAUGUCCGCCCAUCUCCAUGGCUAAGAGUUCUGACUGUCAGAAGCAGCUUGUCCAUAAAGUGAGGAAUAGCUGAGAUGAGAAUCUAAUGAUGCACGUCUCGAGGGAAAAUGAGGGUAAAAGAAGCUGGUUUAGCAAUGUUAAGGUUAAGGAGAGGGGGCAUCAGUUGAGGACAAGGUAACAGAUUAUUGUCAAAGGUGGUCGUGUUCUAUGUGAGCUAUAAUGCGCCCUUGCAGGAUAAUAAUCAUAUCAAAUAAAUUAAAUGGGCCAAAUAAAGAGUGAUGUGAGUUGAAUUAGUGUGAACUAGUUACAUGUCCCUGCAAUGCCACGGGUCAAUUAUUUUUUACAUUUCAUAAAAAGUUAAGAUCUAAAAGUAUUAGGUUUUUUUGCAAAGUUAUACCAAGAGUCUUAGGUUUAGUUGUAACGCCUAAUCCAAGAGUAAUAUUUAUAAUAUUAAUAAUAACAUUAAACUUGCAUGGCCUAAAUUUAAGUGGGUUUGACUGCAAUACCAGACCCAAUAGCAUUGGAUGUGGGUCUAGCUGCAAGGUCGUGUCAUAAAUGUGUGAUAAUUAAAUAGAUUAGUUAAAAAGAAAAAAAACAAAGAAAAACAACCAACAGGAAAAUAAAAACUAAUGAAGAAAAGGAAAAAAAAUAUGAAUUAACUGGGUUAACCCGUCAUACCUUGAAUUCGCAUCGUGAAAGUUUGAUAAUUAAAAAGGAAAAAAAACAAACUAAUGGGUUAACCCUGAAUUAACUGGGUUAACUCGUCAAACCAAGUUAACCUGUCAAACUUGGAAUCCUUGUCAUGAAAGUUUGAUAACUAAAUAGAAAAAAAAUUAACAUUAACAAUUUAAAUUAAACAAAAUAAUUAAUUAAAAAGAAAAAAAAACAAAAGGAUGAGCCUUUUCACUGUGGACUGCAUUGUGCAGUCCACAGUCAAAUGCAUAAAAAGAACAAAAAAAUAAAAAGAAAAACUAAAGGCAUCAGCGGAGAACUACUUAGAAAAAACUUUAAUAUUAAUAAACUAAAUUAAUUAAAUAAAAUUAAUUAAAAAUAAAAAAUAAAAGAAAAAAAACCUCUAAGAAGAAAAAAAACUAAAUAGAAAGAAAUUUAACAUUAACAAACUAAACUAAACGAAAAAAAAAAAAUUCAGGUUAACUCGUCAAACCAGGUUAACCCGUUAAACCCGGGAUCCGUGUCAUGAAUGUCUGGUAACUAAAUAAAAAAAAUUGAACAUUAACAAACUAAACUAAACGAAAAAAAUUAAUAAAAAAAAUUAAAAAAAAUCCGGGUUAACUCGUCAAACCAUAUUAACCCGUUAAACCUAGGAUCUGUGUCAUGAAAGUCUGAUAACUAAAUAAAAAAAUUUAACAUUAACAAACUAAAUUAAUCAAAAAAAAUUAACGGGUCAACCCAGAAUUAACUGGGUUCACCCGUGAAACCAGGUUAACCCGUGAAACUCGAGAUAUGUGUCAUGAAAGUCUGAUAACUAAAUAGAAAAAAAUUUAACAUUAACAAACUAAACUAAAUGAAAAAAAUUAAUGAAAAAGAAAAAAAGCAAAAAAAAUAUAUUUCUGGGUUAACUUGUCAAAUCAGGUUAACCCGUUAAAUCCGGAAAACGUGUCAUGAAAGUCUGAUAACUAAAUAAAAAAAAUUUAACAUUAAUAAACCAAAUUAAACAAAAAACUUUUGUUAGAAGAAAAAAAAUAAAGAAAGAAGCCAAAAAAAUCCUGAAAGGCAUAAAAAACAGCUAAAAAAAUAAGACAACUUAAAAAAAAAAAAAAAAAACGGAUCAGUGUUUUACUAUGGACUGCACUAUGCAGUCCACAGUAAAACACUGAUCCAUUUUAGUAUAUGUUACAAUUAAUUAAAAAGAAAAAAAAAUUUGGUUAACUCGUCAAAUCAGGUUAACCCGUCAAACCCGGGAUCCGUGUUAUGAAAAUUUGAUAACUAAAUAAAAAAAUUAACAUUAACAAACUAAAUUAAACAAAAAAAAUUUCAUUAAAAGAAAAAUACACAAAGAAAAAAGCAAAAAAAAACCCAUAAAGGCAAUAGAAAACAAAAAAAAACAGAAAAAAAAUGGGGAAAAAAUAAAAAAGAAGAAGAAGAAGAAGAAAAAAUGGGAAAAAAAGAAAAAAAAACAGAAAAAAUGGGGAAAAAAAGAAGAAGAAGAAGAAGACAAAAAAAAAAGGGAAAAAAAACGAAAAAAAAAAGCUCAUCUUUUACUGUGGACUGCACUGUGCAAUCCACAGUAAAAGACUGAGCCCUUUUAGCUAUUGUUAUAAUUAAUAAACCAAAUUAAACAAAAAACUUUUGUUAGAAGAAAAAAAAUAAGGAAAGAAGCCAAAAAAAAUCCCGAAAGGCAUAAAAAACAACUAAAAAAAUAAGACAACUUAAAAAAAAAACAAAAAACGGAUCAGUGUUUUACUGUGGAUUGCACUAUGCAGUCCACAGUAAAACACUGAUCCGUUUUAGUAUAUGUUACAAUUAAUUAAAAAGAAAAGAAAAAAAAUUUGGGUUAACUCGUCAAAUCAGGUUAACCCGUCAAACCCGAGAUCUGUGUUAUGAAAAUUUGAUAACUAAAUAAAAAAAUUAACAUUAACAAACUAAAUUAAAUAAAAAAAUUUCAUUAAAAAAAUACACAAAGAAAAAAGCAAAAACAAAACCAUAAAGGCAAUAGAAAACUAAAAAAAUGGGGAAAAUGGGGAAAAAAAAAGAAGAAAAAAAUGGGAAAAAAAGGAAAAAAAAACAGAAAAAAAUGGGGGGGGGAAAAGAAGAAGAAGAAAACAAAAAGAAAGGAAAAAAAACAAAAAAAAAACUCAUUUUUUAUUGUGGACUGCACUCUACAGUUUACAAUAAAAAACUGAGCCCAUUUAGCUAUUGUUAUAAUAUAAUAGUUCUUGCCAUAAUUGUUUCUCCAAAAACAAAAAAACAGAAUGGAGUCAAAGGAACCAACCCCAAAUAGUACAGUAUGGAUUCUUGCUCCAUGUUUGUAAUUUGACUUUUGAGAAUUCACGUGAAUCUUUUUGCAGAUUAAAUGGCAAUAUAACCAUUAUUAUUAUUAUUAUUAAAAGAAACUAGAAAGGCUCUUGAUUAUACUGUUACUGUGUACUUUUUCAUAGAUCACUAUGAAUUGAAGUAGUUUUUUUAAUUUAAUUUGAUUUUUAAAUUUUUAUUUUGCAUAAUUAGUUCUUUUGAGAUCAAAUUAGCAUUUAGUUGCAUAUUUUUUUGGGAAAAAAAGUUGAAUUAAAAAAAAGCCUAAAAUGAAAAAGAAGGAUAAAAUAGACGGUAAUUUUGAAAUUUGUUUGAAAAACACGUUUUAGUCUCCCAUCUUUUUUUAUCUAUCACAUAACUGGUCCCUUUGAUUUUAAAAAAUUUAAUUUUGUUACCAAACAUUAUUUUCUUUAUUUUUCAAUCAUUUUUUCAUGGGAAUAGAGAAAAGGGCUUAUUAGAUUCCAGCUUAAAGAGAAAAAGUUGACGUAACGACGAUUCCAACCACCAAAACAAUUGAUUUUAUGCCAAAUAGUUCCAUGUGAUGAAAGAAGUUCAAAUAAGAUAUUUUUUUCUUUUUACCUUGAAAGAGCCUAAAAAUACAUAUUUGAGCUUAAGAAGAUUUUUUGUUCAGAUUGUUUGGUCUGACUUAACAGCUCCUAACCUCAUUCUUAUCUUUUUUUUUAAAAAAAAUUAAUAUUUUAUGUCUUUUUUAAAAUAAUUUUAAGUUUAUAUUUUCAUUAAUGCUCAAAAGAAAAAUCAGGAACCUUGUUUUUCAAUCACUGUGGAGAGCUCUAGAUAACGCAUUAUUUAUUUUUUUCAAAGUAAAUUGGGGCGAACAACAUGUCGUCCACUCCAUUAACUAUAAAAAAAUAAAGGUCCGCACACGAGCUUUUUUUUCAUAGGUGAAGUGUUUGGUCUGGCUUAACAGCUCCUAACCUCAUUCUUAUCUUUUUAAAAAAAAAUUAAUAUUUUAUGUCUUUUUUAAAAUAAUUUUAAGUUUAUAUUUUCAUUAAUUCUCAUUAUUUGUGAUUUUGUUUUUAAAAAUAAAAAUUAUUUUUUAAUUAUAUUGGAUGUGUUUAAUUUUUGAAGAGGUUAAUAUAAUUCAUCUAUGAUUUUUUUAUAUUUAUAUAUAUUUAUUUUUUACAAUAUUUUAAAUAUGUGCAGCAUUGCAUAUUUUUUUUCCUUUUAUUUUAUUCAAUAAAUUUUAUAUGCAUGUCAAUUUCUAUUACAAAUUAAUUUAAUAAACACAACUGGGUAAAUGACCCUUGUUGCGAUAUUAAAUAUCUUGAUCUAUAUUUUACUCUUAAUUUUUCCAAUUUUGUUUUUCUUUAUCGUUAAUGAUUUUUUUUAAUAUAUUUAUACAAUGGUUCUUAAUUUAUUUAAUUAGAUGCUUGUAUAAGGUUUUCAAUUACAUUUAGAAAAACAAAUUUAUGUAAAAAAACAUGUUAAAAAAUUUUAUAUAUUUAUUUUUUUUUAUUUACUAAUGUUUUCAAUUUGAUUCUUAUUCUUUUGAUUUUUAAUUUUUUUUCCUUAACUUUUUUAUAAAAGUUUUAUUGUUUAUAAUUUCACCCUUCAAACCAAGUUUAUAGUGUUUUUUGUUUCAUUUUGUCACUCAUUUUUUUUAAUUUUUUUGCUUUAUAUUUUUAAUCUUUUUAUUUUGGCUCUUAUUAUUUUGAAUUUUUUUUUUAAUUUUAUCAUUUAAUAUUUUAUUUUCUAGGAAUUAAUUUUUUUAAUUUUUUCAUAUAUAAUGCUGUAGUUUAAAAAGCUAAUAAGGGUUAAUAUUUUUUUAAUCUUAUUUUAUUUCCUAAUAUUACUAUUCGACGUUGUUUUUUUAGUCAUCUCCCAAACUUUUUUUUCAUGUUAAAAAUUUUUGGUACAGCAUGCAGCACUACCCUAGCCACCAAUCUAAUUACUGUUGCAGUAAAGGUAUUUCUAUGUUUUUUUUUUUUUUUUUGAUAAACCUCGUUUUACCCUGGAAUUCAUCGCGGUGCUACUUUCAAAUUAUAGCUGCAAUCUUCUUGAGUAAAACAACUUUUUUGGUCCAUGCAUAGCCUCUUGAUUGUUUUCAGGAAAUAAUCUAUUGACUACAGUCCUCAAGGAUGGGACUGUUGCGUUGUUCAUCAAGUAUGAGUGAUAUACUUAGCUUUCUUAGCACACGCUCUUCCCAUCUCAUAAAUUCUUAUCUUUUGUUCCUUCUGCUUAUGUCGAUCUUCAUGUUCUGUAAUUCUCUUUGCAGGUCUCCAGAUGGUAUUUGAUUUUUUUAAAAGGAGGCCGCGGCGGCGGCGGCGGCUGCUGCUUUAGAAGGAAAUCAAUAUUAAUGUUCUGAUCAACAACGCUGGUGCAUUUGUUGGAUGCUCACUUGAAAGGAGUAUACUUGCAACUGUACAAUUUCCACAUUAUAAUUCAUCGCUGAUGAACACAGCGUUUGCGAUUGUAGGUAAGAGGUCUCACUGUCUCUCUCACUAUCGCCCGCGCACACACAAACGCACUGAGCCAUUUUCCAUCACCAACAUGCUUAGGUGGAGCACAUCAAAACCUGAAUCAAUUCCAUAGUUUUUGGAGACAAGAACUGAUGGUCUAACCAACGUGAUAAGGCAAAGAAUGGACUAGUAAAAGACUUGAUUGAAAACUUUGAAAAAUUGUUAAAGCGAAGGGGCCAAGCCAAGCCCAUCUUUGUGGUUGUUGCACACUCCUUGUCAACGAAAACUCCUGGUCAGAUAUCAUACGUGACACCACACGAACAGGGCUGGUCAAAAGAUAUUCGAUACAUUCAAAAAGACAUUAACAUUUGGCCAUUCUAAUUUCUUGAUUUCAGGUGGCAAGCUAGUAAUGAUCUGGUCCGAGACAGUCAUCAUUUUCUAUAAAGUGGUUUCUUGAUGAUAGCUCACCCACUCUCUACUUGCAAUAAUAGGAUUGAAUUUACCCUUCUGUCAUCUAUUGAAAAGAAAUCUUUUCUUCAUGAAAGCGCAACAAGGGUAAUGAAGAAAAGCUAAAACGGAAGUGAAAAUGAUAAUAUGAACUAUACAUUUCAAUGCCAAAGAAUACACAAAAAGCAUUGAAUUACAAUUCCAUUCACUUGAGUCACUGAGCAUUACUCUUCAAUGGCAAACCAGAAACUGAAGGAAGAAGACCGGUUGAAGCAGUUCUUCCAAUAGAAUUUAGAGUGAAACUAACCAAGUGAAAGGGUGAAACCACGUCUCACUUUGAAGCACUAUCUAUGUGUUAUCCAGACAAAAGUUAAAGCAAACAGUGAAAAAUAAAUAAACAAGCAGAGAGCAGCAACGGCUAAUUACUCACCAAGAUCCCUUAUACAACUCAGUAGUAAAAACAUAGAAUGAAAGUUCAUGCAAGGAAGUUCACUCGGGAAUUUUCAUUUUUGCAAUUGUUUAUCUGCAUUUCAACAAGAUUCAAGUAAACAACAGUAGAAUUGAUCUAUUUAAUCAAAUAUCAUGCCAGCUCACCUGGUUCUUGAGUUCCCAAGCGUAAGCUCUAGAUCGUCUGAUCCACAUUCUUCAUGGAUCCUCUCUCCUUCCCAUGGCUUCACUAGACCAGUUGCAUUACAUCGAAAUGCAAACUCAUCUGAAAUCUCGGCCAUGGGAAUAUCAGCUGUAUGAUCAGAGCCAGCUGCAAUGGCAGGUGAACAUGUACCACUUUGACCUGGAGUCCACAUGCGGGAUCCACCAUUGGAUCCACCACCACCAAAAGCCUCUUCCUUGAAGCCAAAUGGGUUGGAGGCAACUAGGCUGAAUGUGGGAGACGUUGGACCGCCUUGUGGUAUUCGAAUCCCCCUAAACCAUUCUGGAUCGGGAACAAUUUGGCGGCCAGGACUCGGUGGAGUUGAAGAUGGCAAGAAGGAGUAGUGCUGCCCACCCCAGCCUGGGCGGAUAGAUUGGUCUUCCCAGUCAGCUUUUAUUCGAGCGGUUCGAGCUGUUGGAGAGCUCAAAGGAGGAGUAACAGGAGCACUUAUGGAGCCACCAUGGAUGUAGAGAUGAGGAAACUUAGAGGAGGAAGCUGAUGAAGAUGCUGAUGAGAGGUUUUUGAGCCAUGGUAUGAGGGAAUUGCAAUCCAUAUUGGCAUUAGCAGCGUAUGAGGAUGAAGCUGGACUGGGAAAGGAAGAGGAUCCAGGACUUGGGUUGUAGGAAGCACAAGGGCUAGGGUGGUACGAGGAGCAUGGACUUGUUGUUGCAGAAACACCAAGAAUGUCCAUGCGUUCUACAGGUUUGCAUCCCUAAAAAAAGAAAAAAACGAUGAAACCAGGGGCUUGGAAAAAACAUUAACGAAGUCAUAAAAAGUUCACCACAGAUCACUUGACGAAGUGAUACUGGUAAGGCUAUUGCAAAGAAUAUGCCAAACAAUAACAAAAACAAGUAACAUUAUUUUGAUGAAAAAAUAUAUUUUUCCAGCCUUACAAGCAUAUCCUCGGUGCGUGCCAGUAUCCAAUUUAAGAACAGCGCCUAAAGUUUCAACCAAACUAGUAACAGGGACGAGUCAGUUUCCAAUGGCAUUUGACAAAGCAGUGUCAGGAUGCAAAGAUAGGAGCUCUAACACGUGUCUACAACUGAAGAAGGCUUUAUAAAAUGACCAGAGCAGCUGGAAAAUAUGGCAUGGAAUUGGAAGUGAAUUUAGAGAAAUAAGCCAGCAAGUUUACGUAUAGAUAAACAAUUAAAACCUAACAGUGGAUGAAGGUUAAAUAUCCACAUUUUUAAAAAUUUAACAAAUUCACUUCCGCAGGUCAUUUCUUCACAAGAUACAGAUAUUACUCUCAACAAUCACCAUAAAUUUCCUCUAUAAUCCACUAUUGCAUUCUUCCCAAUGCUUCAUUCCUCUAGAUUAUAUCAUAUAGAUGGGGAGACAAUUUUGCCGUCUUUUUUCCUCUGGACUUACCCACCUACAUCUGGAUGAAUGAGUUUCAGCUCAGGAAAUACCAUUAUUCUUGUAUUUCUUGUUAAAGAACUAUAUAAAUUAUAUUUGAAGAUCUUAUCUAAUAGGUUUUCAUUUUAAAAGGAGAUCACCUGACAAUCUUUAACAUUCCUUAAAACGACCCGCAUACCCAACAAGACAAGUAUUUUGACAAUCUCCAAGCCCAACAGACAUUAUUUACUAGACUUACGUAAAUUUAUUCUCAACUUGAAGAACAGUAAUUGAACUCCAGUGGAACUCCACAAAAGAAGCAGCAACACUAUCACCAGCAGAAACACCUCCCAAAUGGGAAACUGAACAGAACUGAAAAAAGGGUCUGCAUUUCUACUGGCAAGGAACUAAAAGCAACUCAACCAAAUCUAUGAAAGAGAGCCCCAGACCCCUACAGUCAAGAUGACCCUUUACCACAUGCUACGGUUCUCAUGUUGUUUUCAAGGGCAUUUUGGUCUUCUUAGGAGGUCUGUGCUGCUGCUCCAUGUUCUCUCUAACAGACCAAAGUGAGUCUUAAAGUUGGUUGGCAAAAGAAGGAAAGAAGAAAGAAAAGAGAGAAUCUUGUGGUUCACGCGAGAAAGCAAAAACACUGACAUCACCCAGACUAAAAAAGGAAACAAGAUCGCUAAAGCAGUGCUGACCGGAUCUAACGUACGCCGGUGAACACCGCACUCAUAAAAAAAGCAGCCAAUAAAACACAAGGCUGACGAUCUAACGUGUGCUGGAGAUAAACCCCAGAAAGGCGAUACAAAAAAAUCAGCAAACGAAUCUAACCCCACUGAUCACACCAGCUUUAGAGAGAAGAAAAACACCUCAGUAACGCCACCGCUACGGCAACAGAAACCGGCGCACGUUAGCAUGCAAUGUCAAGCUUAUGUUAAUAUGCGCCACAACUAGCCCCACCCAGUUAACACCUAAAGUAACCACUGCCAAGCUAGCUUAAGCAAAAUUGAGCAAUAAUCAUGAAAUGCAGGAGCUGGGUUCAUAGUAUUUUUGUGAUUUCCAACGCUUAUUGUGAUAACAGAGUCAUGAAUGAUUCUAAAAUGCACAGAGAGGACAGUAAUGCGAUUAAAUAGACAAAACUAAUCAAACUAGAAGUAACCCAGAAUUCAUGUUCAAGUAAUAAGAAAAUUAAUCACUUCUCUUUUUUUGUUUCUUCAUUAAACGAAAUUAAAACACGAAAACUGUUACUUUUUUAAGUUUUGGCUACCUAAAAGCCUAAAACCAAAGUUAAGCAGAAAUGAAAUACAGAUGGUGAAUAAACGAGUAAAAAGAAAAGUACCUUACGGAAAGUAGUGCCAUCGGGCUCGACGGUCCAGCCAGCCUCAUUGCAGAGGGCUUUAAGGACUUCAUUAUUGUCACAAUGUUUUGGAAGCUUGUAGUUGCCAUACAUUCUUAGCCCAGAAAAUAUCUUUGCUGCAAUGGCUCUUCUUCUCCUUUCUCUUCUCUUGUUGUUCUCUCUUUCUUUCCAUGUUGGUAGUCUCGUACCUGAAGUCAUACUUCUAGUCUAUAACAAAAUUGAUCUACGAAGUGACUGGAUUAGCAAGAAAGGAGCAAGAUUCUAUAUGGGCGGUACUUGGAAGACUCAGUAAAACUGAGUUUAAAUUUUCGGACUAAAAUUUUGUUGUGGAAGUCUGGUUUUUUAUUAAAAAAAGUGUGUUCAUUGAGGACUGGAAUAAGUAGAUAAUGAUGAGAAAUCAAUGAAAGCUGCAAUUUUUUAGGGACCUAAAAACGAAAGAAACCUGUUAUGGCUUGAAUGAGAGCAAUUGGAAUUGGUAAAGGGUAACUGGUCAGAUCAGAUCCAUUUGAAUAUAGAUUUUAGAAGGUGGCCAUGAAACUGGAGGUCAUGUUUUUUUGGUUGAACCCGGGAAGAAGCAAAACCUGAAGAAAUCAUCAGGAGAACUGUCAGCUAAAUAUGUUGGAGCUGGGUGCUUUCCACUAUUAGUCCUUGUUGAUGUUUUAUCUACGAAUUUGCCACUGACAUUGGAUGGAAUUUUCUGAAUAGAUAUAGUUCUUCAAAUUGUAUAGCAAGACCAUAUAAAUAUUCUCUCAUGUCAAUAAAAUAAACUGAAAAAAAUAUAUAUCAAUAAAAAAUAUAAGUAUUAAGAUUCAAAAACCCCAACUAAUUUGUUAGGUUUCUUAAAACAAAUAUACAUAGCGAAAAUGAUAAAUUUAAAUUUUUUCAAGAGUUUUAAAAAUCUCGUUAGACAGAUUUAAAGUUGUUUAAAGUUUAUACAAAGAUUACCUGAAGAGCAACUGUUCUUUUCAACUUUAAAUAAUUUAUUCAAGGCUAGUUAUUACAAACCAUAAGUUGUCCAAAUGUCCGAUUGGGUUUCUCGAAACACAUUCACGUAGCAAGAAUAAUAAAAUUAAAUUUUUUUAGGAGUCCCAAGGAUCUCAUAAAACAGAUUUAAAGUUGUUCAAGGUUUAUAAAAAAAAUUACCUGAAGAGCAGUUCUUUUUGACUUUGAAUAACUUCUUCAAGGCUAGUUAUUGCAAAUCACAAGUUGUCCAAGUGUCUGGAAUUUAACGAUAAUCCACACGAACCACCGGUGAGAAAUCUUCUAAAAAAAAGAUUUCUAAACCUUAGAGUGACAACUCUCUUUUUUUAAGUGUUUUUGUAUUGUACUUUUCUUAUUUGCUUUUAGAAAAUAAGAAGCAUGACAUUCUAUUUAUAGAAAAAUCUAAAAAUAUUAUAAAUGGUAAAAAAUCAAUUUUUCCCUUAAAUAAUAUCAUACAUAUUAUUUUAGAAUAAUUUUACAAAAUUAUUCCUUACUUGAUUUUUUCUAUAUUUAGAUUGUAAUCCCCUGUAUUAAUUACAUUUCAGUUCUUAAUUUCUAAAAUUUAUUUACAAUCAAGUCAUACUUUAUUAACCAAUGUAUAAUUUAUUAGGUUUUCUAAUAAGUUAGCUCAAAUAUAAGUCAUAAGCCUAAGUAAAAUAAAAUUAAAUAAAUACAACAAAUUAAUUUAUUAUCAAUUCAAAAUUUGAUUGACUUAUAUUUAAAUAUCAAGUAUAAUGUUUAAUAACCUAUUAUGAUUCUCUAAAUAUUUAGAAAGUCAUAAGUGAUUUGACUUAACAUUUCAGUGAUUAGUUUCUUAGUGUAAUCAUUAUCCUUUUAUUAAUAUGUUUUGAUUUAGAUAUUAUAGUAUAGAAUGUGUUUGCUUUGUUAAAUCGUUCUAAUUCUUAACAUUAUAGUAAUUAAUUAUUUGAAUAAGAUUUUAAAACUCUUUUCAAAAUGUAUUUCAUCUUGACUAAAAAUUCACAAUCAAUACUAUUUAAGAAUAGAAUGAAUAUUUUUUUUAAUUCACCUAGAGGAUAAAUCAUCUCUCCAUUACUCAAAUAUCUUCAUAUAGUUUAUGUUAUACUCAAUAUAUGUCUGUUUGUUACCCUUGAUUAGAAUAACAUUUAGUCAGGAUCAAAGCAUAACACUUUCUAUAUAGAAUUCUUUUACGGGUUAAAUUAGUGUUUAUGUUAUAUGACAAGCACGUGCAUAUUAGUUUUAGGUAUCUCUCAUAUCUCAGUUUAUAAAAGCAUUUACUUCUUUUUAUAAAGGAAAGAACAUAAUAUGUAUUAAUCUUAACAGUUCUAAUUAAUGUUCAGUCUUAAUAGAACAUUGACAAAAAACAUUUAGGAACAAUACUUUACUGUAUGAAUUUUAUUUUUACUCUUGAUUUAUUAAUCAAACAUUAAAUUAAUUAAUUUAAUAUAAUUAAAUAUUAAAGAUAAAGAAAGAUUUUAUCGAUAAUAGAUAUAUUUUAUAUGAAUAAAAUCAAUAUUACGUGUAACCAACUAAUUAACUAUAAUGUAUAUUUUUCUAUAUGUAUCCUAUCCUGUAAUACUUUUUUGGAAAGAAUUAUAAGUUUUUUAUUAUUUCUUGUUAAUAAUUUUUAAUAAUUUAUUUCUUUUUUUUCUUAAAGACGUUUUGAAAAGUUCACAACACCCUAAAUUUUAAAAUUAUUUCUCUUUUAUAUCAUAUAUCAUUGAUAUAUGAUGCAUAAUUUAAUGUAAUUUUGUUAUGAAACUUUUAGAUGUGACUAUAGUAUUAAUAAAAUACAUUAAUGGCCAUGAGAAAUAAAUCCAACCUUAGAUUUUAUUUUCUUGAUAAAUCAGGUUAAAAAACCUCAUCUUUGGUUAUCUAUAAAGAAAAAUAAAAAACAUAAAUAAGAAAAGAAAAAGGUAACAUAAACCUUUUGUGAGGAAAAUAACUACCAAUUUAAAUAAUUAAGGAAAGCAACAUAAAUCUUUAAUGAGAAAAAUAAUUAAAUAAAAUAACAGUCUAAAUAAUUAAAGAAACCUUCAAUAAUUUGUUUUAAUUACAAACAUUUCAAGACCUUAUAACAUUAAACACCCACAUAUACCAGUGAUGUUUCGAAGGGGCAUAUUUGACAUUUAAGAAUGUCAACGGACCAAUCCAACACGCCAACGGUUACUUAGUCCACUCAAGCCUGACCAACAGCCAUGAUUAUCGCCACGUGGCGAUGUCAUCGUUGUUAUUCAGUAACCGUCUCUGUCUAAGCCAUCCAAUGAGAGGCUACACGGCUUUCGCACGUGUCAGCAAUCGGUGCACCUGUCAAGACCUCACCCCUUGUCCCUUGGUAGAGGAGGUUAAUCUUGGUGUGCAUGCGCCUACAUUAGCAGAUGAUGCGGAUGCGCACCUCGCUGUUCACGUGACAAGAUGAGCAAUGGCGUGAUCAAAGUGGGGCCCUAUUGUAUAAAAAUUGUUGAACGACGCGCAUAAAAAGAAGAAUGAAAAUGAGUUGCCAAUCACGUGUCUGCUGGGCUCUUCCUCAACAGUACAAAAAUGUCACCUUGGUAAUUAAUAGAUGGUGGUAAAUAAUUGCUUCAGCCAUCAGCACACCUUCAUUUAUAGUUAUCAUUUUCGGUCCUGGGUUGAUACGGCCAACUAAUCAGAUAAUUAACUCAUAUUACCUUGAAAAAAUUAAUUAGGUUUUGAAUCACAGAAUAAUUUAAAUUAACUUAAAAUAAUUAAUUUUAAAAAAAUUUUAAUAUGUUACAUAAAAAAAAGAGUUAAGAGACAAUACAUUUUAAAGUAAGCUAUAUCUAAAUAAUAAAGUUUAAAAAUAUAUUUUAUUCCAGGUUGAAAAUAUAGUAUUUAUUUUUUUAAGUUGAAGUAUAUAAAUUAAAAAUAUUUUUUAUUUCAUAUUAAAAAAUAAUAAUUUUUUUAUGAAUAUAUAUAUAUAUAUAUUAACAAGCUUUUAAUUUUACAUUAAAAAAUAAAAUUUUUUAAUAUUUAUAUAAUAAAUUUUGAUAUAAGAUAAUAAUUAAUAAAAAAAAAUAUAAUAGGCUCUCGUGUGUACAAGGUUGGAUCGACUAAGGAAAAAACCUUUAAUUACUCUCCAUACAUGCGAGACAAUACUUUUUUUUUCCUCCUUUAACUUGAAGCCAAUGCCCUUUUUGACACAUGAAUAUUUUCCUCUAAUGCUCUUGAUUUAAAUUCUCACUUUGCUAUGAAAAAUAGUGGCAUAAUUCCGCGUCGUCAUGUUCGUGGGCAUGCUGUAGAAAAAUAUUGCCUUGCUACGCCUUCAUUUAAAUUUUCUGUUUAUAAAGAAAAUGUUCCCUCUUUGUUCCUUACUCAGCCAAUAGAGAAAUGAUACCUUGCUAUGCCUUUAAUUCUUUUCUUCUUUGUAAGAAAAAGUUCAGUUUUUAUUUUUAAGAAAAAGGGUUUUUUGCGGGUUUUGUCAGGUCAUCUAGGUUAUGGGUUGAGCCGGCAGGUUAUACAGAUCUCACCAGGCUAAUUGCAAGCCUAAUUUUUACCUUUUAUGGUCCUGGCCAGGAUCCUAGAUGGCGGCGGGCAAUGGUGGAGCUAGGAUUUUUUAAAUUAGAGGGCAAAUUACAAAUAAAUAUUUGAUAUUAUAUGCUAUAUAGACAUAUGUUAUAAUAAGAAAUUAAUUUGAAAUAUAUGUACCAAUUCAAGUAAAGUAAAAUUAAUUUAAGAAUACUUUUAAAAUAAAAAAACUUACAUUAUAAUUGUUCUCUUCGAGAUUUUAUAUUUUAAAACUGUUUCAUAAUGAUUUUAUUUUUAAUCUCCUUAAAAAUAUCUUUCUUAAUAUAUACAACAAACUUUCAUUUAUCUAUUUUUAAAUCUUGUAAGGACUACGAAAAUUCUUGACAAUAAUUUUAUGCUGACAUAUGAUACAUAACAUCUAAAAUCAUAGCUUAAAAGAAUUGUCACAAAUUGAUGUUGUUAUUGCUAACUUGUUGUUUUGUACAAGUGGAUUAAACAUAAAUAUUAAAUGUUUUCUUUUUAAUUUAUCUAUUGUGUCUCUAAUUUUUUGAGUUGUCAUGUACUUUAUUUUUAAUCACUAGUAAAUUCAUCACCAUCAUUUUUCAUAUGAAAUUCAUAGCAAAAUAUUUAUCAAUUCAUCAAAACUCAUUUCAAUUAAUAUCCAUUAGCAUAUAAUAUUACCCAUACACAUAUUAAUUCAACAAACCCAUAAAUUAUUAUAAAUCUCAACAUUUUCAAUAACUAAUUAAAAAAAUAAAACUAAAAUUAGAUAAUGAAACAAAUAGAAAAGAUGAAUGAAACUUUUCUAAAACAUAAAGCAUAAGAGAUUAUUUGCUUAACUAAUUAAUAAAUUACGGCUUGAAGAGAAAUUUUAUAGAAAAGAGAGAGACAUGGACAAUAGUGAACAAAAAAAAGAACUUAGAUUAAUUAUUAGCUAACAAAGAAAAUUAACCCUGGAAAGUUAUUAUAUUAAUAUUUUAAUAUAAAAAAUACUUUAAAAAAAAUUAAGGAGCAUUUGCUCCCUCUUGCCCCAUUAUAACUCCACCACUACAUACCAAACCUUUUGAUGGAGGAGCAAAUAAAAGAAUUCAAAGCAGUUAAAAAUCAAUAUUGAUUUCAUAAAGGGGAACCAAGAUUAUUUCAUGCAAAAAUAAAUCAUAUCAAUCCUAGGUCUUAUCUGGGAUCAAGUGUUCUUUGUUUUAAGAAGAGACAUUUCCAUGUUUAAAGAUACUCUCGAUCUUCAAUUGUAAAAGUUGAUGCAUCGAUUGCAGUGGGCACAAAGUACAUGGAUACCAUUGAAAAUACUGUUAUCGCUUAUACAGCUUUUGCAAUACACGAUUCAAAUUUUGAAAAAUCCCUAUUAUAUUAAUAUUUUAAUAUAAAAAAAUACAUCGAAAAAGAAAAAAAAAGGGGAGCAAUUGCCUCCUCUUGCCUCAUUGUGGCUCCGCUACUGGCGGUAGAUCAACCCACUAGAAUGGAUCGAGUCUGAUAACUAUGUUUAUAUUAAUAUGGUGUUUGGAAGUGUGAUAAUAAUUGUGUUUUUAAAAUAUAUUUUGCUUUUAAAUGCAUUAAAAUAAUUUAUUUAAAAAGAAUUAUUUUUGACAUCAACAUAUUAAAAUAAUCUAGAAAUAUAUAAAAUUAUGUUUAAACAAAAAAAUUUAUUUUUUUUGAAAAAUACGGUUUCAACCGCUUUCCAAAAUGCAAUCUAAAUUUUGAGAUCCUAACAAGAAAUUUUUACAGCCAACAAGCCUAGAAUUAGAAAGUACAAUACCGUUUAGCCUAGAAUUAGAGAGUACAGCACCGUUUAAAAUUAUGGUAGUAAUUGCUUUUUAAAGUAUUUUUUACUUAGAAAUAUAUUAAAAUAUAUUUUUACAGUUUUAAAUUUUUUUUUUGACAUUAGCAUAUCAAAAAAAUUUAAAAUAAUAAUAAUAAUUUUUUUUUCAUAAAUAUUUUUUAAAAACAAACAAAAACAAUCUACAUGUUUCAUCAUUACAUUUCUCAUCAUGGUUUAUCUCAUUAUUAAAGCAAUAGAACUACUUACCAACAGAGAACCCAACCUGUAUAGAAUUCAAGAAUCUUUCACCUUCAAAAGUUGUCGAGAUAUAUAUAUAUAUAUAUAUAUAUAUAUAUAUAUAUAUAUAUAUAUAUAUAUAUAUAUAUAUAUAGAAUUAAAGUUGUUUACAAUCCGAUCUAGAGCUUUAUGAUAUUAUGAUGUUUGGGUAAUAAGUACGUUCCGAUCUUCCACUCCUCUUUCGCAUCAUAACAAGAUCCAUAUAUGAUUUAAAUGGUGGGUCCCACCAUCAUAUUAAUUAGAUAGAAACACACAAAAUCAUCAAAUAUACGUUGAUGAUUUUCAAAAUGGAUAAAUUACAAUAGCAUCUCCGUGGUAUCUUGAAAUUACAAAUACUACCCAAAAGUUUGAAGAAAUGUUUUUUUUUUCUUAAAAAAAAUAGGAGCAUAUAUAAUACAAAUAUUUCAUUUUGUAGAGGAAAUUAUGCAGUAUAUUCUUAUAUUAUGAGAUGAGUUUCCAAUCUGUGUUUAUAUUUCUAAUUGAGCUAGUAUUAUCCUUGUAAUUAAUUGAGUUUCUAGUUUAUCAUUUUAUGGGAAGUAGGUUUCGAAAAGGAAGAAAAAUAUUGUUUCGUGUGAUUGUUUUUAAGCAAUUAUUUUAUUUGUCAUGUCCCUUGCACGUGACUGACAUGUUCAUAAGGCUUAGGUUCAUUUUCAAUGCUAUGUCAAGUAAAGCUGAGUAAAAAAACUGACAAACUGAUUAAACCGAAAAAACCAGAUUAAAAUAACUGGAAAAACCGAAUUAUAAAAAAAAUUGAUUAAACCGAUUAGAAUAUUUUAAAAGAAUUUGGUUCGGUUCAGUUUUGAUUUCUUAAGCCUGAAAUUAAAAAACCAAACUGAAUCGGUUUAGUUAAGAAAAAACCAAAUCAAAUCAAACCAAAAAAACCAAAUCGAACCGAAUCCAUUAGAAAGUAAAAAAAAACCCGAAAAAAACAAUACAUUUUUCAGUUUUUAAUAUAAAAUAACAAAACUGAACCGAAACUGAAUCGAAUCGUAACCGGUUGGUUGGGUUUCGAUUUUUAACUUAAAAUAAUCGAACCAAAACCGGUUGGUUGGAACCGGUUUCAGUUUUUUUUUUUUGAAAAAUUUCAAUUUGGUUAUUUUCAUAGGUAAGAACCAAAUCGAACCGAAAAUAAUCACUUCUAAUAUCAAGCCAUGUGCACUAAAAAAUUUGUUUAUUUAGAUAGAAAAAUUCAAUAAAAGAAUAAAUUGCAAACUUGAUCGUUUUAUAAGAAUAAAAUAGGCUCAGUUAAGGAUACAAGUGUACAUUGAAACCUUACUAUAAUAUAAAGAUAGAAAAGGUCAUUUCUCCCAUUUUAUAUCCAUAAUGCAUCUACUAACAAAGUGAAGAAUAUUAGACCAAUGGGGGAUGCUAUUUUGGAAGGAAUUGUUAGGUAUACCACAAGUUGUACUCCCUCCUCUUGCAUAAAAUAGGAUCUACUAUGAAAAAUUAUUAAUGGAUACAUCUUUGAGCAUAUUGAAUAAUAUACAAAAUAGGUUCUUGACAUUUUAUUGUAUUCUCAUAUAUGAUGGAGGUUUUUGUUGAAUUUUUAAAUUUGAAGGUUAUUCUAAUUUACCAUUUCAAAGUAUUUAAGAAACUACCAUUUAUAAACUAAUUCAAUCAAAUGCCCAAUUCAUUGAGAUGAUUUGUGGGUUACUCGAUUUACCUUUAGAUUUUUUUUUUAAAAAAAAAGUUAUUUUUUUGACAUAAUUUAGUUUUAACUGUGCCAAUCAUAUUUAACCAAGUUAAUGGCAUAAAGAAUUUCAAUAAAAACUAACCCAACUUUAGCCUCAAAUAACGAGAUUCUCAAAUCAACAUAUUAUGUUAAAUUAGAUAUGACAUUAAUGCAUGUAAAUAAGCAUUAAUAAAACAAGCAUUAGUCAAUAUGUGCGAAAACUGGCCUGAACACUCAUGUUAAAUUAAAAAACAAUAAGCAUUAAUAAAACAAUUCACUAAUGAUACUAAGUCUACGUUAAAGGCAUAUAAUGUUGUAAUUAAAGACUUGAAUGAAUCUAUAUUGCUUGUUGUGAUUAAAGCUCUUGAACCAUGCAUCUUCUUCCCAGGAUGAUUUUAUUGGAGUAAAGUUCAUUUUAAAAUCUGAUUAUGUUGUUUUGGUUAACUGGAUGAAUAAGUCGUUCAAUAGAACAUGGAGAUUUCUUAAGCUCUUCAUCCAUGCAUCUAGACUUUCUUCACAUUUAGAUUGUAUUAAAAUGCCAAAAAAGAGAUGAAAAAAAAAGUGAACAUACAAAAUCUAAGAGUCAACAGAUAAUUUGAGCUAAAAAAAAAUUGUGUUACUAGGGAAAUCAAAGUCAGGCCAUAAAGUCACCACUCUUAGUCACAUUUUAGUUUGCAAAUAUCUAAACUUCGUAAUAGCUUCUCAAAGAACACAUUUGGUCUUUUUGUGUGCAUAUCUUGUGUCGUGAUGUGUGAUGUGUACUACGUUGAAUGACGGAUGUAUUUUCUGAGUAUGUUAAAAAUAUAUUUUGGUUAUAAUCAUAAAGAUAUAAUUAUGAAGUUCAAAACUCGCCACCUAGUAUUAUGGUUAUUAGAGAACCUAUGGUCUGUAAGAGUCUGGGUAAAAGACUAGUUGUGCAAGAGAAAGACACAUCAUCCCCAAUGCACCCUAUCUAAGGUAAGUUGCAUUGUUAUUUGAUUGUUUUCUAGGUUGUGUUUUUAUCUAUUGAUCUUUUUCUAAGGUCUAAAGUAAAUCUCUCUUUGUGAGUAAGUUUUUGCAUUAUCGAGUUAAACUCUAACCGUUAUAAAGUUUAAAUUUUAACAUCGUAUUUAUUUUACACUUUUUAUCUUUAAUGCUCGAGGGUAUACUUUACAAUGUAAUUUUAUACCCCAAAUAUUAAAAUCUAUAACUAAAUCCUAAUACUUAAGAUAUUAAUUAAACAAAAUAGUUAUUGAAGGAAUUUUAAUAAUUUGGUCAAAGCCUAAUGGAUAAUUAUAAACUAGUUAUGAUAUCCAUUUUGUAUUUUUAAAAUAUGAUAAAAAAUGAUUUUAACUCUUUUUUUAGAAAACAUGCAUGAAAAGUUUUUAAGAUUUCGCUGUAUGCACUAAGAUAAAAGGCAUAUUUUUGUUUUUGGAAAAAAGAAAUUAAUUUUUUUUUUGAAAAUUUUAGUUUCGGAGAGAACCAAGUAUUUUUAAUACCGACAUUCGUAUCUUAUAGUGUAAGUCUACGACCUAAUGUUAUGCAAAAUUAUUGGAAAAACAUGCGGGGGACCCAUAAUUUUUUUUUAAAAUGCCCUUUGAAUAUUUUUAUAUUAUUAAAUAUAUAUUGAGAUGGAUCCAACUCAACCAUUCGAUCUGAGCUAAAACAAGUCCAACCUAACUUAUGUGGGUUGGGCCGACUAGCGACCUAACAAUCUUUUUUUUAUGUUGGGCCGAAACGGCUCUAGCCUGGGCCCAUAUGGCGCUAACACAGCCCAACGACCAAGUUAGGUAUUUUGCAAAAUGUGAUUCAUCACAUUCUGCAUGUCGAGAGGCAGUUUGAGGAGAAAAAUAAAGAGAAUGCUUGCUUGGUCAGAGGAGAAAAGUUGUUAGCGGCGUUCCUAAUGGUGCUGGGAAAUCCGAUAUGUGGAUGAUGGUGGAAACGACAGUGGAGGGAGAAGGGAAAGGUUGAUGAAAAACAAAAAUGGGAAAGGGGCUGAUUUUUUUCCCAAUUUUGGCCUUAGAUUUCUUGACGCUCAAUGCUUGGAAUUCAUCCUUAUUUAUAGGGGGUGGAAGAGAGACACUUUGUUUUUUAUCUGGGACAUAUAUUGGCCCUUGAUUCAACUGAUAAGGAUCUCAACCGUUGGUUCAAAGGUGCAAUCAUGAUCUGUGAAAAUUGGUUGUUAAAGACUGGUCAGGUUAGCCACUUUAGGGCGGCGUUGCUGUGGCAGUUGGCCGACGAGACCUACUUUGGGGUGUAGUACAAUGUCAGGUCAUCAUGGUGGUGUAUGAUUUGUCCGGUUUAGUGGGGAGAAGAAGCAUUAAAUGUCUCUAAAAAGCAGCCACCUGAGCUGCUUAUUCGGGUGAAAAAAAAGAAAAAGAUGGAUGUGUUGUCUGGUGUGUGUGUGUGUGUGUGUGUGUCUAAAAGGCACAAUUUUGGAUUUAGGGUUUUAAUUUAGGGAUUUGGUCAAAUUUCAAUUUAGUACUUUAACUUUUAAAUUCUUUCAAUUGUAUCCUUAAUUGACCUCAAAAUUUUGAUUUAAUGCAAUUUUGCCCCUGCCGAAUUUCAACAUCAGCCCUGAAUUUUAGCGCCUUUCCAUUAUGGUCAUUGGCUUUGGAUUUAUGCAAUUUUACCCUUAAUUGACUAUAAAACUUUCAAUUUCACCCUUGUCCUCAACCAAAUUAAGUCCCUAAAGUUUGAUGUCUUUUUUAAAAAGGUCUUUAGCUUCAAAUUUCUUCAAUUUAGCUCCCAAUUGACCAUAAACUUUAAUUUUCUUGCAAUUUUACCUCUGAUUUCGAGCAAUUAACUUUAUAAAAAUUAAGUUUGGUCUUCUAAAAUUUCAAUCUUCUCAAUUAAGCUCAAAUUGGGUUUCCAAACUUAUUUUUUCACCAAUUAAGUCCCUAAUAAAAUUAAUUUGACCCAUUAAAAGUAUAAUUAAGUUCUUGCACAUAAUUAAAUCCUUUAAUUAGACCCAAAUUAAAUCUUAAAUAUAAUUAAACUUUAGUUUGAGUCAUGAUUAAAUCAAAUUGGCUAAUUAAAAAUCUAAUUAUGUUUAUGGACUUAAUUUUAAUGCAGAUUCUUUCAAUAAUCAUUUAAUUUGACCCUAAAUCUGCAUUGUUUCUCCAAUCUUGGGUACAACAGGGUUUGAUUAGGCACUACAUCAUUAUCUAGUUUUACCGAAGGACUAAUUCCGUCGGUGAAAGCAAUGAAAUCUGUCGGUGAAAUAAUUACCGACGGCCUCACCGACGGAAUCUACUUACUUAAUAAAAGAUCUCAGCUCAUCACAGUUAAAUAGGACAUAAUUGUGUGCUUGUCUGAACUCUAUUUCAGACAAAUAUCUUCCCCUCAUGGCAUUUUUAGGUGUGGGUCGUCCAGGAUUGGAGAAUAUUGACAAGUUCCCACUUGAAUGCACUUCACCACCAUCAUCAUGUCGUGGAACACGGUUUAUCCUCGUUCUCAAAUGAGGUUCGAAAUAGUAUGAGAUAAAUGUUAAGAUCUCCUCAACAAUAUACGCCUAACAUAUUGACGACUCAACAUGCGCCUUGUCCUUAACCUUUUUUUUAAGAUUGAACAAGUACCUGCAUAUAUAUAUAUAUAUAUAUAUAUAUAAAUUAUCAAUUAAAAACAUUAAAAUAAAAAUAAAAACAUUUAAUUAUAAAUGUCAUAACAACUGUAAUAUCUAACCUCUCGAAUGGAUACAUCCAUCUGUACUGGACCGGUCCUCCAACUUUUACCUCAAACGGUAAAUGUACGGGUAGAUGCUCCAUUGAGUCAAAAAAUGAUGGAGGGAAUAUCAUCUCAAGUUUGCAUAUUGUCUCGACGAUAUUCUUUUCAAGCCUUUCAAUGUGAUCAACAUUCAACUUGCUGGAGCAUAUGUCUUUGAAGAAAUGACUAAUCUUCGUUAGUGCAUCCCAUAUCCCCUUUGGCAACAAAUCACGAAAAGCUAAUGGGAUGAGUGUUUGCAUAAACACAUGGCAGUCAUGACUCUUCAUUCCAUAUAAUCUGCAUUCCUCUGUAUUAACCAGCCUUGAUAUGUUCGAGGCAUGUCCAUCGGGGAAACGCAGACUCUUAAGCCAUUUGUAGACUAGUAGUUGUCCAUUUUUCUCUAGCACGAAGCUUGCUCUUGGUUUUGCGACCCGUGACCCAUCACAAACCAACUCCAUAUUUUUACGGUUACAGAACAGCGCUAAUCCAAUCUAGCCUUGAUGUUGUCCUUUGUCUUCCCCUUCACAUCCAUGACGGUGUUGAAAAUGUUGUCAAACACGUUCUUUUCAAUGUGCAUGACGUCAAGGUUAUGGCGAAGAAAAUUGGUCUUCCAAUAAGGAAGCUCCCAAAACAUACUUCGCUUCACCCAAUUAUGGGUCAAACCAAAACCAGGAAACUUCUGCUUACCUGAUUGGAGACCAAACACAAUUUCACCGUACUCUGACACAACAUCAAACAAUUCUUCACCGGAAAGACGCGGGGGUGCAACAUCAUUUUCAACUCUGCCAACAAAGAAAUCCUUUCUGUUCUUUCUGUACCUAUGGUUAUGUGGCAAGAAACGACAGUGAUAGGUAAAAAAAGAAGCUUUACCCCCGUUUGUUAGCGUGAAUGCCUUGUUGUUCUCCAUACAGUAUGGACAUGCUAGCUUUCCAUGUGUGCUCCAACCAGAAACCAUUCCAUAAGCUGGGAAAUCAUUGAUAGUCCACAUCAAAGCCGCUCUCAUAACAAAAUUUUGUUUCCUCGAGAUGUUAUAAGUCAAAGCUCCAAAGGACCACAACUGCGUCAACUCAUCAAUCAACGGACGAAGACAAACAUCUAUAUUCCGCCCCGGACUGCUCGGACCUGGUAUGACCAUAGAUGAAAACAUGAACUCCGACCUCAUACACAUCCCCGAUGGCAAGUUAUAAACCGUCAGUAUGACCGGCCAACAAGAAUAAGGAGCAGCAAAUGACCCGAAUGGGUUGAAUCCGUCUGUACACAACCCAAGACGCACGUUCCUUGAUUCAGCUGAAAAGUGAGGAUUCAGCUGAAAAGUGAGGAUGCAUACUGUUAAAGUGUUUCCAGGCUUCACGGUCAGAAGGAUGAACCAUCACUCCAUCAACCGCAUGAUGUGAUUGGUGCCAUGUCAUGUGCUCAGCAAUCCUUGGUGAUAUGAAUAACCUCUGCAGUCUAGGUGUGAUUGGGAAGUAUUUAAGUUUUUUUAUAUGCCACGAGAGUCUUCCCUCUACCAGUUCUGGUUUUGUAACGAGAAUGCCUGCAUGUCAUGCACUCGGUCAUCUCAGCAUUUUCAAGGUAGUAUAACAUGCAGAAGUUAGGGCAUAUAUCAAUUUUCUGGUAUCCUAAAUCGAGGGGUUUCAUCAUGGACUUGGCAGUAUAGAAGUUCUCUUUCAGCCUGUUCCCUUCAGGUAAAAUGCUUCUCGCCCAUUCAAUAAUCUUGUCAUAACCGGCCUCACUCAACCCGUGAUCUGACUUGAUGGUGAAUACCUGUGCUACGGCUGAUAAUUUACUGUGGUUCGUGCAGCCAUCCCAUAAUGGUUCGUCAGAAUCUCUCAACAGAUCAAAAAACCUUGUUACAUCUGCAUUAGGUUCUUCUUCUACGAUUGGACAUUCCCUGACAUUACCUUCACUCAUUCUCAUUGCAUCCAUAACCAUAUUCCUGUAAGGAUUACUGUUCUCAUUUCCAACUUCAUACAUGUUGCUAGCACUAGAAGUUGACCCAACCACCUGUUCUUCCAUGCUCUCAUCAGGAACAAAUAGUUCUCCGUGAGCAUACCAACACAGGUAAUCUUCCAUGAACCAUUUGGUUAGAAGAUGCAUCGUUACAACAUCUUGAUGCAGAAACUUUAAAUUUUUACACUUCAUGCAUGGACACCUAAUACCGCCAUCAGUAAAAUUCCUCGGAAUAAAUGUUGCAAAAUUAAUAAAACCCUGGACACCGUUACAAUAAUCCAUCCUCCGCAAUCCUUGGGAUGAGUCCCGAUACAUCCAUGAACGAUCAUCCAUGACUUCUAUUGAACCUCUAUAAAACAUAACAAAAAUAUUGGUUUUCCCCGACAUUAUCCAACAAACUAAAACAACACUUAUGUUAAAUAUUCAUUAUCAAUUAUCAACUAUCAACGUUCAUACAUACAAAUUUAUACAUGUAUAAAUUUACAGAAAUCACAACUUCGAAAUAGAAUUGAUAACAAUUAAACAAGACUCGUUAAAUAAGCUAUUAAUUAUUUAUUUCAUCACAACGACACAUUUAAUUCGGUGUAAUUCAAACAAAAUUUCAACAAUUUACAAACAAAUAUAAUUUAAAAAAAUCUAAAACAAACUAUAACAACUACAAAAUUAUACAUUCAUACUACAAGUUUCUUUGACAAAUAACAAUUAAACAAGUACAAACGUUAACAAAAUACAUAAACUAAAACAAUAAAAUUCACAAUUAAAUAUUAAAACUAAAAAAGAUAGAUUUACUUACAAAAAAAUGAUAAAAUCUACAAGAAACGGAUAUUAUGACUAUAUACAAGAUAUAAGAAACUUGAGUGCUCGUGUUGAGAAUAGUGGAGAGUUUGGGAUGGGUGUUUGGCUGCAGUUUGGGAGGGGAGCUGCAGUUUGGGAGGGGAGAGGUGGGAUGGGAAAGAAGAAGAAGGAGAAACAGAGGAAGAGAGUGUCGGUCGAUUGGUGGGCAUAUAAUGGUUUUUUCCGACGGAAUCACCGACGGAAUGAAUCCGUCGGUGAUUCCGUCGGUGACAGUGCCACGUCACUAUACGGCUAUCUCAGUUUGAAUCCCUCGAUAAUGUCCGUCGGUAAAAUCGCUUGAUGUCACCACGCCGUUGCAUAUUUCCAGACAAAAUGUAUAUCCCGUCGGCGAAACCGUCGGUAUAUACCGACGGAGUUAUUCUGUCGGUAUAUACCGACAGAUUUUAAGACGGAAUUAUUUCCGUCGGUAUAUAUUACCGAUGGAAAAAUUCCGUCGGUAAUUCCAACGUCGGUAAUUCCGUUGGUUUUCUCUGGUUUUCUGGCAGUGAGGCUUCAAAUUUUGUCCAAAAAUUAUGUAGUUCGGGAAUGUUAUUAACUUUGGAGAUGGAUUUAUGGAGGUAUGAUUCCAUUCUUGGUAUAUUUAUUAUGCAUUUGAAUAUUUUUUUUCAGAAUCAGAAAUUGAACUUCUUACAUUAUCCUAUGGAUUUGAUAAUGGUUCGUGGCAUGUUUUUCGUUGCACUGUGAUGGUUAUUUAUUUGUGGUUAGUCUCUUUCCUUUCACAUUUGACGUGUGCCUUUGAGGGAUUUUCCUGUUGCUCUUGAGAGUGCUACUAUUUAUAAUUUUGCAACAACAGUAGCAUGUUAUUCUUACCCAUAUACAGAGGAAAUAAUUUAAGGGCAUAUUCACCUUCCACCAUGAUAGAGUAAGAAGUCAGGGAAAACGUAUUCAGGAAAAUGAUCUUCGAGCAAUGCAUACAUACUAGAAAUGUUCAUGUGAGCAAAUGUUUUGCUGGUAACUUAGAGAGAAAGCAUGCCCCAACACUCGGUUGUUGAAUUGUGAAGGGCGUAGUUCUUUUGAGAUCAAAAUAAGAGUUCUUAUUUCAAUGAGAAGAGUGUUAGAACUAUGAAAAAUAAUUUUUAUUUAAUCUAAAUAAUUGAAAUUAAAAUGAGCAAACAUGAUUUUAUCAUAUGUUUAUUUCAAUUAUGGCUAUUAUUUAUUUUAUUAAACACGUGUGUUAAAUUUUCAACUCAUAAUUAAAAAAAUUUAUGAUAGUAAAAAACAUGUUGACAAUGCCUUUUUUUCAUUGAAAAAAAAAAAACCCUUUAUCCCACAUUAUUGCACGGGGAACUUCACUAGUAUCUUCAUAUUUAAUGUCAUUCUCUAAUCUAUUUUUCUAAUAAAUAUUUAUAUUUAAAUGAAUAAAAAUAUCACCAAGUGAGAAACUAAAAACCCUCAUAAUUUAUAUAAAAAAAAUUGAAAAAGAAAUGAAUUAUUGUAUUUUGUUAAAUUCCAUUGUUUUCAUGGUUAUUUCUUUUUAUAAUUAGGUUUGGGUUGAGUUUCUUACCUGAGAAUAUUUGAUAUAAGGAUAUUAGAGAAUAAUCCUAUAUUUAAAUACAAAUUAAAUAUAAUUAGACCUGUAGGGAUUCAUUAGAAAUUGGGCAUAAAAUAUAAAAAUAAGUUAAGUUUUAAAAGUUGAACCUAAAAAUAUAAGCUAUUAGAUAAGAUUUUAUUAAUAAUUUUAUAUUAAUUCUUUAACACAUUUUCUCAACUAAAAAUUUUUUGGAUUUGAAAUUUAUACAAGUAUAUAUUAUCUUGCUUUGAAAUUAUAAUUUUUAUUAAUAAAAAUAAAAAUAAAAAUAUUCUAACCUGUAAUUAUUUAAUUAUAAAAAUAUAACAAAAAUUAUAAUAUUCUAAUUAUAAAAAAUAUAAUACCGUGUUAAAAAAUCAUGUAAACAAAAAAUUCUUUAAAAAUGCUAGAAAAACGAUCUCACAUCGUAUAAAUAAGCAAUAUAAUAAUAAUAUAUAAAAUUGUUAUCUUUGGAAUAAAAUCUAAUCUCAAUUAUGUAAUAUAAUAUGGUAUUAAAGGCUUAAAAAGGCCCAAUAGCCCAUAAAAAAACCCUGAAAUCUAAGUCACGUUUUCGAAUUCUAUUAUUUAUCGGAAUACUCUCUUAAAUGCAGAAGCUAGCAGUAGAAGCAACUGAUCUUGGAAUUAAAUUAUCAUUUGAAAGCUGUAAAUGCCUUCAGUUUGUGGGCUGAAAGAGCUUCUAUUAGCAUGGAUUGAUUGAGCUUGUCUUUUGAAUUCCAUAGUUUUUCUGCUUCACAUGUCAAAACAAAUGGAAAUAGAGCAGCUCAUAUAUACAUCAUGAGAAAAUUAGUUGAUCUUCGUACCCCUCAACGAAUCCAGGUGAAAUAUGUCUUUUGAAUUUCGUAGUCCCUCUAGUUUAACUUUUCGGUCAAAUUCGCCCUUCAACAAUGAAAUUAGAUGUGACAUGCCUUAAACCUCCCCUACCUUCAAAACUUGUGUAAAAUCUAACCAUCACAAGGAAACAAAACAAACAGAGAGUAGAAGAGAGGCUUGCAAACUUGUCUUAUCAACAAGAUAGAGUUGAAAUGAAAGGUUUACUUCAACAAUUAUAUUAAAUAUAAGCGACGAUCAAACAAGAUAAGAUUGAAAUAAAGGAUUUGUUACAGUGAUUGGAUUUUCUGAAUUUAAGUUUGCUUCCUUGAAGUGAUGCAAAUUAUAGGAAAACAAUUACCUUUACAUAUAUAUAUAUAUGGAUUUCUUGCCAAAUAAAUGAAACCAUUACCGUAUAUUACACUCACAUAUCUCCAUUACUUCUGAUGAAGUAGUAAAAAUUUCAAAUUAGAUCUGGAGUUUUUCAAGACUGCUUGAUGGGGUGAUUGGACACGACACCACUUAAUUGGGGUGGUGGGAUAACGAAUCUCCGAUAUUUAAAUUAGUAAAUAUAGCAGGAAAAAUAAUAUAAUAAAAAUAAAAGAAGAGUAAAGAAUGUAUGGUUGUUUUUAUGAAGUCAUGUUUUAUGUUAUGUGGUUGUCUUCGGUUUACCUGAUAACUCAAGAUAUUUUAUAAUGUUGGUCACGUCAAAUUAAUUAUCCUAUGAAGAAUUAAAUAAUGAUGAGGAAUAAUUUCCUUGUAAGUGUGUUGAUUGUUAUGUUUUGUUGUGUUAUUUGUAGAAAGGUCGGUACUCGCCUGUGAUUUACAAGAAAAAAUGAUAGGUAAAAUUUAUAUUUAAAAUUUAUACAAAAUACGGCGUUAUACUAACUUUGUUGAAAGAAGUAAUUCUUCUGCCGGUCAUUGAACUUCUUGAUAAUUUGCAAUGGAUUUAGAUUCAGNNNNNNNNNNNNNNNNNNNNNNNNNNNNNNNNNNNNNNNNNNNNNNNNNNNNNNNNNNNNNNNNNNNNNNNNNNNNNNNNNNNNNNNNNNNNNNNNNNNNGGCUGUAUCCCGCAACGCCUCCGUCGUUAGAGCGCUCGUGUACCCGUACACAAUACUUCUUUUCCUUUUUUCCCUUUCCUCCGUGUUAAUUUAAUUUCAGAGAAUGAACUAGAGAACUAUAUGAGAACUAGGGAUUGAAGUGGAGGGAAGGAAAAAUUGGUUGCCUCGUGUACUAUACGCGCUAACAUGGGAGCCUUGCCCAGCCAUCUUUAGACGGCGUCUGUGUCUCAUCCUCGAAUAUCUUUUAUUUUAUAGUCCUACACUCCUACUUGAUAAAAUAAUUGAUAACAAGCACAAACUCCAUCACAAAAAAACAUAAACUAAAACCAUGUCCGUAUCAAUUUAUAUUGUUGAUUUAAUUCCCAAAACUAAAUCAUAUAAUAUUUUUAGAAACACUUAAAAAUUAUUAUUUCAUGUUUAUUCAUAUAAUAAAAAUAGGUGUUAGUUGUAGCAUAAUAGAGGAUGAGAAAUGCUCCAAGUUAUUUUUAUAUCUUGGAAUACCAAGUUGAAUAUAAUAAAAUAAUUUUAAUAAAAAAAUCACAUAUAAGAGUGAAAAAUAUGGUCGUUUCUUUGAGAAUUUAAAAAAUAUAUAAUUCUCUAAAACACUUAUAAAUCUGAGAAUUGUUUUAGGUCUAAAAUAAACACAACCAUGAAAAUUAAAAGAAAUUUCUAGAUAGAAAACUAUGUAAGUAUUAUUAUUUUAGUGGACAUAAAAGGUUGAAUAGUUGAAGACAUUGUGUUUACUAUUUAACUGAGUAAAUACGAUAAUACUUUACUAAAAAAGGUUCAAAGCCAAAAGUUACAUACCCUGUGUAGUUAUCCACCAAAUCAUUAUCUUUCUACUAAUAUUCAAGUUUUUGUUUUAAAAAAAUGGUCAAAUAAUUUAUAUUCAUGUGAGGGAUUGUUAGAAAAUUUAUUUUUUAAAAAAGAAAUUCUUGAAGAUUUUGCUCUUCAUGAUAUAUAUUUUUUCUUUUAACUCUAGUCUGAAGCUUUACUUUUGCUAUUUUUUGUUGGAUGCUAUUACAACAAGAUUGAUGAAAAUAGAGAUUUGAUGGUGUGUCUAUGUUGAGAGAUUGAAACCAAAAGAAAAAGAAAAGAGAAUGGACACAUCAUGGUUGUUAAGAAAAUGAAAAUAAAUUUGGGGUAUAUAGUUGAAUAACUAGAUCAUUGAUUCAUACUAGACUAUGAGAUUGAUUUAACGUGACUUGAUUGACUUGACUAGUCUAAAAACAACUUGGAUAAUCGGUAAAAAAAUAGUUUGACUAAAAAAAACCAAGUCGACAUAUUUUUUUUAAUAUUAAAAUGACAACAUAUUGGAUUGAAUUGAGUUUAACUUGUCAGAUCCACAACUCCUGUCAUGAAACUAUGAUAACUCAUAGAAAACAAAUCAAAACAAAUUAUAAAGUCUAAUUCUUAAUCAACUCAAUGUUGAAUGUUGAAAUUAAAAAAAAAAACAAUUAAAAAAAGAUAUAAAAAAUACGACUCAACCCGGAUUAACCUACCAAACCGCAACCCAGGUGAUGAGGUUAAGAUAACCUUCUAUAAAGCAAACCAAAACAGAUUAUGAAACUUAAUUCUCAAUUAACUCAAUGUUGAAUGAAGAAAUUAAAAAAAAUCAAUUAAAAAAAGGACACAAAAAACAACUUGAGUCAACCUAUAUUAACCUUCCAUACCCAUGACACAAGUCUUGAACUAGGAUAAUCUCAUAGAAAACAAACCAAAAAAGCAACCAAAGUCAACUUAAGUUAACUUACCAAACUCGCGAUCUGGGUCAUGAGGUUAGAAUAACCUCAUAGAAAGCAAACCAAAAUAAAUUCAGAAACACAAUUCCCUAUCAAAUUAAUGUUAAAGCACGAAAUUGAAAUAAAAUCAAAUGAAAAAAAAUUACUAAAAACAUUAUGCGAGUCAACUUGUCAAACUCAUGUAUCGGGUCAUAAAACCAGGAUAGCCUUAUAGAAAGUAAACUAAAACAAAUUAAGAAGUUUAAUUACCAAUCAAUAAAAUUUUCAAGGAUAAAGUUGAAAAAAAAUCAAUUAAAAAAAACCUAGUAAACAAGGUUAACCCGUCAAACUUGUGACCUCCAUAAGACUCAGAUAAUCUCAUACAAAACAAAUUAAAGCAUAUCAUAAAGCCUAAUACCCCAAGUAAUCAAGUGUUGAAUUAUGAAAUUAAAAUUAAAAAAAUAAAUAGGAAAGACAAUAUAAAAAUAAAUUGUGAUUUUAUGAGAUGAUAUAUGGUAAAAACAUCAUUUUUUUUUGUAAUUUAUUGAUAAAUGGAUAAAAUUUAAGCUCUCAAUUGGGAGAUCAAACCCAAAAAAAAAUCCAAUCUAAAGCCGGGCCCUCCUAUCUUUUAAAAACCUGGCUGGAUUGAAUGGAUUAUACCGAAUCGGUUCAACGAGCAAUCCAAGUUGAAUAAAGUACAAAAUAAUAUUAAAAAGGAAAACAGAGAAAAGUGAUCACAUAACAUUAGCUUUACUAAAGUAAUUUAUCAGUGGCCUCUGACUAGAGCUGAAGCAUCAUCCUUUUUGCUGUCUUUAUUAUCUUCAACAGCAUUAAAGCCAAAAGGAUCAAUGUUUUCUUCUCUGACACUAACUUCAAUCCUCUUUGAAAUUCUAAGAACAUUAUGGAUUUUUGGCCCGUAUUCUCCUUUGCUCACGAUCCUCUCCCUUUUCGAGCUGCACAUCUUCUGCUCCAAUAAAACAUAAAAAUAGCUCACUCCAAGUAAAACUAAUCAUCUCUUAAUAGAAUAUAACCUCAGUUUAACAGGACAUGAGAAAAUUAUUUUGGAAUACAACAAGCCAGUGUUCGAUAGGCACUUGUUAAUUAAAGAACGAGCUAGUGCUCUAAAUUAGACGCUCAUUAGUCGAACUCGAAUCCAAGAAAUAUUCUUUUUCAUAAACUAAUUCGCAGUUCCCCGUACAACAGAAAGAUCAUCAACUUACAUGGUCACAGCCUUCUGAUGGUAGGAGAUGGAGCCAGGCAAGUGUAAGCAUGGUAUUUGGCAUGAAACCAGAACCCACUAGAGCAAUGAUCAGAGUUAAAUGAAGAACUUCUCACUGAUUUUCUUCACAGCUCUCUGAAUCCAGUUGCUUCUCUCUGUGAUCCUACUGAGUUUUGAUGCCAGAUUUUUAUAUGCAAUAGCUCCAACAAAAGGCUACUUCAAAUACUGUGGUAUAUAGCCUGUCUGAAUGAUCAACGAAAUAAAAUAAAUAAAUAAAAAUUUCUAGUUGCUAGAAGCCAGAAGCUUACGUUAAUUAUAGAUUUUAAACCUACAUGCGUCUGACUUGUUAAAACAUGGUACGAAAUAAAAUAUAAUUCUACAACUUCCGUGUCAAGAUGAGGACAAAAUUGGUACAAUUCAUAACUUAUCCAAAAAUGUAUCUCCACUCCAUGACGUGUUGACCCCGACUCAAGCAGUCAUACGCGUGCGUUCUUGGCUAGCCAUUGCCUUGAAAUUUUUUUCUUUCCUCCCCACCAUGAACAGGAUUUGACUCUACUCUAGAUGCUAUACCCGUAGAAUGCUGCGGGUUUGUGGCACGUUUUUGCAUUGUCGUGGAUUUGUGGAAAAAAAUUAUAUUGAGAAAAACUAUUGUAAUUCACAAUAUUUUUAAGAAAAAAAAUACAAAGCUAAAUUUUUAAUCAAUUUAAUAUUAAAAAAAUAAAAUCGACAAAUUUAAUUUUGAAAAAAUAAUUAAAAAAACAAAAGGAAAAAAAACCAAAUAGGAAACACUGUAACAAUCUAUAGUGUUUCAUGAGAAAAUCUAAAGUUAUAACUCUCAACCAGCUCAAUAUUAAAAAUAAUAAAAUCAGUAAAGAUAAUUUUGAAAAAAUCAUAAAAGAAAAAAUAUGUGGGGGAACACUGCAGCAAUCCACAGUGUUUAAAAAAAACUACGAAGCUAAAUUCUCAACCAGCUCAAUAUGAAAAAAAUAAAAUCGACAAAGACAAUUCUAGAAAAAAAAUCAUAACAAAAGCAAAAAAAAAAACUAUGUGGCGAAACACUGUAGCAAUCCACAGUGUUUUAAAGAAAAAAACUACAGCUACAUUCUCAAUCAACUCAAUAUUUAAAAAAUAAAAUCGAGAAAAACAAUUCUGAAAAAAAUAACACAAAAAAAUGAAAAAAAAGAAGAAGACAAUUUUGGGAAAAAAAGAAAAAAAAUAGGAAAAAAAACAUGUGGGGACAGUUAAAGCUAAAUUCUCAAUCAGCUCAAUAUUAAAAUCAUUUAGGAAAAUACUAUAGUAAUCUAUAGUGUUUUGUGAUGAAAUAUACAAUUAUAAUUCUCAACCAAUUCAAUAUUAAAAAAAAAUUAACAAAUAUAAUUUUGAAAAAUAUCACAAAAAAAAAACAAAAGGAAAAAACAAACCAUGCAGGGAAAUAAUGUAGCAAUCUAUAGUGUUUCAUGAGAAAAUCUACAGUUGUAAUUUUCAACCAACUCAAUAUUAAAAACAAUAAAUUCGAUAAAGAUAAUUUUGAAAAAAAUUACAACAAAACAAAAUCAUGUCAGGAAAUAUUAUAGCAAUCAACGGUGUUUUAAAGAAAAAAAACUACAAAACUAAAUUUUCAACCAGUUCAGUAUGAAAAAAAAUAAAUUCCAUAAAGACAAUUUUUAAAAAAAAUAGAUAAAAAAAGGCAUAUGAAGAAACAUUAUAGCAAGACAAAAAUCAUAUAGGGAAACACUAUAGCAAUCCACAGUAUUUUAAAGAACUACAAAUUUAAAUUCUUAAUCAGUUCAAUAUAAAAAAAAAUUGAUAAAGAUCAUUCUGAAAAAAACAAAAAAAUUCGUUAAAAAAAACCAUGUGAGGGAACACUGUAAUAAUCCAUAAUAUUUUUUUUAAAAAAAUUACAAAGCUAAAUUCUCAACCAGCCCAAUAUGAAAAAUAUAAAAUCGACAAAAACAAUUUUGAAAAAAACAAAAAAAAAGACAAUUUUGGGGAAAAAAUGGAACAAAAAUAAUGUGAGGAAAGCUAAAGCUAAAUUCUCAACCAACUCAAUAUUGAAAAAAUAAAUUUGACAAAGAUAAUUUUAGAAAACAAACAUGUGGGGAAACACUGCAGCAAAACAAAAACCGUAUGAAAGAAACACUAUAGCAAUCCACGGUGUUUUUUUUUAAAACUACAAAGCUAAAUUUUCAAUCAGUUCAAUAUUUUAAAAAAUUAGCAAAGAUAAUUUUUUAAAAAAUAUAAAACAAAAAAAUUAAAAAACAAAAAAAAGAAGAAGAAGUGAAUUUUGGAAAAAAAAAAGGAAAAAAAAAUGUAAGACAACAAUUUGAAUCAACUGGGUUAACCCACCAAAUCAGGUUAACCCAUCAAAACUGAGAUUCGUGUCAUGAAAGUGUGAUAGCUAAAUAAAAAAAGAUUUAAAUAAAAACAGGAAAAAAACAAAAAAAAAUUAAAAACAAAAAAAAAAGACAACUCAGCGUUUCACUGUGGAAUGCACUGUGCAGUGCAUAGUGAAACACUGAGCAGUUUUAAUAUAUGUUAUAAUAAUAAUAAUAAUUAUUAUUAUUAUUAUUAUAUAAGUAAAAAAAAUAUUAAUUAAAAAGGACAAAGCAAAGAGAAAAAAAACCUACAGGAAGAAAAAAACUAAUGAAGAAAAGAAAAAGAAAUCUGAAUCAACUGGGUUAACCCGUCAAACCUGAGAUCCAUGUCAUGAAAGUCUGAUAAUUAAAUAGAAAAAAAUUUAAUAUUAAAAAAAUAAAUUAAAAAAAUAAUUAAAAAAGAAAAGAAAGAAAAAAAGACAAAAAAACCUAAAGGCAUCAGUUUGAAUGUGCAGCUGCGCGGGUGUAUUCGGAGGGCACAGUAAUUNNNNNNNNNNNNNNNNNNNNNNNNNNNNNNNNNNNNNNNNNNNNNNNNNNNNNNNNNNNNNNNNNNNNNNNNNNNNNNNNNNNNNNNNNNNNNNNNNNNNAAGGAUAAGGAAAAAAAAAACAAAGGCAUACACCACGAGUUAUUUUUUUUCCUUGCAUAAAAAACAUCAAAAAAUACUAAGAUCUAAGAGUGUUAGAUCUUUCAACAAAGAUAUACCCAAGAGCCUUUGGUCUAGCUGCAACGCUUGAACCAAGAGUAAUAUUUAUAAUAUUAAUAAUAAUAUUAAACUUACAUGACUCAAGUUUAAGUGAGUCUGGUUGCAACACCGAACCCAAGAGCCUUGGAUGUGGGUCUGGCUACAAGGUCGUGUCAUAAAAGUGUAAUAAUUAAAUAGAUUAAUUAAAAAGAAAAAAACAAAGAAACAAAACCAACAGGAAGAAAAAGCUAAUGAAGAAAAAAAAUCUGAAUUAACUGGGUUAACCCUUCAAAUCAGGUUAACUCGUCAAACCUGAGAUUCAUGUCAUGAAAGUUUGAUAACUAAAUAGAAAAAAAAAAUUAACAGGUUAACCCAGAAUUAACUGGGUUAACCUGUCAAGCCUGGGAUACGUGUCAUGAAAGUUUGAUAAUUAAAUAGAAAGAAAUUUAACAUUAACAAACUAAACAAAAAAAAAAUUAAUUAAAAAGAAAAAAGCAAAAAAAAAAUAUUUCGUGUUAACUCGUCAAACCAGGUUAACCCGUCAAACUUGGGAUCCGUGUCAUGAAAGUCUGAUAACUAAAUAAAAAAAAUUAACAUUAACAAACUAAAUUAAAUAAAAAAAAUUCAUUAAAAGAAAAAACACAAAGAAAAAAACGAAACAAAAAAGAUGCCAUAAAGGCAUAAAAAACAGGAAAAAAUAAAAAAAUAAAAAAAAUGAGCAGUAUAUGUUAUAAUAAUAAUAAUAAUAAUAAUAAUUAUUAUUAUUAUUAUAUAUAAGUGCAAUGAAAAUAAAAGGCAUGGGAAAGCUACAGUACUUUCCUCACGCCUUUUAGAGUAUGUUACUAGUUACAUGACCCGCACAAUGCCGCGGGCCUUUUUUUUGCAUAAAAAAUAUAAAAAAAAACUAAGAUUUAAAAGUGUUAGGUCUUUCUGCAAAGCUAUACCCAAGAGUCUUGGGUUUGGCUGCAACGCCUGACCUAAGAGUAAUAUUUAUAAUAUUAAUAAUAACAUUAAACUUGAAUGACCAAAGUUUAAGUGGGUUUGACUGCAAUACCAAAUCCAAUAGCCUUGGAUGUAGGUCUGGCUGCAAGGUCGUGUCAUAAAAGUGUGAUAAUUAAAUAGAAAAAAACAAAAAAAAACCAACAUAAAGAAAAAAACUAAUGAAAAAAAAAACUUCUGAAUUAAUUGGGUUAACCCUUCAAAACAGGUUAACCGUCAAAUCUUGGAUUCGUGUCGUGAAAGUUUGAUAACUAAAUAGAAAAAAAAUUGACGGGUUACCCAGAAUUAAUUGGGCUAACCGGUCAAACCAGGUUCACCCGUCAAACCCGGAAUCUGUGUAAUGAAAGUUUGAUAACUGAAUAGAAAAAAAUUGAACAUUAACAAACUAAGUUAAACAAAAAAAAUUACUUAAAAGGAAAAAAAAACCAAGACAAACAAAAGGCAUCAGCCUUUUCACUGUGGACUGCGCUGUGCAAUCCACAAUCAAAGACAUAAAAACAAAAAAAAACAAAAAAAAAACUAAAGGCAUCAGCCUUUUCAUUGUGGACUGCAUACAAUAUUAAAAGAUGAAAUCGAAAGAAAAAAACUAAUGAGAAAAAAGAAAAAAAAUCUGAAUCAGCUGAGUUAACUCGUCAAAUCAGGGUAACCCGUCAAACCUAAGAUUCGUGUCAUGAAAGUGUGAUAACUAAAUAGAAAAAGAUUUAAUAUUAAUGAACUAAAUUUUUUUAAAAAAGAUUUAUUAAAAAAGAAAAAGCAAAGAGAAAAAAACAUACAUGAAGAAAAAAAACUAUUGAAGAAAAAGAAAAAAAAUCUAAAUCAACUGGGUUAAACCAUCAAACCUGGAAUCUGUGUCAUGAAAGCCUAAUAAUUAAACAGAAAAAAUUUAAUAUUAAGAAACUAUAGACAAAAAAAAAACUAAAUGCAUAAGCUUUUUCACUAUGGACUGCACCGUGCAGUUCAUAGUAAAAGGCUUAGAAAGGAAAAAAAAAGAAAAAAAAACAAAGUCAUGAGCCAUGGGUUAAUUUUUUUUUCUUGCAUAAAAAAUAUUAAAAAAGUUAAGAUCUAAGAGUAUUAGGUCUUUCUGCAAAGAUAUACCCAAAAGCCUUGGGUUUAUCUGCAAUGCUUGACCCAAGAAUAAUAUUUAUAAUAUUAAUAAUAAUAUUAAACUUAUAUGACUUAAGUUUAAAUGAGUCUGACUGCAACAUCGGACCCAAGAGCAUUGGAUGUGGGUUUGGCUAUAAGGUCGUGUCAUAAAAGUGUGAUAAUUAAAUAAAUUAAUUAAAAAGAAAAAAAACAUUAGGAAGAAAAAAAUCUAAAUUACCGGGGUUAACCCGUCCAACCCUGGGAUUUCGCGUCCAUGAAAAGUUGGAUAACUAAAAUAGAAAAAAAAAAUUGAACAGGUUCACCCAGAAUUAAUUGGGUUAACCCAUCAAACCAAAGUUUAACCCCGUCAAGCCUAGGAUACGUGUCAUGAAAGUCUGAUAAUUAAAUAGAAAGAAAUUUAACAUUAACAAACUAAACUAAACGAAAAAAAACUAAUUAAAAAGAAAAAAAUCUGGGUUAACUUGUCAAAUCAGGUUAAUCCAUCAAACUCGGGAUUCGUAUCAUGAAAGUCUAAUAACUAAAUUUAAAAAAAAUUAACAUUAACAAACUAAAUCAAAUAAAAUAAACAUCAAAAAAACAAAAAGAAAGAAGAAGAUAGUUCUAUAAUAUAAUAUAAUAUAAUAUAAUAAUAAUUAUUAUUAUAAUAUAAUAUAAUAUAUUAAUAAGGGGAAAGUGAAAGGCGUGGGGAAAAUGGGAAAAGGUACAGUAAUUUCCCCACGCUUUUAGAGUAUUCUAUAAUAAUAAUAUAAUAAUUAAGGCUUAAUUUUACAAGGAGAAGAUGAUUGGAAACCGCCCCAAGGCUCAAAAGACCUUAGACCAGCACCCAAACAAGAAGUUUAAAGGUGUUAUUAUAAUCCCCAUCGGAAAAUUAUAAAACAAUCAUGAACUUUCUCCUAUAAUUAAAAUAUUAAUAGAAUUGCCGACGGAAACUUAUUGUCGGCGAGUUUCUUGUCAAAGACUUGCAUUGACUUGCAUUCUAUUUGAUGUUUUCGUCAUCAGCUUUCUUUUUCAAUAGAAUAUUCAUAUCAAAAUAUCAUAUUUUAAUGUUCAUUUUCAAUCGAGAAGUCCAUCAGGGAAUUUUUUCUUUUUAACUGUGAUGUACACAUCAGAUUACAUGUAUUUCUUGAUUAAUCUUCCUCGAGAACUUAAAUUAAUAAGCAGAUAAUUUUUUAAUAGUUUUAAAAUUUAUAAUAUUAGAAUUAAUAAUUUUUAAAAAAUAAAUGAAAAAUCUAACUAGUUAAAUUACCACCCAAAUUAUCUUAAUCUCCUUAAAACUAGAGUGCUACUGCCCGAGACAUGUAAGUUUGAUCCGGCCAUCUUAGAAGAGCUGCUGUAAUAAACUCCUCAAAGACUCUGAAGCAUAUAUAUAUAUAUAUAUAUAUAUAUAUAUAUAUAUAUAUAUAUAUAUAUAUAUAUGAUCGUCAUUAUUCAUCAAAUAUGACUAAGGUCAAAACAACUGAAAACAAAUACUAAAAAAUAUCGAAGUUCCAUUUGAUAUGCUUUCUCGAUUAAUAAGUUUAGCAAAAUGCGAAAACCAAACAACCUCAAUUAUAGACCAAUAUAUACAUACUGAAUAAAAAUACAUGAACGAUGGUACGACUUCACUUUUGAGUCGACUUGUAGCCCUGUUUUACAUUGCAUAGUAAAUGGGAGUAGGGUAAAAUUUGAGAUUUUAUUUGUCUAAAAUUAAUUUUUUAUAUAUUUUUAAAUUGUUUUGAUAAUUUUAAAAAAAUAAAAAAAAUAUAAUUUUAAUAAAUUUCCAGCCACACGACAUUUUAGAAAAAAUACAUUCCUACAAUCACUCACAAAUACAUUAGAAAUAUAAUAGAGAGAAGUACAGCAGUGGAGAACCAAUUUUUGCUCUCCAUACAGAAGCAACUACGUACACCUUAAGUCCAAGCCAUAGAUACUACAUCCUGCAUAAACUUAACUUUUGCUACUAAAAUCCAAUCCAAACCUAUAUACAUAUCUUGUCAUUCUCAAGCAACACAGGAAAAAAAAAAAAAAAAACUCGACAUCCAGUACUACUUCACACAACUAGGCGACCUUAUUUUGCUUCUUAAUUAGCAGGCAGUUCAGAGCUGCCAGAACAGAAACACACCUGAUGGAGUCCCCCUACUAAUAAUAUCAAUCUUUCAGCACUGUUUACACGGCGAGCCCAGCUCACCGUACAGUCCUGCCCCUUUUAAUUGACCAUUAACUAGUGGCUUCAUUGUCCACUGUAGUGCCAUCGUCUACUUUCUCUUCGCUUUUCUUCUUCUUUUCUUUUUCACUGUUGAAGCCGCCAAGAGGGAGCUUCUCCUUUGCAACAUUAGCCGCAUCCUUGGGUUUGCGCCCUCCAUUGUUGGUUUGGCCACCGCCCCCGUGACUAACACCAGGUCCACGUCCAGCACUUCUGAUCACACACAAGAAGAAAAGGAUAGUGACAUGGACGUAAUUAGUGAGAUUUCAUAUCUAAAUCAAGUGACUGUCACUAACAAUAAUCAGUAAAGAAAGACCCUAAAUAAUUCCUAGUUAAAUUGGCUGUCAGUCAUUUGUUUUUAUAAACAAACCAAACUCUUUCAAAAUUACCUUUAUAAUCUAAAAACAUGUGUUUGUUCGGCAAACACGUGAAAAUGAUUUAUGAAUUAUCAGCUGAGUGGUUAAGAAACUAUUGAUAUAGCCCCGGCGAGAAGAGGAGGAAGAAGAAGAAGAAGAUUAAAUCUAGUCCAAGAAAACCCUCACGGCUCAACCCGACCAAAAAAAGAAGGAAAUAAAGAAGAAGAAAAAUGUCAAAUGCAUGUUCAUCACUUAUUUGACUGGACUGGAAUGAGAUCCAGAAACUCGUAAGCGAGAUGACAAGAAAAUUUCCAAAUAUAUAGCCACAUGCAUAGGAAACUUGACCUACAUGAUCAAAGUUUUACGCUGGUAGCAUAGCCUGGUAUUAAGCAUGCGGACCAAGGUCGACUUCGGCAUGAAGCCACUGGGCACCAGAGACAUGCAAGCCAUAAUGGAGAAGUUUUCUCUCUCUGAAAUGCUCUGGAACUCUAAAUCUAUCUACUAUACUCUAGCUUAUGAGCUCCUAGUGAGACUUGAGGCAUGGUUUUAUAAUGGAGAGCAUGGAUGACUUCAUUGACCUCAACAAGAAUAUACAUAUGUACUGUAUAUUAGAGAUUUUAGCUACUGUUCACCAAUUGGAGAUUUUAGCGUUAUCCAUAUGUACUUGAGGAAACCACAAAAUAUGUAUAUUUUUAAAAAGAUAAUUAAGAAUGACUAAUAUACAUACGAGGAGCCAGGAAUUUUCCCUGUCUAUUAAAUAAAUAUAUAAAUAUUUUUUAAGAUCAAUUAUUAACUCGUGUAUAUAAAUUUUUGAAGUCAACAGUAAAGUUUUAAUUCAAAUACACUACCCAAAAUAUAAAAAAAUAAAUUUAAAAAUAUAUAAAAUUGAAGUAAAAGUAAAAAUAAACUCAUUAUUAAAGUUAAAUCAUUCGAUGUUUUGUGAAAUAUAAUUCAUCUAUAAUCGAAUCUGAAUCGAUAAUAUAACAACCCCUCAACUGGGAUAAAAUAACAAUCUCAUGUCAACUGAAAAAUAAAGUAAUGAAAUUUUUUCCCUCUUUCAAUUUCUCCUUCCUUCACUUGAUUCUUUCUUAGAUUAAUGUUUUAUAAGUUGGACUUUGUAAGUUUACAAGGUUAUUCUCUCACUUUUCUUUUCUUUUUCCUUGCAUUUUUUUUCCCUUACUUUUCUCUAUUUCUCUCUCGCCUUUUCUUUUUUUUCUUUUUCUAUUCUGCUUCUGCCCAGUCAGAAACAUAUAAAAGGAAGGAAGAGCUGAUUUGUUUUAGUUUUUUAAUUGCAAAUAAUCAUUUUACUCUUAAUGAGUCGUUUUUCUUUUAUUUGACGAUACUUUUUUUUGUUAGCACUACCAAGCUCCGUUCAUCCUAAAAUUUUAACCAGAUUUUAUUCAAUAUAUUUUAAGAUCCCUUAUAAAAUUUCAGUUCAAUCUGAUGGUCGGAUUGAAAAUUAUAUCCAAUAACAUAAAACUAGUCAAAUUGUGAUUUUUUUAUCAAAUUUCUGAAUUUCUUCAAAAAAUCUGAAAUUUUAACCCAAGUUAAAGCAUUAAUUAGAAGGUUCCACCCAAAUUUCAGAAUUUUUUGAUAACUCAAUCAAGAAUUACAAAUUAUUUUUAUAUAAAACUAAUCAAAAAAUAUUGAUAAAAUCUUCAUCCAGUCUAUAACCCAAGCCUUUAACGUGCCUCUACCAUUUUAUAUAUAUAUAUAUAUAUAUAUAUGUGUGUGUGUGUGUGUGUGUGUGUGUGUGUGUGUCUGUGUGUGACUUGACUCCAUAAAGUGUGUGAGGUCCCUCACAAAUAAUGCAAAAGGCGACAUGUUCUUCUCGUGGGCUCGUUAAUGCUAGCAUGAUUGCCAACUUUAUUUUGUAUAUAAUGCAGGUGGAACUACCUUUCAAUCGUUCACCUUUUCUUCAGAUUAGGAUUUAAAGACAGUGAUCAGAUGAAGACAAAUCGUAAGAAACUUGAUGAAUAUGAAUGAUUGUGCGGAGACCACAUCCUCAAUAAUCUAUUAAUUAUUUGUGUGAUCUUUUUAUAUCUAUAUAGUCUCUGAAGAAAAUUUGAAAGUCAUUGGAGUGCCAAUAAAUUAUUCCCUCUUUUCUCCAUUUCAAUCCCUUUACUUCAAUCCAUUCUCCGAUUAAGUCUUCAAAAUUGAAUUAACAAGAGAAAAGAGAAAAUGAAAGAAGAAUGAAAAAAUAAAAUAAAUAAAACAUUAUUUACCUCUCACAACUUUAUCCUAUUGUCAUGAAGGAUUACUCUCCGGCUCAAGGGAAUGCUCUUUAACCCCCAAGAGAGUGCUCUGUAGCCCAAACGAUUGUUAUCCUACUUAAACACUUGUCCCUCAACCUCAUCCCAACCACUUUAGAACUAAUUCCUCAUGUGAAAAAUUUUAGGAAACCCAGCAAUUAGUACAUAUCACAAUGCAGAGUUACAACUCCAAACAAAGUCAAUACAACACCAUAUUGUCCUAUCCUAUGCUUACACAUAAAUUAUCAAUAUAAUGCUUAUCUUCGCCUACCUUUCUCGCCAAUAAAUAGUUAUCUCCUAUCAACAUGUCUCCUCAAAAGAAUCCUACUUCCUUGUUUUUGGCUUUCCCACUAACCUCUCUCCUUAAAGGGCGUCAAUCUCACACACCAAUUACCAUUUACACUACCAUAAUUUUUAGAUUUACGGAUAUAAUUUUCCGUUGGUAUUUAUACUAUUAUUCUGUUGGUAAUUAAUUUACCAACAAAAUCACCGACGAAAAUACUCCAUCGGUGAAUCUUGCGUCGGUAAUUUUUUGUCCGUUGGUAAGUCUAUUGGUAAUAAAAAAAUAUUAUUACCGAUGGAUUUUCUGAUGAAAAAAGCGAGCAAAAAAAAAUUACCCACUUCAUUCUGUCGGUAUUUCCCUCGGCAAAAUACCGUAUGUAAUUCCGUAGGUAAUUAUUUAAAAAUAUUUUUUUAAAAAAUCUAUUUUACAAAACUAUAAAAUAAUUAAAUUAAUAUAAAUCAACACUCUAUAAUACUCAAAAUGCUUGGAAAAAAGAAGAAGAAAAUCAACUCAAACAAAUUUGCAACAAAUAAAUUCAACUAAAAAAAUUCAUAUGAAAAAAAAAUUAAAAAUCCUAUAAACAAAUCAACUAAAAAUUGAUCUCAUAUGAAAAACAAAUCCUACAACAACAUUCAUACAAUUAUUAAUAACAAAAACAAUUAAAAAUAAAAUAAAAAAACAAAUAUAGUGAAAGAAAAAAAAAUCUUACCUUAAUGUAAUUGCAAUUGAAGCUAAGAAGAGAAAAAAAAUUCAUAACGUAUAUACUAAUUAAAAAAAAACUGAGAAGAAAAGGAAGAAAGGAGAAGAAGACAUACAUAAACAUAGAGGAGAAGAGAAGGAGUUUAGGAGAGAAGAAAAGAAAAAGAAAUGGAUAUUGAUGUUUUUUACAUAUGGGGAAGAAGAAGAAAGGAGACGGGUCUGUUGUGAAUUAAGGAUUCUAGACUUUUUAUUAGGGCGUUUUACCGACGGAUAAUUAAAUAUUAAUAUUUUUAAUCAUUCCGUCGGUGAUUCUGUGUAUAAUAUUUAAUUUAAAAUUUUAAUUUAAUAAAAAAAUUUCAGAAAUCGUCAAAUAUCACCAAUGACUUUUCAAUCCGUUGGUGAUUUCGUCUAUAAUAUUUGAUUUAAAUUUUUAAUUUAAUCUAAAUUUUUCAAAAAACCACCAAAUAACACUGACGACUUUUCAAUCCAUCGGUGAUUUUGUCUGUAAAGAAGAGUAAUUAACAGUGCAAUUAGAAAGUGAACAGUUCCAGAGCUCUCUGAAAAAUUCCAUCGGUAAUUCUCUCUGUAAUUGACAUGAUGAACAAUAUUCAUAGUUUAUCAAUGGUUUUAUCGAUGAAAUUUAUUCUGCGGGUAAUUUCAUUGGUAAAAUCAUCACGUAAAUGUUUUUUUUUGCUUUGUUUUAAUUAUUUUGUUUCCCACUUGUAAUUCCCUCGGAAGAUACCGAGGGAAUAUUGUCGUCGGUAAAAUCCAUCGGUAAAGUUUCAACGGAAAUAUUUCCUCGAUAUUUCUAUUUGUAUUUAUCAAUUUUUUAAUAGUGUGAGUGCUAACAUUUCCAUCAAUAGCAUAAAAUAACCAAUAACCAACUACUCAACUUUUCAAGUUACUUACCAAGAAAAUCAAUUAUUCUUAAUUAUUACUUCACUCUCCAUGAGAUAAGAUUAAGUGAUUGAAGGGUAUAAAUAUAUUGGUUUAUCAAGUAAACAAUGACAAUUCUACCAAGUCCAUUCAAGAAAUCAAGCAUAAAACAAGUUCAUCAUAAUAUUCAUUAUCUUAAGCUCAAGAUGCAGCUAUUUAAAUAUAUUGGUUCAUCAAGUAAACAACUUUCCUUCCCUUUUAUAAGUUAUUGACUUAAAUAUUAGAGGGUUCUAUUGUAAUAAAGACUUGUUUUUGUAAGGAAUAUCAAGUCUAGAGAUAAAGCCUAUACACAUUAAACUCAAGAUGCAGCUAUUUAAAAUUCAAAUCCAAUAUGAUGUUUUCAUGACUUUAUCACCCCUUAAUUGUUUAUGCGGUGAUAAAUGAAAUUAGAGGAUUAACAAUACCCAUACAGACACACACACGCACAUGCGCGCGCGCACACCAUUUGCAUUCUCUGAGAACGAAGAAACAACUUGGUUCACUACCAGAAAAUUAGCAAAUACAAACGUAAAUACCGAUGAAAUUUUUCUAUCGGUAUUUUAUGAUGACCUUUUCUAACAAAAUAAGAAAUGAAAAAAAAAAUUAAACAGUAUGAUGACGUGUAACUUUUAUAGACAAUAUUAUUGAGGGAAUGUAUCCGUCGGUAUAUUUUAGAGAUCAUGAGAACUGUUCUCUUUCUCUCUGGUGUUCAAGGUGUUCAUUAUAUACGGGUAUACCGACGGAAUGUGUUCGUCGAUAUAUCCUAAAAACUAUAGGAACUAUUCCCCUUCUCUCUGAUACUGUUCACAGUAUUUAUUACAUAUAAGUAUGCUAACGAAAUGUGUAUAUCAAUAUAUUUCAAAGACCAUGAGAAUUGUUUUACUUAUCAAUGUGCUGUUAAUUAUUGUUUUUUAUAAACAAAAUCAUCGAUAGAUUGAAAAGUUAUCGGUAAUAUUUGAGGGAUUUCUGAAAAAAAUUAUUAAACUAAAAUUUUAAAUUAAAUAUUAUAGAUUUGCUAUUAAUUAUUAUUCUUUUAAGUACGGAAUCACCAAAUGAUUUAAAAGAAGAGACUUCAAUUUUUUUAACCAAAUGUCAGCGCUCAUAAUUCUUUCAAAGCUGCAUUUCUUCGAACAUCCUUCCUGCCUGGCUAAAAUGCUAAUUAAAGUCUUUUGCGUCUACUUGAGAUUGGCCCAGUUGAUCAUAGUUUGAACACUUGCGAUAAAGGUGUAGACUGUGGAGUUUUACAGCGUUCUUCUGCUGAAUAAUGGUUAAAGUGGAUUUGUGAGCCUAUAGAGAUUGAAUAUUCAGUUAAUCCCAUGAAUGACAUUUUUAUUCCUCUCUCUCUCUCUCUCUCUCUCUCUCUCUCUCUCUCUCUCACACACACACACACACACACACACACACUUUAUUUCAUUGUCCCCUCCAUUUUUAUUUCAACCUAUUUUUUCCCUUCACAUUCUCUCUCUCUCUCUCUCUCUCAUUAAUUAAGUUUCUCAUAAAAAUGGAUUGUCUAACGAUUAAUUCAAAAGGUUUACUUCAUUAUUUCAAUAAUAUAUAGCUCGUAACAGUGUAAACUAAAAAAUAAAAUGAUGUUGGUGACAAUUAAUAUAAACUCAUAAAUUUAGGUGUAGCAAAAUCAUUAAAUUUUGUAAAAAAAAUAUGAGAAUUAGGUUUCUAGAGAUUGAAGACAACCUCCCCGUUCCAACUAUACCAUUUUAAAGUCUGGCAUGUCUACUUUAUAAUAGUAAUAAUUGUAGAACCUAGUUCUUUAUAGAAAAAUAGAUUAAAAAAAUUCACAAAGCAUGCUUAAUGAACACUGAUUUCGACAAAGAAGAAGAAGAAGAAUGGAAGCAUUCAUGGUAUAUUUUCUUCAAUUAUUUUAAAACUUAUUUUAAAUAGUUCAUCAUACAUGUUAAUUGACUAGAAAACAAGAAACUUAUGCAUCGCUAACAAUGUUUAUUUUGUGUCUGUGUUUGAGAGUGUAGUUGCGAUUGCUUUUCAAAGUGUUUUUUUUGUGCUGAAAUGCAUUAAAAUAAUAUUUUUUUUAAAAAAAAUUAUUUUUAAAACCACCACAUCGAAAUGAUCCAAAACAUAUAAAAAAAUUAUUUUUUGAUAAAAAAAAUAAAUUUUUAUGGAACGCGAUUUACACCGUGUUCCCAAACAGUUUAAUAUAUAAAAUUAAAACAUCUCUUUUAUCACUAGUCUAAGUAUAAUUAACAAUCUAAAUAUAUAUAUAAAUGGUAGUGUUUAAAGAGCUUGAAAGAGUCUUUGCCUUCCUUUCUCUUGUUGUAAGAACUUCCAUGUAAAGAUUUGUUUUCUUAUUUACUUUUCCUCACAAGUUAUCAUCUCCCGAUCUCACACAAUUUUGUACCCUUUAUUUGAAGAAAGAAGGCCUUUAUCAAAAAAGAAACUUGGCUAAAAAAACAAAGAAAGAAGAUCGGUUUGCAGUUUGCAUAUUCCCAUCUUUUAAAGCGAAGAAGAGCAUCUCUUGAUAUAUAUUGUGGAUAGGAUAUAGCAGCAAUAUACAAUUGUAGAAAACCGAAAAUAAUAUGGAAGAAAUACGUCAUUCUAGUGACAACAAACAACACCUAACAAAUUAAUUAUUAAUUAAUUAAUUUAUGGGAAAAAUAAAAUAGAUGAACACCCAGCACAUAUCAUUAUAUGCAUUCCUCGGGAAAAAAAACAUUAAAUAAAUUAUGAGAGGGUAAAUAAUUACGUUCUGAAUUUAUUUUUUAAAUAUUAUUAGUUUAAGUAUUAUAAAUUUUAAAAUUAUUAAAAUUUUAUAUAGUUAUUAAUUUUAAAAUUUAUAAAAUUAACUUAGAUGCAAAAAAGUUGUCCGGACACAUUCAAAAACAAAAUUAAAUAAUAAAAUCUGUCGCGAUAUGCUUUGCCUGGAAUCUUCCUAUAUAUUCUGUCCUUCAAAUUAAAUAAAAAAAGUAAUAAAAUAAAUGGACAUUCUUACCCCUUAAAUAUAAAGACGACGACAGCAUAUACACGUGGAAGCAGAUAACUGGUUUCUGAUUGUCCAAACACACUUGUCAUCCUUGCGUAAUCACUGCCUGACCUUUUCUUUUUGUCCAUUUUGCCGUGCUCACUUCGCCACUCUCACCGUCUCCUCGCAUCCCCGCCAGUACCGCCCCCCCUCCUCUCUUCAAUGUCAAAUACCCUCUCUCGCAUGCCUCCUCCUCUCAAAAACCCUGACUUCCUUUACUUCCUAUUUUCCCAAAAUGUCGUCCCACUUCCUCUCUAAUUCCCCUUCUACCCCUACCACCAAGGCCUCCGAUCGCCAAAACGACACCUCCGUUUCCCUCCCCUCAACCUCCACCUCAUCUUCUAUUUCCCCAGAUAUGUGGAAUUACCUUUGGAUCCCUUUCUUAAUCUCGCUCUCUAAAGAGCUAACCCUAGCUCGAUCAGCAACAGCUACAACUUCUCCUUCGAUUCUCCUCCCGAGUCAACUCGCCGAUGACUCGCCUUCAGCGCCUAGGUGUCCGGCCCCCGACACAAAUCUGAAUUACCGUCCGGUGAUUGGAAUUUUGAGUCAUCCGGGGGACGGUGCCUCCGGGAGGCUUAAUAACGCGACGAACGCUUCGUAUAUUGCGGCGUCGUACGUGAAGUUUGUUGAAUCAGCUGGUGCUAGGGUUAUUCCAUUGAUUUAUAACGAGCCAAGAGAGAUUCUUUUUGAGGUAUCUAGAUUCUUUAAGGAGAAGUGCAAAGAUUGAUUUUAGAGUGGGUUGGAUCAUAUGAUAUGAUUAGAUUGGAGAGGAAGUGAAGUGGAAACUGAAAAGGGAAUUAUUUUUAAACGAUUGUAAUUGAGAGAACUUUUAAGUAAUUCUGAAAUUAAGUAUUUGCUUAUUCGAGAUAAUGAUUUGGAGUUAGAAACUUUGUUGAUGAAAAAGAAAAUGAAAAUGAAAUUAAACAAAAAAAAAAUCUGAAUUUUUAAGUUUUUGUGCAUGAUCAUUUUAAGGAAUAGUCUGGCUUGAAUGCAAUGCUUGCACGGUGUAGGGGUAUGUUAUCAUUAUUUUAUAAUCUUAGUAAUUUAUAAAUGUUACUUAAGCUUGCUUGUUUGGUGUUGCAUUACAGAAGCUCAAUCUGGUAAAUGGAGUGCUCUUUACUGGAGGUUGGGCUAAAACUGGUUUGUACUUCGACACUGCGAAGGCAAUUUUCAAGGUAGGUAAUUUUUUCAAACAAACCUUCCAUACUAAAAUUGAUUUCAAUAAAAAAAUGAUUUCAAUAAAAAUUUUUUUUUUGCAAGACGAUGCAUCCCGCGUUUGCAAUAUGUUUAGAAUUCACCAAAAAGAAUAAAAGAAGACAUGGCAUUUUCUACUUUUAGUUCCCCCCCCCCCCCUAACUGUUGUCAGUACAAUCAUCUUGUACUUGCAGGAAGUUUUAGCAAGGAAUGAUGCAGGCUUCCAUUUCCCAGUGUAUGCCAUCUGCUUAGGCUUUGAAAUUCUGACAAUGAUCAUUAGUGAGGUAAUAUAUGGCCAAAACAUAUGUGUAUAUAUAGCCUGUAAUGAUCAGACAUUCCCAUUCCAAUUAUUCCCAUAUUUUCCAUUUUGUCAGACUGAUUCCGUGCGAGAAGAAGGAUUACCAAUUUAUUUGUUAUUUAAAAUAUAUAGUCCAUAGCGAUUAGGACUCUUCAGGACUUUUGGUGUGCCUGUAUAAGCGCACACAUUAUGUAUAUCUUUUGCCAUAGUGACAAUAAAUUGAGAGUUUCAGUUUCAAUUUACAGCGGUGGAUUUCCUUCAGUGUUUCACUGUGGAUUCCGCUUUCUCUCUUGGAUUCGAGGAAGCCCUGGUGGAUAUCUGGGAUUUAGCUUGGUGAUUCUAGGUUUUCUACCCCUUUUCUAUCUGUCGAGUCUGUUACCCUUUCUACAGCAAUUGGUAUUUGUUUUGCGUUGCCAAGCUACUUGUCUCAAACUUUAUUCCUAAUGUUAUUGUUCUUGUUCUAGGUGGUUAUUUCUGUUGUUUUCUAUUGCUGCUUAACCUGAUUGUAUGCAGAGAGGAGGUAAAACUUUAGGUUUUGUUUUUCUGUGAGAUGUAUAAUUAAAUUAAAUUUGGCCUUACAGUGCAAUGAUGAUGUUGGUGGUAAAGUUAUUGCCAGAAAAAUGUCUGAGUAAUUGUUUUGUUUACUUUAUCGUCCAUCAAUGUCAAAAUGCCUGAGUAGUUGUUUCAAAUAUUAGUGCACUCUUGUUAGUGGAAAUACUUACAAGUCCCACUUGAGAAAUGUUAUGAGUAUGACUUUUAUUUUUCCUUGAAAAUAGGACAAUCAAAUUCUGGAAACAUAUAAUGCAACUGAUCAGGCCUCUACUCUUCAAUUUAUGGAAAACAUAAGCAUCGAAGGAACUGUGUUUCAGAGGUAUACACGCUGUAAUCCCCCCCCGCCCCCCCCCCCAUCUCGUUAACUUUGGUAAAACUCAAGCUUUUCUCUUAUACCAGUUCGUAUAAACAUUCUCAAUUUUUUGCAUUUAUCAAACAUGAUGCACUUAAUUUUAUUUUCUUACCAAGUUUUUAGUUUCUUUAUAGAGCCACAAAAGGAUAUUAAUGAAUUUGUUAAACAGUGUAAAUACCAAUUAACUUUUCUGUCAAUAACUGAACGAAAGAGUUUUUCAAAUUCUCUUAUAUGUAAGAUAACUGUUCUGAAUCCCAAUUAAUAGUUCCUUGAUCGUCAUUAUUUGUUUUACUUCUUAAUUCUUAACAUGCUGUUAUCUCAAUUUCGUCUUUGACAUGCCAAAUGCUUACCCUUUAUUUUUGUGUGACUUGGUUACUGGCAUGGAGAAGAUGUCCUAACUUGAUUUAGUUACCUAAUAUCCAAUAUGGAUGUGUGCUGAAUAAGUGAAUACUUACAAGAUGAUGUAGUGUCAAAUUGUAUUAUCCAGUUUGCACACUGCGAAGCAUGAUAUGUGACAUUAUGCAAUCUGCAAGGGAUAAAUGGAGGUCUUUUGUUAUCAUGUCAGGAACUGUUUUGCCUAGCUACUUUGACAUUUAUUGUGAAUUGUUUUUCUUAUAGAAGUUCUAUGAUUAUUCAAUAUUGGCAAAAUGAUACUUUUAGUUGUACCAAGCAAAAAACUGCUAGUUAACAUCAAUAUUCCUUUGCAGAUUUCCUCCAGUUUUGCUUAAAAAGUUGAGUACAGAUUGCCUAGUCAUGCAAAACCAUCAUGUGAGUUCACAAAACUGGUAGUACCUUUGGACUUUGGUUGCAUGGUCAAAUAGAGACACAUGAUGCUCUGUUUCUUGUUUCUUUCUUUGUUUAGAUUUCUGUAAUAUAUGACAUUUUACACUUUAAAAAGGACUAUAUUUAAAAAAAAAAUUUAUUUUGGUGCAUCUGUCUUAUAAACCAGCAUUACCUAUCCAUUUCCUCGUGAUUGGAGAUCUAAGAAUAUCUUGAUAUUCAUUAAAUUUGAAGCCAAAAAGGAAAAUGUAAAUUAGACUUUCCUCUAUAUCUGGCCAUAUUUUAAUACUAUUAUACUGAAGAACCGUCCCUCAAAAGUAACUAAAAUAUACUGGCUGAUGAGUAUCACUCAAGUGGAAGACGGAACGAUGAUGCUGUCGUCAGGAGAGUAUGAUCUGGAGUUUCCACUUUCUUGGGAAAUAUUUAUGUUUUGCAUUUCCAUAGUUUAGACAGGAUUGGGGAGAUGAUACUUGAAUGUUUACAUCUCCCAAUUCUAAGUUUUUCCACCUGCCCUUGAACAUGAUUGUUGCAUCAAUGCCGUCUUAAUCUUUAAUAUUCUACUUUUAUUUUCAAAUUAGAAUACUAAUCCAAUGACCAGAAAGGCUGCUUUCCCCUUUUUAUCUAGCUUAUCUGAUCUUCCAAUGCAACAGUAUGGCAUCUCACCACAACGGUUUCAGGGAAAUGAACAUCUAUCUAGUUUCUUUGAGAUCCUGACUAAUAGUGCAGACGAAGAUAACCAGGUAAUGGAUGCAAUAAUUUUGUGAUGUAGUUUUCUAUACACUUGAAGAAUUCUAAUUCUUUCCCCAACAUCUAUUUUAGGUUUAUGUCUCCACUGUACAAGCACGCAACUAUCCUGUGACUGCCUUCCAAUGGCAUCCCGAGGUAUUGCUAUCAUGUGCUUUGCAUUAGAGCCAUUGUGUUUUUCUGUGGAGAUACAUCUUUGGUUGGUCAAAUUCCAUACUUGAAGUAUAAAAUAUGGAUUUAGAUAAUCAGGAAAUUCAGGAACGAUGACAAGUCCUGUAUACCCAAAAAAAAAUUACUGUGGGAUAAUGGGAUGCAGCUGUUUGUGCUUUGUAUUUAUAGGAUAAAUUUUUGUCAAUUUUCACUCCUUGUAUUACACUCCCUACUCUUCUAUAUGUAAAAUACAUGCAAACAUGGUCAUCAUAUAAGAAAGUCUUGCGUGUGUGUGUUUAAGCUGAGUCUGGUACUUUUACAUAGAUCAGUUUGGGUAUUUAGUUUAAAAAUAUUAAAGUGGCUUUAAUGUCUGAGUUCUUUUGUGAAGUUGAAAGAAAUGCCCAAACAACAUAGGCAAUUUUUUUAUUAGCAUUACCAUAGCAAAAGGAGCAGUGGGAGGUGGCAGGGGAUAAAAUAACAUCAUAAUAUUUUUAUAGCUCAGCUUAAUUUCUAAACAUAAUUGAGCAAUCGAUCCUCAUGGUAUGGUGCACAAGUGUCAAUUCUCCUUUGUUUUUCAAAUUUGUUUACCGUUAUUGUAAAUAUACAAUUGCUUAUGGUAGUAGGAUUGCUAGUGACUGAAAUCCAAAUGCAUUUCAGAAAAAUGCUUUUGAAUGGGGGUUAUCAAUGAUUCCACACUCAGAGGAUGCCAUUCAAGUGACCCAACAUGUUGCCAACUUCUUUGUUAGGUGAGGAUUUUGUUGUACUGAAAAGUUAUUAGCUUAUGCUGCCAACUUUUUUUAUGAGAUGUGCUGAGGAUGUAAUUUGAGCCUUGGACAUUCUGAACUGAGGUUUUGCAUAUUUUAAACAGGCUCCAAUAAAUCAUCUAUUCAUUCACAUGCGUGUUAAAACUAGUUUAAGAAGGCUGGUUAAUUCUUUCUGUUGUAAACUUAGUAUUCAUGGAAAUUUUGUAGCAGAAAAUAUGAAGGCAUAGUUCAUGUUCAGACCUUUCAAAACACAGAAAGUACCAGAAUGAUUAAACGAUACACGCAAGCUUAGAUAUAUUUGAAGUUGUUUACAGUGGUUGUAUCGAAUACAACCAGUAGCAUUUGAAAAUCAUAAGCACUGUAUUUUUAACAUUUUGACAUUUUAACUAAUAAUCUUUUGCUUAAAUUCAUUCUAUAUUACUCUUAUCAAUAUUGAUAUUGAAACUUUUGUGUUCUGCUGUGUUUAUUUUCUGAGAACCCUGUCAGAAGUCCAAACGAAGGAAAUUAAAGUCCUAUGGCCUGCUUCGUGAACCUUUUCAUUUAUCUAUGGUGCUUUGUUGUUCACAGCAGAGUAAUGAGAUGAAAAAAAAAAAAAACUGAUUUCAAUGUUUGUUUUGUGCUGCAGUGAAGCUAGAAAGUCCUUGAACAGGCCACCUGCUCGGAAGGUACUUGACAAUUUAAUUUACAAUUACAGUCCCACAUAUUGUGGGAAAGCUGGGUAAGUGAAUUGACUCCGAGAACCAAGUUUGGCACACAAAUUUAUUGUUACUAAGGUUGGCACUUGCAUUUACUGAUUUGCGUUUCAUCUUUUAUCCUACUGUAGGAAGGGAUAUGAUGAAGUUUACAUCUUCGCAGAACCAGAAACAUCAAACAAUACGAGGUGUGCAGUGCAUGGUAAUUGUCAUGGACGUGUGAAGUUAUAAAUAUUUAAGACGCAGCACUGAAGUCUGAACACAUAAAUUGUAUCAUUGUCAACAAUGUAAAGCUUAAGAUCGAACUGAACUAAGUGCAUUUGUUAAUAAUUCAAGACAUGAUGGUUUGUGUUCUCAAAUGCUUUCAGUAUUUACAUUACGCCACUGCCAAUUAAGAUGUAUUACGGCAUUCUAGUCAUAACUCAUAACUUCACUGGUGACCCUGUUUGACUAUGAUGUAAAGUACCUGCAUAUUACAUCAAAACACUAUGAUGUCUUGUUCAUCCAAUCUCACCCAUGCUUCAAUUCCAUUUCCCAUUCUUGUUUCCAUCAAACCAAUGUAAUUCAAAUACAUUGAAUCAUGUGUGUUGAAUGCCUUGGUGCCCAUCCAAAUAGCUCACCCCAGUCGAAAUCAGCUUCAUAUCAACACGUUUUAUUUAUACAAACUGCUAGUUGUGAUACAAUCACAAUUCUCAUCAGAAAACAUUUCUCUUUUCUUUCAGAUGCUGGAUAACCUUGAAAAAAAUCCCUUCAUCGCCAUGUAUUUCUGCCAUGAAUUGGCUAUCAAUUUUCCCCUCGGCUUCGCUUAGAUAGCUCACUAAGGCAUCCAAUUCUAUUUGGUCACCAGCUUUGCAUUUCACAGGUUCUUUCCAAAGAAGAUUUCCUGUUCUUGAAGCAACUAUGACACUUCUCCAGAUAAUUGCUAGAACCUCAAUUGAAGUUGGGGACUGGACAAACAGGGAUCUACUUGCUUCUGCCUUGAGCUGUCUUAUCGCCAAUGCAUCGAACACAAAUCUUCUCCAAGCACGCUUUCCUUUUCUGAACAUAGCGGGCUAAGUGAAAUGGAGCAAUAAAACGGGGAUAUGCUGCUUGUGAUGUAAAACAAGCAGUAGUUGACCGAGCUUUCAUAAAGGUGCAAAAUGAUGGCCCAUCAAAGACCUUGUGAGAAACACCAGCACAAAUAGCUAUAACGCCGCACAAAUGUGUUUACUUGAACCAGAAGAACAUAAUUACCUAAUUUUGAUGAAUCUGCUGGGUUUCAGGGAAAGAACUAGUGCAUAAAAUGGCUCUCCGUUUAUUUCAAGAAAUGUUGAUAGGUGAAAAGUUUUCACUUGGGCUUCGAUGAAAUAAACUCCCUCGUCACUGCAAUCAAUGUAAAGGCCAUGUUUGAUCUUUCCUGCAAACGGGUAAAAGUGAGAUGGCAGUUACAAGCAUGACUAGUUGUGGAAGAACUUGGCCAGAUCAUGAGAACAUGACGAGACAGACAAACAUGGAGCAUGGUUGAAAAUGCUUUUGAGGCAACUAAGUUCUGCAAACUGCCUGCUGCCUUGUUGGAAGAGAGAAUCACCAAGUUCAUGGAGGAACACAAGAGCAAACUGCUGAGGAGGGAGUAAUAGCUCAAUAAAUAGGCUGCAAGUAAGUUUUCUAUACAGUACACACGAAUUUAUAUAUAUUCCUUUAUUAGGAGUUAAUAAAAAGUUGGGAAAGAAUUCACUUGCUUUGUUUGUGUUAAUUCCAUUUACUUGCAACGGUGAGAAAAGACUGAAUCUAGUAAGACUAGACUACAGCUUGGGGGCUGGAAUUAUGAGCAAAAGAUUUAUCGCUACGCAUAGCAUCUUCAAUUAAAAAUACUAUAUUAAAAAUUUAAAUUGAUAAAAUAGCUUUUUAAAUAAUAUAAAUAUAGCUUUUUUAAUUAUAUAUAUUUUAAUGGUAAAAAACUAUUUAAAAAAGCUAAUUAUAUUUUAAUAUUUUUCUUGUUAAAUUAAUUUUAAUAUAAUGAUAUAACUAAUUUAGAUAUUUUAUAUAGAAUAUAAUUAUGAUGUUACUAAUUAUAUAAUUAAUAUGCGUAAUUUAUAAAAGUAAUAUAAAAUUAAUGAAGUAAUAUGAAAGUUAAAAGAUAUAAUUUAAAAUUAAAUUUAAAAUUUAUUUAUAUGAAUAUUUUUAAGUUUUAGUUUUAUAUGUUACUGUUAAAAUUUUAAUUUUUUUAAAGUACUUUCAAAUUCAAACUUUGAAAAAAACCGCCAACAUUUUAAAUUUUGAUUUUCAAAUUUUUUAUAAAAAAAUUCAAGCUUUGAAAAAAUAACCGCCAACAUUUUAAAUUUUAAAAUUUCAAAUUUUGAAAAAAUAACAGCCAACAUUCUAAGAUUUUAAAUUUUGAAAAAAUAAUUCAUCUAUAAAUAUUCUCAUAUACCUUAACAUUUUUUUCAUCAUUUUCUUCUCUCCAAUCUUUAAUCUUUAUUAUAUUUCAUUAAAAUUCAUCAUGAAUCAUUCUAAUUUUAAUUUGUAUGAUGCUUUUGAUUUUGAUGAUGACACUCUUGUGUUCGCUUUUCAAGUUGCUAUCGCUGUGGUUGUUGAAGAAGAAUCGAAUAAUCAAGGACGGAGAACAGGGUAUCGUGGCUCUAUUCUUGGUCAUAAUAUUGUCAAUCGUAUAGAAAGGAAGGUGAGUUAAUGCUAUAUAGUCAUUAUUUUGCUGAAAAUCCUAAAUUCACUGAAAGUCAAUUUCGAAAAAGAUUUAUGAUGAGUCGUCAUCUUUAUCUUCGAAUCGCAAAUGCAGUGGAAGCUCAUAAUCUAUAUUUCAAAAAAAAUGACAGAUGCUCUUGGUGUUCUUGGUUUAUCUUUUGCAGCUCACAGAGUACUUGCAUAUUGUAUUCCUGCAGAUCUUACUGAUGAAUAUCUUCGAAUUGGAGAAACCACUAUGAUAGAAAGUCUUAGAGCUUUUGUUAAAGCAAUCGUAGAAGUUUUCGGUGAUUGGUAUCUAAGGGCACCAAACGAGGCCGAUAUUUGUCGAUUAUUGUCAAUUGGAGAGCAGCGUAGAUUUCCAGGGAUGUUAGAGAGCAUUGACUGUAUGCAUUGGAAAUGGGAGAAAUGCCCAAUUGCAUGGCAUGGGAUGUAUACUGGUCAUUGUCGUGAACCAACUAUAAUUCUAGAGGUGGUGACUUAACAAGAUAUUUGGAUAUGACAUCUCUUUUUUGGAAUGCCUGGAUCAUUAAAUGAUAUUAAUGUUCUUGAUUGGUCACUUAUUUUCGCUGCACUUGCUGAAGGUCGUAUUGCUCUUGUCAAUUAUACAAUUAAUGGACAUGAAUAUACAAUGGGAUACUAUUUAGCAUAUGAGAUUUAUCCUAAUUAGUCAACCUUUGUUAAGACAAUCCCAAGGCCAUUAGGAGCAAAGAGAAAAUAUUUUGCAAGUAAACAAGAGUUUGCAAAAAAGGAUGUGGAGCGGGCAUUUAGGGUGCUCCAAUCUCGUUUUGCAAUUGUACGUGGACUUGUUCGAUACUGGGAUGAAGAAACGCUUGCAAAUAUUAUGAAAGCUUGCAUAAUAAUGCAUAAUAUGAUUAUUGAAGAUGAAGGAGCAAUGAACCUUGGAUUUGACCAUGAACGUGAAGUCAAUUCCUUUAUAUCAGUGUCACAUGGUGAAAUACCAGAACUACAUGAUUUUCUUUAAAAUCAUAAUCGAAUCAAGGAUAGAGCAAUUAGCUCUCAACUACAAGAAGAUUUGGUUGAACAUUUAUGGGAACAAUAUGACAACGAGUAGAACCAUUAGAUUUGAACUUUUUUAUGUCAUCAUAAGUUUCAAGUUUUUUAUGUUUUUUUUUUUAUUAUGGUUGUUAUCUUUUAAGUUAAUUAAUCCUAUUUAUUGUUGUUAAGUGUUAGAAGAACUUCAAAAAAGUAUUAUGAAUUGAUACCACUUUUAUAACAAUAUAUUUAAAAUAACCAAGAAAUUUCUACAUAUUUAAUUAAAAAUACAUUACAUUAAACAAUAAAUCAAUCUAGUUAAUUAAAAAUUAAAACUCUUCUUUUGCAUAAUUUCUAACUUUCUAUUUUGAAAAUCCGCUGCAGAAAUUGGAUCCAAAUUAGAAAUAUUCAUUUUCAUAAUUUGUUCUUCUUUCUCAAUCCUGUCCAAUUCUUGCUUCUCUUAACUUUAUUGAAUCAUCAUAGCUUGUUGCUCUAACAUAAUUUUUCUAUCUUGUUUCUUCUGAUUCUCAACUUCAACUAGAGUAUCCCUGAAUUGUUAUAAGAGAUUUGUUACAGUUACCUUCCCAACUUUAUCUUUUCCUUGUUUACGUUUAAGUCGUUCCUUUGCAGCCUUCUGACCAAUUGGUCUAUCUUGAUAAAUCAACGGUUCACUGUCUUCUCUUAAACUAACAGAAUCAGGAGUAGAUGGAGUUGAUGAUGCUGGACUUGCAUUGACAUGAAUUUUUUUUGUUUUUUAUUUGACCUUUGAUGUUGACUUGCACUCUCAAAUUGCCAUUAGGGUUAUUUUCUUAAGAUAACCCAACAAUGUUCUAGUUAAAAUCGUUUGCCAACGCAAGAAGUAUACAUUUAUCGAGCAUCAUUAAUCUGGUAAAAAAUUAGAGAAAUUAAAUAAUGUUAAAACAUGUGUUAAACAAUUUAACAUGAAAAUGAAUAUUAAAAUUACCCUUGAUUCUUCAGUCAUUCCACUUUGCUGAUGAUUUUCAAUUUGAGUAACAAAUCCAAUAAAUUUACCGACUUCUCUAUUUAUUUCUUACCAUCUACUUGAGAUGCUUAUUUGGGAACGAUUAUUCAAGUUUCCUCCCUUCUCUACAAAGUAAUCAUGUACUCGAGCCCAGAACUGUUUUGUUUGUUGUUCAACUCUUGUAAUUGGAUCCUUGCUUGUAUUUAGCCAUUCAGAGACAAGUAAACAAUCUUCCUCUGGUGAGAAGUUUUUACUUCUUUGUGAUUUUUUUUUAUUGUAUGGACAUUUAAAUUCGAGUAUGUUAAGUCAUCAAUUAAUUGAUUAGAAUCACUUGGUUGAGAGAGAAUAUCUUCUGACUCACUCAUAACACUCAUAAGAAAGUUGGUAAAAGAACUUAGAAAAUUUGAAUCCAUCUACAUUAUAAAAAAAAAAAAUACUCAAGUUAAAACCUUAUAAGAGAGUGUAAAAGAAGCUCACAUUCAAUGUCUAACAAUUUUGUAGUUUCCAUACAUGUGAAUUAGUAAUAAGCAUUGCCUCCUACUUGUUAUAACAUUAUAAUUUGACUAUUUUUUGGAACUAAAAGAGGAUUGAUAUACUGGUUUAAUUGUAUUUUCAACAAAAUAAAAUAUAAUUGACCUCAGAUUACAACAGACAAUAAAAAAUAAAUUUUAAAUAUGUCACUCUAUAUUUUUAUCAAUAUCAGCUACCAUUAUUACUUCCUCUCAAUUUUGUCAAAGAUAACAACAUAAAUAAAAAUUAUCUUCCUUAACCCGUAUCAAAAACAUAAAAUAACAAAGAAAUAAAAAUCAUCACAAAUAUCAAAUUAACAAAAAAAAUCUAAAAAAUCAAGAGAUAUAAAAGAGAAAAUAGAAAAAGCUUUUAAACAAACAUACCUUUUAAUUUUAGCUAAUUAACACAACCGAUAUUAUUAAUUAACUGGAGAAUGAUUAAUUCUUGUUUUUUUAAAUUUGAGAGAAGGGUGAGGCACAAUACAAGAUUUUAAAAUUUACAAGUUUCUUUCCUUCUGAUUUUAAAGAAAAAAAAUAAAUUGUUGGCCAAUGGCUAUAAAAAUAGUCGUUGGCCAACGAUCAUUUUCUUUUGUCAUUUCUACAGAGAAAUGUAGAAAUGGCUCUUCAAAGGAUGAAUAGCUAUUUUAGCUAUUCAUUUGUCUGAGCCGUUGGAGUGAAUAAAAAUAGAAACAAAAGCUAAAAGUAUAAUUUUUUAAAUUUGCUUCUUCAUUUAGCUCUCCCGUUAGAGAUGCUCUAAUAGUUGUCUUCUAGCUAUAACUCGGAAUACACUUACUCUUUGUUGCAAAUAAUUCUAUAAAAUCUAUUUUAGUGUUUCAUUUAAUUUAAAAAUUUGAGGGAAUAAAAUAAAAAUAAAUUCAAUAUUAAUUGUGAAAAUUUUUAAUUUAAUAUUUAUUUUAUAGUAUUUAACACUGUAUAUGUAUUUUAUAUUUAAGUUUAAAUAUAAUAUGUUUGAUCUUGAUUAAUAAAAAAUAAAAUGUACGGAAGUAAUUAUUUAUAUUUUAAAAUUCAAACUAAAAGAGUCAAUGAUAAUCAACAAAAAUGCUAGAAAGGUGUUUAAUUUUAGUUAAUGAUUUAUAGAAAUAUCAUACGAGAUCUAUUAAUUAUUGAAAAAAAUUAUUUUGAGAAAAUAAUAAAUACUUAAAAAUUAAAACAACAAAGAAAAGAAAAUAAAAAUGAAAACAAAGAAAAAAGGUAUAUGAUUUGGAUUGCGAGUUUGGUAAAUUAACUUAGGUUGAUUAAGAAUUAAGUUUCAUAAUUUAUUUAUAAUUAUUUUUUACGGGUUUAUUGCGGUCUUAAACAAACAUCACAACAUUAGGUCAGUGCUUGGUUGUGUGAGGAUCUAUUAUUUCAUCAUAUAAUUAAAUAAAAAUACUUUAAAAAAAUAUUAAACUCAUUAGAUAUCAUGAUUUGGGUCGUUGAUUUGGUAGGUUAACUUAAAUUGAUUGCAAACUAGAUUUCAUAAUUUAUUUUAAUUUAAUUUUUCUAGAGUUAUCGAGAUCUCAAACAAACGUUCUGACAUUAAGUUGAUGCUUAAUUUUAUGUAUGACUAUUUUUGUCAUCAUAUAACUAAAUAAAAAAAUAUUUUAAAUUAUUUUAAACUCAUUGCAUCUCAUGACCCAAUAAUAGGUUUGGUAGAUUAAGCUACGAAUCUCGGAUUGAAUCAAAAUGUCACCAUCACAAUAUUUUUAUUUUAAAUAUCAUUUUUAUUUUUUUCUUAAAGUUAAAUAAUUUUUUUUUCCGAUCAUUCAUAUUAUUUUUGAACCCAUCAAGUCAACUAUAUCACAUCAGAAAAACUUCUAAACAAUUUAAUUUAAAACUCAAGCAUUUUUAAAAAUCAAGUUUAAAAAUUUCAGAGAUUUACCCAUUGCCAACCAAAAAUUUCUUAUUAUUUAGACAUUUUUUUUUAUCUUUCUUAAAAAAUUGCUCCAAUAUACAACAUAACGGGAGCUAAUUAUCUAGUCUAAAACUAAGGACAACGAUCAUUUCCUUCCUAUGUAAUCAUGCAAUUUGCUCAACAAGAAAAUAAAAGAACAUCUCACAUGAAUUAGUUGUUUGGACUACGCUAUACAUGUGGGUCCUUUAUAUUUGUGUGUAUUUAUUUAUGUGGUGCACACGGAAGCAUAAAAAACAAAAAAAAGAUAGCAAGCACUUGAGGGUCUAGCUGCUGUGGUCAAUCGUGUGACUUGUUCCGCCCCCGUCCCGGGUUCGACCCUCUAUGUGCACGCCUGUCACCCCCGCGGUGCCUUACCUGCUCCUGGACUUGUAGGAUGUCCAGCGGGCCGUGGGGAAUAGUCGUGGUGCGCGUAAGCUGGCCCGGACACCCCACUUAAAUCAAAAAAAAAAAAAAAGAUAGCAACAUGAAAGAUCAAGCUUGACAAAAUAAGUUCGGCACACCAACAACCCUAAUUUCUAGUUUUAUUUUCUACAAUAAAAUUUGAUAUAUAUUUACUGAAAAAUAAGCUAAAUAAUUUUAUUUAUACUCAUUCAUUCUAGAUCUAUCUUAAAUUCUAGAUUUAUCUUAAAAACAACAAGAGUCUUAAUUAUAGACUUGUUUUAAGAAUUCCUAAACUAAAAAGAAAAAAUAAAAUUAUUAAUCUUAAUAUUGGAUUUACUAAAAUAAAUAGGAAAAAAAUAAAAAUCCCAUAAUAUUUUUAAACUAAAUAGAAAAUAGCAAAAGCUAAGAAAAAUGAUUUUUAAAAAAAAAUUCUUAUUUCAUUAGUCUUUAUAGGUUGAAGACAACUUAUCUUCAAGUUUUGAUUAUUUAUUAAAUAAAGAGCUAAAUAUCGAACAUUGAAAAUAUUGAUCAUCUUUGAAUCCCUGUUGAGUGAAUUACAUUAUUGUUAUUAAUGAUUAUUAGAGUCAUAAAAUUAAAAAAAAAAUUAUUUGUAGUUUCUUAAAAAUAAGUUAUUUCACGAUCACAUCAAGUAACCCUAGCCAUUGAAGCGUACCAUCAUUAAAAUUAUAUGAAUGUUUUUGCGAUCUAUUGACCUUGGCACAUCGGCAUGACUUUAGAUAAAGCUAGCUAAAAAUGAACUCCCAUAACACUUUCAAUAUUUAUAGAACUAUUACUAGUUAUCAAUGACUUAUUCCAAACUGAUGUCUUUUUACACCACUUUGAUUCUUCAUACUCUAAUUCUUUUUCUUCUUAACAAAUUAGGAUAAAAACAAUAUAUUUUUCUGGUUAUCACAAAAAUCCUCUUUUUAUUAAGCACUAAUAUUAUAAGCUUUUUCUUGAUUCUGAUGGUAUAUAUAUUACAUUGCCAAUUAUACAAGAUAUUCAAGUCAUAUUACUAUGAAAAAAUAUUUAUAAACAUCACAUUAAACACUAUUAAAAUAUCUCUUAUUUAUGAAAAAUAAAAUAAAAUAGCAUUUAUCCAUGAUUACUUUAGCAUCUCGAUUCAACUAUUUUUAUGUAGAGGGUCUUCAAUAUUUUUCUAUCUUGAGCUGUAAUUUUUUUAUAAUUUCUAUUAAUAUCAUACUCUUGUAAUUAUCAUCAUUAAUUAAUGAUCAAAUUAUAUACCUUUUUUUUAGUGGUACCAAAAAGAAUGGAGUAGAAUCAAUCCUCAUCUAAAUUAGUUUUAAGAGCAGACGAGUUUUUUUGGAUGACGAAGGCAGCAGAGUCAUCUCUUUUAUGUAAAAUAUCCAUCCAUAACGUUAUCCUUACCUCCUAAAGGUCUCUUUUAUCUCCACAUCCACCCCCUUAUCCACAUAUUCAAUAUUCUCUAGGAUAAUAAUCUUCCCUUUUAUUUCUAAGUUCAAGCACUAUAAUUUAAUCCAUUUUCUUCCUGUUAAAUUAUGGGCCUAGCUGAUGCACCCUUGGCCCAGAAUAUGGAUCCAUGGAAAACACAGGUGAUAUAUGUCACCUGCCUGCAUUGCUAUUCCACCCUUGAAAAAAAGAACGCAGAACCCCCAAAAACAACAUGGCGGGAAAACCAGUGUCUUUGUAGAGGGAAAAUCAAACACUCUCAUUUUGUCCUUGAUUGAUGGAGUGGGUAAUUUCUUUCUCUUCAUCCACCCGCACACCCACCCGCACAACCACCUGCACAAUUUCUUCCGUCUCUAAUUUCUCUUUGAGCCCAAAACCCAAAUAAAUUAUGUCCCAAAUGGAAACCCUAGGCAUUCUCGAUGAAAUUGAAGUUCUUGUCUCUGAUAAACUCCAAGUGGUACUUCUACUCCUCUUCAAUCCCCUUAGUUUUACUGGGUUUUGUUGUUGUAAUCUUGGGUCGGUUUUAGUAAAUCUAGAAAAUUAAUUAAUUAUUUAAUCACUUGGUUUCAGGUUUCAUACAAGUGGUUGAGUCGAAAUUUCAUGGUUUCAUCGAAUGCUGCAAAAAGGUAAUUUUCCUCUCUGAAAUUUGUGAUUUUUAUUUUUAUUUUCCUGGUUUGUGCAUUCAAUUAACAAAUGGUUGGUGUUGCUUCCUUAAGGUUGCUUCAAGAAUUUGUUAACACACGCAGAAGUGGAUUCGAAGUAGUAUACACUCUAUCCGGUUGGUUAAAGAACAACCCUUCAAGUUACCAUAUAAGGCUUGUUUCCGGUCCCAAACUUGAAGGUCAGGUCUUUGAAUGGUGCUAACAUCAUUGUAGUUAUUGUUGGUUAGAAACGAGAGAUACUUGAAAUCGCAAGGAUUUCCAUCUAUCCCAUUAUAAUAGAUGAGUUUUAGGGUGGCAUUGCUAGCUGCUGCUCUUAGAUUUGCAAUAAUGUGUCCUGGAAGAAUCAUUAGGUGACUUGUUAGUAUGCCAUAACCAUAGGUUUGUGCUUUCGCCUAAGCAAUUUAAGCAUUUUUCACUUAGCUUUUUUUUUUCCCCUGGCUCAUCUAUGAUCCCUCUUCCUGGAAGAGAGUUUAGCAGUUAGAAUUUCUUUCCUUCGAAUUGGCCAUGGAAAUGUAGUUGGAAUUCUUUGAAUUCUAUUGAUUAGAACAAAGAAUUAUAGAAGUGCAACAAGCAUAUUAUGCAUUCACAUGAAUAUGUGCGAUGAAAGUUGUUUUUGUCUAUUUCAAUACCUCGGCUACUUGAUUCUGGAUCGAUGCUGUUGCACCCGUUGCUGGUACAUAAAUUUCAUGCAUUCUUUCGUGGUUUGUUAGUAUCAUCCAUACUUGAGUGUUGUGCCUGAGACAAGGAUACAGGGAUAUGCUGAGAUUUCCUUUUUCGAUUUUUUUUCUUGCAGAAGCUAAACAAGAAUUCAAUGGCAAUUGCUCAGUUCAGGUAUAUAGUGUUCAAGCUUGCAUCCCAAAAGAUCCAGCUGCACUUUGGAAUGCUGAAUUUGUUCAGGCAGAAGAGCUCUUCAAGCAAUCCUUCACAGUUGAUAAUUGCUUAAGAGAUAACAGGUAUGAUGCACCUGUAGUCUGCAAUCAGUUCCAGUAUCUUACAAGAACUUGACUUUUGUAGAUCAUGGAAUUGCUAGAUAUGAUUAUUAUUUCAUUUAUGAAAUUCAUAUGCAGCCUUUACAAUAAUGCAGCUGCCGUAGUAACAGCUUAUUACUUUGCAAAUAUUCAGACAAUGAAAGCCUGAACCGAUGAUCCUCAAUAAUUUUCUGACUGCUGACCUGCCUCGUGCAACAAAACUAUUAGUACUAAACUGUUCUAGAAGAGAGUUGACUGGUUAUGUCAAGUUUGUUGAUGAUGCACUUUGAACUCAUUUUUUAAUGUAAUUAGCACACACAAAUGUGUUCUUAUUGGGGGUGGGAAUUGGUUGGGGGUAAUGAGAUGAGAUAUUUCAAGCCUUGGAUGGUUACAGAUUGAGGGUUUCCCUCUCUCUCCCUUCUCAUGAAUUGCAGCAGAAAUUAGCUUAUUUUCCUUGGUGCUUGAAUUUUUCUUCUGCAGAUUUUGUGGGAUUCUUAAUUCCUUUGUUAAGUACAAUUGUGAUGGACCUGCUGCAACCAAAAGUAUGGAAAUCCCAGUAAUUCAAGUGUGUCAAACUAUUACAGCUCCACCAUCUAAGCAAACCAAAGUUCAGCAAAGCCCAAAGGUUGGUCCUCCAUCUCCCAAUCUGGUGAACAGUGUCAAAAGUGAAAGGAAUGGAACAGGAGUUCAUGAUCUGGCUACCAAGCAGACUGUGGAUGNNNNNNNNNNNNNNNNNNNNNNNNNNNNNNNNNNNNNNNNNNNNNNNNNNNNNNNNNNNNNNNNNNNNNNNNNNNNNNNNNNNNNNNNNNNNNNNNNNNNNNNNNNNNNNNNNNNNNNNNNNNNNNNNNNNNNNNNNNNNNNNNNNNNNNNNNNNNNNNNNNNNNNNNNNNNNNNNNNNNNNNNNNNNNNNNNNNNNNNNNNNNNNNNNNNNNNNNNNNNNNNNNNNNNNNNNNNNNNNNNNNNNNNNNNNNNNNNNNNNNNNNNNNNNNNNNNNNNNNNNNNNNNNNNNNNNNNNNNNNNNNNNNNNNNNNNNNNNNNNNNNNNNNNNNNNNNNNNNNNNNNNNNNNNNNNNNNNNNNNNNNNNNNNNNNNNNNNNNNNNNNNNNNNNNNNNNNNNNNNNNNNNNNNNNNNNNNNNNNNNNNNNNNNNNNNNNNNNNNNNNNNNNNNNNNNNNNNNNNNNNNNNNNNNNNNNNNNNNNNNNNNNNNNNNNNNNNNNNNNNNNNNNNNNNNNNNNNNNNNNNNNNNNNNNNNNNNNNNNNNNNNNNNNNNNNNNNNNNNNNNNNNNNNNNNNNNNNNNNNNNNNNNNNNNNNNNNNNNNNNNNNNNNNNNNNNNNNNNNNNNNNNNNNNNNNNNNNNNNNNNNNNNNNNNNNNNNNNNNNNNNNNNNNNNNNNNNNNNNNNNNNNNNNNNNNNNNNNNNNNNNNNNNNNNNNNNNNNNNNNNNNNNNNNNNNNNNNNNNNNNNNNNNNNNNNNNNNNNNNNNNNNNNNNNNNNNNNNNNNNNNNNNNNNNNNNNNNNNNNNNNNNNNNNNNNNNNNNNNNNNNNNNNNNNNNNNNNNNNNNNNNNNNNNNNNNNNNNNNNNNNNNNNNNNNNNNNNNNNNNNNNNNNNNNNNNNNNNNNNNNNNNNNNNNNNNNNNNNNNNNNNNNNNNNNNNNNNNNNNNNNNNNNNNNNNNNNNNNNNNNNNNNNNNNNNNNNNNNNNNNNNNNNNNNNNNNNNNNNNNNNNNNNNNNNNNNNNNNNNNNNNNNNNNNNNNNNNNNNNNNNNNNNNNNNNNNNNNNNNNNNNNNNNNNNNNNNNNNNNNNNNNNNNNNNNNNNNNNNNNNNNNNNNNNNNNNNNNNNNNNNNNNNNNNNNNNNNNNNNNNNNNNNNNNNNNNNNNNNNNNNNNNNNNNNNNNNNNNNNNNNNNNNNNNNNNNNNNNNNNNNNNNNNNNNNNNNNNNNNNNNNNNNNNNNNNNNNNNNNNNNNNNNNNNNNNNNNNNNNNNNNNNNNNNNNNNNNNNNNNNNNNNNNNNNNNNNNNNNNNNNNNNNNNNNNNNNNNNNNNNNNNNNNNNNNNNNNNNNNNNNNNNNNNNNNNNNNNNNNNNNNNNNNNNNNNNNNNNNNNNNNNNNNNNNNNNNNNNNNNNNNNNNNNNNNNNNNNNNNNNNNNNNNNNNNNNNNNNNNNNNNNNNNNNNNNNNNNNNNNNNNNNNNNNNNNNNNNNNNNNNNNNNNNNNNNNNNNNNNNNNNNNNNNNNNNNNNNNNNNNNNNNNNNNNNNNNNNNNNNNNNNNNNNNNNNNNNNNNNNNNNNNNNNNNNNNNNNNNNNNNNNNNNNNNNNNNNNNNNNNNNNNNNNNNNNNNNNNNNNNNNNNNNNNNNNNNNNNNNNNNNNNNNNNNNNNNNNNNNNNNNNNNNNNNNNNNNNNNNNNNNNNNNNNNNNNNNNNNNNNNNNNNNNNNNNNNNNNNNNNNNNNNNNNNNNNNNNNNNNNNNNNNNNNNNNNNNNNNNNNNNNNNNNNNNNNNNNNNNNNNNNNNNNNNNNNNNNNNNNNNNNNNNNNNNNNNNNNNNNNNNNNNNNNNNNNNNNNNNNNNNNNNNNNNNNNNNNNNNNNNNNNNNNNNNNNNNNNNNNNNNNNNNNNNNNNNNNNNNNNNNNNNNNNNNNNNNNNNNNNNNNNNNNNNNNNNNNNNNNNNNNNNNNNNNNNNNNNNNNNNNNNNNNNNNNNNNNNNNNNNNNNNNNNNNNNNNNNNNNNNNNNNNNNNNNNNNNNNNNNNNNNNNNNNNNNNNNNNNNNNNNNNNNNNNNNNNNNNNNNNNNNNNNNNNNNNNNNNNNNNNNNNNNNNNNNNNNNNNNNNNNNNNNNNNNNNNNNNNNNNNNNNNNNNNNNNNNNNNNNNNNNNNNNNNNNNNNNNNNNNNNNNNNNNNNNNNNNNNNNNNNNNNNNNNNNNNNNNNNNNNNNNNNNNNNNNNNNNNNNNNNNNNNNNNNNNNNNNNNNNNNNNNNNNNNNNNNNNNNNNNNNNNNNNNNNNNNNNNNNNNNNNNNNNNNNNNNNNNNNNNNNNNNNNNNNNNNNNNNNNNNNNNNNNNNNNNNNNNNNNNNNNNNNNNNNNNNNNNNNNNNNNNNNNNNNNNNNNNNNNNNNNNNNNNNNNNNNNNNNNNNNNNNNNNNNNNNNNNNNNNNNNNNNNNNNNNNNNNNNNNNNNNNNNNNNNNNNNNNNNNNNNNNNNNNNNNNNNNNNNNNNNNNNNNNNNNNNNNNNNNNNNNNNNNNNNNNNNNNNNNNNNNNNNNNNNNNNNNNNNNNNNNNNNNNNNNNNNNNNNNNNNNNNNNNNNNNNNNNNNNNNNNNNNNNNNNNNNNNNNNNNNNNNNNNNNNNNNNNNNNNNNNNNNNNNNNNNNNNNNNNNNNNNNNNNNNNNNNNNNNNNNNNNNNNNNNNNNNNNNNNNNNNNNNNNNNNNNNNNNNNNNNNNNNNNNNNNNNNNNNNNNNNNNNNNNNNNNNNNNNNNNNNNNNNNNNNNNNNNNNNNNNNNNNNNNNNNNNNNNNNNNNNNNNNNNNNNNNNNNNNNNNNNNNNNNNNNNNNNNNNNNNNNNNNNNNNNNNNNNNNNNNNNNNNNNNNNNNNNNNNNNNNNNNNNNNNNNNNNNNNNNNNNNNNNNNNNNNNNNNNNNNNNNNNNNNNNNNNNNNNNNNNNNNNNNNNNNNNNNNNNNNNNNNNNNNNNNNNNNNNNNNNNNNNNNNNNNNNNNNNNNNNNNNNNNNNNNNNNNNNNNNNNNNNNNNNNNNNNNNNNNNNNNNNNNNNNNNNNNNNNNNNNNNNNNNNNNNNNNNNNNNNNNNNNNNNNNNNNNNNNNNNNNNNNNNNNNNNNNNNNNNNNNNNNNNNNNNNNNNNNNNNNNNNNNNNNNNNNNNNNNNNNNNNNNNNNNNNNNNNNNNNNNNNNNNNNNNNNNNNNNNNNNNNNNNNNNNNNNNNNNNNNNNNNNNNNNNNNNNNNNNNNNNNNNNNNNNNNNNNNNNNNNNNNNNNNNNNNNNNNNNNNNNNNNNNNNNNNNNNNNNNNNNNNNNNNNNNNNNNNNNNNNNNNNNNNNNNNNNNNNNNNNNNNNNNNNNNNNNNNNNNNNNNNNNNNNNNNNNNNNNNNNNNNNNNNNNNNNNNNNNNNNNNNNNNNNNNNNNNNNNNNNNNNNNNNNNNNNNNNNNNNNNNNNNNNNNNNNNNNNNNNNNNNNNNNNNNNNNNNNNNNNNNNNNNNNNNNNNNNNNNNNNNNNNNNNNNNNNNNNNNNNNNNNNNNNNNNNNNNNNNNNNNNNNNNNNNNNNNNNNNNNNNNNNNNNNNNNNNNNNNNNNNNNNNNNNNNNNNNNNNNNNNNNNNNNNNNNNNNNNNNNNNNNNNNNNNNNNNNNNNNNNNNNNNNNNNNNNNNNNNNNNNNNNNNNNNNNNNNNNNNNNNNNNNNNNNNNNNNNNNNNNNNNNNNNNNNNNNNNNNNNNNNNNNNNNNNNNNNNNNNNNNNNNNNNNNNNNNNNNNNNNNNNNNNNNNNNNNNNNNNNNNNNNNNNNNNNNNNNNNNNNNNNNNNNNNNNNNNNNNNNNNNNNNNNNNNNNNNNNNNNNNNNNNNNNNNNNNNNNNNNNNNNNNNNNNNNNNNNNNNNNNNNNNNNNNNNNNNNNNNNNNNNNNNNNNNNNNNNNNNNNNNNNNNNNNNNNNNNNNNNNNNNNNNNNNNNNNNNNNNNNNNNNNNNNNNNNNNNNNNNNNNNNNNNNNNNNNNNNNNNNNNNNNNNNNNNNNNNNNNNNNNNNNNNNNNNNNNNNNNNNNNNNNNNNNNNNNNNNNNNNNNNNNNNNNNNNNNNNNNNNNNNNNNNNNNNNNNNNNNNNNNNNNNNNNNNNNNNNNNNNNNNNNNNNNNNNNNNNNNNNNNNNNNNNNNNNNNNNNNNNNNNNNNNNNNNNNNNNNNNNNNNNNNNNNNNNNNNNNNNNNNNNNNNNNNNNNNNNNNNNNNNNNNNNNNNNNNNNNNNNNNNNNNNNNNNNNNNNNNNNNNNNNNNNNNNNNNNNNNNNNNNNNNNNNNNNNNNNNNNNNNNNNNNNNNNNNNNNNNNNNNNNNNNNNNNNNNNNNNNNNNNNNNNNNNNNNNNNNNNNNNNNNNNNNNNNNNNNNNNNNNNNNNNNNNNNNNNNNNNNNNNNNNNNNNNNNNNNNNNNNNNNNNNNNNNNNNNNNNNNNNNNNNNNNNNNNNNNNNNNNNNNNNNNNNNNNNNNNNNNNNNNNNNNNNNNNNNNNNNNNNNNNNNNNNNNNNNNNNNNNNNNNNNNNNNNNNNNNNNNNNNNNNNNNNNNNNNNNNNNNNNNNNNNNNNNNNNNNNNNNNNNNNNNNNNNNNNNNNNNNNNNNNNNNNNNNNNNNNNNNNNNNNNNNNNNNNNNNNNNNNNNNNNNNNNNNNNNNNNNNNNNNNNNNNNNNNNNNNNNNNNNNNNNNNNNNNNNNNNNNNNNNNNNNNNNNNNNNNNNNNNNNNNNNNNNNNNNNNNNNNNNNNNNNNNNNNNNNNNNNNNNNNNNNNNNNNNNNNNNNNNNNNNNNNNNNNNNNNNNNNNNNNNNNNNNNNNNNNNNNNNNNNNNNNNNNNNNNNNNNNNNNNNNNNNNNNNNNNNNNNNNNNNNNNNNNNNNNNNNNNNNNNNNNNNNNNNNNNNNNNNNNNNNNNNNNNNNNNNNNNNNNNNNNNNNNNNNNNNNNNNNNNNNNNNNNNNNNNNNNNNNNNNNNNNNNNNNNNNNNNNNNNNNNNNNNNNNNNNNNNNNNNNNNNNNNNNNNNNNNNNNNNNNNNNNNNNNNNNNNNNNNNNNNNNNNNNNNNNNNNNNNNNNNNNNNNNNNNNNNNNNNNNNNNNNNNNNNNNNNNNNNNNNNNNNNNNNNNNNNNNNNNNNNNNNNNNNNNNNNNNNNNNNNNNNNNNNNNNNNNNNNNNNNNNNNNNNNNNNNNNNNNNNNNNNNNNNNNNNNNNNNNNNNNNNNNNNNNNNNNNNNNNNNNNNNNNNNNNNNNNNNNNNNNNNNNNNNNNNNNNNNNNNNNNNNNNNNNNNNNNNNNNNNNNNNNNNNNNNNNNNNNNNNNNNNNNNNNNNNNNNNNNNNNNNNNNNNNNNNNNNNNNNNNNNNNNNNNNNNNNNNNNNNNNNNNNNNNNNNNNNNNNNNNNNNNNNNNNNNNNNNNNNNNNNNNNNNNNNNNNNNNNNNNNNNNNNNNNNNNNNNNNNNNNNNNNNNNNNNNNNNNNNNNNNNNNNNNNNNNNNNNNNNNNNNNNNNNNNNNNNNNNNNNNNNNNNNNNNNNNNNNNNNNNNNNNNNNNNNNNNNNNNNNNNNNNNNNNNNNNNNNNNNNNNNNNNNNNNNNNNNNNNNNNNNNNNNNNNNNNNNNNNNNNNNNNNNNNNNNNNNNNNNNNNNNNNNNNNNNNNNNNNNNNNNNNNNNNNNNNNNNNNNNNNNNNNNNNNNNNNNNNNNNNNNNNNNNNNNNNNNNNNNNNNNNNNNNNNNNNNNNNNNNNNNNNNNNNNNNNNNNNNNNNNNNNNNNNNNNNNNNNNNNNNNNNNNNNNNNNNNNNNNNNNNNNNNNNNNNNNNNNNNNNNNNNNNNNNNNNNNNNNNNNNNNNNNNNNNNNNNNNNNNNNNNNNNNNNNNNNNNNNNNNNNNNNNNNNNNNNNNNNNNNNNNNNNNNNNNNNNNNNNNNNNNNNNNNNNNNNNNNNNNNNNNNNNNNNNNNNNNNNNNNNNNNNNNNNNNNNNNNNNNNNNNNNNNNNNNNNNNNNNNNNNNNNNNNNNNNNNNNNNNNNNNNNNNNNNNNNNNNNNNNNNNNNNNNNNNNNNNNNNNNNNNNNNNNNNNNNNNNNNNNNNNNNNNNNNNNNNNNNNNNNNNNNNNNNNNNNNNNNNNNNNNNNNNNNNNNNNNNNNNNNNNNNNNNNNNNNNNNNNNNNNNNNNNNNNNNNNNNNNNNNNNNNNNNNNNNNNNNNNNNNNNNNNNNNNNNNNNNNNNNNNNNNNNNNNNNNNNNNNNNNNNNNNNNNNNNNNNNNNNNNNNNNNNNNNNNNNNNNNNNNNNNNNNNNNNNNNNNNNNNNNNNNNNNNNNNNNNNNNNNNNNNNNNNNNNNNNNNNNNNNNNNNNNNNNNNNNNNNNNNNNNNNNNNNNNNNNNNNNNNNNNNNNNNNNNNNNNNNNNNNNNNNNNNNNNNNNNNNNNNNNNNNNNNNNNNNNNNNNNNNNNNNNNNNNNNNNNNNNNNNNNNNNNNNNNNNNNNNNNNNNNNNNNNNNNNNNNNNNNNNNNNNNNNNNNNNNNNNNNNNNNNNNNNNNNNNNNNNNNNNNNNNNNNNNNNNNNNNNNNNNNNNNNNNNNNNNNNNNNNNNNNNNNNNNNNNNNNNNNNNNNNNNNNNNNNNNNNNNNNNNNNNNNNNNNNNNNNNNNNNNNNNNNNNNNNNNNNNNNNNNNNNNNNNNNNNNNNNNNNNNNNNNNNNNNNNNNNNNNNNNNNNNNNNNNNNNNNNNNNNNNNNNNNNNNNNNNNNNNNNNNNNNNNNNNNNNNNNNNNNNNNNNNNNNNNNNNNNNNNNNNNNNNNNNNNNNNNNNNNNNNNNNNNNNNNNNNNNNNNNNNNNNNNNNNNNNNNNNNNNNNNNNNNNNNNNNNNNNNNNNNNNNNNNNNNNNNNNNNNNNNNNNNNNNNNNNNNNNNNNNNNNNNNNNNNNNNNNNNNNNNNNNNNNNNNNNNNNNNNNNNNNNNNNNNNNNNNNNNNNNNNNNNNNNNNNNNNNNNNNNNNNNNNNNNNNNNNNNNNNNNNNNNNNNNNNNNNNNNNNNNNNNNNNNNNNNNNNNNNNNNNNNNNNNNNNNNNNNNNNNNNNNNNNNNNNNNNNNNNNNNNNNNNNNNNNNNNNNNNNNNNNNNNNNNNNNNNNNNNNNNNNNNNNNNNNNNNNNNNNNNNNNNNNNNNNNNNNNNNNNNNNNNNNNNNNNNNNNNNNNNNNNNNNNNNNNNNNNNNNNNNNNNNNNNNNNNNNNNNNNNNNNNNNNNNNNNNNNNNNNNNNNNNNNNNNNNNNNNNNNNNNNNNNNNNNNNNNNNNNNNNNNNNNNNNNNNNNNNNNNNNNNNNNNNNNNNNNNNNNNNNNNNNNNNNNNNNNNNNNNNNNNNNNNNNNNNNNNNNNNNNNNNNNNNNNNNNNNNNNNNNNNNNNNNNNNNNNNNNNNNNNNNNNNNNNNNNNNNNNNNNNNNNNNNNNNNNNNNNNNNNNNNNNNNNNNNNNNNNNNNNNNNNNNNNNNNNNNNNNNNNNNNNNNNNNNNNNNNNNNNNNNNNNNNNNNNNNNNNNNNNNNNNNNNNNNNNNNNNNNNNNNNNNNNNNNNNNNNNNNNNNNNNNNNNNNNNNNNNNNNNNNNNNNNNNNNNNNNNNNNNNNNNNNNNNNNNNNNNNNNNNNNNNNNNNNNNNNNNNNNNNNNNNNNNNNNNNNNNNNNNNNNNNNNNNNNNNNNNNNNNNNNNNNNNNNNNNNNNNNNNNNNNNNNNNNNNNNNNNNNNNNNNNNNNNNNNNNNNNNNNNNNNNNNNNNNNNNNNNNNNNNNNNNNNNNNNNNNNNNNNNNNNNNNNNNNNNNNNNNNNNNNNNNNNNNNNNNNNNNNNNNNNNNNNNNNNNNNNNNNNNNNNNNNNNNNNNNNNNNNNNNNNNNNNNNNNNNNNNNNNNNNNNNNNNNNNNNNNNNNNNNNNNNNNNNNNNNNNNNNNNNNNNNNNNNNNNNNNNNNNNNNNNNNNNNNNNNNNNNNNNNNNNNNNNNNNNNNNNNNNNNNNNNNNNNNNNNNNNNNNNNNNNNNNNNNNNNNNNNNNNNNNNNNNNNNNNNNNNNNNNNNNNNNNNNNNNNNNNNNNNNNNNNNNNNNNNNNNNNNNNNNNNNNNNNNNNNNNNNNNNNNNNNNNNNNNNNNNNNNNNNNNNNNNNNNNNNNNNNNNNNNNNNNNNNNNNNNNNNNNNNNNNNNNNNNNNNNNNNNNNNNNNNNNNNNNNNNNNNNNNNNNNNNNNNNNNNNNNNNNNNNNNNNNNNNNNNNNNNNNNNNNNNNNNNNNNNNNNNNNNNNNNNNNNNNNNNNNNNNNNNNNNNNNNNNNNNNNNNNNNNNNNNNNNNNNNNNNNNNNNNNNNNNNNNNNNNNNNNNNNNNNNNNNNNNNNNNNNNNNNNNNNNNNNNNNNNNNNNNNNNNNNNNNNNNNNNNNNNNNNNNNNNNNNNNNNNNNNNNNNNNNNNNNNNNNNNNNNNNNNNNNNNNNNNNNNNNNNNNNNNNNNNNNNNNNNNNNNNNNNNNNNNNNNNNNNNNNNNNNNNNNNNNNNNNNNNNNNNNNNNNNNNNNNNNNNNNNNNNNNNNNNNNNNNNNNNNNNNNNNNNNNNNNNNNNNNNNNNNNNNNNNNNNNNNNNNNNNNNNNNNNNNNNNNNNNNNNNNNNNNNNNNNNNNNNNNNNNNNNNNNNNNNNNNNNNNNNNNNNNNNNNNNNNNNNNNNNNNNNNNNNNNNNNNNNNNNNNNNNNNNNNNNNNNNNNNNNNNNNNNNNNNNNNNNNNNNNNNNNNNNNNNNNNNNNNNNNNNNNNNNNNNNNNNNNNNNNNNNNNNNNNNNNNNNNNNNNNNNNNNNNNNNNNNNNNNNNNNNNNNNNNNNNNNNNNNNNNNNNNNNNNNNNNNNNNNNNNNNNNNNNNNNNNNNNNNNNNNNNNNNNNNNNNNNNNNNNNNNNNNNNNNNNNNNNNNNNNNNNNNNNNNNNNNNNNNNNNNNNNNNNNNNNNNNNNNNNNNNNNNNNNNNNNNNNNNNNNNNNNNNNNNNNNNNNNNNNNNNNNNNNNNNNNNNNNNNNNNNNNNNNNNNNNNNNNNNNNNNNNNNNNNNNNNNNNNNNNNNNNNNNNNNNNNNNNNNNNNNNNNNNNNNNNNNNNNNNNNNNNNNNNNNNNNNNNNNNNNNNNNNNNNNNNNNNNNNNNNNNNNNNNNNNNNNNNNNNNNNNNNNNNNNNNNNNNNNNNNNNNNNNNNNNNNNNNNNNNNNNNNNNNNNNNNNNNNNNNNNNNNNNNNNNNNNNNNNNNNNNNNNNNNNNNNNNNNNNNNNNNNNNNNNNNNNNNNNNNNNNNNNNNNNNNNNNNNNNNNNNNNNNNNNNNNNNNNNNNNNNNNNNNNNNNNNNNNNNNNNNNNNNNNNNNNNNNNNNNNNNNNNNNNNNNNNNNNNNNNNNNNNNNNNNNNNNNNNNNNNNNNNNNNNNNNNNNNNNNNNNNNNNNNNNNNNNNNNNNNNNNNNNNNNNNNNNNNNNNNNNNNNNNNNNNNNNNNNNNNNNNNNNNNNNNNNNNNNNNNNNNNNNNNNNNNNNNNNNNNNNNNNNNNNNNNNNNNNNNNNNNNNNNNNNNNNNNNNNNNNNNNNNNNNNNNNNNNNNNNNNNNNNNNNNNNNNNNNNNNNNNNNNNNNNNNNNNNNNNNNNNNNNNNNNNNNNNNNNNNNNNNNNNNNNNNNNNNNNNNNNNNNNNNNNNNNNNNNNNNNNNNNNNNNNNNNNNNNNNNNNNNNNNNNNNNNNNNNNNNNNNNNNNNNNNNNNNNNNNNNNNNNNNNNNNNNNNNNNNNNNNNNNNNNNNNNNNNNNNNNNNNNNNNNNNNNNNNNNNNNNNNNNNNNNNNNNNNNNNNNNNNNNNNNNNNNNNNNNNNNNNNNNNNNNNNNNNNNNNNNNNNNNNNNNNNNNNNNNNNNNNNNNNNNNNNNNNNNNNNNNNNNNNNNNNNNNNNNNNNNNNNNNNNNNNNNNNNNNNNNNNNNNNNNNNNNNNNNNNNNNNNNNNNNNNNNNNNNNNNNNNNNNNNNNNNNNNNNNNNNNNNNNNNNNNNNNNUGUAUUCUUAUUCGGCUUUCUUUUUUGGUUCUUAAAAUAACCGAUCAAACGAAUGUUGAUUAUUUCUUUUCUUUUCUUAUUUUUAUUUCGAUCACAAUUCACAGUGAGUCAGAAAGAUGAACAUAUGAUGACAUGAUUCUGGCUUUUCUUUCUGUCUGUGGACCCACCAUUCACUUAUUAGAAAGAGGACCUUAACGCUUGCUUCCUUUUCACAGUUUUGUAGACUGCGGCACUAUAUAAAUCCUCUUGCAAGGGGCAAGUUGCCUCGUAAAUUGCUCAUCUACUUCUUCGAGAUAAGCGAUGGAAAAAAACUUCACGAAGAAACUCAACAAUACUGUAUAAGAGAUUUCCCGAGACGCCAAGUGUGGACAUUUAGUUGUAGAGUCCCACCAGGAGGGGGUUCGAAACCAGCCCUUUCUGGGGAUUGGUUUUCAUUUGUUCGUUCAAAGGACCUCAAGGCCGGCGACGCAAUAGAAAUUGCCUUGGAUAGAGAGAAGGAUCAAGCUGGUGGAUCACAAUUCACAGUCAAGGUCAAGAAAACAACUUCAACAACUCGGAACUAGUCCAUUCCAUUUGCAUGCAGAAUCUUGUGAGCCCUUGAAAGAAUGAAUUUUAAAUCAAUUGCACGUCUCUUGAAUAAUUAGGGUCAGUUAUAGUUGUGCGUUCGAGUCUUCAUCUUCAAAUUGAUUGCCUGGAAAAUAGAUGUUCUUGGCAGUUAACAGGUCCAGAUGGUAUUCAGUACUGCAUCAAAACAAUGGAAACCAAAAUGGUUUAAUUUCUUCUGAUAGUAAUGAUUGACCCCAUAACGGGAACAGUAUAUUAGUUAGUUCCACACCAUGACGAGUGGUCUUCGUUUUCAUUUUAGUUGCUGCGGAAACACACGUUGACAGAGAAGAUGCAAAUAAACACGUCUUCUUCAAAUUCAAACAUGCCCUAAUCUAUCUAUUGAAGAUGUGAUAUACUGAUAUCUAGAGAGAUAACUUAAUCUAUCUAUUGAAGUAAUGCAUUUAAAUGCGUAUACAAUGUUUUUGGAACAUUAAAUAUCUAUUUGAUUAGAAUCUGAUGGGGCAAUAGGUGAUGCAGGCAUAAACUAGAAAGUCGGCAAACAAACACAAAGAAAAUAGAUUUAUUGAGCAGGUUGCAAACUUAAACUCUAAAUUCGCAAUUUAUUAUUUUUAAAAAAAUUCUAAUGAUGUUUGCCUCUCAAAGAGGUUUCUAAAACAUUUAAAUAUACUAGAAAACCUAUCCCUAUUGGAAAACAAAAUCAGAAUUCAAAAGCAUAAACAAAACUAUAUAAAAUCUUAAAUAAAACAAUAAAUUCAAAAAAAUCAAGAAAAAAUAACAAAAUUAAAUCAAAUAGGAUCUUAUGAACCUAAUUUCAGGGGAUCCGAACAUCGGAUGAUUAACAAAAUAUGUUUUCAAUUGAGAUAGGUCUCGAGAAUCUUCAAUAAAAAUUUAAUAUGUAUCCAAUAGUUAAUUUUUUUUAUAGCCUCUUUUAGUCACUACUCUAGUGUAGCAUAUCCAAGUGGACCUUAACUUGUUAUAAUAAUUCAUAAAAAAAAAAAUCUACCUUCAGUAAUAAAUUCUCGUAUAAAUACUCUGUACAUUUAGUUUUCACAAGUGUAAUUGCAUCAAUAGGCCUCUAAAAGUGAUCAUGAAAGACUUUUUUCUUUGGAUCUUCUCAUGCCCAGCAAGCAUUAAAGAGUCUGAAGCUUAAGCUAUGAUUACACUUGAUAUUAGCUCUUCUAGUCAUCAUGCUAAUUAAAUGGAACUGAUUAUUGUAAGGUCUUAACAAGUUGGGCAUAAACCUGAUUUCGUUGAAUCUACUUUGGAUCGUGUAUAUUUUAUUUAUUUAUUUUUGGAUGGCUCUAGUGAGGCCCAUAGAGUUUUUUUACCUAAUAAAAGAAGCCCAUAAUUGGUCUUAUACGGUGGCCUUCUCUGAAGUCUAGUUUUAGCCCAUUAUAUAUAAGUUUAUUAGCUGGCUAUUUGCUUUUAAUGUGCCACGUAGCACCUAAACUAACUUCAUGAAGGAACAAGGUUUAUUUAACACACGAAUCCUAGAAAAAGAAAACAGCAAUAAACUAUAAGAAAAACUCAUAAGUCUGAAUGUUUUUGAAAAUUGAUUAUUGAGUUUCAAAUAACAAAAAGAACAAAGAAAAAGAGUUCAAUUAGUUUUUCAUAAUCAAUCACUAGCUGAGCAGAAAACAAUUAGUAUAAAACUCAAAAUUAAUAUUAAAAUAAAAGGAAAUGCUAGAUAUUAAAGCUAAAUCUUUAAAACAUGAGCAAUCUAGGAUGGUUCUAAAUAUCGUUGUUGAGUUGACAUUGCUCAUACAAUAAAUAAAUAAAUAAAAUAUGGUCUGUCAAAAAACCAUCUCAACCUAUAAACUUAAGCUUUUAGGUGAGAUCCCAAGAAAUAAUUUAUAUUAUUCUCUAACACACCCUCUCAAGUGAAAGCCUUUUGGGCUUGAAACUUGCACAGACCCACAUUACCUGUGCUUAAUUUUUAUCAAAUAAAUGAGGAUUGUGAGAUUCAAACUCGUGACUGCUUGAUCAUCAAGGCUCUGAUAUCAUGUCAAGGAACCAUCUCAACCUAAAAACUUAAGUUUUUAGGUGAGGUCUUAAGAAAUUAUUUAUAUUAUUCUCUAACAUAGACAUACUAUGUAUUUUUUAAUAAUUUAUUUUGGUCCUUGAAAUUUUAUUUUGUGCAAUUUAAUCCUAAUUAAAAGUCAAUUACAUCUUAAUUCUUAGUCAAUAGUGAAAUUGAAAGAAGGAAGAUCAAAAUGAAAAAGACACUAAACAUGGAUGGCGUGCCAGAGAUUACAUAAAAAAUACACUUAGAUCUUCGAUCUUUAAAAAUAAUGCAAUGUAUAAAAUUUAGAUCUUCUUAGAUUUUAAAAAAUAAUUUUUGGUAUAAAAGUUGAUUUUUUUUUAAUCCCUGGAUAGAGACACUACCAGAAAUUCGCUAAAUAGCAACGGAUUUACCGACGGAAUAUUUCUGUCGGUAAUUUGAGGUUGAAAUUACCGACGGAUAAUAUUCUGUCCGUAAUUCAGUCGGUAACUACCGACAGAAAGUUUCCUUCGGUAGUUACCGACUGAAUUACAGACGGAAAAGUUUCCGUCGUAAAAAAAAAGGCGGGUCGCUGACGUGGAGGUUUUGGCGGGUUAUUUUUUCAGACGGGAUCACCGACGGAUUUGAAAUGGCAGAUCCGUACGGUGAUGUGUCGAUUGUUCCAUCAGAAGCAUCGACGGUUUCACCGAUGAAAUGUCCGUCGGUAAAAGUUAAUUUAUGUCCAAUCUACCGACCCUCUCCUCCCCUAUUUCUCCUUUUUCUUCCUAAUCCCAACUCUCCCCAUCUGCAAACAACCAGCCCCCCCUCCCCCCCAAACAAAAAUCUCCCUCAUAUCAGCACAACAAGUUAUAUUUCUUGAAGUUUUGUGGUCACAGCAUCCGUGUUCUGAUUUACCGAUGGAUUUUAUCAAUUUUUGUAAGUAAUUCUAUCUUUUUAAAUUUUAACAUUUAAUUAAAUGUCAAUUUUAUUAUUUUUUUAGUAUAUGUAUUUUGUUAGUAGAUGUACAUGUUGUAUUAUUAUUUCUCAAACAAACUUGUAGUAUAUGAAUGUAUAAUUCUAUACCUGUUAUGGUUUGUUUUAGAUUUUGUAAGAUUGUAUUUGUUUGUAAAUUGUUAAAACUUUAUGGAACUACCGACGUACAUGUGUUGUUUUGAAAUAAUUAAUAGCUUGCUUAAUGGGUUCGUUUAAAGUUUUAUCAAUGGUAUUGUGGAGUGGUAAUUUCUGUAAAUUUAUAUAUUUUAAUUUGUAUGGACGUUGAUAAAUGAUAAUGAAUAUUUAAUAUUUAUGAGAAGUUGUGAUUGGUUUGUUGGAUAAUCUCGAGGUAAAGUAAUAUUUUUGCAAGUUUAUUUACCUAACUUAGUUAAUUAAUACAUGAUGUCAUCAUAAUUUUAUAGAGGUUCGAUAUAAAUCAUGGAAGAUCGUUCAUGGAUGUAUCGAGAUUCACCCCAAGGAUUGCGGAGGAUGGAUUAUUGUAAUGGGGUUCAGGGUUUUAUUAAUUUUGCAACAUCUAUUCCUAGAAAUUUUACUGGAGGCGGUAUUAGGUGUCCAUGCAGGAAGUGUCAAAAUAAAAAGUAUUUGCAUCCAGAUGUUGUAAUGAUGCAUCUUCUACACAAAGGGUUUAUGGAGAAUUACCAGUAUUGGUAUGCACAUGGAGAAGUAUAUGUUAGUGAGAGGAGAAUGGAAGAAACAGUGGUUGGGUCUACUUCUAGUGCUAGCAACGUGUAUGAAGCGGCAAAUGACAACACUAAUCCUUACAGAAAUAUGGUUAUGGAUGCAAUGAGAAUGAAUCAAGGUAAUGUCAGUCAAUGUCCAAUCGUAGAAGAAGAACCUAAUGUAGAUGCAGCUAGGUUUUUUGAUUUGUUGAAAGAUUCUGACGAACCAUUAUGGGAUGGCUGCACGAACCACAGUAAAUUAUCGGCCGUAGCACAGGUGUUCACCGUCAAGUCAGAUCACGGGUUGAGUGAGGCCGGGUAUGACAAGAUUAUUGGAUGGGCAAGAAGCAUUUUACCUGAAGAGAACAGGCUGAAAGAGAACUUCUAUGCUGCGAAGUCUAUGAUGAAACCCCUCGGUUUAGGAUACCAGAAAGUGUAGGUACAGGAGAUGCUACUAUGCCAUACUACCUUGAAAAUGCUGAGAUGACCAAGUGCAUGACAUGCGGGCAUUUCCGUUUACAACCUAAAACUGCAAGGGAAAGACUCUAGUGGCAUAUAAANNNNNNNNNNNNNNNNNNNNNNNNNNNNNNNNNNNNNNNNNNNNNNNNNNNNNNNNNNNNNNNNNNNNNNNNNNNNNNNNNNNNNNNNNNNNNNNNNNNNNNNNNNNNNNNNNNNNNNNNNNNNNNNNNNNNNNNNNNNNNNNNNNNNNNAGUGUUCAUCCUCACUUUUCAGCUGAAUCAAGGAAUGUGUGUCUUGGGUUGUGUACAGACGGAUUCAACCCAUAUGGGUCAUUUGCUGCUCAUUAUUCUUGUUGGCUGGUCAUACUCACAGUUUAUAACUUGCCACCGGGAAUGUGUAUGAGGCCGGAGUUCAUGUUUUUAUAUACUGUCAUACCCGGUCCAAGCAGCCCGGGGCGGAAUAUAGAUGUUUGUCUUUGACCGUUGAUUGAUGAGUUGGCGCAGUUGUGGUCCUCCGGAGCUCUGACUUAUGAUAUAUCAAGGAAACAAAAUUUCCUUAUAAGGGCGGCUUUGAUGUGGACUAUCAAUGAUUUUAUAGCUUAUGGAAUGCUUUCUAGUUGGAGCACGCAUGGGAAACUCGCAUGUCCAUACUGCAUGGAAAACAACAAGGCAUUCACGCUAGCAAAUGGAGGUAAAGCUUUUUUUUUUUACUGUCACCGUCGCUUCUUGCCACUUAAUCACAGGUACAGAAAGAACAGAAAAGAUUUCUUUGUUGAUAGAGUUGAAAAAGAUGUUGCAUCCCCGCAUCUUUCUAGUGAAGAAUUGCAUGAUAUUGUCUCAGAGUACGGUGACAUUGUGUUUGGCCUUCAAUCAGGUAAGCAAAAGUUUCCUGGUUUUGGUUUGACCCAUAAUUGGGUAAAGCGAAGUAUCUUUUGGGAGCUUCAUUAUUGGAAGACCAAUCUGCUUGGCCAUAACCUUGAUGUCAUGCACAUCGAAAAGAACAUGUUUGAGAACAUUUUCAACACCGUCAUGGAUGUGAAGGGGAAGACAAAGGACAACAUCAAGGCUAGAUUGGAUAUAGCUUUAUACUGUAACUAUAAAAAUAUUGAGUUGGUUUAUGAUGAGUCACGGGUCGCAAAACCAAGAGCAAGCUUCGUGUUAAAGAAAAACGCAUAACUGCUAGUCUACAAAUGGCUUAAGAGUCUGUGUUUUCCGGAUGGACAUGCAUCGAACAUAUCAAGGCUGGUUAAUAUAGAGGAGUGCAAAUUGUAUGGAAUGAAGAGUCAUGACUGCCACGUGUUUAUGCAAACAGUCAUCCCAUUAGCUUUUCGUGAUUUGUUGCCAAAGGGAAUAUGGGAAGCACUCACGGAGAUCAUUCAUUUCUUCAGAGAUAUAUGCUCCAGCAAGUUGAAUGUUGAUCACAUUGAGAGGCUUCAAACGAAUAUCGUCGAGACACUAUGCAAACUUGAGAUGAUAUUCCCUCAAUCAUUUUUUGACUUAAUGGAGCAUCUCCCUAUACAUCUACCGUUUGAGGCAAAAGCUGGAGGACCGGUCCAAUAUAGAUGGAUGUACCCAUUCGAACGGUUAGAUAUUACAGUUGCAAUGUAAUUCAUAUAUAAAAGUAUUUUAUAUGUUUUUUUUAAUUGAAAAUACUUGAUUAAUAUUUCAAUGCAGGUACUUGUUUAAUCUCAAGAAAAAGGUUAAGAACAAGGCGCAUGUUGAGGCUUCGAUAUGUGAGGCCUAUAUUGUUGAGGAGAUCUCAACAUUUGUCUCGUACUAUUUCGAACCUCAUCUGAGAACGAGAAUCAAUCACGUUCCACUGCAUGAUGAUGGCGAUGAAGUGCCUUCCAGUGGGAACUUGUCAAUAUUCUCCAAUAUUGGAUGACCCACACCUAAAAAUGCCGUAAGAGGAAGAUAUUUGUCGGAAAUAGAGUUCAAACAAGCACACAACUAUGUUCUAUUUAACUCUGAUGAGCUGAGACCUUUUAUUCAGUAAGUUUAUACUAAUUAAACUUUGUUAGUAAUAUACUAUUAAUUAUAUAUUGUAAUAUCAUACACUCAUCAUCACUUGUAGGCAACAUCGACAAUAUUUGCUCUCCAAUAACUCACAGCUGACCGAAUCCCAGAUCUUUCAAUUACAAGAUGAACAGUUUGCCACGUGGUUUAGAACACAUGUAAGCACUAUCACAAACUCAUUCUAGCUUGCAAAAUUACUGUACGUAUGCAUGUCAUUACGAGAUUCUCGUUCAUUUACUGUUUAUUGAUGUACAUUACAUACAAGGUUUAUCAAAUGGGAAGGAAUGCGCCUAAGUCAUUGUCUUCACUAAGCGUAGGGCCUGAAAGAAGAUGUAAGUGGUACAACAGGUAUUUUGUCAAUGGAUAUGUUUUCCAUACUGAAGAAUACGGGCAAGGAAGAAAGACAUACAACAACGGUGUUUGUGUUAAGGAAUCCACUAGUAGUGAGUUAGAAGUUGACUACUAUGGUAGAUUAGAAGAGGUCGUCGAACUGCAAUAUCAUAACGAACAGAAUAGAGUGUUUUUAUUCAAAUGCUAUUGGUAUGACACGACUGACAGAGGAAUCAGAGUUGAUCUGCACUAUGGUUUGGUCGAAAUCAACUCAAAAGCUAGACUCCGCAACAUAAACAAUGUCUUUGUUUUUGCAAAGCAAUGUCAACAAGUUUAUUACACAUACACCUCUUCAUUUAGAAAGGAUUGAUCAAGAGUUGAUUGGUUGUCCGUUUUAAAAAUGAAACCCCAGGGUCGUGUCGAGGUUGUUUAGGAUGAGAACGAAGACACAAGUGUGCAAGAUGAAGUCUUUCAAGUUAGUGAGCUGGUUGAACCAUAUCGAGUUGCUCCUUCGAUUGAAUUGGAAGAAAAUUCAAAUUUUCGUGUUUUCGAUGAUAGUCUUGUUGAUGUUGAUGCAGAGAAGUUGAAUGUUGUUUUGAGCUCUAGCGGACAAGCAAAUAUGGAUGAAGAAGACGAUAUCCAUAUUGAAGAUUGCGAUGAGGGUCAUGACAAUUCAAUUGAUGACGAAGAAGAAGAAAAUUCUGACUAACAAUCAAAUUUAAGCCCUGUGUAAAACCCUUUCUUUCAUGUAAUUUAGAUUAUGGAUGAUAUAUUUUGUAACACGAAAUAUUUAUUACUUGAAAUGCCACAAUCACGAAAUAAUUACUUGAAAUAAUUAUAGAUCAUGGAUGAUAUAUUUUGUAACACGAAAAUACCACAAUCACUGACGUCCGUACCGACGAAUAUAUGUUCGUCGGCAUUUCACAGAGAGUUCGAAAAUAAUUACUUGAAAUGCCACAAUCACCGACGUCUAUACCGACGGACUUAGUCCGUUGGCAUGUCACAGAGAGUUCGAAAAUAAUUACUUGAAAUGCCACACUCACUGACGACCAUACCGACGAAUAUAAGUACGUCAGCAAGUUGUCGGUGGGUCAAUUUUACCGACGACAUUACCGACGGACCGCGCGAAUUCCAAAGGGUUGUGCAUUGAAUGCAUCUUUGACUGCGUCAGAUCGUCGACGGAAUUACUGACGGACCACGAAAAAUAUGGAGGGUCAUUAAAAAUUUUGGUACAAAAUUUGAAAUGUACCGACGGAUUUUUGACAUUUCACCGACGGAAUAAAUUAAAGUAAUAAUUAAUUUUAUAUCCGUCGGUAAAACUGCCAUAUAAAUCCCCCCAACCGCCCCUUCAGUUCAUUGUUUCUUCUCCCCUCAGUUUUUCAUCGAUUUUCUCCUCAGUUUUUCACUGAUUCUUUUCCUCUCCGUUCUUCAAAGGUUUCACCUGCAAUCUCUAGCAAUUUUUCUCGUGAAUCUCCAUCAGUUUAAAUGGUAUGUAUGUUUUUUUGCUAUUUUUGCUUCUUUUUUUUGUAUGCUUUUUUGGUAUGUUUUUUUUUUGGUGUAUUUUUUGUAAUGUAGAUAAAGUCUAUAGUUUUUUUGCAUAAUUCAGUGCUAAAGUCUAUAGUUUUAUUUUUUUGAAUUUAUUGAAUAUUUUUUAUUGUUGUAUUGGCAUAAUUAUUAUUAGUUUAUUUGUUGAAUAUUUAUUGUUAAUGUUGAAUUUACCAUAGAAUUAGUAAUUGAAUAUGUUUGAAUAAUUAUUAAUUUUACUCUAUUAUUGCAUGAUUUGUGUUUAAUGUUUUGCAUUUAUUUUGAUUGUUAUUCUAGAGUUUUUUUUUUAAUUUAUUGUUUUGUUGUAUUGGUAUAAUUAUUGAAUAAUUUUUUGAAUUGUAAUUGUUAAUGUUGAAUUUACCUUAGUAUUAGUAAUUGAAUAUUUUGGAAUAAUUCUUAAUUUUACUCUAUUAUUGCAUGAUUUAUGUUUAACUUUUUUCAAUUAAUUUUAAUUGUUAGUCUACAGUUUUUUUUAUUUAUUGAAUAUAUUUUAUUGUUGUAUUGGCAUAAUUAUUGAAUAAUUUGUUGAAUUGUAAUUCUUAAUGUUGAAUUUACCUUAGGAUUAGUAAUUGAAUAUGUUGGAAUAAUUAGUAUAGAUUGGGUCAAUUGGUUGUGGCUUUUGUUAAUAUGUGCAGGUUUGUGGAUUUGGGUAGUAUCCGGUAUAAGGGAGGUGCUGUCGAAUUUUUUUUUAACUUUUGAAUUUAAUUAUAUAAUUAUUUGUAUAAAAUUGUGGAGAUGCGUAGAAUGAAAACCAGAGCUGGUCGCUCAAGUACGGUCGUAGCUAGUUCGUCUAGCAGCGAUGAUGAUAUUUCCUUAGGUGCCUCUCAAGAAGAGGCACCUACACCACCUGCGCCUUCAAUCGAUGCUGCCUCUUCCAGCGGUACUUCACAACGCAGAGGCGGCGUGCCUUUGCAGUGGAAUCAAUUUACCUGCAAGUACGAGGCACGGUGGAAGGACGACCUUUCAAUUUAAGUUUGUUAAGGUUUAAUUUUUUUAAAAAAAAAUUACAACAUAAUUUAUGAAGUAAUCACUAUUUAAUUUAUUUCAUUUAUUUUCAGGUUCACAAACAUUGAGGCCGCCCGAGUAAUAUCAUCGGCGUUUAAAUCGUCAAUGGAGAUUCUAUUGUUUCAAUGGAGUCAGCUAUCCAAGCAUCCUGAAUGGAUGCCUCAAAUCAAUGCAUGGUUUGACAUAUUUCAAGUUGGUGUUAAUUUAUAAUUUUCAGCUUAUUUCUACUAAAUUAUUAAUAUAAUUGUAAAUAAAUUAUUGUUUUUAUUUAAACUUGUUUAUUUAUACACAGCACAAAUUCUGCUGGGACAGUGAGCAUAACACUGUUGUGAGGAGGGUGUGGGAAAAUCACGCGGCAACUAGGUAAGAUCGAAAAAAAUACAAGAUUUUUUUAGACUAAAAUUUAUGUUUCGAAAUGUAAUUUUUGGUUGCGUGAUUUUUGGUAUGAAGCACAGAAAAGGGCAAAAAAAACCGCAAGGGAUAGGGGUUUCCAAGGCUGGAACGAUGUUGCGGUUUGGCGGGAUUUCAAACCGAUAUACAUCCCGGAAGAUAUAUGGCCGCACUAUCUUGAGCACGUGACGUAUGAGCGGUUCACACGACGCUCACAGUCCGGUGUUGGCAACCAGAAUCGGCCAAUUCAUGGCUCGGUGACAGCGCACACUGGCGGCUCCGUUCCGUUUGCUGCACAUGCGAAACGGAUGGUAAGAUUAAUUUAAAUGAAAUAUAUCGUUAAAUUAAGUUGUUGUUAAUAUAUCUUUUUUCAUUAUAGGCUGCGUCUCUUGGAUGUGAGCCGAGCCCGAUGGAGCUGUUUGUGGAGACUCAUGUGCGGAGUCAAGACCGCCAAAAGAGGGCGCAACGGUUCGUUGAUAACCGUGCUCAACAUUUCGUGGUAUGUUUGUUCGACCAUUUUAUUUUGUAAGUUAUUAUGUAAGUUAUUAUGUUUAUUGAAUUGAAUAUGAUGAUUACUUUUUUUUAUUUUCAGAAGACCUAUAAUAAUCGGUUGUGGGAGAGAUACGGGGACGAUAUUUUGACCCAUCCGGAAUUCGAUCCAGAUUUGUGGAUGGAGGUUGGCUCGUCAGGUGGACCCGAUAAAAAUCGGGUUUACGGGCUCUCCAACACUACGGCCGACAACUUGCGGUCGACCCGUAGUGUUUCAACCGUUGGGAGCUCCCAAUCAAUAUCGAGCUCCCAAUCUAAGGAGUUCAUGGUCUUGCAGCAACACACGGCUCAUCUCACCGAAAAAUACGACCACCUAUCAGCGGAGUACGCGCAACUUAAAGCGUCUCAUGCAGAACAAAGAGCGGAGUCUGCACAACAAAAAGUGGCUAAUGAACAGCUUCACGAAAUGGUCAUGAACAUGGCAACACAGAGUGGAACAUGUGCACCUAAUCCUUUUUGGCCGUAUAACCACCAACCUCCUCCUCCAGGAUCUCCUCCUCCUCCUCCAGCUCCACCCAUAUAUUAAUUUGUAAUAAACAUUAUUUACCUUUAAAACUUCAUUUAAUAUUUUUUUUGAAACAUAUUCAGUUUGUAAUGAAUAUUAUUUAACUUUGUUUUUUUUUAUGUUUAAUAUAAAUUUUAUUUGCAUAAUUGGUUUGUAUUACAAUUAAUUUAUAUAGUUUUAUAUUAUAUAUCCUAAAUAAUUUUUUAAAAACAAAUUUAGAAAAAAACUAUUACCAAUGAUUUUACCGACGGAUUUAUUCGGUCGGUAUUUUAAACGCUCACCGACAGACUUACCGACAUAAUUAAUCCGUCGGAAUUUAACAGUAGUUGCCACACUUACCGACGAAUUUACAGACAGAUAUAUUCAGUCGGUAUUUCAUACACUCACCGACAGCUUUACCGACGGUUAGUAGCCGUCGGUAAAUCACGAUAUCACUGACGGACUAAAAAUCCGUCAGUAUAUUUCAAGCGGGAAUCUUUUUUUUGGCGCGCAAAUUCCGUCUGUAAAACCAUCGGCAAAUGGUUUUUUUGUUUUGCCGACCGAUAUAGCGACCGAAUCACCGAUGAAAGGAAAGCCGACGGACGUAAUCCGUCGGUGAUGACGUCGGUAAAAAAAUCACCGACGAACUUCUAAUCACACACCGAUGGAAUGUUUCUGUCGGUAAAACUGUGAAAUCUUGUAGUGAGAUAAGGGUUGCUACAUUCUAGUUGUCGAUACACGACGUCGGGCGACGGCUCCCGCUUUUUGUUUAUUUAACAAAAACGGUUGUUUUCUCGAUUGGGGGAAAUAAAGAUUUUAUUGGAGUCGCCAUCUAGUAAUUUGAGAGAACUAGAAAUCCCAAAUUAGACACUGGUCCUAGAGAUUCAGGUACGAGGUUAGUUAUGAUUAAGGGAAGGUAGACACCAGAGAAAUCCCUUAAAACAUCCUUUCAAGAGAAAGGUUACCCUUACUUGUGUGUUUUUUAUUUGAUUCAAAUGCUAUUAUAUUUUUGGCUUAUUUGUAAUUUGUUUUUUUAAAUGGUUAACGUCGGUCCCUAAAAAUAGAAGACACGUUAAAAAUGAUACCAGUCCCUAAAAUUAGGAGACUUGUCUAAAAUAUGGACGUUUGUCCCUAAAAAGGAGAAUUACGUCUGGGUUACCAAAAGAAAUAAUGGACAUAAUCCAUAUUUGGUAUUUAAAUUUUUGACAUCGGUACAUUUCUAAAAAGAGACGUGUCGACAAACAAUAUUUAUUUAUAAAACAAAAUUAUUUUGAUAUUGUUGAGAAAUAGGUAUAACCAUACUUGAGAAUCGGGCUUUGGACCCACAAUUAAUGACAUGAUAAGAUGGGUGUUGAACCCUUGUCGUUAUUUCAUUUAUAUUUAUUUUUUGGUUUUUUUGUUGUUUUUAGCAUGCGAGAAAAUUUACAAGCAUUUAUAUAUACAAAAAUAUCAAAAAUACCAUCAGGAACCCCAAAAAAUUACCUGAGUGCCACUUUAUAGGCAAAAUACUGAAAUACCCUUGAAUUUCUCCGAAAUUUAUGAAAAUGCCACUGGCGGCGCGUGUGCCCACGCGCGGUUACUGUUGGAGCGGUGAAAUUUUCUGGCGAGAUUUCCGGCCAAAAAAUGGUUGAUUCUGGUAGAUAUGAGGGUGAGGAUUCUAAUGGAGGUGGUAUCGAUGGCCGUUGAUCGCUAACGAGGGAGAAUCGACGGUUUGAAGCUACGGUGGCCGACGAAAAUCGCGGCCCUUUUACGGCCAGAUGGGGAGGCAAAAACGCUGAAAACGGCCGGGGUUUUGCUUUAUAUGAGGAUAGAAACCUUUCUGUGGUGUUUCGAAAGCUUAAAACGGCCGGAAAUGGGAGAUCGGAGGAGAGAGAGGGAAUCGCCGGCAGAGAGGAGAGAGAGACUCUGAGAGGUGCUAUGGUGUACACGAGCACAUGGUGCACCGGUGCAGAAGAAUGCUGUGAACCGUUGGAUCGCCGUUGAACUGAUCCUGCGGCUGUGAUUGGCUGGAUCUGAAAGUUGAUCGGACGGUCCGGAUGGGCUGAGGUUUGAUCGCGUGUGGCGCGGUGAACCGAGUGCUUGGUACACCGGGUGUCGUGGCGCAAUCGGAUCUAAUUGAAAAUUGUUUCAAGGGCUAAGAUGGAUUUGGGGUUUAAUCUAGUGUGGUAAGCCCUAUUGUAUCUUAUUAAAUCAAUGGUCCAGAACUAAAUACUAUUAGAUUUAAUGGUUAAAAUAUUUUUGAUAUUUUCAAUUUGUUUUUAAUAAAAAUCAAUAUCUUACUCUCGGGAGGAAAACUGAAAAAAAACUUAAAUAGUACGGGAUCUACUCUCUCUUUUAUUUUCUUUUUUUCUUCUUUUUUUUUUCUUCCUUUUUUUCAGUCGAACUGUCACUGGCUAUUUAUAGCUAAUGACAUCAAAAUCUCCAUACAGUGUCACAAAUCUACUUUUAAAAAAAAUUGAUCACCGUUUGCUUUCGGCGCAACUGCCCGCCUAAUAUGACAAAUAUAUAUAAUAAAUAUUUAUAUAGGUAAAAUUAAAAACUCAAAUCAGUAUUAGAAAAAAAAUCGAUUCAACUGCUAAAAAUUCAUUUUAAUGAUCGAAAAUUAUGUUGAAACACUGGAAAUUUUUUUUUGAUGGGUAUCAACCCGGUGAACCAGGUUUUGACCAAAAAUAACAGUUUUGAUCCAAAAUGGCCUGAAACUCAUUUUUUACCCCGGUCGACAUGGCUGGACCCGUAUUGACUUGAUGGACUCGGUUUUGACCGAAAAUGACGGUUUUGACUCGAAACGGCCUGAAACUCAUGUUUUACCUUGGUCGACAUGGUUUGACCCAAUUGACUCGAUGGACUCGGUUUUGACCGAAAAUGACGGUUUUGACCCGAAACAGCCCGAAACUCAUUUUUUUAUCCUGGUCGACAUGGUUUGACCCGUAUUGACUCGGUGGACUCGUUUUUGACCGAAAAUGACGGUUUUGACCGAAAACUCAUUUCUUACCCUGGUCGACAUGGUUUGACCUGGAUUGACCCGGUGGAAUAAGUUCUUAUGAAAAGAUGCGGUUGACUCGAGAAAAAAAAAAUAUAUAUAUAUAUAUAUUUAAUUUUAAACUUUUCCUUAAUUUUUUUGGAUUUUUAUAAAUAAUAAUAGAAAUAAAAUAACAUUCAAAAAAAUCUUGGUGAAUCCAAAAUUGGGUUACAACACUAGUGAUGAGAGAGAAAGUCAUCAUUUACUCUAUUUUUGGCCACCAAAAUAGGUUUUAUUGGUGUCCAUGGAUUCCAUGAGAUGAGAAAGGCUUCAUAAUGGUUGUUUAGAGCCUUAAUGUUGCAUAAAAAACUAGAUAUGAACCGAGAGAGCCAAAAUUAAACUGAUUUGAUUUUGGAUUUUCUGACCAUUUUUUGGAUAUUUGGAGUUUGUGAGAUAGAAGUUGUUGGAUUCCAGUGUUGAGAGAAAGUCGUCGAUCAUUUCAUUUUCAGCCACCAAAAUAAGUUUUAUUGAUGUCCAUAGGUUCCAUGAGAUAAGAGAGGCUUCAUGGUGGUUGUUUAGAAUGUCCAUGUUACAUGAAAAACCAUACAUGAGAUUUGAGAGCUAAAACUAAACCGAUUUGUUUUGGAUUUUUGGACCAUUUUUUAGGUAUUUGGAGUUGAUGGAAUGAUUUGUGGGUGUUAUAAAGGUAUUUAUGAGGUUUUCUUGGGUUGAAAUAGUUGAAAUUAUAUUUUUAACUAUAUGAGAAAAAAAAAAGAUGAUAAAAAAGUCAAGUUUAAUUAAAAAAAAAGAGAUACCCUCACCAAACUUGUAAACCAGGGCAACUUAGGUUACCUUAGCAAACCCACAAACCAUGUUAACCUUAUAGAAAUGUAAAAUAAAAAUAAACAAAUUAUAAAGCUAAAUUCCUAAUUAUCUCAAUAUUAAAAAAUAAAAUCGACAAAAAUAAAUUUGAAAAACAAAUCAUAAUAAAAAUUCAAAAACAAAAAGAAAAAUGAAAGAAGUAAAAUACUAUAGAUUACUAUUGUCAUUCACAGUGCAAUGUGUGUAGGUGAACAAUGGACUAUAUAAGAAAAAAAUAGACUAUAAAAAAAAUCAAGUUCAGUUUUUUUUUAAAUACAACCCGCAAAACUAGUAAACCGAGGCAACUUAGAUUACUUUGGCAAACCCAUAAAUUAUACUAACCUCAUAUAAAGUAAAAUCAAAAGAAACAAAUUACGAAUCUCAAUUUUAAAAGAUAAAAUUGACAAAAAUAGAUUUGAAAAAAAAAUCAUAGCAAAAAUUCAAAAAGAAAAAAAAAAGCAAAAAUGGGUGUUAGGUGAACAAUGAUUUCCACCACAUCCUUUAAUUUUUGUUAUUUCAUAAAAUUUAAUAACAUAAUUUUUCUAUAAAACUGUUUUUUUUUAACAAUAUGAGAACAAAAAUAUACUAUAAAAAACCAAGUUCAAUUUAAAAAACUUUAUCAAAUCCAUAAAUUAAGGCAACUCGAGUUACCUCAAUAAACUCACAAACACAAAAAAAAAUAUAAAAUUAAAUUCUCAACCAUUUCAAUAUUAAAAAUAAAAUUGAAAAAAAUUAUAAAUACAAAAAAUAAAAAAAUAAAAAAGAAAAAAUCACGUGUUUAAGAAAAACAUAAUAAUGUAAGAAAAUAUUGUAGCAAUAGUGUUUUUGUGAGAAAAAUUGCAAGUAUCUGUUCCCUAAUAUGUGCAAGUGCUGCAAAAUAUUAAAUCUUGUAUUUAAAUGAAAGAAAAAGUGAAGGCAAAAGAUUGCCAUGAGGCAACCUCAAGUAGCAUACACCUCUGUUUUUGUCUUUUUCAUUUUUCACGUGUUUCUCACAAGAAGUGAACUUGAGGGAAUAAAAAGCGCUGGGAAGUAAUUUUUUGUUGCAUUUUCAUAAAUUAAAGGGAUUUCUCUUCUUUUCUUUGUCAAUUAAAGUGCAUGAUGUAUAAAAGUUUUCUUACUCAGAGUAAAUGCUAUUAUAAUGUUUUCACUUGUAUAUCUUGGAACAUAGCCAUAGCCAUAAAUGGAAGGUUCUUCCAGUUCAAGAAAAUUAACUGUCGCACGUCAAAAAAAAUCAGCGCGGCAUCGACUGGCGAUUUUUUAUUAUUUGUGGUUUUGCUUGGUUCUUUGGAGUCGCCACCUAGUAUUAUGGUCACUAGGAACCUAUGGUCUGCGAGAGUCUGAGUAAGGGACUGGUUGUGCAAGGGGAAGACGCAUCACCCCCAGUGCACCCUACCUAAGGUAAGCUGCAUUGUUUGUUUGAUUAUUCUUUCUAGGUCGAAGUUCUAUUGGUCUUUUCUAAGGUUCAAGGCAGAUCUCCCUUCAUGAGGGAGUCUCUACCUCAUUGGGUUAAAUCCUAACCAUUCUAAAGUCUGAAUUUUUAAAAUUGCUUUUAUUUACACCUUGUAUCUUUAAUACCCGAGAGUGUACUUUAUCGUGUAAUUUUACACUCCACAAAUAUUAAAGUCUAUAUCCGAAUCCUAGAAAAAAAAGUUGAAAUAAAAGUUUUUGACAUUUUGGCCAAACCCUAACAGAUGAUCAUAAACUAGUUAUGAUAUCCAUUUUUUGGAUUUUUAAAACGUGAGAAAGAUGCAAUUUUUUUAUUUUGAAAAGAAAACAUGCUUGGAAAAUUCUUUAGGACUUGGCCGUAUGCAAUAAAUUUUUUUUUGAAUAUUUUUGAGAAAACCGGGCAUUUUAAUACCGGACUUGUAUCUUAUCAUGUAAGUAUACAACCCAAUAUUAAGCAAACUUGGUAGGAAAAUAUUUAAGAAAAUCACAAAUUUUUUGAAAUGAUUUUUGAAAUUUUUUUGAAUUUUUUUUUGAAUUGUUUUGAUUUUUUUAAUACAUAAUAAUUAAUUAAAUUUAUUAAAUCUGUGGGCCGGUCCGGCCCAAACAGUUGGUCCGGUCCAGGACCCUUGGGUUGGGCCGGUCUCGGCCCAACAGGUCCUUCUCUCUUUUUUCCGGGCCGGGCCAGAACCGGCCCGACCCCUUGGACUGGGCCAGAACCGGCCCGGCCCAAGCAAAUGGCUAAUUAAUUAGCCGCUGCAUGCAGAAACGAAUUCUGCAUGCAGCCACGGUGAAAGGAAAAAGGAAGGCGUAGCAGGGGAGGGGCGAGUUACCUGGCGUGGAGAGAGUCGGCGGCCUAGCUGGUGGUGCACGGUGUAACUGAAGGUGGUGAGGCCGGCGGCUUGCACUGUUCACGGCUGGAAGAAGAAGGAGCAGUUUCCUGCAGAGGAGAAGGAAAGCUCACGGCCGGAGCUGUUGGUGUGACUGGGGAAGGAGAUGCUACUCUGGCUGCUGCUGGUAGGAGUGAAAGCUUCUGGGAAAGGUGGUGGCUGCUGGCUCUGCUGUCGCCGCUGCUGCUGGAGUCCCGGUGGCAGAGGAGGAGAUUUUACAGAGGAGAGAGAGAGAGAAGUGGUGCAACUGUCACGUGAGAUGGUUUUGUGGCUACUGGAGGUGGGGAUGAUGGCGAGAAGCUAGGUGAUGAAGGUGAUAGUGGCUGAAGGCCACGGUGGAGAGAGAAAGCAGAAAAAAUGAUUGUUUGCAGAAAAAUGGGUACAGAAGGCUGGUUUUCGGCCAACUUUGAGCUCGUUUUUCUCCUCUCUCUGAGCAUGAAAAUUGCUCCUAUUUAUAGGGCUGGAAAGAGGGCAAUCUUGUCUUCAAUGGGGGAAAACUAUCAGCCCUUGAUUCGACCUGAGCGAUCCAAACCGUUGGCUCAAAGUGGGCACCUCGAACUGCCAAAUUUGCAGACUGCCCGAGGUGCACACUUUGGGCCAAUAAACGAAGCCGUUGGCUCAAACCUUUUCGACCCGACCGGACCAUUCUCGAGGAUAAAGGUGUUUCAGUUGGACAUGUUGGUGCAUGCUUUGUCGAAUUUGGGGUACAAACGAGGCAGCAGACAAGGCUUGAAGUCGGCCACUCGGGCAGCUCAGUGGAGAAGAAGAUGAACAGUACUAGGCGACGCGUCGCCUGGUCCUGCCCCCUUUUUUUUUUUUUUUUAACGCAUGAAACGGCGUCGUUUUUCCCAAAACGCGCCGUUUCAUUUAAAUGAAAAACUGGCGCCAAAGUGCAAGAUUUCACAUCAAUCCUUCCUCUUGCGCGCGUUUUGUGUUUUGGUCCUUGGUCUCAGAUUGCUUCAAUUAAGUCCCUAAUUGGCCCCAAAACUUCAAUUUUCUUGCAAUUUGACCCCUGAUUUUGUCAAUUAACUUGGUAAAAAUUAAAUUUGGUCUCUUAAAAUUCCAAUCUUCUCCAUUAAGCCCAAAUUAGGCUCCCAAACUUAAGUUUUCACCAAUUAAGCCCCAAAUAAAAUUAAUUUGACCCAUUUAAAGUAUAAUUAAGUCCUUGCACUUAAUUAAAUCCUUCAUUUGGACCUAAAUUAAUUCUUAAACAUAAUUAAAAUUUAAUUUGGCCCAUGAUUAAAUCAAAUUGGCCUAUUAAAAAUUUAAUUAUGUUAUUGGACUUAAUUUUUAUGCAAAUUUGUCCAAUAAUCAUUUAAUUUGACCUUGAAUUUGCAUUUUUUUUCUCCGAUUUUGGGCACAAUGGGGCGCCGAAAGGCCUUGAAUUUCCUCCGAAAAUUGCAGAUUGAUUUUUUUCUAUUUUGCCUAUUUUUCUUGAUCAGCUUUCUCCACAUUGCCAGCUUUUAUUUUUAUUAUUAUUUUUUUGUUUUUAUUUAAAAAAAAUGAAUUUUGGGGAAUAACCCAGAAUUGGGUUAUGACAUUAACCAUGAACCUCUCGUAACUAGAAUUUAGAGUGACCAAGGUCUUUUUCAAGAACAAGGGAAGUGUGCAAAAUGCAAAUAACAAAUCAAUAAAUAAAUAAUUAAAUAAAAAGAGAGGACACAGAAGUAUAUCCUCAGACGAUGAAAAUACAGAAAGCCUAGCAUAUUAGAAAGAGCAUUUAUCGCUCUCCCCCCUUCUCUUGUAACUUGGACUGCUAAGAGAUAUAAUGUUUUGUUAUUGAUAUCUGAUUUCAGUAUGAUCAAGUCUCAAAAUACCAUACCCACUGGCAAUGGUAACAAACCCCUGGAUCGAGAUUUGACAAAUUAAUACAAUGCUGUAGCCAAAUUAAUACAAUCAUCAACGACCCAUCAAAAGGGAAAUGAUGUUUGCUAGAGUAAUGGAUGUCUGGUGCAGCAGCUGCUCCAGAUGGUCCUAGCAGUUUAUCGAGAUUGUUUUCAGGGACAUUUUUAAAGACAUUGGAAACGACAAUAUUGCAGCGAUUAAUGCCAAGUACGAACACGUCAAAUCUAAGCUAAGAAAUCAUGGUUUUGUUGAGCUUUGCUAUCAUCAGAGGCUUGAUGAUGGAAGGAUUAUUGUACUCUCUUACAAACAUAUAAUGCUGUGCUGAUGAGCCAGAGAAGUUCUCCAUAGACUUCCUAACUAAGAGGAAGUUGCCAUCUAUUUCUAACUCAACAAGGAAAAGAGUCUGGGGCAAGUGAAACAUGAAUUUUGACCAGUUAGGAAACCAAUGGCUGCCCAUGUUGUAGCUCAAAUCAAAACCGUGGGGGCUGGCAUGUUUUUGGGUGUUUUCUUUUUGGUUUUCUGAGAGCCAUAACUGGCAUUUUUGUUCUCUCAUCAAGAGCAGACGACACCAAAGGCAGAACACUCUGGUGUUCUUGACAAUUCGACACAUUGUUUUCUGAGGAUUAGGUGAAUAUGGUUCAUUCUAUGCCAUAAGUACGUCAAGCUACCAUUAAUUUUUUUUUUAUUCUUUUUUAAACAGUAACAAAACUCAUUAAUUUAGGAAAGGGCAAAGCCCAGAUAACAAAUAACAUCGACACUUGCAAGGAUUUAUUCUUCAGGGAUAUUGAUUUGUUUGUAUCCUAUCUCUUUGAAAAAAAAUGUGGAUUAAUUAAUCUAUGCUCAGUAUAGUAUUUCCAGGACUAUUCUUUCUUUAAUAUGUUGAUUAACACCUCGAGCCUGGCCUUUUUUUUUUUUUUUGUAGUUUGCUAAUGUGAUGUAGAAUUAUAUAUAAAUCAAUCUCAUCAGAUGAUGCAAAUAUGGGCAUAAAAGAUAUGGUGGGAACUUCAAUUUAGUCUCUGAAAUAUACAUAACUUCAUAAAAAUUGAAUUCUCAAAUGUUAAGAAAGAAAUACAAUACAAAAUAGAAGACGAUACAUUACAUUCAGGUAAGAAUUCACAUCCAUGCCCAUAUAUAUUAAAGCACUACUAUCUUUGUGCUAAGCUGCCAUCUGCAUUCAUUUUCUUUCUUCUGACAAAUAUACUUAUUAAGUUACAUUGCAUACAAGUAAGAAUUCAUAUCCAUUCCCAUAUUAAGCUCUAUUAUUUUUGUGAUAAGCUGCCAGCUUCGUCCAUUUUCUUGAUUUCUGACGAGUAUAUUUAUCUGCGAAAGACAACAGAAAACUGUGCAGGUCACACGUUUAUCCACAAUCCAGCAAGACAAUUACUAUUCUGCAGAAGCUUUAAGUGACCAAUCCAUGGCUUUCUUCAGUGCUGUUGGAGGUUCUACUGCAUGUAAAAUUGUUAAAAGAGCCAAUUUGUUAUUAGUCUUGGAAAGAAAAACAAUACUAAACUACAAAAUGCAGAAUGGAAUCGUUGAAAAUUAGUGCACAAAUCAAGUGUUCAGGGGUUCAAACAUGAGCCAUUGUGAGUUGGAGACUUGGAUUAUCGACAUUUAGUUUCCACCAUCCUUGAGUUAUUAUUAAAUGUAUACAAUAAAUUAUUAGGCGAUUUUUUCCCCAACAAUUAAAUUAAAAGUCUAAUAACAUUUUAAAUCUGGAUUUCAUGAUUAUAAUUUUUUAAUUUUAACAAAUUAUCAUUAAAUACGUAUUUAUACGAAAGCAAGUUUUAUUAAUUGGUUAAUCUUAAGAUUUAGUGAUUUGUUUUAAGUAUCAUAAUUGUAAAAGGUGCAUAUAAAGUUGAUGAUUUUAAAAUAAAUAAUAGUAAAUAGAUAAAGCAAAUAUUUGUAAUAUAUGGAAACAACCUUAAUAAAUAUAAGUUAAAUUAUUUUGUAAAAAAGAUAUUAGAAUGAUGAUUGAAAAGAUGUUGGAUGGCUAUUGAUUUUAUCAUUGAUAAGAAUAUAUUUUGAUACAUAGUAAAAGCUAAUUAAUAAUGUCAUGUGAUAGUGUCCGUACUAUAUAUUCCACGUAAUCAAAUUUAGGUUAUAAUAGAAAAAACAAAUAAGCAUCUCUUUUAUUACAAUAAUAAUCUCUUUUAAUUAUCAUAAUAUUAAAAUAUUUGAUUAAAUUAUUCUAUGCAUAGAAAAGUAAUUCAGUCAUGAAUAUAUAUAUAUAUAUAUUAUUAACGUGGAUGUCUAGGUCAACUUGCGCGCACCUCAACUAAUCCCACGAGUCCUGAAGUUAACGAUCAUGCAAGUCUCUAGUGGCUUUGAGGCUUGUGAGACUCGAAUUAUUAACUUCUAGAGAGCAAACCUAAAGUCUGACCAGCUGAGUUACGAUGUGAUAGUAUACUGAAUUGAAUUUAGGUUAAAAUAGAAAAAACAAAUAAUCAUUUAUUUUAUAAAAUGUUUUAAAUUAAAUGAAAUAAACCAUUUUAAAAGAAUGAAGUGUAACUGUUUUCAUUAAUUUGAAAACAUUAAUUGGCUCUCCUCCUCUGCAUACAAAGUAACAUAAAAAUUUAAUCCCAACUUACCUGUACACGUGUACCCUCUACGAUGAUUGAUGGGAUAUGAGAAAUCUUGGGCCACUCGGAGCCAUUCUCCUUUCUACAAUUUUCUGAUAGAAGUGGGCAUUCUGAAAUCCCCAAUUCCUUUAAUUUGGAGAGGCGUUGAAUGGCUGUUGAGCUUGGCAUAUACUUGAGAUUCUUGCAAUCCCAAAUCCAGAGAGAUCGAAGAGAAGAAAGGCUGGCCAACCAUUCUGGCAAUGCUUCCUCAAAUUCAUCUCCCCUGAAAUCACAUAUCCACAGUGACUCAAGGGCAGUGAGGUGUUGUAGUUCGUUUGGUACACUCUUCAGUUUAUCCCAUCCCCGUAUCCAUAGUCUUUCAAGGGACCCACUGAAGUUGAGGUGUUGGAUUGAGUUUAAAACUCCGGCAGGAAAAGCCUCCAGCUUCUCUGAGUAGCCACCGAUGCUCAAUUCCUUCAGUUGGGUGAAGCCGCCUAAGCAAUCCGCCUCUGGGAAAUGACUCAAACUCCGACACCCACUGAUUUCUAAAAGAACAAGAGAAGGUAAUUGUCGUAAACCAUGCCAAUCAAAACUGAUGAGCUUAUCACAACCUCUAAUCACUAAUCUUCGGAGCGACGACAAUUCUUGCAAAUCACUGAUAUGGAUGAGCUCUUUGCAAUACUCUAUCCACAAUUCCUCUAGAGAUGCGCAACAUUGGAGUCCGCUUGGAAGAGCUCCCAUUUUACAUCUAUAAAUAAACAAUUUCUUCAAAGAAUAUUUCAAUUGUCGGAAAUCACCAGGAAUUGAGAUCAACUCAGGGCAGUUCCAUAUGAUCAAUUCCACCAGAGCUGUGGAGUGUUGUACGCUUGGAAUGGAUGCCAGCUUCUCACAAUUAAUUAUCAUCAAAAUUCGAAGAGAUGUGAAGCCAUGAAAUUCACCACAUAAAUAUCUCAGUUCAUCACAUUUUCGAAUUACAAAGUGUACAAGAGAUGAAGGGUGACAUAUCGGAAUGCUUUUCAACUUGCCACACCCCUCAAUGCACAACUUUUCAAGACAAGGGAAUACUUGAUCACCUUCUCCACCUGGUACCAUCCAUUCUUCAAGACCAUCCAUACUGGAUAGAGUGAGUUCUUUCAGUGCUGGAAACAGUACUGCUGCACUGCCACUACUACUAUAGAACUCAUUGCCUAUACAUUUCACACUAGGCAUUCCAGUUAUGUGAAGAAUCUUAAGGCGAGGAAGACAUCCAAGUGUUGGGAGUUGUCUGCUCUUGCUGCAACCGUUCAACGUUAGGACCGUCAGAUUAUUGAGUUGCAAUGUAGACAUCCAUGAUGGGAAAUAUUCACCACAGUAACCCUUAAUUGUCAAGCUUCUUAUGUCUGGGUGAGGUUGCAGGCCUUCCAGCGCAUCCUCGCUGUUAACACUAUUGUUACCAUUAUCACUCCAUUCAAACACCAAUUUGUUCAUUCUUUUUUCACGCAGUUUUGCCUUCUCAGCUUCUUCUUUGUCUCUAACUUGCUCAAGCUUGCAUAUCUUCAAUGCUCCUCUUAGUUCAUUCAAACAUCCCAGCUCUUCUACCAUAUGAUUUGGACCCACAACAAAAAAAGGCAGAGUUUGAAUGCGUGUUAAGAGUCUCCCCUCAGCUGGCACUAACUUUGGAUCAUCAAAAUGAAGAUGUCUCGAGCUGACUAAAUUUCUCAUUUUCUUGGGAAGCUUUUCUAGUGACUUGCAAUCAGUGAAUCUUAAUGUUUCCAAAAGGUAGAUGUAAUGUUUUGAAUUAAUGAGUAGGAAAAUACAAUAAAGCCCUUGGAGGCUUAAAAGUUGGUAUAAUUAAAUGAAGGGUAUUGUAGUAAUUGUAUAAAGAGAUGAUAAGUAUAAAUAGAAAGAAAAAAAAAAGAAGAGAUCUGAAUAUUUGAGAGAGCAAACCGUGAGAGAGAAGGGAGAAAGAAGAAGAAGAGAAAAGAGGGGAAAAUAAGGGAAAAAGGAAAGGAGUUGGAGGAAAUAAGUAAAAAGGGGUAAGAUUAUGCUUUAGUGUGUAUAAUAUGUUUUCUUUAGCUUUAAUUUCGGUUUUGAUAAAUGUUAGGGUUAUGAAAUUUGUGUUUUGAGUUUAAUUGAUGAAUUAAAUUGAAUGUUAGGGGUUGAUUGUUGUGGUUAAUUGAUGAUUUAGUUGAUUAUGGAAGAUUGUGAUGAUUUUGAGUUAUAAUUUUGUUUGAAUGGUGAAUUUUGAGUUAAAAAUCAGGGGAGAACAGUAGGUUUCUGUUAAAAUUCUGGAUUGGAGGUUGAAGAUGACGAAAAUUCAAUUUGGUCCCUCAAUUUGCGAAAAUUACAGUUUAGUCCCUGAACUUUGGAAAAUUACAAAUUGGUCCCUGGAGCCUAUUCCGAGAAUCUGAACAGAAUAACAUAUGAAUUAUGGACAUAAUUAUUGUAUAGAUAAGAGAAUUUAACACUUUCAAUUUGGUCCUCCAAUUUGACAAAAAUUACAAUUUGACCCUAAAAAUUUGGUAAAAUUCCAGAAUGGUCCUUGGAGUAUAAUGAGAUGAUCUGGACAGAAAUGAGGACUAAUUAUGGUCAGAAUUUCAGUAUAUUCAUGGAUUUAUGAUAAAUUUCAGUUUGGUCCUCCAAUUAGACAAAAAUUACAAUUUGGCCCUAAAAAUAUUAUAAAUCCCAGAUUAGUCCCUAGCUGUAAUAUUAGCUUUUUCAGAUUAGUUUGAUGAAUAAUUAAGGGUUAUUUAGUGAAUUAUUAUCAAGUUUUAUUAUUUGCUUUAUUAUGGAUUAGAUUUCGAGAAAACCGUUAAUUUUGGGUUUUUGAGAAAAUAACUAGUUUAGUUUAAAAACAUUUAGGGUUAUGGAAUAUACCCUUAGAUAAGUGUAUUACAUAGGUUAUAUAUUCUUUCGAGUCGUUCUUAAAUAUGUCUCCUUUAUAUUCAGAUAAUCUUGAUAUUCUAACGGCGGGACGUCAGUAGGAUUUUCUUCGAUAUCAGCUUUGAGUUUUGUUGCUUUCGAGUCAGGUGAGUGGAUAAUUUUCCAUACGCAUGAGAAAUAUUAUAAAUAUUUGAUUUGUUAAUAUGAAUUGGAUCAUGCUUCUUGAUAAUAUAUAUGUUGAUUAUUAUCCUUGUUUUGAUAAAGCAUGAUCAAUUGUUGAAUCUGAAUUAUUGAUAUGAACCAGUAUAUAUAUUCUGAAUUGACUUCUGAAUUGAUAGCUCCUCAUUUGAUUGAUGUCAUGAGUUGAGCCUUGAGAUAUGAAUAUGUCUGUUUGAUUAUGAUUAUGAACCUAUGGAAUACCAGUCAGAAUACCCAUGCUAACAGGGUAGUGUUAGUCUUUGUGCACAUCGUAUCUGAACCCUAGUUGGUCGGGGGAGUCACCAACCUGUGUGGACUGAUCAUCCCACAGUACGGAGCCUCAUGCUCAUUGCAUUUUGAUUUUCUGACGAGUUUUACCAUAUGAUAUUCUUGUUAUGGCCUAUUUGAGAAACCUUUCUAUAAGAACCUAGAGUCAUACUUGUAUAUAUAUUUCUCAUUGUUUUAUUACCUCGUGUGUGUAUAUUGAACGUUAUCUACUCACUGAGUUGUUGAACUCACCAUCUCAUUAUCUACCCUUUUCAGGCUUAUAGCUUGAUAGCAGGUCAUUUUGUUGGACCUUCCAAACCUGCUUUUUGGUUGUAAUUUGUACCUUCCUUUUAUGUCAAGUUAGUGCUCCAAAACUAUGAAUUUAUAUAAACUCUUGUAUUAAGACAAUUCAAUUAUAUUAUGAAGUUGAUUUUGUUAUUAAUGCUGCGUUGAACUCUGAUUGAGUUCGGAUAAGUUUGUGUGUAAGUUUGGGUUCGCAUAGGUAUGGAACCUUGGAGAGGAACCUUGCCUAUGUGUCGGUCAUGGAUUCGGGAUUCGGGUCGUGACAGUAGAGCUUGGUGAUGGAUUCUGGCAAUAUUCUAAUAGCAGUAUCGGAGACAUCAAGAUAUCUCAAAUGUCUCAGCUUGCAAAUUGAAUCUGGUAACUCUGUGAUAUCAGACCGUCGCAAUUUGAGAGUUCUCAACCUGUUGAAUUUCCAAGACCCAUUUAAUACAUCAACCAUUGAGAAAACAGUACGCAAUUUUCUAGCAUCACCCACUGGAAAAACAGUAAGCAAUUUUCUAGCAUAACCCGCUUUUAAUGCUGACUCAACAUCCCCACAAGAAAUGAGAUUGAGAUGACGAAUAUGAGAUGCGCCAUCUACAGCCGAAUCCGCCUCCAGAUUUAACGUUUCUGAUUUUGAGACCUCCAAUGCAAGGUCAUGCACAAGAUCAUGCAUCUUGCAACUUGUUACGAUCUCAUACGCAUUCCUUUCAACAUCUUGGAAAAAGGAAUUUGCAAGCAAGUCAUUGAAACACUUGUUGCCUUCGUCUUCCAUCCUCCCAUUUGAUGGCCUUAGAAAACCUUCAGCCAUCCAAAGUUGAAUUAGCUCUUCCCUUUCAAUUUCAAAAUCUUUAGGAAAAAUGGAACAGUAUGCAAAACAUUUUUUCAAUGUUGGCGAUGACAAGUAAUCGAAACUUAAUCUCAAUACGUGGAAAGCUUUAUUUCCAUCAUGAGAAUUCCAAAUUCUACUGUUUAGAAUUGACUUCCACUCCAGUGUCUCCUUUUGCCGUAGCGUUCCUCCCAAAACAGUAGCAAGCAACGGAAGCCCUCCACAUUUCUUUGCAAUAUCUUUUCCAAUAGACUCCAAGUCUGAAGCUAUUGUUUCUCGUCCACCCCUGCUCACCUUUUGCUUGAUAAUGGACCAACAUUGAUCAGCUGAUAGUCUCCCUGGCUCAUGCUGAAUCCCAGGAGAAGUCUCCAUCAUGUCUGCUACUUUCUUACUGCGGGUUGUAACAACAACAGCAUUCCCAUUCUUGCUGUUAAUUUUUAACAGCUGCUCCUUCAAAUCAUCCCACUUAUCAUGGUCUUCAUUCCACACAUCAUCAAGAACAAGAAAAAAUGUCUUCUUUUCCAGCUUUUUCUUAAGGUUUUCCAUAAUUGCAUUUAGGUUGCUCAACCCACCCAUAGUUUUGUCAAUCAUUUGCAACAUUGCUCCUAAAAUCUUCACUUUAUUAAAAUCAUUAGAAACGCAAACCCAUAGAGUUACAUCAAAAUGUUUUCUCUCCCUCACUGCUUCACAAACCUUUUUUGCUACAGUAGUCUUUCCAAGGCCAACCAUCCCCACUAUAGGGACAACCGAAAGGACAUGGUGUUUGGUCAAGCUAGUCAGCAUAUCCAUAACUAUAGAGACAUCAUCCUUCCUUCCUACAAUUUCUGAGCUGUCAAGGAAGGAAUCUGUCUCUCGAUCUGGACCCCAACUAACUUCUUGAGCACUAUCUACAGGUAGAGAUGUCAAUCCAAGCCCAAAUCCGGAUGCAUCUUUCCGGAUUUCAUCCAGGGCUUCAUUGAUCUUCUUAACUUUUUGACCCAUAAUUAAACGGAAUGCAAUGUGAAGUGAAAAGCAGUCACGUACCUUUCCCUUCUUUUGUUCUUUGCGGAGAAUCUCAUACGCAAACUCGUCUAGAACAUCUUCAGCAUCAUAAGCUACAACCUGUAGGUUCUGCAGCCAACGCUUCACAGACUCCUCUGUUACUGCUCUUCUGGCUGCGUCUUGGAGCACAUCUUUGAUCAUGGUCAUGGACUGGUUGAGCUUUCGCAGCUGGCCCUCCAAUCCCCAAGCAAGUCUGAUCCCUUCAGCAGCAAUGGAACUCAGCCUUUUCAAAGUCUCCUCCAUGGCAAACGUAAGAAGAAGCUCUGCUGCCAUUUUUUAUUUUUUUUUGGGGAAUCAAAGAAGAUAUUUUGAGCACAAAAGAGAGAGAAGUAUGGUGUGAAAUAAUAAAAGAUGAAACGAAGAGUCUUUUGAAAUGAUGAGAUACAUUCAACUUUAGAGCAUAGUUGCAUGAGGGUCCCUUCCUCCCCAAUUGAUUGAUGGUUGCUGGCAGCAUCUUCCACGAACCACUACUGUCAAGUUGUCAUACCAAAUACCAUGCCGACAGGAGGAACCGAUUCAAAGCUAUUAAUCAUGAACAUGAGGAACCGAUUCAAAGCUGAAUACUUACGUUAUCAACAGGAGCAUAUGACUUCAUGCAGUGGGAGAACACCUCCUUCCUAGGAUCUCCCCAUUCCUGCAGUAAACAAAAAGUGAUAAGCAAGUACUAGCAUCUAGCCACCGACACCUAAUAUAGUUGCAGGCAAACCCAUUGAUAAGGGAAUUUUUAGCAUGUAUAUUUUUUGCUAUUCAUGCUUGAUUUUUAAAUAUUUUGGAUAUUUUGCACAAAACAAUUAGAAUUUUGAAUCUCUUUUUGAACUAUUGACCUCGUGGGAAAUUAAUGUGUUUUCAGAUCUUAGGUUACUGAACAGGCAGAGCCGGGCAGUGAAACUGAACAGUGAUUCAUUAUGUGCUGCAAAGAAGCUAUACAAUUUAGUUCCGGAUGUUUGUAACCAUUUUCAAAUAGCUGAGAUGAAGGUCUACAAAACAUAUGAGGGCAUAUAACUCAGUUUUGUUGUUUCGAAGCCCAAAAAGCGAGUUGAAAAACAAGGAUUGAACCAGCCCGAAAUUCCUGCACUGCACAGACUGUUUCGGUUUAUGCCCCUUAUCUCAACACUCAGAGGUCCAAAAAUUUCACGAUCAGUUUCAUUGGAAAGAAAAUUUGAUUCUCUACAAUUUCUCCAGAAAUAGAGAUCUUUGAAUUCGCACGUUUCCUACCUCAAAUCUGGCCCGCAAUGUCUGGGUAGGAGAAAGCAAUGCAGAAAAGGAAAUUUUCCUCAUUACUGCAGGGGUAGAAAAGCCACAAUAUAAAAGAAGAGUUACGGGGUCUGAAAAACAGAGGAGUGGAGACACUGAGAAACCCUGAACAUAGCAAAGAAAAACAGAGGAGGCGGCACCAACAGGAACAAAGAGAACAGAGGCAAAAAUAUUGAAGACCGGGGAGGACACCUAUCUCUUCCACUGAAAUUCUCUGCUUUUGAGUGAUGUUCAUCGUAUCAAGUUUGUUUCUCUUUAAUUUAACUAUGGAGUAGACUUUUAUUCUGGGAUUUUUGAUGUAACCUUACUAUGAAUAUGUGAACAAUUUCUUCGAUUGAAUUAUUACAUUAAGAUGUUGAGUAUUUCAUUCUAUGUGUAAUGCUUGCGUGUGUUUGGCCAACAUCUGCAUGAUUUAGAAUUCAAUUUGAAACUGAGAAGUGAUAAUUGUUUUAGCUAUUGUUUGAAAUACCUUAAGAAAUCUAUAGGAUAGAGAUAUCCUAGGAACUUUUGUAAUCGAUACAGGUUUUACAGUAUUUAAUUAAUUUCGACAAGUUCAGAACUUUCGUAGAGUAUAUGAAAUUUGGUUGUCGAAAUAAUUUAUUGAUGCUCGAGAGAUAUUAAUAUUUACAUUAGGAAAACCUGAUUAUCAACAUUAGGAGUAAUUAAUUUAAUCGAGAAAGUUCACAUAGGCAUAGUUACGGUAAGUCAGAAAUCCUAGAACCAGUACAAUUGAAUUCAUUAAUAUUUAAUCAUUUGGUUGUUUGUUUUUUUUAAUCAUUAAUUUUUGUUUCAUAAACUAUCUCAUUCGAUUCCUCAAAUAGAUCAUAAUUUAAAAGACUUUGGUAAUUAGUAGUAAUUUUUACAAAUUCUCGUGGGACGAUACUCUACUCAUCACUUUAUUACUUGUUACGAUUCGUGCACUUGCGAAAUUAACCAACACCCAUAAAUGUACCCCACAGUAAACAAAGAAGUGAAAAUCACGUUCCACUAAAAGCCAGAUUUAAAGGUGGAUACAGUUCAAAUUUCAUAUGCUUACAAGGGAAACAAGGCUUACCUCCCACUCUGAAGUUGUAAGCGCGAUGGUUGGAUCAAGCAUUGUAGUCAAAGCAUCUACAAAAGGUACUCCAGCAAAAGCAACUUUAAACAAAUCAGGCCUCAUAUUAAGGACGGAGCCGAUAAGCAACCCCCCUGCAUUCCUUCCUUCAAUGCACAGUUUUUCCUUUGGACAGAACCUCUGUUCUAUUCAAUACUCAGCACAAGCAAUAAUAUCUGUGAAAUUAUUCUUGUUCUUUAAGUACUUCCGAUUCUCGUACCACUGCCUUCCCAUUCCACCACCUCCACGAAUAUAAAACCACGAUCUAGUAAAGAUAACCUUGAUGCCUUGAACGAGGGAUCUAUGCAUACCUACUCCCGAUAAAAGAUUCGAUGAUAGCAUCAAGCAUUUCAAGUUUAACUUUAAAAUACAAGUGAGGAAUGAGAAAUACUUAAAUCUUUAGACUCCACAUUGUUAAUGACAUUACUGUUGAAGUCUGGUACCAAAGCUGUAACAGGAUUACUUAGUAGUAAUUUACUGCAUUGCUAUCUAUCUGUUAGCUAAUAGCAUUAUCUAGAUUAGGAUGUUUCUUUCAAUUCAUUUGUUUAAGUUUAUCUAGGAUUAGACUAGCUUGUUAUACAACUUCUUAGAUAAAGAAGAUCAUAGCUGGUACGUUUCUUCAAUUUUUCAUAAUUCUGUAAUGUUUGUUUCCUUCUAUAAAUAAAACAUUGGGGAUGGCAAUAACCUAUCAAGACAUUUUCUGCUCCUUGUUCUUUCAACUGAAAAGACUUUGUUCUUUGUUCUUUUUCUUAGUUCAUCAACAAUAAUCUAUUCUUUAUAUAUCAGUUUUACAACAAUUAAUAUCAGAGCUCCUCUUAUCUUUGAAGGGUUUGUGAGUGAAAACAAGAGAGAAUAUAGAGGAUAAAACAAAGCUUUCUGCUUUGAAAGUUGGUAAGUGAAAACACAAGAGAUUAAGUGAGAUUUUUUUUUAAAUGGAUUCUGCAAAUUUUCAAAUAAAAACACCAGUGUUCACAGGGCAGAACUAUGGUGUGUGGGCUGUGAAAAUGAAAACCUAUCUCAAAGCUUUUGAUUUAUGGAAGAUAAUGGAGAGUGAUAGGCAACCUACUCCCAUAGGAAACAAUCUUACAAUUGCACAAAUGAAAUUUUUCAAUGAAGAAAAAGCAAAGUGAUUCAAAGCUCUUUCUUGUCUUCAUAAUGCUGCUAGUGAAGACAUCUUCACAAGGAUCAUGGCGUGUAAAUUUACCAAAGAAACAUGUGAUAAAUUAAAAGCAGAAUUUCAUGGUGAUGAGAAGUCAAGGAAGAUGCAGAUUUUAAAUCUUAGAAGACAGUUUGAAGGUUUGAAGAUGAAAGAAACUGAAACCAUCAAAGACUUCUCUUUUCAAAUUUCAAAACUUGUGAAUCAAGUGAGAUUUUUUAGAGAAGAUUUUCCAGAUUCAAGAAUAGUAGAGAAAGUUAUGGUAAGUCUACCAGAAAAAUUUGAACAUAAAAUUUGUUCUUUAGAAGAUUCUAAAGAUUUCUCUGAAAUGAGCCUGCAAGAACUGGUAAAUGCAUUGCAAGCUGUGGAGCAAAGGCAAGCUUAUAGACAAGAAGGAUCAAGUGAAGGAGCUCUUGUUGCAAUUUACAAGGAGAAGAGUCGGGCUAAUAAUUUUUAUAGAAACAAUCAAGAAGGAGAAAGAGAAAAAGGGAGAGGCUGGCAAUCUAAUAAUUGGCAACAGAACAACAACAUCUUCACUAGAGGGAAAAAGAAGAAAGAACAUUUUCCUGCUUGCAAAUUCUGUUAGAAAACAAAUCAUCUUGAAGCCUGGUGUUGGCUCAAGAAUGCACAAUGCCGAAACUGCAAGCAAUUUGGUCACUUCCAAAGAUUUUGCAAAAACAAAGCAGAAACUAUAUAACAAGCUCAAGUAGCCGAGAAUUCAGAAGUGAAGGAAGAUCUUUUAUUCAUGGCACAAUACAGGAGAUGUGUAACACAGCCAAGGCAGAUGACUCAUCAUGGCUUAUUGAUAGUGGCUGCACUAAUCACAUGAGUGUAGAUAUGAGCUUAUUCAAAGAUUUGGAUAAAAGCUAUCUAUCUAGAGUCAGAAUUGGGAAUGGAGACUAAGUGAAGGUUGAAGGAAAAUGAGCAAUUAAAGUAGAAACAAUGUCAGGUACAAAAACUCUAAAAAAUGUGCUUUAUAUACCUAAGAUUAAUUAGAAUCUAGUUAGUGUGGGACAAUUAAUUGAAUCCGGUUAUUCAAUAUUCUUUAAUGAUGGAGUGUGUGACAUUAAAGAUAAAAAAGGAGUGUUAUUGCCCUCUGCUAAAAUGAUGAACAUAAGUUUUAAUGUUGAUUUGAAAGAAGUAUGUUUGAGUGCUAACACUUGUGAAGACAAUGAGUCUGUUCUUUGGCACAAACAGUUGGGACACUUCAAUUAUGCAACUUUAAAAAGGAUGGCUGACCUGCAUAUGACUUACGGUUUACAAGAUAUACAAGAACAAAAGAAUAUUUGUGAAGCUUGUCAAUUAGAAAAGCAUACUAGAGUUGUUUUUCCUGACAAUGCAUUCAGAGCAUUGUCAAAACUCCAGCUGAUACAUACAGAUGUGUGUGGGCCGAUGCAUAAUGAAUCUUUGAAUGGUUCAAAGUAUUUUCUUUUAUUUAUUGAUGAUUAUAGUAGGUUUUGCUGGGUUUACUUUCUAAAAUCAAAAACUGAUGGGAAAGCUUAUAGGAGUUUAGUUGGGAGUUUGUUGAAUUUAACUGCCACACGUCCAGAUAUUUUGUUUGUUGUCAACUACCUCUCCAGGUUCAUGCAAGAUCCAAGUCAAAUACAUUUUGUGAAGUCUAGCUCUGUCAAUCUUGUUUGUUUUUCUGACAACACUGGGGUGGAAGUGAUGAAGGAAUGAUGAGCACCUCAGGUUAUUGUUUUGCUUUAGGAAAGAGUAUGUUUUGUUGGAAUUCAAAGAAGCAGUCAGUGGUGGUACACUCCACGGUAGAGGCUGAAUACAUAGCUGCAUAUGUGGCAGCAAAACAAUUAAUUUGGCUAAGGAAGAUGUUAAGUGAUCUAGACUGCAAUCAACAAAAUCCCACAGAAUUGUUCUGUGACAAUACGUCAGCUAUAACUAUUUCAAAAAAUUAUGUCUUUCAUGACAAAACCAAGCACUUGAAGAUCAAAUUUCAUGCUAUUAGGCAAUUUCAGCAAGAAGGGGACUAGAGCUACAUUACUACACCUCUAAAGAACAACUAGCAGACUUGUUUACCAAGCCGUUAGCCAAAAACAGGUUUGAAGAUUUGAGGGGAAGAAUUGGAAUGUGUAGCUUUGGAACCAAGGAGAAGUGUUGAAGUCUGGUACCAAAGCUGGAACAGCAUUAUCUGUUAGCUAAUAGCAUUAUCUAGAUUAGGAUGUUUCUUUCAAUUCAUUUGUUUAAGUUUAUCUAGGAUUAGACUAGCUUGUUAUACAACUCCUUAGAUAAAGGAGAUCAUAGAUGGUACGUUUCUUCAGUUUUUCAUAAUUCUAUAAUAUUUAUUUCCUUCUAUAAAUAAAACAUUAGGGAUGACAGUAAUCUAUCGAGACAUUUUCUGCUCAUUUUUUCAACUGAAAAGACUUUGUUCUUUGUUCUUUUUCUUAGUUAAUCAACAAUAAUAUAUUCUUAUAUCAGUUUUACAACAAUUACAUCCUAGUUAAGAUGCUUGCAAACUUGAAAAUUCAAUGCUACUGGUGACUGACAAAUUUGAAAAGAAGAGUGCAUAUUGAGUUUAAAGUACAGCUGCUUCCCGCAAAAACUCUAAAGAUUAAGACUGUCUCAACAUCCUUUUCGAUCAGGACCUCAUCUUGGAAGAAUCAUAACAAGGUCAAAGUGUUUUCUGGAUGAACAGAAUAAAAGGAAAUGUUUGUCUAGUGACUCUAGGUAUAUAUUGCCAAUCUAUGACUAAAUAGCUAAUAAGCAAAUUAGAAUGUAAAAGAGCAAACUCUUCAUGAAAGACAUCCUGUGAGACUGAAGUGAAUAAACUAUUACUGUAGAGGCAUAGUCAACUUUUUUUAAAAAAGAUCAAGUUCAUUAAAAUGUAUGGAUUGGUAUAGUUUAGGACUUUUGUAGUAUGAUAAAUGUGUUUAAAUCAUAGCCAAGCUAUAGAAGUCAAAACCAAGAAUAAAAAAUAACUAAAUCAUAGCUAAGCUAGCUUUUUAAUAGUGUAAAAAUUAAAAUAAUAAAAAAAAGUAUAAUGGAGAAAGAUAAACAAAAUCAGAAAGCAGGGCAGGUUGGGGGAUUUAGAUAAGCACUUGGAAGCUUAGAAACAGAUAUAAAUGAAUAAAACUUAAUAAAUAUAUAUAUAAAAAAAAGGAAAGAGAGAUCUGAAAAUUGGGGGUGAGUGACUGCAGGAGAGAAGAAAAGGGAAAGAAGAAGAAGAGAAAAGAGGGAAAGAUAAAGGAAGGAGAAGAGAGUUAGAGAAAAUAAGUAUAAAGGUAAGAUUAAGCUUUGAUAUGAUAAAUGUGCUUUCUUUAAGCUUUAAAUUUAUGUUUUGUUCAAUAUUAGUGUUUUGAAGAUUUUGUUUUGGGUUGAUUGAUGAAUUGAUUUGAAUGUUAUGGGUAAUUAAUUAUAUAGUUGAUCUUGGAAGAUUUUAGGUAAAGAUGAUGAUUUUGAGUUAUGAUUUGUUUAAAUGGUGAAUUUGAGUUAGAAAUCUUGAUAUAACAGUAGGUGAUCUAUGAAAAUUCUGGGUUUGAGGUUGAAGAUGAAAAAAUUUCUGUUUGGUCCCUCAAUUUGUAAAAAUUACAGUUUAGUCCCCAAACUUUGAAAACAUUACAGAUUGGUCCCUGGAGCAUAGUCCGACAUUCUGGACAGAAUUGAAGAUGAAUUAUGGGCAGAAUUCCAGUAUAGUUAUGAAUUUAUGACAUUUUCAAUUUGGUCCUCCCGUUUGGCAAAAUUACAAUUUGACCCAAAAAAUUUGAUAAAAUCCCAGAAUGAUCCCUGAAGCAUAAUUAGAGAUUCUGGACAGAAUUGAGGAUGAAUUUCCAGUAUAGUCAUGAAUUUAUGAUAUUUUUAGUUUGGUCCUCUAAUUUGACAAAAUUGCAAUUUGACCCCUAAAAAUGAUAAAAUUCCAGAUUGGUCUCUAGCUGUAAUAUUAGUUUGUUCAGAUUGAUUUGAUGAAUAAUUGAGGGUUGUUUAGUGAAUUAUCAUCAAGUCUUAUUAUUUGUUUUCUUAUAAAUUAGAUUUCGGGAAAAUCAUUUAAUUUUUUGGUUUUUGGGAAAAAUUACUAGUUUAUUUCAAAAAUAUAUAGGGUUAUGGAAUAUACUUUUAGUUAAGUAUAUUAAAUAUGUUGUACAUUCUUUUAUUUUUAUAAAGAUCUAUAAUCUUUUUGAGCGGCAAUAAUAUUAAUAAAUUGGUAACCUCAAAAGGGAAGGAGCACAUUCACAUCAAGAUUGAUGAGAAUUUCUUCAGCUAAGUAAUUGGUAUAGCAACUUAUUCAACCUUGGUUUUUUACCUGGAUCAAUUUGAAUCUGAUAGAAGUACCAAAAUCUAGUGUUUCAGGUACUGUGUCAUCUUGCCUGUUCUUGUGGAGCUUUCUCAGUUGCCAUUAUUUUUUUUUAUCUUGUAAUAAAGUCUUGGGAAGCAUUUUUCAUGCUUAACUUUAUAUAUUUCCAUUUUCAGAUUGCUAUAGUUAAAGUUUUGUAUGAAAUUCGUUGAUAGAGUGGAAAGAGCUAUUGGAAGUAUGGAUGCAAAUGAAGAUGGUUUGUUAGAUCUUUGACUCUUGAUUUUGAAUCAAUCUAGAUUAAAAUUCUUCCUGUUGCCAUUAUAAUUUGCCAGGGAAAGAAAGAAUAUGCUCUUUCACUCGUCUGUGUCAGAUAAAUUCUACUUGUGAUGUAUGUUUCAUUAUGAGUCUACUUCUACAGAAAUAUGAUGAUAUUCUAUGACACUGACUCAGGGUUGAAGAAGAAAGCUAUGCAGACAUGCACUAUCUAGAGAGGUUAUGCUCAAUCAUUGUCGCAAUUAUUGCAUGGAGCCUGUAGAUCAUUUUAGGCCUACAGAAUCCCACAUGGUGCGGCGCUACACUGCCAUCAACAUGCUACCUCACGAUCCCCCAUCAUAGUACCUUUACUGCCACAGCCACUGUUACUGGUCUGUCACCUUCUAGAUUCCCCACCAUAACCAUUUCUUACAUACUGUUAUUUAUAUAUAUAUCAUGACAAAAGGCCUUUCGUUUGCUGUUCCUUAUGAUCCACAAUCCAUGUUUGUUAUUAUUAUUACAAUUAUUAUUAAGAAUUGAAGCUGCAAAGCGGGGGAAAGAGAAAGAAAGACUUACCUGGAGCUGCUACUUAAAGACGAAGACGAUGGUGAUGGAGGGCUGGCUAACCAAUGUUACUUUCUUCCCCUCUACUUCUGUUUUUCGUUCACUUCACCUCUGUUCUUGCUUUUCUCUGCUUGUUCUCUUUUUCUUUUUUGUUUCUCUUGUCCCCCCUGUCUCUCUCUGUUCUUGUUCCUCUUGAUCUCUCUCUGUAUUAUCUGUGUUCGUUCAUUUUUCGUCUGUGUUUUUUUGUAUUAUGUGUUUGUGGUUCUCCCCUCCUUUGUGGCUUUUGUCUGUUUGUCCUGAUUUCUCUGGGUAUGUAUUUGGUUGGUUGGAUCAACAACCUACGGUGAGGGGAAGUUGAAGUUCCCUUUUGCUGGAGGAUGGUCACAAGUCUCUCUGUCUUCUCUCUGUCUCUGUUUUUCUUCCCCCCUGCCUCUUCGUCUCUGUGUGUUGUGGUUUUUAUAGGGCAAGAGAAUGCCCCUUCAUCUCUCCCAGGAUAGUGUGGAGAUUAGCACGGUUCAGUCGUGCAUGAUAAAAAAAGGAUACCCAUUACUGGACUGUUAGUGUCAUAUCGUGGGGGAGAGAUACGUGACAAUGAUCUGCUGCCGUUUCCUUUGAAUCGGUGGGAUGAAGGAGAUGAAUAGCUUGUUUUGAGACGGCGCUGUUUUCACCUGAAAUGGCUAUUUUAAUUUUGCCUCUGCAUUAGCUUUCGGUGUCAUUUUCAAUUUAAUUAAUUUAGUUUUUAAUUGCUAUUCAACUUUUAAUUCUUUUAAAAUUAUUUUUGAAUUAUUAAUUCAUUCUCUUAGUAUUACAAUUUAUUCACUUUGAUUCUUGGAUUUUAAUUUCUUGCAAUGUUGACUUAAAUCAGCCCCAAACUUUAUUAUUUCUUCAAUUAAGCCCUAACUUUCAUUAAUUAAACUAAUUCAAAGCUUAUUUAAGUCCCCAAACUUAUCAAUUCUUCUAAUAUCUGACCAAAUUAACUUUUAAAUUUAUAAUCACAUCUUUAUUGGUCCUUAAAUUCCCAAUUUGUGUUAUCUUGAUCCAAUUCUCAAAUUAUUAUUAUUUUUUAUUUUUAUUUAUUUUAAAAAAAUAAAAAAUUAGGUUGUAACACAUGAUAUUUCGUUGGUUUAAAGGAACCGAUUGAUUUACACAUGUGGGAUUACAAAUAGAGAGGAAUCAUGGUUAUUUUAUAAAACUGCCAAAAACUUUCAAGACCAAAGUUAUUCCAUAGAUGUUGUAUUCAUGCGUGUUUGAAAUCUGAAUCACAGUGUUUAUUCUUACUGGGAUAUAAAGGCUUUCUACCUGUUCCGGAAAUUCUGUGAGCAAUCUUCCUUUACCAAUAUAUAUAUAUACUGGGAUAUAAAGGAUUGUCUAGCAAUGGAGCUGGCGAUUCAUUCUAAACGAAUGAUGUGAAGGGCUGUCCAAAUACUCGUUCUCGAUACUCUAGUACUUCAGUGAAAGCCUAUAAAACUGGAUGAGUAAUUGGACUGCAGUAUGCCUAACCUGGAGUAUAGUACUGAGCAGAUUUGUCUAUGAAUCNNNNNNNNNNNNNNNNNNNNNNNNNNNNNNNNNNNNNNNNNNNNNNNNNNNNNNNNNNNNNNNNNNNNNNNNNNNNNNNNNNNNNNNNNNNNNNNNNNNNNNNNNNNNNNNNNNNNNNNNNNNNNNNNNNNNNNNNNNNNNNNNNNNNNNNNNNNNNNNNNNNNNNNNNNNNNNNNNNNNNNNNNNNNNNNNNNNNNNNNNNNNNNNNNNNNNNNNNNNNNNNNNNNNNNNNNNNNNNNNNNNNNNNNNNNNNNNNNNNNNNNNNNNNNNNNNNNNNNNNNNNNNNNNNNNNNNNNNNNNNNNNNNNNNNNNNNNNNNNNNNNNNNNNNNNNNNNNNNNNNNNNNNNNNNNNNNNNNNAGAUAAAAAAUGAUAUUGCAUCCCGAAAAUAUAUAUUCACUACGGUAGGAAGUAUUUUUAUAUUUAUAAUAAAUAUUACAUGGGUUUCCCCCAUUUCAGAGCUUAAUUUUAUUGUUACCACACGGUGAGUUUUAUUAUGGUGUGUAUGAUCUCUAAAACUAAUACUAUUUUUAUGAUCGGAACACACAGUCUCGCGUGUGUUAGUUUCUGGGAAUUGUUUUCAUCCCACGUGGAUUAAUAAUUAUUAUGGAUAAUGAAUUAUAAUUUACUUCAGCAUGUUAAAUUUCCUUCAUGUUGAUUUAAUACAAUGAAAAUGCAAGAAAUUAUAAUACAAAGUAUAUUGUCACAUGAUACAGAAGUUAACUCUUAAACACAUAAAAACGAAUUAAAAAUGAUUACGUCAAAAGCACAUGAGUUUAUAUAUAUAUAUAUAUAUAUAUAUAUAUAUAUAUAUAUAUAUAUAUAUAUAUAUUAAAAUUAAAUUAAAAAAGCAAGCACAUGAGUUAAUAUAUAUAUAUAUAUAUUAAAUUUUUUUUUAAAAAAGGUAAAUCAUGUGCUUAAAUUCUUGUUUAUCAAGACUGACGUGGAUUAGAACAGUCCUUGAGGCAGCAGUGCUUUUUAUCUUCUUUUUCCUCUGCUCAACUUCUGCCAUGCUCAGGUAUCUCAAAUUUAACACGGGUGGGUUGGCUGUUGCAGCUGCUUGGCUGGCCUUUCAUCACUUUUUUUUUUUUUUUUUAGUUUAACGUGGGUGUCCGGGCUAGCUUGCGCACACCUUGACUAAUCCCACGGGCCCUGAAGUUAACGACCAUUUAAGCCUCCAGUGGCCAUCAUAUGAGCAACCACAAGGCUCGAACCUGAAACCACAGAGGGAGCAAACCUUUUGGUCCCAAGGUCUUACCACUGGGCCACCACCUAGAUGAUUUCACCUGUUUUUUUAGGUUUGAUGGGUUGUGGAGAGAGUUUUUGUUUGGCUGUGGCUCAACUUUUGUUGUCAACGCAGAAUCAAGCCCUUUUUCCCUGCUUUGUUUCUGCUAUGCUCAGCUCUGUCACGACUGAGUUGGCUGUUGCAGCUUUUUUGGGAUCCUUGGGCUGCAUUUCUGCUGGGUCUAUUGCAGGUUCUCGUGGCUUCUCUGCUGGUCUUUUUGUUCGCGUCAAGUCUGGCUUGGCUCAACUUCUUUAUAGAAAGAGUUGCUCUUUGGCUGUGGUUCAGCUUUUGAUGUCAAUGCAGAAUCAUUGUGUAUUAAAUGAGUGGGGCAGCAACAUCAUUACACACUUAUUUGCCCUCACCUUGGGUCUCUCUCCAGCAUUGGAAGAGCUGCUACUGUUUGCUUGGGGAUUAGCAUUUAGUUUGUUCGAGACACUCCUUUCCACUCCCAGCAUAUGUUUUUGCUUUUGUCAGACUAUGUUCUCCUUUUACUCCAACUAGAAUUCGGUUAUUUCCCUAUUCAGUUUUAGUUUGCAGGCAAGACUUCAUCUUCUGGUUUUCGGUUUUUCCUUUUUUAGUGAUGGCAUAUCAGUUCUUGAGAGUCUUCGUCGCAAGGACUUUUCUUGAGGCUGGGUCUUGAAUUUCCAAUUAGCUCUUCAUUUUUUGUUUUCUUUUGCUUUCAAGUCUGGGCAUCACUCUUUGGCCAUUUGUCGCUACGCCAUCAGUGUAGUCUUCUUUUUUUUUCCUCCAUUGCUUCUUCUCUUAUCCUUGGGUUAAUUUCCCAUGCUUUCACAUAUUUUUGUGGGUUGGAGUAGAUAGAUUCAUUUGCAUUUUGUCUUGGUUUUCUUUCAUGCCUCUCUCUUGGGUUUUUUUUGCUUUCUGUUCUGUUCAUAUGGUUUUCUACCAUUGGUGCUCAUUUUUCUAGAGCUCCUCUUCCUCUAUUUUGAUUAACUUGCUUUUGUUUUUUAUUUUUUUUUCUGUUGAUUUCAUUGAGUUUAUCUUCCUCAUUUCUUAGUUUCAUUUCUUUUAAUGUAGGUUUGUGUUGUGUGUUAAGAUCACUUAACAAAUCAAGAAGAAGAUGAGGCUAAGAAGCAGAAUAAUAUUAGCAGAGAAGAGUCAAGAAAAGAGAGAAAUGAUAUUAGCAGAGAAGAGUCAGAGAAGAGUCAAGAGAAGAGAGAAAUGAGAUCGAAAUUGAACUGCAAUCUAUUCAUAUCCAAUGUGAUCCAUACACUGCGCUUUUAUAGUGAUCAAUAUUAACUACUAACAGAUUAAUCCAACUAACUCUAACUAACUAACAGAAUUCUACAACUAAUAGCAGGUUGCGUGUCCUUGACGUUUGCCUUCCCACAGCAGCCAUCCUGAAUCGUAACAUUGUGUUAUCACUGUCUCUGCAGAAUCUUUUUUCGGUUGGUUUGCUGGAGCUUUUCAUUCCUAAGUGGAUGUUCUUCUUUCCCAGGUUCUUUCUCUUUUCAUUGCCUUUUGGUUUUUGUCGUAUUCAUUAUGUCAUUCUGCCAGUGGUUUUGAGUUUUAGUUGAAUGUUCAUUACAAAAAAAAGAGGUGUGAUAUUAUCAUUGUUCAUCCAUAUAUAUUUUACUUCAUGUGGAUUAGAACAGUUCUUCAUUCGUUUCUCAUUUUAGGUGUCGAUGGUCCACAUCUGGGCGUGGCUUACGUGGCUUCUUUGAUUUUUUUUGGCGUCGUUGUUGGUUUGUUUCUGUCUAAUUAGCGCGGGUUAUUGGCUGCUCUGUGGCUUGCCAACCAUGUGCUUGCUUUUGGGUCUGGAAGGAUGACUGAGCUUUGUGUGGAUUGGUCAAGCUGCUUUCUCCCUGGAUCAUUGUCGACUCUGGCGCUCGUGGGAGGUGGUUGUAAUUUCCAGCUUUUUGUGGAUUGCUAAGCUUUGGGGGAGAGGUGAUCCCUGGGUCUGACUCAGCUUCUUCUCUAAAUUGAGCUAAUGUGGUGGCUACUUCUUUCUAUGGCUGGGACAACAACAUCAUUAUGUAUUUAAUGCAUAAACCCACUUGGCCUCACCUUGGGUUUCUUCCCAACAUUGGGAGAGGUUAUUCUGCUGAGUUGAAGUUAACUCCUAUUUAGUUUAGGACUGUUGUUAUGUUUGGUUCUCCCUUGGUAUUUCUUCAUUAGGUUAUUUGCCUGACUGAAUGGAACAAGAUGAGUGUCUUUUCCUGUUGAUUUUUCAUUUGGUUUCAGGUCUUUUUUGGCAGUUAUGGAUAUUUUUACUUCAAUUGUCAACUCAUGUUGGGCUUUGUUGGCCUUUUGUGUUGGUUUUUGCAGCUUCUGUCCCUGUUUUCUCACCUUCUUUCUCAUCAGGAUUUGGAGGACUAUUUAAGAGGUCAUAUCUUUUGGUUCUCUCCUUAGAAUUGUCUUACAUUUUUUCUUGGUCUAAUCGUUGCUUCCUUCUCCCCCUGUUUUUAGCUUCCAUUAUUGCCCUCCAAGUUUAUUUUUUGUCCCCUGUAAGUUUGAUUGCACUUCUUUAUAUGUUCUUCACAUUGUUAUUUGCUUACCUUUUGAUCAUGCUAUUUUUUUUUUAUUUCUGUGUUAUUUUGGUCUUUGUUGCUUGGUUUUUGAUCAUGGUGCUUCUGUUGUUACCUUUUCUUUUCUUCCACUGUGCAUGAUUUAUUGGUCUUUCAUUGCCUUUGCCUAGAUUCAUUUUGGUAGGGGCUUCUCAGUCUCUCUUGUGGCCUGUGAGUUGAUUUCCACUGUGCAUUAUUUUGUUUUCUUUUUCUUAAAAAAGUUGGGAAAAGUUUAUUGGAAAUCCAAAGGAUGAGAGAAAUUGUUGUAGAUCAGAGUCCUUAUGGGGUCGAAGCACUUAGCAUGUGGCCAUUUUGUGUUCCAACUUCUGGUGUUGUGUUUGUUCAUUACUUUAAUGCUUUUUCUAUUUUGAUUUAGAAAACAAGAAAAAUAUUAAAAUUUGGGUCCACGUGAAUUUUCACCUUGGAUUUGUUGUUACUUGGAUAUAAUUGAUUCUUCUUUCUCUCUUGGUUGUUGAAUUUUGCAGCGGUGUCAGCACUUCAGGUCAUUCAGCAGUCUACUAGCUUGGAUCUCGGGCGGGAGGAUAACUCACCGAUAAUAUGGGAACCUAUUGAUUUUCUUAGAGCUUUCAGACAUUAAUUUGAGGUUAAUUAGUCCUCCUUUGGGUGACUUAUUGGAUCUUAAAACACUGUAAACUUAACUCUUGACUUUUCCUGUUGUUUUCAUUUGAUUUCACAUUUUUGUUUUACUUCAUUUCUCAUUCCAUUGCAAUUUGCUUUCGGGAUUUGCACAACACAUCACUUGCUGGAGAGAUACAGAACUUGGAAAGCCUUCAACAUCUCGAGAAACUGUAUGCACGCAUCACUUGCUGGCAUCAAUUUUCAACUGAAAACAAAGUCCUGAGUAGCUUAUGUUGUUCCCAGUAAUGAUAUAUAUAUUGGGAUAUAAAGGAUUGUCUAGCAAUGGAGCUGACGAUUCAUUCUAAACGAAUGAUGUGAAGGGCUGUCCAAAUACUCGUUCUCGAUACCCUACUUCAGUGAAAGCCUAUAAAACUGGAUGAGUAAUUGGACUGCAGUAUGCCUAACCUGGAGUAUAGUACUGAGCAGAUUUGUCUAUGAAUCUUUGAGUUUUAGACUUGCUGUUUUGAGCUUCUUCCACAAGCUUUGCCAUUUUAGCUACCACACAGUCUUCAGCUAAAGCAGUAGUUCUAACACUGACAUUACCUGAAACUGAUAAAUACCCCAUUGACUCUCAAGUUAAUAGUUCCAACCCACACUACGGAAUCCACUUGUUUGGCUACCGGAAAUGACUCUCCAAUUAAACCCUAGAUAUUUGUCACACAACAAGUAGGUCAUCUAUUCGCAAAUCUCGAGCAAGUCACCCGAAAGCAAACUUUUCAUGAAGAAUCCUAUAUAUUCUUCACACAACAGGUAGUCCCCGGCCUCAAUAACACUAUUUUUUAAAACAAAGAGAAUAACCGCCUCAUGAUUUAUUAAUAUCAAAACCUCGGAUUUCUCUUCUAACCUCGGAAGGCUUUCAUAUAUAUAUAUAUAUAUAUAUAUAUAUAUAUAAACUUACUUUCCAAAGUUCUUUAUAAAACUUCAUACAGUAAGUGUUGUAAAAAUAUGGUAAUUUUCAUAACUCAAUUUUAAUUCUCUUUUCAAAAUAUUUUUUUUAAAUCUAAAUAUAGUAAAAAAAAAAACAGCUAAAAACCCUAAAAAUAUAUUUUUGAUGCAUUCGUGUAAUUUUUAAUGUCUUUUCAAAAAAAUUCAAAAUUCAAAAAUUUGUUUUAAUGCUUUCAUCGAGUUAGCAUUUACAUUGCUAUUUUUUUAAAAUCAAAAUACAAAAAUAAAUAGGAAAACAAAAGGAAAAAUGAAAAAAAAAAAGAUCAAAGGCAUAAAGAAAGAAAAUAAAGAACUAAAGUGAAUUUAAAUUUCUUGAGAACCAAGCAAUUAAAAAAAAUAAAAAAAUUACCUAUAAAUAUUAAAAAAUUCUGGCAAAGAUAGGAGGCCAUAAAAAAAUAACCUAAAAAUAGGGGAGCCACUAAAAAUUACUAACCCAGCCGCCACUCACACAAAAGCACCUGACCCUUCGUCUCCUCCCAUUCCAAGCUAUCUUCAUUACCAUCAUAAACCUAUUUUUCACCAACAAAAAUCAUCCCUCAGUCCAUUAUUGUCAAAAACAUAAAACACACAAAUAAAAAUAUAUCUCUCUCACAGUCUUCUUCCCUAUCACUGUCGACACCAUGCCAGGAGCAAACCAAGCUUUUCCAUUUCUUCCUCCUGGCCAACAGCAAUACCAGUGGCAGCCAACACUCCUACAGAGGUAGUUUCUUUUAGACCCAAAUACACCAGCCACAGCAGCUCCACCAUAAACCGUUUCCCCUCAUUUUUUCAUUGUAAAUGACCAAAAGCCACAUAAAAACUUCAUCUUCCCUAAAUUUUCUUCUUUCCCACCGUGACUGCCACUGCCAUAGCGGUGGAAAAGAAACAGCAGUGCCACGUUGUCCUGCCACUUCCAGCCUCAUUCCCAAGGCUAGAUAAAAAUGAUAUUGCAUCCUGAAAUUUAAAUUCAUUACUAUAGGAGUAUUUUUAUAUUUAAAUAAAGAUUAAAUAUUACUUAAAAAACUUUGUUGAUGCAUAAACCCACGCUAGUAAGUGGAUGACUUACGUGCCUUUCAAGCGUUAUGUGCAAGCUUAUCUAGUUAAUAAACACUACCUUUCACGGAAACAUUUUAAUUGUCUUGGCAGCAUUUGAAUUGUCUUAUUAUUUUUUCUAUGUGCAAGGUUGUCUAGUUAAUUAAUAAACACUCUGGUUUGGUGUUGGUAUCCCUUUUUUUUUUUCCCUUCAUUUAUCCUUUUUGAUUUUCAAUUCUAUCUUAUAAAAUUUCAAAGCAACUCUUUGAUUUUAUUUCUUUAUAUUUUGUGCUUUUUUAUUUAUUUUAUUUAAAACAAUUCAUAAAUUUGGAAUUCUUUUUCAUUUUUAUCCUUUUUUAAUUUUUUUCAUCUUUCAAUUUUUGUCUUUAUUCUUUUGACUUUUAUUUAUUUUAUUUGAGAUAAUUUCUUAAAUUCUUUUUUUUUUACAAUUUCAUCCUUCUUAGGUUUUCUUUCCUAGAAAAUUUAAUCUUCAUUCUUUUAAUUGUUGUUUUUUUUUCACUUUGGCAAUUUUUUAAAUUGAUUUUUUCUCUGAUUUCAUCCUUCAACAUUAAAUUAGUUGGGAAUUAAAUUCUCAUUAUUUUGAUUUCUAUUUGUUUUAUUUUAGAUAAUAUUUUAAAUUGAUUUUUUUUAAUUUCAUCCUCAUUUUGUUUUCCUAUCAAAUUUGAUCAUCAUUCUUUUUAUUGUUACUUUUUCACUUGAUAGUUUUUCAAAAAAAAAAUUCAUCAUUCAACAUUAAAUUGAUUGGGAGUUAAACUUAUUGAUUGAACCCAUGUUUAUGAUUUCACGCUUACGAGUUUUAAAGAUUAACUCAAGGUUCAUCUAUGUUUGCUUGUUUUUAAAAAAAAAACUCGUAUUGUUUUCAAUUUCAUCCUUCAAUAUUUAUUCAAUUGGAUAUCGAGCUCCGUUAUUUUUAUUUAUUUUCUUUCUAUAUAAUUGUUUGCUAAUUUUAAAAAUAGUAUGGGUUAUCUUAAUUCUUUUUAUUUAUCUUUCUAUGUUGAAUUUAUUUUGGUAAAUUUUUUAAAUUAAUUUGUUUUUCCUAUUCCAUCUUUCAAUAUUAUACUUGUUGGUAAUUAAUUUUCUUUUUCAGUUACAUCCUUCAAGAAUUAAGAUUUUUUUAUAUUGGGCUUCAUUAUUUUCUUCUAUCCUUUAUAUUUCUUUACCCUGGUCUCAUCACAUAGACCAUGAGUUUGAUAGGUUAAUCUAAGUUGGCUUGAGUUUUUUUUACAAAAAAUUUUCAAUUUAAUAUUUAUUACAUUUUUUCCUUUAGCAUUAAGUUGUUUUAGAGUUAAGCUUCAUAAUCUUUUCUAAUUUGCAGAUUUUUUUUUUGUCCUUUUAUUUUUCAAUUUCAUCCCUCUAUGUUUGAUUUGUUUAGAAUCGGACUUUAGAUUUUUUUUAAUUUUUUUUAUUGGCUUCUCUCGGUCUCAUGACAUGGUUUGUAUAUUUGACAUGCUCAUUUAAGUUGACUCAAGUAAAUUUUUUACCCUUUUUUUUAUCUUUUUUUUUUAAAAAAUUUGAUUGGUUGGAAUCAUAGCUUCAUUGUCUUUUUUUUGUUUCGGUGACCUUUUUUUUCAGGUUCCUAUGAUUUAUUUUUUUAAAUUGUACCAUUAACUUUGGUUAUUUGUUCUUUUAUUAACUGAUUAGAUUACACGUUUUUUUUAUCAAUCAUAUCUAUAUUCCGAGUCAUUUUUUUUUAACUUCUUUAAAACAUACUUGCAUCACCCAUGAGUUUUUUGAACAAAUAAAAAGAACAUGACCUCUGUAGUAGCGCGAAACCAAAAAUCUAUUACUUAUACGCACGAGUGUGUUUGUUUUUGUGGUAGAUUUUGUGGUUAAAGUUUUAAAAAAGUUGGUUUUCAAAAAUCACUUUUUUAUUGUGGUGUGUUUGAUUUAAAUAAGUAUUUUGUUAAAACUGUGAUUGAAAAUACUUUUCAAAAAAUAAUAAGUUAUAGUGGCCGUUUGGGAGUGUGGCUGCGGGUGAGGUUCACCCGCAGCCACACAUGACAGCGUUUGGUUAAGGAAAAAAAAUGCGUCUUACUAGUAGGACCCACUAAAAUAAGAGAUUGGACCGCAGGUUUUGAGAAGCAGCAUUUUGCUGCUUCUCGUGGUGGGAAAGGAACUUCAACAAUGGAGCCAUGCUCCAUUGCGCACUGUUCACUAAGUGAACAAUUUUAUUUUAUUUUUUGAAAAACCAACACGCAAAGUAUUUGUUUUUCCGAAAAACUAGUGCAGUUAAUUAAUUGCACUCGCAUUGUUCACGUGAACGUGAACAAUAUAUUUUUUUUGUUUUUUUAAAAAAUUAGUUUAAGGUGAAUUAAAUUUACUUGUACUGUAAUCUCAAUUUUAUUCAUGAUAAUAUUUUACCUAAUUUUAUUGCACGCAGGAUAAAUCAUGGAAACUGUAGUUAUUGCCGAAUGAAUUUUGUACGUAAUGAAAUUGUUGAUUUUUUAAAAAAAAUUAUGUUUUACUCCAAAAACUAGCAUUUAAUAUUAUUUAACAACACUACAUAAAUUAGAAGGAUAUCGCAUGAUGACGUAUUAUUUGUGAAAUUUGAUCGCAAUUCCAAUUAUGUUCUUGCUGGGUCCGGCCCAGUUAAAAAAAAAAUCAGUUUUUAUUUUUAUUUUUAUUGUGUUCUAUUCAAAAAAUUAGAAGGAGAUCGCUUGAUGACGUAACAAAAAAUUCAGUUUUUGUUGUUGCGUGCUUAAGAAACCAUGAAAAAUAUAGUCAUUGUUGGAUAGAUUUCGUAUGUGAUGACAUUGCACAUAGUUUAAUGGAAUACUAAAAAAAUAUUUGAUAUCAAUAUUAUUUAUUUCAUGAUAUAAUAACAGUAGUUAAAUCUACAAUAUUUAAAUUAAAAAUCAUUAAUAUUAAUAUAUAUAUUUUUAAUUAUUUUAUAACAUUAAUUUGAAAAGCAUUUUUUUAACCAAACACAUUAAACUACUUUUUCUUCAACCUCAAUUUCAACCACUGUUUUAAUCAAACAUCUAUUUUUUCAAACCAACCUCAACUAAAAAUACUUUUUAGAAAACAACUUUUUUCAAACCACAACCACAACAGCUACCGCAAUACCAAACACACUCAUAAUUGUUUGUUUAAAAGUGUGGUUGAAGUUGAAGAUGCAUGUUAAAUUACUAUAAAGGACAACUAAUUUAUGUAUUAAUUUGCAUUGUAUUUAAACAUACAUUUAUAUAAGAUAAAUUAAAAAGAAGGAAACUUAUUUUUUAUUGUAUUUAAAUAUGUAUUAUCAUAAGAUAAACUAAAAAUUAAAUAUAUGAUUGAUUUACAAAGGUUGAGAUAUAUUUUGUAAUGUAAGAUAGAAAGUGUUAUGAUUCUUUAAAUUUUAAAAUGUUAUUUUCAAACUUUAGUUAAAUAGUUUUAAGAUUUGUUAAGUGGAGUAUAUGAUUGAUCCUCAUUCUUUUGAUUGUUAGUUAUUUUAUUUGAAAUAAUUUAUGAAAUAUUAAUUAUUAUUAUUUUAAUUUCUUUAUCUUUUAAUUUUUUAAUAUUUUUAGAUUUAAUCUCUAUUAUUUUAAUUAUUUAAGAUAAUUUAUGAAAUUAUAUUUUUUUCAAUUUAACUCUCAUUCAACUUUUUAAUUUGUAAGAUUUGUUUGUUAUUAUUUUAAUAAACUUGGAAAAAAUAAAACAUUAAUAAGUUAUUUUUUAACUCAUUUUCUAUGACAUAACCAAAUUCUGAAAAGUAUUUUUCAAUUUAUUUUCUAUUACACUACCAAACAUCGGAAAAUAAUUCACUUUCUUGAAAUUUAUUUUAUCAGAAUUUACUUUCAAAAAAAAAAAGUAUUUUCUAACCAACAAAGAAUAAAUUAGUUUGUUUGAGACAAUCCUUUCCACUCCCAGCGUGUGAUUUUGCUUUUUUCGGACUAUGUUCUCCUUUUAUUCCAACUAGAAUUCUGUUAUCUCCUUUUAUUCCAACUAGAAUUCUGUUAUUUCCCUAUUCAGUUUUAGUUUGCGGGCAAGACUUCAUCUUCUGGUUUGUAAUGUCGCUAUCUCAGUUCAUGUCGUGCCCUUUUGCUGGGGGUGUUUUUGGUUUUUCCUUUUUUGACAUAUCAGUUCUUGAGAGUCUUCGUCGCAAGGACUUUUCUUAAGGCUGGGUCUUGAAUUUCCAAUUAGCUCUUCAUUUCUUGUUUUCUUUUGCUUUCAAGUCUGGGCAUCACUCUUUGGCCAUUUGUUGCUACGCCAUCAGUGUAGUCUUCUUUUUUUCCCUCCAUUGCUUCUUCUCUUAUCCUUGGGUUAAUUUCCCAUGCUUUCACAUAUUUUUGUGGGUUGGAGUUGAUAGAUUCAUUUGCAUUUUGUCUUGGUUUUCUUUCAAGCCUCUCUCUUUGUUAUUUUUUUUUUGCUUUCUUUUCUGUUCAUAUGGUUUUCUACCAUUGGUGCUCAUUUUUCUAGAGUUCCUCUUCCUUUAUUUUGAUUAACUUGCUUUUGUUUUUUAUUUUUUUUCUGUUGAUUUCAUUGAGUUUAUCUUCCUGAUUUCUUAGUUUCUUUUCUUUUAAUGUAGGUUUGUGUUGUGUUAUCACUAUCUCUGCAGGAUCUUUUUUCGGUUGGUUUGCUGGAGCUUUUCAUUCCUUAGUGGAUGUUCUUCUUUCCCAGGUUCUUUCUCUUUUCAUUGCCUUUUGGUUUUCGUCGUAUUCAUUAUGUCAUUCUGCCAGAGGUUUUGAGUUUUAGUUGAAUGUUCAUUACAAAAAAAAGAGACGUGUGGAUUAGUGUUGUAUUAAACUCAAUCAAUCUAGAAGGUCAAGGAAGGCAACCACCGGCCAGCCAGCCACCAGCUGUGACCGACCAGCCGCCAGCCACCAGCCACCAGCCGCAGCCGCCAGCCGCCUUCACACCAUUGGCCGCCAACUGCCUUCACACUUGAAGGUUGAAUUAUCUUGUUUUGAAUUCGUGUAUAAAUAGCAAGCUAAGCUUAUGUUAUUCUGUGUGGAGAGAGUAGAGAGAAACACUAGAGAGAAAGAGAGAGGGCGUGUAUUAAGCUUUUUGUGUUUGUAAGCUUUUGUUCUUGAAAUAAAACAGUGUGUUUUAUCCCCUCUGAGUGUUUCAAAGCCACCACCAGUGGUUUCUCCCACCAACAAUUAGAACAGUUCUUCAUUAUGUUUUUAAUGCAUAAACCCACUUGGCCUCACCUUGGGUUUCUUCCCAACAUUGGGAGAGGUUAUUCUGUUAAAGUUGAGGCUGUUGAGCUAAUGUGGUGGCUACUUCUUUCUAUGAUUGGGACAACAACAUCAUUAUGUAUUUAAUGCAUAAACCCACUUGGAGGUUAUUCUGUUGAGUUGAAGUAAUGAACAAACACAACACCAGAAGUUUAUUGGAAAUCCAAAGGAUGAGAGAAAUUUUUGUAGAUCAGAGUCCUUAUGAGGUUGAAGCAAUUAGUACGUGGCCAUUUUGUGUUCCAACUUCUGGUGUUGUGUUUGUUCAUUACUUUAAUGCUUUUUCUAUUUUGAUUCAGAAAACACAAGAAAAAUAUUAAAAUUUGGGUCCACGUGAAUUUUCACCUCGGAUUUGUUGUUACUUGGAUAUAAUUGAUUCUUCUUUCUCUCUUGGUUGUUGAAUUUUGCAGCGGUGUCAGCACUUCAGGUCAUUCAGCAGUCUACUAGCUUGGAUCUCGGGUGGGAGGAUAGCUCACCGAUAAUAUGGGAACCUAUUGAUUUUCUUAGAGAGCUUUCAGACAUUAAUUUGAGGUUAAUUAGUGCUCCUUUGGGUGACUUAUUGGAUCUUAAAACACUGUAAACUUAACUCUGACUUUUCCUGUUGUUUUCAUUUGAUUUCACUUUUUCUUUUUUUUACUUCAUUUCUCAUUCCAUUGCAAUUUGCUUUAGGGAUUUGCACAACACAUCACUUGCUGGAGAGAUACAAAACUUGGAAAGCCUUCAACAUCUCGAGAAACUGUAUGCACGCAUCACUUGCUGGCAUCAAUUUUCAACUGAAGACAAAGUCCUGAGUAGCUUAUGUUGUUCCCAGUAAUUAAUGAUAUGGAAGAAAAGGAGGUCUAACUUCCAAAAUUUUGGUUAAUAUGCUGCCCUAUUAGAUGGUAGACUAACCAAUCCUGCUGGUGAACCUGUUAUUAAGAGUGUUAGGACUAAAGAAGAAGGGAGAAACAAUGGGGGGGCUCUUCUUUCUCCUCUAAAAAUUUUAGCUACUGUUUCCAGUGAAAAAGCCAGAGGUAGCAUCCAGCUUUCCUAUGCAAAAAUCUGUUGAUUCUUCAGCAUUCAUGAGAUGUCAUGUGAUGGCGACAAAUUCUGCAAGUCGCAGUGGAGCUGUAGGCUUGGUAUGUUUAUAUUUCAUAUAUUCUUGAGAAAUUCCUUGCUCCUAUAAGCUCUAGAUAUUACCUUGUUAAACAAGUCAAUCAUAUGUCAACGUUUAUCUCUGUAGAGUAAUUUGCAAUUCAAUUGGCUCAAUUUUUUAUAUAAAUUAUAAUUAGGUUUAUGUUUUUGAUGUUAGGUUUCCUGUUUGUUGUUCAAUGAUCUCUCAUGUUUUAGAUAUUGCUGAGGAAAAAAUGACUACAGUAAUGAUUGAUAUCUGCAACCUUUCCCUGCUUAUUGAAUCCCAGUUCCCAUGACCAACAACCUACAUUAUAGCAGUUGUUGCCUGAGGGUGCUAUCAUUCCAUGCUCAGAAUUGUUUUGAAAGUAACAAAACCAGAUAAAGAAUCAGCAGUACAAGAAUCGAUCUUACACUGUAAAAUAUCAGCACUAAAUACUAUUUUCUCUUUGACAAUAAAAAUCAUGCUAUAAAAAAAAACAUGAGUGGUAUUAAACUUAAAGUUUGUAUGGGAUAUCAUUAUCAAUUAACAUUAAUAACAUUAUUCAAAGAGGAUAGGUAAUUAAAUAAAAGAAAAUUUUAAACAAUGUCAAGAAGAUCAAAUAUUUUUAUGUGUAUUUAUCAUUACGCUAUUCUCUUUAAUUAGUAUUAACAAUUAUUUUGUUUUUUAUAAUUUUAAUAUUUUUUAACAGAUUUUUAUAGUAUAUUCUGAUAAAAUAUGAUUUAAUUUUUACUUAUUUUAUAGAAAAGAUCUUAUCAUUUUUUUAUGUUAGGAGAUAUUUUUUUAGACUUAUUUUAUUUUCAUUUUUAUUCAAUUGUUUUCCUAUCCAUGUUUUUUAUUAUCAUUUUAUUAAAUAAAACAUUUGUUCCAACAUACAAUGUUAUUAAAUAUAUGGUUUAUGUUUCGAGAUCAGAUAUUUACAGUUAUAUGUCAAUUUUUUUUUAGUCUUUCAUUAAAUAUCAUUUAUUUUUUACUUGAUUUUGACAUAAAAUUGUAAUUUUUUUUUAAUAAGUACAAACUUGUAUAAAUUUGUUUUUGCUUUGAUUUUAUUCAAUUAUUUUCAUGUGUUUAUUUUUAUUAUCGUUUAAUUAAAUAAAUAGUUUAUUCUUAAAAACAAAGUUAUUAGACACAACUUAGUAGAUGAUCAAUGUUUCGAGAUCAAAUUUCUUGCUUAGUACAUGAUUCAUGUUUCGAGAUCAAAUUUCUUGAUUUACAUCUAUAUCUUUAUUUUUCAAGUUUAGUCUAUGGUUUUUUACUAUGAAUUGUUUUCUGGUAAAAAAACAAUGUUAAAAAAACCUGUAUAUUUAUUUUUUUACUUAGAAAUAAAAUUAUUUGACCCACAUCAAAGCAUGGGUCAAAUGUGCAUGUGUGCCUGUGUAUAGUGUAUUUUAUUGUACUAGUUUUUUCAGCAACGUGUAUUAUUAAAAUUUUAUUUAAUAUUUUUUAAUUUUUUAUAUAAUUUGCUUCAAUAAUGAAUAAUUUAAAAAUAAGAAAUUAUGUAUGUGUUUGUGAAUUUAUUAUAUAGACUUCGAGAAAUAAGCUUUAAAAAUUUUGUUUAGUUUUCUUAUAAGUAUUGUUAAAAAUUAAAAUAAAAUUAUUUAUAUUAUAUUAUCAUAAUUUUUAUCUUUUUUUUUCAAAACUAAAAAGAAAAAGAGAGCGACAUUUUUUCUUGCCACAAACAUAAAUAAAUAUAUUUUUUUUCAAUUAGAAAAAUAUAUCUUGCCAUUUUAAAAAAAUAAAGUUAGUUUGAUAACAUGAUAAAAAUAAGAAAUCAUUGGAUUUUCUUUUAAUUACAUAUAAUUAUCAAUAUAUAAAAUUAAAAACUUUUGAAAAAAACUACAAAUAAAAAAAAAGGAAAAUUUGGAUUUUUUUAAUAUUAUAAAAUUAAAAUGUUUUCCCCAACAAAAAUAAUUAUUGUAUUAUAAAAUUUUUGAAUUAAUUUUGUUUAAAAGAUUUUUUUAAUUUAGAUAAAAUCUAUAAAUAACUCAAACACAUAAAGUGUAUCUGUGAAUAAAAUUUUAUUCAAAAGUUAUAUUUUUAUGAAUUAUUUUAUUUUAAAGAGUUCAUUUUUAUUAAAUGUGGGAAUAAUAUUAAAGAUAUAGGCAUGGAUAAAAAUUUUAUGUUAUCUGUCAAUUAAAAAGUCCUUUUAUAUAUUAGUAAAAUCCAUCAAAAAGUAUAAAUAUUUUUAUCUAAAGUAGUGAAGAUAAUGUACGAUAAGAACCAACGGCUACCUAUAUAUAUAAAAAAACAAUGAGGACUAAUUCAAUAAUUUUCUAAAAUUUGAAGUAUUUUUAUUAAUUUUAAUUUUAAUUAUAUGUGAAGUGAAUAGAAAUUAAGAAUAUAGGCAUGAAGAUAAAUUUUAUGAAUCAUUAUGUUUAAGGGGGCUUUUUAAUAUGAGUAACAACUAAAAAAAUAAAAAAAAUACUAUAAUUCAUAAUCUUUCUUUUUAAUUAUCAAUUUUGAUUAUUUAUAUUUAGCAAUUUCUAAAAUGGAAAAAUCUUUAAAAAAAUCCAAGGAAAUAGAAUUUGAUAUAGCAUUGGAUCUCAUAUAUUAAUAUUUAUAUUUUAUUAUUAAAAUAUCUUCUCCUACUACUAUAGCUAUUAUAUUAAAAUAUUUAUGAAUUACUUUAAAUCAAGUCUACAUAUAAUAAUAGAAAUACAUAGUUAUAUGAUGUGACUUUUAACAUACAUUGAAAAAGAACAUCUUACCUUUUGUUUUGUUUGUCGCAUUGUUAUCAAACUCUUUUGCAUUUUAUUGCAGCAUAUUGCUAUGUGUACGGCAUGCUUUAAUCAAAAAGUUGAGUAAUCGAUGAAUGUUAGGCAAGAAUAUUACAGAUUGUUUUUGUUUUCUGCCUCCUCUUUUUCUUUCCCCCACCCUGAAAAUUGUCAUAUUAUUUUUGUUUUCAGCCGCCUCUCCUUCCCCCAACCUUGAAAAUUGUCAGAGGACACUUUUAUGCUUGGAAUCAAAUCCAUCCUAAUUCUUUCGCUCAUAACUUUAUGUGUGAACUGCCGAUGUUUCAUUUGUCUUCCUUGUUCAGUGCCUUUUUUUUUCUUUGACAAGGUUUUCCUUUUUGCCUUUUAUCUUGAACAGCAUCCCAUAGUAUGCCCCCUCAAGUUCAGAAUCAUGGGCUAUUUCUCCCUAUCCUAUUGUCCACUGAUCAGUCUCAAGCACGCCAGCAGUUGUUAUCACAGAACAUGCAGAAAUGCAUGGCAUCUAAUGGAGUUCAAAGUUCUGCUGGUUUACAAGCGGCUCUGCCUCCUGUCUCCUUGUAACCCAGACUAUCCCCAACACUGUUGUCCAGAAUCCUAACAUGCAGAGUAUCCCCGGUGUUUCACAGAACUCAGUGGGGAAUUCAAUGGGACAAGGGAUUCCCUCCACUAUGUUUGCUAAUUCUCAGAGACAAAUGCUAGGUAAUGCUCUUUUUGGUAACUUUAUGUGCCACUACUGCCACUUAUGGCAUUAGUAGUGCCACUGCUAUUGAAACCAUUGCAAUCACACACGCAUUUGUUACCACAUCAUACCCUCCAGUGCAUUGCACCAGCUAUUCACCUCUCAUUCUGGAUUUAUAGGGUCCGUCCGUCUGUUUGAAUGGUUACAUAGCGUUUAGAUGGAGUUCCUAGUACUCCAAGUCCAAAAAGGACUUGUAUUCCUAUUCCAUUGAAUCAUGACCAUAUCCAGUAUUGUUGAAUUUUAUAGAAAAUGAGGUUGAAAUUCUGAAUGUCUCAAGUCAUAACUGCAUAUUUGAAUUUUAUAGAAAAUAAGUGGACCUAUUCCAUUUUUUUUGUGUGCUUAGGAGAGUAUUGAAACGGGAAUAAGAAUGGUCAUGCUUAGGAUCUAAGGCUAAGAAGCGUUGCUAAAGUUGUGACAUCCAUUGACUUGAGCUAGAACAGCAGAAAACAAUGAUGAGUAGUUUGCAGUGAGACAAAGUAACUGAACUUAAUCAACUCCUGAAUCUUGUCUAAAGGUGCAAUUACACAGUCCUUUGCAUCUUUCCAUUCCAUCAAUAUCGACAUCCUCUUGAGUUUCCAGCAUUAAUUCCACUCUGCUAUUUUUAUCUCAACUAAUUUAUGCUCCUCAUGCCGCCGCCCCUCCCUUUUUUUUUUUAUCAAUUCUCUUAAAGUUGUGAAGCUGUAGAGAAGGCAAUCACUCAAAUUAUGAUGGGUGAAGAAGCAGAGGGAAUGAGGAGUAGAGCAAAGAAGUUAGGAGAAACAGCCAGGAAGGCUGUUGAAGAAGGUUGAUCUUCUUGCUCCGAUUUCGAUGCUUUGAUUGAAUAACUGAGGUAACUGUUGAAGAUGAUCGCCCUUGAAACAAAUGUAGAUGUAAGCGUUGUCACAUAUGCAUAGAAUAUUUUGUUUCUGUUGUUGUUAUCCAUUUUUGUUCUAAAAAAAAAGAAAAAAUACAAAAUAUAUAUAUAUAUAUAUAUAUAUAUAUAUAUAUAUAUUCGGAAGAAAUAAAAAAUAAUAGAAGCAAGAAAAGGAUGUUGGAAUGCCGAAAAAAAACCAAAAUUGAUUGAGGAGGUUUAAAAAUACAAAAGGUUAAAAUUUAACAGUAUAUUUUUGACCGGUGAGAGCCCUGUUGACAAGAAAUAUUCAAUUUAAGGAAGAAAAGUUUAAAAUCAGAUGUUUAUGGACUCAAUUAAAUCUUAUCUAUGGUUUAAUUGAAUUUAUGUAGCGUUUGAUUGCAAGAAAAAAUUGAUUUUUGAGUCAAUUUCGGCUUUUAUUGGAUAAAAUUAAAGUUCUGGAGUUCAAUUAUAAUUUUGAAGAGUUAAUUUGGUCAAAUCAGGGGCUUAAUUGCAUAUUAAUUUAUUAAAGUUUGAUGGCCAAUUAGGGACUUAAUUGAAACAAACCGAAACCAAGGACCAAACCAGAAAAGGCUUUAAAAUCAAGGGAUCCAAUGACAAUUUAUCCAGGGGCUUGAUUACAAAAUUGCAAAAAACAUCCGAGGACCAAAUCCAAAAUAUUCAUUUGAAUGUUGAAACGGCGCCGUUGCACUAUUUAUUGUCUCCUUCAAGAAACCGUUUUCAGCAGUAAAAGGCAGUGCAGGCGUUAGCAGUGGAGCCGCUCCAAUCACGGGGCAUGUCUCACGCCACCAUGUACGCCGGCUGUUACUUUGUUGCCGGAAAACGUCUGCUUUCUCUGGCUAUAAAAGCUAGAGGAAGGAGGGAGAACAGGAGGGAGAGGGGGGAAACAGAGAGAGGACAGUGAAGAGAGGAAAGAAAACCGAGAGUGGGAGACGAACGAAAGACAGAAAAAAAAAGGCUGAAAGAAAAAGAAGAGAGCAGAACAGGAGAGAGGAGAGGAUAGGGAGGAGGAAGAACAGACAGUGAGGAGAAAACAGAGAGAGGACAGUGUAAGAGAGGAAAGAAAACCGAGAGAGGGAGAACGUAAGGAACAGAGGAGGAGGAGAGGAGAUAACACAGUGGGAAUACAGGAGAGUGAAACGCAAAGGAAGACUGCUCGAGGGGACGGAAACAGAAGAGCAAGGAGAAACCGAGCGGCGAAGCAAAGUUCACAGACAGCAGUGGACCACCGGUUUCCUUUCUCCAGGUAUGCUCAUUUCCUUUCUUCGUAAAAAUUGAUGCAUGCUUGUCUAGAGAAACAAAAGGAAAACAGAAGACGAAAGAAAAGCUUAAAGAUCGCCAUUUUUGCAACUCUGUAACCUGGGGUCUUCGUUUUUUGCUAUAUGCAAAAAACGAAGAAUGAAGAGUGCGACGGUAAUUUAAUUACCUUCGCACUCUUCCAUGCACGCGUAAAAUUUUACGCGUGCAUGGCUUGGGUGGGUCACUAGCUUGGGCCAGUGACCAGGUGGCUGGGUCCAGCCCUGCCAUAUGGGCCGAGUUAGACCUAGCCCGAAAAAAAAAUUCUUAAAAAAUUUCUUAUAAAAAAUUAUGUGAUUUUUCACAAAUAUUUAUUGCAUUUUGAAAUAUUGGUUUGUAUUUUUAUAAUGUAAAGAUACAAAUCCAAUAUUAAAAAUACCUGUUUUUUCGUAAAAAAAAUAAUAAAAAUAAAAGUAAAAUAAAAAUGUUUUGUUUUCAUGCAUACGGCCAAGUCUCUCUAAAAAAAAUAAAAAAAAUCAUAUCGCAUCUUGAUAAAAAAAAAAAGUUUUAGUAUGCAUUUUGGCUUUAAUAACCAGUUUAUUAAAGUCACGAGAACUGGCCAAUAUUUCAAAAAUUCUAAAAAAAUUAUUUUGUUUUAUUUUAAUAUAUGAGGUUACGACCUUAUAUGAAAGAUGUAUUCCGGAUGUUAAAUUAUUUUGUUAGCGUUAGAACGGUCAGGUUUUACCCGAUAAGACAAGGACCUCCUUACCAAGGAGGAUUUUUCUUAAACCAUAGACGGACCAACAACUAGAAAACAUGACAGGACCUUAUAUUUUAUCAGACAAUAAAACAAUGCAGCUUACCUUAGGUAUGACGUAUUUGGGGUGCUAAUACCUUCCCUUUACGCAACCAGUCUCCGUAACCGAUCUCUGAGACCAGUUAGGGUUCCUAGUGGCCAAAAUACUAGGUGGCGACUCCCAUUCCAUUUUUCCACUAAUAAAAGAUAAGAAUUCCUUGUCUCCACAUAUUUGUCACAUUAGAUAGAAUUUUGAGGAUGGAUGUUUUCGCCGCGACGCCGCACACGUGCAACAGUGGUUUUGACAAUUUAUUUUCAGUUGAGAGUUGAAAGAGCAAUCACAACCGAUUCAAUGACCAAUCCCAAUCAGUUCCCUUCCUAAUGGUUCUGGAAUGACAAGUCCAGCUUAUAUAUUUAGCCCAAAUAACUAAUCAAAUAGAAAGGCUGAGCUUAGAGACAGUACACUACAAAUGAAGCACCCAAUAGCUAGACAUACAAUCAUAACAAAUUCAUGUUCUGAAGUUGGAGAACUUGUGAAAACUAGCCACCCCAAAAUAGUAGCAAGUAUCUAUGCAGUCUUCGAUGAAGAACAACCACCUGCGUCGCCAAUAUGGAUUGAUGUAGAGAACCGCUGCAAUUGUCAUCACCACAACUGUGUAACAUACACCGAAACUGAUGUAGAAAAACUCCAUGUCUACGAAACCAUCAUCUCCUUGUUCAUCAUUAGGCACUGGUUGUGACGACACUGCUUCCUCACUACAAUUGUUUCGCAAUGGGGGUCCACACAAGAAAGGAUUUCCUUCGUAGCAGCUUUCAUCGAAGGUCCCAAACUGAUAUUUUCUCUCGGGUGUCUUACCUGACAAGUUAUUGUGUGCCACACUAAAAACUUCCAGUGUGGUAAUUUCAGUAAGUUGUGGAGGGAUGACACCAUUUAAGUUGUUGUAAGAAAGAUCCAAACUCUCAAUCUGCUUUAGGUUUGAGAAUGUUGCAGGUAUAGAUCCAGUGAGAUUGUUGUGUGAUAAGUUUAAUGACAGUAUCUCACUUAAGUUUCCAAAUUCUGGUGGGAUUGCUCCUACGAAGUUGUUGUUGGAGAGAUCAAUACCAGACAUGUAGUUGAGAACUUUCCCCUUGUAACCAUAAGACAUUUUUUUAGUUGUAAAUUCUAUCACUUCUUCUAUAAGGUUAAGCCCAAAACCCUUUCCUAAGUACACACUAUCCACUAGUGGUGGGCCCAUUGUUUCAUAAUAAGUUUUUUCUAUGGACCUUGAUAUAUCAAAAAUUACAAAAUCCAAUAUCGCUUUCUGGGAACUUUCCUUGAAAGUAAGAUUGCCUAAACAGGAGGGUAGUGGACCAGAGAGCUGGUUCUGUGAAACAUCCAAAAUGCUUAAUUGUUCUAACAAGCAUAACUGAACAGGGAGCUCACCAUCAAAGUGAUUAGCCCUUAGAAGAAGAACACUCAAUGAUGAAAGAUUGCCAAUCCAAUUUGGAAUGGAGUCGGUGAAGCUGUUAUCUUGAAGAUCCAUUGUAACCAGGGAAGAGCUAUUAUAAAAUCCAUAUGUUAAUGGACCGCUCAAUCUAUUUUUGGAUAGAUGCAAAUGGGUUAUUUGUGGUGGACUGAAACAAGAUGGUAUAUAUCCAGACAAGUUGUUCUCAGAAAGGUCCAAAUAUUCAAGAUGGUCAAACUUACAAAAAAAAUCUCUUGGGAUCGGACCCUUAAAAUGGUUUUUGGACAAAUCAAUUGCUUCAAGGACCGUAGAAUUGACGAACCACCUUGGAAGCAUACCUGAAAAUUGAUUGUUACUCAAGUCCAAUACAAACCACAUUUUCUGCUCAUAUAAUGAUAAAUAUAAUAUCUGACCACAAAAGUUGUUACCAUUUAGAUAGAGAAAUUCUAAGGUAGAAGAAUUGAACACCGAGAUCGGUAUUUGCCCACCCAAAUUGUUGUUUGAUAGCUUGAGAAACAUUAAUGUUGUUAGUAGUUCUAGUUUUACUGUGGACAGUUGAUUGUUGGAUAAAUCUAAAACACUCAAAGAGCUAAUAUUUCCUAAACAAGAAGGAAUACAACCUGUGAAUCCAUUCUUAACCAUCCUUAAGCUCUCCAGAUUUGGAAGGAUCAAACAAAUAUCUUUUGGAAUUUGACUGUUCAUGUUGUUGUUGGAUAUAUCUAAUUUGGUCAUAUUUGGAUAUGGGUGAUCUGGCAACUGCAAAGUACCAACAAAGGAGUUGUCACUCAGAUCUAGUUGCUCCAUUCGUGUAUUAUUCUUAAGCAACCACGAUGGAAACAUUCCGGUGAUGUUGUUGUGGGAGAGAUCAAGGACUCUUAAGUCGUAUUGGUAAUAGAGGAAGUCAGGAAUAUGUACAUUGAGUGCUUCCGUCGUUUUUAACAAGCUAAGAAAGACUAGUUGGAACUUUGGAAUCAAAUUAUCAAAGGCAGCAGGUUCUGUUACUAGUCUGUUGUUCUCACUAGAGAAGAACUUGAGGCUUGAGUGGUUCAUAAAAGGCUUCAUUGAAGUGGGAACUUCAAAGAGGUUAUUUGAUAGUGAGAGGAAUUCAAGGGAUACGAGGUUGGUAAGAGGACCGGAGACAAUAUUUCCAGUAAAUUGGUUUUCAGAAACAUCUAAUAGUUGUAGAGAUGACAAGUUCCCCAAACAAUCUGGGAGUGCACCUCCAAAAUUAUUUCUAGCGAGAUCUAACUGCUUCAGAUUCUUCAAUUCACACCAACCUGUACAAUUUAUCUCGAAACAGUCAAAACAAUGUUGAAAGAAUCUUUUAUUGAUGAUGUAAUUAUAGGCGGAUGGAGAGUUGUUAAUUUACCUUGAGCGGGUAGGGUGCCAUGGAGGUCACAUUCACCAACAGACAAAACUUUAAGAGCAGGUAAUGCUCUAGUGUUUUGGAGGAAGUUUAUUGGGAGAGAAGUAUUAUCUAGAUGCAAUUCUUCAAGGGUGCUAGAAUUGAAGAAAGUCCCUGUGAAAAAGAAAGAAGAAGAAAACAGAUACGAUGAAAAUAGUGGUGGUACAGGAUAGCCAUUCCAUUCAAUAUUAUUAAUUAAAAUUUUAAGAAACUAAACUAUUAUUAACCUUGACUUAAAUUAGUAUCCUUGAGAGAAAGGGUCUUCAGGGAACGCAAUGACUGCAGGAAGUCCAACUUCCUUAAACCUAUGAUGUGUAGAAUUGAAAACAGGCAAUCAAGUAAGUAGUGAAAUUAAGUGUUAUCUUGAUCAAGUUUUUAAACCUAUGAUACUUUUGUAGUGAGAUGAUUUUUGGAUAGAAACAAUAAAUUGCCAGAAAAAUCUAGAGAUUUCAAAAGGUAUUGUAAAUAACAGAACUUUACCAUUGACAGCCGUCGAUCCUGUCAACUCAUUAUAUGAUAAAUUUAAAGACUUGAGAUAAGAAAAUCCACGCAGAUAUGAUAAAAUGUUGUCGUUGAAUAUAUUAUGGCUCAGGUCCAGGUUUUCGAAUUUCCCCAAAUGUGAUGAUGAUCUCAAAACUUGCAAGAGAGUUAAUGUUUCUAAGAGUAAGUCAUAAUGAGCUGUUGUUCAAUUGAUAUAUGAUUCUCAAAUUAUACAUAAAAAGAAUGAAACAUGAAAAUUAUAAAAUAGGUUGUGUGCACUUCAAAGAUUAAGAAACAAUUUUUAAAUAUCAUUCUAAUUUUGAUCUUAAUGGAAAGAAAAAACAAUUUAUGGAUAUAAAAUCGAUAAAGAUGGAAGCUAAGUUAUGGAUAGACUUACAAAACAAGAUAAAGAAACUUAUAAUUAAGAUCUCAUCGGUAAUUAAAACAAGAAUAAUAAUCGAUCCUAGAUAGCAACAUAUUGCCUAAUUUUGCAAAACUAAUUAAUUAGUUAUGAUAGUUUUAAAAAGUUUUAGAAACUUUUUCACGUUUUAUUUCUUCUAUGUCCAAAUAUUUCACCAUUCACCACACGACCAUAAGGCAAUAUCCUCCACCACAGAAUAAUAUUUUGAUUAAAAAAAGGUCCAAAAUAAUAUAAAACCAUGAUUAAAAAGGAGAGGAAAUAAUAAAUGGCUACAAACAAGAAUUAAAUAUCAAAUAUGUGGGUUUUAUGUUGUUCUCUUUAUUGAUAAAACAGUCGAGAGUUUUUCUAAUAAAGAAAUUGGCUGUCGAGAGUGAUUUGUAUUGGAUAGUUUUUUUGAUAGUUUUUAUUAAAUAGAUAUAAAGUCGUCCUCAUUUUUGUUGAUAAAGAAACAAUAUAAUUAAGAGAAUGUCAUGUGAAGCAUUUAGGUAGGUAGAAACUGUGUAUUAUACCUGAUGCUGUCAGCUGAUUGCCUGAUAGAUCCAAAGACUUGAGGGAUGAAAAUCCAGUUAGAGCUGGAAAAAUGGUAUCGUUGCAUUGAUUCCCACUUAGAUCAAGGUUCUCCAGCUUUUUCAACCUUGAUGACAAGACUUUGAGACCUGCAUGAUGUUCCUCAAGAGCAUAUUGGAAGGAAAUAAUUAAAUGCGUAGAAAAAAAUGAUAUGAGAAGGAGAAAAGAAAAGGUUUCGAAGCUAAAUAAUUAAAAGGUUACCAUAGAAGCUACCUCCUGAUCCAGCUGUCAACCCAUUAUAUGAUAGUGUUAAAGUAAUUCAGAUGAAACAUAAAAGGAGGCUAGAAUUCUCAAUAAUAUGUUUAUUAUGAGUGCUUAAGUUAACCUAAAUACAAAGGAAUUAUAUAUAGGUUAAACUGAAAAUACUAUUCUACCCUUAAUAAAUAAAACUAGAUAAAUAUUACUUAACAUCUCCCCUCAAACUCACGAUGCGGCAUCUACAAGCAUCGAGAGUUUGCCAACUAGAAAAUGAAAACGAGAUAUGGAAUGCGUCUUGGUAAAGAAAUCUGCAAUCUGCAAGGAAGAAUGAACAAAAGGCAAAGUAAUGGUGUCAUGCUUGAGAUGAUGACGAGUAAGAUGGCAAUCGAUCUCAAUGUGCUUAGUUCGCUCAUAAAAACCGAGUUGUGAGCAAUCUGAAUAGAACUCUGGUUGUCACAAUUCAUAGGAGUAGGAUGAGAAAAGAAAACUCUCAUAUCAGCAAGUAACCAACGUAACCAAACAAUCUCUUUGGUAGUAGAUGCCAUGACAGAAGCUGGAGGAAAGUCGAAAUACCAGAUUUUGCAGAAGCGGAAGACAAAAUAUCACUCCAAAUUUUUUUGCAGAAACUUAACUCAAAUACCAAAUUGCAGAAACUGAAGAGAAGACGAAAUACCAAAACAAUUGCAGAGACAGAACAGAAAUACCAAAUUGCAGAAGCUGAAGAGAAGAUGAAAUACCAAAACAAUUGCAGAGACAGACUGAAAUACCAAAUUGUAGAAGCUGAAGGACAAUCGAAAUACCAGAUUUUGCAGAAGCGGAAGACAAAAUAUCACUCCAAAUUUUUUUGCAGAAACUUAACUCAAAUACCAAAUUGCAGAAACUGAAGAGAAGAUGAAAUACCAAAACAAUUGCAGAGACAGAACAGAAAUACCAAAUUGCAGAAGCUGAUACCAAAUUGCAGAAGCUGAAGAGAAGACGAAAUACCAAAACAAUUGCAGAAACAGAAUAGAAAUACCAAAUUGCAGAAGCUAAUACCAAAUUGCAGAAACUGAAGAGAAGAUGAAAUACCAAAACAAUUGCAGAGACAGAACAGAAAUACCAAAUUGCAGAAGCUGAUACCAAAUUGCAAAAGCUGAAGAGAAGACGAAAUACCAAAACAAUUGCAGAGACAGAACAGAAAUACCAAAUUGCAGAAGCUGAAGAGAAGACGAAAUACCAAAACAAUUGCAGAGACAGAAUAGAAAUACCAAAUUGCAGAAGCUGAUACCAAAUUGCAGAAACUGAAGAGAAGAUGAAAUACCAAAACAAUUGCAGAGACAGAACAGAAAUACCAAAUUGCAGAAGCUGAAGAGAAGACGAAAUACCAAAACAAUUGCAGAGACAGAAUAGAAAUACCAAAUUGCAGAAGCUGAUACCAAAUUGCAGAAACUGAAGAGAAGAUGAAAUACCAAAACAAUUGCAGAGACAGAACAGAAAUACCAAAUUGCAGAAGCUGAUACCAAAUUGCAGAAGCUGAAGAGAAGACGAAAUACCAAAACAAUUGCAGAGACAGAACAGAAAUACCAAAUUGCAGAAGCUGGAGAAUCUAAAAUAAUGUUUCAGAUAUUAAUUCUUCAGCCGCAAGAACAAAACUUGAUCUUCAUCCUCCAUCUUUUAAUAGGUCAAACAACUCAUGUCUGAUGUUUUGAAAAAUGAAUCUGAAGUUAAGCUUCAAAGGAAUGCAUUGAGCGUGUUGGAACAUCCUACAGGGAAUGAAGUGGAUGAUGAUAACGAUUUUGAUACAAGCAGUGACUCUAACAUUGGUGAACAUGAUUUCUACAAGGGCAACGAGUUCCAUAAAAUUAACAAGCCAAGGGUUCGAUCAACUAGGCUCUGAUACCAUGUUAAAGUAAUUCAGAUGAAACAUAAAAGGAGGCUAGAAUUCUCAAUAAUAUGUUUAUUAUGAGUGCUUAAGUUAACCUAAAUACAAAGGAAUUAUAUAUAGGUUAAACUGAAAAUACUAUUCUACCCUUAAUAAAUAAAACUAGAUAAAUAUUACUUAACAGAUAGAUCCAAAGACUCGAGAGUGGAAAGGUUACCAUUGAAACAUGACAAAAUGCUUUUAUCAUUAUUAAAUCGGUUAUCACUUAGGCCAAGUUCCCUCAGUUUUGAUGAUAGGACUUGGAAGCCUGGAAAGAGAAUCAUCAAAGCAAGAUAAUUGACAUUAAACACCAACCGACCUUCAUUUAUUUUAUUAUUAUAAUUAAGUGCAGAAACAUUGAACUUACCUUCAUUCUCCAAGCAACCAACCAAUCCAUUAUAUCCCAAAUCAAGACUUUGCAAUUCUUUGAAAGGCAGAAACAAAGAUGCGUUGAGAACCCAAUCGCCCAAGCGGAAAUCCCUUGCAUCGAAAAGAGAGAGUUGGAUCACUCGCCUUGUAGUGUUAUCACACUCGAUCCUAGGCCACUCACAACAAUUACUAUUGUUGUCCACCCAAUGAUCUGUCCAGAAAAAGCCAUCUGGGUCCAUCAAAGCUUUGAUCUCCAAGAGACCAACCCUCUCUUCCUCCAAACACCCAUAACAACUACCAGACCAUUCGCCAACCAAAGUCAACAAUAUUGCUAGCAACAUCCAAGCCCCCAUUCUUUUCAUCAUCAUCUUAGAUAAUUCUAUGAACUACUACGUAGAAUAUUGUUGUUUGUUAUGUGUCUUUGGGCAACCAUAGAGGUCCUAUUUAUACUACAAUUUUGGCCAUUUCCAUGAUUUUAUCUGCAUAUCUUAUGCAGGUUCUAUGUUUUGAGAUUUGAAUAUUAUUUUAUUUCUUUUUGGAAUAUUCUUGGAUUCGAAUAUUAUUUUAUUUUACUGUUUAGCAGUUAGUCUAUUUGCAUUUAAUUAUAUUUUGGUUACUAAUUAUCCAAUUUAAAAAAAAUAAAAAAUAAAAAUUGUUGCAGUACUUCAAUUUUUUUAUCGACAUUCAUGUGUGAUUUCACAUAAGAUCUUUUUUAAUUUAUAAUUAUAUUUCUCUCAUUAUAAUUUAGAAUCAUUUAGGACCCUACUUGCAUGAUGUCAUCACUAUUAUAUAUAUAAUUAAAUACAUAAAUUAUCAAUAAUACACGGAAUAAUUAUAAAUUUAAUCCUUGUGGAUUGUGUGGCUACAGUAUUAUAUACAAAAACUUCAAAUAUAUAAAUAAAAGAAUGCUAAAAGUGACAUUCUCUUGGGUGACCACCACAAGCCCAUCUAAAAAAAAAACAAGCCAUAUAAAAAUCACACGACAGCCAAUUACCUUAUCUUGUGAGAAAAAAAAGAUAAAAAAAAAAAGCAUUUUCUUGGGUGUGCAGUGACUGCCAAUCUUUCUCGUUGAAAAGUGAGCAAAAUACAAAACUGGUUGCAUGUAUCAAAAGGAACUGGAACCAAUUUCUCCACCACUGUAUGUCCCUUUUGUUCAGUCCAUGUUUGGUGCAAUCACCUAAAGCUAGAAACACAAACAGCGCCUACUCUACAGGUAGCUCAUCAAAAUAUAUGUUGUAAAUUGCAAACACGUGCUAACAAUAAAUUGUGGCCAGAGGAUUUGCUUCGAUCCCAGAGGCCAUUGAGGAUAUUCGUCAAGGAAAGGCUCACCCUCUUGAUUUAUUAUUUAAUUUUCUGGGUCUAGCUAGUUUGCUUAGGCCUUACAUCAUUACUUCAAAGGCUUUAUGUUACUAAUGUGUGAUGAUUCUUUGUAGUUAGUAAUUGUUGUUGAUGAUGAAGAAAUUAAGAGAAAAUGAGGGGGUCCCUUGUAAUGUCUGCGUCGAAGGCAACACCAGAUAAAACUCCCUAAACUACUCUAUGUCUCUAACAAGGAAAAUAUCACUAUAAAUGGUGGCAAUCACUAUAAAUGCAUUUAUGAGUUCGUGAGACCAUUUUCAUCUGCCAAUUGGUCCCUGAGACCGUUGCCAUCAUGCAUUUUUCCACGAGAUGGGUUCGUGGAAAAACUUUUGUUUAAUUGGGAAUGCUGUUAUUGGUUAGAAACUUUUUAAUUAAAAUAAAUUUGAUUAUUUGAUUGGAAAAAUCCUUAAAUGUUAUUAACACAUGAAAUCAAUUUAUUUUCUUAAGAAAAAAAUAUUGGAACCAUAUAGGUAAUUUAUUUAUUUAUUUAUUUUAUUGAAAUAUUAAAUAGUUUUAAAUCUUGUGGUAUAUUGCCGUCAUGCAUUUCUUUUCCUCAAGAUGGGUUCGACAGACAAUCACCAUCAUGCAUUUAUGAGUCCCGGAGACCAUUGUCAUCUGUAGCGUUGCCUUUCCUCGAGACCAUUUCCAUCAUGCAUUUAUGAGUUCGUGAGACCAUUUCCAUCUGCCCAUUGGUCCCUGAGACCGUUGCCAUCAUGCAUUUUUCCACAAGAUGGGUUCGUGGAAAUUUUUUUGUUUAAUUGGGAAUGCUGUUAUUGUAACCAUAUAAGUGAUUUAUUUAUUUAUUUUAAUGAAAUAUAAAAUAGUUUUUAAUCUUGUGGUAUAUUUCUUGUCUUUAAGAGCUAUGAACUUAUAUAUCAAAACUUGAAAACUAAUAUAUAUAUAUAUAUAUAUAUAUAUAUAUAUAUAUAUAUAUAUAUAUAUAAUGCUUUUCAAAACAAAAAGGAUUUUGAUGGAGAGGACAUUGCAACAAAUUAUCCACCACGAGAUGGGUCAGUGAUACCAUUGUCAUCAUGCAAUUUUUCCCACGAGAUGGGGCCGUGCGCUUGGGGCUCUAAAAAGCUAUGGUUUUUAAUUUCAUUAUGUCACGUCCAGAAUGGCAGGUAUAUUUUAUUUCAAUUUAAACAAUGGAAUAAAUUAGAAGAUAUUUCAUCUAGCUUAAAAUCUUAUCUUCUUAUAUGAAAUUCACCUAAAUUCUGGCCAGAAUGUUUAGGUUAUAUUCUAGCUAUUCUGUUAGGGCCAAAUGAUAUUUUGUUUUGCUUUUAUAAAAAAUUAAAAUAUAGUUUAGUUUUACAAUAUCAGUCAUGUCUCUCAAUCCGACAGUUGGAUUAAAGUAAAAUUUUAUGAGGAAUAUCCUGACAUAUAUUUAUAUCGCAAAUUAAAAUUUUAGGACAAUCAAAGUUUAGAAAGACUUUGUAAGAUUGCCGAUGACAUUUUCAUAGUUUUAUUCAAAUUCAUAAUUUUGUUUUGAAAUGUCAUUUUUUGUGUCUUUUUUUAGAUUGAUUUUUUUUUAAUUUUAUUAUUCAACAAUAGGUUUAUUGAAAAUUAAGAUUCAUAAUUUGUUUUGAUUUGUUUUAUUUGGGGUUAUUAUGGUCUCAUGACCCGAGUCACAGAUUUAAAGGUUAACCCAGAUUGACCCGGGUCGAUCGAUCCAAUAUGUUGUUGUUUCGAUACUUUUUUUAAAAAAUAUAUCAUCUUGAAUUUUUUUAAGUAAAACUAUAUUUUUACCAGUCGUCCAGACAAUCUUUGGGCCCAUCGAAUCGAUUGGGUUAUAUCGAUUCAACUCUUAUUUUUUUUACUUAUAUUUGAAAUUUAAAUUGUAUAAUUUCAAGUUAGCUUAUCUUGAAAUUUGAAUUGAAAUUAUGUUUGUUAAAAGGUUAAUGCUAGGCAGCUCAUUUUCUGCCCUAAUAAAGCUCAAGGCCUAUUUAGAAUUAGGCAUGUUUGGGAUUAUGGUAGCGGUUGCGGUUUAAAGUGUUUUUUGCUUAGAAAUGCAUCAAGAUGAUGUUUUCUUAUUUUUUAAAAUUAUUUUUGAUAUCUGCGCAUCAAAAUGAUCCAAAAAACAUUAAAAAAAUAUUAAUUUUAAGUAAAAAACAAAUUUCAAAAUGUUUGGGAACACGAGUUGGACCGUGUUCCCAAACAUACUCUAGUAUGUAGGCAUACACCCAAUCCAAGCACCGUCAAAUCAUUUUUUAUACAUAGGGAUGGGUUCGUUAGCUUGACAUGACAAAUAAAAAAAUUGAAAGAUGAUGAAAUUAAAAAAAAUUUAUAAUUUUAUAAAUUAUUUUAAAUAAAAUAAAUAUCAAUUAAAAGAAUCAGAAUCAAAUCUGAUAGAUAAAAAAUUUCAAUUAAAAAAAUAAAAUAAAAGUAAAUGAGGAUCAAAGUUGAUAUAAAAUUCAAAUUAUAAGAUAUAAAAUUCAAAACAAAUUCAAAACAAAAUAAAACCAAUUUUUUUCUAAAAGAUAUUCAGAUUAAAAGCAUUAUAAAAAGAAUCCCUCCUUGUUUCUUCCUUUUCAACAACUUGGAGUAUAUUGACAUGAGAAUUAAUCAUUUCGAUAACAGUAUUCUAUCAUUUGUAGAGGGAUUUUCAUCUCUUAAAUCACUAUAUUUAGAUUUGGAAGGGUUAAUAGAUUUAAAAGGUUAGUUUUUUUAUAUACUUAUUUUUUCUCUAUUAAAUUUAAUUUCAAAAGAACACAAUUUUUGUUUUGUAAUUAAUUAAUUAAUUAAUUAUAUUUUUAUAAAUAUUAAGAAUCUUUUAGCAGCUUGGAGGCCUUGAGUUUGAGCAGCAACAAUAUUAACAAAUUGGUAGCCUUAAUAGGUAAUUAGUAACACAUUCACAUUAUCUACAUUAUCUACCUGGUAGCGAAGAUAAUAUUUGAGCCCAUCCAUACAAUAUUAAUUAUUUUUGCUUUUGGAAUUAAUUAUUUUUGUUCUCUGGAUGAAAACUUCCUUCAAAGCUUUUGAGCACUGUCUUCUCUAAAACAACUGUCUUUGCAAAGACUCAGUGACACUGUAUUUUUUGGAGGUAAAUUAGCAAAUUUCUAGCUACAAUUAGAUGUGUCUGCAUAUAAUUUCUCUUUUAUGUUUUCACAACCUACUAAACAAGUUUUAGAGAAUUCUCAAAUCCAUUAAAAUUUAAAUUCAUAACAUCAAUUAAAUCUCAAAUUUAAAAAUCAACUCAAUUGAAAUCUUUAUUAUUCUAAUUAAAAGUCUACAAUCCAUUUAAUAUGAAUAAUAUUCCAAUUCAAUUUUGGCCCUCUCUCAACACCAUUAAUUCGGUGUAAUGUAAAUAGAAUGAUAAUAACCAUGAGGGGUGUAGCUCAACUGGUCAGGUCCUGAGAGUGCUUUCUAGAGAUCACUAGUUCGAAUGCCACAAACCUCAGGCCAUGAGAUUUGGAGAAAUGUUCAGAGUUAACAUUGCUUUUCUUAGUUAAAUGCAUAACAUGAGCUUCAGGUAAGGGCUCUACCCUUACCUUUUUGAUAUAUUUUUGUUAUUCUUGUAAAUGUUAUAAUGCGAAUUGUUUAUAUAUAUAUAUAUAUAUAAUUAAGGGCUCGUUAUUGGAAAUUCAAUAUUAAAUGAAAAAUGCAUUCAAAGGCAGAAAAAUUGAGAUCAAAUCAGGUUAGGAUGUUUAUAUCUAUAUGUCUUUGCGGUAGGAUUAUUAUAUGCCUUCGAGGAAAGAGAAAGAUAUGAUACAUAUUAUGCUUUCAAGGCAAGACUAUUACAUGUAUUAUACCUCCAGGAUAGUGAAGAAUAUAUCUUAAUUACAAGCUAUGCUUUCAGGGAGGGAGAAAAGUAUCAUAUAAAAUAUAUGCUUUUAGGGUGGAAAAGAUGAUAUGACAAUAUAUAAGCUUUAAUAGCAAAAUGUAGUGGUCAGGGUUUGAAAGUAAUAAUAAACAUAACAAAAUGUAAAAGACUAAAAGAAUGGUUUAGAACAUGGGAUAAAGGCAACUAUAAGAAAAUUUAUUAGUUAUGAUAAAACCAAUAAUUUUAUAAAAUUAUAUGUCUUGCAGGUUCCUCUUAUUUGUCACCGCCAUUUUGACACCGAACUCUAGCUUUCCUAGUUUCUUAUAAUAGGUUGUUAUUUUGUAAAACUUUAACUAUGUUUAUUUUAUGCACUUUAAUUAAAAAUAAAUUUUGGAUUGUAAGAGAGACAUUAUCUCUUUCUUUUUUUGGGAAUGUAAUUAAUUACGUGAUGCAAAACUUAAAUCUCACACUACAAGAUUUCACAGUUUUACCGACGGACAUAUUCCGUCGGUGUGUGAUUACCAGUUCGUCGGUGAUUUAUUUACCGACGUCUUCCCCGAUGGAAUACGUCCGUCGGCUUUCCUUUCGUCUGUGAUUCCACAUCCCGUCGCUAUAUCGGUCGGAAAAACAAAAAAACCAUUUACCGAUGGUUUUACAGACGGAAUUUGUGCGCCAAAAAAAAGUUUCCCGCUUGAAAUAUACUAACGGAUUUCUAUUCUGUCGGUGAUAUCGUGAUUUACCGACGGAUACUAACCGUCGGUGAAUUUGUCGGUGAGUGUUUGAAAUACCGAUCGAAUAUAUCCGUCUGUAAAUUCAUCGGUAAGUAUGGCAGCUACUGUGAAAUGCCGACAGAUUAAUUCCGUUGGUAAAGCUGUCGGUGAGUGUAUGAAAUACGGACCGAAUAUAUCUGUAUGUAAAUGCGUCGGUGAAUAUACUGUCAAAUGCCGACGGACUCAGUCCGUCAGUAAAACCCUUUGUAAUAGUUUUUUUAAAUUUUGUUUUUAAAAAAUUAUUUAGAAUACAUAAUUUUAUUAAUGGUAAUAAAAACCAAUUAUGCAAAUAAAAUUUAUAUUAAACAUCAAAAACAAAAAAUCAAAGUUAAAUAAUAUUCAUUACAAACUGAAUUUGUUUCAAAAAAAUUUUUUAAGGUAAAUAAUGUUUAUUACAAAUUAAUAUAAAGGUAGAGCUGGAGGAGGAGGUCCUGGAGAAGGCUGGUGGUUAUACGAUCAAAAAGGAUUAGGUGCACACGUUCCACUCUGUGUUGCCAUGUUCAUGACCAUUUCGCGAAGCUCUUCAUAAGCCGCUCUUUGUUGUUUAGACUCCGCUCUUUGUUCUGCAUGAGACGCUUUGAGUUGGGUGUACUCCGCUGAUAGGUGGUUGUAUUUUUUGGUGAGUUGAGUUGUGUGCUGCUGCAAGGCCACGAACGCCUUAGAUUGGGAGCUCGAUAUUGAUUGGGAGCUCCCAACGGUUGACACACUACGGGCCGACCGCAAGUUGUCGGUUGUGGUGUUGGAGAGCCUGUAAACCCGAUUUUUAUCGGGUCCACCUAACGAUCCAACCUCCAUUCAUAAAUCCGGAUCGAAUUCCGGAUGGAUCAAAGUAUCGUCCCCGUAUCUCUCCCUCAACCGAUUAUUAUAGGUCUCUUGAAAAUAAAAAAAAUAAUAUUCAAUUCAAUAAAUAUAAUAACUUACAAAAUAAAAUGGUUGAACAAACAUACCACGAAAUGUUGAGCACGGUUGUCAACGAACUGUUGCACCCCCUUUUGGCGGUCUUGACUCCGCACGUGCGUCUCCACAAACAGCUUCAUCGAGCUCUGCUCACGUCCAAGAGACGCAGCCUAUAAUGAAAAAAGAUUUAUUAACAACAACUUAAUUUAACGAUAUAUUUCAUUUAAAUUAAUAUUACCAUCCAUUUCGCAUGUGCAGCAAAUAGAACGGAGCCGCCAGUGUGCGUUGUCACCAAGUCAUGAAUUGGCCUAUUCCGGUUGCCAGCACCGGACUGUGAGCGUCGUGUGAACCGCUCAGACGUCACGUGCUCAAGAUAGUGUGGCCAUAUAUCUUCCGGGAUGUAUAUCGGUUUGAAAUCCCUCCAAACCGCAACAUCGUUCCAGCCUUGGAAACCCCCAUCUCUUGCAGUUUUUUUUGCCCUUUUUUGUGCUUCAUACCAAAAAUCACGCAACCUACUUCACGCAACCAAAAAUUACAUUUCGAGACAUAAAGUUUUGUCUAAAAAAUAUCUUGUAUUGUUUUUUAUGUUACCUAGUUGCCGCGUGAUUUUCCCACACCCUCCUCACAACAGUGUCAUGCUCACUGUCCCAACAAAAUUUGUGCUGUGUAUAAAUAAACAAGUUUAAAUAAAAAUAAUAAUUUAUUUACAAUUAUAUUAAUAAUUUAUUAGAAAUAAGCUGAAAAUUAUAAAUUAACACCAACCUCAAAUCUGUGAAACAAUGCAUUGAUUUGAGGCAUCCAUUCAGGAUGCUUGGAUAUCUGACUCCAUUGAAACAAUGGAAUCUCCAUCGACGAUUUAAACGCCGAUGAUAUUACUCGGGCGGCCUCAAUGUUUGUGAACUUGAAAAUAAAUGAAAUAAAUUCAAUAGUGAUUACUUCAUAAAUUAUGUUGUAUUUUUUUUUAAAAAAAAUAAAACCUUAACAAACUUACAUUGAAAGGUCGUCCUUCCACUGUGCCUCGUACUUGCGGGUAAAUUGAUUCCGCUGCAAAGGCACGCCUCUGCACUGUGAUGUAGCGUUGGAAGAGGCAGCAUCGGUUGACGGCGCAGGUGGUGUAGGUGCCUCUUCUUGAGAGGCACCUAAGGAAAUAUCAUCAUCGGUGCUAGACGAACUAUCUACGACCCUACGUGAGCGACCAGCUCUGGUUUUCAUUCUACGCAUCUACAUAAUUUUAUACAAAUAAUUAUAUAAUUACAUUCAAAUGUUAAAAAAAAAAUUCGACAACACCUCCCCUAAACUUGAUACUACCCAAAUCCACAAACCUGCACAUAUUAACAAUAGUCACAACCAAUUGACCUAAUCUAUACUAAUUAUUCCAACAUAUUCAAUUACUAAUCUUAAGGUAAAUUCAACAUUAAGAAUUACAAUUCAACAAAUUACUCAAUAAUUAUGCCAAUACAACAAUAAAAUAUAUUCAAUAAAUAAAUAAAAAACUCUAGACUAACAAUUAAAAUUAAUGGAAAAAAUUAAACAUAAAUAAUGUAACAAUAGAGUAAAAUUAACAAUUAUUCCAAAAUAUUCAAUUACUAAUACUAAGGUAAAUUCAACAUUAACAAUUACAAUUCAAAAAAUUAUUCAAUAAUUAUGCCAAUACAACAAAACAAUAAAUUGAAAAAAAACUCUAGAAUAACAAUCAAAAUAAAUGGAAAAAAUUAAACACAAAUCAUGCAAUAAUAGAGUUAAAUUAAUAAUUAUUCCAACAUAUUCAAUUACUAAUUCUAAGGUAAAUUCAACAUUAACAAUAAAUAUUCAACAAAUUAACUAAUAAUAAUUAUGCCAAUACAACAAUAAAAAAUAUUCAAUAAAUUCAAAAAAAAAACUAUAGACUUUAGGAAUGAAAUAUGCUUACUUUAUUAAUGUGUUGAAUUCAAUACUUUAUCUACAUUACAAAAAAUACACAAAAACAAAAAAACAUAACAAAAAAAAGCAAAAAAAAACCGUUAAAGUAAAAUGAAAUAGAAGAAACACAUACCUUUUAAAUUGAUGAAGAUUUACAAGAGAACUUGCUAGAGAUUGCAGGUGAAAGCUUUGAAGAACGAAGAGGAAAAGAAUCGAAAUUUCAGGUGAAAAACUGAGGAGAAGAAAAAAUAAACUGAAGGGGCGGUCGUUGGAACUUAUAUGGCAGUUUUACCGACGGAUUCACAGACGGACAUAAAAUUAAUUAUUAUUUUAAUUUAUUCCGUCGGUUAAUUGUCAAAAAUCCGUCAGUAUUUUUUGAAUUUCACACCAAAUUUUUAAUGACCCUCCAUAUUUUUCGUGGUCCGUCGGUAAUUCCGUCGGCAAUAUGACGCGGUCAGAGUUGCAUUUAAUGCACAACCCUUUGGAAUUCGCACGGUCCGUCGGUAAUUUUGUCGGUAAUAUUGAACAGCCGACAACUUACCGAUGUAAUUAUAUCUGUCGGUCUAGACGUCGGUGAUGGUGGCAUUUCAAGUAAUUAUUUCCUAACUCUCUGUGAAACGCCGAUGGAUAUAAGUCUGUUGGUAUAUACGUCGGUGAUUGUGGCAUUUCAAGUAAUUAUUUCCGAACUCUUUGUGAAACGCCGACGGACUUAUAUCCGUCGGUGAAGACGUCGGUGAUUGUGGCAUUUCAAGUAAUUAUUUCCGAAGUCUAUGUGAAACGUCGAUGGACUUGUAUCUGUCGGUAUGGACGUUGGUGAUUGUAGCAUUUCAAGGAAUAAUUUUGUGUUUCAAAAUAUAUCAUCCAUGAUCUAUAAUUAUUUCAAGUAAUUAUUUCGUGAUUGUGGCAUUUCAAGUAAUAAAUAUUUCGUGUUACAAAAUAUAUCAUCCAUAAUCUAAAUUAGUUAGAAUUUUCUUCUUCUUCGUCAUGAAUUGAAUUGUCAUCACCUUCAUCGCAAUAUUCAAUAUGGAUAUCAUCUUCUUCAUCGACAUUUGCUUGUCCGCUAGAGCUCAAAACAACAUUCAACUCCUCUGCGUCAACAUCAACAAGACUAUCAUCGAAAACACGAAAAUUUGAAUUUUCUUCCAAUUCAAUCGUAGAAGCAACUCGAUAUGGUUUAACCAACUCACUAACUUGAAAGACUUCAUCUCGCACACUUGUGUCUUCGUUCUCAUACUGAACAACCUCGACACGACCCCGGGGUUUUGUUUUUAAAACGAACAACCAAUCCACUCUUGAUUGAUCCUUUCUAAAUGAAGGGGUGUAUGUGUAAUAAACUUGUUGACAUUGCUUUGCAAAAACAAAGACAUCGUUUAUGUUGUGGAGUCUAGCUUUUGAGUUGAUUUCGACCAGACCAUAGUGUGGAUCAACUCUGAUUCCUCUGUUAGUCGUGUCAUACCAAUAGCAUUUGAAUAAAAACACUAUAUUCUGAUCGCUAUGAUAUUGCAGUUCGACGACCUCUUCUAAUCUACCAUAGUAGUCAACUUCUAACUCACUACUAGUGGAUCCCUUAACACAAACACCGCUGUUGUAUGUCUUUCUUCCUUGCUCGUAUUCUUCAGUAUGGAAAACAUAUCCAUUGAUAAAAUACCCGUUGUAGCACUUACAUUUUCUUUCAGGCCCCAGGCUUAGUGAAGACAAUGACUUAGGCGCACUCCUUCCCAUUUGAUAAACCUUGUAUGUAAUGUACAUCAAUAAACAGUAAAUGAACGAGAAUCUCGUAAAGACAUGCACACGUACAUUAAUUUUGUAAGUUAGAAUGAUUUUGUGAUAGUGCUUACAUGUGUUUUGAACCACGUGGCAAAUUAUUCAUCUUGUAAUUGAAAGAUCUGGGAUUCAGUUAGUUGUGAGUUAUUGGAGAGCAAAUAUUGUCGAUGUUGCCUGCAAGUGAUAGUGAGUGUAUGAUAUUACAAUAUAUAAUUAACAGUAUAUUACUAACAAAGUUUAAUUAGUAUUACACAUAUAUAAACUUACUGAAUAAAAGGUCUCAGCUAAUCACAGUUAAAUAGAACAUAGUUGUGUGCUUGUUUGAACUCUAUUUCCGACAAAUAUCUUCCUCUUAUGGCAUUUUUAGGUGUGGGUCGUCCAAUAUUGGAGAAUAUUGACAAGUUCCCACUGGAAGGCACUUCACCGCCAUCAUCGUGCCGUGGAACGCGAUUGAUUCUCGUUCUCAGAUGAGGUUCGAAAUAGUACGAGAUAAAUAUUGAGAUCUCCUCAACAAUAUAGGCCUCACAUAUCGAGGCCUCACAUAUCGAAGCCUCAACAUGCGCCUUUUUCUUAACCUUUUUCUUGAGAUUAAACAAGUACCUACAUUGAAUUAAUCAAGUAUUUUCAAUUAAGAAAAACAUAAAAAAUACUUUUAUAUAUGAAUUACAUUUCAACUGUAAUAUCUGACCGUUCGAAUGGGUACAUCCAUCUAUAUUGGACCGGUCCUCCAGCUUUUGUCUCGAACGGUAGAUGUAGAGGGAGAUGCUCUAUUGAGUCAAAAAAUGAUGGAGGGAAUAUCAUCUCAAGUUUGCAUAGUGUCUCGAUGAUAUUCGUUUGAAGCCUCUCAAUGUGCUCAACAUUCAACUUGCUGGAGCAUAUAUCUCUGAAGAAAUGACUGAUCUCUGUGAGUGCAUCCCAUAUUCCCUUUGGCAACAAAUCACGAAAAGCUAAUGGGAUGAGUGUUUGUAUAAACACGUGACAGUCAUGACUCUUCAUUUCAUAUAAUCUGCAGUCCUCUAUAUUAACCAGCCUUGAUAUGUUCGAUGCAUGUCCAUCCAGAAAACGCAGACUCUAAGCCAUUUGUAGACUAGCAGUUGUGCGUUUUUCUCUAACACGAAGCUUGCUCUUGGUUUGCGACCCGUGACUCAUCAUAAACCAACUCUAUAUUUUUACGGUUACAGUAUAAAGCUAUAUCCAAUCUAGCCUUGAUGUUGUCCUUUGUCUUCCCCUUCAAAUCCAUGACGGUGUUGAAAAUGUUCUCAAACAUGUUCUUUUGGAUAUGCAUGACGUCAAGGUUAUGGCGGAGUAGAUUGGUCUUCCAAUAAGGAAGCUCCCAAAAGAUACUUCGCUUUACCCAAUUAUGGGUCAAACCAAAACCAAGAAACUUUUGCUUACUUGUUUGAAGGCCAAACACAAUGUCAUCGUACUCUGAUACAACAUCAUGCAGUUCUUCACCAGAAAGACGCGGGGAUGCAACAUCUUUUUCAACUCUACCAACAAAGAAAUCUUUUCUGUUCUUUCUGUACUUGUGAUUAAGUGGCAAGAAGCGACGGUGACAGUAAAAAAAAGAAGCUUUACCUCCGUUUGCUAGCGUGAAUGCCUUAUUGUUUUCCAUGCAGUAUGGACAUGCGAGUUUCCCAUGCGUGCUCCAACUAGAAAGCAUUCCAUAAGCUGGAAAAUCAUUGAUAGUCCACAUCAAAGCCACCCUCAUAAGGAAAUUUUGUUUCCUCGAUAUAUCAUAAGUCAGAGCUUCGGAGGACCACAACUGCGCCAACUCAUCAAUCAAUGGUCGAAGACAAACAUCUAUAUUCCACCCCGGGCUGCUUGGACCGGUACCCGGUGUAUGAAAAUAGAUAAAAACAUGAACUCCGGCUAUAAAUUGUGAGUAUGACCGGCCAACAAGAAUAAGGAGCAGCAAAUGACCCAAAUGGGUUGAAUCCGUCUGUACAUAACCCAAGACGCACAUUCCUUGAUUCAGCUGAAAAGUGAGGAUGCACAUUGUUAAAGUGUUUCCAGGCUUCGCCGUCAGAAGGAUGCACCAUCACUCUAUCAACCGCAUCAUGUGCUUGGUGCGAUGUCAUGUGCUCAGCAGUUAUUGGUGACAUGAAUAACCUCUGCAGUCUAGGUAUGAUCGGGAAGUAUCUAAGUUUUUUAUAUGCCACUAGAGUCUUUCCUCUGCCAGUUCUAGGUUUGUAACGGGAAUGCCCGCAUGUCAUGCACUCGGUCAUCUCAGCAUUUUCAAGGUAGUAUACCAUGCAGAAGUUAGGGCACAUGUCAAUUUUCUGGUAUCCUAAACCGAGGGGUUUCAUCAUGGACUUCGCAGCAUAGAAGUUCUCUUUCAGCCUGUUCCCUUCAGGUAAAAUGCUUCUCGCCCAUUCAAUAAUCUUGUCAUACCCGGCCUCACUCAACCCGUGAUCUGACUUGAUGGUGAACACCUGUGCUACAGCCGAUAAUUUACUGUGUUUCGUGCAGUCAUCCCAUAAUGGUUCGUCAGAAUCUUUCAACAAAUCAAAAAAGCUAGCUCCAUCUGCAUUAGGUUCUUCUUCUACGAUUGGACAUUGACUGACUUUACCUUCAUUCAUUCUCAUUGCAUCCAUAACCAUAUUUCUGUAAGGAUUAGUGUUGUCAUUUUCCGCUUCAUGCAUGUUGCUAGCACUAAAAGUAGACUCAACCACCGUUUCUCCCAUUCUCCUCUUACUAACAAAUACUUCUCCAUGUGCAUACCAACAUUGGUAAUUCUCCAUAAACCCUUUGUGUAGAAGAUGCAUCAUUACAACAUCUGGAUGCAGAUAUUUUUUAUUUUGACACUUCCUGCAUGGACACCUAAUACCGCCUCCAAUAAAAUUUCUGGGAAUAGAUGUUGCAAAAUUAAUAAAACCCUGAACCCCGUUACAAUAAUCAAUCCUCCACAAUCAUUGGGGUGAAUCUCGAUACAUCCAUGAACGAUCAUCCAUGACUUAUAUCGAACCUCUAUAAAAUUAUGAUGACUUCAUGUAAGUAUUAAUUAACUAAGUUAGGUAAAUAAACUUGCAAAAAUAUUACUUUACCUCGAGAUUAUCCAACAAACUAAUCACAACUUCUCAUAAACAUUAAAUAUUCAUUAUCAUUUAUCAACGUCCAUACAAAUUAAUAUAUAUAAAUUUACAGAAAUUACCACUCCGCAAUACCAUUGAUAAAACUUUAAACGGACCCAUUAAGCAAGCUAUUAAUUAUUUCAAAAUAGAACAUGUAAUUCGGUAGUUCCAUAAAGUUUUAACAAUUUACAAACAAAUAUCAUCUUACAAAAUCUAAAACAAACCAUAACGUACAGGUAUAUAUAGAAUUAUACAUUCAUAAACUACAAGUUUGUUUGAGAAAUAACAAUAAAACAUGUACAUCUACUAACAAAAUACAUAUACUAAAAAAACAAUAAAAUUGACAUUUAAUUAAAUGUUAAUUAAAAUUUAAAAAGAUAGAAUUACUUACAAAAAUUGAUAAAAUCCGUUGGUAAAUCAGAACACGGAUGCUGUGACCACAAAACUUCAACAAAUAUAACUUCUUGUGCUGAUACGAGGGAGAUUUUUGUUUCGGGGGGAGGGGGGCUGGUUGUUUGCAGAUGGGGAGAGUUGGGAUUAGGAAGAAGAAGGAGAAAUAGGGGAGGAGAGGAGAGGAGAGGGAAAGUGGACAUAUAUUAACUUUUUCCAACGGUUUCACCGACGGAAAUUCCUUCGGUUAUUACGUCGGUGAUUCUGACGGAAAAAUCAACACGUCACUGUAUGGAUCUGCCAUUUCAAAUCCUUUGGUGAUUCCGUCGGCAUUUUAAACGGCAAACCGGUCACGUCACUGUACGAGCUAUCGUUUUGAAUCCAUCGGUGAUUCCAUAGGUAACAAAACCCAGCCAAAACCACCACAUCAGUGACCCGCCUUUUUUUAUAUUCGGAAAGUUUUUCGUUCGUAAUUUCGUCCGUAGUUACCGACUGAAUUACAAAUGGAAAACAUUCUGUCGGUAAUUUCAAGCUCAAAUUACCGACAGAAAUAUUCCGUCGGUAAAUCCGUUGCUAUUGAGCGAAUUUCUGGUAGUGUCAGGUAUAGUUGUAUGGACAUAUAUAUUUAUAUAUGUAUAUGAUGAUUAAAUAUGUUAUUGAUAAGAUUGAUGGAUAGUGAGUUUGAGGCCACAUUUAUGUGAGUAUUGGUUGCAUAAGAAAACAAAUCAUAAAACUUGAUAAUAAUUCACUAAAUAACUCUCAAUUAUUCAUCAAACCAAUCUGAAAAGGAUAAUAUUACAGCUACGGACCAAUCUGGAAUUUUUGCAUAUUUUUAAGGGUCAAAUUGUAAUUUUGUCAAAUUGGAGGACCAAAAUGAAAAUGUCCUAAAGUCAUAACUAUAUUGGAAUUUUGCCCAUAAUUCUUAUUUAAUUCUGUCCAGAAUCUUGGAUUAUGUUUCAGGGACCAAUCUGGAAUUUUAGCAGAUUUUUAGGGGUCAAAUCGGAGGACCAAAUGAAAAUAUUAUAAAUUCAUAACUAUACUGGAAUUUUGCUCAUAAUUCAUCUUUAAUUCUGUCAGUUGAAGCAUAAGCUAUAAUUGAUUGAAGGGCAUACAUAAUCUGUAGCCAUCUCUUCUAUAUAUAUAACUAGGGCAACAUACAAUAGUUACUGUGUACCGUACUACGCAGGAUAAAUAUAUACAAGAAUAUUCAAUAUUUCCUAUAUUACAACACAUUCCAUAAUACACCCCCUCAAGCUGAAGGUGGGGAAACCACAUGAAGCUUGGACCGUAAGGAAGCAAAAGCAGAGUGGGGAAGCGGUUUAGUAAGAACAUCAGCUAAUUGGUCUUUGGAAGGUAUGAAGUGAAUCUGUAUCUCCUUUUUAGCCACUCAAUCACGAACAAAGUGAUAAUCAACCUCAACAUGUUUUGUGCGUGCAUGGAAAACAGGAUUAACAGACAAAUAUGUAGCACCCAAAUUGUCACACCAAAUGGUGGUAGCAGAACUGGGAGAAAAACACAAAUUUGUUAGAAGGUAACGAAGCCAAAGAACCUCAGCAGUACCAUCAGCUAAUGCCUUAUAUUCUGCUUCUGUGGAAGAGCGAGCAACAGUGCGUUGCUUGCCAGAUUUUCAUGAAAUGGGAGUAGUGCCGAAAAAAACAAUGUAACCACCCGUAGACUUCCGAUCAUCGAUGCUUCCCGCUCAAUCAGCAUCAAUAAAACCAAGAAGGGAUAAUGAGGAAUCACGAGUAAGAUGAAGACCAAAGGAAGACGUACCCUUUACAUAUCGUAGUAUACGUUUGACAGCCGCCUAGUGACUCUCAGUUGGGGCAUGCAUAAACUAACAUACCUUAUUGACAGCAUAACAUAUGUCAAGUCUGGUAAAUGUGAGAUAUCUAAAGGCACCAACAAUUUGUCGAAAACGAGUGGAGUCCGAGAAUGGCUUACUAGGCAGGAGUCCAUUCUUAGAGGCAGAAACCGGUGUAUCAACAGGUUUACAGGUGGACAUACCAGCACGACUCAAAAUGUCAAGAGCAUAUUUGUGUUGAGUAAGCAUGAGACCCAUACUGGUGGGAGUAACCUCAAUCCCUAAGAAAUAGUGAGCAGAACCUAGAUCUCAGAGUUUGAUUUCUGAACUGAGCAGGGUAAUAAGGCUUUGAAGCAAACUGGAGUUACUACCAGUGAGCAGAAUGUCAUCCACAUAGACAAGCAAAUAACAGAUAUCAUGAUUCACUUUCAGAAUAAAUAAGGAAGUAUCAACCUUUGAAGCACGGAAGCCAACCGACAGAAGAAAGUCACUCAGUCGUUUGUACCAAGCCCGCGGGGCUUGUUUUAAACCAUACAGAGACUUAUAAAGGUGACACACAUGAGUUGGCAGAGCAGGGUUGACAAAUCUCGUGGGUUGCUGCAUAUAAACAACAUCUUUUCAUAGUCUUGUAUUAGAGCUCCCAAACCUUUUUUUUAUAGCCAUUUGAAAAACAAGGCUUUAUACAUGCACUAAUUAAUAAUAUGAACUAAAUAAAUUAUCAAUAUCUAACUAAUUAGUUAUUAUUGGUUUAACUCACACUUAUUCAUUUUAUUUCAAUAGUACUUUUAAAUUAAUUUUCUUCAAAAAAUCAAAUUCCUUUAAAUUUACUAAAAUUUUCAACUUAAUAAUAAAAUUAAUAAAAUGUGAAAUAUUUUCAUUAAAGCCGCUUUUAAACUAAGAAGUUCCUCCCACAAUACUCUUCUUCUUUCAUGGACCAGAUUUCCUGCAUAAACUCCUAUGAGUGCACAAUGAAAUCCUUUCUCAAUAGCGCUAUCCAUUGCCCACCAUAUUCAAUUGAACCUAGAAUUUACUAAAAUACCACCCGCAUUAUUUACCGAAUCAACUGUAAACCAGUUAACUGUUGGCGUAUUCCAUAAUGCACAAACAUAUCUAUCUGCAGUUGCAGCAGAACUGUAAGUUAUAAUAUAACGAAGAAUCCCUUUUCUGAUUCUAGAAUCCAGUGAACCUGGUGAUUCCACCUCACGUUCAUCCUCCACCCGCUGAAGACUGCCAUUGAAAGAGAAAAGCUCCACCUUGUGCUUCCUUCACCUAAGAACCAUUGGGUCUAAACUGGAUUGAUUGCAUCCCAUCUGAAUCACGUGGGCUUAAUUAAUGGAAGGAACGAACAAUUGUCAGUUUUAAAAGUUUGGUUCCAAUCAUUGUAAUUUCAAAUUUCCAUGCUCCUUCCAUUUAAGCAAGUAAUAACAACAAAGAAUAUGUUUAAAUCUCAGUGUUGUUUUAAAUUUUAUGUAAGAUAGUACAGUUUCAUUUAAAAAAUGAGAAAGAACAAUAAAAAUCCUCAAAUGCUACCACCUUCAAUUCUCAUUCAUCAACAACAGCAUACGUUCAAACAAGUGAUCAAUAGUGUUGAUGAAAAAUAAAUCAUUAGUGAUCAAGUGACGAGGAGUAGAGUAAGAUUGGCGCCAUUGUAAGCUUGACAAGCUUUGCCUACUCUAACUGCAACGAAAGAUUCAGUGCCUAAUCUCUGGACGGAGAAGGGGACGCCCUUGUUAUGUACACGGUUGCUCUGAAUGGUUCGAUGAUGCUCAUUUUAAACAUUUCAUGUCAAGGUUAUCAGUUUCAUUCUGGUUAGUGUUUCAUUUUUUUAAUUGAAACGGUAUGUUUUGGUUUUGGGAUUAUAUAUAUAUAUAUAUAUAUAUAUAUAUAUAUAUAUAUAUAUAUAUUAACUCAAUAAACAUAAUUUAAAUUUAAAUUUAAAUUUAAAGAUAAAUUAACUUGAAAUUAUGCAAUUUAAAUUUCAAACAGAAAUAAAAAAGUGAGAGUUAUACCGAUAUGACCCGAUCGACUAGACGGGUCCAAAGACAACCUAAACGACUGAUAAAAAUAUAGUUUGACUAAAAAAAGUGUAAGAUGAUAUUUUUAAAAAAAAUAUUAAGAUGACAACAUAUUGAAUCAACCCGGGUCAACUCGAUCGGGUUAACCUUCUAAAUUUGUAAUCCAGGUUAUACAAGAUUGGGGGAGGCUAGUGGGAUGGUCCAUGAGACCAUUGCCCCGUAAGCUUGGGAAUGGAUAAUAUGCUUUAAUUUCAAUUUAGUUUACAAAAAUAAAUAAAUUAAAAGCUUAAGCAUAAAAAACAAAUCUCAAGUGUAAGAAUGCAACCACCGAUUCAUUAAUGGACAAAGGACCUUAGAUUAAUAUAUGACGCUUCUUUCAAUGGAAAUGUAAAUUCUUUACUAGAAUAUCAUAUAUUUUUUUUGUAUUUGUUUUCUGGUUAUAUUUAAUUUUUCAUCAGUAUUCCUAACGUAAAUUGCUAUGUAUUUCGAAUCUUGAAUGAUUGAAAGAUAGAAAACAGAAAAGAAAGAGAGAUAAGGCAAUUCAAAAAAAGAAGACUUUUAUAAACAUAUAUGGCUUAACAAUAUUAAUCAACUCUUAAUAUCUUUCAUUUUAUAUUUAUUAAAAGUAAAUAUUAAAACCUAUUAUAUUAAUUUGUAAAGGUAUUUAUUUGGAUGGGAAAUAUAUUUCUAAUUUUUUAUUUAAAAAGUUCUAUAUACUACAACUAACUUAAGAAAGUCAUGUUCAUCAGGAUCAUAGACUAAAAAAAAGAAAAAAAUUGAAUUGCAUAAAAGUAUCACUAUAAAUGUUAUUCUUAGAAAAUAUCCCUAUAGCAACAGUACAUGAAAUAAUGUCAGAAUAAAUUUGUGUGACGUAAUAAUAUCUGUUUAUUUUUGUAUUUUUAAAAAGAUUUUUUUUAAAUAGAUAACUUUUGAAUCAUCAAGUAGUGAACACAAAAAGAGUGAAGAAAGUGAAGAAUAAUCAAAGUGGUGUGGAUCCACAUCAAUUUUUGUCCAUGUUUUUGGUAAUAUUAAUCUCUUUAUCCAUUUAUAGCCAUAGAAAAGAACAUCACCUACUGUGUUUCUUGUCUCUUCUUGUCUGGAAGAUAAGGUUUGUGAACCUUUGAGUGCCACUUAUUUUAGUACACAGACUGGAUAUUUGACUACAGCUUCACCGCCAGUUAAUUGUUUUUUCAAUUAAAAAAAUUUAUAUAUAGAUUUCUUCAACGUAUUUUUUAUUUCAAUUUUUUGAAGUAAAAAUCAAAAACUUUAUACACAAAUGUAGUCAAAUAAAUCGAGAAUUAUGUGUGUUGAUAAGUGAAAAAAAUCAUAAAUAAUGACUCAAAAUAAAAACUGGAAAAAUCAAAAGACAAGUAUAAAUCAAGAUAUUUUUUUUUUAUCAAAUGUAAAUCAAGAUAUUUAAUUUCACAAGACGUGAUAUUUACGUAGUUGUGUUUUCUAAAUUUUCUAAUUAAAAUAAUUUUUUUAUUCGAUCAAACGAUAAUAAAAACAGACAAACAAAUUAUAAAUUGAUUGAAUAAAAUAAAAAGAGAAAAAAUAAUAUAUAAGACCACAUAUUAGAAAUAUUAUUUGAAAAUAAAUUUCUUUUUAUUUUCAAAAAUAAAAUUCUUCUAUAAAAAAGAUUUUUAUAAGUAUAAAAAAGAAUUUUUUUAAUUUAUUCAGUUUUUUAAAUAAAGUUAAUCUAUCGCAAGAGUACACGAAAUAAGUAUUUUGCCGUCAUGCAUUUUUUUUCCUCAAGACCAUUUCCAUCAUGCACUGAUGAGUCCAGGAGACCAUUUCCAUCAUGCAUUUAUGAGUUCGUGAGACCAUUUCCAUCUGCACAUUGGUCCCUGAGACCGUUGCCAUCAUGCAUUUUUCCUCAAGGAGAGGCCGUGAGACGUCGUCUUCCAACCAUCAUGCAUUUUUUCCAAGAGAUGGGGCCGUACGCUCGGGGCUCUAAAAGCUAUGGUUUUUAAUUUUAUUAUGUCACGUCUACAAUGGCAAGUAUAUUUUAUUUCAAUUUAAAAAACUGAAUAAAUUUAAAGAUAUUUCAUCUAGUUUAAAAUCUUAUCUCUAAAUUUAAAGAUAUUUCAUCUAGUUUAUAUAACAAGUUAAAAUUUCAGAGCAAUCAGAGUUUAAAAAGAUUUUACGAGAAUAUUUUCAUAAUUUUAUUUAAAUUCUUUUUUUUUUUAUCAAUAUUCCUAACAUAAAUUGCUAUAUAUUUUGAAUCUUAACGAAUUAAAAGGUAGAAAAACGAUAAGAAUGAGAGACACAACAGUUCAAAAGAAAAAGAAAAAAGAACAAAAGUGAAAGAAAGAAAAGAGAACAAAAAUGGAGCAGUUUUUUAUUAACUAUAUAAAUUUUAUUGCAAAUAUGUAAACAUAUCAUGUGGGUUAAAAGAAAUGAUUUUUAUAAACAUAUAUGGCUUAACAAUAUUAAUCAACCCUUAAUAUCUUUCAUUUUAUAUAUAUAUUAAAAGUAAAUAUUAAAACCUAUUAUAUUAAUUUGUGAAGGUAUUUACUUGGAUGCGAAUUAUAUUUCUAAUUUUUUAUUAAAAAAGUUCUAUAUACUACACCUAGCUUAAGAAAGUCAUGUUCGUCAGGAUCAUAGAGUAAAAGAAAGAAAAAAUUGAAUUGCAUAAAAGUAUAGUGUUAUUCUCCGAAAAUAUCUUCGUUACUUGAUAAAACUCCCUAAACUACUAUAUGUUUCUAACAUAGUUAUUAAACCCGGCUCGGGGGUUGACCUGGCCAAAGGGCCGGGUCCCGGGUUUUAUUGGUCAACCCGGGUCAACUUGGGUCAACCUGGAUCAACCUGGAAAUUUUUAAAAAAAAAAUUAAAGUUUUAAUAUUUUAUAUGAAAAAAUUAAGAAAAAAUCCAUGUAAAUAUAGGCUAUACAUAUUGUAAAUAAUGAAGUUUAAAAGAAUAUUUUAAAAAGUUUUUUUUAUCUCACAUUAAAAAGAUAUUAUGUUAAGCUUUUAAGUUGAAGUAUUUAAAACAAAAAAGUUUUUUAUCCCACAUUGAAAAAACAUAACUUUUUUCUUGGGAACAUAGAGUAUAUAUACUAAUAGGGGUGUUUAAAAAAACUGACCAACCGAUUAAACCGAAAAAACCGAGAAACAAUUAACUGAAAAAACCGAACCGAUAUAAAAAACCGAAUAAAUCGAUUAAAAAAUAAAGAAAAACCACCCAGUUCGAUUCGAUUCCGGUUUAAAAAGGUUUAAACCGAUAGAACCGGACCAAACCGAACUAGUUUAAUUGAAUCUAAAAAAAGUAUAAAAGAAAACAUCCUAAACCUAAAUAGUAAAUACCCUAACUCUAUCUUUCCAGCCUCCCCACCUUUCCAGCCGCCCCCCUUCCCUUUCCCUUUCCCUUUUCCCCCUUCCCCUUUCCCUUUCCAGCCGCCCCACCCAUCCCUCCCUCCCUGCUCUCUCUCUCCCCCCCUUCCCCUUCCCCUUUCCAGUCGCCCCACCCUUCCCUCUCUCACGCUCCUUCUCCUGUAUGCUCUUUUCUCUCAUUUUCUCUCAUAUUGUUGCCUUUCUACUCUCUGCUUUAAUUUCUGGCAGAAAACUUGGAUAAAAUCCUUGUUUCUGGUUUUAUUAACAUGUAGUUGUGCUAGCGAAGUCCUGGUAGUUUGCAAGACGCUAUUAGAAUAUUUGUUAACAUGUAGUUGUGCUAACUUGGAUAAAUCUAGUAAUUGUGAUUCGGCUAAGGGAGAUCUUUCAGAUCUCAACCGAAGUGUAAAACCUCUGGGCGAAAAAUUAUAAAUUGACUAGUUUCAUGUAAAACAAAAGGAAAAAAAAUUUUUGUAACUCCCGAUCGGGUUAUCAAAAAAUUCUAAAUAUUUGCGUGGAGCAUUCUAAUAUGAUUCCUUAACUUGGGUUAAAAUUUCAGAAUUUUUAGAGAAAUUCAGAAAUUUGACGAAAAAUCACAAUUUGACUAGUUUUACCUUAUUGGAUGUAAUUUUAAAUCCGACCAUCAGAUUGAGCUGAAAUUUUAGGAGGAACCUUAAAAUACAUUGAAUAAAAUCUGGUUAAACUUUUAGGAUAAACGGAGCUCGGUAGUGCUAUCAAAUAAUAAGAAACGUCAAAUGGAAGCAAAAAGACUCAUUAAGGGUAAAAUAGUAAUUUGCCAUUAAAAAUAAAACAAGGCAGCCCCUUUUCUGUUAUGAACUGCCGACUGGGCAGUAGCAAAUGUGGAAAGAAAAAAAGAAAGAAAACAAGAGAAGAACAUGAGAAGUUAAGAGAAAAACAAGAAAAAGUGAGAGAGAGCUUUGAAACUUGUAAGAUUGAAAGGCUUAGAACAUUAAAUUAAGGAAGAAUCAAGUGAAGGAAGAUAUAAGAAAGGUGAGGAGGGCUGGCAACACUAGGAGGAGAAGAAAAGUUGGGAGAACUUAGAUUGGUAAGCAUGAAAAGUUUAGAUUCUUACUUGAAUGAAGUGUUUUUGGGUGUAUUUGAGUAAGUUAUCAAACAAUGACAAUUAAAUUUGAUUUAAUUUCUCAUAAUCUUGAUUUUUUUAAAAUUAGGGUUCUUAUGAGAAUUUGGGGAUUUUGAGAAAAAUAGUAAGCAUGAUGUAAUCGAGGUAGAAUAGUAUAGAAAUAGUGAAUGUAAGUAGUAAUUAAGAAGGAAAUUUAAUAAUGUUGAAGAAAAGAACUUGUAAUUAAGGAUGAGGAAAUAUAUGAAUGAGGUUUUGAUUGUUUUAUGUUUGAGAAUUGAUGUUCUUUAUCUUAUUUGAAGUAUUCAAAAUAUAAAUAAGUGAAGAAACAUCAUAAGAAUGUGAAAAGAAGGAAUAAAUAAAUGGUAGGAAAAGUUCAUGGGAGAAUUCUUUAAGUGAGUUAAAAGAAGAAAAUUUAUUAAAACUAUAUGUUGAAAACAAGGUGACAAAUGAAUGAAAAUUUUGGUGUAAACCCCAAUUAAAUAAAAGAUAUUACGUGCUUCAGAUUUAGGCACGUAUGAGAAAUGAUAAUGAAUUAAUAAUGUAGUGCAAUCUGAUUGAUUCAGGAGUUGUACCGGGAGCAGGGCAUCAAGCAAGAGGAGCUGGGCCAUCACGAGCAGACGGUAAGUGAUUUAUCACUUUCUUUUAAAAUUCAAAGUUUCAUUAUUAGUUAUGAGUUGUUUAUGACAUGUUGAUAUGAAAGAAGUAGAUGAAGAAAUUGUUGGUAUUAUAAUUGAAUUACCGGUUAAUAUGAAGUACCGGUUAGUUAACAUAGAAUUACCGGUUGGUUAGUAUAGAAGUACCGGUUGGUUAGUAUAAAAUUACCGGUUGGUAUGGAAUUACCGGUUGUAUUGGCUAUUGAUAGAGAAUAGCCGGAUGUUGGGUAAUUCGUAUGGAAUUACCUGGUAUAUUGGCUAUUGAUAGAGAAUAGCCGGAUGUUGGGUAAUUCGUAUGGAAUUACCGGUUGUAUUGGCUAUUGAUAGAGAAUAGCCGGAUGUUGGGUAAUUCGUAUGGAAUUACCGGUUGUAUUGGCUAUUGAUAGAGAAUAGCCGGAUGUUGGGUAAUUCGUAUGGAAUUACCGGUUGUAUUGGCUAUUGAUGGAGAAUAGCCGGAUGUUGGGUAAUUCGUAUGGAAUUAACGGUUUGAUAGUUGGCUAUUUAAGAGGGUUAGCCGGGUUUGAGGUAAAAUUAUGAAUUACCAAAUUAAAAAUUAAGCAAUGAGUGUUGGUCACAGAGGUCCUAUAAGUAUAAGAUUAAUAAAUUAUGAAUGGGUUAUGAAUGUUGAUAUAUAGUAAGUUGGUGAUGAAAGAUAAUUUGAUAUAAUUUUGAAGACUUGUGAACAUAAUAGCUUUAUCAUCUUUAAUGUGUUAUCUUCCUUAUUUCUUAUUAAUGUUAUGUAUACAGGUUUUUCACGAGGUUAUGCGGAGCUUUAAAUAUGGGCUUUGUGAUUUAAUCUGUUUAUUUUGUGGAAUGUAAUAUAUUUGCUUAAUAUGUAAUUUGUAUUCUAUGUAGUUGUAAUAUAUGUAUCCUGAAUAUGUUUUGCUUUUGGUACUUAUACUUUUAAAAUGUAUGAGUAAGGAACUAAUAUUAUUAAACUAUUCAAAAAGAAAAUUAGUAAUUAUAAUCUUGUAUGUGUAGAAGAUGAAUGCAUGUUAAUGUAAUAAUUAGUUCAAUAUGAAUCUUUUGAGUUUAUAAUUGUUUGUAGUUAAUGUGUUAUUUGUUGAUGAUGUAAGGUUGAGAAAAUACAAUGAAGUAUAGUUAUGUGAAAUAUUAUUUGAUGAGAUGGGAUAUGAUCCAGGAUGGUUGGAUCAAAGUGGAGGUUUUGAGUAUUGUGAUUGAAUGAAGUCUAGUCGAUAACUUGGUAACAUCAGAAAACAAAGGAAACUCUGCCGAAAUUUCAACAAAAAAAAAUCCCAUAAUCUUAGACAUACUAUUCAAUACUUGACAUUAGUAAAGAAAUGUUUGAGAUUUCAUGACAUUAUAAUUUGAGGGUGUUACAUUUGGUAUCAGAGCCUGGUUAAGGCUUAGGAGACCAUCAUUAACGUAAAAUAAUAUUGUUUCAGGAUGGUACGUACACGGCAAGAAGCCAGGGCUGACUCGUCACCAGCGAGGGACGAGCGUUUAGUUGAGACAGGAGAUAGAGGACUAGAGGGAGAUCCACUGGUAGAUACAGCAUCUUUUGUGCCAGCUGUGUCAGUGCAAUCUGGACAGGGAGAGUCAUCAAGACUUCGAGAUGAGCGGGGGGUAUUUGAUGGAGAUGGGCAGGGGACUCAGCCCCCACCAACAGUAGCGCCUGCAGUAGCACCAGCAGCACCCCUUGUGGCAGCACCUCCACUAUACCCAGAUCCAGCUUAUUUUGCGCAGUUGGUUCGUGCAGUGAUGAUAGAGAUGUCAGGACCAUUGAGUACUACCCCUAGGGAUACUGUGGUCAAUUUAGUUCGAUGGUAAAGAGUUUGAGGGAAUUAGGCUGUGAAGCAUUUAUGGGAGAGGAGGAUGCUGAGAUAGCUGGCCGAUGGUUACGAAAGAUAGAAAGGUCCAUGGAACAAAUAGCAGUACCAGCAGAGCUGUAGGUGGAUUGUGCGACUCAGCUGUUAUCGGACAGAGCUUAGACAUGGUGGGAUAUUGUUAAAGAGAGACGGGCUGCUGAGACGCUUAGAUGGAGGGAUUUCAGGACAGAGUUUGAGAACCAGUAUUAUUCCCGCCAACAUCAAAAGAUCAAGGAACAGGAGUUCUUGGCUCUUACACAAGGAGAUAUGACAGUAUUGGAAUAUGAGAGGCGGUUUCAGGACCUCUCUAUGUUUGCUUCUGUUUAUUUACCGACUGAGCAGCAUCGGAUCGAGAGACUCCGAGAUGGACUCCGACAGGAGCUGAAGAUGGGAUUGGCUGCUUUACAGUUUCCGACAGUGAGGGAUUUUAUAGUGGCCGCUCAGUCUCUAGAGGCCGUGGCAGCUGCAGGGCGGCGGGAAGGUGAUGGACAUGGUAUUAUGGGAGCAGAAAAGCGUAAAGAGCCUGCAUCGUUUAUAGGGAGACCUCCUUUUCCAAAAAAGGGAAAAGGAGGACAUUUUGGUCAGUUCAGAAAGAAAGGAGGAAAUUUUGGAUCAGGGGGUACAUCGAGUAGAUCUAUGCAGAGCUCACACGGAGGGCGGUCACACCCAUAAACUAGCUUACCAGGAGGAGUCGCAGAGGGCUCCAGGAUGACUACUUAUCCCCUGUGUGUGAGAUGUGAGCGUAGACAUCCUGGAGAUUGUUCGGCUACAUCUGGCAGAGGUUAUAUAUGCAGACAGGAACAUAGAUGGAGGGAUUGUCCCUAUCUAAAUGCAGCAUGUUAUCAUUGUGGAGAGCCUGGGCAUCGUAAGAGGGAGUGUCCUCAGAGGACUAUGGGGCAGGCGCAGAGACAAGGUUUUUCAGUACAGAGUCAGCAGUAGUCUGCGACCGUGCACAGGCUGAGUAGACCUACCCAGUCUGGGACUAGUGUCGUUCGAGGCCGACCUCGAGUACAAGGAGGUGGAGUUCAAGGGAGAGUUUUCCGUAUGACUCAAGAAGAUAUGCGAGCUGCCACUGAUGUUGUUGCAGGUACCUUACUGUUAGAAUCUCAGCCUGUAUAUACAUUGAUUGAUCCUGGUGCUACCCAUUCCUUUGUAGCUAGAAAAUGUGAAGAUAAAUUGAAAGUGCAGCCUAUGAGAGUGGGAAAAGGGGUAGUAAUUGGUACACCUUUAGGGGAAACUGUACUUAUCGAGUAUGUUUACAAGGGUUGUCGGGUAAGAAUAGGAGAUGUUGAAAUGAGGGUAGAUUUAUUACCACUAGACUUAUAUGAUUUUGAGAUGAUCUUGGGAAUGGAUUGGCUAGUAAUUUACAGAGCCCAAAUAGAUUGUUUUACUAAAACGGUAACUCUCCAGGAUGAGGGGGGUAGGAGGGUAGAGUUUAGAGGAGAGAGAAAUGUCAUACCAAAUAGUAUAAUUUCAGUUGUGACGGCUAGGAAACUAUUAAGAAAAGGAUGUACAACUUAUCUUGCCUAUGUAGUAGAUUUGGAAAAGAAAGAAAUAGAGUUGGAUAAAAUACCUGUAGUAAGGGAGUUUCCAAAUGUAUUUCCAAAGGAAUUACCCGGGUUACCACCUGAGAGAGAAGUAGAAGUUGCGAUAGAAACAUUGCCUGGAACUACACUAGUAGCUCAGGCACCGUAUCGAAUGGCGCCUAUAGAAUUGGUGGAAUUAAAAAUACAGUUGCAAGAAUUGCUGGAUAAAGGGUUUAUUCACCCUAGUGUUUCACCUUGGGGGGCUCCUGUGCUGUUUGUUAAAAAGAAAGAUGGAACAUUACGGCUCUGUAUAGAUUAUAGACAACUCAAUAAAAUGACUAUAAAAAAUAAGUACACCCUUCCACGAAUUGAUGAUUUGUUUGAUCAGUUAAAAGGGGCAUGUGUAUUUUCAAAAAUAGACUUGAGGUCAGGGUAUCAUCAGGUGAUGAUAAAGGAGAAAGAUUGCAGAAAACAGCUUUUAGAACUCGCUACGAGCAUUAUGAAUUUGUGGUGAUGCCUUUUGGAUUAACUAAUGCCCCAGCGAUAUUUAUGGAUUUGAUGAAUCGGGUUUUUCGAUCUUAUCUAGAUAAGUUUGGAGUGGUGUUUAUUGAUGAUAUACUAAUAUAUUCUUCGUCACAAAUGGAACAUGCAUAUCAUUUGAGAGAAGUGUUAGAGACCUUGAGGAGAAAUAAGUUGUAUGCGAAGCUGAGUAAGUGUGAAUUUUGGCUAAAUGAAGUGGUAUUUUUAGGUCAUGUGAUAUCGGAGAAGGGUAUCAGUGUGGACCCGAAAAAGAUAGAAGCAGUAUUAAAAUGGGAAAGACCUACGAAUGUGACUGAAAUUCAUAGUUUCCUGGGCUUAGCUGGAUAUUAUAGAAGAUUUAUAGAAGGAUUUUCCACAAUAGCCUCUCCAAUGACUCGACUAACUCGGAAGGAAGUUAAGUUUGAAUGGUCAAAAGAUUGUGAAGCAAGUUUCCAGGAGUUAAAAUCCAGGCUAACUUCAGCCCCAGUAUUGGCCUUACCAAAAGGACAAGAGGGAUUUGUUGUGUUUAAUGAUGCUUCCAGUAAGGGUUUGGGUUGUGUACUUAUGCAGCACGAAAGGGUAAUCGCUUAUGCAUCCAGACAGUUGAAAACACAUGAGGUGAACUAUCCAGUACAUGAUUUGGAGCUGGCAGCUGUGGUGUUUGCUUUGAGGAUAUGGAGACAUUAUUUGUAUGGGGUACAGGUACAGAUUUUUACAGAUCAUAAAAGUUUAAAAUAUUUGAUGUCAUAAAAAGAAUUGAAUAUGCGACAGAGGAGAUGGAUGGAGUUGAUCAAAGAUUAUGAUUGUAUUAUUGACUAUCACCCGGGAAAAGCAAAUGUGGUGGCAGAUGCUUUGAGUCGGAAGAAUAAAGCUUUUAUUGGUGGUUUACUAGUGCGAGGUGAUAGAGAACUUUUGGAACUAGGUGGACUAAACGUGCAUUUGGAUGUGACUUCAGGAGGAAUGUUACUAGCAACGUUAGUGCUACAAUCCGACAUGAGAGAAAAGAUUCGAAAAGCUCAAGGUGAAGAUCUCGAAGUGAUGAAAGAAAUGAAUAAUGUAAAAGUUGGCCAAGACUCUUUAUUUCGAGUGUCAAAUGAUGGGCUCGUAGUGAUGGGAAAAAUAAUAUAUUUACCUAAUGAUGACGUUUUAAAAGGUGAAGUCUUAAAAGAAGCUCAUGAGUCUAAAUUGGCAAUCCAUCCAGGGAGCACGAAAAUGUAUAGAGAUUUGAAGGAGAGUUAUUGGUGGCCAAAAAUGAAGAGGGAGAUAGCCGAAUAUGUGGCCAAGUGUGCCAUAUGUCAACAGGUGAAAGUGGAGCAUCAACGACCGGCUGGAGAAUUACAAUCUCUUCCGAUUCCAGAAUGGAAAUGGGAGAAUAUCACUAUGGAUUUUGUAUCUGGGUUACCGAAAAGCAGGAAAGGACAUGAUGCCAUAUGGGUGAUUGUGGAUAGGCUGACAAAGUCUUCUUUGUUUUUGCCUAUGAAGAUGGGGGAUUCGGUUGAAAAACUAGCUCAAUUAUAUAUUAAAGAGGUGGUGAGAUUGCAUGGUGUACCACUUUCUAUAGUAUCCGAUAGGGAUCCUCGGUUUACAUCAAGGUUAUGGCCGUGUAUACAACGGGCUUUGGGUACCAGAUUGAAUCUAAGCACAGCUUUUCAUCCACAGACUGAUGGGCAAUCUGAAAGGACAAUACAGAUUUUGGAAGAUUUGUUGCGGUCUUGUAUACUAGAGUUUGGAGGUCAAUGGGAGGAUCACUUGUCAUUAGUAGAAUUUACGUAUAACAAUAGUUAUCAAUCUACUAUUGGAAUGGCACCAUUUGAAGCAUUGUAUGGAAGGAGAUGUCGAACUGCAGUAUGUUGGGAUGAAGUUGGGGAAAGAAAAUUAUUGGGACCUGAACUGGUGCAGAUCACGGUUGAUAAGGUGAAGGUGAUAAAGGAAAGGAUGAAAGAAGCUCAAGACCGGCAAAAGAGCUAUGCAGAUAAUCGACGGAGACCACUAGAGUUUCAAAUAGGAGAUAUGAUAUUUUUAAAGGUUGCUCCAUGGAAGCAUGUCAUUCGGUUUGGAAUGAAGGGAAAAUUGGCACCUAGGUAUAUCGGGCCAUAUAAAAUUAUAGAAAGAAUUGGGACGGUUGCCUAUCGAAUACUGCUGCCACCACAUUUAGAUAGGAUACAUAAUGUGUUUCAUGUUUCGAUGUUGCGGAAAGCAGACCUGGAUCCUACACGAAUUUUGCCACAAAUUUCAAUGGAAGUGCGGGAAGAUUUAACUAUGGAGGUACAACCUGUUCAAAUUAUGGACCAAAGUAUAAAGGAAUUACGAAAUAAAAAGGUGCCGUUAGUAAAAGUAUUGUGGAGAAACUCUCAAAUAGAAGAAGAAACCUGGGAGAGAAAGUCUGAAAUGAUGAAGAAGUAUCCUGGAUUAUUUUCUUAUAGAGGUAUGAAUUUAAUUUCGAGGACGAAAUUUUUUUUAGGAGGGGAGAAUGUAAAAUCUCUGGGCGAAAAAUUAUAAAUUGACUAGUUUCAUGUAAAACAAAAGGAAAACAAAAUUUGUAACUCCCGAUCGGGUUAUCAGAAAAUUCUAAAUAUUUGUGUGGAGCCUUCUAAUAUGAUUCCUUAGCUUGGGUUAAAAUUUCAGAAUUUUUAGAGAAAUUCAGAAAUUUGAUGAAAAAUCACAAUUUGACUAGUUUUACGUUAUUGGAUGUAAUUUUAAAUCCGACCAUCAGAUUGAGCUGAAAUUUUAGGAGGAACCUUAAAAUACAUUGAAUAAAAUCUGGUUAAAAGUUUAGGAUAAACGGAGCUCGGUAGUGCUAUCAAAGAAUAAGAAACGUCAAAUGGAAGCAAAAAGACUCAUUAAGGGUAAAAUAGUAAUUUGCCAUUAAAAAUAAAACAAGGCAGCCCCUUUUCUGUUAUGAACUGCCGACUGGGCAGUAGCAAAUGUGGAAAGAAAAAAAGAAAGAAAACAAGAGAAGAACAUGAGAAGUUAAGAGAAAAACAAGAAAAAGUGAGAGAGAGCUUUGAAACUUGUAAGAUUGAAAGGCUUAGACCAUUAAAUUAAGGAAGAAUCAAGUGAAGGAAGAUAUAAGAAAGGUGAGGAGGGCUGGCCACACUAGGAGGAGAAGAAAAGUUGGGAGAACUUAGAUUGGUAAGCAUGAAAAGUUUAGAUUCUUACUUGAAUGAAGUGUUUUUGGGUGUAUUUGAGUAAGUUAUCAAACAAUGACAAUUAAAUUUGAUUUAAUUUCUCAUAAUCUUGAUUUUUUUAAAAUUAGGGUUCUUAUGAGAAUUUGGGGAUUUUGAGAAAAAUAGUAAGCAUGAUGUAAUUGAGGUAGAAUAGUAUAGAAAUAGUGAAUGUAAGUAGUAAUUAAGAAGGAAAUUGAAUAAUGUUGAAGAAAAGAACUUGUAAUUAAGGAUGAGGAAAUAUAUGAAUGAGGUUUUGAUUGUUUUAUGUUUGAGAAUUGAUGUUCUUUAUCUUAUUUGAAGUAUUCAAAAUAUAAAUAAGUGAAGAAACAUCAUAAGAAUGUGAAAAGAAGGAAUAAAUAAAUGGUAGGAAAAGUUCAUGGGAGAAUUCUUUAAGUGAGUUAAAAGAAGAAAAUUGAUUAAAACUAUAUGUUAAAAAUGAGGUGACAAAUGAAUGAAAAUUUUGGUGUAAACCCCAAUUAAAUAAAAGAUAUUACGUGCUUCAAAUUUAGGCACGUAUGAGAAAUGAUAAUGAAUUAAUAAUGUAGUGCAAUCUGAUUGAUUCAGGAGUUGUACCGGGAGCAGGGCAUCAGGCAAGAGGAGCUGGGCCAUCACGAGCAGACAGUAAGUGAUUUAUCACUUUCUUUUAAAAUUCAAAGUUUCAUUAUUAGUUAUGAGUUGUUUAUGACAUGUUGAUAUGAAAGAAGUAGAUGAAGAAAUUGUUGGUAUUAUAAUUGAAUUACCGGUUAGUUAACAUAGAAUUACCGGUUAGUUAACAUAGAAUUACCGGUUGGUUAGUAUAGAAGUACCGGUUGGUUAGUAUAAAAUUACCGGUUGUAUUGGCUAUUGAUAGAGAAUAGCCGGAUGUUGGGUAAUUCGUAUGGAAUUACCGGGUAUAUUGGCUAUUGAUAGAGAAUAGCCGGAUGUUGGGUAAUUCGUAUGGAAUUACCGGUUGUAUUGGCUAUUGAUCGAGAAUGGCCGGAUGUUGGGUAAUUCGUAUGGAAUUACCGGUUGUAUUGGCUAUUGAUGGAGAAUAGCCGGAUGUUGGGUAAUUCGUAUGGAAUUACCGGUUUGAUAGUUGGCUAUUUAAGAGGGUUAGCCGGGUUUGAGGUAAAAUUAUGAAUUACCAAAUUAAAAAUUAAGCAAUGAGUGUUGGUCACAGAGGUCCUAUAAGUAUAAGAUUAAUAAAUUAUGAAUGGGUUAUGAAUGUUGAUAUAUAGUAAGUUGGUGAUGAAAGAUAAUUUGAUAUAAUUUUGAAGACUUGUGAACAUAAUAGCUUUAUCAUCUUUAAUGUGUUAUCUUCCUUAUUUCUUAUUAAUGUUAUGUAUACAGGUUUUUCACGAGGUGAUGCGGAGCUUUAAAUAUGGGCUUUGUGAUUUAAUCUGUUUAUUUUGUGGAAUGUAAUAUAUUUGCUUAAUAUGUAAUUUGUAUUCUAUGUAGUUGUAAUAUAUGUAUCCUGAAUAUGUUUUGCUUUUGGUACUUAUACUUUUAAAAUGUAUGAGUAAGGAACUACUAUUAUUAAACUAUUCAAAAAGAAAAUUAGUAAUUAUAAUCUUGUAUGUGUAGAAGAUGAAUGCAUGUUAAUGUAAUAAUUAGUUCAAUAUGAAUCUUUUGAGUUUAUAAUUGUUUGUAGUUAAUGUGUUAUUUGUUGAUGAUGUAAGGUUAAGAAAAUACAAUGAAGUAUAGUUAUGUGAAAUAUUAUUUGAUGAGAUGGGAUAUGAUCCAGGAUGGUUGGAUCAAAGUGGAGGUUUUGAGUAUUGUGAUUGAAUGAAGUCUAGUCGAUAACUUGGUAACAUCAGAAAACAAAGGAAACUCUGCCGAAAUUUCAAAAAAAAAAAUCCCAUAAUCUUAGACAUACUAUUCAACACUUGACAUUAGUAAAGAAAUGUUUGAGAUUUCAUGACAUUAUAAUUUGAGGGUGUUACACGAAGGGCCCGAAUUCAAAGUUUUCAACAAGGAUUUUUCUGAAUGUGGUUCGGCCAAGUUUAUCCAGUGAUUGUGAUUCAGCCAAGUUUUCUUUAUUUAAUUGGUUUCGGUUUUUCUGGUUUUUCAGGCUAAAAAACCAACCUGAACUGAACAAAACCGGUUUGGUUUGAACCGAUUCUUGUUUCGGUCCGAGUUAUAUUAACAAGGAAUAGUAUUUUCCUGUUCGGUUCAAUUUUUAGGUUAAAACCGGAACGAACCGGACUGUGAACACCCCUAUAUACUAAUGAGUUUCAAAUCCCAUAUUGAAAAAAGAUAACUUUUUUCUUGGGAACAUAGAGUAUAUAUACUAAUGGGUUUCAAAUCCUACAUUGAGAAAACAUUGCUUUUUUUCUUGUGAACAUAUAGUAUAUAUACUAAUGGGUUUCAAAUCCCACAUUAAAAAGAUACUAUGUUAUCUUUUUAAGUUGAAGUAUUUAAACCAAAAAGUUUUUUAUCCCACAUUGAAAAAACAUAACUUUUUUCUUGGGAACAUGGAGUAUAUAUACUGAUGGGUUUCAAAUCCCACAUUUGAGAAAAAAAAAACAUCGGGUCACGGGUUAACCUGUCGGGUCAACCGGGUUUGGCCUAGUCAUUGCAUUGGCCAGUCUUUUGAUAAACCCGGACCGGUCCAGCUCCUGGGUCAACCGGGUCCCGGGUCGACCUACCAGACCGGUCCGGGUUUAAUAACUAUGGUCUCUAACAGUGAACACGAAAUAAGUAUUUUGCCAUCGUGCAUUUUUUUUUCCUCAAGAUGGGUUCGACAGACCAUUUCCAUCAUGCAUUUAUGAGUCCGUGAGACCAUUUCCAUCAUGCAUUUAUGAGUCCGUGAGACCAUUUCCAUGAGACCAUUUCCAUUUGCAUCAUGCAUUUAUGAGUCCGUGAGACCAUUUCCAUGAGACCAUUUCCAUUUCCAUCAUGCAUUUAUGAGUCUCACGUCAUGCAUUUAUGAGUCCUUUAUGAGUUCCUGAGACCAUUUCCAACAUGCAUUUAGGAGUCCGUUAGACCAUUGCCAUCUGCACAUUGGUCUAUGAGACUAUUGCCAUCAUGCAUUUUUCCUCGAGGAGAGGCCGUGAGACGUCAUCUUCCAACCAUCAUGCAUUUUUUCCACGAGAUGGGGCCGUACGCUUGGGGCUCUAAAAGCUAUGGUUUUUAAUUUCAUUAUGUUACGUCUAGAAUGGCAGGUAUAUUUUAUUUUAAUUUAAAAACUGAAUAAAUUAAAAGAUAUUUCAUUUCAUUUAGAAUCUUAUCUCCAUCCAUGAAUUUCACCUAAAUUCUAGUUGAAAUGUUUCGGCUCUAUUCCAGCCAUUCCAAAUAAUGUUAUGUUUUGUUUUUAUAAAAAAAAAUAUAGUCUAUUUUUACGAUAUCAAUUAUAUUUCUCAAUCUAAUUGUUGGAUUAAACUAAAGUUUUACGAGGAAUCUCCUGACAUAUAUUUAUAUCGCAAGUUAAAAUUUUAAAGCAAUCAGAAUUUAGAAAGACUUUGCGAGAUUAUCGAUGAUAUUUUCAUAAUGUUAUUCAAAUUCAUAAUUUUGUUUCAAAAGGUUAUUUUUUGUGUCUUUUUUUAGAUUGAUUUUUUUUUCAAUUUCAUAAUUCAACAAUAGGUUUAUUUAAAAUUAAGAUUCAUAAUUUGUUUUGAUUUGUUUUAUUUGGAGUUAAUAUGGUCUCAUGACCUGUGUCGCACGUAUGCGGCGUCGCGGCGAAUAUUCUACUUCAAUUUAAAUAUAUUUAUCUGGCAAAUAUGAGGAGACAAGAAAUUCUUGUCUUUUAUUAGUGGAAAAUGGAAUGGGAGUCGCCAUCUAGUAUUUUGGUCAUUAGGAACCCUAACUAGUCUCAGAGAUUGGGUACAGGGACUGAUUGCGUAAAGGAAAGGCAUUAGCACCCCAAAUACAUCUUACCUAAGGUAAGCUGUAUUGUUUGAUUGUCUGAUAAAAAGCUAAGGUGUUAUUAUAUUUCUAAUUGUUGGUCCGUCUAUGGUUCAAGAAAAGUCCUCCUCAAUAAUGAGGUCCUUUAUCUUAUCGGGUAAAAUCCUAACCGUUUUAACAUCUAUAUAAAAAACUAUAUUUUUAAUAUCAGGAAUACAUUUUACAUAUAAAUUCAUAAUCCCAGAUACUAAAAGAAGACAAAAAUAUUUUUUUGGAAUUUUUGAAAUAUUGGCCUAGUUCUCAUACCUCUAACAAGCUUGUUAUUAAAACCAAAGUGCAUGUUAAAAUCUUUUUUGAAUUUUUUUUGUAUAAAAAAAACAAUAUGAUUUUUUUAUUGUAUGAAAAUACGAUGCGAUGAUUUUUCUUACCUUUGAGAGACUUGGCCGUAUGCAUGAAAAAAAAUAUAUUUUUUAUUUUUUUUUGUUUUAAAUUUUUUUUUGCAAUGUUUUGACAAAAACCGGAUAUUUUAAUACUGGAUUUGUAUCUUUACGGUAUAAAUAUACAAACCAAUAUUAAACAAAUUUGAUAAAAAUAUACCGUAAAAACAACAAUUUUUUUAAGGAUUUUUCAGAAUUUUUAAUUUUUUUGUAUUUUCAUACAUAUAAUAUUAUAAUUAUGUGGGCUGGGCAGGCCCAGCUAACUGGGCCAGACGCAGCCCAAAAGGGUUGGGCCGAUCUCGGUCCAAUAGUUCUCUCUGCUUCAUCAGGGCUGGGCCGGACCCGGCUCAGACAUCAUGGCUGGGCCAGAACCGGCCUAGCCUAGAAAGUAAAAAUGGGGAGGGGAAUUAUUUCCCCCCUCCCAUCCUCCUGCAUGCAGAACGAUAUUCGUUCUGCAUGCAGGGGAAACUUAUACCGAAAAUGAAGUAAAAGUGGAGGGGAAGAAGAGUUACCUGGCGCGAAGGAGGCGGUGCCUUGCUUGUAAACCCCGGGAAAAAUAAUAAAUAAAUAAAAGUGAAGAAAUUCAUGCAUAUGAUUAAAUAAAAACAGAAAUUCAGAAACUUUUGAAUAUAAAUUUCCGGGCGAAAUAAUUCGAGACAUUAUAAUAAACCCAGUAUUGUUGAGGGUUGGAUUUAAUUGAAGGGAAUAAUACACUUAAAGGAAAAAGGGGGGUCUAAAUGCAAAUAAGGGAAAAUAUUGAGUAUAAAUACUCUCUCCUCACCAAGACAAUCUGUAGGAACCAUAAGGAGAGAAAAUAGAGAGUUUUAUACCCAUUCUCGAGAAAUCAAGAGAGAAACACUAAAAUUUUAAGAACCCAUCCAAGAUUAAGAGCUUAAAGAUGGGAUAAACACUUGAGAGCAAAGGAUUACCAAGAAAUUGAACAAGAAGAAAAGACAGGAGGGAAAUUGAACAAGAAGAAAAGAAAAGAGGGAGUUGAGAAUCUUCAACUGGUUGAAGAUCAAAAUCUUAAUUUGUACCGGGUAAGGUAUUCUAAACAUGAUCUUAAAAAAAUUCAUUUUUUAAAUUCGAUAAAGAAUUGAUGCCUUGAUAUUGAAUCAUAGGUUAGGGUUCUUAGACAUAAAUUGGGGAAAAAGUAUUUAUUAUUGAGAUUAAGUUAAUUCAUGUGUGUGGUAUGUAGUUAUGAAAGUAUUGUGUGAAGGAGAGGGGGAGACGAAUCUGGACAGACUUGUCUCCUAACUUUCGAUGAGAUUUCGGGUAGAAGGAUGAGGUGAUUAGGAUCGGGUUCCUCAUAGAAAUUAUAGAUUUGAAUGUUAGCUAACCAAGGAAACUGGUCUUGCUCAAUUUGGAAAUGUAGAACUCCAGUUAUGGGUUACCAACUGAGACUGAGUCGUGACUGAUUAUGUAGGGCAGUAGGACUAAUUAGUAAAUGAACAAUUUUUGACUAUCUUGGAGGCAAAACUGGGUUCUCCUCCCUUAGAGAACUAGUAGCCUCAUGUCUUAGCUUUCUAACGAGAUCAAUCUCAGUUAAAAUGGAGUUUUAGAACUUUAGGUAUAGUUAAAAAUAUGAUGAGUGUUCAGACAGUAACAGUUGGAAAUUGGACAGUAACAGUUCAAAGUCAAACAGUAACAGUUCAAAGUCAGACAGUAACGGUUGGAAAAGUCAGACAGUAACGGUUGGAAAAGUCAGACAGUAACAGUCGGAAAAGUCCGACAAUAACGGUGGGAAAAGUCAGACAGUAACGGUUGAAAAAGUCAGACAGUAAUGGUUGAAAAAGUCAAACAGUAACAAUUAGAAAAGUCAAACAGUAACAGUUGGAAAAGUCAGACAGUAACGGUUGGAAAAGUCAAACAGUAACAGUUGGAAAAGUCAAACAGUAACGUUUGAAAAGUCAGACAGUAAUAGUUGGAAAUUGGAUAGUAACAGUUCAAAGUUAGACAGUAACAGUUGGAAAGUGGACAGUAACAGUCCAAAAUUAGAUAAUAACAGUAGACUUUCAUGUGAAUACUAUAAAUAAGAAUAUAAAAGAAUUGAGUCAUACGAACACUUGUAUAUUGAGAUAUUAACUCGGAAAAUAUACAUGAUAUAUGUAUGUAUGUUAUUAUGAGGAAAUGAACAUGCAUAGAAAGUAAUAUAUGAGUAAUGGAUGAAUAUGAAUUCUCUAUAAUAUCGGCUUGAAAGAAUCAUAACAAAAAAAAAAAAACUUCUUUGUGAUUCAGGAGGAGCAACCAGGAUUGGAUCUUCUGUUAGGGGAGGUCGCGAGACAGGCGAAGCAGGUGCGUGAUUUUCCCUCAUAUUUACACUUAUACAAUUUAGAAUCUUCUGGUGAAUGCAAUUAUAAUAAAUAUCGUGUUCAAUGUAAAUAAAGCCUAGUGUAUUUACAAGAUUAGCUUCGGCUAAUGGCAUCCGUGAUAGGAUUGCCGGGAUAUGAUUUACACGAUUAGUUUCAGCUAAUGGCAUCCGUGAUAGGAUUGCCGGGAUAUGAUUUAGAUGAUUAGCUUCGGCUAAUGGCAUCCGUGAUAGGAUUGCCAGGAUAUGAUUUACAUGAUUAGCUUCGGUUAAUGACAUCCGUGAUAGGAUUGCCGGGAUAUACCUUGCAAGGUCACCCAGUUUAUGCAAGUAAAUAAGAUUAUUCAAUUAAGAAUAUACAAAUGAGUGUUAAUUGGGUUUAAAAGAUUUACAAGCAAAAUAUAAGUUUUUGUUAGAAUUCUCAUGGAGUCGAUAGAAAGCUAAUACUUCAUUCGUAUUCAUUACAUGAGCAUACAUAUAUUCUUUAUCAACAUAAUGGUAUGUUUAUUUAUGUAACAGGUCCAUCAAACAUCAAGGAAGAUCAUUAGUUUAGGACUCUACUUUGUGAAACUUAUGUAAAUAUUUAACUUAGAACAAAAGGGAAUUAACGUGUUUAUGUAGUAUACUUUUGUGCAAACCUUGAUGUAUUUAUAAAGGUUCAGCUUAGCAUGUAGUAUUUUAGUUAUCUUGUAAUUAAUCCUUUUGAAAUAUUUAAGAACACUUCUUAUUUUGUAAAUACUUUCUUUGCAUGUUAGUAUUCCUUUUCCUUUAAAUUUUAUGAUAUAAUGUGUUGGACUAUGUUCAUAUUGAACUUACUCGUAGGAUAUAUAUAUAUAUAUAUUGUGUGGAUGGUAUGAGGUGUGGAAUUAUGAGGUUUGAUAUAAGGUCCGGAAUUAAGGGACCUUGUGAUGAUGGGUUGUUUGAGUGAACUGAUAAUAGUCGAUAACUUGGGAUGUCCUAAAUGUAAACGAAACUCUGCCGAAUUUUCAGGAAAAAAAAAUUACCCUCAAAUAAAGAGGAUAUGUUGGAAUUCUUUUAACAUUGAUCGAGUCGUACAGUCGGACUAUUACAUUGCUGGUCUGGCUGCUUCGCUGGCGGUGCUACGGUGGAGGCCGAUGGCGGUGUCGUGGCUCACGAACGGCAGCUCUAAGCAGCGGUGUUGCUAUUUCAAGCGACAGAGAGAUAGGUUACUGCUCUUCCCCUCUCCUCUAGUGUUUCGUUUUUCUUUCUCUUCUUUCGUUGUCAAGUGGUUUCCCUCUUUGUACUCCCUACUCUCCUAUUUGUUUCUCUCUCAAACCCUCCCCUGUUUCGAACUUCCCCGUAUUCUUUCCUUCCUGUAUCUAUUUCAUUUCCUCUCUUUUCUAUUCUCUCCGUCCUCUCUUUUUUCCUAUCCCUUGUUCUGGUGUUAAAAGCAAUAUUUAUAGGUAAAACGGGAGCAGGGGCAUCCCUAUCGCCGCCCUAUUGCUGCGCAUGGGGAGCAGGGCUUUCCUGCCCUGCCACGGCGCCUGGUUAGUUGGCCAAUGGGCGUGGCUAGCAAAGCGUGGCUCUCUCAGUUUCUCAUCAUGAGGAGGCAUGGGGCUUUGGCAGAGCACGCGGCAGGAAGGAGUAAAGAAGAAAAAACAAAAGCUUCUAUCUUCCGUUGCUGCACGUUCAGGGGAAGAAGGAGGAGGAACAGUGUUGCUCAAAACAACACUGUUCUGUUCUAUUUUUUUUUUAACAUGAAACGGCGUCGUUUUGGACAAAACGCGCCAUUUCAUUUAAAUAUGGUGCCAGCGCGUUCACUUCCAAAUCAGUCCUUAAUUUAUCCUUUGUUCAUUUAAGUCCUCAAAUGUAAUUUUGAUUUUAAGAAUCAAUUUCAUUGCAUCCUUGCCAACUUCAAUCGCCGCCCCUAUAGUUGGCCGCCUUUUUCACUUUAGUCCUUGGUUUUGAAUUUGUGCAUUUUAACCCUCAAUUGAUUAAUAAACUUCAAAUUUCUUCAAUUUGGUCCCUGAUUCGAUCACUUUCAGUCCCUAUAUUUACGCGUCUUUUCCAGUUUGGUCCUUGGUUUUGGAUUUAUGCCAUGACGUCCCUAAUUGGCCACCAAACUUCAAUAUUUAUGCAAUUAAGCCCUUGAUUUGACCAAAUCAACUCUCAAAAAUUAUAAUUUGACCCUAGAACUUUAAUUUUUUCCAAUUAAAGCCCAAAUUGACUUAAAAACCAAAUUUUCUUGCAAUCAAACCCUCUAUAAAUUCAGUUAAACCUUCAACAAAAUCAAAUUGAGUCUAUAAACAUCCAAUUUUAGACUUUUCUCCUCAAAUUGAAUUUUCUUUUCUAACAGGACUCUCAUCAUUCAAGUAUAUACUGUCAAAAUUUCAAUCUUUGUAUUUUUUUAACCUCCUUAAUCAAUUGUUCUGAUCAUUUUCUAUGUGCUCCAACAUCCUACUGCUAUUAUUAUUUUUUCCAAUUUCUUUCGAAUAUAUUAUUAUUUUUUUAACCUCCUUAAUCAAUUGUUCUGAUCAUUUUCUGUGUGCUCCAACAUUCUACUGCUAUUAUUAUUUUUUUCAAUUUCUUCCGAAUAUAUAUUUAUAUAUAUUUUUUCUUUUUUUGUGCGGGGACCCAAAAAUAGGUUACAACAACCUGGGUCACGAAUUUCAAAGGUUAACCUAGAUUAACUCGAAUCGAUCCAAUAUGUUGUUGUCUCAAUACUUUUUUUAAAAAAAGUAUGUCAUCUUGAGCUUUUUUAAGUAAAUCUAUAUUUUUAACAGUCGUCCAAACAAUCUUUGGGCCCAUCGAAUCGAUCGGGUUAUAUCGAUUCAUCUCUUAUUUUUUCACUUAUAUUUGAAAUUUAAACUGUAUAAUUUCAAGUUAGUUUAUCUUUAAAUUUGAAUUGAAAUUAUAUUUGUUAAAUUAAUAUUUUAAAUUAUAUAUAUAUAUAUAUAUAGAACAACCCAAAAUGACACGUCAAAAUACUCAAAAACCAAAAUAUAUUGUUACAAUUAAAAAAAUAAAACAACAAUUGACAACCUUCUUGGUAGAAGCCUGAAACUCCUCGCUGCCAUUUGCAAGAGAUAGUUACUUAUACCAGUAGCAAUUUAGUAAUGAUUGAUCAACAUUUAUAUUAAGCUGGGCCUAUUAAUUCAAAUGUUGAUGGCGUUAGUAACAAUGAUUUUCUUGGAAGGAUGGCUGCCUCUCUUGGUUGCUUGAAAAUAUACGGUUUUUUUAGUUCAAAUCUAUUAAUAAAAAUAUAGUUUUAUUGAAUUUUUUUUAUAUACUUUAUUAGAGAAAUCAAUGUAAACAAAUUUAUGGACAAACACUAGAUUAUCAAGUACUUCAAUAGAAAAAUAAAAUCAAUUAGAGUACUGAAUAAAAAAAAUAUAAAUUAUAAGUAUUUUACAUACUUUAUUGUUCAUGAAUUAAAAAUAAAAUAAAAUAAAUCCUGACUAACCUAAAAGGAGUUAACUAUGACAUCAUCAUUUUGAUAAUAAAACUAAUGAAGAUAUUUUAUUGAUUAAAUUCCGUGAAUAUAAGUAUUUGAAUUGAAAAAAAAACAUUGAUACAAGCUUUUAAAUAAAUUUUUUUAUAAAAUACAUAUAAUUUGUACUUGUCAUUGUCUCUUUUGCAUUGCUAAUACUUAACUAAUUGAAUAUAUAAUUCUCAUGUGAAUAAUGUCAUAAUAAAUUUAGUUGCAUGAAUAAUACUUAUUUUUUUUUAUUUUAAAAAUAUUUUAAAAAAAUUAAAUUUUUUUAAAUAGAUAACUUUUGAAUCGUCAAGUAGUGAAACACAAUAAGAGUGAAGAAAGUGAAGAAUAAUCAAAGUGGUGUGGGUCCACGUCAAUUUGUGUCCAUGUUUUUGUUCACAUUUUUGGUAUGUGAACCUUUGAGUGCCCACUCAUUUUAGUACAUAUACUUAGAUAUUUGACCACAGCUUCACCACAAGUUAAAAAAAAAUUUCAAUUAAAAUAAAUAAAUAUAAAUAUAUAUAUAUAUAUAUAUAUAUAUAUAUAUAUAUUUCUUCAACAUAUUUUGUUAUUUAAAAAAAAAUUAAGUGAAAUUUAAAAAAUUUAUACACUAAUAUAGUCAAAUAAAUAGAGAAUUAUGUGUGUUAAUAAGUGAAAAAAAAACCUUAAAUGAUGACUCAAAAUAAAAACUUGAAACAUCAAGAUACAAAUAUAGAUCAAAAUAUUUAAUUUCAUUAGACGUGACAUUUACGCAGUUGUGUUUUCUAAAAUUUCUAAUUAAAAUAAUUUUUUUAUUCGAUCAAACAAUAAUAAAAACAGACACACAUUAUAAAUUGAUUAAAUAAAAAACUAAUAAUAUGCAAGGCUGCACAUAUUAGAAAUAUUAUUGAAAAUAAUUUUUUUUAUUUUCAAAAAUAAAUUUCAUCUAUACAAAAGACUUUUAAAAAAUAUCGAUUAAUUAGAAAAACCUCCUAAAAAAUAAAAAACAAUAAUCAUCAUUUCAAAUAGAUUUUCUAAAUAACAUAAAAGAGAGAAGCGAUAUAAAUAUAAAUAUAAAUAAGAUUAAGAUUAAUUUUUAAAAAUAGAAAAAAAACGAAAAUAUUUUUUCUUAAACAAAAAAAAGUGAACAGUGUCGUCACAGUAAAACUUGUGGGGUGAACCCGAACCAUGAACUCCACCUGGUUUAAUAUUGUCUCCAUAAAUUUAUAGCAAACCUAUAAAAAAGUAAACAAUGUCGUUCACGGUAAAACAUGAGAGGGUGAACAGUGCAAUUGCACAGUGUUCACCUCACGUAUUUUCUCUUAAAUUUAUAGCAAAACCUUAAAAAAAAAAAACAAUGACCAAUGUCGUUCAUAGUAAAACAUGAGGGGGUGAACAAUGCGUCUGCACAGUGUUCACCCCGUACGCUUUAGCUUAUUUACGGUGAACCUGAACCAUAAACUUAAUCGGGUUUAAUAUUUUCCCCCUUAAAUUUAUAGCAAACCUAAAAAAAGGUGAACAAUGUCGUCUACAAUAAAAACAUGAGGGGAUAAACAGUAUGGUUGCAUAGUGUUCACCUCACAUAUCUUCCCCUUAAAUUUAUAGCAAAACCUAAUAAAAAAAAACAGUAAACAGUGUGUCCACUGUAAAACGUGAGGGAGUGAACAGUGCGGCUACACAGUGUUCACCCCACGCGCUUUAGAUUAUAAGUAACUAGUUUUGUAUUGGCGCUCUGCGGUGGGGUGGUUAUUUUUUAAGUAAAAAAAACUAAUAAGCAAGCUCUUACAAUGCGCUUUUUAAUAUAAUUUUUUUUUCAAUCACAAAUCAAAAUGCCUAAACAUGUAUUUAGUAAUUAGAUCGAUAUUUGACAAAGAGAUAACUAAGAUUAAGAUAUUUGAUAUCGCGACAUGGGUCAUGUGCUUAGUUGUGUUUGUACAACCAUAUGGUCCGAUAAAAGGUAACAAAAAAGUCAUACCCAAUGAUGAAUGAAGAAACUGGAAAAAAAAACAAUGAAAAAAGAGACACAGGUCAAACUGUAUAAAUACGCUAACCCUGUGACCAUGAGAACAAGAUUGAGAUUGUAACAGCCUGGCCCAACCUGCCAUAUAUUGUCCGCUUUGGGCCUUACCGCCAUCACGAUUUUGUUCUUGAUGACACGAGCUCACUUUUGAGCCUAACGCCCCAAAACGCGUAUAAGAAGUUAGCACUAGCACUACUAAUAAGGCCAGCAACUAACUCCUCACCCGCCGAUGUGGGAUCUUACAGAGAUAAUCCUAUAAAAAGGAAAGUGAAAAAAAAAAGCACAAAUACCAAUUCUAAAAAAGAUUAAUGUUGAAGGAUGAAAUUGAAGAAAGCAUAAGGAUACAUGAUUUCGCAAAUCGAUUCAUGCACCAAGUUGUGUUUAAUAGCUUUGUUUUUUAGAAUAUAUUUUUUAUUUAAUCAAACAAUUAUCUAUGCAAAUAAAAGGUAAAAAAUCACAAAUAAAAGCAAACUGAAUCAAAUCAUGAAGCUCAAUUAUAAAAUAACCCAAAGUUGAAUGAUGAAACUUUUUAAAAAAUAAUUAAGAAAAACAAAAAAAAAUAUAGGCCAACCCGCGUUAACCCGAUAACCUUGCAAUUAUCGGCACAUGAUUGAGAUAACCCCAUAGAAAAGAAAGUGAAAGAAAAAAAUAUGAAGACCAACUUCCAGAAAAAUUAAAUGUUGAAGGAUGAAAUUAAUAUAUAUAUAUAUAUAUAUAUAUAUAUAUAUAUAUAUUAAAAAAAGACUUAAAAAACAUCAAAGUUAAUAUGUGUUAACAUUUGAAACUUAUGAUUGUGAUCAUAAGACCAAGACUACCAAGCAUAAUUCAAACCCCAAAAGCAAUGAAGCAGAUUUUUCAAUAAAAGAACAUCGAGGCAUGAAACUUUCAAUAAAAAAACAACAGGAAAAAAAUAUGAAUCAAUUAAGAUUAACUUGUUAACUCUACGACUAUGGAAACAUGAUUGGGAUAACCCUUUUAAAAGGAAAGUGAUAGAGAGAGAACAAAAGUGGAACAAUUUUUAUCAACUAAAUAAACUUUAUAACUAUUAAUAUUAAAUUCAAAAUAUGUACAUAUUGAAAAUAUUUAAACAUAUCAUGUGGUUUAAUAGAAAUGAUUUUCAUAAACAUGUAUGGCUUAACAAUAGUAAUCAACUCUUAAUAUCUUUCAUAUUAUAUAUAUUAAAAAUAAAUAUUAAAACCUAUAAUAUUAAUUUGUGAAUUUAUCAAUUCAGAUGUGAAUUAUAUUUCUAAAAUGUUAUAAGAAAUUUCUAUAUACUACAACUAGCUUAAGAAAGUCAUGUUCAUCGAAACUAUAGAGUACAGAAAAAAAAUGAAUUGCAUAAAAUUAAGUAAUUAACCGAAACUUAUAUUACUUCUUAAAACGUUGACCCCAAGUCAAUUUUAUUUAUUUAUUUAUUUAUUGGAAAAACAUGAAUAAAAGGUUAAUGCUAGGCAUAUGACGAUGAUAGAUAUAGAAGACUUGCUACUUUCUUUAUGGAAAUUACGUGUGGAAAAUUUAGGCCUUGAAAAAAAUUGAAAAUAAAAUACUAUUAAUCGUGUUAUUUGCAUUCUGACAAUAAAACUAAUAUAGAGACUUGAUUGAUAAAAAUUCAUAAUUAAGAGCAAGUAUUUAAAUUAAUUAAAAAACAAAAAUCAAUCAAUACAAGUUUUUAAUUAGAAUAAACAAGAUAUAAAAUGCUGUGUAAGUGUCACUAACUCUUUGUAUUUUCUAACUAUUAAAGAAUUGAAUAUAUAAUACACGUGUGUGAAACAACAAAAUAAAUCCAAUUGUAUAAUAUACUAAGAUUUUAAAAACUAACACUACAUAGAUAAAAAAAAAAAAAAAAGAAGAAGCUCAAGGCCUAUUUAGAAAACUAAGCACCGUCAAAUUAUUUUUUAUACGAAGGGAUGGUUUUAUACAAAGAGAUGGGUCCCUAAGCUGUACAUGACAUAUAAAAAAAUAAAAUUGAAAGAUAAUAAAAUUAAAAAAAAAUAAUUCUAAUCUUAUAAAUUAUUUUAAAUAAAAUAAAUAUUGAUCAAAAGAAUAAAAAUCAAAUUUGAUAGAUAAAAAUUUUAAUAAAAAAACAAAAAAAAAACUAAAUGAUGACCAAAAUUAAUAUAAAAAUCAAAUUACAAGAUAUAAAAUUAAAAAAAAAUCAAAACAAAAUAAAACCAUUUUUUUCCUAAAAGAUAUUCAGAUUAAAAGCAUUAUAAAAAGAAUUAUAUAUAUACUUGACCCGCUGGGUUGAUCCACGACCCGGCAACCUGGUUGAGACCCAAUUUUUUUUUCAAAUGUAUUUUUUUCUCCUAGUCAGAGAUCCCUCUUUCUUAUAUAUUUUUUAGUUGGUUAUUGACCCUUUUCAAAGUUCACUAUAUAAAUACUAGAAGAAUAUUUUAUUUUUUCAAUGUGGGAUUUGAAGCUCUUUAAUAUAUAUACUCUAUGUUCACAAGAAAAAAAUUAUUUUUUCAAUGUGGGAUUUGAAAAAAAUUAUUCCAUUAGACACUCAGAGUUUUAUUUUUUUUCUCUAAAUUAUAAUGUGAUCAGGCCUAUGUGACUUAAAUCAUCUCCAAAUACUAUAUAUGAGUGAUAAUGAUCUCAGUGGUUUCUUUUCUCUGUGUCUGGCAAAUUUGACUUCGCUUCAGCUACUAGAUCUCUCUUCCAAUCACUUGAAGAACCCUAUGUCAUUUAACCCAUUAUACAACCUUUCAAAACUCAAGUCUUUUUAUGGUUUAGGUAAUGAAAUAUACGUAGAAGAAGACGAAGACGAUCAUAAUUUGAACCCAAAGUUCCAGUUAGAGCUCCUUGAUUUAAGAGGUUGUGGACAAGGUGCGAGAGCAUUUUUAUGGGGAUCUUACAAACAUCCAAAUAAAGGGAGAGUUUUCAAAUUGGUUGAUUGAGAACAACACAUACCUAUAUUAUCUUUAUUUAGAAAACUGUUCUCUUUCAGGUCCAUUUUUAUUACCAAAGAAUUCUCAUGUGAAUUUGUCAAUAUUAAGUAUAUCCAUGAAUUACUUUCAAGGACAAAUCCUUUCAGAAAUCAAAGAUCAUUUGCAAGGGUUAGAAGUUCUAUAGAUGUCUGAUAAUGGUUUGAAUGGAAGUAUUCCUUCCUUAUUGGGUAACAUUACCUUGUUGCAAGUGUUAGACCUAUCCAACAAUAGCUUGCAAGGGCAGGUCCUUGGAUGGAUAGGGAAUAUGCCUUCUCUUUAAUUCUUAGACCUAUCAGGGAACAAUUUCUCUGGUCCUUUACCGCCUAGAUUCGACACUUCUUCAAAAUUAAGAUAUGUUUAUUUGUCUAUAAAUAAGUUGCAAGGACCGAUCGCAAUGAAAUUUUAUGACUCCUCUGAGAUAUUGGCCUUAGAUCUUUCUCAUAAUAAUUUAACGGGUAGAAUUUCAGAAUGGAUUGACAGGAUAUCUAACUUGAGAUAUAUAUGGUGUGACUAUGCCACCUUCACCAACGCCAACUUCAACGAAAAAUGAAGAUAAUGAUGGCUUCAUGGAUAUGGAGGUUUUCUAUAUGAGUUUUGGGGUUGCAUAUAUCAUGAUGUUGCAGGUGAUAGGUGUAGUUCUGUACAUAAAUCCAUAUUGGCAAUAAGCUUGGUUUCACUUUAUUAAGGUGAGCAUCAACAAUUGCUAUUAUUUUCUGGUGGACAAUCUUCCCAUUUUAUCUAAGUUUGGAUUUUCAUAGCCUUUUAUCUUGAUGGUUCUAAGCCUUGGCGCAUCGUUUUGGACUUUAGUUUCAAGAUUUAAAUAAGUUUAUAUUGAUUUUCAUUUGAGUUUUGUUUUUGUUUUUGUUUUUAGCUUAUGUGUGAUAUAUAAUAAUGAAGUUUCUUCACUAAUUGCUCUAUGAUUGGAUUUAUAAACUUAGGACUAGUAGUUUCUACGUGAAUUAAUAAGAGGAUGGCUUGGUAUUUUGGAUUGGGUUUGUCAGACUGCAUGUUUCAAUAAAAUAGAUUACUAAAGGGGAUCGAUUUUGAUUAUGAUUUGAUGUGGGAAAUUCUCUGCGUGCCUACAUAGAGCGUGGCUUCUUGAAACUCCAAAAAAUAUAUAUAGGUUAGUCCGAAAGAAUUUAUAUAAUCAACCCUAAUCAGAAUUUCCCAAGAAAGAAUUAACUAAAGACUUUAGUUAAUGCUGAUGAACACGAGAAAAUGAUUUGCUAAAGAAAAAACCAUGUAUUUAAGAACCAUUGCUAAGCUAAAGGUUCUGGAGCCAUAAACCACUAAUAUUUACUGGGGUUGAUCCCAAAUUCAGACAAAUCCAUUUGUCCAAUUCGGAGAACCUUCAAACAAAAAGAAGAAUUAAACCUCGUAAAAUUGGCUAUCAUCAAAAGGACAAGAACAUAACAAGAAGGAUAUGGUCAAUUUCACUAUUUGAGCAGAACACACCUCCAACACCAAUAUUACUCAGGAUUCUUUGCAAGUCUUCCAAUUUCACUUGUUUUGAUGAAGAGUUUACAUCACUCAUUACUUCUGCACCAAGGUCUGGGACAACUAUUCUAGGUAUGUGUUGUUCUCUAUCAACCAAUUUAGAAACUCUCUCUUUAUUUGGAUGUUUGUAAGAUUCAAAGAUUGUAGGUUCAACUGAUGGUAAAGAAACUUGGGAAAUGCUCCACCUUGUCCAUGGCACCUCAAACCAAGAGACUCUAACUGGAACUUUGGGCUUAAAUUAUGACCAUCUUCUUCUGCAUAUAUUUCAUCAUCCAAACCAUGAAAAGACUUGAGUUUUGAAAGGUUGCAUAAUGAGCCUGCCACAAUCAAUUAAACAAGAAAUAAUAUUCAUUAAAAAAAACUAUUUGGAUGUCUUUCUCUGUUUGUUUGUUUGUUUUCUUCCUCUUCUUCUUCUUCUUCUUCUUUUUGUCAAAGUUGUGGUAUGAAUUCAAAUACUAAUAGAUUUGAGAAUUCUCCAAGACUACUAUUUGGCAAUCUAUAAAAUAGACCCACGGAAUUAAUAUAUUUUAUAGAUAUAUUUUCGUAGUACCUCAUCGUAUCCAAGAGAAGACUAUCAAGGAACGAAUAUAUUUUCGGAGAAUAACAGAAAAUAGAUCAAACAAAAGCAUUUCCAAAAUUUGUCUUUACAGUGAACCAUCUUACUGGUGGGGCAAAAACUUGAUGGACAAAUUGUUCAAUAGGAAAAGAGGACAUUUAAAAGAGGAAAAGAGGAAUUCUUUACAGGGCACAGUCACAGAUAAGUAAUAUGGAGUUAAAAUUUGUUAAUUUACCUCGAGAAGAUACAGUGCCACCGACUUCAAAGUUGUUGAAAAGGAAGGCAUUUAAGUACCUUGUGCCAUCAAGAUAGAGUCCGGUGACUGCUGUCGCAGAUAAUACUUUCCCAGGAACUACAGUGGGCGUGGCCUUUUAAAGAUCCACGAGGGUAGGGAUGUGCCAUUGGGAUAGUUAAGAGAAUCUAUGAGGAGCAAGAGAGCGAUUCUCUCUUCCUCCAAGCAACCAAGAGGCAGCCAUCCUUGCAAGGAAACCAUUAUUACAAACACCAUCAACAUCUGAAGGAACAGCCCCAUCUUAAUCAAAUAUAAGAAUUUACGAGAUGAAAGCCUCUCCAUUAAUGAUAAAAUACUGUUAUUAAAGUGAUUUAAUUCCAAGUCAAGGUGUUCCAAAUGGUUAAUUUUGAUAGUUCAUAACCACCUAUAUAAAAAAAUAAUGCAGUGAGACAAAGAAACUGAACUCAACCCUUUGCAUCUUUCCAUUCCAUCAAUAUCGACAAAGUAACCUGAAUCUUGUCUGAAGGUGUACUUACACAUCCCUUUGCAUGUUUCCAUUCCAUCAAUAUCGACAUCCUCUUGAGUUUCCAGCAUUAAUUCCACUCUGCUAUUUUUAUCUCAACUAAUUUAUGCUGUCCUCUGCCCCAUUUUUUAUUUUUUUUAUCAAUUCUCCGAAGUUUGUUUGUGUUACUUUCUUUCUGACUGGCACCUGAAGAAAUCAAGCAUAUGACCGAUAAUGUUUUGCUGGUUAUUUGUACUUCCUAGAUCAAAGUCAUGAAGGAGACUUAUUUCCCUGAAAUAAAUGAAAUGUAUCAGAGAAUUGCUGCCAAGUUACAGCUGAAAUGUAUCAGAGAAUUGCUGCCAAGUUACAGCAGGUAAAUUGUCUCCGCAAUUUCUUCCAGAUUAUCUGUCCACGCAUGAUUAUCUGCAAUUUCCCCAGGUUGAGCUUUUGUAUUAAUUUGUUUUCCUCAUCAGCAUUGCCUGUCACUGUAUCAUCUGCGCUAAUCACCUACCCCUCCCCCCAUCCUCCCCCACAACCAUGUAUCGACACAGAAGAAUUGGAAUAGAAACAUUGUUUUUCACUGUAUCAUGCAAUUUUUAAUUCUCGUGUAUGUUAACUUUGCUUUCCAGCAUGACUCUCAUCCGCAACAACCGAAGUCAGAACAGCUUGAAAAGCUGGAGGUAUUCAAGGCCAUGUUGGAGCGCUUGAUAACAUUCUUACAGGUCUCUAAAAACAAAGUCACACCUAGUUUCAAGGAGAAAUUGGGUUCCUAUGAGAAGCAGAUUGUAAGUUUUCUAAACCCAAGCAGAUUCAAGAGGCCUAUUCCUAAUCUACAGCUCGGACAACUUCCCCAACCUCCAGUUUAUCAAUUACAGUCCCAUGAAAAUCAACUAAAUCCCCAGUUGCAAUCAUUGAAUGUUCAAGGUUCUAUACCAACGAUGCAGCAGAACAAUAUGUCAAGCUUGCAGCAUGGGUUUCGAUGUCACAACCAUACAUGAUGAUGCGGGACGAGAGGUUUUAAGAAAAGAAAAGGGGGGAAGAGAGAAUGAUGAGGAUAUUGUAGCAAAAAUUUCACAGGAUUUACUACAAAUCCAAGCCAAUUAUACUUGAUUUGUAUGUAUAUGAUAUGAUGAGAAAAUAAACAUGUAUGGAAAGUACAAUAUGUAUAAUGAAUGAAUAUAGAGUUAAUAUAACAUAAGGCUUGAAGGAAACCAAAGUUUUGAAACACGACCCGACUUGGUGGGUCGACUCGGGACCCGGGAUUGGAACCAGGUCGGGUUUUAGAAAAAAUAGUGGAAGUCACAACCCGGGGUGACCUGGCUAACCCGGCAAAACCCAGUAAAAAAUCUGGUAGUAACCUGUUAAUUAUUUUUUUACCAAAACGACACUGUUUUGAUUUAUAAAAAAAAAAGUUACGGUUGACCCGGUGACCCGGUCAAGACCGGGUGACCUGGGCAAAACAAGUGACCCAGGCUGGGUUUAAAAACAUUAAAGGAAACAUGACCAAAGAUUUUCUUAUGAUUUAGGAGGAGCGACCAGGAUUGGAUCUUUUGUUGGAGGAAGUCACGAGACAGGCAGAGCAGGUGCGUGGUUUUCCCUUCCCUUUACACUGUUGUAAUUUAAUUAUUUAGGAGGAAUGCAAUUUUAUAUAUAUAUAUAUAUAUAUAAUGCUCAAUGUAAAUAAAGUCUGGUAUAUUUAUGAGAAUAACUUUGGCUAACAGCAUUCGUGGUAGGAUUUGCCGGGAAAGUAAUUAUGAGAUUAGCUUCGGCUAAUGGCAUCCGUGAUAGGAUCGCUGAGAAGUGAAUUAUGAGAUUAAUUUUGGCUAAUGACAUUUGUGGUAGGAUUUGCUGGAAAAUGAAUUAUAAGAUUAGCCUUGGCUAAUGACAUUCGUGUUAGGACUGCCAGGAACGAUUAAUAAGAUUAGCUUCGGCUAAUGAUAUUUGCAUUAGGAUUGCCGGGAAAUGAUCAAUAAGAGUAACUACAGCUAAUGGUGUCCAUGUUGGGACACUCAGGAACGAUCAAUAAGACUCAAUUUGUAAAGUGUACUGGGUUUGGAUGACCUGGAGGAAAUUGAUAAGUACAAUUGCUCAAAAUUAUUCAGAUUGGACUAUGCAAAGUUGAAGACUUAGUGAAUCCAAUUAAACAAAGUUAUGAGUUCAUGUAAGAAGAUAAGAGUAUCCAAUAUAAGAUAUGUAAAUGGUGUUAAAUUGGGUUUUAAAUGAUUCCCAAUAAAUUUAUAAGUUAAUUACUAAGAUUCCCAUGUAACUAAUAGAAAACUUAUGCCUCAUUUGUAUUCGUUGCAUGAUCAUUUAUAUUUCUUAUACCAAUAUAAUUGCAUCCAUAUGAAGUUUUUGUAACAGGUCUAUCUAAUAUCUAGGGAGCUCAUUAGUUUUAGGACUCUAUUUUUGUUAAACUUAUGUACAAAUUAACCUUAAGCAUAUUAGUAUUAACUAGUACAUGUUAUAAGCUAUUUUGUGUAAUCUUCUAUGUGUAUAAAAACUCUUAGCUAAGACUUGAAGCAUAUUAUUUUGUGUAAACUUGAUGUGUAUAAAAACUCUCAGCUAGACUUGAAGCAUGUUAUUUUGUGUAAACACUAUUGCAUAUAUUUCCAUUUGAUUUACCUUUAAAACAUGAAUAGUUUCUUAUAACCAUCUACUAGUUGUUAAUUCAUGAAUGAUAUGAUUUAAUUAGACCUUUAUUCGCAUAAAAUGGAGUCCAUUUUAAUUCUUCGAGUAAAUGGCAAUCUUUGCGGGACCUAAAAAAACAUUACCCUAAAUUUAAGAGCAUAUAUUGGGAUCGUUUUACAUUGAUGGAACAAAAUAAUUGGGAUUGUUACAGACACUUAUACCUAUUCUUACAGUGUAAUUUUAUACCGCAAAGUAAUAAAGUCUAUAAGUAAUUCCUAUCAUUUAUUGCUAUUAAUUCCACUACCAGAAAUUCGCUUAAUACCAACGGAAUUGCCGACAGAAUACUUCUGUCGGUAAUUUGAGGUUGCCAUUACCGAUCGACUUUAUUCCAUCGGUAAACUCGUCGGUAUAUACCGACAACCACAUUCCAUCGGUAUCUACCAACGAGAUUACAGACGGAAUGUUAAGAAUAAAAAAAAAGGGCGGUUCGCUGACGUGGAGGUAUUUUUUACCGACGGAAUCACCGAGGGAUUAAAAACGUCAGCUCCGUAUGGUGACGUGUCCGCUUCACCGAUGAACAUGCCAACGAAAUCACCGAGGGAUUCAAACAUCAGCUCCGUAUAGUAACGUGCCCUGUGUUAUCGUCAGAAUCACCGACGGAAUCAUAGAUGGUAUGCGUCUGUCGAUGAAUCCGUCAGCAAAAGUUAAUAUAUCCCCACUCUGUCGACCCUCUCCUCCCCUAUUUCUCCUUCUUCUUCCCCAUCCCAACUCUCCCCAACUGCAAACAACCAGCCCCCCUAAAAAAAAAUCUCCCUCUUCUCACCACAACAAGUCAUAUUUCUUGAAGUCUUCUCGUCACAGCAUCCGUGUUCUGAUUUACCGACGACUUUUUAUCAGUUGUUGUAGGUAAUUCUAUCUUUUUAAAUUUUAACAUUUAAAUGUCAAUUUUAUUAUUUUUUAGUAUAUGUAUUUUUUUAGUAGAUGUACAUGUUUUAUUGUUAUUUCUCAAACAAACUUGUAGUAUAUGAAUGUAUAGUUUUAUACUAGUUGUGGUUUGUUUUAGAUUUUGUAAGAUUGUAUUUGUUUGUAAAUUGUUGAAACUUUAUUGAAUUACCGAAUUACAUGUGUUGUUUUGAAAUAAUUAAUAGCUUGUUUAAUGGGUCCGUUUUAAUUUUUAUCAAUGGUAUUGCGGAGUUGUAAUUUUUGUAAAUUUAUAUAUAUGUAUUAAUUUGUAUGGACGUUGAUAAUUGGUAAUGAAUAUUUAAUAUUUAUGAGAAGUUGUAAUUGGUUUGUUGGAUAAUCUCGAGGUAAACCAAUAUUUUUGCAAAUUUAUUUGCCUAACAUAGUUAAUUAGUACAUGUUGUCAUCAUAAUUUUAUAGAGGUUCGAUAGAAGUCAUGGAUGAUCGUUCAUGGAUGUAUCGAGAUUCACCCCAAGGAUUGCGGAGGAUGGAUUAUUGUAACGGGGUUCAGGGUUUUAUUAAUUUCGCAACAUCUAUUCCCAGAAAUUUUACUGGAGGCGGUAUUAGGUGUCCAUGCAGGAAGUGUCAAAAUAAAAAGUAUCUGCAUCCAGAUAUUGUAACGAUACAUCUUCUACACAAAGGGUUUAUGGAGAAUUACCAGUGUUGAUAUGCACACGGAGAAGUAUUUGUUAGUAAGAGGAGAAUGGGAGAAAGGGUGGUUAGGUUAACUUCUAGUGCUAGCAACGUGCAUGAAGCGGCAAAUGACAACACUAAUCCUUACAGGAAUAUGGUUAUGGAUGCAAUGAGAAUGAAUCAAGGUAAUGUCAGUCAAUGUCCAAUUAUAGAAAAAGAACUUAAUGCAGAUGCAGCUAGGUUUUUUGAUUUGUUGAAAGACUCUGACGAACCAUUAUGGGAUGGCUGCACGAACCACAGUAAAUUAUCGGUCGUAGCACAGGUGUUCCCUAUCAAGUCAGAUUAUGGGUUGAGUGAAGCCGGGUAUGACAAGAUUAUUGAAUGGGCGAGAAGCAUUUUACCUGAAGGGAACAGGCUGAAAGAGAACUUCUAUGCUGCGAAGUCCAUGAUGAAACCCCUCGGUUUAGGAUACCAGAAAAUUGACAUGUGCCCUAACUUCUGCAUGUUAUACUACAUUGCAAAUGCUGAGAUGACCGAGUGUAUGACAUGCGGGCAUUCCCGUUACAAACCUAGAACUAGCACAUGACAUGGCACCAAUCACAUGAUGCAGUUAAUGGAGUGAUGGUGCAUCCUUCUGACGGCGAAGCGCGGAAACACUUUAACAGUGUGCAUCCUCACUUUUCAGUUGAAUCAAGGAACGUGCAUCUUGGGUUGUGUACAGACGGAUUCAACCCAUUUGGGUCAUUUGCUGCUUCUUGUCGCACGUGAGCGACGUCGCGGCGAUCGUCCACCCACAAAAAAUAAAUGUAAAAGGGAUGGGGGAUAUAUAUAUCUGGUUAAUGUGGGGAGACAAGGAAUUCGUUGUCUCUUAGCAGUGAAAAAUGGUGUGGGAGUCGCCACCUAGUAUUUUGGUCACUAGGAACCCUAACUGGUCUCAGAGAUCGGGUACGGGGACUGGUUGCGUAAAGGGAAGGUAUUAGCACCCCAAAUACGCCCUACCUAAGGUAAGCUGCAUCGUUUUAUUGUCUGAUAAAAUUUAAGGUGUUUUCGUGUGUUUCCUAGUUGUUGGUCCAUCUACGGUUCAAGAAAAGUCCUCCUCAAUAAGGAGGUCCUUAUCUUAUCGGGUAAAGCCUAACCGUUCUAAUGUCUAAAAAACAUAUUUGUAAUAUCAAGAAUAUGUUUUACGUAUAAAUUAGUAAUCCCAAAGACAAAAAGAUUAUUUAGAAUUUUUGAAAUAUUGGCCUAGUUCUCAUGGCUUGAAUAAACUGGUUAUUAAAGCCAAAAUGCAUUCUAAUACAUAUAUUGUUUUGAAAUUUUCUUUGUUGUGUGAAAAUAUGAUGUUACAAUAUUUAUAUAUAUAUAUUGGAGAGACUAGGCCGUAUUUUAAAACAAAACAUUUUUUAAAAAUAUGUAUUUUUGUACGCUUUGACGCAAAUCGGGUAUUUUAAUACUGGGUUUGUAAAAAAUACAACCAAAUAUUAAUUCACUUUAAUAAAAUAAAUGCCUAAAAAUCAACAAUAUUUUCAAAGAUAUUUUUAGAAAAUUUUGAAAGCAAAAGACAUUUUUUGUUUUGAAAAUCUUUGAUGUUUUGAUGAAAACCGGGUAUUUUAAUACCGGAUUUUGUAUUUUUACAAUAUAAAAUACCAACCAAUAUUAAUCAAAAUAUAAUAAUAAAAUUACAACAAAAUCACAUAUAUUUUUCUAUAAUUUUUGCAAAUUUUUAUAAUUUUUUUCAUAUAUAUAUAUAUAUAAAUAAUACAAAAUAUAAUAUAUAUAUAUAUAUAUAUAUAAUAAUAUUAAAUCGGGCUGGGCCGGCCCAAACCACUGGGUCGGACUCAGCCCCAAAACCAUGAUGGGCCGAUAUCGGCCCAAAAAUGUACUGGGCCGAUCUCGGCCCAAAAAAUGUACUGGGCCGAUCUCGGCCCAAAAAAUGUACUGGGCCGAUCGCGGCCCAAAAGUGUACUGGGCCGAUCGCGGCCCAAAAGUGUACUGGGCCUAUCUCGGCCCACAAAAAAAUUCUCUUCUGGGCCAGACCCGACCCAGAAGACUGGGCUGGGCCAGGACCCGCCUGGCCCAGCAACAAAACGGGCGGGGGGAAUUAAUUUCCCCCCGCCCCUGCAUGCAGAACGCUAUUCGUUCUGCAUGCAGAGAAGGAAAUACAUAAACGCCAGAAUAGGGGGGGAGAAGGGUACCUGACGCGGAGGAGGCGGUGGCUGGCUGCGUUUCUGGCGGCGCUGUGGCGGAGGCUGGUGGCGCUGCGACUGUUUCCGGCGGUUUGGUUCGUUCUCCCCGUUGCUCCUUUUCUCUUUGUUUUUUUCGGUUUGCUUCUUUUCUUUUGUUUUCGGGUUGGUUCUUCCUCUCUUCCCGUUCCUCUUCUCUGUUUUUUUUCGUUCCUCUCUUUUCCUUCUCUCUCCUUCGUUCUACCUCCUCCUCUCUCUCUCCUCUGUUUUUUCGUUUUUUCUCCCCGUCUCCCCUCUGUUUUUUUUUUUUCUUUUCCCUCUCUUUUCUCUCUGUUUUUCCCUCUCUUUUCUCUCUGUUUUUCCCUCUUGCUCUCAGCGUUCUUGGCCUCUAUUUAUAGAGGCCAAGGACGCUGUUUUUUACAGCUCUCAUGGGGGAGCAGCCGGCUGGUCGGCCAUUGGGCGCGGCUGCCGAGGUUCGGUGGGUGGUGCGCGGUGGAUGGUCGGCCAUUGUGUCCGGUCGGUGGGCUCCAGGCGAGAGAGUGGCCGGCAAAAUUCAAAUUAAAGCUUCCCUUUCUCCUUCUUCCCCGCUGCGUGAUCGGGGGAAGAAGAUGAACAGUGUCGUUUCAAAACGACACCGUUCUGCUCUUUCUUUUUUUUUUUUUUUUUUUUUGAAUGUAUGAAACGGCGUCGUUUUGGAGAAAACGCGCCGUUUCAUUUAAAUGUGGCGCCAAAACGCGCCAAAUUUCAAAUCAGCCCUCAAUCAUCUUUUCUUUCUUCAAUUGCAUCCCUGCCAAUUUCGGUCUCCGUCCCUCUUGUUGGCCGCGUUUUUCACUUUAGUCCUUGGUGUCUGAUUUAUGCAAUUGAGCCCUUAAUUGAUCAAAAAACUUCUAAUUUCUUCAAUUAGGCCCCUGAAUCAAUUAAUUCCAGCCCCUCCAUUUACGCGCCUCUUCCAAUUUGGUCCCUGGUUUCGGAUUUUCUCAAUUAAGUCCCUAAUUGGCCCUUAAACUUCAAUAUUUAUGCAAUUAGGCCCCUGAUUUGACCUAAUAAAUUCCUAAAAAAUAUAUUUUGGCCCCAGAACUUAAAUUUCUUCUAAUUAAAGCCCAAAUUGACUUAAAAAUCAAUUUUUCUUGCAAUCAAAUCCUCUAUAAAUUCAUUUAAAAAUCAAAUUAAGUCCAUAAACAUCCAAAUUUGGGCUUUUCUCCUCAAAUUUCAAAUUUUCCUUCUCAACAGGGCUCUCCUCCUUCAAGAAUAUACUGUCAAAAAUCCAAUCUUUGUAUUUUUAACCUUAUUGAUCGAUUUUCCAACCAUUUUCUGAGCGCUUCUGCCUCCUGUUAUUAUUUUUUUUUUCUUUGGCUAUAUACAUAUUUAUAUAUAUAUUUUGUGGGGACCCAAAAAUGAGUUACAACAGAUGCCCCCUCUUUAUAAUGCUUACGGAGCAGAGGUUUUGCGCAGUAAGUUUUAUAAAGAUAAACCCUAAACGGAACUCCCAAAACUGAUCUGGUUGAAGCUUGAUUGACCUGAAACUUGUCUUUUACAGCAAUCCUCCUUAACUUCAAAAACUAUGAUCAAAAUUUAUCAUCUUGAGAUCCCUUCUGGCGAUCUCUCUAAACCAAAAUCUAUAAUUAUUGCUUACUCAACUUGGAAUCCCGUCUGGCAAUUCCCUUUUAACCAAUAUUGAAAUACGAGAUCCCUUCUAACGAUCUCCUUCAACAAAAAAUCUUAGAAUCCCAUCUGGCGAUUCCUUGUAACCAAUGUUGAAAUAUGAGGUCCCUUCUGACGACCUUCAAAUAACGAAAUACGAGAUCCCUUCUGGCGAUCUCCUUUAAUCGACCUGGAAUCCCAUCUGGCGAUUCCUUUUAUUCAAACGAAAUAUGAGGUCCCAUGUGGCGACCUCCAAAUAUCAAAACACGAGAUCCCUUCUGGCGAUCUCCUUUAGUCAACUUGGAAUCCCAUCUGGCGAUUCCUUUUAUCUCAACAGGUAAUAUGAGGCCCCAUCUGGCGACCUCCAAAUAGCAAAACACGAGAUCCCUUCUGGCGAUCUCCUUUAGUCAACUUGGAAUCCCAUCUGGCGAUUCCUUUUAUUCAAUGAAAAACGAGGUCCCAUCUGGCGACCUCCAAAUAAUGAAACACGAGAUCCCUUCUGGCGAUCUCCUUAAAUCAACUUGGAAUCCCUUCUGGCGAUUCCUUUUAUUCAUGAAAACCGAGGUCCCAUCUGGCGACCUCCAAAUAGUGAAACACGAGAUCCCUUCUGGCGAUCUCCUUUAAUCAACUUGGAAUCCCAUCUGGCGAUUCCUUUUAUUCCUGAAAAACGAGGUCCCAUCUGGCGACCUCCAAAUAAUGAAACACGAGAUCCCUUCUGGCGAUCUCCUUUAAUCAACUUGGAAUCCCAUCUGGCGAUUCCUUUUAUUCAUGAAAAACGAGGUCCCAUCUGGCGACCUCCAAAUAAUGAAACACGAGAUCCCUUCUGGCGAUCUCCUUUAAUCAACUUGGAAUCCCAUCUGGCGAUUCCUCUUUUUUUCAAACAGGUAAUACGAGGUCCCAUCUGGCGACCUUCAAAUAGCGAAACACGAGAUCCCUUCUGGCGAUCUCCUUUAACUUGGAAUCCCAUCUGGCGAUUCCUUUUAUUCAAAGCGAUACGCGAGGUCCCUUCUGGCGACCUUCUUUGACCAAUAUCGAAAUACAAGAUCCCCUCUUGCGAUCUAAGACAACUUGGAAUCCCAUCUGGCGAUUCCCUUUUAUUCGAAGCUGAAAUAAUGAGAUCCCUUCUGGCGAUCUCCUUUAAUCAAAAACCAAAAAAUCUAUCUUGUAAAUCGGUUAACCUGGAGUCCCCUCUGGCGAUUCCCUUUUACCGCUUGCUCGAUGUCGCUCUUCCUGAUGGCAGGGUUUGAACAUUAUUAUUUUCUCUUCUUGUUGUUUUAGAAUCAACUCAAUGAUUUUUUUCUUCGUCUUCAAUUUUGUUGGAAUGUAUUAAGGUCUCCUCCUGUAACGAUCCCAAAAAAAAAAAAAACAUAUAUGCAAUGAUUUAUGAUUAAAUGCCAUGCAUGCAUUCGUACCUGGUUUUGAAACAUAGGCCCCAUCAUCUUCUUCGAGUUCAUGAGAUUCCAUCUUAACAUGAGCUUGCUUUUGAAGUCGUAUGCUGGAUUCCUCUCUCGUGUUGCCUCCGAUCAUAUUCUUGGAGAAGAAAUCUCUGACUUUCUUCAAAUAGUCCUUUUUCCAAAAUGUAUGAUUUGUCAUUGCCUCUUUGUCAUGCUUUUGUCAAAUGUUUUAGCUUGGUUUUUAAAAUCUAUAGGCUUUCGUACAUGAAAAUAUCUCUUAUUGCCCCCAGUGUAGGGGUGUGAUUCUAGUCUAGGCUUUUAUAGAGAGAAGAAAUUCGUUCAGCCGACGCUACACUUUUUAAAUGAGAUAAAACAAGACAUGCACUGUUGGGAUUAAUGUAAAAAUGACUGUUGUGAGAUCAAUGCAAAAGAGAAAGAAGUCAAUGGCCAAACUUUGCUUUAUUGAUUUAGAAGCCUACAUCAAGCAUAAUAUCUUUUUACAGAGUCAGAAUUCACAGGUCGAGCUAGGUCUUCUCCAUCCAUUCUAGCCAACUUCAGUGCUCCUCCUGAGAAUGCCUUCUUUACUAUGUAAGGACCUUCAUAAUUCGGUGCCCAUUUGCUUUGAUCGUCUCCAGGUAGUGACAAUAUUUUCUUCAAUACUAGAUCCCCUUCUUGAAACAACCGCGGUCUAACCUUCUUAUCAUAUGCCUUGGCCAUUCGUUUCUGGUACAGUUGGUGAUGACAUAUUGCGGCCAUCCUCUUUUCACUGAUCAGGUUCAGUUGCUCAUAUCUCACUUUGGCCCACUCGGCCUCUUCUAAUUCGGAGUCCAUCAAUACUCUUAACGACGGGAUUUCUACUUCCAAAGGCAUCACUGCUUCCAUACCGUACACCAAAGAAUAUGGAGUAGUUCCUGUCGAGGUCCUAACUGUAGUGCGGUAUGCGUGAAGAGCGAAUGACAACAUCUCAUGCCAAUCUCUAUAUGUGACUACCAUUUUCUGAAUAAUCUUUUUGAUGUUCUUGUUGGCGGCUUCUACUGCGCCAUUCAUUUUUGGUCGGUAUGGUGAGGAAUUCGAAUGCUUGAUUUUCCAUUUAGUACACAGCUCCACUAUCAUUUUGCCAUUGAAAUUUUGUGCAUUAUCUGUCACUAUCUUUCCCGGAGGACCAUAUCGACAAAUCAAGUCCUUUUCUAUAAACCUCUUCACUACGUUCUGUGUUACAUGGGCAUACGAAUUAGCUUCCACCCAUUUGGUGAAGUAGUCAAUAGCCACAAGGAUGAAUCUAUGCCCAUUGCUAGCUUUUGGGUUAACCGGACCAAUUACAUCGAUUCCCCACAUUGCAAAUGGCCAAGGAGAUAUCAGAUUAAAUAGAGGAGCUGGUGGCAUAUUGACCUUGUCACUGUAAACUUGACACUUGUGACAUUUCCUGACAUAGUCGAUGCAGUCUUUCUCUAGUGUCAUCCAAAAAUAACCAGCCCUUUGGAUUUUCCUUGCUAUCAUAUGCCCGCUAGCAUGGGUUGAGCAAAUCCCCUCAUGGACCUCCCGUAAUGCCUUUCUAGCAUCUGCCUCAUUCAAACACCUUAGCAAGGUUCCAUCAAAUGAUCUUUUGUACAGAAUCUCUCCAUCUAAAUAAAAGUCUGUAGCCAACCUUCUCAAGGUUUUCUUAUCCGUUUUGGAGGCUCCCACUGGAUAUUCCUGAUUUUGCACAAGGUUCUUGAUAUCAUAAUACCAAGGCUGUCCGUCUAUCUCUCCUUCAACUAAGCAACAGUGAGCUGGGUCAUUUCUAAUGUCAAUGUGUACCGGUUGUACCUUGCACUUGAGAUCAAUGGUAGUCAUAGCAGCUAGCGUGGCCAAAGCAUCUGCAAAAUGGUUCCCUUCUCUUCCCAGGUGGGUGAAUCUAAUUUCUUCAAAUUCCUUCGCUAGCGUGGACAGGUAUUCCUGGUACGGCCUCAACUUUUCCUCUUUGGUCUGCCAUUCCCCCUUAACCUGACAGAUAAUCAACAUUGAAUCUCCGUACACAUCUAACUUCUUUAUCUUCAGCUCUAAUGCCGCUUCUAGACCAAGGAUACAAGCUUCAUACUCAGCUGUAUUGUUGGUGCACUCGAAAUGUAGUUUAACCGAAACUGGAUACUGUUUCUUAUCAGGAGAGAUUAUUACCGCACCGGCCCCGUUACCAUAUACGUUCACUGCACCAUCAAAAAACAUUGUCCACCAAUCUGUCUGCUCUUCUUCUUUCUCUAUUGACAAUAUAUCUUCAUCAGGGAAGUCAAAAUCCAAGGGUUCGUAAUCUUCAACAGCAUUAUCAGCCAGAUGGUCCGCGAUUGCACUUCCUUUUACGGCUUUCCUUGUCAUGUAUACUAUGUCAUAUUCUGCCAAUAGAACUUGCCACCUUGCAAUUCGACUUGAGAGAAAUGGCUUGUUACAAAUAUACCUCAGAGGAUCCACUUUUGAAAUCAACCAAGUGGUAUAGUAUAACAUAUAAUGCCGCAACCUCUUUGCUGCCCACACCAACGCACAACAAAGCCUUUCUAUCUCCGUGUAUCUAGACUCACCUUCAGUGAAUUUCUUACUUAAGUAAUAAAUAGCUCUUUCCUUCCUUCCGGUUUCAUCAUGCUGACCCAAUACACAUCCCAUAGCUGCUUCAGUCACUGUUAGAUACAAUACUAGAGGUUUUCCCGAUACCGGAGGGACUAGUAAAGGUGGAUUUUGCAAAUAAUGCUUGAUUUUAUUGAAUGCCUCCUCACACUCCUCAUUCCAGGUUCCAGGAUUCUUUUUCCUUAGUAGUCGGAAUAUUGGUUCACACGUCGUUGUUAACUGAGCUAUGAACCGAGCAAUGUAGUUUAUCCUUCCCAAGAAUCCUCUUACUUCCUUCUCCGUCUUAGGGGAUGACAUAGCUUGGAUGGCCCUUACUUUAUCUGGAUCCACCUCUAUACCUCUUACCACAAAUCCUAACAGCUUACCCGAUUUAACUCCAAAUGAACAUUUGGCAGGAUUGAGCCUUAAUUCAUACUUCCUCAAUCUCUCAAACAACUUCCUCAAAACUUCAACAUGAUCCUCUCCUCUUUUAGACUUGGCAAUCAUGUCGUCUACAUACACCUCAAUUUCCUUGUGCAUCAUGUCGUGGAACAAAGUCACCAUUGCUCUUUGAUAGGUUGCUCCUGCAUUCUUCAAUCCAAAUGGCAUGACCUUAUAGCAGAAUGUCCCCCACGGUGUGACAAAAGUUGUUUUCGUCUUAUCCUCCGGAGCCAUUUUUAUCUGGUUGUAUCCUGAAAAACCAUCCAUAAAGGAAUAUGUGGAACUCUGGGCAGCAUUGUCCACUAAAACAUCUAUGUGUGGUAGAGGAAAAUCAUCCUUGGGGCUAGCUUUAUUCAAAUUCCGAAAAUCCACGCAUACUCUAAUCUUCCCCUCCUUCUUAGGUACCACAACAAUGUUAGAUACCCAUUGUGGAUAUCUAACUACUUCUAGAAAGCCAGCAUCCCAUUGCUUCUCGAGUUCUGCCUUGACCUUGAUCCAGACAUCCGGGUGGGCCCUCCUCAGCUUCUGCUUGAUUGGCUUACAGCCUUCUUCCAACGGUAUCUUGUGUACUACAAUAUUUGUAUCCAAACCAGGCAUAUCUUCAUAAGACCAAGCAAAGACAUCUGCAUAUUCUUGUAACAGGGCGAUCAUUUUUGUCCUUUGUUCAGAAGUAACUAAGGUACCUAUUUUCAACUCUUUCUUGAGCUGAUCACUACCCACAUUGAUGGUUUCGAGUUCCUCGGCGAUAGGCUUCCAAGUCUGUUCCUGUUGUUCUACUAGCCUGGUGAAUUCACUAAUAUUGCUUUCAUCCCAUUCUUCUUCUUCCAUAGCUAUCACAUGCUCGUUCAAGUUUGGCCAUUUAUUCUUGAUGCUAAAUAUAUGUGAUGUUGUUGGAGAUCCGCUUUCAGGAUUCCUGAAAGCGGGAAGUGUUUGGUGUAAAUGCAUAAAAAAGAAAGCAAUUUGUGGAAAGUGCAUGAUCUCACAAUUUAUUUAAAGAAAAAGUGGGCUCCAUGACAAACAUAAAGUCUAACCGACAAUUGAGCCUUGAUUGUCGACUAGCGAAAAUAAAUGAAAACCAAACAAAGCAAUGACAAAAGCAUGUUAAGACAAACAAAAUUGGUUUACAUUUUGAAAACCACUGGAGCUUCUUGGGUCACCCAAUUCUGAAACUUCUCGUCUUGAGCCAACUUGCGCACAAAGGUCUUGGCGGAGACUUCUUCUAUGGUGUAGACCGUUAGUUGUGGGAGUGCUUCAUCUCCCUUUCUUGCUACUGUCUUCAUGUCAUCUCCUUCCAUCUUGUUUUCCCCCAAGGUAUUUAUGCUCAGGUUUGACAGCUCUUGAUCGAGGCUUUCGGCUUCUUUAUCAUGUUGCAUUAUGUAUGCAGCUUUUGAGAAUGACACGCUAAGGGGAGGGAUUUCUAGCUUUUCUUCAUCAGGCUCUCUUCCUUUAAUUCUAGCCAUCCUUCUUGCCCUUCUCCGACCAGCAGCCCACCGAUAAUCUUCUUGGUUAGGUUGGUAUCCUAACCCAAAUCUUUGAGCAACACUUUUCAUCCUUGCCAGAUUAACCCCUUCUGGUAUCCUGAUAAUAAAGUUAUACUGAAAUGGGAUCCCGCGGUUCAAAAGGCAUAGACUUGCCAUCCUUGCUGCUUCUGAGAUCCUUGGCCUUCUUAGCACUGUGUUCUCCGGCACCCAGUCAGUGUUCACAAUUUCAAAGGCAUGGAUAUUGUUAUCCUUGCAAUCAUUCGCUUCGAUAAAAGGCACAGCUACAUUCUUUAUCAUGGAUACUGUCUCCUCAGCCUUGACAGUUACCAACAUCCCAUUCAUGAUAUACUUCAGGCAUUGGUGCAAUGAUGAAGCUACUGCCCCCGCUGCAUGAAUCCAAGGUCUUCCUAACAACAUACUAUAGGAAGGAUGGAUAUCCAUAACUUGAAGUGUUACUAGGAACAUUUGUGGUCCCACAUAUAGCUCCACUUCUAGAGUCCCAAUUAUUGGCCUAGGUGAGCCAUCAUACGCUCUGGCCAUCAUAGUACUUGGCCUUAUAUGGGAUUCAUCGAUCGGCAUUUCUUCCAACAUGUGCUUUGGCAACACAUUAAGGGCCGAGCCGUUAUCAAUGAGUACUUUUCCUAUGAGGCAGUCCUUGCACCUAACCGUAAUGUAUAAAGGCUUGUUAUGUCCGGUACCUUCAGCAUCAAGCUCAUCAGCCGUGAAGUACAGGUAAUUAGUUGCAUGGAUCCUUCCCACUAGAUGCUCCAUGGUUUUAUGUUCAAUGUCUUGGGGUACAUAUGCCUCAUUCAAUACCUUCUGCAAGGCGUUUCGAUGCGGCUCAGAGCUGAGUAUCAGGGACAUAAGGGAGAUCCUAGCUGGAGUCUUCUUUAGUUGAUCUACUAUGCAAUAUUCACUAUGCUUGAUCAACUUCAGGAAUUCAUUCGACUCCUCUUCUGUUACUGGCUUAUUAACUUCUAGUGCCUUGUCAAGAUCUACCACUUCUUUACCCUUUUCCUUCCUCAACUCUUCGGAAGUAAAGCAACGACCACUCCUGGUCAACCCACUUAUCUCAGUCUGGAACAAAGGAAGAGGAGCUUGAACGUUGGAGGCAUAACCAUAAUUAUAAGGCAUGGCAUUGUGAUUCCCUUUUGUGUAGGACGGUUUAACCAAGAUUAGCCUUGGGGGACCAUUAGCUGUUUGUUGGACCCUGCAUACUCCUGUCAUCUCCAUUUGACCUUCCAUCAUACUCACCUCUCCGCUGCUCUUCACGGGUUCAAUCCUCAACUCCCCCAUUUUUAGCAUUUUUGCAAUCUUUUCGCAAAACUCGAUGCAAUCCUCAAUAUGAUGUCCUUCUCUUCCAUGGUAUUCACAGUAAUCAUCUCCCUCUAAAUGGCUCUCCACCUUUGUCUUUAGAAAUCCUGAUUGUACCAACAUGUCGUACAACCUCUUCAUGGACACCUUCAACACCUUGCAUUGAUUUCCCACUUCGAUCAUGCCUAUUCCACUACUACUUGAGGCAUGUUUAGGCAACGGGUUUGAAUUAACAUUGGGCUUGUCUUCAAAGGAUACCCAUCCUAUCUUAAUAAGCUCCAGCAAUCUUUUCUUGAAAGCGUAACAGGUUUCAAUCCCAUGCCCAGGAUUACCCGCAUGGUAUUCACAAGUUAACUCGGGCUUGUACCAAAUUGGGAAUGGUGGUUGUAAUGGUAGUGUAGGGCUAGGAGCUAUGUGCCCAAUGCUCAACAGUUUGGCAUACAUGUCCUUCAAAGGCAUGGGUAACGGUGGCAGUUGUUCUGAAGGGUAUCUCGUAUGGGGUCUUUGGUAGUGAUUUUGGUAAUUUGAUUGGUUAUUUGUUCGAUUAGGCAAAAAAGAUUGGUUAAAGUUUAUGCGUGAGAAUUGAGAGGUAGGUACUUGUGGAUUGUGGGAAUCUACUUUCUUGCCCUUAUACCCAUCCUCCAAAUUGUUAACAUCGCCUUCUCUCUUUCUUCCAAUAAAGCCCUUCUUUUCCACUGGCAUUGCUAUUCGCCCAGCUUUGAUCCCCUGUUCUAUCCUCUCAGCUAUGCGUACCGCAUCAUAGAAAUGUUGAGAGGAGCUACCCAUUAGGUGCUCAUAAUAAGGUGCUUUGAAGGUAUUGGCAAACAAACUCACCAUCUCCGUUUCUAUCAAAGGGGGUUGGACAUGCAUUGCCUCAUCCCUCCAUCUUUGCGCAUAAGCCCUUACUGACUCCUGGCUUCUUUUCUCCAUUGCCAUUAAACUUGUUUGAUCAGGAGCGAUUUCCAUGUUAAACUUGUACUGUUUGAGGAAAGCCUCCACCAAGUCUCUCCAGCUCUUGAUCCUGAUGCUGUCUAACCUCAUGUACCAGCUUAAAGCGGAUCCUGCUAGGCUAUCUUGAAAGAAAUAGAUUAGCAUUUUAUCAUCACGGAUUACUUCCGCCAUUUUGUUGCAGUAGGAUCGAAGGUGAGUGUUUGGGCAUUCCAAACCGGUAUACUUAAUGAACUCUGGUAUGCGAAAAUCUUUUGGUACCACGAUGUUUGGUACCAAACAUACUUCGGCUGCUCGCAUAGGGUCAAACCAGUCAUUACCCUCAACUGCCCUUAAUCUUUCUUCCAGAGCAAACAGCUUGUCUUGGUCUAUCAAACUGGGAGACCUAUUAUCCGGGACUCCCUCCGUUGUUAGGUCAACAGUGACUGGAGUAUGAGGUGGUAGGAUAGGAGUAAUAGGCACAAACUGUUGUUCAUUGGCCGAGUUUGCCCCCUGGUUUUGAGAUGCUUGAGGAAUGUGAACUGCUGGCGCUCCUUCAAGCUGUCGUGCUGAUGUUCCCUCCCCAUUCUUAGCCCUUAGAAGCUGCUCAAGUAAGUCGGUUAGCCGAGAAACUUCAUUCUUUACAGACUCCAACUCGGUCUGAUAAUGUGACUCUAAGUGAGCUCUUUCUUCGUUCUCCAUUCUCGCUCGAGACCGGGUGUUGUGGAUUUUGGAUGUGGGACCUAUGUUUCACGGUCUGGGAUGCAUGAAAAAAAUGUAAAUGAAUGUGUGAUAAAGAAACAAUGCAUGAAUACUCUUAGAAACUUGUUUUUAAAAAACGAUCGAUGGCCAACAUUCCUCUUGUGUAAUGGGCAUGGACUCUUUUUGUCACGAUCUUUAUCAGGAGUAGUUGUGCUCAAGCUGCUGCUUUGGUAGGCUUAUAUUUAUAAAAGAUGGGUCAAAGCCCUUUUCAUUAAUAUUGGCUAAUACAUCUCUUGAAGAGAGGGUAAUAAAUACAUCAAUCUUCCUCUUCAUCCAUAUCUCUAGCCACUGGUAGGAAAGCGAGGCCUCGAUUCUCAAUUUUCUCUAAAAAGGCAUCUGUCUCAGCCAAGCUUUGUCGAUAACGAAAGAUGUCCCUUCCCACCCUUCGAGCAUUGGCUCUAAUAAUUCGUGCGUGAAUGGCAGCUUCAUCCAUUUGCUCAUCUACCUUGGCCAUCUUCUCUAUAAGCACCAUGUUGUUCCGAUUCAAAGUAUUGUUGUUGGUGUCGAUCUGUUCUUUAUGUUUUUCUGAAACUUCCAACCUGUUGGUCAACUGUUUCACCUUUUCUCGUUCUUUGUCAAACUUCACCUUCAACAUUCUAAUUUCAAUUUUCUUAGCUGCCAAAUCUGCCUUCAAAACCUCCUCUUCAUUCCCCUUUCUUUCGAACUCUUGUAAUUCAGUUAGCCGACUUUCUAUCAUCAUAUAUUUCUUGUUUAACUCAUCAUACUUCUCAAUUCGGUCUAACAACUCUGCUUUAACAUGCAAGAAUUUGUCCUGAUUGUACUCAACAUUCUCUUGAUAGCCAUCGAAGUCGGCUUUCAAUGCUUCCAACUCAGAGCUGCUUUGCAUAAAAUCCAAAAUCAGUCUUCCUCUUUCUUUCUCAGACUCCUCUAUUACAGCCUUUCCUUUGCUCAAUUGCAGCUCCAACAUCCCUAUUUUCGCUUCUUUAGAUUCGAGCUGUUCAUUUAGAAACACUCUGCUUUUAUCUCCUUCCAUCAUCAUCCUUUCUAAUGCUGAUUUAUCUCCCUUACUCUUUCCCAAUUCUUUUUGUAGCCUUUCUAUUUGCUCCAUAAGGUCUUCCUCAUUACUGACCUUUUUUUCUUUUCAAUGACCCUUUUUCAAUUCGUGAAGGCCCAUCUUCAGAACAUGGCUUUUUCGGAGCGGCAAUCGGGGUCAAAUUCCUCCACUUUUCAUAUCCUUCGCUUGAGCUAGGGUCUCUCAAACUUUCUGACUCCUUCUGAAUUAGAGUUAAAUGGCUCCAAUCUUGUUUGAUCGUUUCAAGGACUUCUCGCGCGGAUUGAUCCUUGAAAAAUCCGGAAAACUCAGCAAGUCCCACAGUUCUCGGGAUGUGUUGUAUGCCACCUAAUUGUCUUAUCACCAGAGCCGGAGCAUAGCUGACAUAACCUGUGAUCCCAAUUAAAGGUACCCAGCAUUUUUGUCCACAACUUACUAUGACAUCAACUGAUUUAACCCAAGGGGCCUUCCAACUAAAGUUGCUACUAGGUAACUCUUGGAGUUUUUUCAUCCAACCCUGAUCACCUAGGAUUCCCCAUUCUUCUUCCUCUACUAUCUUCAAAGGUUUUUGGUUAAACCACCAAAAAUUAUUAAAGAUCGGCUUCUUGGUUUCAACAUGGCUUACCAUCCAGAUGUAUAAUAACUGAGUACAACAUCUUACUGCGCCUUUCCCUGCUUUUCUAAAAUGGUUGAGGGUCAGCAAGGUCUCAGCUAAUAUGGCAGUUGUAGGGUUGACAUGAGUAUUUUCAUAUUCCACGAAUGCAGCAGCAGCUUCUAGACUUAUAACCCCUUUUAAGCUUGGAAAUAACACGAGACCAUAGAUCCCCAGAGCGAUUAACCUGUCUCUUUCUAGCACUGAGCCGCACUGCUCCUUUUUCUUUUCUAGUUCAACCUCCAAAAAUUUCCACUUUAAACCGCUGCCAUUCUUCUCUAAAAAUCUGCUCAGAUGUGGAAUCUUCAAUAAUUUCGACAACUCAGGAACCACCUUGUCAUUUCUCAAAGGAAAAUAAACUUGGUGAAGGUGUUUGGGAAACUCCAUCAACAUUCCAUAUUCCUCUAUAGUGGGACACAAAUCCACAUUUCCAAAGGAAAAGCAUCUGUAAUCGGGAUCCCAAAAGUUAAUCAAGGCUUUAAUUGCUGGGUUCAAUACUCCUAUCUUUGCGAUUUCCAAUAACCGCCCAUACUUCCCGAAGAAUGCCGCCUCAUCAAUAUUCUGACUAUGGCCCAAUAUUCUCUUCAUCUCAUAUCCUACGCAAUUCAGGUCUUUGACUACUGGAAGCUUCCUUGCAUCAUAUCUAGAGCAAUCUCCCUCUGAUAGUUGUGACAAUUCAGAAUUCUACCCAUAUUCCACAGUAGUAAAUUUGGUAAUGAUGGACAUCUUAUCGUUUCAAAAGACCUGAAAACCAAAUGUUUUAUGGUUUAGGUUGUGUUAUGCAAAAAUGUAUUUUGUGGAGCAUAAACCCUAUAGCCGGUUCUAAAUCUUUUGUGUUUGACGAGGGUAGGUUGGCUAUUUAGUCUCUAAAAAGGGUCUCUUGCUGUCCCAGUGAUUACCCUCGUGGAGGCAAUAUGGGGGCUUGUAGGCAAUGAGAUGGUCACAUGUACCAACUAUUACCAGUCUAAGCACUCAGCGAAGAGUUGGGGUUUACACAAACUUAAACCUUGACUAACAGUCGUAAGGUAAGCUGCUAGUCCCCCACUUAACUUAAAGUUUGUGUGUGCUCUCAAUAAUCAAAGUAUGUGAUGCAUGUGACAGUUCUAUAAGAUGUAUGAGACAGUUCUAUGAAUGCAUGAACAAUAUGUGUAAAAAUAUUUAAAGCGUAUAAGCAGGUAACAAAAAGGAAAGGCAUAUUAACAAUAAACACACGAAAACCAAAAACAAGUCAGACAAAAACAAAGCUUAGUCCACAAGGUCCCCAGUGGAGUCGCCAUUCUGUCGCACGUGAGCGACGUCGCGGCGAUCGUCCACCCACAAAAAAUAAAUGUAAAAGGGAUGGGGGAUAUAUAUAUCUGGUUAAUGUGGGGAGACAAGGAAUUCGUUGUCUCUUAGCAGUGAAAAAUGGUGUGGGAGUCGCCACCUAGUAUUUUGGUCACUAGGAACCCUAACUGGUCUCAGAGAUCGGGUACGGGGACUGGUUGCGUAAAGGGAAGGUAUUAGCACCCCAAAUACGCCCUACCUAAGGUAAGCUGCAUCGUUUUAUUGUCUGAUAAAAUUUAAGGUGUUUUCGUGUGUUUCCUAGUUGUUGGUCCAUCUACGGUUCAAGAAAAGUCCUCCUCAAUAAGGAGGUCCUUAUCUUAUCGGGUAAAGCCUAACCGUUCUAAUGUCUAAAAAACAUAUUUGUAAUAUCAAGAAUAUGUUUUACGUAUAAAUUAGUAAUCCCAAAGACAAAAAGAUUAUUUAGAAUUUUUGAAAUAUUGGCCUAGUUCUCAUGGCUUGAAUAAACUGGUUAUUAAAGCCAAAAUGCAUUCUAAUACAUAUAUUGUUUUGAAAUUUUCUUUGUUGUGUGAAAAUAUGAUGUUACAAUAUUUAUAUAUAUAUAUUGGAGAGACUAGGCCGUAUUUUAAAACAAAACAUUUUUUAAAAAUAUGUAUUUUUGUACGCUUUGACGCAAAUCGGGUAUUUUAAUACUGGGUUUGUAAAAAAUACAACCAAAUAUUAAUUCACUUUAAUAAAAUAAAUGCCUAAAAAUCAACAAUAUUUUCAAAGAUAUUUUUAGAAAAUUUUGAAAGCAAAAGACAUUUUUUGUUUUGAAAAUCUUUGAUGUUUUGAUGAAAACCGGGUAUUUUAAUACCGGAUUUUGUAUUUUUACAAUAUAAAAUACCAACCAAUAUUAAUCAAAAUAUAAUAAUAAAAUUACAACAAAAUCACAUAUAUUUUUCUAUAAUUUUUGCAAAUUUUUAUAAUUUUUUUCAUAUAUAUAUAUAUAUAAAUAAUACAAAAUAUAAUAUAUAUAUAUAUAUAUAUAUAAUAAUAUUAAAUCGGGCUGGGCCGGCCCAAACCACUGGGCCGGACUCAGCCCCAAAACCAUGAUGGGCCGAGAUCGGCCCAAAAAUGUACUGGGCCGAUCUCGGCCCAAAAAAUGUACUGGGCCGAUCUCGGCCCAAAAGUGUACUGGGCCUAUCUCGGCCCACAAAAAAAAUUCUCUUCUGGGCCAGACCCGGCCCAGAAGACUGGGCUGGGCCAGGACCCGUCUGGCCCAGCAACAAAACGGGCGGGGGGAAUUAAUUUCCCCCCGCCCCUGCAUGCAGAACGCUAUUCGUUCUGCAUGCAGAGAAGGAAAUACAUAAACGCCAGAAUAGGGGGGGAGAAGGGUACCUGACGCGGAGGAGGCGGUGGCUGGCUGCGUUUCUGGCGGCGCUGUGGCGGAGGCUGGUGGCGCUGCGACUGUUUCCGGUGGUUUGGUUCGUUCUCCCCGUUGCUCCUUUUCUCUUUGUUUUUUUCGGUUUGCUCCUUUUCUUUUGUUUUCGGGUUGGUUCUUCCUCUCUUCCCGUUCCUCUUCUCUGUUUUUUUUCGUUCCUCUCUUUUCCUUCUCUCUCCUUCGUUCUACCUCCUCCUCUCUCUCUCCUCUGUUUUUUCGUUUUUUCUCCCCGUCUCCCCUCUGUUUUUUUUUUUUUCUUUUCCCUCUCUUUUCUCUCUGUUUUUCCCUCUUGCUCUCAGCGUCCUUGGCCUCUAUUUAUAGAGGCCAAGGACGCUGUUUUUUACAGCUCUCAUGGGGGAGCAGCCGGCUGGUCGGCCAUUGGGCGCGGCUGCCGAGGUUCGGUGGGUGGUGCGCGGUGGAUGGUCGGCCAUUGUGUCCGGUCGGUGGGCUCCAGGCGAGAGAGUGGCCGGCAAAAUUCAAAUUAAAGCUUCCCUUUCUCCUUCUUCCCCGCUGCGUGAUCGGGGGAAGAAGAUGAACAGUGUCGUUUCAAAACGACACCGUUCUGCUCUUUCUUUUUUUUUUUUUUGUUUUUGAAUGUAUGAAACGGCGUCGUUUUGGAGAAAACGCGCCGUUUCAUUUAAAUGUGGCGCCAAAACGCGCCAAAUUUCAAAUCAGCCCUCAAUCAUCUUUUCUUUCUUCAAUUGCAUCCCUGCCAAUUUCGGUCUCCGUCCCUCUUGUUGGCCGCGUUUUUCACUUUAGUCCUUGGUGUCUAAUUUAUGCAAUUGAGCCCUUAAUUGAUCAAAAAACUUCUAAUUUCUUCAAUUAGGCCCCUGAAUCAAUUAAUUACAGCCCCUCCAUUUACGCGCCUCUUCCAAUUUGGUCCCUGGUUUCGGAUUUUCUCAAUUAAGUCCCUAAUUGGCCCUUAAACUUCAAUAUUUAUGCAAUUAGGCCCCUGAUUUGACCUAAUAAAUUCCUAAAAAAUAUAUUUUGGCCCCAGAACUUAAAUUUCUUCUAAUUAAAGCCCAAAUUGACUUAAAAAUCAAUUUUUCUUGCAAUCAAAUCCUCUAUAAAUUCAUUUAAAAAUCAAAUUAAGUCCAUAAACAUCCAAAUUUGGGCUUUUCUCCUCAAAUUUCAAAUUUUCCUUCUCAACAGGGCUCUCCUCCUUCAAGAAUAUACUGUCAAAAAUCCAAUCUUUGUAUUUUUAACCUUAUUGAUCGAUUUUCCAACCAUUUUCUGAGCGCUUCUGCCUCCUGUUAUUUUUUUUUUUUUUUUUCUUUGGCUAUAUACAUAUUUAUAUAUAUAUUUUGUGGGGACCCAAAAAUGAGUUACAACACUUCUUAUUCUUGUUGGCCAGUCAUACUAACGGUUUAUAACUUGCCAUCGGGGAUGUGUAUGAGGUCGGAGUUCAUGUUUUUAUCUAUGGUCAUACCAGGUCCGAGCAGCCCAGACCGGAAUAUAGAUGUUUGUCUUCAACCGUUAAUUGAUGAGUUGGCGCAAUUGUGGUCCUCCGGAGCUUUGAUUUAUGAUAUAUCAAGGAAACAAAAUUUCCUUAUAAGGGCGGCUUUGAUGUGAACUAUCAAUGAUUUUCCAGCUUAUGGAAUGCUUUCUGGUUGGAGCACACAUGGGAAACUAGCAUGUCCAUACUGCAUGGAAAACAACAAGGCAUUCACGCUAACAAACGGAGGUAAAGCUUCUUUUUUUUACUGUAACCGUCGUUUCUUGCCACAUGAUCACAGGUACAAAAAGAACAGAAAAGAUUUAUUUGUUGGCAUAGUUGAAAAGGAUGUUGCACCCCCGCGUCUUUCUGGUGAAGAAUUGCAUGAUGUUGUAUCAGAGUACGGUGACAUUGUGUUUGGUCUCCAAUCAGGUAAGUAGAAGUUCCCUGGUUUUGGUUUGACUCAUAAUUGGGUAAAGCGAAGUAUCUUUUGGGAGCUUUCUUAUUGGAAGACCAAUCUUCUCCGCCAUAACAUUGACGUCAUGCACAUUGAAAAAAACAUGUUUGAGAACAUUUUCAACACCGUCAUGAAUGUCAAGGGAAGACAAAGGACAACAUCAAGGCUAGAUUGGAUGUAGCAUUGUUCUGUAACCGUAAAAAUAUAGAGUUGGUUUGUGAUGAGUCAUGGGUCGCAAAACCAAGAGCAAGCUUCGUGUUAGAGAAAAAUGCACAACUACUAGUCUACAAAUGGCUUAAGAGUCUGCGUUUUCUGGAUGGACAUGCCUCGAACAUAACAAGGCUGGUUGAUAUGGAGGAAUGCAGAUUGUAUGGAAUGAAGAGUCAUAACUGCCAUGUGUUUAUGCAAACACUCAUCCCAUUAGCUUUUCGUGAUUUGUUGCUAAAAGGGAUAUGGGAUGCACUCAUGGAGAUCAGUCAUUUCUUUAAAGAUUUAUGCUCCAACAAGUUGAAUGUUGAUCACAUUGAGAGGCUUGAAACGAAUAUCACCGAGACAUUAUACAAACUUGAGAUGAUAUUCCCUCCAUCAUUUUUUGACUUAAUGGAGCAUCUCCCCAUACAUCUACCGUUCAUGGCAAAAGUUGGAGGACCGGUCCAGUAUAGAUGGAUGUACCUAUUCGAACGGUUAGAUAUUACAGUUGCAAUGUAAUUCAUAUGUAAAAGUAUUUUCUUUGUUUUUCUUCAUUGAAAAUAUUUAAUUAAUUCAAUGUAGGUACUUGUUCAAUCUCAGAAAAAGGUUAAGAACAAGGCGCAUGUUGAGGCUUCCAUAUGUGAGGCCUAUAUUGUUGAGGAGAUCUAAACAUUUAUCUUGUACUAUUUCGAACCUCAUCUGAGAACAAGAAUCAAUCGCGUUCCACGGCAUGAUGGUGGCGGUGAAGUGUCUUCUAGUGGAAACUUGUCAAUAUUCUCUAAUCCUGGACGACCCACACCUAAAAAUGUUGUAAGAGGAAGAUAUUUGCCAGAAAUAGAGUUCAAACAAGCACACAAUUAUGUUCUAUUUAACUGUGAUGAGCUGAGACCUUUUAUUCAGUAAGUGUAUAUAUGUGUAAUACUAAUUAAAAUUUGUCGAUAAUAUAUUGUUAAUUAUAUAAUGUAAUAUAAUACACUCAUUACCACUUGCAGGGAACAUCGAAAAUAUUUGUUGUCCAAUAACUCACACCUGACCGAAUCUCAGAUCUUUCAAUUACAAGAUGAACAAUUUUCCACAUGGUUCAGUAAGUUUAGGUUGCGUGAUUUUUGGUAUGAAGCACAAAAAAGGGCAAAAAAAACCGAGAGAGAUAGGGGUUUCCAAGGCUGGAACGAUGUUGCGGUUUGGAGGGAUUUCAAACCGAUAUACAUCCUGGAAGAUAUAUGGUCGCACUAUCUUGAGUUCGUGACGUCUGAGUAGUUCAUACGACGCUCACAGUCCGGUGCUGGCAACCGGAAUCGACCAUUUCAUGGCUCGGUGACAACGCACACUGGCAGCUCCGUUUCGUUUGCUACACAAGCAAAAUGGAUGGUAAGAUUAAUUUAAAUGAAAUAUAUCGUUAAAUUAAGUUGUUGUUAAUAAAUCUUUUUUCAUUAUAGGCUAUGUCUCUUGGACGUGAGCCGAGCCCGAUGGAGCUGUUUGUGGAGACGCACGUGCGGAGUCAAGAUCGCCAAAAGGUGGCGCAACAGUUCGUUGACAACCGUGCUCAACAUUUCGUGGUAUGUUUGUUCAACCAUUUUAUUUUGUAAGUUAUUAUGUUUAUUGAAUUGAAUAUGAUGAUUACUUUUUUUAUUUUUAGGAGACCUAUAAUAAUCGGUUGAGGGAGAGAUACGGGGAUGAUAUUUUGACCCAUCCGAAAUUCGAUCUAGAUUUGUAGAUGGAGGUUGGAUCAUUAGGUGGACUCGAUAAAAAUCAAGUUUACGGGCUCUCCAACACUACGGCCAACAACUUGCGGUCGGCCCGUAGUGUUUCAACCGUUGGGAGCUCCCAAUCUAAGGAGUUCGUGGCCUCAACACACGUCUCAUCUCACCGAAAAAUACGACCACCUAUCAGUGGAGUAUGCACAACUCAAAGCGUCUCAUACACAACAAAGAGCAGAGUCUGAACAACAAAAAGCGGCUUAUGAACAGCUUCGUGAAAUGGUCAUGAACAUGGCAGCACAGAUUGGAACAUGUGCGCCUAAUCCUUUUUGGUCGUAUAACCACCAGCCUCCUUCUCCUCCAGCUCCACCUUUAUAUUAAUUUGUAAUAAACAUUAUUUACCUUUAAAUUUUCAUUUUAAAUUUUUUUUGAAACACAUUUAGUUUGUAAUGAAUAUUAUUUAACUUUGAUUUUUUGUUUUUGAUGUUUAAUAUAAAUUUUAUUUGCAUAAUUGGUUUUUAUUACCAUUAAUUUAUAUAAUUUUAUAUUAUGUAUUCUAAAUAAUUUUUUAAAAACAAAUUUAGAAAAAACUAUUACAAAGGGUUUUACCGAUGCAAUGAAUCCGUCGGCAUUUGACAGUAGCUGCCACAUUCACCGACGCAUUUACAGACGGAUAUAUUCGGUCGGUAUUUCAUACACUCACCGACAGCUUUACCGACGGAAUUAAUCCGUCGGCAUUUGAUAGUAGCUGCCAUAAUUACCGACGAAUUUAUAGAUGGAUAUAUUCGGUUGGUAUUUCAAACACUCACCGACAAAUUUACCGACGGUACGUAGCCGUCGGUAAAUCACGAUAUCACCGACGGAGUAAAAUCCGUUGGUAUAUUUCAAGCGGGAAACUUUUUUUUGGCACGCAAAUUAUGUCUGUAAAACCAUCAGCAAAUGGUUUUUUUGUGUUUUCGACCGAUAUAGCAACGGAAUGUGGAAUUACUGAUGAAAGGAAAGCCGGCGGAUUACACACCGACGGAAUAUCUCCAUUGGUAAAACUAUGAAAUCUUGUAGUGUAUACUUUGUUUUUUUGUGUUCAAUUUUAAUGUUAUCACAUUUAUAAUAGUUUUCAUCGUGAUUCCAUCGGGUAACGCAAUACAGGGCUCAGCUAUGCUAAAGGCAAGGACAUGUAGUUGUUCGCUACUUCUACCAUUGAAGGUGAUUACUAUCAAAUCAGCGGAUUCCAUACAUUUUUUUCAUAAUCUAAGAAAUUAAUUUUUUGUCUUUAUAUAUUUUUCUAACCUAGCUAUCAUGCCUUCUCCCAUUAUCAUUUAGCUUAUUUUCAAAUAAUUUUAAUCAAUUUACUUCCUUUUACUCCUAGGAAAACCAAACCUCGCUAGCACUGUUGCCUCCUUAUGGUAUUUCCACCCAGAAAUUCAUGAGGUUCUUCCAUAUAAGCAUCAGUAAGCUAGCUCUUUAUCUUCUCUUUUGUCUCGCUUAUGUUCUUAAAUUAUUUAUCUCACUUCUAAACAUUUUAUCAGGUUUAAAGUUGAUUGUAUUGUGACUAAUGGUAAUGAUGUUGCAACAUUUCUAAUAAUGGGAAAAACUACUGAAAACUUCUUUGGCUCCUCUGCCCACUGCUAUCUCUAUGAUAAGGGGGUUUAUUGAUUGCAUCCCACCUCCCAUGAUUGAAAAAUUAAACAAGGACAAGAUUUUCCAACUGAGAUUUGGAGUUUUUCGCUCAGUUGUCAACCAUUGUGACAUCAUUGUUAUUAAUAUCUUUGACGAUAUUGUAACUAAUGAAGCUCCACACCUGCCUACUGAACCAGAGCUGCAUGUUGUUGAUAUUUCUCUUAAUGAUCAAGCAGCUUUAUCAUCCUCUCAAGUUUCCUCUACAUUGGACCCAAUAACACCAUCACCUGUUCCACCGUCUAAAACUAAUGCUAAUUUCUCACAACAGCCACUAGUGUCCCCAAGGCAACCACAUAUAUGGUUGGUCCUUUGCCAUCACAAACCAAAAGACAGCUGCUGUUUGAAGAUUAAACGCCUAAUGAAAGGUGACAGGCUGCUUCUUCCUCUCAUUUAAAAGUUGUUGCUUUUCAAUUUCAGCAAUGUCAGUUGUUUCUUUUUGUUUGAUGAGUAGCAGAUACAUAACUUAUUAAUUUAUUUUGGAUUCAUAGCUCUACAAUAUAUAGCUGCUGCAGCUUAUCCUCGAGAUGGAUUUGCAUCACUUGACCGUGAUACAUCAGCCAUCACUGAGACAAAUGAUCCACCAAGCAAACGCCAAUGCCCUUAGCUUACACGCAGCAUUUAAAUAAACCACUGCAGCGCCAGUCUUGUUUUUCAUUUCUGUUAGUUGUUACUAUUGCGAAAGAUUCGUGUAACUAAGCUAACAAAUUCUCUAGAAUCUACUCCCUACUACUAUAUUUGUAACAACUUAUGGAACAGAUGGAGAAUAUAGAAUGCAAUACAAUUAUCGUGUUUUCUCCUCUGUUCCCUCUUCUCUUUCUCUCGUCUUCUUCCCACCAUCCCUCUGUUAUUCUACGUACUAUUUAUGUUAUUCUACGUACUCUGGAGGAAGUAAAAAUAGAUGUCUAUAUUUUGAUGUCGUAUAUUACUAGACCGACACUUGCUUAUGUCAUUAUUUGUUUUUACUUUUUGCUAAUGAUUCCACACAUUUCUCAUAUUGGUGUGGUUUGUGAGUUCAGGGUUCUUGCUCGCUGCUACUAACUUCUCUAUACUUUGCCUGGUCAUUAAAAAUGAAACGUAAAUGAUUUACAUGUGCAGAAUGGAGACAUUAAAGACACAUCUUUCGUUUUCUUUCAUAAAUCAGUUUAUAAAACAUUCUUCCAAAAAUUAUAUACCAUGCAUUAACAAAAAUUGCAUAUAAGCAAAUCAAUCUAAACAUAGCCAUUGCUUGAUCUUUUAUAUAUAUAUAUAAUGUAAUACAUUUAGUAGAUGAAAAAUGCAUAAUUCAGAAAAAUAUCUAUUCUAUUUAAAAAUAAUAGUGUAUGAAUAUUUACGUACUUUCUUUGCUUAAAUAGCCGAGGUCUGAAAUCAUAGCUCAAAAAACCUAUUCGCAAGCAUAUUAUGUUAAUUGCAUGCUACCUUGUAAACUAAUCGUAGCUCCUAGAACAUUCAGAAUUCUAUUAUGCUUUUUGGGUUGUAAACUAGUCUCAUUUACCUUUCAUCCAUAUAUAUAAUUUAGAUAGCAAUUCCUUUUAUAUAAUUUAUAAUAAUCCCCGAAAUCAUUCUUUACUAUUAUCAUCAUAGCUAUUUCUAUAAAAACUGGAUUAAUGCACCGUUUAUGGUAUUAAAAACCAAAGAGAACAAGCUUUUCCUAUGUAUAAAAUUUGGGUAAAAAACUGUAUCUAUUCAAAUCCUUUUUUGGAUCAAACAGUAGCCCCUGUAAAAUACUUAAACUAACAACUUCUAACUUUGCUUAACCUAAUACUUUUAUACCAUUAAACAACCACUAAGCAAUCAUAUUUUCAUGAUCUAUAUCACUAAGCAAUUAUAUUUUCAUAACAUAUUUAAUUAAUCUGAAACCUUUCUAAAUAUAAUGCUUUUUUUUUCUCAAAAUCAAGAAAACAUAAUGUUACAUCACUACACCAUUUAACAAUUUUAUCGAUGGAAUUUUUCCGUCGGCAUAAGAUUACCAUUCCGUCGGUGAAAAUUUUAUUGACUAAUUCACCGAUAGAAUACGUCCGUCAGAAUAACGUUCAUCGGUAAUUCGAUAUUUUGUUGCUAAUUAUUUCAGUAAAAAAAACAUAUAGUUUUACAGACGGAAAAUGCGCGCAAAAAAAAUCUUGCUGGAAAUAUGCCAACGGAAUAAUUCUGUCGGUAUAUUUCCAUCCGUGAUAGUGCAUAAGCAGUUAUUUUUUCCAAACUCUCUGGAAUAUACUGAUAGAAUGAUUUCGUCUGUAUUUCUAUCGGUAAAUCACAUAUGGAAUAACGAUGUCAGUGAUUGUGGCAUAUGCAGUAAAUAUUUUACAAUUCUCUAGAAAAUACCGAUGAUAUAAUGUCGUCUGUAAAUCGGUCGGUGAUAAUUUAAAAAUAUUUUUAAAAAUAAAAUUGCGUAGAAUAAAUAUUAUAAAAUUGUAUUGAAUAAUAGUAAAAAAACUAAUUAAGCAAAUAAAAUUGAAAAAUAUAAAAAUCAAAUUAAAUAAUAUAAAGUCCAAAUAUUCAUUAUACAAAAAAAAUUAAAAUAAAACAUUAUUAUAAUAUUAUAAUUAUGUGGGCUGGGCCGGCCCAGCGAACCGACCCGAACUCAGCCCAAAAGGGUUGGGCCGAUCUCAGCCUAAUAGUUCUCUCUGUUUUUUUGGUCUAAGCCGGACCCAGCCCAUACAUCAUGGCUGGGCCAGAACCAGCCUGGCCCAAAAAAGAAACAAAUCGGGGGGGGGGAUUAUUUUCCCCCCUCCUAUCCUCCUGCAUGCAGAAUGAAUAUCAUUCUACAUGCAAGAGAAACUUAUACCGAAAAUGAAGUAAAAGUGGAGGGGAAAGAAGAGUUUCCUGGCAUAGAAGAGGCGGUGCCUUGCUGGUCUGGCUGCUUCACUGGCGGUGUUGUGGUGGAGGCCGGUGGCGGUGUCGUGGCUCACGAACUGUAGCUCCAAGCAGCGGUGCUGCUGUUUCAAGCGGCGGAGAGAGAGGUUCUUGCUCUUCUGUUUAUUUCUCUCGCAAACCCUCCCCUAUUUCGAACUCGUCUUCUUUCCUCUCUCUCUCUCUCUCUCUCUCUCUCUAUCUCUCUCUCUCUCUCUCUCCCGUCUGCUUUCCUUUUCUUUUCCUCCCGUUUCCUUUUCGUUUCUCUGUGUGUGUUUUUUUUCAUUUCUCUGUUUUUUUCCUCCUCCUGUAACUGGUGUUAAGAGUAGUAUUUAUAGGGUAAAGGGGAGAGGGGGCAUCCCUAUCGCCGCCCUAUCGUUGCGCAUGGGGAGAGGGGCCUUCCUGCCCUGCCACGACGCUGAAUGAGGUGGCCAAUGGGUGUGGUUUGCAGGGACGGUGCCGGACGAGGUGGCCAAUGGGUGUGGUUUGCAGGGACGACUUCGUUGGCUUCUCAUUGUGAGGGGGAGUGUGCACGCGGGGAAGAAAUAAAUGAGAAACACAAAUUUCUAUCUUCCCCUGUUGCAUGUCCAAGGGAAGAAGAAGGAGGAACAGUGUCGCUCAAAACGACAUCGUUCUGUUCUUUUUUUAUCAUGAAACGACAUCGUUCUCAUCACAACACAUCUAAUUCUGUAAUUCAUACUACAAGUUUCAACAAUUUACAAACAAAUACAAUUUCACAAAAUCUAAAACAAACCAUAACAAGUACAAAAUUAUACAUUCAUACUACAAGUUUGUUUGAGAAAAAACAAUAAAAUAUAUACAUACCCUAACAAAUACAUAUACUAAAAAAAUUCAAUAAUAAUAAAAUUCACAUUUUAAUGUUAAAAUUAAAAAAGAUAAAUUUACUUACAAAAAUGACAAAAUCUACAAUAAAUAAGGACACAGAUGCUGUGACUACAAAAAAUAAAGAAGGAUGAUUUGUGUUGAGAAGUGAGGGAUGAUUUGGGGGGAUGGGUUAUUUGCAGUUUGGGAGGGGAGAGUUUGUUUAGAUGCAAGGAUGGGGGAAGAAGAAGGAGAAAUAGAGGAGAGGAGGGGAGGCGACGUGGUGAUAUAUUAACGUUUACUGAGGGAAUCAUCAACGGAAAUAUUCCGUCAGUGAUUGCAUCAACAAUUCUGCCGGUGAAGGGGACACAUCAUUGUACGAAGAUCUCGGUUUAAAUCCCUCUGCAAUUUCAUCAGUAAAAUUGCUCACAAAAACUUACACGUCAUUGCACUGCUUUGUUUUUCAAAAUUCUUUAUACUCCGUUUGGGAUUCUAUUGGUAUAUACCGAUAGAAUAAUUAUGUUAGUAUAUACCGAUGAUUUUAGCAACGGAUUUAAAUUGGUUGGUAAAUAUCACCGCAAUUUACCGACAUAAAAAUUCUGUUGGUUUUAGUCGAAAUGGUGAAUAAACUAUCCCAAAUAAAAAUUAGGAUAUUACAUUUGUUUUCAUCUACACGUCAACGGAAAGCCAACCAGUUCUCGGAGUGAUCAAAUCAUGCCAAACAGCUGAGAAUCUUUACAAGAACUCGAGAAAAUUACCAUACGGCUUGAGGAAAAGAUUUAUACUACCACCACCAAUCAAGUAUUUGCCUAAUGCAAGGUUUGAUAAUUACGAUAUUCUCUAGAGAUGAAUAUAGACAUGCAUUUAUACAUGUACAAAUGUGCCUAUACUUCCUCACCGUUCAUUCGAUUGCAAGGCUGAUUGGGAGUUCGCAUCUUUUUGUUAAUUCUCUUGACUAGCGUUUCAUUUAGAGUGACCAUGUUCAAGUACAAGGGAAGUGUGCAAAAAGAAAAUUGUGAAUCAAUACAUAAAUAAUUAAAUUAAAAGAGAGGAGAAAGAAGUAUAUCCUCACAGAAGAUGAAAUGAUAGAGCAUAUAUCAAUUUUCCCCCCUUCUCUUGUAACAUGGAUUGCUCUGAGAGCUAAUGUUUUGUUAUUGAUAUCUGAUUUCAAUCUGAUUAUCUACAUAAAAUAUGUCUAGAGAUUCUUUCGAUGGAGAUCAAGUCUCAAAACGCCAUGCCCACUGCCCCCAUGGAUCCAGUAGGUAAUAAUGCUGCCGAGCAUUGAAUUUCUAAAUAUCUUACCUUUUGUUUUUCUUCUCGAUUUGUUAUCAAACUCUUUUACAUUUUGUUGUUGCAUAUUGCUAUGUAUAUCGCCUUGCUGAAAAAAUCUUAUGAUCACCUCCACGAUGCUAAUUUUGUAAUGCAUGUGAAGUGUUUCAUCUUUAACUUGUUAAGGGACAAGGACUCUGAUGCAUGACUAUUUUAUAUUUUAUGACUGAGAUGGUAGAUUUUAAAGAUUUUCUUGACCGAGAGAAAGUAUUUGAUCCUUUUUUAAUAUAUAAUAGUGUUGUCGAGCAUUGAAUUCUAAACAUCUUACCUUUUGUUUUGUUUGUCGCAUUGUUAUCAAACUUUUUUACAUUUUAUUGUGGCAUAUUGCUAUGUGUAUGGCAUGCUUUAAGCAAAAAGUUGAGUAAUUGAUGAAUGUUUGGCAAGAAAAUUACAAAUUAUUUUUUUUUCUGUCUCCUCCUUUUCUUUCCCCCACCCCGAAAAUUGUCAUAUAUUUUUUUUCAGCCACCUUUUCUUCCCCCAACCCUGAAAAUUAUUAGAGGACACUUUUAUCCAUCCUAAUUCUGUUGCUCUUAACUUUAUAUGUGAACUGCCGAUGUUUCAUUUGUCUUCCUUGUUCAAUGCCUUCUUUUUUUCUUUGACAUGGUUUUCCUUUUUGCCUUUUAUCUUGAACAGCAUCCCAUAACAUGCCCCCUCAAGGUCAGAAUCAAGGGUUGUUUCUCCCUAUCCUAUUGUCCACUGAUCAGCCUCGAGCACGCCAGCAGUUGUUAUCACAGAACAUGCAAAAUUGCAUGGCAUUUAAUGGAGUUCAAAGUUCUGCCUCCUGUCUCCGGUGUAACCCAGACUAUCCCCAACAAUGUUGUCUAGAAUCCUAACAUGCAGAGUAUCCCUGGUGUUUCACAGAGAACUCAGUGGAAAAUUCAACAGGGAAUCCCUCCACUAUGUUUGCCCGGGUAUGAGCUUGUCAUGUUGAAUCAUCUCUUCUAGAAUUUUGUCGAACAUAACCUUCUAAUGACUACCACUUAUGUUUGUGCAAUAAAACAUCAACUUUGACAAUCGCUCUUUCUUGACGUGGUAAAUGGAGACAAUUUUCUCUUAACCUAGCCUGUCUGUAAGCAUGGUUGAUGGCUUGCUUUUUUACUGAUGGGUUCCGCAUAACUUCAAGAAAAACCACCCUUGAAGCAGCAAAAUAUUUAUUCCUUCGUAACAAGUCCUGGUUGAUACGAGCAGCACUUUUGUCUUGCUACUUGCGUUGUUAAAAUGCUUAAUGAAUGUUUAACUUUCAUCUACUUUAAGCUUUCUAUGAAUAUAUAAUUUAUUUUCUCUUUGGAUCCAACUAGAUUUUAACUCAAGCUACUUGAUUACUAUAAAGAUGAUGAUUCUGAUUAAAAGGUGUUAAAUUAAUUUGAAUGUAAUUUUUAUUCUGUAAUAAAAUUGAAAUUAUGUAAGAAAUUUGUUGGUGCUUUGUUAUAUAUUAUAUUUACAUUUUUUGGAUAAUGUUUUAUGUUUUUUAGAGAUUUAUUCAUUGUUUGAAUAAUUCCACAGAUGUUAUUUUUUUUAAUUCUGGUUGUGGAUUUAAUGUGAAUAAUUAUUGGCUUGAAGAUGCUUGGUAUUGUUAUUAUUAUUGUUGUUGUAUGUUAAGGUUGGAUUGAUUAUAAAAAAAUAACCAAAAGUAGUAAAAACACCAUUAGAAUCGCCAAAAGACAGCUCCAUUCUGUCAACAUUUUCAUUGGUAAUUUUGUACCCUUCUCAUUGAAAAGUUACAGAAGGUUUGGUAUUCAUGACGGAAUCAACAACUAAAAAUUAUGUCAAAAAUUAAUUUUCAAUGGACUUGCUCAUGCAAAAUGGUAAAUUUUCAUAGUUUUUUAAAACACUAUAUAACUUGACAAUCUCAUCAAAAUAGAGUUUGGAUUUUAAAAAAUCAAGAUGAUAAUUUUUUUUAAUAUUAAGAGAACAACAUAUUAGAUCAAUCAAAGCUUUGUGACUUAACUUGUCAAACCUGUGACUCAGAUCAUAAACUCUACUAGGUUUAAUAACUCUUUAAAAAAAACUAUUUUUAUUUAAUUAUAUUAUAAUAAAAAUAGACACUCACAAAAUUAAGUACUAAUCGAAUACCAGAAUGUUUGUUUGAAACUAAAAUAACCUUAUAAAAAUUAAACCAAAAUAAAUCAUGAAAGUUAAUUCAAAAUUAAUUAAUUAUUAAAGAAUAAAAUUUUUAAAAAUAUAGCAAAAAGGUGAUUUCCUAUCAAAUAUUUUAGUGUUUGAUUCUUUUAGUGAUGUUGGUAAAUUUUCUUGAAAAAAAAAAACUUUUUUCAUAUCAACUGUUUAGAUCUACUUAAAAUUGUAUUAAACUAGUAUUUUAGAUAUGGAUCGGCAAUGAUGGAAAGUUACUACAUCAUUGGUUUGAUGAUAAAAAAGGUAACACAAUUAUACUACUUUUCUAAAGGAACUAGCGUGUUUUUUUAUAUUGUUCAUAUUAGCAAUGAAGAAGGUUAAUGUACUUAUUUAAUUCACAUGAUAACAACUUUAUAACGUAGCUCAAUUGGUUGACAUACCAAUGUAAAACUAGGUGUUGUGGGUUCGAGAGAAUGAAGAGGCAAUUAAAAAAAUACAAUAUGUCGUCUAUGUUUUCCUUUUUUAAAAAAAAGGCUUAAUAAAAAAUAUAAAGUGAGCCUUGCUUUAUAAAUUUUUAUUUGAAUUUUAAAAAUUGUUUUCAAUUAUUAUAUAUGUGACAUAAAAUGUUUUUUUAACUUUUUUAUUCUUAGAAUUUUUAAAUAUAUUUUGAACAUGAUUUUAUCAUGAAAGUUCAAUCCAAAUCACAUUUUUAUUCUUAGAAUUUUUAAAUAUAUUUUGAACAUGAUUUUAUCAUAUUUAUAGUUUUUUAACCUUCAAAUCACACAUAAAAAUAUAAACAUACUAUUUUGAUAUUUUUUUUUAAUUUGUUGUGACAAUUAUAGAAUAUUUUUUUAACAGAAACAAUGAUUCUAGUUAAGAAAAAAAAAUUGCAUUCACUAAGAUAAAUAAAAAAUAUGUUAAUAAAAAAAAUUAUCUUGAUAGAGAACAAUUCAAAACAACUGUAUUUUCAGAUUUAAUAACAAUGUCAAAAAAUUUCCUUAGACUUUGAUAUUUUGUUUUGCGUUUAAAGUUUUUUGAUCUCCACAAUGUAGCACUAGCAUACAAACUUGUAUAUUUUUAAAGUAGUAUUUAGUUACUGUCCGAGACAAUAGGGACAAAGAUAGAGGAGACAAGACAUAAAACAAGAUGGAGAUAAAAUUGUGUUUAGUAAUGAUGUAUAAGACAAAGUGACUAUUUUUGUAUACUGUUUGAUUAUGGUGGACAAGAAAGAAUAAAAUAUAAAAAAAUAUUUUACAUUUAAUAUGUAUUGUUAUCAAACUUAUAUAUGUCUUAGGUGAGUUUUAAAGCUAUGACAAUAAUCAUUUUUACUUUUAUAUGUCUUAGUUGGACAAUUUGGAAUUGAGUGUUUUUUAUAAGGAUAUUUUAGGAAUAAAAAAUAUAAACUUUAGAGACAUGUCCUCUUUAUACCUCAUAUUUUAAAAAUAUAAAAAUUCACUUCAAAAUUAUUUCAAAAACAAAUUUAUUUUAUGUUUAUCUUUAUAUUUGUCUCUUUAACCAAACAUAUUUAUGCCUGUAUUGUCUCCAUCCUUUUAGGAUAAUGACCGAACACUAACUAAAAGAUCUACAACUGUCAAGGACAAACUUGGCUUUAUUAUCUUUGAUUUCUUCUCAGUGAUGUCUCACCUAUUUGUAGAGGCACUUGAUCAAAACUUAGUUGAUUCAAAUGUAGAUUUUGAGAGAAAAAAAUUCAUAGAGUAAUGUUUGAAUCUUGGUGUUUUUUAUUGGCUUAAAAAAAUUACCAACGCACCAAAACCUGCUAAUUUAGGAUUUUAGCUGAAUCAAGCUUUAAACUAGAUAUAAUACCUAUGAUUUUAUAAAAUUACUAUGAACUUCCCUUCUAUGUCUUCUUAUUUACUCAUUUGAUUUUAUGAUGUUAAGAUGUUCGCAUUUAUAUCAUGAUUAAACUCUAGGAUAUUAUUGAGUUAUUGUCUUGGGAUAAAAGGGAUGAAGACAAUAGAGAUAAAAUUGUGUUUGGUUGAAAAGAUAGAGAUAUAAAAAUAAUUUAUUCAUAGGACAAUUUUAGAGUAAAUUUAUGUAUUUUCAAAAUAGAAGGUACAAAUAAGAUAUAUCUUUAUAAGCAAUAUAUAUUAUUUUUUAUUUGUAAAAUAUUAUUGUAAAAAACUUUCAAUUUCAAAAUUAUCCGAUUAAGAGAUGUGAGAAUAAAAAAGUUAUUAUUGUAGUCUUAAAACCCAACGUGAGAGUUGGCUUGGAGUAAGAUAUGUGAUCCUUGUUGAUCUAAGUUAAGAUAAGAAUAAAGAUAGUUAUUAUCAUAGUUGUAAAAUCCAACUCAAAGAUUUUGGAUUGACUAUUGACUUGGAUGAAUAAAAUAAUAAAAAUGUUUUUGCCUUCUUUCAUUUGUAUUCAUAGUUUUCGUCUUUUUUUGUCCAUAACAGAAACGAAAUACCAUCUGGUUGAUAACAUAUAGAAACUUCAUGUUUCAUUUAUUUUAAAUAAAUUGAAACACAAUUGCGAGAAGAAAAGGAAGAAGAUGACAUGUGAUCCUGGUUCCAUGCAACAUUUUGACAUUAACAAUAUUUUGAUAUUUCCAUUAAUUUAUAAUAUACAAAUAUAUUUCCACGUUUCUUUUAUUUGGAUAUAACAUUUUUCCAAUCGAAUUUGUUUUUUUUUUUGAAAUUCUAUGUUCAUGAUAUUUUUUAACAAUAAAACUAGCAUUGAAUGAGUUUAUAGUUCAAUUAAAACUAAAAAUGUGUUAAGUACAAUGGAUUGUACAUGAUAAUAUAAAUACUAAACAAUGAGUAAUUAGACUGAAUUGAAGUUUUUUUAAUAUUUAAUAACUAACAAGUUUUUCGAUAUUCUAGGUAAAUAAUUCAUUUUGCUAUAAUAAUAAUAAUAAUCAUAAUAAUAAUAAUCACCUUAAAACAUUCUAAUUAAAAAAGAAUAUUUCAAGUUUAUUUUUAAUGAUUGCUUAUACAAUGAAUUUUUCAAUAUUUCAAGUUUUUCGUAUAAUAAUUUUUGUACAAAUUUUUUAUCCGGGGAAAACUUUGGACAAGUAAAACAUCAAUCCUUAUCAUGUCCAAAGUGUAUAUCAAACAUUUUACAACUUGCCAUGUGCAACAAAUAUAUCGCAACUUGUUUUUAUUGUAGAAAACAAAAAAAAAAGAAAAAAGAAAUAGGAAUCUGGAAAAGAAUAAAGUCAUCUACUGGAAAAGAAUAAAGUCAUCUACUUCACUUUAGUCCAGCAUUCCUCACCUCUCCCGGCCUUCCCUCCCUCCCUCCUUCCCUCCUCCGCCUCUCGGAAACCGCCGCCGCCAAUAAGGCUUCAGAUUUCUGCCAGGUGCUUCCUUUUCUAUCAUGUUUUUGUUUUUUAAAAUUUAUGGGUUUUUUCAUUUAUUUCAUUGUAAUUAAUAUUCAGAGACAGAAAUUCUAUUUUAAUAAUUAAAUUAAAAAAAAAAUCGAUCCGAUGAAAUCUCUGCUAGUGAACGCAAUUCGAUUUUAAUAAGUAAAUUAAAAAUAUAUAUAACCGGAUCGGAUGAAAUCGCUGCUCGUGAACGCAAUCAAAGAAACGCACAAUCAGCUGAUUCUAAUAUUUUCUUUUUCAACCCCCCCCCCCCCCCCAAAUAAUUUACAUGAUAUUAUCCGAUUUUUUCACAGUUAUUGUUGUAAUAAUCAAGCCCUGAAUUCUUGAACCCAAAUUUAUUUUAUUUUAUUUUUUAGUUUUAUUUUUAAGUUGAGAAUAGAAAUCAAUUCAAAUCUUUUAGGCUCGAUCGAUAAUUUGUUUAGUUUAUGCAGCAGCUGGAGUGGAAGGGAUAUUACUGCCGGAAUGGCCGAAAAAUGAGCUGUUUGGUUGAUUCUUCUUUUUUGGAAUUUACUGAAUUCUUCAAAAUUAUUGUGUUUUUAACAACAAAUCGAUAUCCUUGGGUUUUAUGCUCGCUCACACAUGGAAAAAAGAAAGAAAGAAAAGAACUUUAAAUUUUAUAAUUUGGUCAUGUUAACGUGAAAAAAAUAAAAAUAACAGGUCUGCCUUGAUAACCCUACAGGAUAUAUCUUUCUUUUUAGGACUGCUCAGCUGGUCUUGAGUAUGAGGUGAAAGCUUGAGAGCAUGUGGAAGUGUAAAACAAAUGACUUCGUUCACUUCACCCCAAAGGCGUAGCUGUGCAUCUAGUUAGGAAGAACAUUUUAUAACUUACCUCACGGUCGAGCAUGGUCAGGGUUAUUGUGUUGUUGAUUCCGAGAAAGAUGUGCCUGUAAAUUUAAUCUUAUUUCAACAAGAGUUGUUAAGUUGAUUCUUAUCAGUCUGCUCAUUAGAGUUGAUGAUAACAUGAAAUAUUCAUGGUUAAUGCUCGCCGUUUUCUUCUUCUUUUUCCUAGCUUAAAACGUCCUAGACAAUCUCUUUGGGAUGGGUUAUUGUUUGUGGCCUCUUCAUGUUCUAUUUGCUGGGGUAUUUAGACUGCUGAUAUUCAUCGGGGAUUGAAAAGCCUUGUUUUAUGACUUUGUUUUGUUUUCUUCUUCUUUCUUUAUUCUUUUGGGGAUGUGGUAUUCUCCUCGUUCUAUUUACACUAUUUGCUCCCUUCAACAUUUAUUCUUUCAGAAAAGUUAAUACAUGCAUAAAUAACAAGAACAGGAGGGGAGGGGGAGGGGGUUUGACUGUAUGUAAAUGCUUGCGAGUAAAAAUUGGUAAGCACUUGAAAAAGGUCCUGUGCUGAAUCUAAAUUGGUAAGAUGUGAUAUACCGAUAUCUAGAAAGAUAACUUAAUCUAUCUAUUGAAGUAAAGCAUUUAAAUGGGCAUACAAUGUUUUUGGAUCAUUAAAUAUCUGUUUGAUCAGAAUCUGUGAACCUAAAACCACAAUGAAUACAAAUGCAAGUUUGUCAUUGUAAACAUUGCAUCGAUGAUGCAUCACAAGUGUUGCUAGAAAACAUCAAGUUAAAAUUGAAGCACCAUGAGUUUCUCAAUGGCUUGGUUUACCAACACUCACCAUCUGUUGGUGCGGCAAGUUAUAAACUAGCUAGCUAGUUUUUUGCUUCCUGGGUUUUAGAAGCACCAUGUAGAUUCAGGCCCAAAUCUUGCUUAUAAUACCCGAAUACCCGAAUACCCAAGAUCCUAGCACCUUGCCCUGAAUGGUCGUGUAUAUUUGUUAUGGCUGUUCAGAUUUUAUGCAUCCAUAUUUGGUAGAAUUCUUUAAUAAAGUACAUGCUAUUAGAUGGAAGUUCUUUUUAAAUCUAUUCAAGUCUGAAUAAACUGAUAUUCCAAUUUUCAUGACUUUGAUGUGCUCUUACUCUUCUGCUGUUCCUGACUUUCUUUUUAGGGUCUAUUCUAACGUGCAAUAUAAUUAAUUUUUUUUGUGGUGAUAGAAGUGAUUUUUUUUGGUUGGCCAAAACCCCAUGGAUGCCAAUAAUCGGAGGCCCACUGCCCUAGGCGGAGAACCUGUGAUGGACACAGGAGAUUGGAGAACUCAAUUGCAGCCUGACUCACGGCAAAGAAUAGUCAACAAAAUGUAAGUAUCUGUUUGCUAAUAUGUGCAAGUGCUGCAAAAUAGUAUAUCUUGUAUUUAAAUGAAAGAAAAAGAGAAGGGCAAAAGGUUAAUUAAAAUCAGCAGGACUGCCAUGAGGCAACCUCAAGUAUCAUACACCUCUGUUUUUGUCUUUUUCAUUUUUCACUUGUUUCUCACAAGAAGUGAACUCGAGGGAAUAAAAAGUGCUGGGAAGUAAUUUUUGUUGGAACUUCUUGUGUAACAUCUUCUUUUGAUGAUGACCUCUUGGAUGGCUGCAUGAAGCUUGUUCCGCUUUAAAUUUCAAGGUUAAUCUAUUGCUAUGAGCAUUGGUGUUUCAAUUUCAACCUUGAGUUGCAACUGAACUUAAAUGAAUAGUGUUGGAUUUGGGCCUUCUAUUUGCUUUAACUUCUGCGGGAUUGAAAUGAUAGUGAUCUUAAAGUACAAAAGCAGCAGACAAAAAUCAAUUAGCCACAAUAUAUAGUGUAUGGUUUCCUAGUUUCUCAGUAUAAAGCUGAAUGUUUUGGUGAUAUCUCCACAUCCAAAAUCAUAUAGACAGCUACUACUGCUGGCACUUACAGUAGCCAAUGAGCACUGUAGAGUAUAUAUUGCAGCGUGAGAUAAGGUUAACUCAUUGCAUUUUCAUAAAUUAAAAGGAUUUCUCUUCUUUUCUUUGUCAAUUACAGUGCAUGUAUAAAAGUUUUCUUACUCAGAGUAAAUGCUAUUGUAAUGUUUUCACAGAGUUCCCCUGGUUUGCAACUAAUGCACUUAUUUAUCUUGGAGCAUAGCCAUAGCCAUAAAUGGAAGGUUCUUCUGGUUCAAGAAAAUUAACCAUGAAGCUCGUAACUAGAAUUUUAGACAGAAGGGUGGCCAAGUAAACUCCUACCUCUGGAAUAAUAAGGGGAAAGGAAGUAAAAAUAGAUGUUUGUAUUUUGAUGCCAUAUAUUACUUUACUAACACUCGGCUAUAUCAUUAUUUGUUUUUACUUUUUGCUAAUGAUUCUGUUGUAUACAUUUCUGAUAUUAGUGUGGUGUAUGAGUUCACAGUUCUUUCUCACUACUGCUAACUUCUCUAUACCUGCCUUGUCAUUAAAAAUUAAAUGCAAUGUUUUACAUGUGCAGAAUGGAGACAUUAAAGAGGCAUCUUCCGUUUUCUGGUCAGGAGGGAUUACAAGAACUCAAGAAAGUUGCCGUACGGUUUGAGGAAAAGAUUUAUACUGCCGCCACCAAUCAGGUAUUCGGCUAAUGCCAGGUUCAAUAAUUUUGAUAUUCUCUAGACAUGAAUAUACACAUGCAUAAGUUUGUGGAUUUAUGCAUGUACACAUGUGUGUGUAGUGUGUCCACACUUCCUCACUGGUCAUUCUGUAGAAGUUCUUAUCUUUCCGUUAAUUCUCUUGACAAGUGUUUUAUUUAGAGUGACCAAGGUUCUUUUCAAGUACAAGGGAAGUGUGCAAAAAGCAAAUAACGAAUCAAUACAUAAAUAAUUAAAUAAAAAAAGGAGACACAGAAGUAUAUCCUCACAGAAGAUGCAAAUACAGAAAGCCUAGCAUAUUAGAAAGAGCAUAUAUCUCUUUUCCCCCUUCUCUUGUAACAUGGACUGCUCAGAGAUCUAAUGUUUUGUUAUUGAUAUCUGAUUUCAGUCUGAUUAUCUGCGUAAAAUAUCUCUGAAGAUGCUUACAAUGGAGACCAAGUCUCAAAAUACCAUACCCACUGGCAAUGGUAACAAACCCCUGGAUCCAGGAGGUAAUAAUGCAGCCAAGCAUUGAAUUUCUAAACAUCCUUACCUUUUGUUUUAUAUUUUGCAUUGUUAUCAAACUCUUUUACAUUUUAUUGCUGCAUAUUGCUAUGCACAUACCAUGCUUUAAUAAAAAAAUUGAGUAAUUUAUGAAUGUUCAAAAAAAUUACAGAUCAUUUUUGCCCCCCCCCCCUCCCCCCCAGCCCCAAAAUUGUCAAAUGGCACUUUUAUGCUUUGAGUCAAAAUUUCCUUAAUUAUUUCCCUCGUAACUUUAUGUGUGAACUGUCAAUGUUUCAUUUGUUUUUCUUGUUCAAUGCCUUCUUUUUUUCCUUUGACAUGGUUAUCCUUUUUGCCUUUUAUCUUGAACAGCAUCUCAUAGUAUGCCGCCUCAAGUUCACAACCAAGGGCAGUCGCUCCCUAUCUCAUUGUCCACUAAUCAGCCUCAAGCAUGUCAGCAGUUAUCACAAAACAUGCAGAAUAGUAUGUCAUCUAAUGGAGUUCAAAGUUCUGCUGGUUUACAAUCAGCAAUGCCUUCUGUCUCCAGUUUAACCCAGACUAUCCCAAACACUGUUGGACAGAAUGCUAACAUGCAGAGUAUCUCUGGUGUUUCACAAAACCCAGUUGGGAAUUCAAUGGGACAAGGGAUUCCCUCCAAUAUGUUUGUCAAUUCUCAGAGACAAAUGCCAGGCAGGCAACAGGUUGUUCCUCCACAGCAACAGCAGCAGUCCCAAAAUCCUCAGCAGUAUCUUUAUCAGCAGCAGAUACAACAACAGCUUUUAAAGCAGAAGCUUCAACAGGGAAAUCAUCCACACUCACAUGUGCAAUCUCACAUCCACCAGCAGCAGCAGCAGCAAAACUUGUUACAGCCAAAUCAGUUGCAAUCUGGUUUGCAAACAUCAACUGUUAUGCAGCCUUCAAUGAUGCAAACCGUCUCUGGUCUUCAACAGAACCAACCAUCUUCUGUUCAACAGUCAACACAACCAAUGCUCCAGCAACAUCCACAAUCAGUCCUCAGGCAGCAGCAACAACCUCAACAAUCUGCUGGUAUUCAUCAGCAGCAAACACCAAUGAUGCAGCAGCCACUAUUGCCUCCACAACAGCAGCUAAUGGGGCAACAAUCAAAUACCACUAACAUGUCGCAAAAUCAGUUAACUGGACAGCAAAACAUUGUUGGGGACUUGCAGCAGCAGCUAGGGCAGCAGAAUAACCUUCAAAAUCUGCAGCAGCAGCAGUUAAUGGCUCAACAAAAUAACCUCUCAAGCAUGCAUCAGCAACAGUUGGGCCCUCAAAGUAAUGUCACUGGUUUACAGCAACAGCAGUUGCUUGGAGCUCAGCCUGGUAACUCAAGCAUGCAAUCUAAUCAGCACUCUCUACACAUGCUGCAACAGCCCAAGGUUACGCUGCAGCAGCAAGCACAACAAAGUGGAAGUGCUUUGUUGCCGAAUCAAGGGCAGCAGUCACACUCACAGCUGCCACAGCAGCAAUUGACGGCACAGAUUCAAUCACAGCCUGGACAGCUGCAACAGCAAUCAAAUCCAUUACAACAUGAUCUGCAGCAAAGGCUUCAAGCAUCAGGCUCCUUGCUUCAACAGUCAAAUGUGAUUGAUCAGCAAAAGCAGUUGUAUCAACCUCAAAGAGCCCUUCCAGAAACGUCCUCAAGUGAGUUUUUCUCAUCAUUGCAGCUUUCUAACCUUGCUCCAACUUUAAUUUUGCAGCUUUGUGCUUUCAUGUUAGAUUAUAACAUAUUUAUUUAAAUUUCUUGAAAAUACAAUAAUGGUUCAAGUCAGCAAUGCUCUUUCUGGUAGCUUUAUGAGCUACGGCUGCCACUUAUGGCAUCAGAAAUGCCACUGCUAUUGGAACCAUUGUAAUCACACAUACAUUUGUUAUGACAUCAUGCCAUCCAGAGCAUUGCACCAACUGUUCACCUCUCAUAAUGGUUCAAGUCAGCAAUGCUCUUUUGGUAGCUUUAUGUGCUACUGAUGCCAUUGCUAUUGAAACCAUUGCAAUCAUACUCAUUUGUUACCACAUCAUGCCCUCCAGCUCAUCGCACCAACUGUUCACCUCUCAUUUUGAAUUUAACGGACGUGAGUUUUAAAAAUAUAUGUAUAACUGGACAAUGCAUUUGACGCUAGGGUAACUAAUCAUCAGCCAAUUGAUUUUUAUGGGAAGAAAGAAACUAGCAAGUGGAUUAACUCUGAGGCACUUAAGGUUUGGUGUGCUGAUAAAUCAUCACCUUGCUGGAAAAAUCUCAUGAUCACCUCCUCGAUGCUAAUUCUGUAAGGCAUGUGAAGUGUUUCUCUGUCUGUUUGAAUGAUUACAUAACGUUAAGAUGGAGUUCCGAGUACUCCCAAGUCCAGAAAGGACUUGUAUUCCUAUGUAGGAAAAUACUAAUGGUCCUAUCUAGGAUAGAGAAAACCUAAUAAAGCUCCUUAUUCUUUAGGAACAAUCAAAUACUAAAUAGAAAUAAAACCAAGACCUACAGCAUUGCAUUCCAUAAUUUUCAGCAAGUGUGAAAAUUACAGAAAGACCCUUGUGUGCGGAAAUCAUUAAAAAAAUACAUGAAUUCUAAUCUUUUUUUUGCCUGCAUCAAAAUUUUUGUAGCAUCCCUAGAUUCUACAGCAGAGAGUGGACAUGCAAAUGGUGCUGAUUGGCAAGAGGAGAUCUACCAAAAGGUAAUUUCUGUGGUUUACUGUUCAUUAGAUGAAGUUCAUGCAUGUCAUAGUCUUGCAAGAUUUCAAUGGAAAAGGUCUCCUGGAAUUUUGUACAAGGGAGUUUUAUUCAGCUAUGGUUGCGAUUAGUUAGGAAGCAUUGUAAGUUCCAUGAUUGCAGCAACUAACAAACGAUAAAUUACUGAUAAGAUGAUUAAAGGUAAAAUAUUCAGAUUUCUAGGUCAAGAGGGUUUUUUUCUUGGUACUGACACAACAAUUUUUUCUAUUGCAAAUCUCUCCCUUUCGAUUUUUUCCCAGUAUUUCCAUACAUUUAUUGUGUGGUGAGUUAUUAUUUUAUUAUUUCCAACAAGUCCAAUUGACAAUACUUCUUACUGUAAUAGACAGACUUGAAAACAAGAGUGAACUGUUUCUGAAUAGUCAUCGUUAUAUUUGGUUAAGUGAACAGUUAUUUUCAGGAUUACAAGCAAAUCUGUUCUGAAACAUGUGACCAUGGAAGAAAGGAAAAUAAGUGGACCUAAUCCAUUGAAUCAUGACCAUGUCCAGUAUUGUUGAAUUUUUUAGAAAAUGAGGUUGAAAUUCUGAAUCGUUUAAUGGCUGUAGUUGCAAUUCAUAACUGCAUAUUUGAUGAAGUCAAUUUUUUUGUGCCUGGGAGGGUACUAAAACAGGAAUAGGAGUGGUUGUUGAUAAUUAGGAUUUAAGGGUUAUAAAUCCAAAGUUAUAAAGCUAAGAAGUGUUUACCAAAGUCGUGACAUCCAUUGACUUGAGUUAGAACAAUAGAAAACAAUGGUGAUUGUAGUUUGCCGUGAGACAAAGUAACUGAACUUGACCAACCCCUGAAUCUUGUCUGAAGUGGUAACUACACAAUCCUUUGCAUCUUUGCAUGCAAUCAAUAACGAUAUUCUCUUUUGAGUUUUCAGCAUUGAUUCCACUCUGCUAUUUUUAUCUCAAACAAUAUAUGCUGUCCUCUGCCAUUUUAUUUAUUUAUUUAUUAUCAAUUCUCUCAAGUUCGCUUAUGUUUCUUUCUGACUCUGGCACGUGAAGAAAUCAAGCAUAUGAUUGAUAAUGUCUUGCUGUUUAUAUGUACUUCCUAGAUCAAAGUUAUGAAGGAAACGUAUUUGCCUGAAAUAAAUGAAAUGUACCAGAGAAUUGCUACCAAGUUACAGCAGGUAAAUUGUCUCUGUAAUUUUUUCCGAUUUAUUUGCCCACGCAUGAUUCAUAAACCCCCACAGUUGAGCUUUUGUAUUAAUUUGUUUUCCCCAUCAGCAUUGCUUGUCACUGUAUCAUCUGCACUAAUUACCUCCCCCAACCCAACCACCCCACAACCAUGCAUUGACACAGAAGAAUUGGAAUAGAAACAUUUUUUUCACUAAUGUUUUACUAGUUUUGCUAGAAAGGGUCAAUGCAAUUUUUAAUUCUCGUGUAUGUUAACUUUGCUUUCCAGCAUGACCCUCUUCCACAACAACCAAAGUCAGAACAGCUUGAAAAGCUGAAGGUAUUGAAGGUCAUGUUGGAGCGCUUGAUAACAUUCUUACAGGUCUCUAAAAACAACAUCACGCCUAAUUUCAAGGAGAAAUUGGGUUUCUAUGAGAAGCAGAUUGUAGGUUUUCUAAACCCAAGCAGAUACAGGAAGCCUAUUCCUAAUCUACAGCAAGGACAACCUCCCCAACCUCGUAUUCAACCUAUGCAGCAACCCCAAUCUCAAGUUCCUCAAUUGCAGUCCCAUGAAAAUCAACUGAUUCCCCAGUUGCAAUCAAUGAAUACGCAAGGUUCUGUACCACAGAUGCAGCAGAACAAUAUGUCAAGCUUGCUGCAUAAUUCCCUUUCAACUUUAUCUGGGGAUUCGACGUCACAAUCAAACAUGAUGAAUCCAAUACAACCAGGCUCCAAUUUAGAUUCUGGACAAGGAAAUGCACUGAGCUCAUUGCAGCAGACACCUGUAGGAUCUGUACAAAAGAAUCUCGUGAGCAUUUCCCAACCAACCAAAGUUAACACAUUGUCAACACAAAGUGGGGCGAGUAUGCUGCAGCCAAAUAUUCCCCUUCAGUCGAAUUCCAAUAUGAUUCAACACCAGCAUCUAAAACAGCAGCAGCAGCAGCAUGAACAACAGAUGCUACAAACACAACAGCUUAAACGAUUGCAGCAACACCAGAAUUUAAUGCAGAAUCAACAGAUGCAGCAGCAGCAAUUACACCAGCAAGCUCCGUCUCCUAUGCCAGGAGAUUCUGACAAACCAGUUUCUGGUAUUUCCUCACUCUUAAAUACUGGAAAUAUUGUACACCAACCAUCUGUUGCACAAGCACCGGCUCCAUCCCUUGCAAUUGGCACUCCUGGGAUAUCUGCAUCACCUUUGCUUGCAGAGUUUACCAGUCCUGAUGGUGCUCAUGGCGGUGCUUUGACAACUGUUUCUGGCAAGUCAAAUGUUACAGAGCAAUCACUUGAGUGCUUGAUUAAAGCGGUUAGUGAUGCUCUCCUUUUGGUUUUACUCCACCCCACCCUUAUUUUGGAGGUUUCUGAAAAAGAAAGAAACUUCUUUGUGAAUGAGAUGGUGAUGCUGUAAUUUUUUUUCCCAGGUGAAAUCUCUGUCUCCCAAAGCACUUAGUGCAUCUGUCGGUGACAUUGGCUCCGUUGUCAGUAUGAUUGACAGAAUUGCUGGUUCUGCAGCUGGUAAUGGAUCUAGAGCUGCAGCUGGUGAGGAUUUGGUAGCAAUGACAGGAUGUCAUCUUCUUUCGUUUUUGUCUUUUUUAUUUUUCACGUGUUUCUCACAACAUGGGAACUCGAGGGAAUAAAAAGUGCUGGGAAGUAAUUUUUGUUGGAACGUCUUGUGUAACAUCUUCUUUCGAUGAUGACCUCUUGGAUGUUUUGGUGAUAUCUCUACAUCCAAAAUCAUAUAGACCGCUACUGCUGGCACUUGCAGUAGCCAAUGAGCACUGAUAUAUAUUGCAGAGUGAGAUAAGGUUAACUCGUUGCAUUUUCAUAAAUAAAAGGGAUUUCUCUUCUUUUCUUUGUCAAUUACAGUGCAUGUGUAAAAGUUUUCUUACUCAGAGUAAAUGCUAUUGUAAUGUUUUCACAGAGACUCCCCUGUUUUGCAACUAAUUCACUUCUGAAUAUAUCUGGGAAACAGAAAGGCAAUCAACAAAGAGUAAGGCAUCUUCUGAAGAAACAAAGAAAUUUAAUACCCUAAACUAAGCAGCAGGUAGAAGGCAAAAACUGAGCACAAAUUUUCAGGAAGGGACAAAAAAAAUAAAAAAGAAAGCAGAGAAAAAUACAGACUCAAAUUCAACAACACCCAUUUUCUUUCCAUUGGAACACUUUAAAUAGUUUAUUAAAUAAAGCAUAUAAAAAAAUCAACUUAAUGAUCAAUUCUCUAUAAUUUCGGCAUUACUAAAAACAUCCAAACUAAUAAACUAUUAGUUAUUAUAGUCAUUUUAAUAAACAUUUUAGUUAUGAAUUCACCAAACAUUUUGAACAAUUCAUAUUGAUGAAUUAACAUGUCAAUUUUAGAUUUUUUGACUUACUAGUUCCUUCAUGAAUUACUUCUAAAGCAUGCUAUAUAUCUCUAAGCAUUUUUAUAGAAUAUAAUUCUAUCAAAUUCACUUUUACCCAAUGUAUAAUAUAAAAUAUUCAUGGCUUUAACAUCCAUAAAAAAUAAUUUUUUAUCAUUUUAUGUAUAUUCACUUCUAGUUUUAGAAAUCUCAAUACCAUUUUCAAUUUUGAUAGGUUUAGGAGAUCUAUUUUGUACGGAUAGCCACAAAUUAAAAUCAAUAGAUUGACAAUAAACUAUCAUACAACAAUUUAUUACUUGCUCUUUGGUGAUAGGAAUGUGAUUGUAAUAUUAUUUUUCAAGCUUACUCAAUCUCUUAUUCUUGAUAGCAUAACCAAUAAUAAAUGGCGAGCCAAAAUUUAUAUGUUACUCUCUGUAAGAAUUUUGACUGCAUAAAUGUAAAAGAAAAUAGUUUUAAAAAGACUAAAAGUUUUCUUCAUUAUAAAAACCAUGUCAGAAUUGUCUCUUUUUAUAGGCAAUUCUGACACUUAAUUUUAAAAUAACUUUUAAGACAAAAGGUUACAAUUUUCUAGUUUAAAACUACACAAUUAUAUUUCAAGUAGAGUUUUAACAAACACAACUUUUCAUUCACACCUUAACAAUCCCUCCACAUGAUAAAAAUUGUUUGAUCAUAAUAAAAUACAAAGUAGACAUGAAAAUAAAGAGUAGGAGCGAAAAGUCAUUGCAUCGAGCAAGAUAACUUUUGGCCUUGAACCUUUCAUAGUUAAAACUAUUGGAUUCACUCGGCUAAUCAGCAAACAUGAUAUUUUGAGUUGUUUAGCCUUUUGUGAGAAACCAGAUAAUAUAGAUUACACAUUUCAUUUUCUUACAAUUUUGGUUCUCACGGUUGUGUUCAUUUUGGCCUCGAAUACGUCUUGAUUUCAAAGAGCUUUAAAGAAUUUGCAUUUUCAAUCCUGAUAGAAGUGGCCUUAUUUCACACUCACAUAUGUGAUUCUUAUUAAGAGUAUCAUGUAAUACCUCACUUGAAUUUCUCAAGCUAUAAAAGUCAUUAAAAGCUUAGCUUAUCCUAUUUUCAUUGCAGAUAGCACUUUAUAUCAUAUGAAUGGGUAAGAGGGCUAUUAUUAAAUGACAUGUGAUUUGGUUGCUUCUUUGAAUCUAGAUCCUGGGAUCUCCAGUAAACUAGGUUGGGUCGCUAUCAUGACAAUUCAUUGAACUGUGUCUUAAUCUCAUUCCCCUCGAUGAUUAUUGACUUGCUCUAUUGUUAAGCAUUUUAUUAGUAAAUUAAUGAUAUUAUCAUUUAACUUUACAUGGUUAAUAAAGAUAAUCUCAUUUUAGAUCAACUAUCUUACAAUAUUAACAAUUGUGUCAAUACUUUAUGUGUGUGUGUGUGUGUAAGCAUGGUUAUAUUUCAUAUCAGCAUCAUAAUAAUAGCAAAUGUGAAGUAUGUAUUCAAGCAAAGAUGACAAAGAAGCCUUUUCCUAAAGUAGAAAGGAAUUCUCAAUUACUUGAGUUGAUCCAUUCUGAUAUAUGUGAAAUAAAUGGUAUGUUAACAAGGGGUGGGAAAAGAUAUUUCAUAACUUUCAUUGAUGAUUAUUCUCGUUUUACCUGUGUUUCCUUAUUAAAAACUAAAGAUGAAGCCUUUGGAAAAUUCAAAGAAUUCAAGAAAAUGGUAGAAAAUCAAAAGGAAAGGCAAAUUAAAGUUCUUAGAAGUGAUAGAGGUGGAUAAUAUUUUUCUAAGGAGUUUUCUACAUUUUGUGAGGAAAACAAAAUAAUCCAUCAAAUGACAGCACCUUAUACACAACAUAAUGGACUUGCUGAAAGGAAAAAUAGGACCUUAAUGAAUAUGGUCAAUGCCAUGCUUUUGAAUGAUAAAUUACCAAAUAAUUUAUGGGGUGCAGUCUUACUUACUACAUGUCACAUUCAUAAUAGAGUACUAUUUAAAAAAUCAAAUGUUUCUCCCUAUGAAGCAUGGAACGGUAGAAAAUCAAAUCUGAAUGAUUUUAAUGUGUGGGGGUGUGUAGCUUUUUGUAAAAGUUCUGAUCCUCAAAGAACAAAAUUAGGACCCAGAGGUCUUAAGAGUGUUUUUGUUAGUUAUGCACAAAAUUCAAAGGCUUAUAGACUUUUGGAUUUAGAAACUAAUGUGAUUAUUGAAUCUAUACAUGUUGAAUUUAUCAAAAAUAAAUUCAUAAGUGAUUCAAAUGUGUAAGAACCAAAUCUAAAAGUAAUGACUCCUAGCUCAACAUUAAGUGAAAAAUAUAAAAACCUAGAAGUAAUAGGUUCAACUGAACCUAGAAGAAGUCAAAGAGUUAGAAAGGAAAAACACAUAUAUACAGAUUUUAUUUCUACUUAUUCAAUUGUAUUUUUAGUGGAAGGUGAUAGAAAUACAAUAUUAAAAAAGACACCUAUGAUCUUAAAUAUGGAAGAUGAUCCAAAGACAUUUGGUCAAGCUAUGUCUUCUAGGGAUGUUGCUUUUUGGAAAGAAGCGGUAAAUGAUGAAAUGGAUUCAAUAUUGUCUAACAAUACUUGGGUCCUAGUAGAUUUACCUCCAGGUUCUAAGCUAAUAGGAUGUAAGUGGGUGUUUAGAAGAAAAUACAAUACCGAUGGUUCUAUACAAACCUUCAAGGCAAGAUUGGUUGCCAAAGGUUUUACUCAAAAGGAGGGUGUUGAUUAUUUUGACACUUAUUCUCUGGUGGCAAGAAUUACAUCAAUUAGAGUUUUAUUUGCAUUAGCAUCAAUUUAUAAAUUGUAUGUUCAUCAAAUGGAUGUAAAGACGGCUUUCCUAAAUGGAGAUUUAAAGGAGGAAGUGUAUAUGGAGCAACCUGAGGGUUUUAUACUUCCUGGAAAUGAAGAAAAAGUCUGUAAAUUGAUAAAGUCUUUAUAUGGUUUAAAACAAGCUCCGAAACAAUGGCAUGAAAAGUUUGACAAAGCAAUUUUGUUGAAUGGUUUUCAUCACAAUGGUGCUGAUAAGUGUAUGUAUUCCAAAUUUACAAAAUAUUUUGGUGUGAUUAUUUAUCUCUAUGUAGAUGACAUGUUAAUAUUUAGCACCAAUAUGAUUGGAAUUGUUGGAACCAAAAAGUAUCUCACUUAUAUCUUUAAAAUGAAAGAUCUUGGUGAAGUAGAUACAAUUUUAGGUAUCAAAGUUAAGAAACAUGGUAGUGACUAUGCACUUAAUCAGUCAGAUUAUAUUCAGAAAAUGCUCGAUAAGUUUAAGCAUCUCAAUAUAAAGAAGGCUAAUACCCCAUUUGACUAUAGUAUGAAGUUAAAUGAUUAUUAUGAUAAAGCUGUAUCACAACUAGAAUAUGCUAGUGCCAUUAGAAGUCUUAUGUAUGAUAUUCAUUGUACAAGACCAUAUAUAGCUUUUGCUAUAUGCAAGUUAUCAAGAUAUAUAAGCAAGCCGAAUACAGAUCAUUAGAAGGCUAUUGCAAGAGUCUUUGGUUACCUAAAAAGAACAAUCAAUUGAGGUCUAUUUUAUUCUGAUUUUCCAGCUGUGAUGGAAGGAUAUAGUGAUGCAAGUUGGAUGACUAGUUCAAAUGAUAAUAAGUCCACAUCAUGAUGGAUUUUCUCACUUGGAGGAGGUGCAAUAUCUUGGGCAUCUAAGAAACAAACAUGCAUCUCUCAUUCUACCAUGGAAUCAUAAUUUAUUGUUAUGGCUGCUGCAAGUAAAGAAGUAGAAUGACUAAGAAAUAUGUUGUUUGAUAUUAAGUUGUGGCCACAACCUAUGUCAGCUAUUUCUUUAUACUGCGAUAGUGAAGCAACUAUGUCUCGAGCUUAUAGUAACAUUUACAAUGGUAAGUCAAGACAUAUAAGCAUUUGACAUGGAUAUAUUCGAGAGUUGAUUACAAAUGGUGUAAUCACCAUUGUCUAUGUGAAAUCUAUGAAUAAUUUAGCGGAUCCGCUCAUAAAAGGACUAUCUAAAGACAUGGUACGAAAAAUAACUAAUGGAAUGGGGUUGAAACCUGUUUUUAAAGAUACCAGUAAUAGGAACCCAACUUCGGAUCAACAAGAAGCUUAUCUCUUAGUUUAAUGGGUAAUAAUAAGUUACUGUUUUGUAUAUGUUAGACACUGAUAAUUAAUUUGAGUCCCUAUUCUGAUAGUAUUCAGUGUAUUCUAUUACAUAAAGGAGGAUGAGCAUAGGCUCUUCAUGGAAUUUGAAGUUCGUGUCUAAUGUAAUAGAGACAUGUAUAAUUCCACCUAUAUGAAUAUAAAAGUGAUGCCGCUUUUGACAAGAGUUAGGGUUUUUUCUUGUAAAUAUUCAUAAAAAAAAUUAAAAUUAAGAUUUUAGCACAUGACCAUAAUAGUGCUAAACAGUUGUAAACCUCUUUAAGAGUUUGGAUAGUAUUAUGUGUGUAGUAUCUUUUAUUCUACAACAAAAGUUUUGGUUUAAUCUGCGGACACCAAUAACUUUAGUAGGAUUCAAGUUCUAACACUAAUUGAAGUUUUAAAAUGCAAAAUACCUUCUUGUAAGCAUAAUUCUAUAAAGUGAAAAGACCUUCAUUACAAACUAGUGGGGGAUUGUUGGUGUAGUUUGUAAAUGAAUAAAGAAAAGAUGUUUAUCUCACAUUGGAAAGAAACACUCCCUCCUAAUGUUUCUAUGUGUGGGUUUCUAUUGUGUAGUAAAUUAAGCCAUGGUGGACAAACUCUCCUAUUUGGCUUUCUAAUGUUAUUAUAUGGAUAUUUAUAAUAUCAAAAAAUAGCAUUUGGAACUUGAAACUUGGAUCUUAAUAUGAACAGUCAUAUUGUUUCAUCAAUAGUCAUAUUGUUUGAUGAACAGUCAUAUUGUUUCAUCAAUAGUCAUAUUGUUUGAUGAACAAUCAUACUGUUUCAUCGUUAUGUUUUAAGUCUAUAAAAGCAUGUUACUAUACAGAAAAGAGGCACAACAAAAAACAUACAUUCUUUUCUUGGUCUUAUCUUCUCAUUCUUUUAGAGGUUUAGAGGGCUUAGUUGUAUCCUGGAGGUAUUGUCUCUAUGUGGGACAAAUAAACACCUUAAAAAUAGUGUUUUCACGCCUCUAAGCCAACUCCAUAUUUGUUUCCAUCCUAAACAUUCAUAUCAAGAAACAUUGCGCCACGCCUGCUAAACGUCCACGAAAGAGUCGCCGACCGUUAUUCCCGCAUUAAAGUCCAUGCAUGGUCGCCUCAUUAUCUGGAGACGACCGCAUGGCAUUCUCUGGCUAUAAAAACCAGAGAAAGGCCAUGACAAAGAGGAGGGGGGGACAAAACAAAAGACAGGAGAAAAGAGGCAGGAGAGAGAGAGAGAGAGACCGAGAGAGAGGGGGCCGAAAACACAAACCAGAGAAAAAAAACCGGAGGAGUAACCCAGGGAAGAACACAGAAAAAACCAGGGGAACACUGGAGAACAAAUGAGACAGAAAUAGAGAGAAAUUGCUAGCCAACGCAUGAGCACCAACUAGCCUCGUCUCCGGUUGCACCACCCCCUGAAUAGACGGACGCGAAGGAGAACAGGGGAGUAAACGAAGAGAGGACAUAACACCGGGAAACCGAAAACUGAUAGAAAACCAGAAGAAAAGGAAGAACCACAGAGAGACGAACAACACAGGAGCUGAGAACGAACGAAAAAAAGAGAGAGAGAAGACAGAGAGAAAAAGCAGAGGCGUAAGGUGAAACAGAGAAGAACGACCAGAAAUAAACCAAAAGAAAACAGAAGUGAAGGGGAAGUUUUGGCCAGCCACCACACCUUCUUCGUCAUCCAGACCAGGUAAGUUCUCUCUUCUUCGUAAUUAUAAUUACAUAGGUAUUGUACAUAUGCAAAUUUAAUUCACUACUAUAAUUCACCGGUUUGUGCAUGCACGCGUGAAUCAGUUCACACAUGCCUGUUGUCCAGCUGGGUCACUGGCUUGGGUCAGUGACCAGGCUGGGCUGCUGGGUUUAGCCCAGCCUGACCGAGCUGAGCUGGAUCUAGCCCCCAAAAAAAAUUUAAAAAGGAAAAUAUAAAAAAAAACUAGGCAUGGGCCUCGGGCCUAGGUGGCCUAAUCCCCUUUAUUUAAGUCCCUUUUAUUUUGAUAUUCAACCAAAAUGACCAACUUUUCCCUCAUAUUGUUUUUAGGGUAUUUCACUGUAUAUUUGAUCUGUAGAUUUUUACUGCGAAAUUCGGUGUACGAUACUUUUUUUUUAAAAAAAUAUGCAUGCAUAUAUUUAAAUUCAUUUUAUUGGUUUAUUCACCAACGCUAGAGUCAGGAAUACAAUUUAUUUUGUUUUUGCUACGUAAUAUUUAUCAAUGCCAGAGUUGGAAGUAUCUGUAGUCGAAUAUUCACUGACGCUAGAGUCAGGAAUAUUACAAGCAAACCAUCAUAGCAUAAAUCAACAAACUCUUAAUAAUUUAAGACAAAACCAACAAUGCAGCUUAUCUCAGGUAGGGUGUGCUAGGGGUGUUAAUAUCUUCCCUACCCAUAACCAGUCUUGUACCAUAAAAUCUCUAUUGACUAGUUAGGGUUUCUAAUGACCAUAAUACUAGGUGGCGUCUCCUUAAACCAAACCUUUUUCCCAUAAAAGAACAAGAUGCCAGAAAUCUGUUCUUUUCAAGAAUUUUUAAGGUCAUCGCGAUGUCGGGUGCGACAAUACCCAAAACAAUUGCCUUGCUAAUGGGGAUAAAGUUGUCUUUCUUAAGGGAUCUAAAAGUUAUUUGUAUAUUGAUUGGGGAUAAUUUAGUAGGUUCACUCCUUUUUUCAUAUUAAAACUACAUCAUUGCCCUUGCAAUAAAAAAACAAGUGGCCUUUUGUUUUGGGUCUAUUUUGUCUUUUCUAUUUUAUUUGCACAAUAAAAUGACAUCAAUACCCUCGAGAGUUCAAAAAUAUUGACACUUGACGAGAGGUAUUUUUUAGUCUUUUUCAUGUUUUGUGUACUGUAAAAUGACAAAGUUAACCUUAGAAUAAAAUAAAUCUAAAGCUAGUGUGGGAUAACAUUUUCAUCUUUGCAAUAUAGCUUUUUGUAAUAUUUAGAUGCUUUUAGGGGCUAUUUAGUAAUUUAAAGUAUUGAAAUAUUAAUAAAUCAAUAAAAAAGCUGACAUAUGCGUAGCACGUGUCAGCGCGUGAUAAUCCACCACGUCAUUCAGGAGACUAAUAAACUAACCUAAACUCGUUCUUGCCCAACAGCGAGCCACAAACAAUACUCUUUUGAAUAUUAGAAGCAUGAACCACAUUGUUCAUAAUCGACUCUUUCAUAAAUGUCAUCCUUAACAUCACCUUUUUCUGGCCUAGGAUUUUGCACACUAAGAGCCUAUUUGACGUUGCAGUUGAAUCGUUGUUUUUCCAUUUUGAAAAAAAUUAUUCUUGCUUCAAUUGUUUUUGCGUUCUUGGAUUGUUAUGAUGUGUUAAUGUUAAAAAUGAAUUAAAAAAUAUAUUUUGAUACAUUUCCAAGUAAAAAACACUUUACAACGCAACCGCUACCACACUUUUAAACAAUCACUAAGAAGUUAUCCAGGAAUAAUUGUUCUCCAUUUGCAGUUGUUGCAUACUCAAAAAAAUAUUAUGUCAAAACAUACAUGACAGGUGGCUCCAAUAUCAAUCCACCACUUUUUAAGAUUGUGCACCAGGUUUGCUUCUGACAUAACUACAACAAGCUUUGCAGCUUUCUCAUCAACAUUCUCAAUGAUUUUGUUUUGUGCAUUUUUUCCUUACAGAUAUGCCUUUGCUUUUUACAAACAAAACAAGUUUCUUUGAACUUCUUUUUGCCGACACUAUUACCAUUAGAACUCUUGAGAGAACUUGCUUCAUAUUUAAGUUCACCAGGUUAAGAAUGUUUAGGAAUCGGGUUUGCCAUCGAGACCGCAAAGAUUACCAGGUUAAAUUAUUUUGGUUUUUUCCCCGCAUGAUAGAAUGUUUAGGAAUCGGGUUUGCCAUCGAGACCGCAAAGAUUACCAGGUUAAGAAGUACAUUGAAAUUAUUAACAAUAGAUUUAUCCAUUUAUUAUCUCAAUAACAAGAUUAACUUUAUAAUUAUAUAUCACACUUAUAUAAUCUGAAAUAAUAUUAAUUAAAAUGAAUCCCAAAAAUUUAACACACUAAUUCUGCAAAAAACAAAUUUAAUAAACAAUUUAACUUUGCAACUAUGUAUUUAUUUAUUUGUUUUUCUAUGAGACUCAAUUUUUUUUUUAAUAAUCAUCAAGAGUAUAUUGAAAAGGCCAUAAAGCCAAUAGACAGUGAAAUUUUUAACAGAAACUCAAUGUAAUUUUCAACAAAAACUAUAACAAUACAAAUAAUUACAAAUAUUUUUCUUUCAACAUCAACAUAAGAAAACAAUAUGCACUCUUCUAAAGUUAUGAUAAAAAAAAUCUGAUUGAUACUUAUGUUGUUUUAUGAUUAAAGUAACAAUAGCAUCUAAAGAGAAUGAAUUAGGUGUUGCACUAAUUAUGUCAAAAUAAUGCAAGUAAACACACUAAACACAUAUAACACAAAAACCAACAAUAUAAUUCAAGUGCUUAAAGUAAAUAUAUAAGAAAAAAGAGAUUGCAAACUCGAUUUUUAACGUGAUUCGGUAAGCUUACAUCCACAUCUCAAGUACUAAUCAUACUUAAGUAUUGUACUUUUUUACUAAUCCAAGUGAAAGAUACAUUGCCCUUGAUGAAUUCACACCAAGAAAUUACACCACUUGAUGAAUUUUUCUCUUUAAGAUUUUUCUCCUAGAAUUCCGGUUAAAUAGAAUUGCACUUAAUAUAUAUUAUUUCACCAUAAUUAUUAUCCAGAUAUGCAACUUUUUUUCUUUCCGAUCAUCUGUUUUCUUUUUUUCAUAUCAAUACAACAACAAAGGAAAAUACCAUGCAAUAUAAAAUGUAUUUCCCUGUAGAAUCAAUGCAACAAGUUUACAGACAACAGACGACAAGGAAUUUAACAUAGUCAUGGAAUUUAACUGAAGAUAUAUACACUUUACUUUCUCUAUUAAAAUUAAACUAUUUUUUUUAAUCUAUGUCAAUAUAUAAUCAAUUUGGUCUUGAAGAUAUAUAAAUAUACACAGAACAAAUAUGUUAGAAAAUAAAUUGUUUAAGAUUGUUAGAGCACCUUAAAUAGUUCAUAAAAUUAUUCUUCCCUUUUACUAUAAUGAUGAAGUACAAGGGUUGUUGAUGAUGACCUCUUGGAUGGCUACAUGAAGCUUGUUCCGUUUUAAAUUUCAAGGUUAAUCUAUUGCUAUGAGCAUACGUGUCUCAAUUUAAAACUCGAGUUGCAACUGAACUUAAAUGAAUGGUGUUGGAUUUGGGCCUUCUAUUUGUUUUAACUUCUACAGGGUUGAAAUGAUAGUGAUCUUAAAGUAGAAAAGCAGCAGACAAAAAUCAAUUAACCACAAUGGUGCAUGGUUUCCUAGUUUCUCAGCAUAAAGUUGAAUGUUUUGUUGACCUUUCUACAUCAAAAAUCAUAUAGACAGCUACUGCUGGCACUUGCAGUGGCCAAUGCAUACUGUAGAGUAUAUAUUGCAGUGUGAGAUAAGGUUAACUCGUUGCAUUUUCAUAUAUUGAAAGGAUUUCUCUUCUUUUCUUUGUCAAUUACAGCACAUGCAUAGAAGUGUUCUUCCUCAGAGUAAAUGCUAUAGUAAUGUUUUCACGGACUCCCCUGGUUUGCAACUGAUUCACUUAUAUAUCUUGGAACAUAGCCAUAAAUGAAAGGUUCUUCUAGUUCAAGAAAAUUAACCAUGAAGCUCGUAACUAGAAUUUUUAGACAGAAGGGUGGCCAAGCGAACUCCUAUACUCCGUACGUCUGGAAUAAUACAGGGAAAGGGUGUUUAUGUAUUUUGAUGUCUUAUAUUACUUGACCAACUCUUGCUUAUCUCAUUAUUUGUUUUAAUUUUUUGCUAAUAAUUCCACACAUUUCUGAUAUGGUGUGGUUUUUGAGUUCAGGGUUCUUGCUCAUUGCUGCUAACUUCUCUAUACUUGCCUGGUCAUUAAAAAUGAAACGUAAUGAUUUGCAUAUGCUGAAUGGAGACAUUAAAGAGGCAUCUUCUGUUUUCUGGUCAGGAGGGAUUACAAGAACUCAAGAAAUUUUCCAUAUGUUUUGAGGAAAAGAUUUAUACUACCACUACCAAUCAGGUAUUUGCCUAAUGUGAGGUUUAAUAAUUACGAUAUUAUCUAGACAUUAAUAUACACACGCAUUUAUGCUUGUACAAAUGUGUGUGUAGUGUGCCUACACUUCCUCACCGUUCAUUCUGUAUGCAAGGCUGAUUGGGAGUUCACAUUAUUUUGUUAAUUCUCUUGACAAGUGUUUUAUUUAGAGUGACCAAGUUCAAGUACAAGGGAAGAGUGCAAAAAGCAAAUAGCGAAUCAAUACAUAAAUAAUUAAAUAAAAAGAGAGGAAACAAAAGUAUAUCAUAGAGAAGAUGAAAUGAUAGAGCAUAUAUCCAUUUUCCUCCUCUUGUAACAUGGAUUGCUCUGAGAUCUGAUGUUUUGUUAUUAAUAUCUGAUUUCAGUCUGAUUAUAUAUCUACGAAAAAUAUCUCUGGAGAUGCUUUCGAUGGAGAUCAGGUCUCAAAAUGCCAUGCCCACUGUCCCCAUGGAUCCAGCAGGUAAUAAUGCACCCGAGCAUUGAAUUUCUAAACAUCUUACCUUUUGUUUUUCUUCUCACAUUGUUAUCAAACUCUUUUACAUUUUAUUGCUGUAUAUUGCUAUGUAUAUCGCCUUGCUAGAAAAAUCUCAUGAUCACCUCCACGAUGCUAAUUCUAUAAUGCAUGUGAAGUGUUUCAUCCUUAACUUGUUAAGAACAAGGACUAUGAUGCAUUGCUAUUUUAUAUUUUAUGAUUGAGAUGGUAGAUUUUAAAGAUUUUCCUGUUUAGGAGAUAAAAGUAAGAUGUCACUUUUUUGCUUUUCUUCCGAGAGAGUAUUUGAUCCUUUUUUCGUAUAAAAUAAUGCUGGCAUGCAUUGAAUUUCCAAACAGCUUAGCUUUUGUUUUGUUUGUCGCAUUGUUAUCAAACUCUUUUACAUUUUAUUGCGGUAUAUUGCUAUGUGUAGGGCAUGCUUUAAUCAAAAAGUUGAGUAAUUGAUGAAUGCUAGGCAUGAAAAUGACAUAUUAUUUUUGUUUUCUGUCUCCUCCUUUUCUUUCCCCCACCUCAAAAAUUGUCAUGUUAUUUUUGUUUUCAGCCGCCUCUUCUUCCCCAAACCUUUAAAAUUGUUUAUAUUUGCUUUGGAAGCAUGACAAACUUCAUUGCCUCUCAGCUUAAGGAGAUUGCAGCAGGUCUCGAAGCUUCUGGGCAUUAGUUUAUCUGGGUAGUUAGAAGAAACAAAAAGAGUCAAGAAGACAAGGAAGAUUGUUUACCUAAAGGAUUUGAGGAAAGAAUGGAAGGCAAAGGGCUAUUAUCAGAGGAUGGACACUCCAAGUUUUGAUUCUUGGUCAUGAAGCAAUAGGUGCAUUUGUGACUCAUUGAGGAUGGAACUCAACUCUUGAAGGCAUAAGGCAAAUAUUUGCUGAGCAAUUCUAUAAUGAGAAGUUGGUGACUGAUGUUUUAAAAAAUGGAGUUAAGGAAUGGCUUAGAGUGCAGAGAUCAUGUUAAAAGUGAAGCUGUAGAGAAGGCAAUCACUCAAAUUAUGAUGGGUGAAGAAGCAGAGGAAAUGAGAGAGAAGAAAGCUGAACAAGGGAACGCAGUAGAUGAAGAAUAUGAGUUUACUGCAUUUACUGUCAAGAAUACAAACGUGAGCACUAAAAACUAAUUUGUACAGGAUACUCUUUAUAUAUAGAGUAGUAAUUAACUUCAUCACUUAUUUCUUUCUAUGAAUACAAUAUUCCUUAUUUAUAUAUAUUGAUUUGUUUCUUAUAUGAGGUAGCUGUAGUUUCCUUCUAUGAAAGAUCUGCCAUGGCUGUAGUUUCCUUCUUUGAGAAGUAGCCGUUGGUUGAGGUAGCUGUUGAUUCCUGUGAUUUCCAUGUAUGGUUAAUUACCAUUCUGAAUAGUAGCCGUUGGAGGUGUUAAUUCAGAAUGGUUGCUGACGAGAGUGAGGAUCCUGUGGUGGUGCUGCUGCUGUCUCCUGCUGCUGCUGCAGAGGUGUGUUGUUGCUGUUAAUACCCUCCCUCAAACGUUGCCGAGGUUGGAGGCAAAGUUUGCGCUGAAAACGAAGAAGAGUAGCUUUGGACACCGGCUUAGUAAACAGAUCAGCAAUCUGAUGUGUAGUGGGAAUAUGAUGUGUAAUAAGUUUCCCAAGAGCUACGCGUUCGCGUAUAAAAUGAUAAUCAAGUUCAAUAUGCUUGCUGCGAGCAUGGAAAAUAGGAUUGACCGUCAUAUGGAGCGCACUGAGAUUAUCACAAUAGAGCACUGGUGGAGAUAGCAAGGGAAUGUGUAAAUCAUGAAGGAUGUAGGUCAACCAGGUAAGUUCUGCAGCCGUGUUGGCCAUAGCACGAUAUUCAGCUUCAGUGCUAGAGCGUGAAAUAGUAUGUUGUUUCUUGGCACACCAGGAGAUGAGAUUACAGCCAAGGAAGACACAGUAGCCAGUGGUAGAACGUCGUGUAGUAAGACAGCCAGCCCAAUCAGCAUCUGAAAAAGCAGAGAAAUUAAGAUUAGUAUUAGAAGUGAAGUGCAGACCAUUAUUAAUAGUACCUUGACAUAUCGUAAGAUACGGCGGACCAUUUUUAAGUUGACAGUUGUAGGAGCAUGCAUGAAUUGAGAGACAUAAUUAACACUAAAAGAGAGAUCUGGUCGAGUAAGGGUGAGAUACUGGAGGGAGCCAACAAGCCCCCGGAAGAAACUGACAUCCGCUAAAGGAGGAGCAUUGGAGGAGGCUUUAGUUCGUGCUUCAAGUGGUGUAGUCAUGGGUUUACAGUCAACCAUUUCAGCACGUUCUAGAAUUGUAAAGGCAUAAUGUGAUUGUGAUAAAUGAAGUCCAUUUGGCGUGGGCGAAAUUUCGAUGCCAAGAAAAUGAUGAGUAGGGCCUAAGUCCUUCAUGGCAAAUUCUUGACUGAGUAGAGUAAUGAAAUCUGCAACAAGUGUAUCUAUAGUUCCUGUAAGAAGUAUAUCAUCAACAUAAAGUAGGAGAAUAAGAGAACCAUGAUCAGAAUGAAAAGUAAAUAGAGAAGGAUCUGCCAAGCUGCAUAGGAAACCGUAUUUGAGGAGAAAGGAACUAAAACGAUCAAACCAAGCACGAGGUGCUUGUUUAAGGCCAUAGAGGGCACGUUGGAGCUUGCAGACAUGCUGUGGACGUUGAGGAUCUGAGAGUCCUGGUGGCUGUUCCAUGUAGAGAUUUUCAGAAAUCAAACCAUGUAGAAACACAUUUUUCACAUCAAGCUGCCGUAGGGGCCAAUGAUGAACAAGAGCUAUAGUGAUAAUUAGCCGAAUGGUGCCAGGCUUUACAACGGGAGAGAAUGUUUCAGUGUAGUCUAGGCCAUCAAUCUGGUGGUAUCCUUUGGCAACAACACGGGCUUUGAGACGCUCCAAGCUGCCAUCAGAUUUGAGUUUGGUUUUAAACACCCAUUUGGAACCUAUGAUAUGCAUAUCGGUGGUACGAGGUACCAAUUUCCAUGUCUGAUUUUGGUGUAAGGAUGUAAGUUCAUCCUCCAUUGCUGCUUUCCAUCCUGGAUGAGCUAGUGCAGCUCACACAGAUCGCGGUUCAUGCGGUAUUCCAGCAGAGAUGACAGAUGUUAAUGCAUACUUGGGAUUUGGUUUUAUGAUGCCAUGCUGGGACCGAGUGGUCAUGGUGCGAAGAGCUGAAGUAGAGGAAUUGGGAACAAACUCAUCUGCGGAGGCAUCACUACAAGGAGGUUGUGCAGCUUGGUGUAGCGCACGUUGUGAACGAGUAACCAUAGAGUGAGGAGCUGAAUUUGGGUGGUCUUGCUGCUGCAGAGUAGUUAAGUUCUCAGAGAGUGGUUGCUGGGAAAUAUCAGGGCAGAGAUUGUGGGCAAUCUCCUGCUGAGUGGGAGCUGCCACCUGCUGAAUAUCAUUCUCCGAACUAUGGUGUUGUAGUGAGGAAGAGGGUUCUAUAGAUGGAUCAGUGGGAGAACCAGAAUUAGAGAGAUCUGAUACGUGCAUGAAGAUACAUGCAAACCGCAACAAACCAGAAGGUGGCAGUAGCGCACGUGGUACGUGGAAGACACUUGGACGUGGAUCAUGCUUGGUCGCCAGAUUGUUAGUGGGGUUUGUUAUGGAAUUAGUCAUUCUCCAGUUAUUUUUAGUAUUAACAGUUAAUAAGGAUUCCUCGGAGGAUCCCUUGUUUGUUUCCCAUUUUCUAGAUAGUUUCCCAAAUUCUAGCAUUGUUUGUUAUUCAAUUCAUGUAUAAAAGGGCCUGGUGGCAUCCAAUAAAGGUAUCGAAAAUUAUCCAAUACUGUCUCCUCUCUUACUUCUCUGCUUCUCUUCUCACUCCCUAAAUUCAACCUAUCAGUGGUAUCAGAGCCAGGUUACACAGUUGUCAUGGAUACUCGCGGAAAAAGUAAUGCUGAAUUCCGGACUGAGGUCAAUGACGCCUUAGCUAGGCAUGAGUCUAGCUUUGAUCAGGUGAAUGCUGCCCUUCAAGCAGUAUUAACCGAACUACAAGCCAUCCGCACCCAAAAACACCCAAACACUAACCCUCCCGAAAUCAAUCCCUUUGCAUCAGAAUCAUCAUCCCAGUUACAUAGUUCUCGCAACCCAAACACCACUGGUCAAACACACUCCCACCUCAAACUCUCAUUCCCUCGUUUUGAUGGCAGUGAGCCCACAGGUUGGGUGUACAAAGCCGAACAGUACUUCGAAUUUCAGGACAUUGACUCGGCCCAGCAGGUCCAAUUGGCCUCCUUCCAUCUAGAUGGAAUUGCUCUCCAAUGGCACCGAUGGCUGACCAAGUUUCGGGGACCCCUUCUGUGGAACGAGUUCGUGCAAGCCCUUUUGCAACGAUUCGGACCCACAGACUACGAAGACCCAUCGGAAUCGCUCACUCGUCUCAGACAAACUACCUCUGUAGCAGCUUACCAAGAGGCUUUUGAGAGGCUCUCCCAUCAAGUUGAUGGACUACCGGAAGGUUUUUUAAUAGGAUGUUUUGUUGCAGGGCUGCGAGAUGAAAUUCGUAUUGAUGUCAAGAUUAAACAUCCCCACACACUGGCAGAAGCAAUUGGAGUUGCCCGACUGAUUGAGGAGCGCAAUCUACUGCAAAGGAAGACCCAUCUUCCAAUUCGGUCUUCUUCCAUGAAUUUACCCUCCAGGGCACCAGCAAAUUCAGUAGCUGGAGUGUUGGGACCACCCCCAUCACAAAGACCAAACCUAUCACCAACAUCAUUCCGGAGGAUCACCACUCAAGAAGCUCGGGAACGAAGGGAAAAAGGGGCUGUGUUUCUAUUGCGAUGAGAAAUUCAAGCCAGGCCAUCGCUGUGAACAACCACAAUUGUUUAUGAUCGAAGACAGCUCCAACACCAGCCUUGAUGAAGAAAUAACAGAUACUGAGGACAUCAUCAAUUCAGAGGACAUGCCCGAAAUCUCAUUCCAUGCUAUCGCAGGUGCUGAACACCCUCAAACCUUACGGGUGUUGGGUCAAUUGGGCAACAAAAAGGUGACCGUGCUCAUUGACGGAGGCAGCACGCAUAACUUCAUUGAUCAGGUGGUGGUAACCAAAUUUGGGAUACCCAUUAAUCGCAGCCAGCGAUUUCAGGUAAUGGUGGCUAAUAGAGAGAAAAUCACUUGUACUGGGCAAUGUCAGAGCCUCACAUUAAUCAUUCAGGGCAUAGCCAUCACUGCCAAUUACUGUGUUCUACCGGUCAUGGCUUGUCAAGUGGUACUGGGUGUGCAGUGGCUUGAGACACUGGGUCCGAUUGAAAUGGAUUUCAAAAAGCUCACUAUGAGCUACAAAACGCAUGGAGAGAAACACACCUUUUACGGGUUGAAGCACACGGGUCAUGCUGCCUUCACAGAGAAGGAGUUUCAUGGGUUACAAGGGAAUGGAUUCUUCCUUCAAAUCAUUCCCUCACAUCCCAUCAUUGACAGUAGCAGCCAUCCACCGGAGCUUAAGGCCCUUCUAUCCGAAUUCUCGCAGGUGUUUGAGGAGCCCACGGGUCUGGCUCCCCAGAGAGCCAAAGACCACCACAUACCUCUACAACCCAAUUCUGGCCCAGUAAGUGUGAGACCCUACCGCUACCCGUAUUACCAGAAAACCGAGAUAGAAAAAAUGGUGCAAGACUUGUUGAAGUCUGAAUUGAUACGCCCCAGUAAUAGCCCAUUCUCCUCUCCUGUUUUGCUAGUCAAAAAGGCGGAUGGGGCUUGGCGUUUUUGUGUGGAUUAUCGCGCUUUGAAUGAAAUCACCAUCAAAGACAAAUAUCCAAUUCCCGUAAUUGAUGAGCUCCUAGAUGAGCUGCAUGGGUCUCGUUACUAUUCCAAAUUGGACCUACGAUCCGGCUAUCACCAAAUCCGGGUACGAGACGACGACAUACCUAAAACAGCAUUCAGAACUCAUGAAGGCCAUUACGAGUUCGUUGUCAUGCCAUUUGGUCUAACCAAUGCUCCUGCAACCUUCCAAAGUCUUAUGAAUGAUCUUUUUCGUCCCCACCUCAGGAAGUUUAUUUUGGUUUUUUUUGACGAUAUUCUGGUUUAUUCCAAAUCGUGGGAAGACCAUUUAACCCAUUUGCACACUGUUUUGAAGAUUCUAGCAGAUAAUACACUCUUUGCAAAGGAGUCCAAGUGCAGAUUCGGGGUUACAUAGGUUGACUACCUAGGCCAUGCUAUUUCAAACCAAGGAGUAUCGGUGGAUCCUACCAAAAUUCAAGCAGUGGUUGAGUGGCCUACCCCUACGACAGCCAAGGGGGUCCGCGGAUUCUUGGGCCUGGCCGGCUAUUACAGAAAGUUCAUCCGCCAUUUUGGAGGAAUAGCCGCACCACUUACCCGAUUGCUGACCAAGGAUGGGUUUCAGUGGAGUGCAGAAGCUGAUUUGGCUUUUCAACGUCUGAAGGAAGCCUUAACCCAGUCCCCGGUCUUACGCAUGCCAGAUUUCUCUCAACGAUUUGUGGUCGAGUGUGAUGCCAGUGGGAUCGGAAUUGGUGCAAUACUUUCCCAACAGAAUCAACCCGUGGCAUACUUUAGUGAAGCACUAAAAGGGUCUUCUUUGACACUAUCCACUUAUGAGAAAGAAAUGUUGGCCAUCGUCAAGGCAAUUCGUAAGUGGCGACCAUAUCUGCUUGGUAAACCAUUCACAGUUCGCACGGACCAGAGGAGUCUCAAAUAUCUCCUGGAGCAGAGGAUUACUACCCCAGCACAGACACGUUGGCUUCCUAAAAUUCUCGGCUAUGACUAUGUAAUCGAGUACAAGAAAGGGAGCGAGAACCAAGGGGCAGACUCACUGUCCAGAGUAGUGGAAUUUCAGUUUUUGUCCAUCUCGUUCCCAAAGGCAGAGUGGUGGCCAACUCUGCAACAGGAGGUGCAACAGGAUCCAUUUUAUGCCAACUUCAAAUCAACGGACCCCUUCAUGGUUCAAAGAGACGGAGUGUGGUUCAAGAAGGGUAAGGUGUUUUUAAGCCCGAAUUCUACUCUUAUCCCUCUACUUUUGGCAGACUGUCAUGCCACGCCGAUUGGUGGACACUUUGGGUUCCAUAAAACACUCGCACGCAUUAAGCAAGACUUUACCUGGCCCAGAGUUCACGUCACAGUGAAGGAAUUCUUGCAGCAAUGUACCACAUGUCAACGCUUCAAAAAAGAUUGCAUGAAGCCAGCUGGGCUGCUGCAACCCCUACCUGUGCCUUCCAAAGUUUGGACUGAUAUCUUCAUGGACUUCAUCAAAGGAUUGCCUUCCUCCCAAGGGUAUACUUGUGUAAUGGUGGUAGUGGAUCGCCUGUCCAAAUAUGCCCAUCUCAUUUCGUUGAAGCAUCCCUACACAGCAAUCACGGUGGCCAAAGCCUUCAUCUCCUGCGUCGUCCGCCUGCAUGGUAUUCCAGCCUCUAUUGUGAGCGAUCGUGACAAGGUGUUUAUUAGCUCCUUCUGGCGCACCCUCUUUCAGUCCCAAGGCACUCAGCUGUGCAUGAGCUCAGCUUACCAUCCUCAGUCGGAUGGUCAGACUGAAGUUGUCAACCGCAUCCUCGAACAGUAUUUGCGGUGCUUUGCAGGUGACCAGCCACGUAAAUGGUUCGACUGGAUUCCAUGGGCAGAGUUCAGCUACAAUACCUCGCUCCACUCUGCCACUAAGAUGACGCCAUUUGAGGUGGUUUAUGGUGUUCCCCCUCCUAGUUUACUCACCUAUGUUCCCGGUACCUCAAAUGUUCAAGCCGUGGAUGAGCAUCUGCGCGAUAGAGACUGUCUCCUUCGUGAGCUGAGGAGGAAUCUGUUGAUUGCCCAGAACAGGAUGAAGAGCCAAGCUGAUCAACAUCGCAGGGAUGUCUCCUUUGACGUUGGAGAUUAUGUGUAUUUAAAGCUCCAACCUUACCGUCAAUCCUCAGUGGCAUUUCGUAGCUCAAUGAAGUUAGCCCCACGGUUCUUUGGGCCUUACCAGGUCCUAGCUAAAGUCGGAACAGUUUCCUACAAAUUAGCACUGCCACAGGAUUCCCAAAUCCAUAACGUGUUUCAUGUUAGCUUGCUACGGAAAUACUUUGGGCCCCUCCCUCCUACAUCAACAGUGGUGAGCCUUCCUCCUAUUUCAGAAUCAGCCAAUAUUCUUCCACAACCUGAGGCUGUCCUGGACCGACGAGUAGUUAACAAUGGGAAAUAUCAUCCAAAACAUGAAAUUUUGGUCAAAUGGGAUGGUGCACCAGUGGAAGAUGCUACUUGGGAGAAUGAAAGGCGUUUUAUCAAGACCUAUCCCACCUUCAUCCUUGCGGACAAGGAUUCUUAAGGGGGAAGGAUUGAUACGUGCAUGAAGAUACAUGCAAACCGCAACAAACCAGAAGGUGGCAGUAGCGCACGUGGUACGUGGAAGACACUUGGACGUGGAUCAUGCUUGGUCGCCAGAUUGUUAGUGGGGUUUGUUAUGGAAUUAGUCAUUCUCCAGUUAUUUUUAGUAUUAACAGUUAAUAAGGAUUCCUCGGAGGAUCCCUUGUUUGUUUCCCAUUUUCUAGAUAGUUUCCCAAAUUCUAGCAUUGUUUGUUAUUCAAUUCAUGUAUAAAAGGGCCUGGUGGCAUCCAAUAAAGGUAUCGAAAAUUAUCCAAUACUGUCUCCUCUCUUACUUCUCUGCUUCUCUUCUCACUCCCUAAAUUCAACCUAUCAAGAUCAUGAAGGGAUUGUACAGCCGCAGAGUUAGUGAUAUCAGGUGAAGAAGUGUGCACUGUCUCCUGCUGGAAUGUCUCCGGCUGAGUAAUUGAAGUGUCAGACUGCUGCUGAAGCUGUUGGCGGGCUGGAGUACUGUCACCAUGGAGUUGCAGAGCAACAUCAGCGGGAGAAAUAUCUGUAAAGCACACUGUCUCCUGCUGGAAUGUCUCCGGCUGAGUAAUUGAAGUGUCAUACUGCUGCUGAAGCUGUUGGCGGGCUGGAGUACUGUCACCAUGGAGUUGCAGAGCAACAUCAGCUGGAGAAAUAUCUGUAAAGCACGCUGGUGUAUCUGAGGUCAUAGUAGGAAGCAGGGGUAUGGGCAGUGAGCUGCUGCAUGGUGGCGUUGCUGGUGUUUCAGAGAUAUCUGUAGGAGAGCGUGAAGCAAGGAUAGUUAGCCAAGAAUCAAAUAUGCUAAGGACAUGAUUAGAAUGAUCAAUAUUUGUGGUGAUAUUAUUUUGUUUAUACGGAAGGAUAGAUUCACUAAAAACCACAUGUCGUGAGACAAAAAAAUUUUUGCUUGUUGGAUGAAAGCAUUUAUAUCCCUUAUGUUGAUCACUAUAUCCUACAAAAAUACAUGGAACACUUUUUGGAUCAAAUUUAUUUCGUCUUGUAUCCCAAGUGUAAGGGAAACAUCGGGAGCCAAAAAUACGAAGAGAUGAAUAAAUAGGGUGGUUACCAUGUAAGCGGAAGUAUGGAGUGUCAUAGUUAAGAGCAGAAGAGGGCAGUCUAUUAAUGAGAUAAACAGCAGUUGUGAAGGCUUCAACCCAUAAAAAUAAAGGAGUACCACUAUGGAAUAACAUUGUCAUACCUAGUUCUCUUAUAAUUCUGUGUCGCCUUUCAACCAUACCUGUUUGUUCAGGAGUGUAAGGACAAGAUACCUGGUGAACAAUUCCUGUGGAGCGAAAAUGACUUGAUAAUUUUGAGUUAAUAAAUUCUCCUCCUCCAUCUGAGUGAAAGACUUUGAUCUGUUUAUUGAAUUGCCUACUAACAUACUUUUCAAAUGCUAUAAACACUGUUAGAAAAUCAAAUUUGUUAUGAAGAGGAAUUAUCCAUGUAUAUUUAGAGAAAUCAUCUACUAGGCAAGCAUAAUAUUUGAAUUUUCCAAUAGAUAAAACAGGGGCAGGUCCCCAUAAAUCACAAUGUAUUUUUUCAAAAACAUCAGUACUUGAAUGUUCAGAAUGCGAAAAAGGUAAGUUGCUAAGUUUUCCUAAUUGACAACUAUCACAAAGGUGCUCAGUCUUCAUAGCUCCUGUGACGUCAAUCAAUCCUGUAUUUUUUAAUAGCUGCACUGCAGAAGCUUGAGGAUGUCCUAGGCGUUGAUGCCAAACUGCUGCUGAUCCAGUUUUAAAACGAUAAGAAAAAUGUAAUUCUGGCGAGUUGUGCAAGACAUAAAGAUCACCCUUACGUCUACCUGUGAUCAGAGGUUGUCCUGUUUUCCGUUCCUUAACACAAAAAUCAACGUCAGAAAACUCACAGUUCACAGGAAAUUGUUUGGUAAGCUGACUUACUGAAAGUAAAUUUUUAGUUAAUUCAGGAACAAGAAGAACAUCAUUAAUAUGUAAUUUAGUAUUGUUUUGUUUAAUAAAUGAAUCUCCAAUACCAAUAAUCGGUAGAGACGAUCCAUUUCCAAUAACCACAGAAUCAGUUCCAAAAUACUUACGAACAUCAGUUAACAUACCUGGCUUACUUGUCAUGUGAUUCGAUGCACCAGUGUCUGAUGUCCAUUCCGUGUCAACCACGGUGCUUCCCAAAUAGCGGUUGCUCUUUUGCAAUAUUAGAAGCAUGAACCACAAACAAUACUCUUUUGAAUAUUAGAAGCAUGAACCACAUUGUUCAUAAUCGACUCUUUCAUAAAUGUCAUCCUUAACAUCACCUUUUUCUAGCCUAGGAUUUUGCACACUAAGAGCCUAUUUGACGUUGCAGUUGAAUCGUUGUUUUUCCAUUUUGAAAAAAAUUAUUCUUGCUUCAAUUGUUUUUGCGUUCUUGGAUUGUUAUGAUGUGUUAAUGUUAAAAAUGAAUUAAAAAAUAUAUUUUGAUAUAUUUCCAAGUGAAAAACACUUUACAACGCAACCGCUACCACACUUUUAAACAAUCACUAAGAAGUUAUCCAGGAAUAAUUGUUCUCCAUUUGCAGUUGUUGCAUACUCAAAAAAAUAUUAUGUCAAAACAUACAUGACAGGUGGCUCCAAUAUCAAUCCACCACUUUUUAAGAUUGUGCACCAGGUUUGCUUCUGACAUAACUACAACAAGCUUUGCAGCUUUCUCAUCAACAUUCUCAAUGAUUUUGUUUUGUGCAUUUUUUCCUUACAGAUAUGCCUUUGCUUUUUACAAACAAAACAAGUUUCUUUGAACUUCUUUUUGCCGACACUAUUACCAUUAGAACUCUUGAGAGAACUUGCUUCAUAUUUAAGUUCACCAGGUUAAGAAUGUUUAGGAAUCGGGUUUGCCAUCGAGACCGCAAAGAUUACCAGGUUAAAUUAUUUUGGUUUUUUCCCCGCAUGAUAGAAUGUUUAGGAAUCGGGUUUGCCAUCGAGACCGCAAAGAUUACCAGGUUAAGAAGUACAUUGAAAUUAUUAACAAUAGAUUUAUCCAUUUAUUAUCUCAAUAACAAGAUUAACUUUAUAAUUAUAUAUCACACUUAUAUAAUCUGAAAUAAUAUUAAUUAAAAUGAAUCCCAAAAAUUUAACACACUAAUUCUGCAAAAAACAAAUUUAAUAAACAAUUUAACUUUGCAACUAUGUAUUUAUUUAUUUGUUUUUCUAUGAGACUCAAUUUUUUUUUUAAUAAUCAUCAAGAGUAUAUUGAAAAGGCCAUAAAGCCAAUAGACAGUGAAAUUUUUAACAGAAACUCAAUGUAAUUUUCAACAAAAACUAUAACAAUACAAAUAAUUACAAAUAUUUUUCUUUCAACAUCAACAUAAGAAAACAAUAUGCACUCUUCUAAAGUUAUGAUAAAAAAAAUCUGAUUGAUACUUAUGUUGUUUUAUGAUUAAAGUAACAAUAGCAUCUAAAGAGAAUGAAUUAGGUGUUGCACUAAUUAUGUCAAAAUAAUGCAAGUAAACACACUAAACACAUAUAACACAAAAACCAACAAUAUAAUUCAAGUGCUUAAAGUAAAUAUAUAAGAAAAAAGAGAUUGCAAACUCGAUUUUUAACGUGAUUCGGUAAGCUUACAUCCACAUCUCAAGUACUAAUCAUACUUAAGUAUUGUACUUUUUUACUAAUCCAAGUGAAAGAUACAUUGCCCUUGAUGAAUUCACACCAAGAAAUUACACCACUUGAUGAAUUUUUCUCUUUAAGAUUUUUCUCCUAGAAUUCCGGUUAAAUAGAAUUGCACUUAAUAUAUAUUAUUUCACCAUAAUUAUUAUCCAGAUAUGCAACUUUUUUUCUUUCCGAUCAUCUGUUUUCUUUUUUUCAUAUCAAUACAACAACAAAGGAAAAUACCAUGCAAUAUAAAAUGUAUUUCCCUGUAGAAUCAAUGCAACAAGUUUACAGACAACAGACGACAAGGAAUUUAACAUAGUCAUGGAAUUUAACUGAAGAUAUAUACACUUUACUUUCUCUAUUAAAAUUAAACUAUUUUUUUUAAUCUAUGUCAAUAUAUAAUCAAUUUGGUCUUGAAGAUAUAUAAAUAUACACAGAACAAAUAUGUUAGAAAAUAAAUUGUUUAAGAUUGUUAGAGCACCUUAAAUAGUUCAUAAAAUUAUUCUUCCCUUUUACUAUAAUGAUGAAGUACAAGGGUUGUUGAUGAUGACCUCUUGGAUGGCUACAUGAAGCUUGUUCCGUUUUAAAUUUCAAGGUUAAUCUAUUGCUAUGAGCAUACGUGUCUCAAUUUAAAACUCGAGUUGCAACUGAACUUAAAUGAAUGGUGUUGGAUUUGGGCCUUCUAUUUGUUUUAACUUCUACAGGGUUGAAAUGAUAGUGAUCUUAAAGUAGAAAAGCAGCAGACAAAAAUCAAUUAACCAUAAUGGUGCAUGGUUUCCUAGUUUCUCAGCAUAAAGUUGAAUGUUUUGUUGACCUUUCUACAUCAAAAAUCAUAUAGACAGCUACUGCUGGCACUUGCAGUGGCCAAUGCAUACUGUAGAGUAUAUAUUGCAGUGUGAGAUAAGGUUAACUCGUUGCAUUUUCAUAUAUUGAAAGGAUUUCUCUUCUUUUCUUUGUCAAUUACAGCACAUGCAUAUAAGUGUUCUUCCUCAGAGUAAAUGCUAUAGUAAUGUUUUCACGGACUCCCCUGGUUUGCAACUGAUUCACUUAUAUAUCUUGGAACAUAGCCAUAAAUGAAAGGUUCUUCUAGUUCAAGAAAAUUAACCAUGAAGCUCGUAACUAGAAUUUUUAGACAGAAGGGUGGCCAAGCGAACUCCUAUACUCCGUACGUCUGGAAUAAUACAGGGAAAGGGUGUUUAUGUAUUUUGAUGUCUUAUAUUACUUGACCAACUCUUGCUUAUCUCAUUAUUUGUUUUAAUUUUUUGCUAAUAAUUCCACACAUUUCUGAUAUGGUGUGGUUUUUGAGUUCAGGGUUCUUGCUCAUUGCUGCUAACUUCUCUAUACUUGCCUGGUCAUUAAAAAUGAAACGUAAUGAUUUGCAUAUGCUGAAUGGAGACAUUAAAGAGGCAUCUUCUGUUUUCUGGUCAGGAGGGAUUACAAGAACUCAAGAAAUUUUCCAUAUGUUUUGAGGAAAAGAUUUAUACUACCACUACCAAUCAGGUAUUUGCCUAAUGUGAGGUUUAAUAAUUACGAUAUUAUCUAGACAUUAAUAUACACACGCAUUUAUGCUUGUACAAAUGUGUGUGUAGUGUAGUGUGCCUACACUUCCUCACCGUUCAUUCUGUAUGCAAGGCUGAUUGGGAGUUCACAUUAUUUUGUUAAUUCUCUUGACAAGUGUUUUAUUUAGAGUGACCAAGUUCAAGUACAAGGGAAGAGUGCAAAAAGCAAAUAGCGAAUCAAUACAUAAAUAAUUAAAUAAAAAGAGAGGAAACAAAAGUAUAUCAUAGAGAAGAUGAAAUGAUAGAGCAUAUAUCCAUUUUCCUCCUCUUGUAACAUGGAUUGCUCUGAGAUCUGAUGUUUUGUUAUUAAUAUCUGAUUUCAGUCUGAUUAUAUAUCUACGAAAAAUAUCUCUGGAGAUGCUUUCGAUGGAGAUCAGGUCUCAAAAUGCCAUGCCCACUGUCCCCAUGGAUCCAGCAGGUAAUAAUGCACCCGAGCAUUGAAUUUCUAAACAUCUUACCUUUUGUUUUUCUUCUCACAUUGUUAUCAAACUCUUUUACAUUUUAUUGCUGUAUAUUGCUAUGUAUAUCGCCUUGCUAGAAAAAUCUCAUGAUCACCUCCACGAUGCUAAUUCUAUAAUGCAUGUGAAGUGUUUCAUCCUUAACUUGUUAAGAACAAGGACUAUGAUGCAUUGCUAUUUUAUAUUUUAUGAUUGAGAUGGUAGAUUUUAAAGAUUUUCCUGUUUAGGAGAUAAAAGUAAGAUGUCACUUUUUUGCUUUUCUUCCGAGAGAGUAUUUGAUCCUUUUUUCGUAUAAAAUAAUGCUGGCAUGCAUUGAAUUUCCAAACAGCUUAGCUUUUGUUUUGUUUGUCGCAUUGUUAUCAAACUCUUUUACAUUUUAUUGCGGUAUAUUGCUAUGUGUAGGGCAUGCUUUAAUCAAAAAGUUGAGUAAUUGAUGAAUGCUAGGCAUGAAAAUGACAUAUUAUUUUUGUUUUCUGUCUCCUCCUUUUCUUUCCCCCACCUCAAAAAUUGUCAUGUUAUUUUUGUUUUCAGCCGCCUCUUCUUCCCCAAACCUUUAAAAUUGUUUAUAUUUGCUUUGGAAGCAUGACAAACUUCAUUGCCUCUCAGCUUAAGGAGAUUGCAGCAGGUCUCGAAGCUUCUGGGCAUUAGUUUAUCUGGGUAGUUAGAAGAAACAAAAAGAGUCAAGAAGACAAGGAAGAUUGUUUACCUAAAGGAUUUGAGGAAAGAAUGGAAGGCAAAGGGCUAUUAUCAGAGGAUGGACACUCCAAGUUUUGAUUCUUGGUCAUGAAGCAAUAGGUGCAUUUGUGACUCAUUGAGGAUGGAACUCAACUCUUGAAGGCAUAAGGCAAAUAUUUGCUGAGCAAUUCUAUAAUGAGAAGUUGGUGACUGAUGUUUUAAAAAAUGGAGUUAAGGAAUGGCUUAGAGUGCAGAGAUCAUGUUAAAAGUGAAGCUGUAGAGAAGGCAAUCACUCAAAUUAUGAUGGGUGAAGAAGCAGAGGAAAUGAGAGAGAAGAAAGCUGAACAAGGGAACGCAGUAGAUGAAGAAUAUGAGUUUACUGCAUUUACUGUCAAGAAUACAAACGUGAGCACUAAAAACUAAUUUGUACAGGAUACUCUUUAUAUAUAGAGUAGUAAUUAACUUCAUCACUUAUUUCUUUCUAUGAAUACAAUAUUCCUUAUUUAUAUAUAUUGAUUUGUUUCUUAUAUGAGGUAGCUGUAGUUUCCUUCUAUGAAAGAUCUGCCAUGGCUGUAGUUUCCUUCUUUGAGAAGUAGCCGUUGGUUGAGGUAGCUGUUGAUUCCUGUGAUUUCCAUGUAUGGUUAAUUACCAUUCUGAAUAGUAGCCGUUGGAGGUGUUAAUUCAGAAUGGUUGCUGACGAGAGUGAGGAUCCUGUGGUGGUGCUGCUGCUGUCUCCUGCUGCUGCUGCAGAGGUGUGUUGUUGCUGUUAAUAAUGAGGACUAGAGCAAAGAAGCUUUCAGUGCUUUGAUUUAAUAACUGCCAAGAAUGGAAGGCUGUUGAAGAUGGUGGAUCUUCUUGCUCCAAUUUCAAUGCUUUGAUUGAAUAACUGAGGUGGGGUAGCCCUUGAAACAGAGGCAUAGAACAUUUUGUUACUACUUAGUAGUGGUUUUGGCAAUUUAUUUUCAGAUAAGUCUUGAGAGUUGAAAGAGUAAUCACAGACGAGUCAAUGACCAAUCCAAAUCAGUUCCCUUCCUAAUGGUUCAGGAAUGACAAGUCCAGCUUAUUUAUUGAGCCCAAAUAACUUUUCAAAUAAAAAGGUUGAACUUAGAGACAGUACACUACAAAUUAAGCACCUAAUAGCUAGACAUACAAGACAAACAAUCAUCACAAACUAGGAACAAUCGUCUUCCCAGUAACAAAUUCACCUUCUCAAGUUGGAGAACUUGCGAAAACUAGCCACUACAAAAUAGUAGCAAGUAUCUAUGCAGUCUUCGAUGAAGUACGACCACCUGCGUCGCCAAUAUGGAUCGAUGUAAAGAACUACUACAAUUAUCAUCACCACAACUGUGUAACAUACACCGAAAUUGAUGUAGAAAAACUCCAUGUCUAUGAAACCAUCAUCUCCUUGUUCAUCAUAAGGCACUGGCUGUGAUGGCACUGGUUGUGAUGGCACUGGCUGUGAUGGCACUGCUUCCUCACUACAAUUGUUUCGCAAUGGAGGUCCACACAAAAAAGGAUUUCCUUCGUAACAACUUUCAUCAAAGGUCCCAAACUGAUAUUUUCUCUCGGGUGUGUUACCUGACAAGUUAUUAUGCGCCACACUAAAAACUUCCAGUGUGGUAAUAUCAGUAAGUUGUGGAGGGAUGACACCAUUCAAGUUGUUGUAAGAAAGAUCCAAACUCUCAAUCUGCUUUAGGUUUGAGAAUGUUGCAGGGAUAGAUCCAGUGAGAUUGUUGUGUGAUAAGUUUAAUGACAGUAUCUUACUUAAGUCUCCAAAUUCUGGUGGGAUUGCUCCUACGAAGUUGUUAUUGGAGAGAUCAAUACCAGACAUGUAGCUGAGAGUCUUCCCCUUGUAACGAUAAUACAUAUUUUUAGUUGUAAAUUCUAUCACUUCUUCUGUAAAGUUAAGCAGAAAACCCUUUCUCAAGUUGUACAUACUCUCCACUAGUGGUGGACCCAUUGUUUCAUAAUAAGCUUUUUCUAUGGACCUUGAUAGAACAUCAGCUCCGAGAUCUGCGAGCGUUUUCUGGGAACUUUCCUUGAAAGUAAGAUUGCCCAAACAGGAGGGUAGUGGACCAGAGAGUUGGUUUUGUGAAACAUCCAAAAUGCUUAAUUGUUCUAACAAGCAUAAUUGAACAGGGAGCUCACCAUCAAAGUGAUUAGCCCUCAGAAGAAGAACACUCAAUGAUGAAAGAUUGCCAAUCCAAUUUGGAAAGGAGCCGGUGAAGUUGUUAUCUCGAAGAUCCAUCGUAACCAGGGAAGAGUUGUUAUAAAAUCCAUAUGUUAAUGGACCGCUCAAUCUAUUUUCAGAUAGAUGCACAUGGGUUAUUUGUGGUGGACUGAAACAAGAUGGUAUAUAUCCAGACAAGUUGUUCUCAGAAAGGUCCAAAUAUUCAAGCUGGUUAAGCUUACAAAAGUCUCUUAGGAUCGGACCCUUAAAAUAGUUUUUGGACAAAUCAAUUGCGAUAAGGCCUGUAGAAUUGACUAACCACCUUGGAAGCAUGCCUGAAAAUUGAUUGUCACUCAAAUCCAAUGUUGACCACAUUUUCCACCCAUAUAAUAGAAAAUCUGAUAUCUGACCCCAAAAGUUGUUACCGUGUAGGUAGAGAUAUUCUAAGGUAGAAGAAUUGAAUACUGAGGUUGGUAAUUGCCCACCCAAAUUAUUGUUUGACAGCUUGAGAAACCAUAUUGUUGUUAGUUGUUCUAGUUUUACUAUAGACAAUUGAUUGUUGGAUAAAUCUAAAAUUUUCAAAGAGCUAAUAUUUCCUAAACAAGAAGGAAUACAACCUGUGAAUCCAUUAUUGGCCAUCCUUAAGCUCCACAUAUUUGGAAAGAUCAAACAAAUAUCUUUAGGAAUUUGACCGUUCAUGUUGUUGUUGGAAAUAUCUAAUUCGGUCAUAUUCAGAUAUGGGUGAUCUUGCAACUGUAAAGUACCGACAAAGGAGUUGUUGCUUAGAUAUAGUUGCUCCAAUCGUGUAUUGUUCUUAAGCAACCAUGAUGGAAACAUUGCGGUGAUGUUGUUGUGGGAGAGAUCAAGGACUCUUAUGUCGUAUUGGUAAUAAAGGAAGUCGGGAAUUUUUACAUUUAGUGCUUCUGUUGUUUUUGACAAUCGGAAAAAUACUAGUUGGAACUUUGGAAUCAAAUUAUCAAAGGCAGCAGGUUCUGUUACUAGCUUGUUGUUCUCACUGGAGAAGAACUUGAGGCUUGAGUGGUUCAUAAAAGGCUUCAUUGAAAUGGGAACUUCAAAGAGGUUAUUUGAUAGUGAGAGGAAUUCAAGGGAUGUGAGGUUGGUAAGAGGACCGGAGGCAAUAUUUCCAGUAAACUGGUUUUCAGAAACAUCUAAUAGUUGUAGAGAUGACAAGUUCCCCAAACAAUCUGGGAGUGAACCUCCUAAAUUAUUUCCAGAGAGAUCUAACUGCCUCAGAUUCUUUAAUUCACACCAACCUGUACAAUUUAUCUUGAAACAGUCAAAACAGUGUUGAAAGAAUCUUUUAUUGAUGAUAGUUGUUAAUUUACCUUGAGCGGGUAGGGUGCCAUGGAGGUCACAUUCAGCAACAGACAAAACUUUAAGAUCAGGCAAUGCUCCAAUGUUCUGGAGAAAGUUUAUUGGGAGAGAAGUACGAUCUAGAUACAAUUCUUCAAGGGUGCUAGAAUUGAAGAAAGUCCCUGUGAAAAAGAAAGAAGAAGAGAUAUGAUGAAAAUUGUGGUCGUACAGAAUAGCCAUUCCAUUUAAUAUUAUUAAUUAAGAUUUUAAGAAACUAAACUAUGAUUAACCUUGACUUAAAUUAGUAUCCUUGAGAGAAAGGGUCUUCCUUAAACCUAUGAUGUGUAGAAUUGAAAGCAGGCAAUCAAGUAAGUAGUGAAAUUAAGUGUUAUCUUGAUCGAGUUUUUAAACCUAUGAUAAAGAACUGAUAUUGAAUAGUGAGAUGAUUUUUGGAUAGAAACAACAAAUUGCCUGAAAAAUCCAGAGAUAUUGCCUGAUAAAUUUAAAUUUAAAGACUUUACCAUUGACGGUCGUCGAUCCUAGCAACAUAUUGCCUGAUAAAUUUAAAGACUUGAGAUAAGAAAGCCCACGCAGAUGUGAUAAAAUGCUGUCGUUGAAUAUAUUAUAGCUCAGGUCCAGGUUAUCGAGUUUCUCCAAAUGUGAUGAUAUGAUCUCAAAACCUGCAAGAGAGUUGUUUCUAUAAGCAAGUCAUAAUUACAUAAUAACUUUAAUCAAACAUGAUGAAAUACUAUCGUUGAUUAUUAAAUGAAUAUAAAGUCCUCAAUUUUCAUAGAAGGAGAUAUGAGAAGGAGAAAAGAAAAUGUUUCGAAGCUAAAUAAUUAAAAGGUUACCAUAGAAGCUACCUGAUCCUGUCAAUCCAUUGCCUGAUAGAUCCAAAGACUUGAGAGUGGAAAGCCCAGUCAUGCAUGACAAAAUGCUUUUAUCAUUAUUAAAUCGGUUAUCACUUAGGUCAAGAUUCCUCAGAUUUGAUGAUAGGACUUCGAAGCCUGGAAGAGAAUCAUCAAAGCAAGAUAAUUGACAUUAAACACCAAUCAACCUUGAUUUAUUUUAUGAUUAUAAGUGCAGAAACAUUGAACUAACCUUCAUUCUCCAAGCAACCAACCAAUCCAUUAAAUCGCAAUUCGAGACUUUGCAAUUCUUUAAAAGGCAGAAACAAAGAUGCGUUGAGAACCCAAUCGCCAAAGCUCUGAUCCCUUGCUCCACUAAGAGAGAGUUCGAUCACUCGCCUUGUAGUGUUAUCACACUCGAUCCCAUCCCACUCACAACAAUUACUACUGUCCACCCAAUGUCUCAAGGAAAAGCCAUCUGGGUCGAUCAAAGAUUGGAUCUCCAAGAGACCAAUUCUCUCUUCCUCCAAACAUCCAUAACAACGACCAUACCAUUCGCCAACCAAAGUCAAUAAUAUUGCUAGCAACAUCCAAGCCCCCAUUCUUUUCAUCAUCAUCUUAGAUAAUUCUAUGUGACAUCAAGAACGUAGAAUAUUGUUGUUUGUUAUGUGCCUUUGGGCAACCAUAGAGGUCCUAUUUAUACUACACUGUGGCCAUUUCCGUGACUUUGAGAUGUUUUCUUUAUUUAAUUUCCAUGACUUUAUCUGCAUAUCUUGUGCAGGUUCGGUGUUUUGAGAUUUGAAUAUUAUUUUAUUUCUUUUUGGAAUAUUCUUGGAUUUGAAUAUUAUUUUAUUUUAUUGUUUAGCACUUAGUCUAUUUGCAUUUAAUUAUAUUUUGGUUACUAAUUAUUCAAUUUAUAAAAAAAUAAAAUAAAAAAAUUGUUGCAGUACUUCAACAUAACAUAUAUUUGUUUUUAUGGUGGGAAAGGUAUUCUUGACUUGUUUUUAUUACAUUUCAAUAUUAAAUAUAUUUUUUUCAAUCGAGUCAAAGAUAUACAAUUUAUAUUAGAAUGAGAAGACUAAUCAAUUUCUCUAGUUUUCUCCCUAAUUAUAAAAUACAUCUAAGAUAAAAGGAAUUUAUUUCUUGAAAUUAAUGCAUUAAAAAAUAUAAAAAUAUUUUUUAAAAAUUAAAAUAGUAGUAAAAGAAAAUUUAGUUUUUGAUUGAAGUGUAAACUAGUGGUCAAUGAACAAAAAGAAACUUUAUUGAUUAUCUAAUGAGUUACUUCUCCAAAAAGAAUAUAUAUAUUAUUGAAUAUCUAAAGGAAACGAUUCAUGAAACUCCGCCUAAUAUAUAUAUAUAUAACAGAGAAAUUGUCGAUAAUAGCAAUCAUUUUCUUAUCUCUUGUAUCAUUCAUAUCUUCCACAAAUCUUAAGUAAUUGAUGAGAAAGAUCGUGAACGCGGAUGCUUGACUUGUUGUGUGGCAUUUUGAUUUUUAAACACAACCAUGCAGUGAUUUCCUGGUGAUUUCCUUAUGCAUACUGGUGGUCCUUCAGAAUCUUGGAGGACCACCACAAGCCAAUCUAAAAAAAUGCUAAAAGUAAUCUUGAGGGUUGUAACUUAACUGGUCAGGUCCUGAGUUUGUUCCCCGAAGAUCACCAGUUCGAGUCCCACAAACCUCAGAGCCACUUGAGGCUUACAUGAUCAUUAACUUCAGGGCUCGUGGGAUUAGUCGAGAUGCACGCAAGCUGACCCGAACACCCACGUUAAUAAAAAAAAAUGCUAAAAGUCAAAACACACAAGCCAUAUAAAAAUCACACGACAGCCAAUUGCCUUAUCUUGUGAAAAAAAGAUCAAAAAAAAAAAAAACAUUCUCUUAGGUAUGCAAUGACUGCCUAUCUUCUCAUGGGGAGCAAAAAUCAGUAGCCUCCCAUGGAAUCCUAAUAAACCUUUCUCUGUGCUCUUCUAAGAUAUUAAAAAUGUCAAACAUACAUCAAUAAUCAAGAUUUGGGUCCUAGAUCAGACAAGUUAGCUUAUGUUGACUGGUGUUAAUCUAAAAUUGUAUCAUUUUAAGAAGAAAAAAAACUGUGUAGUUAAAAAAAAAAAACUAGUUUUUGACUGAGUUGAUUAGGUUCUUGGUUGAUUUAUCUGGUCGAUGAGGCUUGAUUGGGUCAACUCUCACUUGGUUUUUUCUAAACCUGAAUCCGGUCAGAUUCCAGAUUAAAAUGGUAGGCUUGAAUUAAAUUUAAUAACGCUGAUUAAAACCACAUUGUAGAAAAAAAAAUUGAAUUGCAUAAAAGUAAUUAACCGAAAACUUAUAUUCCUUCUUAUUGUCAAAGAACCAUCUCAACCCUUAAGCUAUUAGGUGAGGUCCCAAGAUAUGAUUUAUAUUAUUCUUUAACACACUCCCUCAAGUGAAAGCCCUUUGGGCUUGAAACUUGCAAAUGUCUACAUUACCUUGUGCUUGAUUUUUAUCAAAUUAAUGGGGGGUGAGAUUCGAACUCGUGACCGCUUGGUCAUCAAAGCUCUGAUAUUAUAUCAAAUAAUCACCUCAACCCAAAUUAAAACUUAAACUAUUAGAUGAGAUCCCAAGUUAUGAUUUAUAUUAUUCUCUAAGAACCCAUAUCAGUUUUUUUUAAGGAAAAGUAUGAAUCAAAGGUUAACGCUAGGCAGCUCACUUUGCAUGACAAUGACGGAUAUAGAAGACUUGCUACUUUCUUUAUGGAAAUAACGUGUGGAAAAUCAUGCCUUAAUGUUGAUGGUGAUGGCAAAAACAACCAGUAUCGUUGAUAAAAUGAACCACAAAUGAUAUUAUUUCUAAAAUACUUUUUUUCAUUGUCAUGACAACAAGUCUUCUUCUUUUUCUUUCUAAAGAGUCUAUUUUUUGUAACACAACCAACAAGUAAAAUGGAUAGGAAUUUGCAGUGUGAGAUGGGUCUGUGAGACUUUUGCCAUCUGCAUUUUUUCCAUGAUAUAGGCCAGUGAGAUAGUCCAUGAAACCAUUGCCCUGUAAGCAUUUAUGAGUUCGUGAGACCAUUUCCAUCUGCACAUUGGUCCCUGAAACCGUUGCCAUCAUGCAUUUUUUCCACGAGAUGGGUUCGUGGAACAUACUUUGGUUUAAUUGGGAAUGCUGUUAUUGAUUGAAAACUUUCUAAUUAAAAUAAAUUUGAUUAUUUGAUUGGAAGAAAUCCUUAAAUGUUAUUAACACAAGAAAUCAAUUUAUUUUCUUAAGAAAAAAAUAUUGUAACCAUAUAAGUAAUUUAUUUAUUUAUUUUAAUGAAAUAUAAAAUAGUUUUAAAUAAUCUUGUGGUAUAUUUCUUGUCUUUAAGAGCUAUGAACUUAUAUCUCAAAACUUGAAAACUAAUAUAAAGAUAUUAAGUGAUCAUUGAGUGUGUGUGUAUGUAUAUAAUCCUUUUCAAAACAAAAAGGAUUUUGAUGGAGAUCAGGACAUUGCAACAAAUUAUCCACGAGAUGGGUCGGUGAUACCAUUGUCAUCAUGUAAUUUUUCCCACGAGAUGGGGUCGUACGCUUGGGGCUCUAAAAGCUAUGGUUUUUAAUUUCAUCAGGUAUAUUUUAUUUCAAUUCUAAAAAUGAAAUAAAUUAGAAGAUAUUUCAUCUUGUUUAGAAUAUUAUCUCCUUACAUGCAUGAAUUUCACCUAAAUUUUGACCAGAAUAUAUCGGUUCUAUUCCGGCCAUUCUAUUAUGUCCAAAUAAUGUUUUGUUUUGCUUUUAUAUAUAUAAAAAAUAUAAUUUAUUUUUAUGAUAUCAAUUAUACCUUUCAAUUUGACUAUUAGAUUAGACUGAAAUUUUAUAAUCUCUUAAUAUGUAUUUAUAUCACAAGUUAAAAUUUUAGAGCAAUCAGAGUUUAGAAAGACUUGUGAAAUUACUGUUGAUAUUUUCAUAAUUUUAUUUAAAUUCAUAAUUUUUUUUUGAAAUGUUAUUUUUUGUGUUUUUUUAGAUUGAUUUUUUUUAAUUUUAUAAUUUAAUAAUAAAUUUAUUAAAAAUUAAAAUUCAUAAUUUAUUUUUAUUUAUUUUAUUUAAAAUUAUUAUAUUCUCAUUACUCAUAUCACGAAAAAAACCUUUGCUUUAAUUGGGAAUGCUGUUACAAGUAAUUGGACUCCGUGGGAUGGGAGACCGUUGCCAUCAUGCAUUUUUUUUCCACAGCAUGGGUCCGUAAAGUCCUCUAUAAAAGCUUAAACCUCCUUACUAUCCUCUAUAUCAAUUGAUCAGCAUUUAUAAGAUGGGGCUGUUCCUUCUGAUGCUGAUGGUUUUAGUAAUGAUGGUUUCUUGCAAGGAUGGCUGCCUCUUGGAGUAUAUUGACUUGAGAAUUAAUUGUUUUGAUAACAGUAUUUUAUUAUUUGUGGAGUUAUUUCUAUUUUUUAAAUUAUUAUAUUUAGAUUAUAAUAGAGUGAAAGAGUUAAUAGGUUUAAGAGAUUAGGAAAAAGCUAAUAUUAAUUAUAGUUAGGGACCAAACUGGAAUUUUUGCAUAUUUUUAAGGGUCAAAUUGUAAUUUUAUUAAAUUGAUGAAGGACCAAAAUGAAAAUAUCAUAUUUAUAACUAUACUGGAAUUUUGCCCAUAUUUCUUCUUUAAUUUUGCCUAGAAUCUCGGAUUAUGCUCUAGGGACCAAUCUGUAAUUUUUUUCAAAGUUUGGGGAUUAAACUGAAAUUUUCACAAAUUGAGGUACCAAGCUGAAAUUUUUUCAUCUUCAACCUCAUACCCAGAUUUUUCACAAAUCACCUAUUGAUAUAUCAAGAUUUUUAACUAGAUGAGGGUUUAGGUCAUAGAUUGGCCUAAUACUCAGAUCAAGAUUUGGAUCAAGUUAGCUUAUUGACUAGUGUUAAUAAAAAAUUGUAUUAUUUUAAGAUUUAAUUUAAUCAAAUAGAUUCAACUCCCAUGCCAUUCCACAAUUAAUUUAUUUUAUUAUGAUUUAGUGUUAUGUUAACCAGGCAACAUUUAAUUACCAUGAUAUAAAAUACAAAAAUAGUGGGAACAUAAAAAACAUGCUUUUAUAUAUUUUUUAUUUUAAAAGUACAAAUUUUACUCUAAGACUAUUGUAAAAAGAUAUUUAUUUUAAAUUUAUUUAUAUUUUUAUAAUUCAAAAAUUAAAAAUAAAACAGAAUUAAUCCAUACUCAUCUAAAAACAAUUAACUCUAACAUCAUUAUUUUAUAACAAAACUAGCAAAGAUAAUUUAUUAAUCACUAAGUUUUCUGGUUAUAAAUACAUUAGUAAUUGUCUUCGUCUCUUUUGUAUUUCUAACUAUUAACGAAUUGAAUAUAUAUAAUAAAUACCGAGUGAAAGAAUAAAUUUAGUUGUAUAAUGUACUAAAUAUUAAAUAGGUGACUUUAGAAUCACCAAGCAGUGAAUCACACGGGAAGAUUGAAAGAAUAAUUAAAGUGAUUUUAGUAACCGACAAGUUGACCCCAAGUCAAAAGUCUUUUGUGGAAAAACAUGAAUAAAAGGUUGAGGGUAAGGUCAUUGCUAUCAAGCGUUUUUUUCUACGAGAUGGGUCCGUUACACCAUUUCCGCUCAAGCUUGAGAAGUGAUGAUAUAUGCUUUAUUUUCAACUUGUAUAAAAAAUAAAUUUUAAUGUAGUGUGUUAGUGUUAAAUAAUUAUCUUAAUCUAAUAGUUUAAGCUGUUAGAUAAGGUCUCAAGAUAUGAUUUAUAUUAUUCUCUAACACACCUCUCAAGUAAAAACCCUUUGGACUUGAAACUUGUUCAGGUUCACAUUACCUUGUGUUUAAUUUUUAUCAAAUAAAUGAAGAUGGUGAGAUUCAAACUCGUAACUGUUUGGUCAUCAAGGCUCUGGUACCAUGUUAAAGAAUCAUCCCAACCCAAUAGCUUAAGCUGUUAGGUAAGGUCCCAAGAUAUAAUUUAUAUUAUUCUCUAAUACACCUCCUACUUUGUGUUUAAUUUUUAUCAAAUAAAUAGGGAUAGUGAGAUUCGAACUCGUGACCGCUUGGUCAUCAAGGCUCUGAUACCAUGUCUAAAAACUAUCUCAACCUAAUAGCUUAAACUGUUAGGUGAGGUCUUAGGAUAUGAUUUAUAUUAUUCUCUAACAAUAUUUUCUUCACUUUCUAUAUAGUUUUACCUUACACUAAUAUUGUCAGAAAAUGAUAUAUAGUUCUUGUGUUAUCCUUCAAGAUUUCAAUUGAAAAGGAGGGUCGUAAAAAAUUUAAUUUUUAUAAACAUACCCUUAACUUAAUUUGGAUGUGGAUAAUUGUUUGCAAUAUAUUUACAUCCAAUAUAAACAAUUCAUCAAUGAUCAAGUCGGCAUUGGUUAGCUAAAAUAUUGAAAAUACUUACUCUUUUUUUUUUUUUGGCCAUGCAGUUCCUAUAUAUAUAUAUAUAUAUAUAUAUAUAUAUAUAUAUAUAUAUAUUAGUUGAAAUUUCAUGAUGUCCAUUAAUCCUUUUAAAUUAAAGUCAAGUUAUUAAUUAUAUCCUAUAAAUUUCUAGAAAAACUAAUUCUCUCAAAUUUCGUCGUCUUUUUUACUAACUAUAGAAGGCGAUUGCUACAAACUAAAAUUUCAAGAUGAAAUUGAGAAAUCUGAAGGAGCAAACUGAGAAUCUACCAAAAUCUGACCAAGUCGUUUCACUAGUGGUUUCAAUUAAAAAGCUGAGAGGCAGGCAAUUUCCCAGAAACCCUCUUGGACCCCAUAAAUGAAAUAAUGACACAUGCCGGGGAACAUAGAAAAAUGAGCCUAUAAUCGAAUGAUCAAUACCGGCGAAAGAAAUCAAAUGGAGUAUAAGGUGAAGAGUAAGCCAUCGACAGCACUUUGGAGGCUAUAAUCGAAUCAGCUGCUUCUAUAUAUGCAAUGGGUCGCAUCCCAACUUGCAGACCUGAUAUGAAAUUGUUAUGAUGUUCGUUCUGUAACUAUCAAAACUCACUUAAUUCUGUAGUUUCCAUCUCUUUUUUACUUAACAUGUGAUGUUUGAGAGUGAAGGUAACUAUUGCUUUUUAAAAUAAAAUAUAAUUUAUGUGGUAUCUGAAUACAUAGGAACAAUAUCUGUGUGCCUCAUGCAUGCUUUUCAAAAUCAAGUUUGGGGUUUUUUACACCCAAAAAUCUAUUUUUCAAUUAUGUUUUCACCAAAACAAAAGCAACUAAAAAUCACUUAAUUAAAAGAUCAAAGUGAAUCUAUUUACUUUCUCAUACAAAAAUCAGUCCAAAAAUAAAAAAUAACUUAAAACCUAAAUUUUCUGAUAUCAUAUCUACUUUUUCAUGUAAUUUUAAGGUGAACACUCGAAUAAAACUACUUUUAUCUAAUGGACUAUUGACACAAAGAUUGACUAUUUUGAGGGCCAAAAUUGAUUUUAACCGAGAUUUUAUCUUUUUACCACUAGAAUUUAGCUACUCUCUUUUCUCUUUGAAACUAAAAAAAUAAAAAUAAAAAAAUGACCUUUUGAGUCAAAAUUGAAUCUUACAAAAUUAUAGGGAUUGAAGAUCUAUCAAUUGGAAGUAAGAAAAUCCAAGCUAACUUUUCGCAUUAAUUUUGAAAAAGCCACCUAGUGCCUUUGUUUUUUUCACUUUGAUCCCUUAACUCUCAAUCAUGCCCUUCAUCAAUAAAUUGAAAGAAAUUUAUUGGCGAAAUAAAUUUAUUUCGAAGCCCUUCAUCCUUUGCAAAAUUUACAAGAACAUACCUGAAAGUCCUUGUUGAGAAUCUUGGAGAUAGAGCAAAAUAGAGUGGCAAACAUUGAUACAAUGAACUGAACUUGCAGGACAAGGUCAAAAGUCAUGGCCUUGCCAGCCUUCAAGAAAGUAAACUCCAAUGCAGGCAUUAGAAACCCAUGAAGAGCUGCACCACCAAUAUUCAUGAAGAAACCCAAAAUAUAUUUUCCUUUAGACUCCCACUUGGUCUAUCUCCGUUCAUGUGAAAUACAAGAAUAAUAGACCCAAGGGUCAUCAAAAUCACCGCGUUUAUUCAGUAAUGUGUGAAGCCACUGAGCUAAAGAAUAAAUAAUCCAAGAAAAUUCCACCAAUUACCAUUAAUGUAAGGAAUUCCUGCUUCUUUUUUAGAAGAUCUUCUGGUUGUAUUUGGUUAAUAUCUCAUGCAGAAGAGACACAAAUAUAUAAAAGACAAACAAGUUUAAUUAAAGAGAUAGAAACAUAAAAUAAAUAUGUUUAUAAGAUAAUUUUAGAGUAAAUUUCUAUAUAUAUUUUCAAAUAAAAAACACAAAGAGACAUGUUCAGUACUUGUAUCAUAAGUUUUAUUAUCAUCAAACGUUUGCCUUUCACUACUUUUGCAUGUCUAUAAAGGAAUUUGAUUUCAUUCAAAACACAAUCUAAUAAUUUUGUAGAGAUAAAGAAGACAAGCACGUCGCAAACUGAUCAAUGGCCAUUGAAGUAGACAAAACAGUACUGACUAGCACCACCAGCUUUUACUUGCAUUUGGCUUGAAAGACGAGUGGACUACAUCAAGCAAAUAACAAAAAAAAGCAUGUAAAGAACUAUGAUUAAUUUAAUAAAAAGUAUCUUGCAGUAUUAGAAGGUUUCAGUGAUAUGCCUAUUAAAACAUAUUUGUCAAGUGAUUCUUUAUCCUACAUUGGUUAUAUAUUUAUUCGACGUGGUGGUACUAUUUGUCGUGAAUCCACAAAUACUAUUCAUCAUCAUAGUGUUCAUCUACAUGCAGAUCACUAUGGAUUGAAGCAGUAAUAUUUUUAAAAAAAUUUCAAUUUGGUUCUUAAAAUUUUAUUUCACAUGAUUUUAGCUCUUUUAAACCCAAAUUAUCACUCAAUUGCAUAUUUUUUUGGGAGAGAUGGUUGAAUUAAAAAACAUAGGACUGAAGUGAAAAAACAGGUGAAAUAGAUGGUGACCUUGAAAUUUCUCUUAAAAGUUCAUUUUUAUCCCCCAUAUUUUUUUUAGCUCUUAGGUGACCGGUCCCUUUAAUUUUUAAAAAUUUAAUUUUAAUAUUAAACUUUAUUUUUUUUAUUUUUCAGACUUUUUUAUGGGAGGAGAGAGAAAGUUGUCGUUGGUGAUGAUUUCAGCCAUUGAAAUAAUCAAUUUUUGUCUCAAAUAAUUCCAUCUAAAGAGAAGAGUUUGAAUUAAGUGUUUUGUUUUACCUUGAAAAUACCUAAAAAAUAGAUCCGAGCUCAAGAAGAUUUUUGAAUUCAGGUUGAUAUCAGAUUUUAAGGUGUUUUUUUUGUGUUUUUUUUAGUCCAUUAAUUGUUUAACAAGAUUUCUAAGGUAUUUUUUAGGAGUUUUAAAUAACAAAUAGAUUAAAAAUAAGUUUUUAGAUAAAAAAAUAUAAACAUCAGUUUUCCCGCUACAACAAUGGAUGGAAUCUAGAAAUCUAGAUGACACAUUAUCUUUUUUAAAAAAAAAAAACAGUGUCUGACCCCUUAGCUUAGAAAAUAAAAGCCCUUUGAUUAGCAGGCUUGUCAAUGUCUAAUCUCAUUCUUUCUUUCUUUUUUAAUUAGUACCUUUUUUAUAUAAUUUUUUAUUUUAUGUUUUACUAAUACAUCAUCUAUUGUUUUGGCUUAUUUAGAAUUUUUUAAAAUGAAAAUAGUUUAUUUAAUUAUAUUGAUUGUAUUUAAUUUUUAAAAAGGUUGAUAUGAUUUAUCUGUAAUUUUUUAUAUAAAUAUUUAUAUAUGGAUUAAAUUUACCUUUAAAAAAUUAAUUAAUUAUUUAUUAUAAUAUUUUUAAUAUGUACAGCCUUGUAUAAUAUUUUUUUCUCUCUUAUUUUAUUUAAUAAAUCUUAUAUUCUGGACAUAUCAGUAUGGUUGGUUAGGUUUGGUUUUGGGGUGAAAAAAGAAAAAUCCAACCACAUCAAAUUAAAUGUUAUGGUUUGUUUUAAUUCAAUUCAUUUUUUUAUUAAGAAACCCAAUUUCAUUCUUGGGUUUUUUAGUUGAUUUUUGUAGAUAGACUCUGAUGUAAUAGGCAUGGUUGUUUUUGAGGUUUUUUUAGUUUUUUAUUUUAAAAAAGCAAUUGUUUGGUUUCAUUCAGUUUAAUUUUUUUUAAUCUCUUAAAUCUAAAGCCAAUUUAAGAUCUUUUAAAACUUUCUAAUCGGUUUUUUUUUUAAUUUUAUAUUGGUUUUUUUUUUCAAUUAAUUUUAUGAUAAGAAUCUCGUUAUAAGAAGUAAAAGGAAAAAAAAAAAAAAACAAUUACAUGUCGCAGCCAUGUUUUCACAUGGCCUCCGUAAAGUUCGAACAUUAACAUGGUCUCUAGACAAUAAGAACCUGUUUGUAAGUUUAGCAGAAUUAUUUUUUAAAAUAUUUUCUAGUUUAAAAUAUAUUAUAAUAAUAUCUAGUUAAUUAUUUUUAACAUCAAUAUAUUAAAACGGUCUAAAAAUACUAAAUAAUUAAUUAAGUUUUUUUAUAAAAAAAAACCGGUUCAACUACGGGGCUAAGGAUGUGUUUGGAAGUAUGGUAGUAGUAAUUUUUCAAAGUGAUUGUACUUGAAAAUGUAUCAAAAUAAUAUUUUUUAUUUUUUAAAAAUUAUUUUGACAUCAGCCCAUUAAAACAAUACUCACAAAAUUGAGCAUCAACCUAAAAAUAAACACUUAUUUGAGACAAUUAUCCCUCGAAAGCAAACAAAAAGUAAUAAUGCAGUUCAUUUCCUAACCAAUUCAAUGUUAAAUGAUAAAAUCAAAAUAUUAAAAAUAAUUAAAAGACAAAAAAAACAUAUUAUAAUGGUGGGUAAACUCGUCAAACUUGUGAAUCGGGUAAGUCGAGCUAAUAUGACAAACCUGUAAAUUGGAUCAUUGACUCCAUUGGAAUUAUAAUUUGUUUUUUAAAGCUAUUUUCUUAGUUAACUAUAUGAUAAUAAAAAUAGAUAAUUACAAAAUCAAACACCAACUUAAUACCAAAAUGUUUUUAGAUCAUGAUAACCUCAUAAAAUGUGAAACAAAACCAAUUAUGAAACUAAAUUCACAAUUAAUCCAGUAUCCAAGGAUGAAAAAAAAAACUGAUUUAAAAAAGUUAAUCUUGUCAACUAGCCAAAUAUAUCCAUGGAAUUUAUAAAGUUUAAUAACAUAAUUUUUUCUAAAAAUUAUUUUUUUAACUAUAUAAGGAAAAAAUAGACUAUAAAAAAGUCAAGUUUAAUUAUAAAAAAAAAACCCCACCAAACUUGUAAACUAGGGCAACUUAGAUUACCUAGCAAACUCACAAACCAUGUUAACCUUAUAGAAAUGUAAAAUAAAAGAAACAAAUUAUAAAGUUAAAUUCUCAACCAUCUCAAUAUUAAAAGAUAAAAUUGAUAAAAAAAAAAUUUGAGAAAAAAAUCAUAACAAAAAUUAAAAAAACAAAAACAAAAAUGAAAGAAAGCAAAACAUUAUGGAUUACUAUUGUCAUUCACAAUACAAUGUGUGUGGGUGAACAAUGAUUUUCUCACACCCUUUAAUUUUUGUUAUUUUAUAAAGUUUAAUAACAUGACUUUUCUCUAAAAGUUUUUUAAUUAUAUGAGAAAAAAAUAGACUAUUAAAAAAGUCAAGUUCGAUUUUAAAAAAAAAUACAACCCACCAAACUCGUAAACCAGGGAACCCUAGGGUACUUUGGCAAACUCAUAAACUACACUAAUCCCAUAUAAAGGAAAAAAAAACAAACAAAUUACGAAACUCAUUUCUCAACCAUCUCAAUUUUAAAAAAUAAUAUUGACAAAAAUAGAUUUUAAAAAAAAUCAUAAUAAAAUUUCAAAAAAAAAGAAAAAAAAAAGCAAGACACGGUGGAUUAUUAUUGUAAUACAUAGUGUAAUGUGUGCUGGGUAAACAAUGGUUUCCCCUACAUCCUUUAAUUUUUAUUACUUCAUAAAAUUUAAUAAUAUGGUUUUUCUCUAAAAUUAUACUAUAAAAAAGCCAAGUUCAAUUAAAAAAAAACCUCACCAAAUCCAUAAACUGGGGUACCCUGAGUUACCUCGACAAAAUCGCAAACCACAUAGAAAGAAAAAAUAAAAAGAAAAAAAAUUAAAUUUAAAUUCUCAACUAUCUCAAUAUUAAAAAUGAAAUCAAUAAAAAUAAUUUUUUUUAAAAAUCAUAUAUAAGAAAAACAAUGAAAAGGAAAACAUCAUGUGUUCAAGGGAAAAAAAAAACAAAUAAUAUGAGGAAAUAUUAUAGCAAUCUAUAAUGUUUUAUGAGAAUAAUUGCAGUGCUAUCCCCAUAUAUUUUAAUUUUUCUUAUGAUAAUAAUAAUUAUAGUCUCUCAUGUCUCACAACUUUAUUUGUUUUUCUUGAAUAAGUGCUAAUGUUCUUUGAGGGGUCCAAGCACCAUAUAUUGAAAGAAAGAACUAGUUCAAAUUGAAGCACUAUUAGUUUUAGAAGCACCAUGAAGAUUCAGGCGUGUAAAGAUAUCAAAGGCUCCUGCCACAUGUCAAAAGAUUAGAGAAUGAAAUUGUUAGAAUACUGUUAGUAACUGUUAGUAUUGUUUGUCAGUUAAGAGAAUUAGUUAGCAUUGUUUCAGUGAAAUAAAAAGAGAAUAGAUAACGUGCAUAACCUUUCUACUAUAGCAUAUAUAAACAUGUCAGAUAAGAGAACUGUAAUCAAUUAAUAAAAGAAUCAGUGCUAAAGUUCUUCUUCUUCUUCUUCUCUGUUUAACAGAAUCACUCUCUGCUUUUCUUCAUCUUUAUUCUCUGUUUUUCUUCAUCUCUAUUCCUUUUCUGUGUAAAUCUUACUGUCCUCACAAGGCCCACAUCUUGCUUAUAAUACCCAAGAUCCUAGCACCUUGUAUUUAUAAACGCUAGACACAGCUGCUGUUUCAAUGAAUAAUUCUCCACGCUAUUAUUGAUAAAUAUUGUGUGCUAUAUAUACAGCAGUGUGGAAAUUCAGUUUAGGAAAAAUAUAAAUGGUAAUGCUAAAACUAUGCUAUUACAAUAUACAGCUGCAGAAUUCAAGUUUGGAAUCGGCUCCAAAUAUAGCGUUAAUGGCAGAAUCUUUGCCAUGAUUUUCGGCUACACCUUCUCUGUUUUGAUUUGAGCAGAUUCUCUGCUAGUUUCCCUGAUAGUAUUUAAAUGAAAGAAAAAGAGAAGGGCAAAAGACUGCCAUGAGGCAACCUCAAGUAUCAUACACCUCUGUUUUUGUCCUUUUCAUUUUUCACGUGUUUCUCACAAGAAGCGAACAUAAAGUGCUGGAAGGAAUUUUUUGUUGCAGCGUGAGAUAAGUUUAACUCAUUGCAUUUUCAUAAAUUAAAGGGCUUUGUCUUCUUUUCUUUGUCAAUUACAGUGCAUGUAUAAAAGUUUUAUUGCUCAGAGUAAAUGCUAUUGUAAUGUUUUCGCAGAGACUCCCCUGCUUUGCAACCAAUUCACUUAUAUAUCUUGGAGCAUAGUCAUAGCCAUAAAUGGAAGGUUCUUCCGGUUCAAGAAAAUUAACCACGAAGCUCGUAACUAGAAUUUAGAGUGACCAAGGUCUUUUUCAAGAACAAGGGAAGUGUGCAAAAUGCAAAUAACGAAUCAAUACAUAAAUAAUUAAGUAAAAAGAGAGGACACAGAAGUAUAUCCUCAGACGAUGAAAAUACAGAAAGCCUAGCAUAUUAGAAAGAGCAUUUAUCCAUUUUCCCCCUUCUCUUGUAACAUGGACUGCUAAGAAAUCUAAUGUUUUGUUAUUGAUACGUGAGUUCAGUCUGAUUAUCUGUUGUGCAUACUGGACCGAAAGCAAACACAAAUAAAACACAAACAAGCAGAUUUACGUGGUUCCCCAAAACCGGGUACGUCCACGGAGGCAGCAGAUUGUAUAUUAUUGGAGGAAUGAUACAAACACUCAACUCAACCCAGUACAAUCCCACAAAACCCAGUGUUUCACUCUUACACUCGGUGUUUCUCUCAAAUCUGCACUCUUUCACUCUCACAGUUGCACUAUUUUCUUCUGCACACUUGCACUCACACUGCACUCUCUCGUUCCUCUCUUCUAUCUUCUAUCUUUCACACACAUUUACAGGAGAAAGGAAAGCAUAAAUAUAAUGGAUGAAAAGGAGAGGGUGGUUGAAAAGGAGAGAGUGGUUGAUGGUUGUUGAGAAAAAAUAUUGACAAUUAGCAAAUGUUGACAAUUUGCUACAAAUCUCCACCUUGGCAAGAUUUUUCCAUUCAAUCCUCGUGAACAAUCAAUGCUACCUCCAAUGCGUCAUAUGACGCUGCACCCUGAAGGUGCUCAACACCGAGAGAUGUUGACCAAGUCCAAACAAUGUUGGAACUUGAUCCCUGAGACACAUUUUGUGAGCAUGUCAGCUGGAUUAUAUGCGGUACCAAUCUUCUGUAGCAGAAUAUCCCCUUCAUCCACAAUUUCUCGAACAAAAUGAAAUCGAACAUCGAUGUGCUUGGUGCGGGAAUGAUGAACCUGAUUCUUUGCAAGACAAAUAGCACUUUGACUAUCACAAUGGACAUCCACGUGCUCUUGAACAAUUCCCAAAUCUUCAAUCAACCCAUGUAACCAAAUAGCUUCCUUGAAAGCUUCCGUUACUGCCAUGUACUCUGCCUCAGUUGUUGACAAAGCUACUGUUGAUUGUAACGUUGACCUCCAACUUACAGGCCCUUUAGCAAGUGUAAACACGUAGCCUGUUGUGGAACGACGUUUGUCUAAGUCACCAGCAUAGUCCGAGUCCACAUAACCAACUAAAUUUUGCCCAAGUCUAUCAUCCCUCUCAAACUUCAAACCAAUAUCAGUUGUGCCAUGAAUGUACCGUAGAAUCCACUUAACUGCCUGCCAGUGACCCUUUCCCGGAUCAUGCAUAUACCUGCUCACCAUACUGACAGCAUGUGAAAUAUCUGGUCUCGUACAAACCAUUGCAUACAUUAAUGCACCAACUGUAUUUGCAUAAGGAAUUUGAGCCAUAUGCUUGCGCUCUUCCUCUGUGCGUGGAGACAUUGAAGCACUUAGCUUAAAAUGAGGAGCUAAAGGUGUGCUUACAGGCUUGGUCUUACCAUCUACCCCAAAUCUCUGUAGAAUUUUCUUCAAGUAUUGGGUCUGUGUCAAACAGACUGUGCCUUUUCUUCUGUCUCUCUGAAUCUCCAUGCCAAGAAUCUUCUUAGCUUCUCCAAGGUCCUUCAUUUCAAACUCAGUGCUCAGUUGAGCUUUCAGUCUAUCAAUCUCCACCUUGCUCUUCGAUGCGAUCAACAUAUCAUCCACAUAUAAGAGCAAAUAGAUGAAAGAACCAUCAAGAAGUUUGCGAAAAUAUACACAGUGAUCAAACUGACUCCGUGUGUAUCCAUGUUCUGCCAUGAACUUAUCAAAUCGCUUAUACCACUGGCGAGGAGAUUGUUUCAAUCCGUAUAAUGACUUCUUCAGUUUACAAGCCCAAUUCUCUUUCCCAGUGACUUUGAAACCAUCUGGCUGAGACAUGUAAAUUUCCUCUUCCAAAUCUCCAUGUAGGAAGGCAGUUUUCACAUCAAGUUGGGCUAACUCCAAAUCAAACUGUGCAACCAAGGCUAACAGAAUACGGAUUGAUGAAUGCUUAACAACUGGAGAGAAUACCUCAUUAUAAUCUAUCCCCUCCUUCUGAGCAUAGCCUUUUGCUACCAAUCUCGCUUUGAAUCGGAUGUUGUCUUUUCCAGGAUUACCUUCCUUCUUGGCAUAUACCCACUUGCAACCAAUUGUCUUCUUUCCUUUAGGGAGUUGUACCAAAUCCCAAGUCUGAUUCUUAUGGAGAGAUUUCAUCUCUUCAUCCAUUGCCUCUUUCCAUUUUGCACUUUCUACACUCUGUACUGCUUCUUUGUAGGUGUAGGGGAUUCCAUCAUCAAUCACCGGAAGUGCAUAAGCCACCAUGUUACAAUACCGAGCAGGUUUCUUGAUAACCCUUUUUGGUUUACUCGUUGCAAUGGAUUCUUGUUGUGUGGUUGCUGGAGUUGUUGCAUCCUCUUCAUCUGAACUUUCAUCUGAAUCUCCUUCAGUAGAGAUUGUCUGAACAGUCUUUAUAGGGAUGACUGAAGUCUCCAACUCCACCUGUUGUGCAUCACCAGACUGUUUUUCCUUCUCCUGUGAUUUCUCUUGCUGUAACAUGCCAGACUCAUCAAAAGUGACAUCUCUACUCAAGAUCACUUUCUUUGAUUCAGAACACCAGAGUCUGUAGCCUUUUACUCCUCCACUAAAGCCCAAAAAUAUAGCUUUCUUGGCUCUAGGAUCUAGCUUGGACUCAGUAACAUGAUAAUAUGCUGAGCAACCAAAUAUACGCAUAGAGUCAUAAUCAUUUGCAGGAGAGCCUGACCAUACCUCUAAGGGGGUUCUUCCAUUUAAUGCUGCUGAAGGUAACCGGUUAACAAUAUGACGAGCAUAACUUAAUGCCUCGCCCCAGAACACUUUGCUUAGUCCCGAAUGUGAUAGCAUACAUCGGACUUUCUCCACCAAUGUGCGGUUCAUGCGUUCUGCUACUCCAUUCUGUUGUGGUGUUUUGCGAACAGUAAAAUGUCGCUUGAUCCCUUCAUUCUGACAAACUUCAAAGAAAGGAUCUGAAGUGUACUCACCACCAUUAUCUGACCGAAGAGUCUUAACCCUCCUUCCAGUUUGAGUCUCCACCAUUUUCUUCCAUUUCAGAAAGAUAUCAAGGACCUCAUCCUUGUGUUUCAUCAUGUACACCCAUACUCGUCUUGAGAAAUCAUCAAUAAAAGUAACAAACCAACGAUUACCUCCAAGAGAUUCAUUCUUUGAAGGUCCCCAUACAUCUGUGUGAACAUAAUCUAGGAUCCCUUUUGUGUUGUGUACUGCAGUGCCAAACUUGACCCUUGUCUGUUUUCCAAGAACACAAUGCUCACAGAACCCAUGCUUCCCAGUCUUGGCGCCUUUUAAUAGACCUUGCUUGACUAAUCCUUGCAAAGCCUUUUCACCAGCAUGCCCUAAGCGCAUGUGCCAAAGUCUGGAAUUAUCUGCUUCAUCAUCUUCUAUACUUUUGGAAACAGCUGCUGUACCAGUAACUGUAGAUCCAUCCAGGAAAUAUAAGUUUCUUAUCCUCGUGCCUCUUAAGACAACUAAUGCACCACGAAUUGCUUUCAGGACUCCACCAUGCAUGAUAAUCUUAUAACCACUGGAUUCUAGGACUCCAAGUGAGAAGAGAUUUUUCUUCAAGUCAGGUACAUACCGUACAUCUGUUAGUGUCUUGACUACCCCAUUAUGCAUCUUCAGAUGGAUAGUCCCAAUCCCUUUGAUCUCACAAACAUCAUCAUUACCCAUCAACACAACUCCUCCAUCGAACUCCUCGAGUCUCGAGAAUAAGUGCUUGUUAGGGCACAUGUGAUAGGAACAUGCAGAAUCAAGAAUCCAUUCACCAGAAUGGUUUUCUGGUGAUGAGACCAUGAAUGCAGAGUCUCGUUCAUCCUCAUCCCGUGCAACGUUCACAGUUGGUUCAUCUUUUUCCUUGUUGCCCUUGAUUGGACAAUCUUUCUUCCAGUGCCCUUUUUUGUGACAAAAGGCACACUCAUCUUUUGCAAGAUAUCGUCUGUUUGAUGAUUCUCCUCUGGAUUUUGAGCGAGAUCUCCCUCGCCCUCGAAAUCUUCUGGGGUUUGUUCUGCCUCUAACUGUCAAUGCUUCUGACGUUGACUCCUUGUGAACAAUCUGGUCCUUCUUUCGGUACUCAUUAUUCACCAAAGCAUUGGACACAUCAAUGAAUUUAAUCUUUUCUUUACCAUACAGUAAAGUGGUGACGAGAUGUUCAUAUGUGUCAGGCAGUGAAUUCAAUAAUAGCAGAGCUUUAUCUUCAUCAUCAAUUUCCACAUCUAAAUUCUUCAAAUCAGCUAUCAUUUUAUUGAAAUCAUUUAGAUGCUCAUUCAUAGAAGUACCUUUCUUGUGCUGAAAACGGAAGAUCCUUUUCUUCAGGUAGAGACGAUUCUCUAUACUCUUCUUCAUAAACUUGUCCUCCAGUGCUUGCCAUAAUUCCUUUGCAGAGUUUUGUUCUGAAAAGGCGUACUUCUGAUCCUUUACAAGACAAAGUCGGAUGGAACUGCAGGCCAACCGAUUUAUCCUUUCCCAGCUUUUAUCAUCCAAAUCCUCCGGUUGAUCUUCUAAAGUGAAAUCCAAAUUCAUUUGGACAAGCAUAUCCAUGACUUCACAUUUCCACAUGCCAAAAUUACCUUUCCCAUCAAACUUCUCCACCUCAAAUUUGGUAUUCGAUACCGGGAUGUAUUGUGGAGGUAUACUAGCAUUCCCCGCUGAUUUUUCUUCUGGAAUAUCAGCCAUUAGGACGUCUUUGGAUUACAAAUGGACUCCUGAAAUUGUUAAAACACGCACUUUUAUGCUCAAAAGAGCCAAAACAGUAACUUCGGUGUGCUGUUUCACAAAACGGACAUCACGGUUGCGUCCGGAAUGGUUGAAAAUGCUAGGAACCAACUUGACUCGGCCAAAAAACAGGUCAAAAAUCACUGAGUUGGCCAAAAAACCAAUCUGACCGAGUUGACUCAGGGAAGGAAUAUUCUGUCUCUGAUAAAGAAUAUUCUGUCACGGGAAUAUUCUGUUACUGGUAACGGAAUAUUCUUAUUCUGUCAAGAGAAUAUUCUGUCACUGUUAGAUGACAUGUCUGAUGACGUGGCUGAUGACAGGGCGAUGUGGACCCUCUGUUGAUGACGUGGAUGAUGACUCAGCGCCUACGUGUCGGAUGACGUGGCUGUCUUCUCAGGCGAGAAUUCCGGCAAUGACUGGUUUUUCCGGCAGAUUUCCGGCGAAACUUCGGCGAGCUCUACAGGGCUCGUUUCAACUCCGAUUUCGAUGAUCUUUAUAUCGCCGGACUCGUAUGGACGAGAGGAAUCUCCUCAGCUGGUCAAAAGCAAGAUCUGAGAACUUUGAAAAUUCUGCAACUUUGAACAGAGAGCUGAAAAACGUGUUUUUUCAGUGUUCUAGCUUCCCUAAUGCUCUGAUACCAAUUUGUUGUGCAUACUGGACCGAAAGCAAACACAAAUAAAACACAAACAAGCAGAUUUACGUGGUUCCCCAAAACCGGGUACGUCCACGGAGGCAGCAGAUUGUAUAUUAUUGGAGGAAUGAUACAAACACUCAACUCAACCCAGUACAAUCCCACAAAACCCAGUGUUUCACUCUUACACUCGGUGUUUCUCUCAAAUCUGCACUCUUUCACUCUCACAGUUGCACUAUUUUCUUCUGCACACUUGCACUCACACUGCACUCUCUCGUUCCUCUCUUCUAUCUUCUAUCUUUCACACACAUUUACAGGAGAAAGGAAAGCAUAAAUAUAAUGGAUGAAAAGGAGAGGGUGGUUGAAAAGGAGAGAGUGGUUGAUGGUUGUUGAGAAAAAAUAUUGACAAUUAGCAAAUGUUGACAAUUUGCUACAUUAUCUGCGUAAAAUAUCUCUGGAGAUGCUUUCGAUGGAGAUUAGGUCUCAAAACGCUAUGCCCACUGCCCCCAUGGAUCCAGAGCGUGAAAAUGAAGCCGAGCAUUGAAUUUCUAAACAUCAUUUCCUUUUGUUUUAUAUUUCGCAUUGUUACCAAACUCUUUUACAUUUUAUUGCUGCAUAUAUUGCUAUGUAUAUACCAUGCUUUAAUCAAAACCUAUAAUGCAGGAAUAUCUGCAGAUGGCCAUUCCCAAAGGGAAAACUAAUCUUCCCUAGAAUAUUACAAAGUGCCAUUUCUACAGUGAGAAUAGCGUUUCGUUUUGGUUGUUUUGUUGAUGAUAACUAGAUCUUAAAACUAAUCCCUGUACUUUUACAUGAUGCUAUAAACUGGUCCCUUUUAUUAGUAAAAUGUUGAGCCAGUCAAUUGAUUAUUUAAAAAUCUUGAGGGAUUAAUUUGUUUGUUUCACAAAAAAAGACACUGAUUAAAUAAAAAAAUUAUCAUCAUAUGCAUGAGUGUUUACUUGUCCAACAACAGUUUGCAAGGGGCAGAUCCUUGGAUGGAUAUUAGAGGUGAGCAAAAAAACCAAUAAACAGAUUAAACAAAGAAAACAAAAAACAAAUAACCGAAAAAACCGAACCGAAAAAAAACUGAAUUAACUGAUUAAAAAAUCACAAAAAAAUUCCGGUUCGGUUUGGUUUCGGUUUCUAAAGUCUGAAACAGAUUGAACCAAACCGGUUAAACCAUGCCAGCACUUAAAAAAAAAAAGUAUAAAUAUGAUGUUUUUUCUAACACUAAACCUAAAGUAACAUUCAGUCGCGACCCCCGCCCCCCCUUCCCUUUGCUCUCUACAUCUCUUCUCUUUGAUUUUUCUUCAUGCUCCACAAUUGUUACUUGUUAAGCUCCUGCUCCAUGCUCCUAAAGGUCCUAAACCAACGCCCCCCCCCCCCCUUCUCUGCCUCUCAUCAUCUUCUCACAACCCCUCCUUUUUUCUCCCUUUUUCUCUCUGCCUCUCAUCUCUCCCCGUAGCCCCCCCUCCUUUUCUCUCUAUCUCUCAUCUCUGCAUCUUAUCUUCUCCACUUCAAGUUUGUGGGCACUGGGCAGAUAAAAAAAAGAGAUGGCUUUUUGAUGAUUAAGAUUCUAACUCCACUUCAAGUCCAUCCCUGCAUCUUGUGGGUUUUUGCUUUUUUUUUAUUAUGCUAUAAUUUGCUUGUAGUUUGUGGGCAAAUAUGUUUUUCAAAUAUGUCUUGGUCAUGUAAAUUGGAAUAAGUUUCUGAAUAACAAAAAUGAGAUUUGCUUUUCGGUUUUAUCGGUUGUCAUAACCCAAUUUUUUACCCUUUUAUUUUAAUUUUAUGAUAAAAAGAAAAAAUGAUGAAAAAAUAUAUAUAUAUAAUAAUGAUGAAAAAAAUAAAAAUGAAAUAAAUGAAGAAUGAAUUAAAAUUUGGGUUAAUGGCAACAUGAUUGGACGCUUAAAGAUUUAAUUUUUGACUUGUCUAAUUAAUCAAAUCAAUUGUUUAAUUGGAGAAUUGAUAAGUUUUGGGACUUAAUUAAGCUUGAAAUUAAUUUAAUUAAUCCAAUCAAGGGUUUAAUUGGAGAAUUGAUAAGUUUUGAGACUUAAUUAAGCUUGAAAUUAAUUUAAUUCAUCCAAUCAAGGGUUUAAUUGGAGAAUUGAUAAGUUUUAAACUUAAUUGGACUUUGGAUUUAAUUAAAUUAAUGAAAUCAGGGACUUAAUUGAAGAAAUAGCAAAGUUUGGGGUUAAUUGGGAGUCCCAAUUGUGAAAUUAAAAUCCAAGGAUUACAUUGAAAAAGGCGCGCAAAUGCAGGGGGCCAAUUACAGUUUAAACCAGGGGUUUAAUUACAAGACUUUCAAAACUGCAUGGAUCAAAACGAAAAAUGGCCGAACGACGUCGUUUUGAAGAUGUUGUUCAUCUUCUUCUCCUUUAUGCCAGUGACCGUUUCCGCAGUAAUGGAGGGAGGAACAUUGCAGCAGUAAUCGUCGUCCGUUGGCUUCAGUUAUGAGCGCCUUAAUGGUGGCCGACUGUUAGCCUACCGCCCGUUAUCAACCCGCCAAGGCCUAUAUAAACCGAGCAGCACCGAAGAGGAGCGAGGUUAGAGGGAGAGAGAGAGAGAGAAAAGAAACCGAAAAGAAGAGAAACACAACCAAAGCACACAAUUUUUAGGUUCAUCUCCAGAACUCCCAUACCAGAACUAGGCUUCCCUCACCAGUUCUGACUUAAGAAAAACGAGAGAGAAAACCGGCCGAAAGAGAGAGAGACGGUGUUCUGAAAAACAGAGCAAAAGAAACGAAGAAAAAUAAACCAAAACAGAGACGCAGGAAAGGAAUACAACAUGAAAACCAGAAGGAGUAAGAAGAAAUUCGAAGGCAGAAGCGUCGUCCUCAGCAAUCACGAACAAAUUCCCUGCAAACGAACCAGGUAAGUCUUCUGCUCUGUUUCCCUCGCUUUGCCUUAUUUCAUUUUCGACGUCCGUGUUUAAUUCAAUAACAGGGCCAUGUACGCGUGAUUUAGAUCACGCGUGCCUAGUGUGGCCCAGCCAGGUCACUGGCUUGGGCCAGUGACCGGGCUGGGCUGGCUGGGUCUAGCCCAGCCCAUGUGGGCUGAGCUGGGCACAGCCCCAAAAACAUAAAAAAUAGAAAAAUAGAAAAAUAGAAAAAAAAUAAUAAUAAUAAAAAAAUAAAAAAGUAAAAAAGGUAGAAAAAAUAAAAAAUGUGUAUGCAUAAAUAAAAAUAAUAUGAAUUUAUUGGUGUAUUCAUUGACGCCAGAGUCAGGAAUAAAAAUACCGGUUUAAAUUUAUAUUAUUUUUAUUCAUUGUAUUUUAUUUUAUUUAGCUAGAAAAUAAAAAAAUAUGUGCAUGUGUAAAAAAUAAUUUUUUUUAUGUGAAUAUUCACUUGCGCCAGAGUCAGGAAUAUUAUAAGAAAAUUAUCAUAGCAUAAACUAAUAAAUAUUUAGCAAUUUAAGACAAAACUAGCAAUGCAGUCUGCCUCAGGCAGAACGUUUAAGGGGUGAUAAUAUCUUCCCUUUUACGUAAUCAAUCCCGAGCCAUAGAAUCUCUGAUGACCAGUUAGGGUUCCUAGUGACCGUAAUACUAGGUGGCGACUCCUUAUACAAGACCUUUUCCCCUAAAAGAACAAGAUGCCAGAAAUCUGUUCUUUUUUCACAAUCUAGAAUUAUUUGUGGGCCGCCGUGAUGUCGGGUGCGACAUCGGUUUUUGAACAACAAAAGUCGAACCGAACCGAACCGAAACCAAUAAAUUUGAACCGGUUUCGGUUCGGUUUUGAUUUUAAAUUUUAAAAUUAAUAAUGUCGGUUUGGUUAAUUUUUUCAUGUAAAAAUUGAACCGAACCGAACCGAAAAUGAUCACCCCUAGGGAAUAUGUCUUCUCUUGAAUUCUUGAACCUAUCAGGGGACAAUUUCUCUGGUCUUUUACUGCCUAGAUUCAGCAAUUCCUCAAAAUUGAGAUAUGUUUAUUUGUCUAGAAAUAAAUUGCAAGGACCAAGCGCAAUAAAAUUUUAUGAUUCCUUUGAGAUAUUAGCCUUAGAUCUUUCCCAUAAUGAUUUAACUAGUAGGAUUCCAGAAUGGAUUGACAGGUUAUCUAACUUGAGAUUUCUACUUUUGAUUUAUAACAAUCUUGAAGGUAAAAUCCCAAUUCAAUUAUGCAAGUUCGACCAAUUAACCUUGAUUGAUCUAUCUCACAAUUAUCUUUCUGGUAACAUCCUCUCUUGUAUGAUAUUUACUCAUCCUUUCCCUAUUCAAUACAAUUCUCGUGAUUUUGUGUCCUUAUCACAACAACCUUUCGAGUUUACAAUGAAGAAUGUAUCUCUUUUUAAUAGAGGCAACAUUAUCUGGAAUUUCACUGGAAUUGAUGUCUUAUGCAACAAUUUCACAGGAGAGAUUCCCCGUGAAAUUGGAAGCCUCAGCAUGAUCAAGGUAUUGAAUCAUUCCCACAACAUUCUAACUGGACCAAUUCUAUCAAUAUUUUCAAACUUAAAGGAAAUAAAGAGCUUGGAUCUUUCCUACAACAAAUUGGAUGGAAAAUCCCAUCUUGACUAUAGAAUUUUUCAGUGUGGCACACAAUAAUCUGUCUAGCAAGACUCUUGCAAGAGUUGCACAAUUUGCCAUGUUGAAGAGAAUUGCUACAAGGGCAACCCUUUUCUUUGUGGAGAACCGCUACCCAAAAUAUGUGGUGCAGCUAUGCCACCAUCACCAAUGCCAACUUCAACGAACAAUGAGGAUCAUGGUGGCUUCAAUAAUCUGUUUGAAGAGAGCUGCUACAAGGACAACCCUUUUGCAUGUGAGCUUUAAGGUUGCAUAGAUCAUGGUGUUGUUGGUGAUAGGUGCAAUUCUGUACAUAAAUUCAUAUUGGUGACAAGCUUGAUUUCACUUUAUUGAGGUGAGCAUCAAUAAUUACUAUUAUUUUCUUGUGGAGAAUCUUUCCAUUUUAUCUAAGUUUGGAUUUUCAUAGCCUUUUAUCUUGAUGGUACUAAGCCUUGGUGCAUUGUUUUGGAUUUUAGUUUCAAGAUUUAAAUAAGUUUAUAUUGAUUUUCAUAUGAGUUUUGUUUUUGUUUUUAGCUUCUAUGUGAUAUAUAAUAAUCAAGUUUUUUUUUUUUUUUAAAGGUUAUCUAAGUUUUUUUAGCUGUUUUUUUUAUGCUUUUUAGGAUUUUUUUUUUUGCUUUUUUCUUUAUUUUUUUUAAUUAAUUUUUUUCGUUUAGUUUAGUUUGUUAAUGUUAAAUUUCUUUCUAUUUAGUUAUUAGACUUUCAUGACACAUAUCUCGAGUUUCACGGGUUAACCUGGUUUCACGGGUGAACCCAGUUAAUUCCGGGUUGACCCGUCAAUUUUUUAUUAUUAUUAUUUUCAUAAAUAUUUUUUUUUAAUUUAGUUUGUUAAUGUUAAUUUUUUUUUAUUUAGUUAUCAGACUUUCAUGACACAAAUACUGGGUUUAACAGAUUAACAUGGUUUGACGAGUUAACCCGAAUUUUUUUUCUUUUUAAUUAAUUUUUUUUGUUUAGUUCAGUUUGUUAAUAUUCACUUUUUUUUAUUUAGUUACCAGACAUUCAUGACACAGAUCCCGGGUUUAACGGGUUAACUUGGUUUGACGAGUUAACAUGAAUUUUAUUUUAUUUUUUGCUUUUUUUUUCUUUUUAAUUAUUUUUUUUCGUUUUGUUUUGUUUAGUUUGUUAAUGUUAAAUUUCUUUCUAUUUAGUUUUUUUUCUUCUUAGAGGUUUUUUUUCUUUUAUUUGUUAUUUUUAAUUAAUUUUAUUUAAUUAAUUUAGUUUAUUAAUAUUAAAUUUUUUUCUAAGUAGUUCUCGACUGAUGCCUUUAGUUUUUUUUUUAUGCCUUUGACUGUGAACUGCACAGUGCAGUCCACUGUGAAAAGGCUGAUGCUUUUUUUUAAUUAAUUUUUUUUGUUUAAUUUAAAUUGUUAAUGUUAAAUUUUUUUCUAUUUAGUUAUCAAACUUUCAUUACACGGAUUCUGGGUUUGACAGGUUAACCUGGUUUGACGAGUUAGCCUAGUUAAUUCUGGGUUAACCCAUUAAUUUGUUUUUUUCUUUUUAACUAUCAAGCUUUCACGAUGCAAAUUCAAUGUAUGACGGGUUAACCUGGUUUGAAGGGUUAACCCAAUUAAUUCAUUUUUUUUUUCAUUAGUUUUUUUUUCCUGUUAGUUUUUUUUUAACUAAUUUAUUAAAUUAUCACACUUUUAUGACACAACCUUGCAGCCAGACCCAUGUCCAAUGUUAUUGGGUCUGGUAUUGCAAUCCAGACAUUUUUAUGCUAAGGGUUAACCCAAGUUUAAUGUUAUUAUUAAUAUUAUAAACAUUACUCUUAGAUCAGGCGUUGCAACCAAACCUGAGACUCUUGGGUAUAACUUUGUAAAAAAACCUAAUACUUUUAGAUCUUAACUAUUUUUAAAAUGCAAAAAAUAAUUGACCUGCGGCAUCGCGCGGGGCAUGUAACUAGUAGAUUACUAAAGGGGAUCGAUUUUGAUUAUGAUUUGGUGUGGGAAAUUCUCUGCGUGCCUACAUAGAGUGUGGCUUCUUGAAACUCCAAAAAAUAUAUAUAGGUGUUUGCCUAAACCAGUAUUGGGCAGAUAAAGAUAAGCCAGGAUUGCCGAGGAAGAGGCUGUUCAGGUAGUCCGAACAGGGAUCUAUAAUCAUUAGUUAUAUAAUCAACCCUAAUCAGAAUUUCCCAAGAAAGAAUUAACUAAAGACUUCAGUUAAUGCUGAUGAACACGAGUAAAGGAUUUGCUAAAGACAAAACCAUGUAUUUAAGAACCAUUGCUAAGCUACAGGUUCUGGAGCCACAAACCACUCACAUUUACUGGGGUUGAUCCCAAAUUGAGACAAAUCUAUUUGUCCGGUUCGGAGAACCUUCAAACAAAAAGAAGAGUUAAACCUUGUAAAAUUGACUAUAUAUCAUCAAAAGGACAAGAAACACACAGGAAACCUCAUAAUUACCUCAGAAUGCACCGACGUAAAACACACAGGAAAUCCCAACACAUCAUAAGACAACAAAAGAAAACAUAUAUUUAGCAGAAUAAAAAGGUUGUACAAUUCUUUCACAGCUUACAGUACGUAUAGAAUAAGCAUUAAUAAUUACCUUCAUCUGGAUCACCCGAACUACCUGCAACAUGUAUCAUCACAUCACGCGGGCCACCCUAAGUACAACAAACAAGGAUAUGGUCACUUGCACUAUCUAAGCAGAACACACCUCCAGCACCAAUAUUACUCAGGAUUCUUUGCAAGUCUUCCAAUUUCACUGGUUCUGAUGAAGAGUUUACAUCACUCAUUACUUCUGCACCAAGGUCUGGGACAACUGAGUUUCCAGUCCUGAGAGCGAUGAGCAAAAAUCUCAUCGGAAUAAAAGAAAAUGGCCACGUAAUAUAUACCUGGCCAUUUGUUUUUGGUAACAAAAGUGCUCCUUAACCUUUUUGAAGUUAUUUUAGAAUGAAUUACAAGCAUUAAACAUUUAUAUAUAUGGACAAACACCGAGUUUAUGCAAGUCUGUGCAAGGGCAAUAUGGGGUGAAGGAUUUGACAUGGGCUAAGGUGGGUGAGAUGUUUUUGUCAAGAAAUGAUUUUGGAAAAUUUCUUGAUAUUUCAUGAAUAAAUAAGAUAUGAGUCUUUAUCAAGGAAAGAACAUAGGCUCUCCAAGAUGAUUGACCAGAAGGAGAGAAGGGAGGCUCAUUCUGCUCCACUGACUCUUAGUCUCAAAGAACAAAAAAUUACAUAGCUCUAUAUCCUUACUCUUACUUGCUAUAUCAACUCUUAGAGUUGAAGUAUCAUCUUUGACUAUGCUUCUUUGUUAUAAUAAAUAUACCUUGAUGAGAUAUUAUCUUCAAGCAUGUCUUCAAAAACUUGGAAAGGAGUAGAAGCAUCAGGCUCUUCUUCAUCAACUACACCAAAUUGUUUGCAUUUAAGAGAUCGGGGGAGGGGGGCAGAAGAUUAGACUUUGCAUUUAAAUAUAAGCCAAGAUGAUUAGGAACAAAAUAAUGACGAGUAGCAUGGCUAACAAAGGACUCAAAACACAAAAUUGUUUACCAAAUGGACGAUUAAUAUAAUAGUUGAAAGAGCUACAUAAUUGUGAAUCAUCUUUAGCUUUUGGCUCCUGCAAACAUGUUACACAAUUUUCCAAAAUCAUGCAGCUAACAGCUGAGUCAAUGUUACACAUAAGAGAGUGAAAAACGCAGAAAGUGAACCUGACCUGCACCCAAAUGAAAAACUUUCGAUCAUCUGUAUUGAAUUUCAAGAUGUAAACUCUUCCCAAAGCUUGAUUAACCUGAAUAACCCAAGGAAUUAUGAAUCUAUGAUAUUACAAUCAAUUAUUAGAGUCAAAUAUCUUCCAUCUAAGAAAAAACUAGGAGAGAAAAGUGUACCUUCUCAAAAACAGCAUCUUCAGAAAAAAAUAAUAUGAUCCUGUCAAUCAACGCGUCAAGAAAAAGCUACCAAAGUUCUCACCUCAAAAGAAUAUUAACAAAACAAACAACAGAAAAAAAAAUAAAAACCAAAGUUGGAAGGGAGAAACAAAAUCCCCAGGCUCAAAAACAUAAUAAUAACUAGGAUACAUCUUCCACAGCAUUCAAAUUCCUAUCAAGCCACUGGAAAUGAAGCAAACCCUCAUCACCCUGGAACAAUUCAAAAAUUUCGACUUCAAACAGGAAACAAGAUGCUAGAAACACUCUAUCUAGUACUUAAGAUAAACCAAAACAAUAGAAUUAACUAAAAAUCUUUACACAGACACGAACUCUAUAUAACACAAAAAAAAAAAACCAAAAGACACCAGUUUACCCUUCCAAUGCGAACAAGUCCUUUUCGAGAAUCAGGAACAAACUUUUUUCCAACGAAAACCAUUUUACCAGCACGAAACUCCAACAUAAUUUCCUACCAACAAAACAACCACAACACCAUAACAUAACCCCACCAAGAAAAACAUACUUGUACAUCCAACAAAGCAAUUACAGGCUCUAAUUAAAAAGAAACAGAGAUUUUAAGCAAAACCCACAAUUUUAAAAGUGAUUUUAUUUACCUGCAUUGCUGAAAUAUCUACAGUUGAUGAAGAACCCAUUUUUCGCAUACUUCCUCUAAAGCUUCCUUUUUUUCAACACUGCAAAAAACAAAAAACAAAAAAAAGAAGGACAAAUCAAAUACCCAAAUCAGAAACAAUAACAGAAAAAAAAUAAAAGAAAAUCCAAAGCUGGAAGUUGUAAUCAGGAGGAGAACCAGACAAUUUCAGAUAGAAUGACAUUUUAUCAAGAAUUGAACUGGGCAUUCAGUUAAUUAAAUAGGUUGUAAUCAGGUGAGAGUAGUGUCAACAACAUGUUUAGUUUUCCUCUCGGAAGUGCCAUUCUGCACAAGUCAGUGUUUUAAAAAUAUUUUUAAAAAAAUUUUAAUUUGUUUUUUUAGUGGUUUUAAUUUAUUUUCAUGUAUUAAUAUUAAAAAUAAUUUUAAAAAAUAAAAAAUAUAUUAUUUCAAUUUAUUUUAAAAUAAAAAAAACUUAAAAAAUACUGUUAACACAGUAUUAAACAAACUCUAAUCCUAUAACCAGAUGAACAACGUUAAGAUAUUUGUUUUUUGUUUUUCUUUUUUUUGAUAAUGAGACUGUCGUAAACAAUCUUGCCUAAUGAUUGUUAAGAAAUGAAAGAGGCAAUGCAUGGCUAAACCAAUGGAAGCUAAAAAGCUAAUGUUAUCCCUAGUAAGCAAUUGUUGCCGCAAUGACAUAUGCCUCGUUAGAGAUAUAUUUGAAUUUACAUAUUAUUAUUAUCAUAUAUUUUGUAUUGUCGUUUAAAAAAUAAAUAUUUUCCUUAUAUAGAGUAGAAUGUUUUUAAUUUUAUCAUUUAAAAUUUAUAUAUUUUUUAAAAAAUUAAUACAAUAUACAGUUAAUUAAACAUCUAUAAAUUAAUAUCAUUGAGAACAUGAAAUUUAUUAAUUAAUUAAGAUGUUAUUUAGUAAAUAAAUUUAUACACUUAUACAUUAAUCAAUAAAAAAUUUUCUUUUUCAAAAACAUUGAACUCAAUACAUGCAUCGUGUAUAAUAUUAUCUAAUCAUCAAAUUAUGAAUUAUCAUAAUUCUAUAUAUUUAUUUAAAUAAAACAAGUUCAAGAAUUAAUGUAAUCAAUCUUAUUAAUUAAUAAAAUUCAUGUAUGUAUUAACAUACAAGCAAAAAAUCUAUAAAAAGAAUAUACAAGUGAGCCAAACAACAAUAUAUAUUAAAAACGAACAAGAGGUCGAAUUAAUAUCCAUUAACUAAUAGUAAAAUUAAGAAGAUGAUACCAAAGAGACACAAAAUCACAAAAAAGCAUUUAACAUUUCAGAGAAAGAAGCCUGCAACACCCAUUAAGGAAAAGAGAGAAGGGAAAGAAAUGUGGAUUAAUUCAUACAGAGGCUCACCUUGUUCCAGACCAGCGCGAGACUGUAGACGAACCAAGAGCAAAAAAUGCAGGAGAGAUAAUCAUGAGAGAAACAAAUUCAUAUAUCCACGAAUAUGUACAAUAUUUGAAACCUAUAAUGCAAGAAUAGCUGCAGAUGUACAUUAAUAUUUUUAAUUUAAAGAAUCAAUUAAUUAUUUAAAAAACUUGAGGGAUUAAUUUGUUUGUUUCACAAAAAAUAGACACUGGUUAUAUAAAAUUUUACUUAAAUUUUUAUCAUCAUAUUUUAAAAGAAACCAGUUUAUGUUUUGCGCAACACGAAAAAUCAUAUAUGCUUAAGUAACUAUUUGGCAUCUUAAACUCAAUUUAGUAAAUUAAUUUUAAUUUUUUUCUAUCCGGCUCUUUUCCUAUAUCAAAUUUAAAAUUAACCAACAUAAAAAUUAUCCUCAAAUGAUACAGUCAAUAUGAUAGGUUUACAAAAAUAUAUUAAAUUGAUUCUAAUUUCAUGGCUUAACUCUUCAAACCCACUACUCGAAUAAUAGACUCCAUCUAGUUGUAAUUAUUAUUUUGUUUUUUAAUUAUUUUUUAUUGAAUAAUAUGAUAACAAUAUCAAUUCAAAAUCAACUAAAUAUUAAAGGAUAAAAUAAAAAAAAUAAAAAAAAUUCAAUAGAAAAAAAAAGGAGAAGAAUGGUAGAGUUUAAAAACAAAUAAACAAUAUGACGUCAUUGUUAGAGCACCUGAAAUUACUGUUCCUUUUUACUAUAAUGAUGAAGUUUCCACAUAAUAUAAAACAUGCUUAUAAAUUAAUAACCGAAAUAAAAAUUAAAUUGAGACGACAAUCAAUUCUUUAACUUUAAAACGAUUUAUUAACAAUAGAAUUGAGAAGGCCCGCCACAGAUCAAGAGGACAGCUUCAAUGAAGCCAUCCCAGCCAAUGCAGGUGAUUACCCGUCGGUUGAAGUCUCAUCGCGCGCCUAGCACCAGCCAAACCGCCUCAAUCUGAACAUGCACCAGACAAAGUUCAUGAAAAGACGCCAGGGAGCCUCAGCAGCUGAGAAGAAAGUGCGGGAACACCCACCGCACGAGAAGAAACGUGAAAAGCAGAGAGGGAGCGCGGUAAAGAUUGUCAAGCCACGGGAUUCACACACAGUGCACCGAGUUUUAAUGAGCACUCUUAGUUUUUUUUUAUAUAUAUAUAUAUAAAAUUCUUUUAGUUUUAGUUUUAGUUUUAGUUUGUUAGUUAUGAACAGUGAAGCAGCACCAGAAUACAGUUCUUUUAGUUUGUUAGCGAAUCUGGAAAAGAAUAAAGUCAUCUGUCAAGCUCUGUUCACUUUGGUCCGACAUUCCUCACCUCUCCCCACCUGAGCUCUCUCUCUUUCCCUCCUCCGCUUUCAGAAACCGCCGCCGCCACCACCUCAACCAAUAAGGCUUCAAAUCUCACCCAGAUGCUUCCUUUUCUAUUAUGUUUUUGUUUUUUAAAAUUUACGUCUGCUUUUUCAUUUAUUUAAUUGAAAUUACUAUCCAGAGAGAGAAAUUCGAUUUUAAUAAGUAAAUUAAAAAGAUAUAUAAUCGAACCCGAUGAAAUCGCUGCUCGUGAACGCAACUCGAAGAAAGGCGCAAUCAGCCGACUAUACUAUGGGUGGAGCAUUUAAUAUGGUCAGGGUUAUUGUGUUGUCUAUUCAAAGAAAGAUGUGCCUGUAAAUUUGUUAAGUUGAUUCUUAUCAGUCUACUCUUUAGAGUUGAUGAUAACAUGAAAUACUCGUUGUUAAUGCUCGUUGUUUUCUUCUUCUUUUUUCCUAGAUUAAAACAUCCUAGACAAUCUCUUUGGGAUGGUUUAGUAUUUCUGGCCUCUUCAUCUUCUAUUUGUGCUAUGGUUUUUAGUCUGCUGAUAUUGUUGAUAUUCAUUGGGGAUUGAAAGGCCUCGUUUUAUGACUUUGUUUUGUCUUCUUCUUAUUUCUUUAUUCUUUUGGGGAUGCGGCAUUUUCCUCUUUCAGAGAAAUAAAUAUAUACAUAAAUAACAAGAACAGGACGGGAAGGAGAGGGGGUUUUGACAAUAAGUAUUUGCUUAGAAGGGAAUGCUUCUUUGGUUUAGAAGCACCAUGAAGAUUCAGGCCCAAAUCUUUGCUUAGAAUGCCCGAAAUAAAUAUAUCACACACUUCUUUUUUUGUUUUUUGUUUUUCAUCUUUUCAUGUGUUUCUCACAAGACGUCACUUUCUUGCUUUUCUUUCGAGAGAGUAUUUGAUCCUUUUUUUGUAUAAAAUAAUGCUGCCAUUCAUUGAAUUUCCAAACAUCUUACCUUUUGUUUUGUUUGUCGCAUUGUUAUCAAACUCUUUUCCAUUUUAUUGCGGCAUAUUGCUACGUGUAUGGCAUGCUUUAAUCAAAAAGUUGAGUAAUUGAUGAAUGUUAGGCAAGAAAAUUACAGAUUAUUUUUGUUUUCUGCCUCCUCCUUCUCUUUCCCCCACCCCGAAAAUUGUCAUAUUUUUUUUUCAGCCGCCUCUUCUUCCCCCAACCCUAAAAAUUGUUUAUAUUUGCUUUGGAAGCAUGGCAAACUUCACUGCCUCUCAGCUUAAGGAGAUUGCAGCAGGUCUCGAAGCUUCUGGGCAUCAAUUUAUCCGGGUAUUUAGAAGAAGAAAAAAAAGAGUCAAGAAGACAAGGAAGAUUGUUUACCUCAAGGAUUUGAGGAAAGAAUGGAAGGCAAAGGGCUAUUAUCAGAGGAUGGACACUCCAAGUUUUGAUUCUUGAUCAUGAAGCAAUAAGUGCAUUUGUGACUCAUUGAGGAUGGAACUCAACUCUUGAAGGCAUAAGGCCAAUAUGUGCUGAGCAAUUCUAUAAUGAAAAGUUGGUGACUGAUGUUUUAAAAAAUGGAGUUAAGGAAUGGCCUAGAGUGCAUGGAGAUCAUGUUAAAAGUGAAGCUGUAGAGAAGUCAAAUUAUGAUGGGUGAAGAAGCAGAGGAAAUGAGGAGUAGAGCAAAGAAGCUAGGAGAAACGGCCAGGAAGGCUGUUGAAGAAGGUGGAUCUUCUUGCUCUGAUUUCAAUGCUUUGAUCGAAUAACUGAGGUGGGGUCGCCAUUGAAACAAAGGCAGAAGUAAGUGUUGUCACUCGUGCAUAGAAUAUUUUGUUUCUACUUAGUAGUGGUUUUGGCAAUAUAGACAAGUCUUGAGAGUUGAAAGAGUAAUCACAGCCGAGUCAAUGACCAGUCCAAAUCAGUUCCCUUCCUACUAGUUCAGGAAUGACAAGUCCAGCUUAUAUAUUUAGCCCAAAUAACUAAUCAAAUAGAAAGGCUGAGCUUAGAGGCAGUACACUACAAAAUAAGUACCCAAUGUCUUAGAGACAAACAAUCAUCACAAACUAGGAAAGACCGUCUCCCCAGUAACAAAUUCACCUUCUGAAGUUGGAGAACUUGCGAAAACUAGCCACCACAAAAUAGUAGCAAGUAUCUAAAUUAUUUCCAGAGAGAUCUAACUGCUUCAAUUCACACCAACUUGUAUAAUUUAUCUCUAAACAGUCAAAAUAGUGUUAAAAGAAUCUUUUAUUGAUGAUGUGAUUAUAUUUGUUAAUUUACCUUGAGCGGGUAAAGUGACAUAGAGGUCACAUUCACCAAUAGACAAAACUUGAAGAGCAGGCAAUGCUCCAAUGUUAUGGAAAAAGUUUAUUAGGAGAGAAGUACGAUCUAGAUACAAUUCUUCAAGGGUGCUAGAAUUGAAGAAAGUCCCUGUAAAAAAGAAACAAAAAGAAAAAAGAUAUGAUGAAAAUGGUGGUGGUACAUAAUAGGCAUUCCAUUCAAUAUUAUUAAUUAAGAUUUUAAGAAACUAAACUAUGAUUAACCUUGAUUUAAAUUAGUAUCCUUGAGAGAAAGGGUCUUCAGGGAUGGCAAUGACUGCAGGAAGUCCGGCUUCCUUAAACCUAUGAUGUGUACAAUUGAAAACAGGCAAUCAAGAAAGUAGUGAAAUUAAGUGCUAUCUUGAUUGAGUUUUUAAACCUAUGAUAAAGAACUGAUGUUGAAUAGUGAGAUGAAUUUUGGAUAGAAACAACAAAUUGCCUGAAAAAUCCAGAGAUUUCACAACUUUACCAUAGACAGUCGUCGAUCCUAGCAACAUAUCGCCUGAUAAAUUUAAAGACUUGAGAUAAGAAAAUCCACGCAGAUGUGAUAAAAUGUUGUCGUUGAAUAUAUUAUAGCUCAGGUCUAGAUUCUCGAGUUUCCUCAAAUGAUAUAUGAUCUCAAAACCUGCAAGAGAAACUAAAGAUAAUUAGAAUUGAUGAGAUGCUGUUGUUCAAUUGAUAUAUGAUUCUCAAAUUAUACAUACAUAUACACACACACACACACACACACACACAUAUAUAUAUAUAUAUAUAUAUAUAUAUAUAUAUAUAUAUAUAUAUAUAUAUAUAUAUAUAUAAUUGAUAUUUAUAAAAGCAUUAACUGUAGAGGAAUAUUUGGUACUUUGUUUCCCAAUAAAAAAUAGAUUUUUCUGCAAAGUAGCACCAAAAAAAAAACUGUUCAAAACUUAUAUAAGAAAUUAUACAGUUAGCGAGUCACAGAUGAUGAAUCUUAAAAAAAAUUGGCAAUAAUAACAGUACUCUAUUGCUAUUAAUUAACUUAAAUAUUCAAAACUUAAAAAUAGUUUUUAAAUUUAUCCAUGCCAAUUUAUCUUAAGAGAGUCGCAAUCUGUGACUAGUUAAAUUAUAUUGUUUCUGUAAAUAAAUUUUGAAUUGUGUUAUUUUUUGUUCUAGGUGCUAUUUUGCAAAAAAAAAAAAAACCUCCAAAUAAAAUAAUAAGAUUAACGUUUAAGUUGUCUAUUGUUCUUGGAUUUGUAGGUAUAACAACAGAAGAUAGCAAUCAAAAGCGAUGGUGACAUGGUAGAGCUUUGAGUUAUUGCUGUGUUCUAAUGAUGAAGAUGUAGGAAAACGAUCUCCCUUCUGCUGUCUGGAGCUGGGCUUCCUCUCCCUGUAAGAACAAUCAACAUCUUAUCUGCGUUGUUGUUAGUGGCCACUUCAUCGACCCAUUAGUGGGUGGAUUUUAAGCUUAAAAAGGAUUUUUUUUAUAAAAAAAAAAAGGGAAGAGAGAGGGGGGGCGCAUCAUCACGUGAAAGCAAGGAGCUUGCCACCCAUUAUAGAGUGUGGGGCACUCUUGCAUCUAAGAAUAAAUGAUCCUGAGGUUGUUCUGGUGAUGGGUAUUGGCCAUUACAUAAAGCUUCGACAAGCCCUUUUAGCUGCCUGUUAUUAGAAUUUGUAUAAUGAGCAUUCAAACUUAAACUUCUUUAAAUGGGAUGAAAACGAGUGAAAAUCAAGAAGUUGGAGGUGUUCAUCUCUAAUGCAUAGCUAAAGAUCCUUUGUAAGAAAAUACAGCUAAAGACAGUGUGUGUGUGUGUACCAGAGAAAUUGUCGAUAAUAGCCAUCAUUUUCUUUGUCUCUUGUGUCAUAUCUUCCAAAAAUCUUAAAGUAAUUGAUGAAAAAGUGGAUACACCUCUUUGUCUUCUUUAUAGCACUGCUGGCCACUGUGAGUUAAAGCAUUAAAAGGUCGUGAACGCGGAUGCUUGACGAGCGAGUGUUUACUUGUUAAUUUUUUUAGAAGGAAUCUGGAAAAGAAUAAAGUCAUCUAUUUCACUUUGGGACAACAUUCCUCACCUCUCCCCGCCCUCCCUCCCUCCCUCUUCCGCCUCUCGGAAACCGCCGCAUCCAAUAAGGCUUCAGAUUUCUGCCAGGUGCUUCCUUUUCUAUCAUGCUUUUGUUUUUAAAAUUUAUGGGUGUUUUCAUUUAUUUUAUUGUAAUUAUUAUUCAGAGACAGAAAUCCAUUUUAAUAAGUAAAUUAAAAAAAACAAAUAAGCGAUCCGAUGAAAUCUCUGCUAGUGAACGCAAUUCGAUUUUAAUAUGUAAAUUAAAAAAGUAUAUAAUCGGAUCCGAUGAAAUCGCUGCUCGUGAACGCAAUUCAAAGAAACGCACAAUCAGCCGAUUCUAAUAUUUUCUUUUUCAACCCCACCCUAAUUUACAUGAUAUUAUCCGAUUUUUCUCACAGUUAUUGUUGUAAUAAUCAAGCCCUGAAUUCUUGAACCCAAAUUUAUUUUAUUUUAUUUUUUAGUUUUAUUUUUAAGUGGAGAAUAGAAAUCAAUUCAAAUCUUUUAGGCUCGAUCGAUAAUUUGUUAAUUAGUUUAUGCAGCAGCUGGAGUGGAAGAGAUAUUACUGCCGGAAUGGCCGAAAAAUGAGCUGUUUGGUUGAUUCUUCUUUUUUGGAAUUUACUGAAUUCUUCAAAAUUAUUGUGUUUUUAACAACAAUACGAUAUCCUUGGGUUUCAUGCUCGCUCACACAUGGAAAAAAGAAAGAAAGAACAGAACUUUAAAUUUUAUAAUUUGGUCAAGUUAAUGCUCGUCGUUUUCUUCAUUUUCCUAGCUUAAAACAUCCUAGACAAUCUCUUUGGGAUGGGUUAUUGUUUGUGGCCUCUUCAUGUUCUAUUUGCUGGGGUAUUUAGAGUACUGCUGAUUGAAAAGCCUUGUUUUAUUGCACGUUAGAAAAGUUAAUACAUACAUAAAUAACAAGAACAGGGGCCGGGGGGGGGGGUGUUGGGGUUUGACGGUAUGUAUUUGCUUGCGAGUAAAAAUUGGUAAGCACUUGAAAAAGGUCCUGUGCUGAAUCUAAAUUGGUAAGAUGUUAUAUACUGAUAUCUAGAAAGAUAACUUAAUCUAUCUAUUGAAGUAAAGCAUUUAAAUACGUAUACAAUGUUUUUGGAAUAUUAAAUAUCUAUUUGAUCAGAAUCUGUGAACCUCUAAAACCACAAUGAAUACAAAUGCAAGUUUGUCAUUGUAAACAUUGCAUCGAUGAUGUAUCACAAGUGUUGCUAGAAAACAUCAAGUUAAAAUUGAAGCACCAUGAGUUUCUCUAUGGCUUGGUUUACCAACACUCACCAUCUGUUGGUGCGGCAAGUUAUGAACUAGCUGGCUAGUUUUUUGCUUCCUUGGUUUUAGAAGCACCAUGAAGAUUCAGGUCCAAAUCUUGCUUAUAAUACCCGAAUACCCAAGAUCCUAGCACCUUGCCUUGAAUGGUCGUGUAUAUUUGUUAUGGCUGUUCAGAUUUUAUGCAUCCAUAUUUGGGAGAAUUCUUUAAUAAAGUACAUGCUAUUAGAUGGAAGUUCUCUUUAAAUCUAUUCAAGUCUGAAUAAACUGAUAUUCCAAUUUUCAUGACUUUGAUGUGCUCUUACUCUUCUGCUGUUCCUGACUUUCUUUUUAAGGUCUAUUCUAACGUGCAAUAUUAUUUAUUUAUUUAUUUAUUGUCAUGAUAGAAGUGAUUUUUUUUGGUUGGCCAAAACCCCUUGGAUGCCAAUAAUUGGAGGUCCACUGCCCCAGGCGGAGAACAUGUCAUUGACACGGGUGAUUGGAGAAUUCAAUUGCAGCCUGACUCACGGAAAAGAAUAGUCGACAAAAUGUAAGUACGUGUUUCCUAAUAUGUGCAAGUGCUGCAAAAUAGUAAAUUUUUUAUUUAUAUGAAAGAAAAGUAGAAGGGCAAAAGGUUAAUUAAAAUUAGCUGGACUGCCAUGAGGCAACCUCAAGUAUCACACACCUCUUUUUUUUGUUUUUCAUCUUUUCGCUUGUUUCUCACAAGAAGCAAACUUGAGGGAACGUAAAGUGCUGGGAAGUGAUUUUUGUUGGAACUUCUUGUGUAACAUCUUCUUUUGACGAUGACCUCUUGGAUGGCUGCAUGAAGCUUGUUCCGCUUUAAAUUUCAAGGUUAAUCUAUUGCUAUGAGCAUUGGUGUUUCAAUUUCAACCUUGAGUUGCAACUGAACUUAAAUGAAUAGUGUUGGAUUUGGGCCUUCUAUUUGCUUUAACUUCUACAGGAUUGAAAUGAUAGUGAUCUUAAAGUAGAAAAGCAGCAGACAAAAAUCAAUUAGCCACAAUAGUGUAUGGUUUCCUAGUUUCUCAGUAUAAAGUUGAAUGUUUUGGUGAUAUCUCCACAUCCAAAAUCAUAUAGACAGCUACUGUUGGCACUUGCAGUAGCCAAUGAGCACUGUAGAGUAUAUAUAUUGCAGCGUGAGAUAAGGUUAACUCAUUGCAUUUUCAUAAAUUAAAGGGAUUUCUCUUCUUUUCUUUGUCAAUUACAGUGCAUGUAUAAAAGUUUUCUACAGUGCACUGUAGAGUAAAUGCUAUUGUAAUGUUUUCACAGAGUUCCCCUGGUUUGCAACUAAUGCACUUAUAUAUCUUGGAGCAUAGCCAUAGCCAUAAAUGAAAGGUUCUUCUGGUUCAAGAAAAUUAACCAUGAAGCUCGUAACUAGAAUUUUAGACAGAAGGUUGGCCAAGUAAACUCUUACCUCUGGAAUAAUACGGGGAAACGAAGUAAAAAUAGAUGUCUGUAUUUUGAUGCCAUUUAUUACUUUACUAACACUCGGCUAUAUCAUUAUUUGUUUUUACUUUUUGCUAAUGAUUUUGUUGUAUACAUUUCUGAUAUUAGUGUGGUGUAUGAGUUCACAGUUUUUUCUCACUACUGCUAACUUCUCUAUACCUGCCUUGUCAUUAAAAAUUAAAUGCAAUGUUUUACAUGUGCAGAAUGGAGACAUUAAAGAGGCAUCUUCCGUUUUCUGGUCAGGAGGGAUUACAAGAACUCAAGAAAAUUGCCGUACGGUUUGAGGAAAAGAUUUAUACUGCCGCCACCAAUCAGGUAUUCGGCUAAUGCUAGGUUCAAUAAUUUUGAUAUUCUCUGGACAUGAAUAUACACAUGCAUAAGUUUGUGGAUUUAUGCAUGUACACGUGUGUGUAGUGUGUCCACACUUCCUCACUGGUCAUUCUGUAGAAGUUCUUAUCUUUCCGUUAAUUCUCUUGACAAGUGUUUUAUUUAGAGUGACCAAGGUCCUUUUCAAGUACAAGGGAAGUGUGCAAAAAGCAAAUAACGAAUCAAUACAUAAAUAAUUAAAUAAAAAGAGGAGACACAGAAGUAUAUCCUCACAGAAGAUGCAAAUACAGAAAGCCUAGCAUAUUAGAAAGAGCAUAUAUCUCUUUUCCCCCUUCUCUUGUAACAUGGACUGCUCAGAGAUCUAAUGUUUUGUUAUUGAUAUCUGAUUUCAGUCUGAUUAUCUGCGUAAAAUAUCUCUGAAGAUGCUUACAAUGGAGACCAAGUCUCAAAAUACCAUACCCACUGGCAAUGGUAACAAACCCCUGGAUCCAGGAGGUAAUAAUGCAGCCAAGCAUUGAAUUUCUAAACAUCCUUACCUUUUGUUUUAUAUUUUGCAUUAUUAUCAAACUCUUUUACAUUUUAUUGCUGCAUCCUUACUCUUUUACCAUUAGGGAAAUAAUUUCUAAAAAUUACAGAUUAUUUUUGCCCCCCCCCCCCCCCCCCCCCCCCCGCCAGCCCCAAAAUUGUCAAAUGGCACUUUUAUGCUUUGAGUCAAAACCACCUUAAUUAUUUCCCUCAUAACUUUAUGUGUGAACUGUCAUUGUUUCAUUUGUUUUUCUUGUUCAAUGCCUUCUUUUUUUCCUUUGACAUGGUUAUCCUUUUUGCCUUUUAUCUUGAACAGCAUCUCAUAGUAUGCCGCCUCAAGUUCACAACCAAGGGCAGUCGCUCCCUAUCUCAUUGUCCAGUAAUCAGCCUCAAGCACGUCAGCAGUUAUCACAAAACAUGCAGAAUAGUAUGUCAUCUAAUGGAGUUCAAAGUUCUGCUGGUUUACAAUCAGCAAUGCCUUCUGUCUCCAGUUUAACCCAGACUAUCGCAAACACUGUUGGACAGAAUGCUAACAUGCAGAGUAUCUCUGGUGUUUCACAGAACCCAGUUGGGAAUUUAAUGGGACAAGGGAUUCCCUCCAAUAUGUUUGUCAAUUCUCAGAGACAAAUGCCAGGCAGGCAACAGGUUGUUCCUCCACAGCAACAGCAGCAGUCCCAAAAUCCUCAGCAGUAUCUUUAUCAGCAGCAGAUACAACAACAGCUUUUAAAGCAGAAGCUUCAACAGGGAAAUCAUCCACACUCACUUGUGCAAUCUCACAUCCACCACCAGCAGCAGCAGCAAAACUUGUUACAGCCAAAUCAGUUGCAAUCUGGUUUGCAAACAUCAACUGUUAUGCAGCCUUCAAUGAUGCAAACCGUCUCUGGCCUUCAACAGAACCAACCAUCUUCUGUUCAACAGUCAACACAACCAAUGCACCAGCAACAUCCACAAUCAGUCCUUAGGCAGCAGCAGCAACAACCUCAACAGUCUGCUGGUAUUCAUCAGCAGCAAACACCAAUGAUGCAGCAGCCACUAUUGCCUCCACAACAGCAGCUAAUGGGGCAACAAUCAAAUACCACUAACAUGUCGCAAAAUCAGUUAAUUGGACAGCAAAACAUUGUUGGGGACUUGCAGCAGCAGCAGCAGAGAUUGCUAGGGCAGCAGAAUAACCUUCAAAAUCUGCAGCAGCAGCAGCAGCAGUUAAUGGCUCAACAAAAUAACCUCUCAAGUAUGCAUCAGCAACAGUUGGGCCCUCAAAGUAAUGUCACUGGUUUACAGCAACAGCAGUUGCUUGGAGCUCAGCCUGGUAACUCAAGCAUGCAAUCUAAUCAGCACUCUCUACACAUGCUGCAACAGCCCAAGGUUACGCUGCAGCAGCAAGCACAACAAAGUGGAAGUGCUUUGUUGCCGAAUCAAGGGCAGCAGUCACACUCACAGCUGCCACAGCAGCAAUUGAUGGCACAGAUUCAAUCACAGCCUGGACAGCUGCAACAGCAAUCAAAUCCAUUACAACGUGAUCUGCAGCAAAGGCUUCAAGCAUCAGGCUCCUUGCUUCAACAGCCGAAUGUGAUUGAUCAGCAAAAGCAGUUAUAUCAACCUCAAAGAGCCCUUCCAGAAACGUCCUCAAGUAAGUUUUUGUCAUCCUUGCAGCUUUCUAGCCUUGCUCCAACUUUAAUUUUGCAGCUUUGUGCUUUCAUGUUAGAUUAUAACAUAUUUAUUUAAAUUUCUUGAAAAUACAAUAAUGGUUCAAGUCAGUAAUGCUCUUUUUGGUAGCUUUAUGAGCUACGGCUGCCACUUAUGGCAUCAGAAAUGCCACUGCUAUUGGAGCCAUUGUAAUCACACAUACAUUUGUUACGACAUCAUGCCAUCCAGUGCAUUGCACCAACUAUUCACCUCUCAUAAUGGUUCAAGUCAGCAAUGCUCUUUUGGUAGCUUUAUGUUCUACUGAUGCCACUGCUAUUGAAACCAUUGCAAUCACACUCGUUUGUUACCACAUCAUGCCCUCCAGCUCAUCGCACCAAUUGUUCACCUCUCAUUUUGAAUUUAACAGACAUGAAUUUUAAAAAUAUAUGUAUAACUGGACAAUGCAUUUGACACUAGGGUAACUAAUCAUCAGCCAAUUGAUUUUUAUGGGAAGAAAGAAAUUAGCAAGUGGACUAACUCUGAGGCACUUAAGGUUUGGUGUGCUGAUAAAUCAUUGAGCCUUUUUUUUUAAUAUAUAAUGAUCACUUGUUGGGGGGGGGGGGGGGGGGGAAGCAUUUUAAAGGGUCUCUCUGUCUAUUUGAAUGAUUACAUAACGUUGAGAUGGAGUUCCUAGUACUCCAAGUCCAAAAAGGACUUGUAUUCCUAUGUAAGAAAAUACCAAUGGUCCUAUCUGGGAUAGGGAAAACCUAUUAAAGCUCCUUAUUCUUUAGGAACAAUAAAAUACUAAAUAGAAAUAAAACCAAGACCUACAAUAUUCCAUAAUUUUCAGCAAGUGUGAAAAUUACAGAAAUACCCUUGUGUGCAGAAAACAUUCAUAAAAUACAUGAAUUCUAAUCUUUUGUUGGCUGUAUCAAAAUUUUUGUAGCAUCCCUAGAUUCUACAGCAGAGAUUGGACAUGCAAAUGGUGCUGAUUGGCAAGAGGAGAUCUACCAAAAGGUAAUUUCUGUAGUUUACUGUUCAUUAGAUGAAGUUCAUGUAUGUCAUUGUCUUGCAAGAUUUCAAUGGAAAAGGUCUCCUGGAAUUUGGUACAAGGGAGUUUUAUUCAGCUAUGGUUGUGAUUAGUUAGGAAGCAUUGUAAGUUCCAUGAUUGCAGCAACUAAGAAACGAUAAAUUACUGAUAAGAUGAUUAAAGGUAAAUAAUCAGAUUUCUAGGUCAAGAGGGUUAUUUUCUUGGUACUGACACGACAAUUUUUUCUAUUGCAAAUCUCUCCCUUUCAAUUUUUUCCCUGUAUUUCCAUACAUUUAUUGUGUGGUGAAUUAUUAUUUUAUUAUUUCCAAUAAGUCCAAUUGACAAUACUUCUUACUGUAAUAGACAGACUUGAAAACAAGAGUGAACUGUUUCUGAAUAGUCAUCGUUAUAUUUGGUUAAGUGAACAGUUAUUUUCAGGAUUACAAUCAAAUUUGUUCUGAAACAUGUGACAAUGGAAGAAAGGAAAAUAAGUGGACCUAAUCCAUUGAAUCAUGACCAUGUCCAGUAUUGUUGAAUUUUAUAGAAAACGAGGUUGAAAUUCUGAAUCGUUUAAUGGCUGUAGUUGCAAUUCAUAACUGCAUAUUUGAUGAGGUCAAUUUUUUUGUGCCUGGGAGGGUACUAAAACGGGAAUAGGAGUGGUUGUUGAUAAUUAGGAUAUAAGGGUUAUAAAUCUAAAGUUAUAAGGCUAAGAAGUGUUUACCAAAGUCGUGACAUCCAUUGACUUGAGUUAGAACAAUAGAAAACAAUGGUGAGUAGUUUGCCGUGAGACAAAGUAACUGAACUUGACCAACCCCUGAAUCUUGUCUGAAGGGGUAACUACACAAUCCUUUGCAUGCAAUCAAUAACGAUAUUCUCUUUUGAGUUUUCGGCAUUGAUUCCACUUUGCUAUUUUUAUCUCAAACAAUAUAUGCUGUCCUCUGCCAUUUUAUUUAUUUAUUUAUUUAUCAAUUCUCUCAAGUUUGCUUAUGUUUCUUUCUGACUCUGGCACGUGAAGAAAUCAAGCAUAUGAUUGAUAAUGUCUUGCUGGUUAUAUGUACUUCCUAGAUCAAAGUUAUGAAGGAAACGUAUUUGCCUGAAAUAAAUGAAAUGUACCAGAGAAUUGCUACCAAGUUACAGCAGGUAAAUUGUCUUUGUAAUUUUUUCCGAUUUAUUUGCCCACACAUAUUCAUAAACCCCCACAGUUGAGCUUUUGUAUUAAUUUGUUUUCCCCAUCAGCAUUGCUUGUCACUGUAUCAUCUGCACUAAUUACCUCCCCCACCCCCAACCACCCCACAACCAUGCAUUGACACAGAAGAAUUGGAAUAGAAACAUUUUUUUCACUUAUGUUUUACUAGUUUUGCUAGAAAGGAUCAAUGCAAUUUUUAAUUCUCGUGUAUGUUAACUUUGCUUUCCAGCAUGACCCUCUUCCGCAACAACCGAAGUCAGAACAGCUUGAAAAGCUGAAGGUAUUCAAGGUCAUGUUGGAGCGCUUGAUAACAUUCUUACAGGUCUCUAAAAACAACAUCACACCUAAUUUCAAGGAGAAAUUGGGUUUCUAUGAGAAGCAGAUUGUAGGUUUUCUAAACCCAAGCAGAUACAGGAAGCCUAUUCCUAAUCUACAGCAAGGACAACCUCCCCAACCUCGUAUUCAACCUAUGCAGCAACCCCAAUCUCAAGUUCCUCAAUUGCAGUCCCAUGAAAAUCAACUGAUUCCCCAGUUGCAAUCAAUGAAUACGCAAGGUUCUGUACCACAGAUGCAGCAGAACAAUAUGUCAAGCUUGCUGCAUAAUUCCCUUUCAACUUUAUCUGGGGAUUCGACGUCACAAUCAAACAUGAUGAAUCCAAUACAACCAGGCUCCAAUUUAGAUUCUGGACAAGGAAAUGCACUGAGCUCAUUGCAGCAGACACCUGUAGGAUCUGUACAACAGAAUCUCGUGAGCAUUUCCCAACCAACCAAAGUUAACACAUUGUCAACACAAAGUGGGGGGAGUAUGCUGCAGCCAAAUAUUCCCCUUCAGUCGAAUUCCAAUAUGAUUCAACACCAGCAUCUAAAACAGCAGCAGCAGCAGCAGCAUGAACAACAGAUGCUACAAACACAACAGCUUAAACGAUUCCAGCAACACCAGAAUUUAAUGCAGAAUCAACAGAUGCAGCAGCAGCAAUUACACCAGCAAGCUCCGUCUCCUAUGCCAGGAGAUUCUGACAAACCAGUUUCUGGUAUUUCCUCACUCUUAGAUACUGGAAAUAUUGUACACCAACCAUCUGUUGCACAAGCACUGGCUCCAUCCCUUGCAAUUGGCACUCCUGGGAUAUCUGCAUCACCUUUGCUUGCAGAGUUUACCAGUCCUGAUGGUGCUCAUGGCGGUGCUUUGACAACUGUUUCUGGCAAGUCAAAUGUUACAGAGCAAUCACUUGAGUGCUUGAUUAAAGCGGUUAGUGAUGCUCUCCUUUUGGUUUUACUCCACCCCACCCUUAUUUUGGAGGUUUCUGAAAAAGAAAGAAACUUCUUUGUGAAUGAGAUGGUGAUGCUGCAAUUUUUUUUCCCAGGUGAAAUCUCUGUCUCCCAAAGCACUUAGUGCAUCUGUCGGUGACAUUGGCUCCGUUGUCAGUAUGAUUGACAGAAUUGCUGGUUCUGCAGCUGGUAAUGGAUCUAGAGCUGCAGCUGGUGAGGAUUUGGUAGCAAUGACAGGAUGUCAUCUUCUUUCGUUUUUGUCUUUUUUAUUUUUCACGUGUUUCUCACAAGAUGGGAACUCGAGGGAAUAAAAAGUGCUGGGAAGUAAUUUUUGUUGGAACGUCUUGUGUAACAUCUUCUUUCGAUGAUGACCUUUUGGAUGGCUGCAUGAAGCUUGUUCCGCUUUAAAUUUCAAGGUUAAUCUAUUUCAAUUUGAAACUUGAGUUGCAACUGAACUUAAAUGAAAAGUGUUGGAUUUGGGCCUCUAUUUGUUUUAACUUGUACAGGGUUGAAGUGAUAGUGAUCUUAAAAGUACAAAAGCAGCAGACAAAAAUCAAUUAGCCACAAUAUAUAGUGUAUGGUUUCCUACUUUCUCAGUAUAAAGUUGAAUGUUUUGGUGAUAUAAUCUCUACAUCCAAAAUCAUAUAGACAGCUACUGCUGGCACUUGCAGUAGCCAAUGUUAACCAAAAUCAUAUAAUCUUAAAGUUGAAUGUUGUAUUUUCAUAAAUUAAAGGGAUUUCUCUUCUUUUCUUUGUCAAUUACAGUGCAUCAUAAUAAGUUUUCUUACUCAGUAAAUGCUAUUGUAAUUUUUUCACAGAGACUCCCCUGUUUUGCAACUAAUUCACUUCUGAAUAAAUCUGGGAAACAGAAAGGCAAUCAACAAAGAGUAAGGCAUCUUCUGAAGAAACAAAGAAAUUUAAUACCAUAAACUAAGCAGCACGUAGAAGGCAAAAACUGAGCACAAAUUUUCAGGAAGGGACAAACGAAAAAAACCAAAAAGAAAGCAAAGAAAAAUACAGACUCAAAUUCACAACACCCAUUUUCUUUCCAUUGGAACACUUUAAAUAGUUUAUUAAAUUUAUAAUGAUCUGAUUUCUACGCAUAUAAAAAAAUCAACUAAAUGAUCAAUUCUCUAUAAUUUCGGCAUUACUAAAAACAUCCAAACUAAUAAACAAUUAGUUAUUUUACUCAUUUUAAUAAACAUUUUAGUUAUGAAUUCACCAAACAUUUUGAACAAUUCAUAUUGAUGAAUUAACAUUUAAAUUUUAGAUUUUUUGAUUUAUUAUUUCCUUCGUGAGUUACUUCUAAAGUAUGCUAUAUAUCUUUAAGCAUUUUUAUAGAAUAUAAUUCUAUCAAAUUCACUUUUACCCAAUGCAUAAUAUAAAGUAUUCAUGGCUUUAACAUCCAUAAAAAAUAACUUUUUAUCAUUGUCCGUAUAUUCCCUUUUAGUUUUAGAAAUCUCAAUACCAUUUUUAAUUUGAUAGGUCUAGGAGAUCUAUUUUGUAUGGAUAGCCACAAAUUAAAAUCAAUAAAUUGAUAAUAAAUUAUCAUUAAACAAUUUAUUACUUGCUCUUUGGUAAUAAGAAUGUGAUUGUAAUAUUAUUUUGUAUGGAUAGUUUUAUCUAUCUAUUAUCUCAAUAACAAGAUUAACUUUGCAAUUAUAUAUCACACUUAUAUAAUCUCAAAUAAUAUUAAUUAAAAUGAAUCACAAAAAUUUAACACAGUAAUUCUGCAAAAAAAAUAAAAACAAUUUAAUAAACAAUUUAACUUUGCAAUUAUGUUUUUAUUUGUUUGUUUUUCUAUGAGACACAAUGGAAUUUUCAAUAGAAACUACAACAAUACAAAUAAUUACAAAUAUUUUUCUUUCAACAUCAACAUAAAAAAACAUUAUGCACUUUUCGAUACUUACGUAAUUCUAGGAUUAAAGAAACAAUAACAUCUAAGGGGGGUGAAUUGGGUGUUGCACUAAUUAUAUCAAAUAAUGGUGUUGCACUAAUUAUAUCAAAUAAUGCAAUAAUUAACAAUAUAAUUAAAGUGUUUAAAGUAAAUAGAUAAGGAAAUAGAUAUUACAAACUCGGUUUUUAAUGUGAUUCGGUAAGCCUACAUCUACACCUCAAGUACUAACCGUACUUGAGUAUUGUACUCUUUUACCAAUCCAAGUGAAAUAUACAAAUGCCCUUGAUAAAUCCACACCGAGAAAUUAUACCACUUGAAGUUUUUUCUCUUGGUGACAAUACAUCACUAAUGCUAGGAGUUUAUCCAAACUCACAAAUGUUUACAAUUAUAAUUUGUUUGCAACAAGAUUCACUCUCUCAUAAAGUAAAUUGUACAAUUGAAAACUAUAAUCUUUAUAACUCACUCGAUAGCACUCAAGAUGAUUGAAAGUGUGUAAAUAUAAUGAGUGUGAGACAUUAUACUCAUGUGUUAGAAUAUAAAGAUUUAAUUUAGCACAACUUAAAAGCAUGUUAUGAUUGAUGAUUUCUAAUUGAUUUUUUUUUAAAAUAACUUCUAUGUUAUAUAUGUUUGGAAUCUCUCUUUUAUUUGUUAUAUAUAUAUAUAUAAACUAAUUGUUUAUAGUUGUUGAGAUGUCUCUAACAGCUAAAGUAAUCUAUAUGCAACUUAAACAAAAGAAUUCCAAUUAAAUGGAAUUGCACUUAACAUGUAUUAUUUCAAAUGCAACAAUUGCAUAGAUAACAGACAACAAGGAAUUUAACAGAAGAUAUAUACACUUUACUUUUCCUACUAAAAUUAAACUAUUGGAAUUUAACAUAGUCAUAAUCAAUUUGUUCUUGUGAGAUUAUCUAUUACAUGUAUAACAAAUAUAUUAGAAAAUAAAUUGUUUUAAGAUUGUUAGAACACCUUAAAUAGUUCAUAAAAUUAUUGUUCCAUUUUACUAUAAUAAUCAAGUUUCCACAUAAUAUAAAUCAUGCAUAUAAAUUAAUAAUCAAAAUAAAAAUUAAAUUAAGAUAACAAUCAAUUUUUUAACUUUAAAAUAAUUUAUCAUCUAUUUUCUAAUACUAAUAGUAUGAUUGUAAUAUUAUUUUUUAAUUUAUUUAAUAAUUUAAUUUUGAUAGCACAACCAAAAAUAAAUAAUGAACCAAAAUUUAUAUGAUAUUUUUUAUAAAAAAUUUGAUAAAAAAAAUAUAAAAACAAAAAUAAUGUCUCAAUUAGAAUAAUUUUUUCAUUAAUGAGAAGGCCCACCACAGACCAAGAGGACAGCUUCAAUGAAGCCAAUGCAGGUGAUUACCCGUCGGCUAACAUCUCCUCGCGCGCCUAGCACCAGCUAAACCGCCUCAAUCUGAACAUGCACCAGACAAAGUCUAUGAAAAGACGCCAGGGAGCCUCAGCAGCCGAGAAGAAAGCACGGGAACACCCACCGCGCGAGAAGAAACGCGAAAAACAGGAGACGGAGCGCGGUAAAGACUGAAGCCACAGGAUUCACAUACAGUGAAGCACUCUUAGUUUUAUAUAUAUAUAAUUCUUUUAGUUUGUUAGUUAUGAACAGUGAAGCAGCACAAGAAUACAAUUCUCCUGUUUGUUUGCUGGAAAAUAGUUUUUUUUAGAAAGUGAAUUAUUUUCCGAUGUUUGGUAGUGUAAUGGAAAAUAAGUUAGAAAACAUUUUUCAGUGUUUGGUUAUGUCAUGGAAAAUGAGUUGGAAAAUAACUUAUUAAUAUUUUAUUUUUUUCAAUUUUAUUAAAAUAAUAAAGAAUAAAUCUUACAAAUUAAAAAGUUGAAUGAAAAUAAAAUUGAAAAAAAAUAUAAUUUCAUAAAUUAUCUUAAAUAAAAUAAAUAAUAAUCAAAAUAAUAAAAAUCAAAUCUAAAAAAUAAAAAAUUUGAUCGCUUCAUUAAUUUCUCGUUAGGAAAAUGUUGAGCUUCUCAGCAAUAUUUCCUUACCUUGUGCCGCUAACUUGACGGUAAAAUGUGAUUAAAGGAUCAAUUAAUUAUUUAAAUCAACUUGAGGGAUUAAUCUGUUUGUUUAACAAAAAUACAGACACUAGUUAAAUAGAAUUUAACUCAAAUUUUAAUCAUCAUAUGCGUGCGUGUGCGUGUGCGCACGCGUGCGAGCGAGGGUUUACUCGUUAAUUUUUUUAGAAGGAAUCUGGAAAAGAAUAAAGUCAUCUAUUUCACUUUGGUCCAACAUCCCUCAAAGGCGCAGCUGUGCAUCUAGUUAGGAAGAACAUUUUAUAACUCACCUCAAGGUCGAGCAUGGUCAGGGUUAUUGUGUUGUCUAUUCCGAGGAAGAUGUGGCGUUCAAUCCAUGUGAAUCGCACGACUUGUCCAUAUCUUUCUUAUUGAUUACAAAUAGCAUUGAGAAUUAAAGAAUAUUAUCUUAAUAAGUUCCAAUUUAUUCUACAAAACUAUAUAUAAAGAUGUGACAAAAAGAUGUAUACAAAUUAGUUAUUUAUUGUUUGUAAGUAUUAUUGUAUUGCAAAGACAAAAAUAAGAUGCAACUUAUGGCGUGGUCGUCCAACCUGGUUCUGGUUUUGAUCCUGUUCAAAAUCUAUUUUGUUGAAUUGUUGAUCUACUUGUGAGUUAUUGGGUUAACUAGAUCAAUUUUUUAAACAAAACAAUGCCAUUUUAAAAAAAAAAUUGGUUCUGACAUAGAAAUAUAAUAUUAGAAACUUAAACCUUAUUGAUUAGCAAAAACUCAAUGGGAAAUUUAGUUUUGAAAUAGAUUGUUGUAAAAUCAAAUAUGAAUUGAUAACCAGAAAGUUUGCUUAAAAUUGCAAUAACCUUAUAGAAGAAAGCAAACAUAAAUAGAAUUAUUAAAUUCAAUGGAGUUCAUAUAACCAGGAUCACGAGUUUAGCGAGUUAAGCCAUGAAACCCUAAUCGAUCAAAUAUGUCGCCGUUUCAAUUAAAAAAAAUACAUCUUAAAAAGAAUUAAGCUAAACCACGUUUCUACCUAUUAUCUGGGUUGUCUUUAGACUUGUCAAGUCGACUGAGCCAUAUUAGGACAACUUCCAUAUAAUUAAAUUUGAAACUCGAGCUAGAUAAGAAAUCAGGUCAGGAAAUUUUAAUAUUGAUUUGUUGAAUCGGAUUUAAUAACAAUGCCAAAGAUCUGAAUAUUUAUUUUUUACUCAAUUUUUUUUAGGUCCUGUUUGUUUGAUGGAAACAGUUUUUUUUUAGAAAGUGAAUUCCUGUAAAGUGAAUUAUUUUCUGAUGUUUGGUAGUGUGAUGGAAAAUAAAUUAGAAAAUAUUUUCCAGUGUUUGGUUAUGUUAUGAAAAAUGAGUUGAAAAAUAGCUUAUUAAUAUUUUAUUUUUUUUCAAGUUUAUUAAAAAAACGAGGAAUAAAUCUUACAAAUUAAAAAGUUGAAUGAGAAUGAAAUUGAAAAAAAUAAUCUAAUUUUAUAAAUUAUUUCAAAUAAAAUAAAUAAUAAUCAAAAUAAUAGAGAUCAAAUCUAACAAAUAAAAAAAUUGAAAGAUGAUGAAAUUAAAAUAAUAAUAAUUACAAUUUCAUAAAUUAUUUCAAAUAAAAUAAAUAACAAUUAAAAGAAUAAGGACCAAAUUUGAUAGAUAAAAAAUUUCAAUUAAAAAAAUGAUAAGACAAAAGCAAAUAACAAUCAUAAAAAUAAGGACCACAGUUAAUAUAAAAAUCAAAUUAAAUCAAAUUUUAAGGAAGGAAAUUAAAAAAAAAGAUUCAAACAAAAUAUAUAUCAAUUAAAAGUUUGAAGACUAAAUUUGAUAUAAUCAGCAAAUAAUAUGAUAUUUCUAAAUUUUUCACAACUUCUGGAAAAUGUUUUCCGUCCAAAAUAAAAGGAAAAUACUUUCCUGAAAAUCGAGUUAAAUUUUUCUUUGACUGUAAAGUGUUUUCCAUUGACCAACUUUUUUAAUGACAAACAAACACAUGAAUGUUUGGAAAGUGGUUUCUAGAAAAUUAUUUUCCAGGCAAACAAACACCCCCUUAAUUCAAUCACUAAAGAGUUAUCCAAGAAUAAUUAUUCUCCACUAGCAGUUGUUGCAUACUAAAUUUUUUUUGUCAAAACAUACAUGAUAGGUGGCUUCAAUAUCAAUCCACCAUUUUUUAGGAUUUUCCAUGAAGUUUACUUCUAAUAUAACUACAACAAGCUUAGUAGCUUUCUCAUCAACAUUCUCAAUCAUAUGCUAAGAAAUCAUGGUUUUGUUGAGCUUUGUUAUCAUCAUAGGCUUGAUGAUGGAAGGAUUAUUGCUUCAUCAUGCUUUAUAUUUAAGUUCACGCCACUCAAAUUAUUUUGGUUUUUUCCCCACAUGAAGAAUGUUUAGGAAUCGGGUUUGCCAUCUAAACCACAAAGAUUACUAGGUUAACAAGUACAUCGAAAUCAUUAACAAUAGUUUUAUCCAUCUAUUAUCUCAAUAAUAAAAUUAACUUUGCAAUUAUAUAUCACGCUUAUAUAAUCUCAAAUAAUAUUAAUUAAAAUGAAUCACAAAAAUUUAACACACUAAUUGUGCAAAAAAACAAUUUAAUAAACAAUUUAACUUUGCAAUUGUGUAUUUAUUUAUUUGUUUUUCUAUAAGACACAAUGUAAUUUUCAAUAGAAACUAUAACAAUACAAAUAAUUAUAAAUAUUUGUCUUUUGACAUCAACAUAAGAAAACAUUAUGCACUUUUUUAAAGUUACGAUAAAAACAAAUCUGAUUGAUACUUAUGAUAUUCUAGGAUUAAAGCAAUAAUAACAUCUAAUAGAGAUAAAUUAGGUGUCAAACUAAUUAUGUCAAAUAAUACAAAUAAACAUGCUAAACACAUAUAAUAUAAUAAUCAACAAUAUAAUUAAAAUGCUUAAAAUAAAUAGAUAAGAAAAGAGAGAUUACAAACUCGGUUUUUAACAUGGUUCAGUAAGUCUACAACCACAUCUCAAGUACUAAUCGUAAUUGAGUAUUGUAUUCUUUUACUAACCAAUAAUAUAUUAUUUCACCAGUAAUUAUUAUCCAAUAUGCAACUUUUUUUUCCAAUCUUCUGUUUUUUUUUUCCAUAUCAAUCCAACAAUAAAGAAAAUAACAUGUAACAUAAAAUUUCUUUCCCCGUAGAAUCAAUGCAACAAGUAUACAGAUACCACACAACAAACAAUUUAACAAGUCAUGUAAUUUAACAGAAGAUAUAUUUACUUUGCUUUUCCUACUAAAUUUAAACAACUUUUUUGUAAUCUAUGUCAACAUAUAAAACAUAUAUAUAAAUCAAUAAAAAAAAUAAAAAAUAGGUAGAGGUAAUGAUUAAUUUUUUAGCUUUAAAAUUUUUUAUCAUCGCCUCUUUAUGCUAGUAAUGUAAUUGCAAUAUUAUUUUAAAUUAAUUUAAUAUUUUAUUUUUGAUAACAUAACCAAAAAUAAACAGCGAACCAGAAUUUAUAUAGAGUUUCCUAUAAAAAUUUUGAUAAAAAAAAAUAUAAUAGAAAUAAGUUUAUAAAAACAAAAACAAUGUCUCAGUUAGAAUAAUUUUUUCAUUAAUGAGAAGGCCUGCCACAGACCAAGAGGAGAGCUUCAAUGAAGCCAUCCCAGCCGAUGCAGGUGAUUACUCAUCGGCUGACAUCUCCUCGCAUGCCUAGCACCAGCCAAACCGCCUCAAUCUGACAUGCACCAGACAAAGUCGAUGAAAAGACGCCAGGGAGCCUCAGCAGGCGAGAAGAAAGCGCGGGAACACCCACCGCGCGAGAAGAAACACGAAAAACAGAGACGGAGCGCGGUAAAGAUUGUGAAGCCACAGGAUUCACACAUAGUGCACCGUGUUUUAAUGAGUUAUAUGUAUAUAUAUAUAUAUAAUUAUUUUAGUUUAGUUUUAGUUUGUUAGUUAUGAACAGUGAAGCAGCACCAGAAUACAAUUCUUUUAGUUUGUUAGCGAAUUUGGAAAGAAUAAAGUCAUCUGUCAAGCUCUGUUCACUUUGGUCCGACAUUCUUCACCUCUCCCCACCUGAGCUCUCUCUCUUUCCCUCCUCCGCUCUAGGAAGCCGCCACCACCUCAACCAAUAAGGCUUCAAAUCUCCACCAGGUGCUUCCUUUUCUAUCAUGUUUUUUAUUUUUAAAAUUUACAUCUGUGUUUUCAUUUAUUUAACUGAAAUUCUUAUCCAGAGAGAUAAAUUCGAUUUUAAUAAGUAAAUUAAAAAGAUAUAUAAUCGGAUCGAUGAAAUCGUUGUUCGUGAACGCAACUCGAAGAAAGGCGUAAUCAGCCGAUUCUACUGUGGGUGGAGCAUUUAGUAUGGUCAGGGUUAUUGUGUUGUUUAUUCAAAGAAAGACAUGCCUGUAAAUUUGUUAAGUUGAUUCUUAUCAGUCUGCUCUUUAGAGUUAAUGAUAACAUGAAAUAUUCAUUGUUAAUGCUCGUUGUUUUCUUCGUCUUUUUCCUAGACUAAAACAUCCUAGACAGUCUCUUUGGGAUGGGUUAGUGUUUCUGGCCUCUUCAUCUUCAAUUUGUGCUGUGGUGAAAGGCCUCGUUUUAUGACUUUGUUUUGUAUUCUUCUUAUUUCUUUAUUCUUUUGGGGAUGUGGUGUUUUCCUCUUUCUAUUACACUAUUUACUCCCUACAAUAUUUAUUUUUUCAGAGAAGUAAAUAUAUGCAUAAAUAACAAAAACAGGAGGGGAAGGGGAAUGGGGUUUGAUAGUAAGUAUUUGCUUAGAAGGGAAUGCUUCUUCGGUUUAGAAGCACCAUGAAGAUUCUUUGCUUUGAAUGGCCGAAUACCCAGGAUCCUAGCACCUAGGCCUGAAUGUUUGUGUAUAUUUGUUAUGCAUCCAUAUUUGGCUGAAUUCUUUAAUAAAGUACAUGAUAUUAGACGGAAGUUCUUUUUAAAUCUAUUCAAGUCUGAAUAAACUGAUAUUCCAUUUUUCAUGUUCUUGAUGUGCUUUUGCUCUUCUUGUCGUUCCUGACUUUCUUUUAAGGGUCUAUUCUAACAUGCAAUAUGAUUUUUUUUUUCUUUUUGGUUGGCCAACUGUCCUAGGCGGAGAACCUAUCAUAGACACGGGUGAUUGGAGAAUUCAAUUGCAGCCUGACUCAUGGAAAAGAAUAAGCGACAAAAUGUAUGUGCAAGUGCUGCAAAAUAGUAAAUUUUUUUAUUUAUAUGAAAGAAAAGGAGAAUGGCAAAGGGUUAAUUAAAAUCAACAAGAUAGCCAUGAGGCAACCUCAAGUAUCACACACCUUUUUUUUUUUUCAUCUUUUAAUGUGUUUCUCACGAGAAGAAAACUUGAGGGAACAUAAAGUGAUGGGAAGUAAUUUUUGUUGGAAUUUCUUGUGUAAUCUCUUCUUUUGAUGAUGACCUCUUGGAUGGCUGCAUGAAGCUUGUUCCGCUUUUAAUUUCAAUUUAAAACUCGAGUUGCAAUUGAACUUAAAUGAAUGGUGUUGGAUUUAGGCCUUCUAUUUGUUUUAACUUCUACAGGGUUGAAAUGAUAGUGAUCUUAAAGUUGAAAAGCAACAGACAAAAAUCAAUUAGCCACAGUGGUGCAUGGUUUCGUAGUUUCUCAGCAUAAAGUUGAAUGUUUUGUUGACCUCUCUACAUCCAAAAUCAUAUAGACAGCUACUUCUGGCACUUGCAUUGGUCAAUGAAUACUGUAAAGUAUAUAUUGCAGUGUGAGAUAAGGUUAACUCGUUGCAUUUUCAUAUAUUGAAAAGAUUUGUCUUCUUUUCUUUGUCAAUUACAGCAAAUGUGUAGAAGUUACUCAGAGUAAAUGCUAUUGUAAUGUUUUCACAUACUCCCCUGCUUUGCAACUAAGUCACUAAUAUAUGAAGCUCGUAGCUAGAAUUUUUAGAUAGAAGGGUGGCCAAGUAAACUCCUAUAAUAUGUACCUCUGGAAUAAUACAGGGAAAAGAUGUCUAUGUAUUUUGAUGUCUUAUAAUACUUGACCAACUCUUGCUUAUCUUGUUGUUACCCAUUUUUUAGUUCACAUAAAAAUGAGAAAAUACAAAAAACAAAUAUCAAAAGAAAUCCAAAAAAUAAUAGGAGCGAGAAAAGGAUUGCUGGAAUGCCGAAAAAAAAAUGCCAAAAUUGGUUGAGGAGAUUCAAAAAUGCAAAAGGUUGAAAUUUGACAGUGAGAGUCCUGUUGAUGAGGAAAAUUCAAUUUGAGAAAGAAAAGUCCAAAAUCAGAUGUUUAUGGACUCAAUUAAAUUUUAUCCAAGGUUUAAUUGAAUUUAUAGAGGGUUUGAUUGCAAGAAAAUUGAUUUUGUAAGUCAAUUUAGGCUUUUAUCGGAAGAAAUUAAAGUUCUGGGGUCCAAUUAUAAUUUUAAAGAGUUGAUUUGGUCAAAUCAGGGGCUUAAUUGCAUAAUUAUUGAAGUUUGAUGGCCAAUUAGGGACUUAAUUGAAAUAAUUUGAGACCAAGGAUCAAACCAGAAAAGGCGCUAACAUUAAGGGAUCCAAUUACAAUUUUGUCAGGGGGGUUUGAUUAUAAAACAGCGAAAACUUCAAGGGCCAAAUUAGAAGAACCCAAGCGGCGCCGUUUCCACCAUUAAUGGUCUUCAAACAGCUGUGAAUCGGUGACGAUAAUGGAAGGAGACGUUAGCAGCAAUUAUGGAAAAUAUUCUCAAUUCAAUGGGGCUGGUAUCGCGGCUGACAUCCCUCGUCACCGUGAUGGGCGCCGGCUUACCAAUAUUGCUGGCGUCCUCUGGCUAUAAAAGCCAGAGGAAGAGCUGCACCAAAAAUAAAAGGAGGUGAGAGAGAGGAGAGGCUACAGUGAAGAAAAAAAAAGGGGAGUGAGACAGUUUAUGAGAACGUAAGAAAAGUGAGAGGGUGGAGAAAUAGCGAGCAAGCAUAAGGGAGAGAAGAGGAAGGAGAGAAAGAAGCAAACCGAACGGGAACAGAGGACACGGUGAAGCAGAGAACCCAGCACCACCAUCGUCUUCGUCUUCUCAAAAUCAGGUAUGUUCGAUGCCCUUCUCCGUUUCCUUGCAAAAUGAGAUGAUGCAUGUUAGUAUGUAAAAUACAGAAAGAAAAUAUAAGGAAACCGACACCAGAAAUCGCCAGUUACAAUGCUCUGUUUUGUUUUCCUUUUUCAUUCUCGCACUGCAACAAAGAUGGUUAACAGAGCGAAGGUAAUUUAAUUACCUUCGCCCUGUUCAUACAAGCCUAAAUAUAUUAUGGUGCCAUUAGAUAAAAAUAUGCCUUGCAGUCUAGAUGGUCAGCUUACCUGGCUCUCAUCCGAGAGACCCGGUUUCAAGUCCCAACAAGGGAAUUCCUUUUUGAAGGUGGUCACUGGCAUGGGCCAGUGACCAUGCUGGGCUAGCUGAAUCCAGCCCAGCUACGCAGGUUGGCUGGGGUCCAGCCCAGCCAUAUGGGCCGGGUUGGGCCCAGCAAUAAAAAAUAAAAGAAUAAAAAUAAAUAAAAAUUCAAAAAAAUUAUUUAAAUAUCUGUGAUUUUCCGUCAAUUUUUACUGCAUUUUAAUUAAUACGGUUUGUAUUUUUAUACUGUAAAGAUACAAAUCCGGUAUUAAAAUACCAUAUUUUGGUCCAAACAUUAAAAAAGAAGUUUUGUUUUCAUACAUACGGCUAAGUCUCUCAAAAAUAAAAAAUCAUAUUGUAUUUUCAUACAACAAAGAAAAUUUCAAAAAAUAUGUAUUAGCAUGCAUUUUGGCUUUAAUAACCAGUUUAUUAAAGUCACGAGAACUAGGCCAAUAUUUCAAAAAUUCUAAAAAAUUUAUUUUGUUUUCUUUUAAUAUCGGGGGCCGGGUUAUGAUCUUAUACGUAAGACGUGUUCCAGAUAUUAAAUUUUCUUUGUUGGCAUUAGACCGGUUAGGUUUUACCCGAUAAGAUAAGGAUCUCUUUACCGAAGAGAACUUUUCUUAAACCAUAAACGGACCAACAAAUAGAAAGCACAACAUGACCUUAGAUUUUAUCAGACAAUAAAACAAUGCAGCUUACCUUAGGUAGGGCGUAUUUGGGGUGCUAAUACCUUCCCUUUACGCAACCAAUCCUCGUACCCGAUCUCUGAGACCAGUUAGGGUUCCUAGUGACCAAAAUACUAGGUGACGACUUUCAUUCUAUUUUUUCACUGAUAAAAGACAAGAAUACCUUGUCUCCACACAUUUGCCACAUUUUUAGAUAAGAUAAGAUAGAAUUCGAGGGUGGAUGUUUUCGCCGCGACGCCGCACACGUGCGACAUAUCUCAUUAUUUGUUUUUACUUUUUGCUAAUGAUUCCACACAUUUCUGAAAUUGGUGUGGUUUAUGAGUUCAGGGUUCUUGCUUGCUGCUGCUAACUUCUCUAUACUUGCCUGGUCAUUAAAAAUGAAACGUAAUGAUUUGCAUGUGCAGAAUGGAGACAUUAAAGAGGGAUCUUCUGUUUUCUAGUCAGAAGGGAUUACAAGAACUCAAGAAAUAUGCCAUACGUUUUGAGGAAAAGAUUUAUAUUACCGCCACGAAUCAGGGUUCAAUAAUUAUGAUAUUCUCUUGACAUGAAUAUACACAUGCAUUUAUGCAUGUACAAAUGUGUGUGUAGUGUGCCUCCACUUCCUCACCGUGCAUUCUGUAUGCAAGGCUGAUUGGGAGUUCGCAUGUUUUUGUUAAUUCUCUUGACAAGUGUUUUAUCUAGAGUGACCAAGUUCAAGUACAAGGGAAGUGUGCAAAAAGAAAAUAGCAAAUCAAUACAUAAAUAAUUAAAUAAAAAGAGAGGAAACAGAAGUAUAUCCUCACAAACGAUGAAAUGAUAGAGCAUAUAUCCAUUUUCCUCCUCUUGUAACAUGGAUUGCUCUGAGAUCUAAUGUUUUGUUAUUAAUAUAUGAUUUCAGUAUGAUUAUCUGCGUAAAAUAUCUCUGGAGAUGCUUUCAAUGGAGAUCAGGUCUCAAAAUACCAUGCCCACUGCCCCCAUGGAUCCAGCAGGUUAUAAUGCAGCCGAGCAUUGAAUUUGUAAACAUCUUACCUUUUGUUUUGUUUGUCGCAUUGUAAUCAAACUCUUUUACAUUUUAUUGCGGCAUAUUGCUAUGUGUUUAGCAUGCUUUAAUCAAAAAGUUGAGUAAUUGAUGAAUGUUAGGCAAGAAUAUUACAGAUUGUUUUUGUUUUCUGCCUCCUCCUUUUCUUUCCUCCACCUUGAAAAUUGUCAUAUUAUUUUUGUUUUCAGUCGCCUCUUCUUCCCCCAUCCCUGAAAAUUGUCAGAGGACAUUUUUAUGCUUUGAAUCAAAUCCAUCCUAAUUUUUUCGCUCAUAACUUUAUGUGUGAACUGCAUAUGUUUCAUUUGUCUUCCUUGUUCAGUGCCUUCUUUUUUUCUGUGACAUGGUUUUCCCUUUUGCCUUUUAUCUUGAACAGCAUCCCAUAGUAUGCGCCCUGAAGUUCAGAAUCAAGGGCUGUUUCUCCCUAUCCUAUUGUCCACUGAUCAGUCUCAAGCAUGUCAGCAGUUGGUAUCACAGAACAUGCAGAAUUGCAUGGCAUCUAAUGGAGUUCAAAGUUAUGCUGGUUUACAAGCGGCACUGCCUCCUGUCUCUGGUGUAACCCUGACUAACCCCAACACUGUUGUCCAGAAUCCUAACAUGCAGAGUAUCCCUGGUGUUUCACAGAACUCAGUGGGGAAUUCAAUGGGACAAGGGAUUCCCUACACUAUGUUUGCCAAUUCUCAGAGACAAAUGCCAGGUAAUGCUCUUUUUGGUAGCUUUAUGUGCCACUGCUUCCCUUUAUGGCAUUAGAAAUGCCACUGCUAUUGGAACUAUUGCAAUCACACAUGCAUUUGUAACCACACGAUGCCCUACAGUGCGGUGCACCAACUGUUCACCUCUCAUAAUGGUUCAAGUCAGCAAUGCUCUUUUAGGUAGCUUUAUGUGCCACUGCUGCCACUUGUGGCAUUAGUAAUGCCAUUGCUAUUGAAACCAUUGCAAUCACACACGUAUUUGUUACCACAUCAUACCCUCCAGUGCAUUGCACCAGCUAUUCGCCCUCUCAUUCUGCAUUUAUAUGAUCACAUAACAUUUAUAUGAAGUUCUUAAUACAAAAAGGACUUGUAUUCCUAUAUAGGAAAAUACUAAUAGUCCUAUCUAGAAUAGAAAAAACCUAAUGAAGCUCGCUAUACUUUGGGAAUAAUUAAAUACUAAAUGGAAAAUAAAACUGAGACUCGUAAUAUUUCAUAAUUUUCAGCAAGCGUUAAAAUUAUAGAAAUACCCUUGUAUAUGGAAAACACACAAAAAUACAUGAAUUCUAAUAUUUUGUUGUCCGCAUUGAAAUUUUUGUAGCAUCCCUAUAUUCUACAGCACAGACUGGACAUGCAAAAGGCGCUGAUUGGCAAGAGGAGAUCUAUCAGAAGGUAAUUUCUGUGAUUUACUGUUCAUUAGAUGGAGUUCAUGUUUGCCAUAGUCUUGCAAGAUUUCAAUGGAAAAAGGUCUCAAGAAAAUAAGUGGGACUUAUUCCAUUGAAUCAUGACCACAUCCAGUAUUGUUGAAUUUUACAGAAAAUGAGGUUGAAAUUCUGAAUGUCUCAAGUCAUAGCUGCAUGUUUAAUAAGGAGAUUUUUUUUUUGUGCUUAGGAGAGUUUUAAAACGGGAAUAAGAAUGGUUGUUGAUAAGGACAAUUUUUUUUGUGCUGAGGAGACCAAUAUUUGCUGAGCAAUUCUAUAAUGAAAAGUUGGCGACUGAUGUUUUAAAAAUUGGAGUUAAGGAAUGGCUUAGAGUGCAUGGAGAUCAUGUUAAAAGUGAAGCUGUAGAGAAGGCAAUCACUCAAAUUAUGAUGGGUGAAGAAGCAGAGGAAAUGAGUAGCAGAGCAAAGAAACGGCCAGGAAGGCUGUUGAAGAAGGUGGAUCUUCUUGCUCCGAUUUCAAUGCUUUGAUUGAAUAACUGAGGUGGGGUCGCCCUUGAAACAAAGACAUAGAACAUUUUGUUUAUACUUUAGUAGUGGUUGUGGCAAUUUAUUUUCGGACAAGUCUUGAGAGUUGAAAGAGUAAUCACACCCGAGUCAAUGACCAAUCCAAAUCAGUUUCCUUCCUAAUGAUUCAGGAAUGAGAAGUCCAGCUUAUAUAUUUAACCCAAAUAACUAAUCAAAUAGAAAGGCUGAGCUUAGAGAUAGUACACUACAUAUUGCCAAUAACUAGAUAAACAAUCAUCACAAACUAGGAACGACCGUCUCCCCAAUAACAAAUUCACCUUCUGAAGUUAGAGAACUUGCGAAAACUAGCCACCACAAAAUAGUAGCAAGUAUCUAUGCAGUCUUCGAUGAAGUACAACCACCUGCGUCGCCAAUAUGGAUUGAUGUAGAGAACUGCUGCAAUCGUCAUCACCACAACUGUGUAACAUACACCGAAACUGAUGUAGAAAAACUCCAUAUCUAUGAAACCAUCAUCUCCUUGUUCAUCAUUAGGCACUGGCUGUGACACCACUGCCUUCUCACUACAAUUGUUUGGCAAUGGAGGUCCACACAAGAAAGGAUUUCCUUCGUAACAGCUUUCAUCGAAGGUCCCAAACUGAUAUAUUCUCUCGGGUGUCUUGCCUGACAAGUUAUUGUGCGCCACACUAAAAACUUCCAGUGUGGUAACUUCAGUAAAUUGUGGAGGGAUGGCACCAUUCAAGUUGUUGUAAGAAAGAUCCAAACUCUCAAUAUGCAUUAGGUUUGAGAAUGUUGCAGGGAUAGAUCCAGUGAGAUUGUUGUGUGAUAAGUUUACUGACAGUAUCUUACUUAAGUUUCCAAAUUCUGGUGGGAUUGCUCCGAUGAAGUUGUUAUUGGAGAGAUCAAUACCAAACAUGUAGUUGAGAACUUUCCCCUUGUACCCAUAAUACAUAUUUUUAGUUGUAAAUUCUGUCACUUCUUCUGUAAAGUUAAACAAAAAAAAAUUUCUCAAGUUGUCCACACUAUCCACUAGUGGUGGGCCCAUUAUUUCAUAAUAAGCUUUUUCUAUGGACUCUGAUAUAAAACCAUAUGCGACUUCCAAUAUCGCUUUCUUGUCACUUUUCUUGAAAGUAAGAUUGCCUAAACAGGAGGGUAGUGGACCAGAGAGCUGGUUGUGUGAAACAUCCAAAAUGCUUAAUUGUUCUAACAAGCAUAACUGAAUAGGGAGCUCACCAUCAAAGUGAUUAGCCCUCAGAAGAAGAACACUCAAUGAUGAAAGAUUGCCAAUCCAAUUUGGAAUGGAGCCGGUGAAGCUGUUUUCUCGAAGAUCCAUCGUAACCAGGUAAGAGCUGUUAAAAAAUGCAUAUGUUAAUGGACCGCUCAGUCUAUUUUUCGAUAGAUGCACAUGGGUUAUUUGUGGUGGACUAAAACAAGAUGGUAUAUAUCCAGACAAGUUGUUCUCAGAAAGGUCCAAAUAUUCAAGCUGGUCAAACUUACAAAAAUCUCUUGGGAUCGGACCCUUAAAAUGGUUUCCGGACAAAUCAAUUACUCCAAGGAUCGAAAAAUUAACGAAGCUCCUUGGAAGCAUGCCCGAAAAUUGAUUGUUACUCAAAUCUAAUACAUUCCAUACAUUCCACCUAUAUAAUGGAAAAUCUGAUAUCUGACCCCAAAAGUUGUUACCAUUUAGGUAAAGAAAAUUCAGGCGAGAAGAAUUGAACACCGAGGUCGGUAUUUUCCCACCCAAAUUGUUGUUUGACAGCUUGAGAACCCAUAUUGUUGUUAGUUGUUCUAGUUUUACUGUAGACAAUUGAUUGUUGGAUAAAUCUAAAAAUGAAAGAGAGCUAAUAUUUCCUAAACAGGAAGGAAUACAACCUGUGAAUCCAUUCUUAGCCAUCCUUAAGGUGUGUAGAUUUGGAAAGAUCAAACAAAUAUCUUUUGGAAUUUGACCGUUCAUGUUGUUGUUGGAUAUAUCUAAAUUGGUCAUAUUCGGAUGGAGGUGAUCUUGCAACUGCAAAGCACCAAUAAAGGAGUUGUCGCUCAGAUAUAGUUGUUCCAAUCGUGUAUUGUUCUUAAGCAACCACGAUGGAAACAUUCCAGUGAUGUUGUUGUGGGAGAGAUCAAGGGCUCUUAAGUCUAAUUGGUAAUAGAGGAAGUCGGGAAUUACAUUGAGUGCUUCCGAUGUUGGACUACUUGACAAGCGGAAAAAGACUAGUUGGAACUUUGGAAUCAAAUUAUCAAAGGCAGCAGGUUCUGUUACUAGCUUGUUGUUCUCACUGGAGAAGAACUUGAGGCUUGAGUGGUUCAUAAAAGGCUUUAUUGAAAUGGGAACUUCAAAGAGGUUAUUUGAUAGUGAGAGGAAUUCAAGGGAUAUGAGGUUGGUAAGAGGACCGAAAGCAAUAUUUCCAGUAAACUGGUUUUCAGAAACAUCUAAUAGUUGUAAAGAUGACAUGUUCCCCAAACAAUCUGGGAGUGAACCUCCUAAAUUAUUUCUAGAGAGAUGUAACUGCUUCAGAUUCUUCAAUUCACACCAACCUGUACAAUUUAUCUUGAAAUAGUCAAAAUAGUGUUGGAAGAAUCUUUUGUUGAUGAUGUAAUUAUAGGCGGAUGGAGAGUUGUUAAUUUACCUUGAGCAGGUAGGGUGCCAUGGAGGUCACAUUCACCAACAGACAAAACUUUAAGAGCAGGCAAUGCUCCAAUGUUCUGGAGAAAGUUUAUUGGGAGAGAAGUAUUAUCUAGAUGCAAUUCUUCAAGGGUGCUCGAAUUGAACAAAGUCCCUAUGAAAAAGAAAGAAGAAGAGAUAUGAUGAAAAUAGUGGUGGUACAGAAUAUAUAGCCAUUCCAUUCAAUAUUAUUAAUUAAGAUUUUAAGAAACUAAACUAUUAACCUUGACUUAAAUUAGUAUCCUUGAGAGAAAGGGUCUUCAGGGAUGGCAAUGAACACAAUGACUGUAGGAAGUCCAGCUUCCUUGAACCUAUGAUGUGUAGAAUUGAAAACAGGCAAUCAAGUAAGUAGUGAAAUUAAGUGUUAUCUUGAUCGAGUUCUUAAAGCUAUGAUAAAGAACUGGUACUUUUGUAGUGAGAUGAUUUUUUGAUAGAAACAACAAAUUGCCCAAAUAAUAGAAGAUGCCAAGAGAUAUUCACAACUUUACCAUUGACAGCCGUCGAUCCUAGCAACAUAUUGCCUGAUAAAUUUAAAGACUUGAGGGAUGAAAGUCCACUCGGAUGUGAUAAAAUGCUGUCGUUGAAUAUAUUAUAGCUCAGGUCCAGGUUCUCGAGUUUCCCCAAAUGUGAUGAUAUGAUCUCAAAACCUGCAAGGAGUUGUUUCUAAGAGUAAGUCAUAAUUAUGAGCUCACGAUAUGCAUAAUAUAUAGAAACUAAAGAUAAUUAGAAUUGAUGAGAUGUUGUUCAAUUGAUAUAUGAUUCUCAAAUUAUACAUAAAAAGAAUGAUAUAUGAACGCAUAUUUAAUUAUAUAAUAGAUUAAGAAAUAAUUUAUGGAUAAGAUCAAAGCUCCAUAGAUAUUAAUCUUCAUAGAUGAAAUUAAAGCGCAAUCAAACAUGAUGAAAUGCUAUCGUUGAUUUUUAAAUAUAUAUAAAGUCCUCAAUUUUCUUGAUAAACAGAAUGCAACUUACUAUUGAUAGAUCCUGUCAGCUGAUUGUUUGACAGAUCCAAAGACUUGAGAGAUGAAAACCCAGUUAGAGAUGGAAAAAUGCUAUCGUUGUAUUGAUUCCGUCUUAGAUGAAGGUUCUCAAGCUUUUUCAACCUUGAUGACAAGACUUUGAGACCUGCAUGAUGUUCCUCAAAAGCAUAGAAAUGAUACAUGAACGCAUAUUUAAUUAUAAAAUAGGUUGUGCACGCUUCUAAGAUUAAGAUACAAUUUUUAAAUAUCAUUCUAAUUUUGAUCAUUGGAAAAAAAAAAACAAUUUACGGUUAUAAAGUCGCUAAAGAUGGAAGCUAAGUUAUGAUAGACUUACAAAACAAAAUAAAGAAACUUAUAAUUAAGAUCUCAUCGGUAAUUAAAACAAGAAUAAUAAUCGAUCCAUGUAAGUUCAAAUAUUGCCUAAUUUUGAAAAACUAAUUAAUUAGUUAUGAUAGUUUCAAAAACUAACUGCCUCUGUAAGAUGCUAAAUGCCUCUCUCGUUGGCUGUCUAGUGAUUUGUAUUGGAUAGUUUUUUUUUGAAUUGAUGUUAAGAUCCAAGUUUUAAUAAUUACAAUUUUCUUAAUUAUAUAUAAUAUUAUAGGAGAGAGCUUCUUAUUAUGUUAUUCAAAACCCAUUCAAACUCAAAUUCAUAAAAAAAAAUACUUAGAGUUGUGUUCGACUAAGGAUCUCAAGACAGAAAAAACAUAUAUAAAAAUAUAUUUAUUUAAAAAGAUAAAUAUAAAAUAUAUAUUUAUAGGAGAGUUUUGAAGUGAACUUCUGAUUGCUAAUUUAAUCUAAAUAUUACAACACUUUUGGCAUAAAAGGGCCAAAAUAAGAAUAAAAUAUAUGCCUCUUUACGUAGAUAUAAAGUUCUCAUUUUUGUUGAUAAAGAAACAAUAUAAUUAAGAGAAUGUCAUGUGAAGCAUUUAGGUAGAAACUGUGUAUUAUACCUGAUCCUGUCAACUCAUUGUACGACAGAUCCAAAGACUUGAGGGAUGAAAAUCCAGUAAGAGAUGGAAAAAUGCUAUCGUUGCAAUGAUUCCAACUUAGAAGAAGGUUCUCCAGCUUUUUCAACCUUGAGGACAAGACUUUGAGACCUAAAUAGCAGCUACCUCCUGAUCAUUUAAAUGCGUAGAAAAAAAUGAUAUGAGAAGGAGAAAAGAAAAGGUUUCGAAGCUAAAUAAUUAAAAGGUUACCAUAGAAGCUACCUCCUGAUCCAGCUGUCAACCCAUUCUCUGAUAGAUCCAAAGACUUGAGAGUGGAAAGGUUACCAUUGAAACAUGACAAAAUGCUUUUAUCAUUAUUAAAUCCGUUAUAACUUAGGUCAAGUUUCCUCAGUUUUGAUGAUAGGACUUCGAAGCCUGGAAAGAGCAAGAUAAUUGACAUUAAACACCAACCAACCUUCAUUUAUUUUAUGAUUAUAUUUAAGUGCACAAACAUUGAACUAACCUUCAUUCUCCAAGCAACCAACCAAUCCAUUACCUUCCAAUUCAAGACUUUGCAAUUCUUUAAAAGGCUGAAACAAAGAUGCGUUGAGAACCCAAUCGCCCAAGCUCUCGUCCCUUGAUCCUCUAAGAGAGAGUUGGAUCACUCGCCUUGUAGUGUUAUCACACUCGAUCCUAUGCCACUCACAACAAUUACUACCGUCCACCCAAUCUCUCAAGGAAACGCCAUCUGGGUCGAUCGAAGAUUGGAUCUCCAAGAGACCAAUCCUCUCUUCCUCCAAACACCCAUAACAACGACCAUACCAUUCGCCAACCAAAGUCAAUAAUGCUAGCAACAUCCAACUCCCCAUUCUUUUCAUCAUCAUCUACGUAGAAUAUUGUUGUUUGUUAUGUGUCUUUGGGCAACCAUAGAGGUCCUAUUUAUACUACAAUUUUGGCCAUUUCCAUGAUUUUAUCUGCAUAUCUUAUGCAGGUUCUAUGUUUUGAGAUUUGAAUAUUAUUUUAUUUCCUUUUGGAAUAUUCUUGGAUUCGAAUAUUAUUUUAUUUUACUGUUUAGCACUUAGUCUAUUUGCAUUUAAUUAUAUUUUGGUUACUAAUUAUCCAAUUUUAAAAAAAUAAAAAAUAAAAAUUGUUGCAACAUUUCAAUUUUUUUAUCGACAUUCAUGUGUGAUUUCACGUAAGAUCUUUUUAAAUUUAUAAUUGUACUUUUCUCGUUAUAAUUUAGAAUUAUUUAGGAGCCUACUUGCAUGGUGUCAUCACUAUUAUAUAUAAUUAAAUACAUAAAUUAUCAAUAAUAAUAAAUUCGGAAUAAUUAUAAAUCUUAUCCCUGUGGAUUGUGUGGCUACAGUAUGAUAUACAAAAACUUCAAAUAUAUAUAAAUAAAAGAAUGCUAAAAGUGACAUUCUCUUGGGUGACCACCACAAGCCCAUCUAAAACACACAAGCCAUAUAAAAAUCACACGACAGCCAAUUACCUUAUCUUGUGAGAAAAAAGAUUAAAAAAAAAAAAAGCAUUUUCUUGGGUGUGCAAUGACUGCCAAUCUUUCUCGUUAUGACAUUCAAUGCUCUGUAAGAAGUUGCAUGAUGCUCUUCUCAUGGGGAGCAAAAAUCAGUAGCCUCCCAUGGAAUCCUCAUAAACCUUUCUCUAUGCUCUUCUAAGAUAUUAAAAAUGUCAAACAUACAUAAAUAAUAAGAAAAACAAUAAAAAAAGAAAGCUAUACAAAUAGAGCUUCCAACAAAAAGACUAGGAAGUUGUUUACUGAAAAUUGAGAUUCAUAAUUUGUUUUGAUUUGUUUUGAUUUGUUUUGAGUUAUUAUGGUCUCAUGACCCGGGUCACAGAUUUAAAGGUUAAUCUAGAUUGACCCGGGUCGAUUAAUCCAAUAUGUUGUUGUUUCGAUAUACUUUUUUUAAAAAAAUAUGUCAUCUUGAUUUUUUUCAAGUGAAACUAUAUUUUUACCAGUCGUCCAGACAAUCUUUGAGCCCAUCGAAUCGAUCGGGUUAUAUCAAUUUAACUCUUAUUUUUUUAUUUAUAUUUGAAAUUUAAAUUGCAUAAUUUUUUACUUAUUUUUUUAUAUAGGUGGUUAUGAGUUACAAAAAUUAAGCAAUUUCGAGUAUAUUGACAUGAGAAUUAAUGGUUUCGAUAACAAUAUUCUAUCAUUUGUAGAGGGAUUUUCAUCUUUUAAAUCACUAUAUUUAGAUUAUAAUAGACUGGAAGGGUUAAUAGAUUUAAAAUGUUAGUUUUUUUAUAUACUUAUUUUUUCUCUAUUAAAUUUAAUUUCAAAAGAACACAAUUUUCGAUAACAGUAUUCUAUCAUGCAAUUUUUGUUUUGUUUCAAAAGAACACAAUCGCCCAAGCGGAAAUCCCUUGCAUAGAAAAGAGAGAGUUGGAUCACUCGCCUUGUACGUAGUGUUAUCACACUCGAUCCUAGGCCACUCACAACAAUUACUACUGUCCACCCAAUCUCUCAAGAAAAAGCCAUCUGGGUCGAUCAAAGCUUUGAUCUCCAAGAGACCAAUCCUCUCUUCCUCCAAACACCCAUAACAACGACCAUGCCAUUCGCCAACCAAAGUCAAUAAUGCUAGCAACAUCCAACCCCCCAUUCUUUUCAUCAUCAUCUACGUAAAAUAUUGUUGUUUGUUAUGUGCUUUUGGGCAACCAUAGAGGUCCUAUUUAGACUACAAUUUUGGCCAUUUCCAUGAUUUUAUCUGCAUAUCUUAUGCAGGUUCUAUGUUUUGAGAUUUGAAUAUUAUUUUAUUUCUUUUUGGAAUAUUCUUGGAUUUGAAUAUUAUUAUUAUUUUAUUGUUUAGCACUUAGUCUAUUUGUAUUUAAUUAUAUUUUGGUUACUAAUUAUCCAAUUUAUAAAAAAAAAUAAAAAAUAAAAUAAUUGUUGCAGUACUUCAGCAUUGUUAUCGACAUUCGUGUGUGAUUCCGUAUAAGAUCUUUUUAAUUUAAUUGUACUUCUCUCGUCAUAAUUUAGAAUCAUUUAGAACCCUAUUUGUGUUAUGACUAUCAUAUAUAUAAUUAAAUACAUAAAUUAUCAAUAAUAGUAAACUCAGAAUAAUUAUAAAUCUUAUCCCAGUGGAUUGUGUGGCUACAGUAUUUUAUACUUCAAAAUAUAUAUAUAUAUAUAAAAGUUAGAGCUGCUUUUGUUUUUAUGUUCGGAAAGGUAUUCUUGACUUGUUUUUAUUACAUUUCAAUAUUAUUAUUUUUUUUCAAUCGAGUCAAAGAUAUACCAUUUAUAUUAGAAUGAGAAGACUAAUCAAUUUCUCUAGUUUUCUCCCUAUUUAUAAAAUACAUCUGGUUUUUGAAGUCCAGAUUUUAGGAUAAAAGGAAUUUAUUUCUUGAAAUUAAUGCAUUAAACAAUAUAAAGAUAUUUUUUAAAAAUUAAAAUAGUAGUAAAAGUAAAUUUAGUUUUUGAUUGAAGUGUAAACUAGUGGUAAAUGAACAAAAAAAAAAAACUUUCUUGAUUAUCUAAUGGAAACUCCGCCUAAUAUAUAUAUAAUAGCAAUCAUUUUCUUAUCUCUUGUAUCAUUCAUAUCUUCCACAAAUCUUAAGUAAUUGAUGAGAAAGUGGAUAUUGCCAAGAAAGGUCGUGAACGCGGAUGCUUGACUUGCUGCGUGGCAUUUUGAUUUUUAAACACAACACUACUUUCUUUGUGGAAAUAACGCUACUUUGCAUGAAGAUGAUGGAUAUAGAAGACUUGCUACUUGUUUUAUGGAAAUAACGUAUGGAAAAUUAUGCUUUAAUUUUAAUGAUGAUAGCAAAAUCAAACAGUAUUGUUGAUAAAAUGAGCCAUAAAUAAUAUUAUUUCUAUUGUCAUGACAAUAAGUUUUUUUUUUUUUUUUUCUAAAGAGUCUAUUUUUCCUCUAGGAGAGGCCGCGAGACGUCCUCUUCCAACCAUCAUGCAUUUUUUCUACGAGAUGGGUUCAUGGAAAUACUUUGGUUUAAUUGGGAAUGCUGUUAUUGAUUGAAAUAUUUUUAAUUAAAAUAAAUUUGAUUAUUUGAUUGGAAAAAAAAUAUUGUAACCAAGUAAUUUAUUUAUUUAUUUUAAUGAAAUAUAAAAUAGUUUUAAAUCUUGUGGUAUAUUUCUUGUCUUUAAGAGCUAUGAACUUAUAUCUCAAAACUUGAAAACUAAUAUAAAGAUAUUAAGUGAUCAUUGAGUGUGUGUGUGUGUAUAAUCCUUUUCAAAACAAAAAGGAUUUUGAUGGAGAUUAGGACAUUGCAACAAAUUAUCCACCACUAGAUGGGUCAAUGAUACCAUUGUCAUCAUGCAAUUUUUCCCACGAGAUGGGGCCGUACGCUUGGGGCUCUAAAAGCUAUGGUUUUAAUUUCAUUAUGUCACAUCUAGAAUGGCAGGUAUAUUUUAUUUCAAUUUAAACAAUGGAAUAAAUUAGAAGAUAUUUCAUCUCGCUUAAAAUCUUAUCUUCUUAUAUGAUUUCACCUAAAUUCUGGCUGGAAUGUUUAAGUUAUAUUCUAGCUAUUCUGUUAUGGCCAAAUGAUAUUUUGUUUUACUUUUAUAAAAAAUUAAAAUAUAGUUUAGUUUUUGUAUUUAUUUUCUGGUUAUAUUUAAUUUGUCAUCAAUAUUCAUAACGUAAAUUGCUAUGCAUUUCGAAUCUUGAAAGGAUUGAAAGAUGGAAAACAGAAAAGAAAGAGAGACCCCCAGUUCAAAAGAAAAAGAAAAAAAAACAAUAGUAAAAGAAAGAGAAGAGAACAAAAGUGAAGCAGUUUUUACUAACUAUAUAAAUUUUAUAAUUAUUAAUAUUAAAUUCAAAAUAUGUACAUAAUGCAAAUAUGUAAACAUAUCAUGUGGUUUAAAGAAAUGAUUUUUAUAAAGAUAUAUGUCUUAACAAUAUUAAUCAACUCUUAAUAUUUUUCAUUUUAUAAAUAUUAAAAGUAAAUAUUAAAACCUAUUAUAUUAAUUUGUGAAGGUAUUUACUCGGAUGCGAAUUAUAUUUCUAAUUUUUUAUUAAAAAAAAAUUCUACAUACUACAACUAGCCUAAGAAAGUCAUUUUCAUCUAAAAAAAAGUAGAAAAAAUUGAAUUGCAUAAAAGCAUCACUAUAAAUGUUAUACUCCGAAAAUAUCUUCUUUCCUUGAUAAAAUUCCCUAAACUACUGUAUGUCUCUAACAGUGAAAAUAUCACUAUAAUUUACAGUCACCUUAUUUAAUCGAAAGAAAACUUUAAAGAUGCACCUCCAUCUAGUGUAUUUAAAAAGAUUUAACAAAUUACUUUACACGUGCUAUGCUACAAGUUACAUAUUUUUUCAAUGUAAACAAAAAUUAUAUAGGUAUUUUUAACAUUUUUCUAUUAAAAAAAACUAAAACAUAUAAAAAUUAACCAAUUUAUAAUUAAUUAAUUAAUUGAGAAUUUGAGCUCCUUAGAAAAGUUGUUUAUGGACUUUUGUUUUCCGGAGAAAGCUCCUUUAAAACCCUUGAGCACCACCUUCUUUAAAACUUCUAUCUUUGCCAUAACUGAGGGGCUCUGUAUUUUUUUUAAGGUGAAUUAACAAGUUACAACUCAACUCUGUAUUUUUUUUUUUAGUUUAAUGUGGGUGUCUGGGUCAACUUACGCGUACCUCGACUAAUUCCACGGGCCCUGAAAUUAAUGACCAUAUAAACCUACAGUGGCCAUCAUAUGAACAAUCACAGGACUAGGGCUCGAACUUGAGACAAAAAAAAAAAGCAAAUUUUUUAAUCUUAAAUUCUUACCACUGGAUCACUAUCUAAAUUGUUACCUUGUAUCUAAUCUAGAUGUGUCUGUGACUGUGCUUGAUGUUCUCAUAACCAUUAAGAUGGUUCGAACCCAAAUAAAUAGAAACAAAUUUAUUUUCUGUUAUUCUCCGAAUUCCUAGAUAGAAUUUGCUUGGAAAUGAUGAGCUACCACUCCCUUUUGACUUUGCUGGCCUCCCAAAUAAAUAAAGAAUUCCGCUUGAUAGAAUUUUCUUGGAAAUGAUGAGAAUAUUUUAUAAUUUUCUGGUUGACGCCAGCUGUCAACAACUGUCUUACAUUCCCUUGGCAUCGUGUUCCAUGCCCUUGCAAAAUAUUAAAGGCUCCAAUGCCUCUCUCGCAAUAAGAUUAUUUUUUUUAUUUGUCCCCGAAUACAUGUGUCAUUUAUCGAAAUAAUUAAUUUAAUCACACACAUAAAAAAAAAAAAAAAUUUAAAUAGGCGGCUUUAGAAUCAGCAAGCAGUGAAUCACACGGGAAGAUUGAAAGAAUAAUUAAAGUGAUUUUACUAACAUUGUAAAAAAAAUUGAAUUGCAUAAGAGUAAUUAACCGACAGGUUGACCCAAAGUCAAAGUCUUCUGUGGAAAAACAUGAAUAGAAGAUUGAUGGGCGUUGCGUGAUAGCAAAAGAUUUGAGAUCUGCACAGCAGGUUUUGAAUUCGAGUCAGGGCGUGCAUCUCUUGUAAAAGCUUGGGAUAGCCGGGAUUUUACUGUCUCAUCUGGGCCCAUAAAGUGCGCUUUCCAAGGAAAUGAGGUUCCCUCGAAUCCAUAAAAAAAAAAAAAGUAAUACCAUUGCUAUCAAGCGUUUUUUCUACGAGAUGGUCCGUUCCCCCAUUUCCCCUCAAGCUUGAGAAGGGAUGAUAUAUAUAUGCUUUAAUUUCAACUUGUAUAAAAAAUAAAUCUUAAUGUAGUGUGUUAGAAUGCAACCACCGAUUCAUUAUUUUUAAUGGCUGGUCAUUUAAACUUGGGUGUUUUUUCGGUAUUAAUAUAUAUAUUCCUCAAUUAUCAUAAAAAAAUUAAGAAAAAACUAAUAAUAAGAUUAAAAAUAAAUGUUUUAUUUAUCGAAAUAAUUAUUAAAAGUAAGGUAUACUCAAGGUAUAUGUGGGACGAUAAAAAAAUAACAAAAAAAUCAAUUUACAAAAAAAAUCAUAGAUUUAGUUUUCCUAAAUUUUAAAUGUAGUGCAACAUUAGCCUUUCAAGAAAUAGAUAAUCUUCCUCUUUGAAGGAAUUAAUUAGUGGGUUGGAAAAAUGUCGUCUUUUGCUCUAAUAUUUUCUUCGCUUUCUCUAUAGUUUUACCAUACACUAAUAUUGUCAGAAAAUGAUACAUACUUCUUGUGUUAUCCUUCAAGAAUUCAAUUGAAAAGGAGGGUUGUAAAAAAUUUAAUUUUUAUAAACAUACCCUUAACUUAAUUUGGAUGUGGAUAAUUGUUUGCAAUAUAUUUACAUCCAAUAUAAACAAUUCAUCAAUGAUCAAGUAGGCAGUGGUUAGCUAAAAUAUUGAAAAUACUUACUCUCUUUGUUUUUUAGUCAUGCAGUUCCACUAUUGUAUGUUAUUUUUGUUUAGCUAAAAAUAUCAAAAAAUAUUAAUUUGGAGUAAAAAAAAAAAAAAAAUUUAAUUUUUUUAAAAAUAUUUUUGAAACAUAAAAACAAACAGUGCUAAAAGACAUAGAAACAGUUACCCAAAUCAAUUUAUUUUUUUAAAAAAUAAAAAUAGAAUACUAUACAAAUGGAGCUUCCAACAAAAAGAUAUGGGAAGUUCGAGGGAAAAAAUGAUUAGUUAAUUCAAAACACCAGGAGUAAGUAAUAAUUACAAAACACGAUACCGAAACCAAAUUGAAAAGUGAGCAAAAUACAAAACUGGUUACAUGUAUCGAAAGGAACUGGAACCAAUUUCUCCACCACUGGAUGUCCCUUUUGUUCAGUCUAUGUUUGGUGCAAUCACCUAAAGCUAGAAACAAAAACAGCGCCUUAGUCUAUGUUUGGUGCAUUUUUUCCACGAGAUGGGUUCGUGGAAAAACUUUGGUUUAAUUGGGAAUGCUGUUAUUGGUUAGAAACUUUUUAAUUAAAAUAAAUUUGAUUAUUUGAUUGGAAAAAUCCUUAAAUGUUAUUAACACAUGAAAUCAAUUUAUUCUCUUAAGAAAAAAAUAGUUUUACAUCUUGUGGUAUAUAUGUCAAGCAUUUUUUUUCCCUCAAGAUGGGUUCGACAGACAAUCACCAUCAUGCAUUUAUGAGUCCAUGAGACCAUUGUCAUCUGCACAUUGGUCCCCUAUAGCGUUGCUUUUCCUCAAGACCAUUUCCAUCAUGCAUUUAUGAGUUAGUGAGACCAUUUCCAACUGCACAUUGGUCCCUGAAACCGUUGCCAUCAUGCAUUUUUCCUCGAUGAGAGGUCGUGAGACGUCCACUUCCAACCAUCAUGCAUUUUUUUCACGAGAUGAGGCCGUACGUUUGGGGCUCUAAAAGCUAUAUAUAUUAGAAAUAUUAUUUGAAAAUAAAUUAUUUUUUAUUUUUAAAAAUAAAAUUCUUCUAUACAAAAGAUUUUUAUAAGUAUAAUUUAAUUUAUUCAGUUUUUUAAAUAAAGUUAAUCUAUCGCAAGAGUACACGAAAUAAGUAUUUUUCCGUCAUGCAUUUUUUUUCCUCAAGACCAUUUCCAUCAUGCAUUUAUGAGUCUGGGAGACCAUUUCCAUCAUGCAUUUAUGAGUUGCUGAGACCAUUUCCAUCUGCACAUUAGUCUCUGAGACCGUUGCCAUCAUGCAUUUUUCCUCGAGGAGAGGCCGUGAGACUUCCUCUUCCAACCAUCAUGCAUUUUUUCCACGAGAUGGGUUCGUGGAAAAACUUUGGUUUAAUUAGGAAUGCUGUUAUUGAUUGGAAACUUUUUAAUUAAAAUAAAUUUGAUUAUUUGAUUGGAAAAAUCCUUAAAUGUUAUUAACACAUGAAAUCAACUUAUUCUCUUAAGAAAAAAACAGUUUUAAAUCUUGUUGCCGUCAUGCAUUUUUUUUUCCUCAAGAUGGGUUCGACAGACAAUCACCAUCAUGCAUUUAUAAGUCCAUGAGACCAUUGUCAUCUGCACUUUGGUCCCCUAUAGCGUUGCUUUUCCUCAAGACCAUUUCCAUCAUGCAUUUAUGAGUCCAGGAGACCAUUUCCAACUGCACAUUGGUCCCUGAGACCGUUGCCAUCAUGCAUUUUUUCCACGAGAUGGGUUCGUGGAAAUAAUUUGGUUUAAUUGGGAAUGCUUUACUGUAUUUGUUUUCUGGUUAUAUUUAAUUUUUCAUCAAUAUUCCUAAGCACGUAUUUUGAAUCAUGAAAAGCACGUGGAAAAGAGAGGGAUGGUGAAAAUGACAUGUAAAGGGACUGUUUGGCAGUGCGCAUAGAAAAGGGAAAGUGUCAUUGCCAUUUUGAGUGGUGUGUUUGCAUUUGAUUUGUUAAUUUCGAGUUUUGUCAAAGAGUGAUUACUAGUCAUCAAGCAUUUUAUUAAUUUAAUUUAUCCUGUCAAGUGAAGGGCCAAACCUGUCAUUCAUUGCCAGUCACAGUCACAAGUCUUGGUCUUACCAUUUUACUAUCUAUUAAUUAAUUAAUUGUUUGAUUAAUCAACGAAACUGUGCGUUUCUCUUGUGAUUUCUCGAAGACGGCCAUGAAUAUAUAUAUAUAUAUAUACAACUUUUCAAAACAAAAAGGAUUUUGAUGGAGAGGACAUUGAAACAAAUUAUCCUCGUGAUACCAUUGUCAUCAUUCAAUUUUUUCCACGAGAUCAGGCCGUAUGCUUGGGGCUCUAAAAGAUAUUAUUUCUAAUUUUAUUAUAUCACAUCUAGAAUAACAAGUAUAUUUUAUUUCAAUUUAAAAAAUAGAAUAAAUUAAAAGAUAUUUCAUUUUUAAAAUUUUAUUUUGUUUUAUGAAUUUCACCUAAAUUCUGACUAGAAUAUUUUGAUUAUAUUCCAGCCAUUUUAUUAUGAUAAAAUAAUAUUUUGUUUUGCUUUUAUAAAAAAAAUAUAAUCUAAUUUUACAGUAUCAAUCAUAUCUUUCAAUUCGACUGCUGGAUUGGACUAAAAUUUUACGAGGAAUCUCCUAACAUAUAUUUAUAUCGCAAAUUAAAAUUUUAAGGCAAUCAGAGUUUAGAAAAAUUUUGCGAAAUUACCGAUGAUAUUUUCAUAAUUUUAUUUAAAUUCAUAAUUUUGUUAGGAAAUAUUAUUUUUUGUUUCUUUUUUAGAUUGAAUUAUUUCUAAAGUACUUCUUGUCAUUGUCAUGACAAUAAAUCUUCUUCUUUUUCUUUUUAAAAAGUCUAUUUUUUGUAACACAACCAACAUGUAAGAUGGAUGGGAAUUUGCAGUGUGAGAUGGGUUUGUGAGACUUUGGCCAUCUCCAAUUUUUUCCACGCCAUUGAGAUGGUCUAUAAGACCAUUGCCCCGUAAGCAUUUAUGAGUUCGUGAGACCAUUUCCAUUUGCACAUUGGUCCCUGAGACCGUUGCCAUCAUGCAUUUUUUACACGAGAUGGGUUCGUGGAAAUACUUUGGUUCAAUUGGGAAUGUUGUUAUUGAUUGGAAACUUUUUAAUUAAAAUAAAUUUGAUUAUUUGAUUGGAAGAAAUCCUUAAAUGUUAUUAACAAUAGAAAUCAAUUUAUUUUCUUAAGAAAAAAAUAUUGUAACCAUAUAAGUAAUUUAUUUAUUUAUUUUAAUGAAAAAUAAAAUAGUUUUAAAUCUUGUGGUAUAUUUCUUGUCUUUAAGAGCUAUGAACUUAUAUCUCAAAACUUGAAAACUAAUAUAAAGAUAUUAAGUGAUCAUUAAGCGUGUGUGUGUGUAUAAUGCUUUUCAAAACAAGAAGGAUUUUGAUGGAGAGGACAUUGCAACAAAUUAUCCACCACGAGAUGGGGCUGUACGCUUGGGGCUCUAAAAAACUAUGGUUUUUAAUUUUAUUAUGUCACAUCUAGAAUGGCAGGUAUAUUUUAUUUCAAUUUAAACAAUGAAAUAAAUUAGAAGAUAUUUCAUCUCGUUUAGAAUGUUAUCUCAUUUCAUGAAUUUCACCUAAAUUCUGGCCGGAAUAUUUUGGUUCUAUUCCAGCCAUUCUAUUAUGAUCAAAUAAUGUUUUGUUUUGCUUUUAUAAAAAAAAAAUAUAUAGUUUAGUUUUAUGGUAUUAAUUAUAUCUCUCAAUGCAAUUAUUGGAUUAGACUAAAAUUUUACAAGGAAUCUCUUAACAUAUAUUUAUAUCGCAAGUUAAAAUUUUAGAACAAUUAGAGUUUAAAAAGACUUUGUGAGAUUGCCGAUGACAUUUUUAUAAUUUUAUUUAAAUUCAUAAUUUUGUUUCAUAAGGUCAUUUUUUGUGUCUUUUUUUAGAUUGAUUUUUUUUUUUCAAUUUCAUAAUUCAACAAUAGAUUUAUUAAAAAUUAAGAUUCAUAAUUUGUUUUUAUUUGGGAUUAUUAUGGUCUCAUAAUCUGGGUUACGGAUUUAAAAGAUUAACCUAGAUUAACCUGGUUCGAUCUAAUAUGUUGUUGUUUCAAUAUUUUUAACAAAUAUAAUUUUAAUUGAUAUUUAAAAAUAAACUAACUUGAAAUUAUAUAAUUUAAAUUUCAAAUAUAAGUAAAAAUAAAGAGUUAAAUCAAUAUGACCCAAUUGAUUUGAUGAGUCCAAAAUAUAUAUAAAACAAUCCAAACGACACGUCAAAAUACUCAAAAAUCAAAAUAUAUUGUUACAAUUAAAAAAAUAAAACACCAAUUAAAAUGGAAUUGACGACCUUGCUUGAUAUAAGCCUAAACUCCUCGCUGCCAUUUGCAAGAGAUAGUUACUUAUACCAGUAGCAAUUUAAUAAUGAUUGGUCAAAUUUUAUAUUAAGAUGGGGCUAUUAAUUCAAAUGUUGAUGGCGUUAGUAGCAAUGAUUUUCUUGGAAGCAUGGUUGCCUCUUGGCUGCUUGAAAAUAUAUGGUUUUUUUAAUGUCGCAUGUGUGCUGCGUCAUGAAAAAAAAAUUCACUCUCAAAUCCUAAAUAUUGGUAUCCUGGAAAAAUUGGGAAAAAUAAGGAGACAAGAAAUUCUUGUCUUUUAUUAGUGGAAAAAUAAAAUGGGAGUCGCCACUUAGUAUUUUAAUCACUAGGAACCCUGAUUGGUCUCAGAGAUUGGGUACGGAGACUGGUUGCGUAAAGGGAAGGUAUUAGCACCCCAAAUACGCCCUACCUAAGGUAAGUUGCAUUGUUUUAUUGUUUGAUAAAAUCUAAGGUCUUGUCGUGUUUUCUAGUUAUUGGUCCGUCUAUGAUUUAAGAAAAGUCUUCAUCGAUAAAGAGAUCCUUAUCUUUUCGGGUAAAACCUAACCGUUCUAACGUAAACAAAAGAAUUUAAUAUCCGGAAUACAUCUUACGUAUAAGGUCGUAACCCCAGAUACUAAAAGAAAAUUUUUUUUUUGGAAUUUUUUAAAUAUUGGCCUAGUUCUUGUGACUUUAAUAAACUGGUUUUUAAAACCAAAAUGCAUGUUAAUACAUAUUUUUGUUGUAUGAAAAUAUGAUAUGAUUUUUUUCUUUGAGAUACUUGGCCGUAUGCAUGAAAAUAAUUUUUUUUUUAAUUUUUCAAUGUUUUGACGAAAACUAGGUAUUUUAAUACCAGAUUUGUAUCUUUACAGUAUAAAAAUACAAACCAAUACUAAGAAAAAUUUAGUAGAAAAAUAUAUGGGAAAAUUAUAGAUUUUUUGAAAUGAUUAUUUUUGAAGAAUUGUUUUUUACUGGGCCGGACCCGACCCAACCAUUUUGGGCGGGCCGGCACUGUCCGGGCUGGAAAACUAAAACAAACAAUGGAGAGACUCUCCACUGUUCACAUGCAACGUGAACAGUGGAGCGGCCUGGAGAAGACAAAGAAGAAGAGGAGGAAGAGGAAGAAGCAGACCUGCGGCCUAGCGGUGCUGCUAGUGGCGGUGGACGGUGUUGCGGUUGCGGAGUGUUAGAAAUAAUGUUCAGGACUGCUGAGCUGGAAUUUUAUUCUUUCUUAAUUUUUGAUUUAGUCAAUUCUGUUCCUAUUCUCUUGUUCUUGUUGCUACUUCGCAGCUCUGUUAUUUCCAUUAUCAAUUGAUCAUGGCUUGAAUGUAGUACCAUGAUCGUAGGAGUUUGUUAUGUAUCAGCUCUAUAAAUUGAGCUGCAGUUAUGAAUAAAGUAUUCAAGCUUUUCAUUCAUCAAUCUCUUCUUAAACACAAGCAUUAUCCUUUGUUAUUUUUGUUGUUCAGAAUCACUGCAACAACGACAAUUGGUAUCAGAGCAUCUUGAUUUAAAGGGAUCUGUGUUGUAACCCAUGGAGACAGAAGUAAGAUUCUCAUCAAUUGCUCCACCAGUGUUCAAUGGUGACAAUUACCAGUUUUGGGCAGUACGGAUGGAGACAUACUUAGAGGCUCUGGAUUUGUGGGAGGCAGUGAAAGAAGAUUAUGAAAUCCCUGCACUUCCAAAUAAUCCCACCAUGGCGCAGGUCAAAUCACAGAAGGAGAAGAAGACAAAAAAAUCAAAGGCAAAGGCGUGCUUGUUUGCUGCAGUAGCAUCCACCAUUUUCACUCGAAUCAUGUCUCUGAAAACAGCAAAGGAGAUAUGGGAGUUUAUCAAGACUGAGUAUGAAGGGGAUGAAAGAAUUCAAGGUAUGCAAGUGUUGAACUUGAUGCGUGAUUUCGAGUUGCAGAAGAUGAAGAAAACUGAAUCCAUCAAAGAGUACUCUGACAGGCUGCUUAAUAUUGCAAGCCGAAUCAGUUUACUUGGCUCGUCCCUGCCUGAGUCAAGAAUUGUUCAAAAAAUUCUUGUAACAAUUCCUGAAAUCUUUGAGGCUACAAUUACAUCCUUGGAAAAUACCAAGGAUAUGUCAAAAAUUACUUUGACAGAAAUGCUAAAUGCAUUACAAGCUCAGGAGCAAAGGAGGAUCAUGAGACAAGAAGAUGAGAUUGAAGGAGCUCUAUUCGUCAAGCAUAGAGAAAAAGGAAAGAAUUACAAGAAGAAUGGAAGCAGUCAAGCAUCAUCAGGUGAUUCCAGGAAUUUCAACAGGAGCAACACUGGAAACAAAAAAGGACCUUUUCCUCCAUGCCAGCAUUGUAAAAGGAGAUCACAUCCACAUUUUAAGUGUUGGAGAAGACCAGAAGCUAAGUGCAACAAAUGCAAUCAAAUGGGCCACGAGGCUGUCAUCUGCAAAAACAAAAUUCAACAGCAUGGUGAAGAAGCUCAAAUUGCUGAUCAAGAAGAAGAAGAUCAAUUGUUUGUGGCCACUUGCAUUUCCAGAAAUGACUCAAGUGAAAGCUGGCUCAUUGAUAGUGGUUGCACCAACCACAUGACACAUGACAGAAACAUAUUCAAGGAGCUGAAACAAACAACUUCAAAGGUUCGAAUUGGAAAUGGAGAAUACCUUGCUGUUGAAGGAAAGGGAACCGUGGCAAUCUUGACUUGCUCAGGUACUAAGUUCAUCUCUGAUGUAUUGUAUGUCCCUGGUAUAAAUCAAAAUUUAUUCAGUGUUGGUCAGCUUAUUGAGAAGGGUUAUAAAGUAGUGUUUGAAAACAAUUGCUGCUUGAUCAAAGAUGUGAAUGGUCAUGAUAUUUUCAAAAUAAUCAUGAAAGGGAAGAGUUUUGCUUUAAAUCCAUUAGAGGAGGAGCAUAUUGCUUUCCCAAUUAAAGAAAAUAUCACAGAUAUUUGGCACAAGAGGCUCGGGCACUAUCAUCAUAGAGGGCUGAUGCUUAUGAAAUCCAAGAUGAUGGCUAAGGAUUUCCCAGCACUUGAUGAUCACAUAUCCAGCUGCAGAACUUGUCACACUGGCAAGCUAAACAGGAAGCCCUUUCCAGAAGCCACAUGGAGAGCAACAAGGAAGCUGCAAUUGAUUCAUACUGACAUUGCAGGACCAUAAAGGACACCCUCUCUAAAUGGGAGUCUGUAUUAUGCUGUCUUCAUUGACGAUUACAGCCGAAUGUGCUGGAUUUUCUUCUUGAAGCACAAGUCAGAGGUAGCACAGGUGUUCUGGAAUUUCAAGGCCAAAGUUGAAAAUGAAAGUGGCUGCAAAAUUCAAGCCCUCAGAUCAGACAAUGGCAAGGAAUACACUUCCAAUGCCUUCAACAUUUUUUGUGAGGAGGCAGGCAUUCAUCAUCAGCUAACAACUCCGUAUACUCCUCAACAAAACGGAGUUAGUGAGAGGCGAAACAAGUUCAUAUUGGAAAUGACAAGAUGCUUGCUACAUGAGAAGAAUUUACCAAAGAAAUUCUGGGCAGAGGCUGCAAACACUGCUGUGUUCUUGCAAAACCGACUGCAUACAAGAGCCUUGAAGGAUCAAACACCCUUUGAGGCAUGGUAUGGUUACAAACCAUCUCUGAAUUUUCUUAAGGUAUUUGGAUGUUUGUGCUUCACCCUUGUUCCACAGGUCAAGAGGGAUAAACUUGACAAGAAAGCACUUCCAGGCAUUUUUGUUGGCUACAGCUUAGUUUCAAAGGCUUAUAAGAUUUUCCAACCACAAACUGGAAAAAUCAUUAUAAGCAGAGAUGUCCAAUUCCUGGAAGAUGAAGAAUGGGACUGGAACGAUGCAAUCAAAGAAGAUUCAACCUCUCCAAAAGGCAAUUAUCUUGUUUCAGACACAGAUGAUCAAAGCAUGGAAGAUUGGGACAUCAACAUGACAGAUGACACUCCUGUUACAGGCACACGGUCACUCCUUGAUGUGUAUCAAAGGCGCAACAUUGCUGUGUGUGAACCAGCAGACUUUGAAGAAGCCAAGCUAGAUCAAAAUUGGCUUGCUGCGAUGAAGGAGAAGCUUCUCAUGAUCAAGAGAAACAACACGUGGGAGUUGGUUGACAGACCUCAAAACAGAAAUGUAAUCGGUGUAAAAUGGGUGUAUCGAACAAAACUCAACGCUGAUGGCUCAAUCAAUAAGCUCAAAGCCAGGCUAGUGGUGAAGGGUUAUGCACAAAUCUUUGGCGUGGACUACUCAGACACGUUUGCACCGGUAGCAAGACUUGACACUAUCAGGCUGCUACUUGCCAUUGCAGCACAACUGAAUUGGAAGGUGUAUCAAAUGGACGUCAAGUCAGCAUUUUUAAAUGGUGUUUUGCAGGAGGAGAUCUAUACUGAGCAACCAGAAGGCUUUGCAAAUGAAGGAGAGGAGGACAAAGUCUGUCUUCUUAAGAAGGCACUAUAUGGAUUGAAGCAAGCUCCAAGAGCUUGGUACAGCCGAAUCGAUGAACAUUUGCAGCACUUGGGAUUCACUAAAAGCCUCUCUGAAUCGACUCUUUACAUCAAGCAAAAUGGUGAUAACAUCCUUAUCAUCUCACUUUACGUUGAUGAUUUGCUUGUAACAGGAAAUAACAACAAUAAUGUGGAGAUAUUCAAGCAAGAGAUGAUGAGUGUAUUUGAGAUGACAAAUUUGGGUUUGAUGUCCUUUUUUCUUGGAAUGGAAGUUAAGCAAGUUGAACAUGAAGUGUUCAUAUGUCAGAAGAAGUAUGCCAAAGAAAUCCUCAAAAAGUUCAAACUUGAAGAUUGCAAAGCAGUAAGCACUCCUAUGAAUCAAAAGGAGAAGCUAUGUAAAGAAGAUGGAGCCGAGAAGGUUGAUCAAGCACAAUUCAGAAAAAUUGUUGGAUGCUUGAUGUAUCUCACUGCAACUAGGCCUGAUAUUUUGAAUGCUGUGAGUAUCUUGUCUAGAUUCAUGCAUUGUGCUAGUGAAUUGCAUUUCAAGGCUGCUAAAAGAGUGAUAAGAUAUGUCAAAGGAACCUGCAAUUUUGGCAUAAGAUACACAAGAAGUAGAGAGUUCAAACUGGUCGGGUACUCUGACAGUGAUUGGGGAGGCUCAAUUGAUGACUUGAAGAGCACAUCAGGCUACUGUUUCUCUUUAGGUUCUGGUGUGUUUUCAUGGAAUUCAAAAAAGCAAGAAACCGUAGCCCAAUCCACUGCUGAAGCUGAGUUUGUGGCUGCAACAGCUGCUGUCAAUCAAGCUUUGUGGCUGAGGAAAAUUUUAUCUGAUCUUAACCUGGAGCAAAAGGAAAGCACAGAAAUUCUAGUUGACAAUCAAGCUGCCAUUUCCAUCUCUAAUAAUCCUGUGUUUCACGGGAAAACCAAGCACUUCAACAUCAAAUUAUUCUUUUUGAGAGAGGUGCAGAAAGAUGGGAGUAUCAUUCUUAUUUACUGCAAAACUGAAGAACAAGCAGCUGAUAUUUUCACCAAACCACUGCCAGUCAACAAAUUCGAAUUUCUGAGAACAAAGUUGGGAGUUUGCAGCUCCUAAACAAGGAGGAGUGUUAGAAAUAAUGUUCAGGACUGCUGAGCUGGAAUUUUAUUCUUUCUUAAUUUUUGAUUUAGUCAAUUUUGUUCCUAUUCUCUUGUUCUUGCUGCUACUUCGCAGCUCUGUUAUUUCCAUUAUCAAUUGAUCAUGGCUUGAAUGUAGGACCAUGAUCGUAGGAGUUUGUUAUGUAUCAGCUCUAUAAAUUGAGCUACAGUUAUGAAUAAAGUAUUCAAGCUUUUCAUUCAUCAAUCUCUUCUUAAACACAAGCAUUAUCCUUUGUUAUUUUUGUUGUUCAGAAUCACUGCAACAACGACACGGACCGUGGCGCUGACUGGCGGGUGGUUCUUCUUUCUUUCUCUGCGUUUCCCUUCUGCUUUUUUUCUAUUCUGCUCUGUUCUUCCUCUUGUUCCCUGUUUUAUUCUUUCUCUCCCUCUCUGGUCCUCUCAAACGUCCCUUGGAGCUGCUGCCUGAAGAUGAAGACGAAGUUGAGGGUGAUCAGUGCUCUGAUCGGGCGACGUUUCUUUCUUUCUUCUGCUACUGUUUUCGUUUCUGAUUCUCCUCGUUCAAUUCUUAUUUGCACUCUUCUUCUUCUUCGUCUCUGGUUUUUGAAAUGACGAAGACGAUGGCAACGCUGGUUCUAAUCUCAACGAUUUCCUCUUCUUACAUUCUUUCCUUUUGCUCGUUUCUGUCUCCCUCUCGUGCUGCUCCCCACUUUCUCUCUUGUCCUGCUCGCUCUCCCUCCCUGUCUCCUCUUCUUUUUUUUUUGUUGUCCGUCUCUCCUCUAGCUUUUUAUAGCCAGAGGAUGCAUGCUUUUCGGGAUUUAUUGCAGGAAGGUUGUAACGGCCGGCGUGCAUCAUGGUGGAGAGGGAUAUCAGCCGUGAGACGUGCUCCCCUGAUUGAAGCAGCUCCACCACUAACGUCUUCACUUCCUUUUACUGUAGAAACCGUUGUUGAUGAAGAAGGUAAUGAACAGUUGUCAAGGAAAUGGUACCGUUUUAAAAUUCAAAAUGAAUAUUUCCGAUUUGGUCAUUGGAUUUUUUGCAAUUUUGUAAUCAAGCCCCCGAAUAAAUUGUAAUUGGAUCUCUGGAUUUUAGCCCCAUUUACAAGACAAUCUUUGGUUCUGGAUUCAUGCGAUUUGACUCUCAAUUGAUCAAUAAACUUCUAAUUUCUUUAAUUUAGCCCCUGACUUGGUCAAUUGCAGCCCUUAUAUUUACACGCCUUUUCCGGUUUGAUCCUUGGUUUCGGAUUUUUUCAAUCAAGUCCCUAAUUGCCCAUAAAACUUUAAUAAUUAUGCAAUUAAGCCCCUGAUUUGACCAAAUCAACUCUUCAAAAUUAUAAUUGGACCUUAGAACUUUAAUUUCUUCGAAUAAAAGCCUAAAUAGACAUAAAACUCAAUUUUUCUUUCAAUCAAACCCUCCAUAAAUUCAAUUAAACCUUUAAUAAAAUUUAAUUGAGUCCAUAAACAUCUGAUUUUAGAUAUAUUUUUUUAAAAUUGAAUUUUCUUUGUCAACAGGGCUCUCAUUAGUCAACGAUAUACUGUCAAAUUUCAAUCUUUAUAUUUUUUAACCUCCUCAACCAAUUUUUGGCCAUUUUGAGCAGUCCGACAGCUUUCACUGUGACAUAUAUAUUUUUUUAUUUAUAUUAUUUAAUUAAUUUAUUAUUAUUUAUUUAUUUAAUUUUUUUCAACUCUUACUUUUUGUAUUUUCUUCUUUUUUGUGUGGGGUCCCAAAAAUGGAUAACAACACUUAAGUUCAAAUCUAUUAAUAAAAAUAUAGUUUUAUUGACUUUUUUAUAUACUUUUAUUAGAGAAAUCAAUGUAAACAAAUUUAUGGACAAACAUUAGUUUAUCAAGUACUUAAAUAGAAAAAUAAAAUCAAUUAGAGUACUUGAAUAAAAAAAAUAUAAAUUAUAAGCAUUUUAUAUAUCUUUAUUGUUCAUAAAUUAAAAAUAAAAUAAAAUCAAUCCAGACUAAUCUAAAAAGAGUUAACUAUGACAUCAUCAUUUUGAUAGUAAAACUAAUGAAGAUAUUUUAUUGAUUAAAUUCCGUGAAUAUAAGUAUUCAAAUUGAAAAAAAAAAACAUUGAUACAAGAUUUUAAAUAAAAAAAUUAUAAAAUACAUAUAAUUUGUACUUCUCAUUGUCUCUUUUGCAUUGCUAACACUUAACAAAUUGAAUAUAUAAUUCUCAUGUCAAUAACGUCAGAAUAAAUUUAGCUACAUGACAUAAUAAUACCUGUUUAUUUUUGUAUUUUAAAAAUAUUUUAAAAACAUUAAAUUGUUUUAAAUAGAUAACUUUUGAAUCAUCAAGUAGUGAAACACAGGAAAAGCGAAGAAAGUGAAGAAUAAUCAAAGUGGUGCGUGUCCACAUCAAUUUUUGUCCAUGUUUUUGGUAUUAAUCUCUUCAUCUAUUUACAGCUGGAGAAAAGAACAUCACCUACUACUUUUCUUGUCUCUUCUUACUUGGAAGAUCAGGUAUGUGAAUCUUUGAGUGCCACUUAUUUUAGUACAUAGACUUAGUUAUUUGACCACAACUUCACCACAAGUUAAAUUGUUUUAAUUAAAAAAAUUUAUAUAAAGAUUUCUUCAAUAAAUUUUUUAUUUAAAAAAUUUCUAAGUGAAAAUUAAAAAACUUAUACACAAAUAUAGUUAAAUAAAUCAAGAAUUAUGUGUGUUAAUAAGUGAAAAAAACCAUAAAUGAUGACUCAAAAUAAAAACUGAAAAAAUCAACUGAUAAAUGUAGAUCAAAAUAUUUAAUUUCACAAGACGUGAUAUUAAUGCAGUUGUGUUUUCUAAAAUUUUUAAUUAAAAUAAUUUUUUAAUUUGAUCAAACGAUAAUAAAAAUAGACACACAUAUUAUAAAUUGAUUGAAUAAAAUAAAAAAUAAUAAUAAUAUGCUAGGCUUUAUAUAUUGGAAAUAUUAUUUAAAAAUAAUUUUUUUUAUUUUAAAAAAUAAAAUUUAUCUAUUAAAAAAAUUUAUAUAUUAAAUUCAAAAUAAAUAAACUUUAAAAUAAUUUGCAAGGCUGCACAUAACCCCUUUAAAAGGAAAGUGAUAUAACAAACGUGGAACAAUUUUUAUUAACUAAAUAAACUUAAUAACUAUUAAUAUUAAAUUCGAAAUAUAUAUUAAAACCUAUUAUAUUAAUUUUUGAAUUUAUCAAUUCAGAUGUGAAUUAUAUUUCUAAAAUGUUAUAAGAAAUUUCUAUAUACGACAACUAGCUUAAGAAAGUGAUGUUCAUCAAAACCAUAGAGUACAGAAAAAGAAUUGAAUUGCAUAAAAUUAAGUAAUUAACGGAAACUUAUAUUCCUUCUUAAAACGUUGACCCCAAGUCAAGUUUAUUUAUUAUUAUUUUUUUUGAAAAAAACAUGAAUAAAAGUUAAUGCUAGGCACAUGGGAUAUAGAAGACUUGCAACUUUCUUUAUAGAAAUUACGUGUGUAAAAUUUAGGCCUUGAAAAAAAAUUAAAAAUAAAAUACUAUUAAUCGUGUUGAUAAAAAUUAAUAUAGAGACUUUAUUGAUAAAAAUUCAUAAGAGCAAGUAUUCAAAUUACAAAAAAUAAAAAUAUUUCUUCAAAUUUUCAAUAAAAUUUAUUUCUUGAAAUUAAUGCAUUAAACAAAAUUAAAAUAGUAGUAAAAGUAAAUUUAGUUUUUGAUUGAAGUGUAAACUAGUGGUAAAUGAACAAAAAGAAACUUUAUUGAUUUCUCCAAAAACAAUAUAUAUAUUAUUGAAUAUCUAAUGGAAAGGAUUAUGAAACUCCGCCUAAUAUAUAUAUAUAUAUAACAGAGAAAUUGUCGAUAAUAGCUAUGAUCUAAGUAACUGGACCACGACGAAGACAUAUACAAGAAACAAAAAAAAGAUACUUCACUAACAAUUGGGGUUCUUCAUAAGCUUCAAUAGAAUUGAUAGAGGGUCGAAACAAAAAAGAGAUGAAGAGAGAGGAGGGAAUGGAAAGAAGGGAAAAGAGAACUCUUGCGAUCUGUUGAAUAAGACUCAGUAUAUAUAUAUAUAUAUAAAAUAAAAAAAACUCAAGUUAGCGCAUCAAAUCUUCGACUUGGAUUAUGAGAUCGGGAUAAGAAAACUUAAUAUUUAAAAAUAAAAUUAAAGAAAAAAACUAUAAAAACAUAUAUGGUUUAACAAUAUUAAUCAAUUAUUAAAAUCUUUCAUUUUAUAUAUAUUAAAAAUAAAUAUUAAUAACUAUUAUAUCAAUUUGUGAAUGUUUCAAUUAGGAUGCGAAUAAAUGUUUUAUAUAUGACAUUUUUCUUAAGAAACCAAAGUUAUUAAGCAUGUUUAGAUUUAAUUACCAAAUGAGAGUGAGGGUUGAGGUUAUAGAUUGACCUAAUUAAUACUCAGAUCAAGAUUUAGGUCCUAGAUCGGACAAAUUAGCUUAUUGACUAGUGUUAAUAAAAAAUUGUAUCAUUUUAUGAUUUUUGUUAUAGAAAAAAUCAAAAUGGUGUUGUUAAAAAAAGUAAAACUAGGUUUUAACUGAGUUGACUAGGUUGUGGGUUGAUUUAUCUGGUCAACUAGGCUCAAUUGAGUCAACUCUCACUUGGUUUUUUCUAAACCUAAAUAGGGUUAGGUUCCAGAUUAAAAUGUAAGGCUUGAAUUAAAUUUAAUAACAUUGAUUAAAACCACAAUGUAGGAAAAAAAAUUGAAUUCAUAAAAGUAAUUAACCGAAAACUUGAAUUCCUUCUUAUAAAGUUGAACCCAUGUCGGUUUUUUUAAAGGAAAAGUAUGAAUCAAAGGUUAACGCUAGGCUGCUCACUUUGCAUCACAAUGACAGAUAUGGAAGGCUUGCUACUUUCUUUAUGGAAAUAACGUGUGGAAAAUCAUGCAUUAAUUUUGAUGUUGAUGGCAAAAUCAAACAAUAUCGUUGAUAAAAUGAAUGACAAAUGAUAUUAUUUUUAAAAUACUUCUUGUCAUUGUCAUGACAACAAGUCUUCUUUUUUUUCUUUCUAAAGUACUUGUCAGUCUAUUUUUAUGUAACCCAAUCAACAAGUAAGAUGGAUAGAAAUUUGCAGUGUAAAAUGGGUCUGUGAGACUAUGUAUCGCCAUCUGCAUUUUUCCACGAUCUAGGCCAGUGGGAUGGUACAUGAGACCAUUGCUAUCAAGCGUUUUUUCUACGAGAUGGGUCCAUGAGACCAUUGCCCUGUAAGCUUGGGAAUGGAUAAUUAAUAUGCUUUAAUGUCUAUUUAGUUUGCAAAAAAAAUAAUUAAAUGCUUAUGAAUAAAAAAUAAAUCUCAAGUGUUAAAAUGCAACCACCGAUUAAUUAAUGGACAAUGGACCUUAGAUUAAUACAUGACGCAACUUUCAAUGGAAUUAUAUUUGUGGAGGUAUUUACUCGGAUGCGAAUUAUAUUUCUAUUUUUUUAUUUAAAAAAAUUCUAUACUACAACGAGCUUAAGAAAGUCAUGUUCAGGGGCGGAGCUAUAAUUAUUUGUUAGGAAGAUCAAAAUUAAUAUAAUAAGAUAUAAAAUUUAUUUUAAUUUAUUAUACAUGAGUUCUAAAACAAAACCUGUAUAAUUUAGUUUUAUUCAAAUAACUUACUACAAACAUAUAAUAACCUUUGUGAAGUAUAUUGGGACUGCUCAACCAUAACUUUAACAUUACACAUUGGAGUUGGUUCACUAGGCUGUGAGUUAUCAAUAUUUUUUAUUUUUCUUUUUCAAAAAAAAAUCAAUUCUUCUUAUUUUGUUCAUGGUUCAACCUAAAAUCAAAACAUAUAUCGUAAGAAAAAAUUGAUAAUUUAGUGACUCUGCUAAAAAUAAAACAUAAAACAAAUCCAAGCAUAAUCAAAACAAAACCAAUAAAAUAUAUCUAAUUAAUUAGAAAAAAAAUCAUUAUAAUAAGAAUUCAAAAAAAAAUGGUAAAACUAGCAGAUCUGAGAAAAAAAAAGAGCAAAAAUGAUAGAAAUAUAAAAAAAAUCUCAUCAAAUUAUUAACAAACAUCUCAAAACAAAACAAAUAUAGAUUUUAAAUUUAAGUUACUUUGUUUUGUUUGAUGAAAGAUAAAUUAAUUGGUGGCUCUGCUUCAAUCUUUUUGUAGAAACAUUUUGCUCACAAUUUGUAUUUUUAUUUCUUUGUUUGAUCGGCUGCAGGAUUUAUAUUAGGGUAAAUUAAUGGUUUUGUUUUUUAUUUCACAAAGUAAUGCCUUAAUAUUGUUUUCUUCCAUCUAGGUCAAGAGUAAAUUAAAAGGAAAUCAAAAGUAAAGUCAAUAAUAACCCAAAGUAAUGCCUUAAUUAUUUGAUGUCACAAAGUAAUGCUUUAAUAACCCAAUAAUAAAAAAACAAAAUGUCUUGAGGGGGGCUCGGGCCCCUGCUUGCCCCCUACUUCCACCCUUGGUCAUGUUCAUCGAAAAAAAAAAUUAUAUUUACUCGGAUGUGUUUUUUCUACGAGAUGGGUCCAUGAGAACAUUUCCAUCUGCAUAUUGGUUCUUGAGACCGUUACCAUCAGGGGCGGAGACAGAGGGGCUGGCAGGGGCCCCGGCCCCGGCAAGGAAAAAGUUUUUCCAGCCCCUCCCUUAACAAUAUUUAUAUUUUUAGUUUAAAUAAUAAAACAAUUAAUAUUUUGAUCCCCUUUAAUUUUAUUUUCUGGUUCUGCCCCUGGUUGCCAUCAUGCAUUUUUCCUCGAGGAGAGGCCAUGAGACGUCCUCUUCCAACCAUCAUGCAUUUUUUCCACGAGAUGGGUUCGUGGAGAAACUUUGGUUUAAUUGGGAAUGCUGUUAUUGAUUGGAAACUUUUUAAUUAAAAUAAAUUUGAUUAUUUGAUUGGAAAAAAUCCUUAAAUGUUAUUAACACAAGAAAUGAAUUUAUUUUCUUAAGAAAAAAAUAUUGUAACCAUAUAAGUAAUUUAUUUAUUUAUUUUAAUGAAAUAUAAAAUAGUUUUAAAUCUUGUGGUAUAUUUCUUGUCUUUAAGAGCUAUGAACUUAUAUCGCAAACCUUGAAAACUAAUAUAAAGAUAUUAAGUGAUCAUUAAGUGUGUGUGUAUGUAUAUAAUCUUUUUCAAAACAAAAAGGAUUUUGAUGGAGAUCAGGACAUUGCAACAAAUUAUCCACCACGAGAUGGGUCACUGAUACCAUUGUCAUCAUGCAAUUUUUUCCCACGAGAUGGGGCCGUACGCUUGGGGCUCUAAAACGCUAUGGUUUUUAAUUUCAUUAUGUCACAUCUAGAAUGGCAGGUAUAUUUUAUUUCAAUUUAAACAAUGGAAUAAAUUAGAAGAUAUUUCAUCUCGUUUGGAAUCUUAUCUCAUUUCAUGAAUUUCACCUAAAUUCUGGCCGGAAUAUUUUGGUUCUAUUCCAGCCAUUCUAUUAUGAUCAAAUAAUGUUUUGUUUUGCUUUUAUAAAAAAAAAAAUAUAGUCUAGUUUUACGGUAUCAAUUAUAUCUCUCAAUUCAACUGUUGAAUUAUACUAAAAUUUUACAAGGAAUCUCCUAACAUAUAUUUAUAUCGCAAGUUAAAAUUUUAGAACAAUUAGAGUUUAGAAAGACUUUGUGAGAUUGCCGAUGACAUUUUCAUAAUUUUAUUUAAAUUCAUAAUUUGGUUUCGUAAGGUCAUUUUUUGUGUCUUCUUUUAGAUUGUUUUGUUUUUCCAAUUUCAUAAUUCAACAAUAAGUUUAUUAAAAAUUGAGAUUCAUAAUUUGUUUUUAUUUUGGAUUAUUAUGGUCUCAUAAUCUGGGUCACGGAUUUAAAAGAUUAACUUAGAUUAACCCGAGUCUAUCCAAUAUGUCGUUGUCUCAAUAUUUUUAACAAACAUAAUUUUAAUUGACAUUUAAAAAUAAACUAACUUAAAAUUAUACAAUUUAAAUUUCAAAUAUAAGUAAAAAUAAAGAGUUAAAUCGAUAUGACCCAUUUGAUUUGAUGAGUCCAAAGUAUAUAUAGAACAAUCCAAAAUGACACAUCAAAAUACUCAAAAACAAAAAUAUAUUGUUACAAUUAAAAAAAUAAAACACCAAUUAAAAUGGAAUUAACAUCCUUGCUUCAUAGAAGCCUAAACUCCUCGCUACCAUUUGCAAGAGAUAGUUAUACCAAUAGCAAUUUAGUAAUGUUGGUCAGAAUUUAAUAUCCUUCUCGAUAAGAAGAUCCUUAUCUUAUCGGAUAAAACCUAAUUGUUCUAACGUCAACAAAAGAAUUUAAUAUUCGGAAUACAUCUUACGUAUAAGGUCGUAACCCAAAUACUAAAAGAAAAAAAAUAAUAUUUUUGGAAUUUUUGAAAUAUUGGUCUAGUUCUCGUGACUUUAAUAAACUGGUUAUUAAAACCAAAAUGCAUGUUAAUACAUAUUUUUGAAUUUUUGUUGUAUGAAAAUAUGAUAUGAUUUUUUUUCUUUGAGAUACUUGGCCAUAUGCAUGAAAAUAAAAACAUGUUUUUUUUUUAAUUUUUCAAUGUUUCGACGAAAACUGGGUAUUUUAAUUCCAGAUUUGUAUCUUUACAGUAUAAAAAUACAAAUCAAUACUAAGAAAAAAUCAAUAGAAAAAUACGCGGUAAAAUCACAGAUUUUUUAAAAUGAUUUUUUUUUGACCGGGUAGGCGUUGUUCGGGUCAGAAAACUAAAACAAACAGUGGAGAGACUCUCUGCUGUUCACAUGCAACGUGAACAGUGGAGCGGCCUGGAGAAGACUAAGAAGAGGAGGAGGAAGAGGAAGAAGCAGACCUGCAGCCUAGCGGUGCUGCCAGUGGCGGUGGACGGUGUUGCGGUUGCGGACCGUGGUGCUGACUGGUUGGUGGUUCUUCUUUCUUUCUCUGCGUUUCCCUUCUGCUUUUUUUCUGUUCUACUCUAUUCUUCCUCUUGUUCCCUGUUUUAUUCUCUCUCCCUCUCUGGUCCUCUCAAACGUCCCCUGGAGCUGCUGCCUGAAGAUGAAGAUGAAGUUGAGGGUGAUCAGUGCUCUGAUCGAGCAACGUUUCUUUCUUUCCUUCUGCUACUGUUUUCGUUUCUGAUUCUCCUUUUUGUUCAAUUCUUAUUUGCACUCUUCUUCUUCUUCGUCGUCUCUGGUUUUUGAAAUGACGAAGACGAUGGCAACGCUGGUUCUGGUCUCAACGAUUUCCUCUCCUUACAUUCUUUCCUUCUGCUCAUUUCCGUCUCCCUCUCGUGCUACUCCCCACUUUCUCUCUUGUCCUGCUGGCUCUCCCUCCUUGUCUCCUCCUUUUUUUUUUUCCUGUCCGUCUCUCCUCUGGCUUUAUAUAGCGAGAGGAUGCAUGCUUUUCGGGAUUUAUUGCAGGAAGGUUGUAACAGCCGGAGUGUAUCAUGGUGGAGAAGGAUAUCAGCCGUGAGACAUGCUCCCCUGAUUGAAGCAGCUCCACCGCUAACAUCUUCACUACCUUUUACUGUAGAAACCGUUGUUGAUGAAGAAGGUAAUGAACAGUUGUCAAGGAAAUGGUACCGUUUUAAAAUUCAAAAUGAAUAUUUCCGAUUUGGUCAUUGGAUUUUUUGCAAUUUUGUAAUCAAGCCCCCGAAUAAAUUGUAAAUGGAUCUCUGGAUUUUAGCCCCAUUUACAAGACAAUUUUUUGUUCUGGAUUCAUGCAAUUUGACCCUCAAUUGAUCAAUAAACUUCUAAUUUCUUCAAUUUAACCCCUGAGUUGGUCAAUUGCAGCCUCUCUAUUUACGUGUCUUUUCCGAUUUGGUCCUUGGUUUCGUAUUUUUUCAAUCAAGUCCCUAAUUGCCCAUAAAACUUUAAUAAUUAUGCAAUUAAGCUCCUGAUUUGACCAAAUCAACUCUUCAAAAUUAUAAUUGUACCCUAGAACUUUAAUUUCUUCCAAUAAAAGCCUAAAUCGACAUAAAACUUAAUUUUUCUUUCAAUCAAACCCUCCAUAAAUUCAAUUAAACCCUCAAUAAAAUUUAAUUUAGUCCAUAAACAUCUGAUUUUGGAUAUAUUUUUUUUAAAAAUGAAUUUUCUUUGUCAACAGGGCUCUCAUUAGUCAACGAUAUACUAUCAAAUUUCAAUCUUUGUAUUUUUUAACCUCCUCAACCAAUUUUUAGCUAUUUUGGGCGGUCCAACAGCUUUCUCACUACGACAUAUAUUUUUAUUUAUUUAUUUAUUAUUAUUAUUUAUUUACUUUUUUUCGACUCUUACUUUUUGUAUUUUCUUCUUUUUUGUGUGAGGUCCUAAAAAUGGGUAACAAUACUUAAGUUCAAAUCUAUUAAUAAAAUAUAGUUUUAUUGAAUUUUUUUAUAUACUUUUAUUAGAGAAAUCAAUGUAAACAAAUUUACGGAAAAACAUUAGUUUAUCAAGUACUUAAAUAGAAAAAUAAAAUCAAUUAGAGUACUUGAAUAAAAAAAAUAUAAAUUAUAAGCAUUUUAUAUAUCUUUAUCGUUCAUACAUUAAGAUAUUUUAUUGAUUAAAUUUUGUGAAUAUAAGUAUUCAAAUUGAAAAAAAAAACAUUGAUGCAAGCUUUUAAAUAAAAAAAAUUAUAAAAUACAUAUAAUUUGCACUUCUCAUUGUCUCUUUCGCAUUGCUAACACUUAACAAAUUGAAUAUAUAAUUCUCGUGUGAAUAACGUCAGAAUAAAUUUAGUUAUAUGACAUUAUAAUACCUUUUUAUUUUUAUAUUUUAAAAAUAUUUUAAAAAAAUUAAAUUGUUUUAAAUAGAUAACUUUUGAAUCAUCAAGUAGUGAAACACAAGAAAAGCGAAGAAAGUGAAGAAUAAUCAAAGUGGUGCGGGUCCACAUCAAUUUUUGUCCAUGUUUUUGGUAUUAAUCUCUUCAUCUAUUUACAGCCGGAGAAAAGAACAUCACCUACUACUUUUCUUGUCUCUUCUUGCUUGGAAGAUAAGGCAUGUGAACCUUUGAGUGCCACUCAUUUUAGUACAUAGACUUGGUUAUUUGACCACAGCUUCACCACAAGUUAAAUUGUUUUAAUUAAAAAAAAUUAUAUAUAGAUUUCUUCAAUAAAUUUUUUAUUUAAAAUUUUUUUAAGUGAAAAUUGAAAAACUUAUACACAAAUAUUGUUAAAUAAAUCAAGAAUUUUGUGUAUUAAUAAGUGAAAAAAACCAUAAAUGAUGACUUAAAAUAAAAACUGGAAAAAUCAAUAAACAAAUGUAGAUCAAAAUAUUUAAUUUCACAAAACGUGAUAUUACAGUUGUGUUUUCUAAAUUUUCUAAUUAAAAUAAUUUUUUAAUUCGAUCAAACGAUAAUAAAAAUAGACACACAUAUUAUAAAUUGAUUGAAUAAAAUAAAAAAUAAUAAUAAUAUGUCAGGCUUCAUAUAUUGGAAAUAUUUUUUGAAAAUAUUUUUUUUAUUUUUAAAAAUAUAGUUUAUCUAUUAAAAAAAUUAUAUAUUAAAUUCAAAAUAAAUAAACUUUAAAAUAAUUUGCAAGGCUGCACAUAAGCCCUUUAAAAGGAAAGUGAUAUAACAAAAGUGGAACAAUUUUUAUUAACUAAAUAAACUCUAUAACUAUUAAUAUUAAAUUCAAAAUAUAUAUUAAAAAUAAAUAUUAAAACCUAUUAUAUUAAUUUGUGAAUUUAUCAAUUGAGAUGUGAAUUAUAUUUCUAAAAUGUUAUAAGAAAUUUCUAUAUACUACAACUAGCUUAAGAAAAUCAAGUUCAUCGAAACCGUAGAGUACAGAAAAAAAAUGAAUUGCAUGAUUAACCAAAACUUAUAUUUCUUCUUAAAACGUUGACCCCAAGUCAAGUUUUUUUUUUUUUUUGAAAAAAACAUGAAUACAAGGUUAAUGCUAGGCACAUGACGAUGAUGGAUAUACAAGACCUGCUCCUUUCUUUAUGGAAAUUACGUGUGGAAAAUUUAGGCCUUGAAAAAAAUUAAAAAAAAAAUACUAUUAAUCAUGUUAUUUGCAUUAUGGCAAAUAUAGAGACUUGAUUGAUAAAAAUUUAUAAGAGCAAGUAUUCAAAUUUUAAAAUAAAUAAAUAAAUCAAUUCAAGUUUUUAAUUAGAAAAAACAAGAUACAAAUACUCUGUGUAAGUGCCACUAACUCUUUGUAUUUUCUAACUAUUAAAGAAUUGAAUAUAUAAUACACGGGUGAUAAACAUCAAAAUAAAUCCAAUUGUAUAAUUUACUAAGAUUUUAAAAACUAACACUACAUAGAAAAAAAAAUCUUAAAAUAAAUAACAGAAAACUUGUAUUCCUUCGAGGGGUGUUUGAGAGUGUGGUAGCGGUUGCUUUUCAAAGUUUUUUCCCUUAAAAAUGCAUCAAAAUAAAUUUUUUUGAUUUUUUAAAAAUUAUUUUUAACAUCAUUAUAUCAAAAUGAUCUAAAAAUAUUAAAAAUAUAUUAAUUUAAAGCAAAAAAUAUAAAAAAAAUUAAAAAAUUUUAAUAAUACUUUUAAAAUACUAAAACAAACAAGAUAUUAAAAAAUAUACUACAAGUCAAAGUCUUUUUGAAAAAAAACAUUAAUAAAAGGUUAAUGGCAGGUAGCUUAUUUUCUGCCCUAAUAAAGCUCAAGGUCUGUUCAGAAAACUAAGUACGUAGGCAUACACCCAAUCCAAGCACCAUCAAAUCAUUUUUUAUACAUAGGGAUAGGAACGCUAGCUUCACAUGAUAGAUAAAAAAAAUUAAAAGAUAAUAAAAUUAAAAAAAUAAUUAUAAUCUUAUAUAUUAUUUUAAAUAAAAUAAAUAUUGAUUAAAAAAACCAAAUAUAAUAAAUUAAAAUAUUUAAUUUAAAAAAGAUAAGAGAAAAGUAAAUGAGAAUUAAAGUUGAUAUAAAAAUUAAAUUAUAAAAUAUAAAAUUCAAAAAAAAAAUAAAACCAAUUUUUUUUUUCUAAAAGAUAAUAUUCAGAUUAAAAGCAUUAUAAAAAGAAUAGCUCCUUGUUUCUUCCUUGUUUCAAUUUCAAGAUAUUAAGAUUAAAACCCAAUCGUAUAGCUGGUUGGGUUGAGAAGAAAGGUUUGCUUUUGUAUUACAAAUUAUUUAGAUUAGUUUUUUUUUAAAAUUAAUCAAAUUAGUAUCAUUUUGGUUCUCCAUCGAAGAAAAUAGAAAACAUAUUUAGUAAUAAGGUGUUGUUUAAUUCCUUAUAUUAUUAAUAUAAUCAUGGCAUCAUCACUGUAACAAUAAGUCCUCUUACUUGUAUUUUCACCGUCCCAACCUCUUUACAUGGCGUCACCGUAGCAAUUAUAUAUCUCUUGAUCAAUCAUAAUUAAAUUACUGUAAUAAUAUCUUUUUUUAUUCUUUUAUAUGAAGUCUUAAUUUAUUUUUUUAUAUAGGUAGUUAUGAAUUACAGAAAUUGAACAAUUUAGAGAUCUUUGACUUAGAAUCUAAUUGUUUCGAUAACAGUAUUAUAUUAUAGAGGGAUUUUUAUCCCUUAAAUUAUUAUAUUUAGAUUAAAAAAUAAAAACUAAUUAGGAGUCAAUUAAAUAAAUAAAUAAAAACCCUCAAAAGAUAAAAGAAGAAAACAUAAAAAGUACACUACCCAACCAAUAAUUGACCUGAAUCACAUGUUGUCCACUGCCAGAACUUAUUAGCAAUCUGCUUACAACAGCAAAUUGAUCAAUAAGAAAGACUUAAAUUCCAAAUUUAAAAACCAACUCAAUUGAGAUCCUUAUUAUUCAUUCAAUUAGUUGCUUCUUGCUAACUCUUUUAUUUCCUUUAUAAUUUUAAUUCAUUUUAAUAUAAUUUCUUGAUUGUGGCAAGCUUCCUUUAUCUCAAGAACUUGGAAUACUUGGAUUUCCCAAGAAAAAAUUAACUUAAGACUUUAGUUAAUGCUAUGAACACGAGUAAAUGAUAUGCUAAAGAAAAAACCAUGUAUUUAAGAACCAUUGCUAAGCUACAGGUUCAGGAGCCAUAAACCACUCACAUUUAGUGGGGUUGAUCUCAAAUUCAGACAAAUCUACUUGUCCAGUUCGGAGAACCUUCAAACAAAAAGAAGAAUGAAACCUUGUAAAAUUGGCUAUCAUCAAAAGGACAAGAAACAGUACAAGAAGGAUCAGCCUCGCAUUUCUUGCAUAAGUAAAAGAAUCCACUUGUUAAUGGAAAGGAGGACUCUGCAACAAGUCUAAAAUAUCCUCUGGAGUUCAGUGACCCUACAACCUUAUAUUUACCUCAGAAUGCACCCACGUAAAGCACACAGGAAAUCCCAACACAUAAGACAACAAAAGAAAACAUAUAAUUAGCAGAAAAAAAAAGGUUGUACAAUUCUUUCAUAGCUUACAGUACGUAUAGAAUAAGCAUUAUCAAAUCAGGCUAACAUACCUCAGGUAAGUGAGAUGUUAAUCCUUCUUCAAGCGGCAAUGUCUCAAUCAAUGACAUUAUCAAAUCAGGCUUCAGUAUAUCCCCUAAUCCCAAGCCUAGGACAACAAAAGAAAACAUCAUGAAAAAAAAUGAUUUUACAGUAAUGCACCCAGUGCCAGAGCAUAUAAUUAGCAGAAAUAAAGGUUGUACAAUUCUUUCACAGCUUACAAUACGUAUAGAAUAGGCAUUAAUAAUUACCUUCAUCUGGAUCGGCCAAACUACCUGCAACAUCUAUCAUCACAUCACGGCGCGGGCCACCCUAAGUACAGCAAACAAGGAUAUGGUCAAUUGCACUAUCUGAGCAUAACACAGAUAUUACUCAGGAUUCUUUGCAAGUCUUCCAAUUUCACUGGUUCUGAUGAAGAGUUUACAUCAUUCAUUACUUCUGCACCAAGGUCUGGGACAACUAAGUUUCCAGUCCUGAGAGCUAUGAGCAAAAAUCUCAUCAGAAUAAAAGAAAAUGGCAACGUAAUACUGGGCCAUUUCUUUUUUGUAAUAAAAGUGCUCCUUAACCUUUUUGAAGUUAUUUUACAAUGAAUUACAAGCAUUAAACUUGUAUAUACAUGGACAAACACCAAGUUAUGAUUCUAAAUUUCCAUAUAAAAGAUGCCCCAAGUUUUAAAAUUUACCCCGAGGGCAAGUCUGUGCAAGAGCAUAAGGGGAUGAAGGAUUUGACAUGGACUAAGGUGGGUGAGAUGUUUUUGUCAAGAAAUGAUUUUGGAAAAUUUCUUGAUAUUUCUUGAAUAAAUAAGAUAGGAGUCUUCAUCAAGGCAAGAACAUAGGCUCUCCAAGAUAAUUGACCAGAAGGAGAGAAGGGAGGCUCAUCCUGCUCCACAGACUCUUAGUCUCAAAGAACAAAAAAUUACUUGGCUCUAUAUCCUUACUCUUACUUGCUAUAUCAACUCUUAGAGUUGAAGUAUCUGAAAGGGUUUAUUUUUAGUAUUUGAAUAAGUCCAUGAGUCCCUAGUCUUCAGGAAGAUAUACAUGGUCAAGAUUAAAUUAAGGAUUUUAGUUGCUUAUUUUUCGUUAUUUCAUGUGCCACGUUACUGUGAACGUGAGCUAUUUUUCAGUCUUAUUAUUAUUCCUGUAAGGCUAUUUAUUAGCCAUUUCCAUUCAGUAAAAGCAAUUCAUUCAAUUCAAAUACUGUGCACUUUUGUUCUUAUUCUUUACAAUUGGUAUCAGAGCUAUUACAUCUGACCUGUUACGAAGAAAUAGAUACAAAAGGAAGACAUAUUUUUGAGUGACUUCAAACUUAGAGUGAGUGAGUGCUUGAGUGCUUUUAAACACAGAGUGAGUGAGUUUGAGUGUUUUUUAAACACAGAGUGAGAAAGAGAGUUCUUGAGGGUCAAUUUCAACAAUGGCAGCAGAGUCCAGCAAUUUUGUAUCACCUUGCAUCCCGAAAUUUGAUGGAGACUACGAGCAUUGGAACAUGCUAAUGGAGAAUCUCUUGCAUUCCAAAGAGUAUUGGAACGUUAUUGAGACAGGAUAUGUCGAGCCUGCAUCAGGGGAAAUUCUGAAUAAUGCACAGAAAAAGACAUUGGAGGAGACAAAGCUGAAAGAUUUAAAGGUUAAAAAUUACCUUUUUCAGUCCAUCGACAAAUCCAUUCUGAAGACUAUUACUCAAAAAGACACAGCAAAACAGUUGUGGGAUUCCAUGAAGAUCAAAUACCAAGGAAAUACAAGGGUUCGGCGUGCUCAACUUCAAAUCUUUCGCAGGAAUUUUGAAGUGCUGGAAAUGAAACAAGGAGAAACUGUCACAAGUUAUUUUGGAAGAGUUAUGCUGGUGGCAAAUGACAUGCGAAAUCUGGGAGAAAGCAUACCUGAUGAGAAGAUUGUAGAGAAGAUUUUACGCACACUUACUGAGAAGUACAAUUACAUAGUGUGCUCCAUUGAGGAGUCUAAAGAUAUUAAUCAUCUUUCAGUUGAUGAGCUGUAGAGUUCAUUACUUGUUCAUGAACAGAAAUUCAAAAGGCAUGACACAGAUGAUCAUGCCCUGAGAAUCUAUGAUGACAGAUUCUGUGGCAGAGGUCGUGGCAGAAACAAUUACAGAAGCCGAGGCCGUGGGGGCAGAACACAAACAUUCAAUAGAGACAUGGUGGAAUGUUUCAGGUGUCACAAACUUGGACACUUCCAAUACGAGUGUCCAACCAUGAACAAGGCAGCUAAUUAUGUGGAGCUAGAUGAUGAAGAUGAGAUGCUGCUAAUGUCCUAUGUUACAUUAGCUAAGACAACACGGAAUGAUGCAUGGUUCCUGGAUUCAGGAUGUUCUAAUCAUAUGUGUGGUUAUAGAGGUAUGUUCUCCUACUUGGAUGAAAAUUUUCAGCAUUCAGUCAAACUUGGAAACAAUAGCAGAAUGGCAGUAGUUAGCAAAGGCAGAGUAAAAUUACUAAUCAAUGGUAUUAAGCAUGUUGUUAAUGAUGUCUAUUAUGUACCAGAGCUUAAAAAUAAUUUACUGAGCAUAGGUCAACUACAAGAAAGGGGCUUAGCAAUUUUAAUUAAGAAUGGAGUUUGUAAGAUUUACCAUCCUGAGAAGGGUUUGAUCAUUCAAACCAAGAUGAGUGCAAAUUGGAUGUUCAUCCUACUUGCACAGACUCAAGCUCCCGUACAUGCACAGACUCAGAAUCAAGAGAAUUGUCUUCUCACCGGUUCUCAAAAUCCCUCAGUGCUAUGGCACAGACGGUUCGGUCACUUAAGCUACAAAGGCUUAAGAACCUUACAAUGGAGACAUAUGGUACAUGGACUGCCCACCUUCUCGACUCCCACCAUCACCUGCACAGAUUGCCUCAAUGGCAAGCAACACAGAGAGGUCAUGCCCAAACACAGCAAAUGGAGAGCAAAUCAGAAAUUGGAAUUAAUUCAUGCAGACAUUUGCGGUCCUAUUUCCCCCGAAUCCAAUAGUGGCAAAAGGUACAUAUUAUGUUUCAUUGAUGAUUUCAGCCGAAACUAUGGGCAUUUCUUUUAGCUACAAAAUCCGAAGCUUUCAUUUAUUUUAAGAAAUUCAAAGCUAUGGUGGAAAAAGAAACCCUAUUGCAUGUGAAGUGUCUAAGGACUGACAGGGGAGGAGAAUUUACCUCAAGUGAAUUCAACGAAUUCUGCAGCCAACAAGGUAUCAAACGGCAGCUCACCACGGCGUACACUCCACAGCAAAAUGGAGUUGCAGAGAGAAAAAAUCGAACCGUGAUGAACAUGGUCCGAUCAAUCCUCUCUGGUAAAGGGAUUCCAAAACCCUUCUGGCCAAAGGUAGUGAACUGGGCCUUCUAUGUGCUCAAUCGGUGCCCAACUUAUGCUUUGACAGACAUCACUCCUCAUGAGGCAUGGAGCGGAACUAAACCAUCAGUAGACCAUUUCAGGGUCUUUGGGUGCUUGGCCCAUGUUCACGUUCCAGAUGUGAAACGGAGUAAGCUUGAUAACAAAAGCUUUGUGUGUGUACUGUUGGGUAUGAGUGAGGAGUCAAAGGGGUACAAGUUGUUUGAUCCUUUAAACAAAAAAAUCGUGGUUAGCAAAGAUGUGAUCUUUGAGGAGGACAAACAGUGGGAUUGGGAUGUUGCUUAUGAAGAACAAAUCUUGACAGAUUUGGUUUGGGGUGACAGAGAAGGAACACGUGAAGAUGGUGAUAAUAGUGAUGACAAUCACGGGGAUGAGAGUGGUGAACGUGAGGCUGAAAUCAAUGGGGAAGAAGGGGAAGAAAACGAAGAACACAGACACAUUGUCUGUGAAGAUGAUGAAAAUGCUGAGAGAGAAGAAGAAGAAGCUGAGUUAAAUGAUCUUACGGUGUGUAUGCUGCCAGUUGGAAGAAUAGGUGAGCAGGUCAAUCCUACGGCAUGAACGCGGCCAAGUGAACAAAGGGAGAUGACAGAUGGCAAAAUAGAUGUUAAUCCAACGGUGAGAAUUCAGUCUGACAGGGAGAGUGAUUAGAUGACAUGUGGCGUACAUCCAACGGCACAAAACAUGGCAGACGGAGAGAAUGAGCUGCUGACAAGUGGAGACAAUCCAACGACUGACAUGCAAUCUGACGGGGAGAGUGGCCUGCUGACAAGUGGAAGAAGAGAAAGGGGUCCUCCGGUGUGGAUGCAAGAUUAUGUUACAGGGGAGGAUUUAUCUGAAUAUGAGUCCAAUAUGGCACUAAUUAUGUCUUCUGAUCCCAUUUAUUUUGAAGAUGCUGUGAAAGUUAACACUGGAGACUUGCUAUGGACAGUGAAAUUAAUGCAAUAGAGAAGAACAAUACCUGGACGCUCAACGAGUUGCCGGAGGGAGCAAAAAAAAUUGGAGUCAAAUGGGUCUACAAAACAAAGUACAACGAACAUGGGGAUGUUGAUAAAUACAAGGCAAGGCUAGUUGCCAAAGGGUACUCGCAACAACACGGAAUUGACUAUACAGAAGUCUUUGCACCAGUGGCAAGGAUGGAUACAGUAAGGAUGAUUAUUGCUCUCGCCGCUCAAAAAAACUGGAUUGUUUAUCAGUUGGAUGUCAAAUCGGCUUUUCUGCAUGGGGAAUUGCAUGAAGAUGUUUAUGUUGAUCAACCAAAAGGGUAUGAAAAGAAGGCUAGCGAACAUCUAGUUUACAAGCUGCAUAAAGCGUUGUACGGGUUAAAACAAGCUCCAAGAGCUUGGUUCAGUCGAAUCGAGGGUCAUUUUUUCAAUGAAGGCUUUCUACGGUGUGAAAGUGAGCAAACUUUAUUCACAAAGAGAAGCAGGGAAGGAAAGAUUAUCAUUGUAAGUGUUUACGUUGAUGAUCUAAUAUUUACUGGCGAUGAUACACAUAUGUUGUCUGAAUUCAAAAACUCCAUGAUGAGGGAGUUUGACAUGUCAGAUUUGGGGAAGAUGCGGUAUUUCUUGGGAAUCAAAGUAUUACAGCAUUCAGGUGGCACCUACAUAUGUCAGAAGAAAUAUGCACUAGAGGUGUUGAAGAGGUUUGGUAUGAUGGAAUGCAAUGCGGUGAAAAAUCCAAUAGUUCCCGGAUGCAGAGUCAACAAAGAUGAAGGCGAAGCUAAAGUAGAUGAAACAUAUUAUAAGCAGUUAGUGGGCAGCCUAAUGUAUCUCAUAGCAACAAGACCAGACAUGAUGUUUGUUACUUGUCUCAUCAGCAGAUACAUGGCCAAACCUACGGAACUUCAUCUACAAGUAGCAAAAAGGGCACUUAGAUAUCUAAGAGGGACAAUAAAUUUUGGAAUUUAUUACAAGAAAGGGGGAAGUGAUGAACUACUCUCAUUUACGGAUAGUGAUUAUGCUGGAGAUAUGGAGGAUAGAAAGAGUACAAGUGGAUAUGUUUUUUUGUUAAGCUCAGGAGCAGUCUCAUGGAGUUCGAAGAAGCAACCAAUAGUGACUCUUUCUACAACUGAAGCAGAAUUUGUAGCAGCCGCAAUGUGUGUAUGUCAAGCUCUUUGGAUAAAAAGAGUCUUGAAGGAAUUGGGACACUCAAAUAAUGAGUGCACACAAGUGAAAUGUGAUAACAGCUCAACUAUUAAAUUGUCCAAAAAUCCAGUGAUGCAUGGACGCAGUAAGCAUAUCGAUGUAAGAUAUCACUUUCUGAGAAAUCUUACUAAAGAAGGUACAAUUGCAUUAGUUCAUUACGGAAGUCAGGAUCAGGUGGCAGAUUUAAUGACCAAGCCUUUAAAGCUUGAUGCAUUUCUGAAACUAAGAACACUGUUGGGAGUCCAAGAAAUUACUGAUGUAAACUAACUGCAUACUGCAGUAAGUUUAAGGGAAGGAAUGAAAGGGUUUAUUUUUAGUAUUUGAAUAAGUCCACGAGUCCCUAGUCUUCAGGAAGAUAUACAUGGUCAAGAUUAAAUUAAGGAUUUUAGUUGCUUAUUUUUCGUUAUUUCAUGUGCCACGUUACUGUGAACGUGAGCUAUUUUUCAGUCUUAUUAUUAUUCCUGUAAGGCUAUUUAUUAGCCAUUUCCAUUCAGUAAAAGCAAUUCAUUCAAUUCAAAUACUGUGCACUUUUGUUCUUAUUCUUUACAGUAUCAUCUUUGAGUAUGCUUAUUUGUUAUAAUAAAUAUACCUUGAUGAGAUAUUAUCUUUAAGCAUGUCUUCAAAAACUUGGAAAGGAGUAGAAGCAUCAGGCUCUUCUUCAUCAAGGAACUCUGCCAGGCAAUAAGAUAAAGUAGCGACGUUGCUGAUGGAAAAACUUCACUCUUGAAUGAGUGCUGAAGUUAUAAGCCAGGUCAUUAGUUUGAAGGAGUAAAACUGGUUAGUAAAAUUUUAGGAAAACCAAUUCACACAUACGGAGUGUGUAACUAAAAUAAAUAAACAGGAAGUAGAAAACAGGAAAUCCAAUUAGUCUAAUAUGAUAUUUCUGUGAAAUAGAGGUUUUCUUUAUGAAAUUGUGGAGAUGAGAGGAGAUAAAUGCAGAUGCAAGAUAAAAAAAAACAAUAAAAAAAAACACAAAAGUAGCAUGGCUAGCAAAGGACUCAAAACACAAAAGUAUUUACCAAAUGGACGAUUAAUAUAAUAGUUGAUAGAGCUACACAAUUGUGAAUCAUCUUUAGCUUUUGGCUCCUGCAAACAUGUUACACAAUUUUCCAAAAUCAUGCAACUAACAGCCGAGUCAAUGUUACACAUAAGAGAGUGAAAAACACAGAAAAUGAACCUGACCUGCAUCCAAAUGAAAAACUUUCAAUCAUCUGUAUUGAAUUUCAAGAUGUAAACUCUUCCCAAAGCUUGAUUAACCUGAAUAACCCAAAGAAUUAUGAAUCUAUGAUAUUACAAUCAAUUAUUAGAGUCAAAUAUCUCCCAUCUAAGAAAAAACUAAGAGAGAAAAGUGUACCUUCUCAAAAACAGCCUCUUCAGAAAAAAAAAUCUGAUCCUGUCAAUCAACACGUCAAGAAAAAGCUACCAAGUUCUUACCUCAAAAGAAUAUUAACAAAACAAACAACAGAAAAAGAAAUAAAAACCAAUGUUGGAAGAGAGAAACAAAAUCCCCAGGCUAAAAAACAUAAUAAUAACUAGGACACAUCUUCCACAGCAUUCAAAUUCCUAUCAAGCCACUGGAAAUGAAGCAAACCCUCGUCACCCUGGAACAAUUCAAAAAUUUCGACUUCAAACAGGAAACAAGAUGCUAGAAACACUCUAUCUAGUACUUAAGAUAAACCAAAACAACAGAAGUAACUAAAAAUCUUUACACAGGUACGAACUCUGUAUAACACAAAAAAACCAAAAGACACCAGUUUACCCUUCCAAUGCGAACAAGUCCUUUUCGAGAAUCAGGAACAAACUUUUUUCCAUCAAAAACCAUUUUACCAGCACGAAACUCCAACAUAAUUUCCUACCAACAAAACAACCACAACAUCAUAACAUAACCCCAUCAAGAAAAACAUACUUAUACAUCCAAAAAAGCAAUUACAGGCUCUAAUUAAUAAGAUACAAGAUUUUAAGCAAAACCCACAAUUUUAAAAGUGAUUUUAUUUACCUGCAUUGCUGAAAUAUCUACAGCUGAUGAAGAACCCAUUUUUCGCAUACUUCCUCUAAAGCUUCCUUUUUUCCAACACUGCAAAAAAAAAAAAAGAAGAACAAAUCAAAUACCCAAAUCAGAAACAAUAACAGAAAAAAAAUAAAAGAAAAUCCAAUGCUGGAAGUUGUAAUCAGGAGGAGAACCAUACAAUUUCUGAUGGAAUGACAUUUUAUCAAGAAUUGAACUAGGCAUUCAGUUAAUUAAAUAGGUUGUAAACUUGUAAUCAGGUGAGAGUAGUGUCAACAUGUUUAGUUUUCCUCUCGGAAGUGUCAUUCUGCACAAAUCAGUGUUUUAAAAAUAUUAAAAAAAAAAUUUAAUUUGUUUUUAAAUUUGUUUUUUAGUGGUUUUCAUUUAUUUUCGUGUAUUAAUAUUAAAAAUAAUUUUUAAAAAAUAAAAAAUAUAUUAUUUCAAUUUAUUUUAAAAUAAAAAAAAAACUUAAAAAAAAUACUGUUAACACAGUAUUAAACAAACUCGAAUCCUAUAACCAGAUGAACAACGUUAAGAUAUUUGUUUUUUGUUUUUUGUUUUUUUUGAUAAUGAGGAUGUCCUAAACAAUCUUGCCUAAUGAUUGUUAAGAAAUGAAAGAGGCAAUGCAUGGCUAAACCAAUGGAAGCUAAAAAGCUAAUGAUGCCCCUAGCUAGUAAGCAAUUGUUGCCGCAAUGACAUAUGCCUCAUUAGAGAUAGAUUUGAAUUUACAUAUUAUUAUUAUCAUAUAUUUUGUAUUCUCGUUUAAAAAAAUAAAUAUUUUCCUUAUAUGGAGUAGAGUGUUUUUAAUUUUAUCAUGUAAAAUUUAUAUAUAUUUUAAAAAUUAAUACAAUAUACAGUUAAACAUCUAUAAAUUAAUAUCAUUGAGACCAUGAAAUUUAUUAAUUAAUCAAGAUAUUAUUUAGUAAAUAAAUUUAUACACUUAUCCAUUAAUCACAAAAAAAUUUCUUUUUCAAAAACAUUGAACUCAAUACAUGCAUUGUGUAUUCUGAUUAUAUGAAUAUUAUCUAAUUAUCAAAUUAUGAAUUAUCAUAGUUCUAUAUAUUUAUUUAAAUAAAACAAGUUUAAGAAUUAAUGUAAUCGAUCUUAUUAAUUAAUAAAAGUCAUGUAUGUAUCUAUUUUUGCAAAUUGGAUGCAUACUUAAUUAAUAUUAAGUCAAGAACAAAACCAAAAAAAGGAAUAUACAAGUGAGCCAAACAACAAUAUUAAAAACGAAUAAGAGGUUGAAUUAAUAUUCAUUAACUAAUAAUAAAAUUAAGAAGAUGAUACCAAAGGACACAAAAUCACAAAAAUUCGUGAAACUACAUAAGGCGGUUUGUUCAAUACCAAGAAAUUAAAUAUUUAAAAAAAAACUAAAUGAAUUGUUUAAAAAGUUAAAAGAAAAUAAAUGCACUUUUGUCCACGUCAACAACAACUAUAACAAAAUGCUGGGCUGUAGAAGAUUUUCCACAGCAACCUGAAAAAAUCAUAUAUGCUCAAGUAACUAUUUGGUAGAGCGUAUUUGGAGUGCUAAUAUCUUUUCUUUAUGGAAUCAGUCCUCGUACUCGAUCUCUGAAACCAGUUAAGGUUCUUAGUGACCAAAAUACUAGGUAGCGACUCUCAUUCCAUUUUUCCACUAAUAAAAGACAAGAAUUCCUUGUCUCCCCAUAGAUGCCUGAUAGAUAAUACAUUUUGAGAGUGGAUAUUUUCACCGCAACAUCGUAUACGUGCGACAUUAUGUAUACAGGUAUUUCACGAGAUGAUGCGGAGUGUUAAAUAUAAGCUUUGUGUUUAAAUCUGUUUUUUUAUGUAAUAUCUUUUGUUUUAUAUGUAAUUUGUAUUAUAUGUAGAUUUUAAUAUAUGAAUCCUAAAGAUAUUUGCUUUUGGUAUUUAUACAUUUAGAAUGUAUGAGUAAGGAACUAAUAUUAGUAAACUAUUUGAAAAGAAUACUUAAUAAUUAUAAUUAUGCAUGUUUAAAAGAUGGAUGCAUGUUAACGUAAUAAUUAGUUCAAUAUGAAUCCUUUGAGUUUAUAUUUGUAUGCAGUUAAUGUUUUAUUUUAAGAGAAUAUAAUUGCUAUGUUUUAUUUUUUUAUGAUGUAAGGUUGAGAAAGCACAACAAAGUAUUGCUAUGUGAAAUAUUGUAUGAUGAGAUGGGAUAUGAUCCAGGAUGGUUGAAUUGAAAUAGAAGAUUGAGUAUUGUGAUUGAAUGAAGUCUAGUCGAUAACUUGGUAACAUAAAAAAACAAAAGAAACUCUGCCGAAUUUUCUGUAGAAAAUUAGAUUUAUAUAAUAACUAUUACUUUGAUGAUAUAACUUUGAGAGUGAUACAUCAAAUGUGAGAUAUGUUAGACAAUAACCGCAAGACAAUAACGGUUCAAGACGUAGACAAUAACAAUUCAAAUUUCGGUAGUCCUCAUAUGAAUACCAUAUAUAUAUAUAUAUAACUUUACUCUGUUUUUCAGUUGCAUGAUAUUGUUAUUUUAUCCCGAUUGAGGGGGUGUUAUAAUUAUGGUCUUAUGAUCCGAGUCACUGAUUUAAAAGGUUAACCUAGAUUGACCCGGGUCGAUCCAAUAUGUUGUUAUCUCAAUAUUUUUUAAAAAAAUAUUAUCUUGAAUUUUUUGAAGUAAAACUAUAUGUUUAUCAGUCGUCCAGACUAUCUUUGGACUCAUUGAAUCGAUUGGGUCAUAUCGAUUCAACUCUUUUUUUUUAGUUAUAUUUGAAAUUUAAAUUGUAUAAUUUCAAAUUGGUUUGUUUUUAAAUGUCAAUUAAUAUAUAUAUAUAUAUAUAUAUAUAUAACAAUCCAAAAUGACAGGUUAAAAUACUAAAAAACCAAAACAUAUUGUUACAAUUAAAAAAAUAAAAUACCAAUUAAAACGGAAUUAAUUGACAACUUGCUUGGUAGAAGCAUGAAACUCCUCGCUGACAUUUGCAAGAGAUAGUUACUUAUACCAGUAGCAAUUUAGUAAUGAUUGAUCAGCAUUUAUAGUAAGAUGGGGCUAUUAAUUCAAAUGUUGAUGGCAUUAGUAACAAUGAUUUUCUUGGAAGGAUUGCUUCCUCUUGGUUGCUUGAAAAUAUACGGUUUUUUUUUAGUUCAAAUCUAUUAAUAUAAAUAUAGUUUUAUUGAAUAUUUUUUAUAUAAUCUUAUUAGAGAAAUCAAUGUAAACAAAUUUAUGGACAAACACUAGAUUAUCAAGUAUUUAAAUAGAAAAAUAAAACAUUGAUACAAGCUUUUAAAUAAAAAACAUUUAUAAUAAAUAUAAUUUGUACUUGUCAUUAUCUCUUUUUCAUUGCUAACACUUAACGAAUUGAAUAUAUAAUUCUCAUGUGAAUAACGUCAAAAUAAAUUUAGUUGCAUGACAUAAUAAUACCUAUUUGUUUUUUGUAUUUUAAAAAUAUUUAAAAAAAUUAAAUUUUUUUAAAUAAAUAACUUUUGAAUCAUCAAGUAGUGAAACACAGGAAAAGUGAAGAAAGUGAAGAAUAAUCAAAGUGGUGUGGGUCCACAUCAACUUUUGUCCAUGUUUUUGGUAUUAAUCUCUUCAUCCAUUUACAGCCGGAGAAAAGAGCAUCACUCAGUGCUUUCCUUGUCUCUUCUUGCUUAGAAGAUAAGGUAUGAGAACCUUCGAGUGCCACUCAUUUUAGUACAUAGACUAGAUAUUUGACCAUAACUUAACUGUUAGUUAAUUGUUUUUUCAAUUAAAAAAAUUUAUAUAUAGAUUUCUUCAACGUAUUGUUUAUUUAAAAAAUCUUAAGUGAAAAUUAAGAAAUUUAUACACAAAUAUAGUCAAAUAAAUUGAGAAUUAUAUGUGUUAAUAAGUGAAAAAAAAACCAUAAACGAUGACUCAAAAUAAAAACUGGAAAAAUUGAGAGACAGGUGCUGAUCAAGAUAUUUAAUUUCACAAGACGUGACAUUUAUGCAGUUGUGUUUUUAAAAUUUUCUAAUUAAAAUAAUUUUUUAUUCAAUCAAACGAUAAUAAAAACAGACACACAUUAUAAAUUGAUUGAAUAAAAUAAAAGGAGAAAAAAUAAUAUGCAAGCCUACACAUAUUAAAAAUAUUAUUUGAAAAUACAUUUAUUUUUAUUUUCAAAAAUAAAAUUCAUCUAUACAAAAGAUUUUUAAAAAAUAUAGAUUAAUCACAAAAACCUCCUCAAAAAUUAAAUGCAUAAUUAAAAAAUAAUUAUCAUUUCAAAUAGGCUUUCUAAAUAAUAUAAAAGAGAGAAGGGAUAUAAAUAUAAAUAUAAAUAAGAUUAAGAUUAAGAUUAAUUUAAAAAAAUACAAACAAAAAAAAAGAAAAUAUUUUUUCUUAAACAAAAAAAAGUGAACAAUGUCGUUCACAGUAAAACUUGUGGGGUGAACUCGAACUCAACCGAGUUUAAUAUUUUUCCUCUUAAAUUUAUAACAAACCUAAAAAAAGUAAACAAUGUCGUCCAUUGUAAAACAUGAGGAGGUGAAUAGUGCAACUACACAGUGUUCACCUUAUAUAUUUUUCCUCUUAAAUUUAUACCAAAACCGUAAUAAAAAAAGGUGACCAAUGUUGUCCAUAGUAAAACGUGAGGGGGUGAACAACGCAUCUUCAUAGUGUUCACCCCGCACACCUUAGCUUAUUUAGGGUGAACCUGAAUCAUGAACUCAAUCGGGUUUAAUAUUUUCCCCUCUUAAAUUUAUAGCAAACCUAAAAAAAAGGUAAACAAUAUAGUCUAUAAUAAAAUAUGAGGGGAUGAACAAUACAGAUGCACAAUGUUCACCUCACAUAUUUUUUUCCUUAAAUUUAUAGCAAAACCUAAUAAAACAAAUAGUGAAUAGUAUAUUCAUUGUAAAACGUGAGAGGGUGAACAAUGUGGCUAUAUAAUAUUCACCCCACAUGCUUUAGAUUAAACGUGAGAUGGUUAUUUUUUAAAAUAAAAAAAAAUUAAUAAGCAGGCUAUUACAAUGCGCUUUUUAAUGAUGACGAUAUUUGUAGCAAAAAUUUCAAAGGAUUUAAUACAAAUCCAAGCCAAAAUAUUUCACUAGAUUACUAUUUUACGAUCUUCUUAAAACUUGGGUUCGAGCUUGUCAUGUUGAAUCAUCUCUUCUAGAAUCCUUUUUACCGUCUAAUGACUGCCGCUUAUGUUUGUGCAAUUUCUUGUUUACUAGUAAAAUUGUACAGACGUGGGCUUGAAGCUGUUAACUUUCCCUGGACUGGUUAUGUAAUAUAUUUAUAGGUCUAACUGUAUACUAUCACUUGGUCCAAGAGGCAAUAUUGCAAGAUUCCAACGAAAUCUACUGUAAUCUACUGUCCUGGGACAAGAGUUCCAAAAACAUCUACUCCAAAUUUUGUUCUUUUUGAAUCUUUAGUUAUUUUUAUUUUUUCUCAUCAUUUUUUAAAAUAAAAAAUAUAAAUAAAUUACUACAAAAUGAAUAAAACAAAACCAGAAUAAAAAAGUAACAUUAAACAGCAGCCAUUUCAUCAGCUUUAAUUUUAGUAUAACACAAUAAUAUGAACCAACCUUGAUUCUCGAAGGCACCCAACUAAUUCAUUAGCCUUCAAAUUGCCAUCACCUAAUUUCACGAUCCAUGACCGACAUAUAAACAAGGGUCCUCUCCAAGUUCCCAUACAUAUACGAAUCCAAAUAUACAUAGAAACUUAUCUUUUAAAUAAGUCAAUUAGAGUUCAACACAAUAUUAAUAACAAAAUUAAUUAAAUAAGUCAAUCAGAGUUCAACAUAACAUUAAUAACAAAAUUAACUUCAUAAUAUAAUUUGAUUGUCUUAAUACAAAAAUUAAUACAAAGUUCGUAGUUGUGGAGCACUAUCUAGACAUAAAAAAAAUCAUAACAAAAACAACAAGGGAGGGGGUUUGAUAGUAUGUAAUACAACAACUAGAAAUAUAUAUAUAAUUAUGGCUUUAGGUUUUUAUAAAAACGUUUUUUAAAUAGAUCAUAUAAGAACAACGGAGGAGGGGGUUUAACGGUAUGUAUUUGCCUGCUAGUAAAAAUUGGUUAGCACCUAAACAAGGUCCUGUGCUAAAUCUAAAUUGGUAAGAUGUGAUAUGCUAAUAUCUAGAAAGAUAACUUAAUCUAUCCAUUGAAGUAAAGCAUUUAAAUGCGUAUACAAUGUUUUUGGAACAUUAAAUAUCUAUUUGAUCAGAAUCUGAUGGGGCAAUAGGUGAUGCAGGCAUAAACUAGAAAGACAACAAACAAACACAAAGAAAAAAGAUUUGUUAAGCAAACAGGGUUGCAAACUUAAACACUAAAUUCGCAAUUUAUUAUUCUGAAAAAAGUCUAAUGAUGUUUGCCUCUCAAAGAGGUUUCUAAAACAUUUAAAUAUGCUAAAAAACCUAUCUCUAUUGGAAAAAAAAAAUUCAGAAUCCAAAAGAAUAAACAAAAACUACAUAAAAUCUGAAAUAAAACAAUAAAUAUGAAAAAAAUCAAGGAAAAAUAGCUAAAUUGGCUCAAAACAGGAUCUUAUGAACCUAAUUUCAGGGGAUCCGAACAUCAAAUGAUCAACAAAGUAUGUUUCCAAUUGAGAUGGGCCUUAGAAAUCUCCUAUAAAAAUUGAGAUCUAAGCAAAUUAAGUGAUAUUUGUUUGAGACUUCGCUAACUACAUAUAAAGGAAUUAAAAAUAAAUUAUGAUGAUCAAUUCAAAAUCAACAAAAUAUUAAAGUGAAAUUGGAAGCAAAAACAGGGCAAAAAUCAUUAAAUCAAAAGAAGAAAAAAUUAGAAGAUAGAAUUUAUUUAUUUUUUUUAAAAAAGGGGGGAGGAUAUGAAUAGUGAAGUAGGAGGGAAAAACCUAAUUUUUUUAGUAUAAUAAAUAAUUUUUAAUUAAAUUAAAAUCUUCAUCUCAUACAAUUAGACCCAAAAAGAGUUAAAUAAAAAAGGGAAGAAAAUUUCUAAAGAUAUAAGGACCAAUUUAAAAAAAUAAAAGGAAAAAAAAAUGAAAAAACACCAAAUCAAGAAACGAAAAAAUAUAAGGACCAAUUUAAAAAAACAAUAAAAAAUAUAAAGAGUGAAGGAGGUAGAGAAACAUAAGUUUUUUAGUAUAGUAGUUUAUUUCUAGUUAAAUUAAAAACUUUAUCUCAUAUAAUUAGGCCAAAAACAAUUUUUUAAAAAAAAUAAGGACUAAUUUGUAAAAAAAGAAGAGAAAAAAACAGAAUCAAAUCAAAAGGGAAAAAAAACUAAUUUAAAAAUAAAAAUAAAAUGCUUCAUUAUUCAUGUAAAAACAAAACAUCAUUAUAGUAUCCAACUAGACAAGUGACCUACACUACGGGCUAUCCUAAUUUUUUUAAAGCAAAAUUUUUUUUUAGCAUUAUUAGAUGUGAGAAAAUAUUUUUUAAAAAACAUACAUGUGUACAAGAUAGGAGAGAUUUGGUUUGAGAAUGCAUGCUAAAAAUCUAAACAUGAACUAAAACAAAGUGGAAUUAAAAAAAAAAAAAAAACUUAAAAGAGAUCAGUGAUUCAUUAUAGACUGUGAGGUAAAACACUGUAGAUUAGCAUAAUAUAUUUAUUUUUUGACCUUCUCUACGUAAAAUAAUUGCCUUGCUAACAGGGUAAAGUUGUUAUUUUCAAUGGAUCUAAAGGUUAUUUGUAAAUUGAUUGGGAAUAAUUUAGUAGGUUAGCUAUUUUAUUUGCGUAGUAAAAUGACGUCAAUACCCUUGAGAGUUCAAAAAUAUUGACCUUGACAAAGGCAUUUUUUAGUCUUUUCCAUGUUUUGUAUACUGUAAAAUGACAAAGUUAACCUUAGAAUAAAAAAAUCUAAAGCUGGUCUGGGAUAGCAUUUUCAUCUUUGCAAUAUAGCUUUUUUGUAAUAUUUAGAUGCUCUUAUGAGCUAUUUAGCAAUUUAAAGUAUUGAAAUAUUAAUAAAUCAAUAAACAAAGGCUGACAUGUGUGUAGCACGUGUCAACACGUGAUAGUCCACCACGUCAUUUGGGAGGCGUGUGAUAGUCCAACAUGUAAUAUGGAGGUGUAGUUGAUGACGUGGCGUGUCGUCAUAUUUGUAGUGGUUUAAUGGUGAUAAAAAAAUUUUCCCGUCCCCCUCUUUUCUCUCUCUAAGGCUUUAGUAUUCACGCCGAUGCUUUAAAAUUUCACUUGUAUCCUUUGGAUUGUAUUUAUAUUAAGUUUGAUUCUUAUUAUUUUAAUUUCUAUUUAUUUUGAUUUUAGUGUUUUUUAAAGAAAAAAAUUUCAAUUUCAUUCCUCAACAUUUUAUUUCAUUUAAUUUUUAUAUUAAACUUGGUCCUCAUUCUUUUAAUUACUAUUUUCUAUCCUUUACUUAAUUUUUUUAAUUUUAUUUCUUAUUAUUUUAUUUUAUUUUAUUUUGUUUGCAAUUGCAGUUCUUUUUUUUUUUUAUCCCUAGUAAGCAAUUGUUGCCGCAAUGACAUAUGCCUAGCAAGAGGAAAAAAAAAAAAAAAAAGAGACGCUUGAAGGUUAGAGAAGGCACCUCUGAGUGGAAGGAGGCUGAGGUGCGCUAUUUUUGAAGUAUGUGAAAAUCAUAUGUUUCAAUGCUACUUCUUGCAAGAGUCUCCUUAACCAACCUAGAGUGUUAUAUUAGACUGCUAACGUAUUUUAUAAAAAUAUUGAUAAAAAUAUUUUUGGAUAAUUUUUUUUAUUUUAUUUGAAUUUAUUUCUUAAAUAAUUUAAAUUAAUAAGAUAAUUACAUAAAAGAUAAUGUUAGUCAAGUUAUCUUUUUACCAACCAUAAAAAGAUUUUUACUAAUCCAAGCCAACAAAAUAACAAUUACAUGUAUAAAUUGUCAUAUGUUGGAAAAAGGAGUUAGCUCAUAUUUUAGGGAUUAUAUUAAAGUGUUAGCAUCUUGCCUGGUUAGAAAUAGAAUUGAAUUUACAUAUUAGUAUUAUCAUAUAUUUUGUAUUGUCGUUUAAAAAAAUAAAUAUUUUCCUUAUAUGGAGUUAAGUGUUUUUAUUUUUAUCAUGUAAAAUUUAUAUAUUUUUUAAAAUUAAUUUUUCUAAUCAUCAAAUUAUUUUUAUUUUUUAAAAUUUAUAUAUUUUUUAAAAUUAUUUCUUAAAAAUAAAUUUAUUUUUCUAAAAAAUUGAACUUAAUACAUGCAUAUUAUCUAAUCAUCAAAUUAUGAACUAUCAUAAUUCUAUAUAUUUAUUUAAAUAAAACAAGUUCAAGAAUUAAUGUAGAUCAAUCUUAUUGAUUAAUAAAAUUCAUGUAUGUAUCUAUUUUUGCAAAUUGGAUGCAUACUUAAUUAAUAUUAAAUCAAGCAAAAAAUCUAUAAAAAGAAUAUACAAGUGAGCCAAACAACAAUAUUAAAAACGAACAAGAGGUCGAAUUAAUAUCCAUUAACUAAUAGUAAAAUUAAGAAGAUGAUACCAAAGGACACAAAAUCACAAAAAAGCAUUUAACAUUCAGAGAAAGAAGCCUGCAACACCCAUUAAGGAAAAGAGAGAAGGGAAAGAAAUGUAGAUUAAUUGAUACAGAGGAUCACCUUGUUCCAGACCAGCGCGAGACUGUAGAAGAAUCCAGACGAACCAAGAGCAAAAAAUGCAGGAGAGAUAAUCAUGAGAGAAACAAAUUCAUAUAUCCACGAAUACGUACAACAUUUGAAACCUAUAAUGCAAGAAUAGCUGCAGAUGUACAUUAAUAUUUUUAAUUUAAAGAAUCAAUUAAUUAUUUAAAAAACUUGAGGGAUUAAUUUGUUUGUUUCACAUAAAACAGACACUAAUUAUAUAAAGUUUUACUCAAAAAACAGACACUAAUAAUCAUAUGCGUGAGUGUUUACUUGUAAAUAUUUUGGAAGGAACUGGUUUAUGUUUUGCGCAUCAUGAAAAAAUCAUAUAUGCUUAAGUAACUAUUUGGCAUCAAUCUAGUAAAUUAAUCUUAAAUUCCUUUUAUCCAACUCUUGCCGUUUUAAAAUUAAUCAAUGUAAAAGUUAACCAAACAUGAUAAAAUCAAUAUAAUGGGUUUACGAAUACAUAUUAAAUUAAUCUUGGUUUUAUAGCUUAAUUUUCUAAACUCACUACUCAAAUAAUGAACUACAUCUAGUUUUAAUUUUUUUUAUUUAAUAUUAUAAUAACAAUACCAUUUCAAAAUUAACCAAAUAUAUAUAUAUAUAUAUAUAUAUAUAUAUAUAUAUAUAUAUAUAUAAUAGAGUUUAAAAACAAAUGAACAAUAUGAUAUUGUUCCAUUUUACUAUAAUGAUGAAGUUUUCACAAAAUAUAAAACUUAAAUUAAAUUAAGGCAACAAUCAAUUCUUUAGCUUUAAAACGAUUUAUUAUUUGCUUUCUAGUGGUAGUAGUAGGAUGAUUGGAAUAAUUUUUUUUCCAUUAACAAUAGAAUUGAGAAGGCCCGCCACAGACCAAGAGGACAGCUUCAAUGAAGCCAUCCCAGCCGAUGCAGGUGAUUACCCGUCGGCUGACAUCUCCUCGCGCGCAUAGCACCAGCCAAACCACCUCAAUCUGAAAAUGCACCAGACAAAGUCAAUGGAAAGACGCCAGGGAGCCUCAGCAGCCGAGAAGAAAGCGAGGGAACACCCACCGCGCGAGAAACACGAAAAACAUAGAGGGAGCGCGGUAAAGACUGUGAAGCCACAGAAUUCACACAUUGUGCACCGUGUUUUAAUGAGCACUCUUAGUUUAUUUUAUAUAUAAUUCUUUUAGUUUUAGUUUUAGUUUGUUGUGUUAUGAACAGUAAAGCAGCACAAGAAUACGUCUGCGUCAAGCUCUGUUCACUUUGGUCCGACAUUCCUCACCUCUCCCCACCUUAGCUCUCUCUCUUUCCCUCCUCUGCUUUUAGAAACCGCCGCUGCCACCUCAACCAAUAAGGCUUCAAAUCUCACCCAGGUGCUUCCUUUUCUAUUAUGUUUUUGUUUUUUAAAAAAGAUUUACGUCCGCGUUUUCAUUUAUUUAAUUGAAGUUACUAUCCAAAGAGAGAAAUUCGAUUUUAAUAAGUAAAUUAAAAAGAUAUAUAAUCGGAUCCAAUGAAAUCGCUGCUCGUGAACGCAACUCGAAGAAAGGCGCAAUCAGUCGAUUCUACUGUGGGUGGAGCAUUUAGUAUGGUCAGGGUUAUUGUGUUGUCUAUUCAAAGAAAGAUGUGCCUGUAAAUUUAUUAAGUUGAUUCUUAUCAGUCUGCUCUUUAGAGUUGAUGAUAACAUGAAAUAUUCAUUGUUGAUGCUUGUCGUUUUCUUCUUCAUUUUCCUAGCUUAAAACAUCCUAGACAAUCUCUUUGGGAUGGUUUAGUGUUUCUGGCCUCUUCAUCUUCUAUUUGUGCUGUGGUAUUUAGUUUGCUGAUAUUCAUUGGGGAUUGAAAGGCCUCGUUUUAUGACUUUGUUUUCUUCUUAUUUCUUUAUUCUUUUGGGGAUGUGAUAUUUUCCUCUUUCUAUUUACACUAUUGGCUCCCUACAAUAUUUUUUCCUUCAGAGAAGUAAAUAUAUACAUAAAUAACAAGAACAGGAGGGGAAGGGGAGGGGGGUUUGACAAUAAGUAUUUGCUUAGAAGGGAAUGCUUCUUUGGUUUAGAAGCACCAUGAAGAUUCAGGCCCAUAUUUGGCUGGUUUCUUUAAUAAAGUACAUGAUAUUCCAUUUUUCAUGUCCUUGAUGUGCUUUUACUCUUCUUGCCGUUCCUGACUUUCUUUUUAGGGUAUAUUCUAACAUGCAAUAUGUUUUUUUUUUGUUGGCCCACUGUCCCAGGCGGAGAACCUGUCAUGGACAUGGGUGAUUGCAGAAUUCAAUUGCAGCCUGACUCACGGAAAAGAAUAGUCAAAAAUUUUUUUUAUUUAUAUGAAAGAAAAGGAGAAGGGCAGAAGGUUAAUUAAAAUCAGCAGGAUUGCCAUGAGGCAACCUCAAGUAUCACGCACCUCUUUUUUUUUUCAUCUUUUCAUGUGUUUCUCACAAGAAGCAAACUUGAGGGAACAUAAAGUGCUGGGAAGUAAUUUUUGUUGGAAUUUCUUGUCUAAUCUCUUCUUUUGAUGAUGACCUCUUGGAUGGCUGCAUGAAGCUUGUUCCGCUUUAAAUUUCAAGGUUAAUCUAUUGCUAUGAGCAUACGUGUUUCAAUUUAAAACUCGAGUUGCAACUGAACUUAAAUAAAUGGUGUUGGAUUUGUGCUUUCUAUUUGUUUUAACUUCUACAGGGUUGAAAUGAUAGUGAUCUUAAACUAGAAAAGCAGCAGACAAAAAUCAAUUAGCCACAAUGGUGUAUGGUUUCUCAGCAUAAAGUUGAAAUGAUAGUGAUCUUAAACUAGAAAAGCAGCAGACAAAAAUCAAUUAGCCACAAUGGUGUAUGGUUUCUCAGCAUAAAGUUGAAUGUUUUGUUGACCUCUUUACAUCCAAAAUCAUAUAGACAGCUACUGCUAGCACUUGCAGUGGUCAAUGAAUACUGUAGAGUAUAUAUUGCAGUGUGAGAUAAGGUUAACUCAUUGCAUUUUCAGAUAUUGAAAGGAUUUCUCUUCUUUUCUUUGUCAAUUACAGGACAUGCAUCGAAGUGUUCUUACUGAGAGUAAAUGCUAUUGUAAUGUUUUCACAGAGACUCCCCUGCUUUGCAACUAAGUCACUAAUAUAUCUUGGAACAUAGCCAUAAAUGAAAGGUUCUUCCAGAUCAAGAAAAUUAACCAUGAAGCUCGUAGCUAGAAUUUUUAGACAGAAAGGUGGCCAAGUACGCUGUACCUCUGGAAUAAUACAGGGAAAGGAUGUCUAUGUAUUUUGAUGUCUUAUAUUACUUGACCAACUCUUGCUUAUCUCAUUAUUUGUUUUUACUUUUUGCUAAUGAUUCCACACAUUUCUGAUAUUGGUGUGGUUUAUGAGUUUAGGGUUCUCGUUGCUGCUAACUUCUCUAUACUUUGCCUGGUCAUUAAAAAUCAAACGUAAUGAUUUGCAUAUGCAGAAUGGAGACAUUAAAAAGACAUCUUCUAUUUUCUGGUGAGGAGGGAUUUCAGGAACUCAAGAAAUUUUCCAUACGUUUUGAGGAAAAGAUUUAUACUACCGCUAACAAUCAGGUAUUUGCCUAAUGCGAGGUUCAAUAAUUAUGAUAUUAUCUAGACAUGAAUAUACACACGCAUUUAUGCUUGUACAAAUGUGUGUGUAGUGUGCCUACACUUCCUCACCGUUCAUUCUGUAUGCAAGGUUGAUUGGGAGUUCACAUCAUUUUGUUAAUUCUCUUGACAAGUGUUUUAUUUAGAGUGACCAAGUUCAAGUACAAGGGAAGAAUGCAAAAAGCAAAUAACGAAUCAAUACAUAAAUAAUUAAAUAAAAAGAGAGGUAACAGAAGUAUAUCCUCAUAGAAGAUGAAAUGAUAGAGUAUAUAUCUAUUUUCCUCCUCUGGUAACAUGGAUUGCUCUGAGAUCUACUGUUUUGUUAUUAAUAUCUGAUUUCAAUCUGAUUAUUUGCAUAAAAUAUCUCUGGAGAUGCUUUCGAUGGAGACCAGGUCUCAAAAUGCCAUGCUCACUACACCUAUGGAUCCAGCAGGUAAUAAUGCAGCCGAGCAUUGAAUUUCUAAAUAUCUUACCUUUUGUUUUUCUUCUCGCAUUGCUAUCAAACUCUUUUACAUUUUAUUGCUGCAUAUUGCUAUGUAUAUCGCCUUGCUGGAAAAAUCUCAUGAUCACCUCCACGAUGAUAAUUUUGUAAUGCAUGUGAAGUGUUUCAUCCUUAACUUGUUAAGGAACAAGGACUGUGAUGCAUGGUAUUUUAUAUUUUAUGAUUGAGAUGGUAGAUUUUAAAGAUUUUCAUGUUAAGGAGAUAAGACGUCACUUUCUUGCUUUUCUUCCGAGAGAGUAUUUGAUCCUUUUUUCAUAUAAAAUAAUGCUGGCAUGCAUUGAAUUUCCAAACAUCUUACCUUUUGUUUUGUUUGUCGCAUUGUUAUCAAACUCUUUUACAUUUUGUUGCGGCAUAUUGCUAUGUGUAUGGCAUGCUUUAAUCAAAAAGUUGAGUAAUUGAUGAAUGUUAGGCAAGAAAAUUACAGAUUAUUUUUAUUUUCUACCUCCUCCUUCUCUUUCCCCCACCCCGAAAAUGGUCAUAUUAUUUUUUUUUUCAGCCACCUCUUCUUCCCCCAACCUUGAAAAUUGUUUAUAUUUGCUUUGGAAGCAUGGCAAACUUCACUGCCUCUCAGCUUAAGGAGAUUGCAGCAGGUCUCGAAGCUUCUGGGCAUCAGUUUAUUUGGGUAGUUAGAAGAAACAAAAAGAGUCAAGAAGACAAGGAAGAUUGUUUACCUCAAGGAUUUGAGGAAAGAAUGGAAGGCAAAAGGCUAUUAUCAGAGGAUGGGCACUCCAAGUUUUGAUUCUUGAUCAUGAAGCAAAAGGUGCAUUUGUGACUCAUUGAGGAUGGAACUCAACUCUUAAAGGCGUAAGGCAAAUAUUUGAUGAGCAAUUCUAUAAUGAAAAGUUGGUGACUGAUGUUUUAAAAACUGGAGUUAAGGAAUGGCUUAGAGUGCAUGGAGAUCAUGUUAAAAGUGAAGCUGUAGAGAACGCAAUCACUCAAAUUAUGAUGGGUGAAGAAGCAGAGGAAAUGAGGAGCAGAGCAAAGAAGCUUUCAGUGCUUUGAUUUAAUAACUGCAAAAAAUGAAAGGUUGUUGAAGAUGGUGGAUCUUCUUGCUCCGAUUUCAAUGCUUUGAUUGAAUAACUGAGGUGGGGUAGCCUUUGAAACAGAGGCAUAGAAUAUAUAUAUAUAUAUAUUUUAGCUUUUUUAGUUUAACGUGGGUGUUCGGGCCAGCUUGCGCGCACCUCGACUAAUCCCACGGGCCCUGAAGUUAACGACCAUGUAAGUCUCCAGUGGCCAUCAUAUGAGCAACCACAGGGCUCGAACCUGAGACCACAGAGGGAGCAAACCUUUUAGUCCCAAGCUCUUACCACUGGGCCACCACCUAGAUGGUUAAGGCAUAGAAUAUUUUGUUUCUACUUAGUAGUGGUUUUGGUAAUUUAUUUUCAGACAAGUCUUGAGAGUUGAAAGAGUAAUCACAGCCGAGUCAAUGACCAAUCCAAAUAAGUUCCCUUCCUAAUGGUUCAGGAAUGACAAGUCCAGCAUAUAUAUUUAGCCCAAAUAACUUUUCAAAUAAAAUGGCUGAGCUUAGAGACAGUACACUACAAAUUAAGCACCCAUUAGCUAGACAUACAGGACAAACAAUCAUCACAAACUAGAAACGACUGUCUUCCCAGUAACAAACUCACCUUCUCAAGUUGGAGAACUUGCGAAAACUAGCUACUACAAUAUAGUAGCAAGUAUCUAUGCAGUCUUCGAUGAAGUACGACCACCUGCGUCGCCAAUAUGGAUUGAUGUAAAGAACUGCUACAAUCAUAAUCACCACGACUGUGUAACUUACACCGAAAUUGAUGUAGAAAAACUCCAUGUCUAUGAAACCAUCAUCUCCUUGUUCAUCAUUAGGCACUGGUUGUGAUGGCAUUGGCUGUGAUGGCACUGGCUGUGAUGGCACUGCUUCUUCACUACAAUUGUUUUGCAAUGGAGGUCCACACAAGAAAGGAUUUCCUUCGUAACAGCUUUCAUCGAAGGUCCCAAACUGAUAUUUUCUCUCGGGUGUCUUACAUGACAAGUUAUUGUACGCCACACUAAAAACUUCCAGUGUGGUAAUUUCAGUAAGUUGUGGAGGGAUGACACCAUUCAAGUUGUUGUAAGAAAGAUCCAAACUCUCAAUCUGUUUUAGGUUUGAGAAUGUUGCUGGGAUAGAUCCAGUGAGAUUGUUGUGUGAUAAGUUUAAUGACAAUAUCUUACUUAAGUUUCCAAAUUCCGGUGGGAUUGCUCCUACGAAGUUGUUAUUGGAGAGAUCAAUACCAGACAUGUAGUUGAGAGUCUUCCCCUUGUAACCAUAAUACAUAUUUUUAGUUGUAAAUUCUAUCACUUCUUCUGUAAAGUUAAGCAGAAAACCCUUUCUCAAGUUGUACAUACUCUCCACUAGUGGUGGACCCAUUGUUUCAUAAUAAGCUUUUUCUAUGGACCUUGAUAGAACACCAGCUCCGAGAUCCGUGAAUGCUUUCUGGGAACUUUCCUUGAAAGUAAGAUUGCCCAAACAGGAGGGUAGUGGACUAGAGAGCUGGUUUUGUGAAACAUCCAAAAUGCUUAAAUGUUCUAACAAGCAUAAUUGAACAGGGAGCUCACCAUCAAAGUGAUUAGCCCUCAGAAGAAGAACACUCAAUGAUGAAAGAUUGCCAAUCCAAUUUGGAAUGGAGCCGGUGAAGCUGUUAUCUUGAAGAUCCAUCGUAACUAAGAAAGAGCUGUUAUAAAAUCUAUAUGUUAAUGGACCGCUCAAUCUAUUUUCGGAUAGAUGCAUAUGGAUUAGAGUUGAUGGACUGAAACAAGAUGGUAUAUAUCCAGACAAGUUGUUCUCUGAAAGGUUCAAAUAUUCAAGUUGAUCAAGCUUACAAAAGUCUCUUGGGAUCGGACCCUUAAAAUGGUUUUUGGACAAAUCAAUUGCUGCAAGAAUCGUAGAAUUAAGAAAGCUCCUUGGAAGCAUGCCUGAAAAUUGAUUGUUACUCAAAUCCAAUACAAUCCACAUUUUCCACCUAUAUAAUGAAAAAUCUGAUAUCUGACCCCAAAAGUUGUUACCACCUAGAUAGAGAUAUUCUAAGGUAGAAGAAUUGAACAACGAGGUCGGUAAUUGCCCACCCAAAUUGUUGUUUGACAGCUUGAGAAACCAUAUUGUUGUUAGUUGUUCUAGUUUUACUGUGGACAAUUGAUUGUUGGAUAAAUCUAAAAUUCCCAAAGAGCUAAUAUUUCCUAAACAAGAAGGAAUACAACCUGUGAAUCCAUUCUUAGCCAUCCUUAAGCUCUUCAGAUUUUGAAAGAUCAAACAAAUAUCCUUUGGAAUUUGACCGCUCAUGUUGUUGUUGGAUAUAUCUAAUUCGGUCAUAUUUAGAUAUGGGUGAUUUGGCAACUGCAAAGUACCAACAAAGGAGUUCUCACUCAAAUAUAGUUGCUCCAAUCGUGUAUUGUUCUUAAGCAACCACGAUGGAAACAUUCCGGUGAUGUUGUUGUGGGAGAGAUCAAGGACUCUUAAGUCGUAUUGGUAAUAGAGGAAGUUGGGAAUCUCUACAUUGACUGCUUCUAUUGUUUUUGACAAACUAAAAAAGACUAGUUGGAACUUUGGAAUCAAAUGAUCAAAGGCAGCAGGUUCUGUUACUAGUCUAUUGUUCUCAUUGCAGAAGAACUUGAGGCUUGAGUGGUUCAUAAAAGGCUUCAUUGAAAUGGGAACUUCAAAGAGGUUAUUUGAUAGUGAGAGGAAUUCAAGAGAUGUGAGGUUGGUAAGAGGACCAGAGGCAAUAUUUCCAGUAAACUGGUUUUUAGAAACAUCUAAUAGUUGUAGAGAUGACAAGUUUCCUAAACAAUCUGGGAGUGAACCUUCUAAAUUAUUUCCAAAGAGAUCUAACUGCUUCAGAUUCUUCAAUUCACACCAACCUGUAUAAUUUAUCUCGAAACAGUCAAAAUAGCUAAAUAAUUAAAAGAUUACCAUAGAAGAGGAUGGAGUGUUGUUAAUUUACCUUGAGCGGGUAGGGUGCCAUGGAGGUCACAUCCACCAACAGACAAAACCUUAAGAGCAGGCAAUGCUCCAAUGUUCUGGAGAAAGUUUACUGGGAGAGAAGUACGAUCUAGAUUCAAUUCUUCAAGAGUGCUAGAAUUGAAGAAAGUCCCUGUGAAAAAGAAAGAAGAAGAGAUAUGAAGAAAAUAAUGGUGGUACAGAAUAGCCAUUCCAUUCAAUAUUAUUAAUUAAUAUUUUAAGAAACUAAACUAUGAUUAACCUUGACUUAAAUUAGUAUCCUUGAGAGAAAGGGUCUUCAGGGAUGGCAAUGACUGCAGGAAGUCCAGCUUCCUUAAACCUAUGAUGUGUAGAAUUGAAAACAGGCAAUCAAGUAAGUAGUGAAAUUAAGCGUUAUCUUGAUCGAGUUUUUAAACCUAUGAUAAAAAACUGAUAUUGAAUAUACUUUUAUAAUGAUAUGAUUUUUGGAUAGAAACAACAAAUUGCCUGAAAAAUCCAGAGAUUUCAAAAGGUAUUGUUAAAAAAUGAAGUAAAUAAUAUUCACAACUUUACCAUUGACAGUCGUCGAUCCUAGCAACAUAUUGCCUGAUAAAUUUAAAGACUUGAGAUAAGAAAAUCCACGCAGAUGUGAUAAAAUGCUGUCGUUGAAUAUAUUAUAGCUCAAGUCCAGGUUCUCGAGUUUCCCUAAAUGUGAUGAUAUGAUCUCAAAACCUGCAAGAGUAAGUCAUCAUGAGCUCACGAUAUGCAUAAUAUAUAGAAACUAAAGAUAAUUAGAAUUGAUGAGAUGCUGUUGUUCAAUUGAUAUAUGAUUCUCAAAUUAUACAUAAAAAUAAUGAUACAUGAACGCAUAUGUCAUUAUAUAACAGGUUGUGCACACUUCAAAGAUUAAGAAACAAUUUUUAAUCAUUCUAAUUUUGAUCUUAUUGGAAAAAAAAAAAAAAUUUAUGGAUAUAAAGUCGUUAAAGAUGGAAACUAAGUCAAACAUGAUAAAUGCUAUCAUUAAAUUGAUCAUUACAUAGAUAUAAAGUACUUAUUUUUUAUGAUAAUGCAUGUAACGAGUAUUAUUGAUUAUUGUUCUUGUUUUAAUUACCGAUGAGAAAUUUUGAACAAUCAUUUGAUUUUAUUAGUUUUGAAUAAUAUAAUAUUUUUGAAGAUUAUAAAAUGUUAUGUAUUUUUAAAUAACUUGUUUUUUUGAUAUGUUUGUUAUGAGGCUUAGCGUAGGUGGGGUGUCCUUUCGAUACAGCUCCUGCGUUGCCAGUAAUAAACUUGAGACUCGAGUGGUGACAAAAUUGAUCUUUACAUGGAUAUAAAGUUCUCAUUUUUGUUGAUAAAGAAACAAUAUAAUUAAGAGAAUGUCAUGUGAAGCAUUUAGGUAGAAACUGUGUAUUAUACCUGAUCCUGUCAGCUGAUUGCCUGAUAGAUCCAAAGACUUGAGGGAUGAAAAUCCAGUUAGAGAUGGAAAAAUGCUGCUGUUCAACUUAUUAAACGAUAGAUCCAAAGACUUGAUCAGGGAUGAAAGCCCACUCAGAAUUGAUAAGAUGCUGCUGUUCAAUUGAUUGAAACUCAGGUCAAGGUUCUCUAACUUUCCCAGCCUCAUCGGUUGGAGUUGAAAACCUACAAGAUAUACAUAAAAAAAAAUAUACAGUGCAUAGAUUAAGGAAGAAGAUAGAUUGCAAGUAUCCAUUCUAUACAUGUAAUUUUUAAUCAUCCUAGUUUUGAUCAAGUUGUGUCUUAUUAGAAAAACAAUUUAUGGAUAAGAUCAAAGCCCCAUAGAUAUAAAUCUUCAUUGAUGAAAGCUAGCGCAAUCAAACAUGAUGAAAUGCUAUCGUUGAUUAAUUAUUAAAUAAAUAUAAAGUCCUCAAUUUUCUUGAUAAAGAAACCGUAUAAAAGAAUGUCACGUAAAGCAGUUAGGUAGAAAUUAUAUAUAACUUACUAUUGAUACCAGCAGAUCCUGUCAACUCAUUAUAUGAUAGAUCCAAAGACUUGAGAGAUGAAAAUCCAGUUAGAGAUAGAAAAAUGCUAUCGUUGUAUUGAUUCCCACUCAGAUAUAGUUUCUCCAGCUUUUUCAACCUUGAUGACAAGACUUUGAAACCUGCAUGAUUUUUCUCAAAAAACAUAGAAAUGAUAUGAGAAGGAGAAAAGAAAAGGUUUUGAAGCUAAAUAAUUAUAAGGUUACCAUAGAAGCUACCUCCUGAUCCAGCUGUCAACCCAUUGUCUGAUAGAUCUAAAGACUUGAGAGCGGAAAGCCCAUUGAAACAUGACAAAAUGCUUUUAUCAUUAUUAAAUCGGUUUUCACUUAGGUCAAGUUUCCUCAGUUUUGAUGAUAGGACUCCGAAGCCUGGAAGAGAAACAUCAAAGCAAGAUAAUUGACAUUAAACACCAACCAACCAACCUUCAUUUAUUUUAUUAUUAUAAUUAAGUGCACAAACAUUGAACUAACCUUCAUUCUCCAAGCAACCAACCAAUCCAUUAUAUCCCAAAUCAAGACUUUGCAAUUCUUUGAAAGGCUGAAACAAAGAUGCGUUGAGAACCCAAUCGCCCAAGCUCUCAUCCCUUUCUCCACUAAGAGAGAGUUGGAUCACUCGCCUUGUAGUGUGAUCACACUCGAUCUCAGGCCACUCACAACAAUUACUACUGUCCACCCAAUGUCUCAAGGAAAUGCCAUCUGGGUCGAUCAAAGAUUGGAUCUCCAAGAGACCAAUUCUCUCUUCCUCCAAACACCCAUAACAACGACCAGACCAUUCGCCAACCAAAGUGAAUAAUGCUAGCAACAUCCAAGCCCCCAUUCUUUUCAACAUCAUCGUAGAUAAUUCUAUGAACUACUACGUAGAAUAUUAUUGUUUGUUAUGUGCCUUUGGGCAACCAUAGAGGUCCUAUUUAUACUACACUGGCCAUUUCCAUGACUUUGAGAUGUUUUCUUUAUUUAAUUUCCACGACUUUAUCUGCAUAUCUUGUGCAGGUUCCGUGUUUUGAGAUUUGAAUAUUAUUUUAUUUCUUUUUGGAAUGUUCUUGGAUUUAAAUAUUAUUUUAUUUUAUUAUUUAGCACUUAUUCUAUUUGCAUUUAAUUAUAUUUUGGUUACUAAUUAUUCAAUUUAUAAAAAAAAUAAAAUAAAAAAAUUGUUGCAGUACUUCAACAUCGACAUUCGUGUGUGAUUCCACAUAAGAUCUUUUCAACUUUAUAAUUGUACUUCUCUCGUUAAAUACAUAAAUUAUCAAUAAUAAUAAACUCGAAAUAAUUAUAAAUCUUAUCCCUGUGGAUUGUGUGGGUACAGUAUUAUAUACAAAAACUUCAAAUACAUAAUAUAUAUAAGUCAGAAAUAUUUUUGUUUUUAUGGACUUGUUUUUAUUACAUUUCAAUAUUAAAUAUAUUUUUUUCAAUCGAGUCAAAGAUAUACCAUUUAUAUUAGAAUGAGAAGACUAAUCAAUUUCUCUAAUUUCUCUAGUUUUCUCCCUAAUUAUAAAAUACAUCUGGUUUUUCAAGUCCAGAUUUUAAGAUAAAAGGAAUUUAUUUCUUGAAAGUAAUGCAUUAAACAAUAUAAAAAAAAUUUAAAAAAUUUAAAAUAGUAGUAAAAGUAGUUUUUGAUUGAAGUGUAAACUAGUGGUAAAUGAACAAAAAGAAACUUUAUUGAUUAUCUAAUGAGUUACUUCUCCAGAAAGAAUAUAUACAAUAUUAUUGAUUAUCUAAUGGAAACUCCGCCUAACACACACACACACACACACACACACACACACACAUAUAUAUAUAUAUAUAUAUAUAUAUAUAUAUAUAUAUAAGUUAGAGACACUUUUUGUUUUUAUGUUCGGAAAAGUGUUCUUUACUUGUUUUUAUUACAUUUCAAUAUUAAAUAUAUUUUUUUCAAUCGAGUCAAAGAUAUACCAUUUAUAUUAGAUUGAGAAGACUAAUCAAUUUCUCUAGUUUUCUCCCUAAUGUAUAAAUUUCUCUAGUUUUCUCCCUAAUUAUAAAAUACAUCUGGUUUUUCAAGUCCAGAUUUUAGGAUAAAAAGAAUUUAUUUCUUGAAAUUAAUGCAUAAAACAAUAUAAAAAUAUUUUUAAUAAAUUAAAAUAGUAGUAAAAGUAAAUUUAGUUUUUGAUUGAAGUGUAAACUAGUGGUAAAUGAACAAAAAGAAACUUUAUUGAUUAUCUAAUGAGUUACUUCUCCAAAAAGAAUAUAUAUAUUAUUGAAUAUCUAAUGGAAAGGAUUCAUGAAACUCCGCCAUAUAUAUAUAUAAAAGAGAAAUUGUCGAUAAUAGCAAUCAUUUUCUUAUCUCUUGUAUCAUUCAUAUCUUCCACAAAUCUUAAGUAAUUGAUGAGACAGUGGAUAUUGCCAAGAAAGGUCGUGAACGCGGAUGCUUGACGAUUAUGAUUUUUAAACACAACCAUAUAGUGAUUUCCUUAUGCAUACUGGUGAUCCUCCAGAAUCUUGUAGGAACACCACAAGCCAAUCUAAAAGAAUGCUAAAAGUCAAAACACACAAGCCAUAUAAAAAUCACACGACAGCCAAUUACCUUAUCUUUUGAAAGAAAGAUAAUAAUAAUAAUAAUAAUAAUAAUAAUAAUAAUAAAAGCAUUCUCCUGGGUGUGCAAUGACCGCCAAUCUUUCUCAUUAUGACAUUCAAUGCUCAGUUAGAAGUUGCACGAUGCUCUUCUCAUGGGGAGCAAAAAUCAGUAGCCUCCCAUGGAAUCCUCAUAAACCUUUCUCUAUGCUCUUCUAAGAUAUUAAAAAUGUCAAACAUACAUCAAUAAUAAAAAGACAUUAAAAAUGUCAAACAUACAUCUAAGAUAUUACGCAAAACGAGGUUUUUUUCUGCAAAAAAAUAAAAAUAGAAUGUUAUACAAAUGGAGCUUCCAACAAAAAAGAUAUGGGAAGUUCGAGGAAAAAAAUGAUUAGUUAAUUCAAAACACCAGCAGUAAGUAAUAAUUACAAAACACGAUACCGAAACCAAAUUGAAAAGUGAGCAAGAAUACAAAAAUGGUUACAUGUAUCAAAAGGAACUGGUACCAAUUUCUCCACCACUGUAUGUCCCUUUUGUUCAGUCUAUGUUUGGUGCAAUCACCUAAAGCUAGAAACAAAAACAGCGCCUUACUCUACAAGUAGCUCAUCAAAGUAUAUGUUGUAAAUUGCAAACACGUGCUAACAAUAAAUUGUGGCCAGAGGAUUUGCUUCGAUCCCAGAGGCCAUUGAGGAUAUUCGUCAAGGAAAGGCUCAUGCACCCUCUUGAUUUGAUGAUUCUUUGCAUUUAGUUAUUGUUGUUGAUGAUGAACAAAUUAAGAGAAAAUGAGGGGGGCCUUAUAAUGGCAGCGUCAAAGGCAACACCAGAAGCUAUGGCAUUUAUUGUCAAGCAUGGGACUGGUAUAGUGUGUGUGAGCUUCCAUUAAUGGUAACUCAUAAGGAGAAUGAGGAAAACUGUGCACUGCAUUUACUGUAUCAGUGGUACGUCAUUAACUUCUCCAUUUAUAUUAUCUAAUGGAUAUGAUCUUUUCAAGAAACCUUUAUCUUGGUUUGAUUUUAAAGUGCUAAUUUAAUUGCGGAUUCUGUCCCAGAUGAGGUCCGGUUUCCUGAAAUCAAAGAUGUCUACACUGUCCCGUGGACUUAUAGUUCAGUUGCUCAAUCAGAACUGAUGACAUCUGCACAUUCGGCGACUCCAGCAUUAAUUGUGGCCUUGACAGAUUGUGAGAGGCCAGAUGGGAUGGAUUAGAUGCGUCUGAGUUUGUUGGAGAGGAAGACUUGCAGAAUAAUUUUGAGGGAGUGGGUGGCAGUUCGAUGGAGCGGUUCCUGUUGGUGCAACGCCGAACACAUGCCACGCAGGAUAUAUAGAAAUGCUAGUCAGCUUAUGAAAUCCGAGGUUGAUACGAUACUUAUCUUCAUAGAUUGUGAAUGUUGUUCUUUUUUCUACAAACGAUCCGUUAUGCAAAGCAAAUUCCAAGACCAGAAAAAUAAUGUUUAGAGUUAAAAGACAAUGUCUUAGCAGCAAGGACCUAUUCCAUCAGGAGAUAUGUGAAUUCUCAAGCCUUUGCAAUGCUUUUAAAUUAAUGAAGGAUCAAAAUGAAAAUGUUAUAUUCAUAACUAUACUGCAAUUUUGCCCAUAAUUCUUCUUUAAUUCUGUCCAGAAUCUUGGAUUAUGCUCCAGGGACCAAUCUGGAAUUUUAGUAGAUUUUUAAGGGUCAAAUUGUAAUUUUAUCAAAUUGAAGGACCAAAAUAAAAAUGUCAUAGAUUCAUAACUAUACUGGAAUUUUGCUUGUAAUUCAUCUUUAGUUCUGUCCAGAAUCUAGGAUUAUGCUUCAGGGAUCAAUCUGUAAUUUUUUCAAAGUUUGGGGAUUAACUUAAAUUUUCACAAAUUGAGGGACCAAAUUGAAAUUUUAUUAUCUUCAACCUCAAACCCAGAUUUUUCAUAGAUCACCUACUGAUAUAUCAAGAUUUCGAACUCAAAUUCAUCAUUUAAACAAACUAUAACUCAAAAUCAUCAUUUUUACCUAAAAUUUUCAAAAAUCAACUAAAUAACUCAUUACCCAUAACAGUCAUUCCGCUAAAUUAUUUCUACUUCUGCUUCUUCUUCUUCUUUUUUAUAAUACUCGAGUAUUAUUAUAGAAAGAUGCUUGAGCCAAAAUUAGAGGCUAUCUAGCAUAAAAGAAAAACAGAGGUAUAUACAGGACAGAGAGGAAGUAAUAACAUUAUAUAUAUAUAUAUAUAUAUAUAUAAAACUUGAGUUAACCCGUCAAGUCUAUGACCUGGAUUAUGAGAUCGGGAUAAGCAAACUCAAUAUUAAAAAAUAAAAUUGAAAAAAAAACAAUAAAAACAUAUAUGGUUUAACAAUAUUAAUCAAUUAUUAAAAUAUUUCAUUUUAUAUAUAUUAAAAAUAUAUAUUAAUAACUAUUAUAUCAGUUUGUGAAUGUUUCAAUUUGGAUGCAAAUAGAUGUUUAAUUAUCUAUGACAUUUUUUUUAAGAAACCAAAGUUAUUAAAUAUGGUUAGAUUUAAUACCUAGAUAAGGGUUUAGGUCAUAGAUUGGCUUAAUACUCGGAUCAAGAUUUGAAUUAUAGAUCGAACAAGUUAGCUUAUUGAUUGAUGUUAAUAAAAAAUUGUAUCAUUUUAAGAUUAUUUUUUAGUAAAAACCAAAAUCAAGUAGUUAAAAAAAGUGAAAGUAGUUUUUGAUAGGGUUGACUAGGUUGUAAGUUGAUUUAUCUAGUCGAUUAGGCUUGAUUGAGUCAACUCUCACUUGGUUUUUUUUAAAUCUAAAUCGGGUCAGGUUCCAGAUUAAAAUGUUAGGCUUGAAUUAAAUUUAAUAACGCUGAUUAAAAUCACAUUGUAGAAAAAAAAUGAAUUGCAUAAAAGUAAUUAACCAAAAACUUGUAUUCCUUCUUAUAAAGUUGAACCCAUGUCAGUUUCUUUUUUGGAAAAAUAUAAAUCAAAGGUUAACGCUACUUUCAUGACGAUGACGGAUAAAGAAGACUUGCUCCUUUCUUUAUGGAAAUAACGUGUGGAAAAUCAUGCCUUAAUUUUGAUGGUGAUGGCCAAAUCAAACAGUAUCGUUGAUAAAAUGAACCACAAAUGAUAUUAUUUCUACAAGACUUCUUGUCAUUGUCAUGACAAUAAGUCUUCUCCUUUUUCUUUCUAAAGAGUCUAUUUUUUGUAACACAAUCAACAAGUAAGAUGGAUAGAAAUUUGCAGUGUGAGAUGGGUCUGUGAGACUAUAUAUUGCCAUUUGUAUUUUUUUCAUGAUAAAGGCUAAUUGGAUGGUCCUAUCAAGCGUUUUUUUUACGAGAUGGGUCCAUAAAAACAUUUCCAUCUACACAUUGAUCCCUGAAACCUUUGCCAUAAUGCAUUUUUUCCACGAGAUGGGUUCGUGGAAAUACUUUGGUUUAAUAGGGAAUGCUGUUAUUGAUUGGAAACUUUUUAAUUAAAAUAAAUUUGAUUAUUUGAUUGGAAGAAAUCCUUAAAUGUUAUUAACACAAAGAAAUCAAUUUAUUUUCUUAAGAAAAAAAUAUUGUAACCAUAUAAGUAAUUUAUUUAUUUAUUUUAAUGAAAUAUAAAAUAGUUUUAAAUCUUGUGGUAUAUUUCUUGUCUUUAAGAGCUAUGAACUUAUAUCUCAAAACUUGAAAACUAAUAUAAAGAUAUUAAGUGAUCAUUGAGUGUAUGUGUGUGUGUAUAAUCUUUUUCAAAACAAAAAGGAUUUUGAUGGAGAGGACAUUGCAGCAAAUUAUCCACGAGAUGGGUCGGUGAUACCAUUGUCAUCAUGUAAUUUUUCCCACGAGAUGGGGCCGUACGCUUGGGGCUCUAAAAGCUAUGGUUUUUAAUUUCAUUAUGUUACAUAUCUAGAAUGGGAGGUAUAUUUUAUUUCAAUUCUAAAAAUGAAAUAAAUUAGAAGAUAUUUCAUCUUGUUUAGAAUAUUAUCUCCUUACAUGCAUGAAUUUCACAUAAAUUUUGACCAGAAUAUUUCGGUUCUAUUCCGGCCAUUCUAUUAUGUCCAAAUAAUGUUUUGUUUUGCUUUUAUAUAUAUAAAAAAUAUAAUUUAUUUUUAUGAUAUCAAUUAUACAUUUCAAUUCGACUAUUGGAUUAAACUGAAAUUUUAUAAUCUCCUAAUAUGUAUUAUAUCACAAGUUAAAAUUUUAGAUCAAUCAGAGUUUAGAAAGACUUUGUGAAAUUACUGUUGAUAUAUUUUCAUAAUUUUAUUUAAAUUCAUAAUUUUAUUUUGAAAUGUUUUAUUUUUUGUGGUUUUUUAGAUUGAUUUUUUUUCAUUUUAUAAUUUAACAAUAAAUUUAUUAAAAAUUAAAAUUCAUAAUUUAUUUUUAUUUAUUUUAUUUAAAAUUAUUAUAUUAUCAUUACUCAGAUCACGAAAAAAAAACCUUUGCUUUAAUUGGGAAUGCUGUUACAAGUAAUUGGACUCCGUGGGAUGGGAGACCGUUGCCAUCAUGCAUGUUUUUUCCACGGCAUGGGUCCGUAAAGUCCUCUAUAAAAGCUUAAACCUCCUUACUAUCCUCUAUAUCAAUUGAUCAGCAUUUAUAAGAUGGGGCUGUCUGUUCCUUCUGAUGUUGAUGGUUUUAGUAAUGAUGGUUUCUUGCAAGGAUGGCUGCCUCUUGGAGUAUAUUGACUUGAGAAUUAAUUGUUUUGAUAACAGUAUUUUAUUAUUUGUGGAGUUAUUUCUAUUUUUUAAAUUAUUAUAUUUAGAUUAUAAUAGAGUGAAAGAGUUAAUAGGUUUAAGAGAUUAGGAAAAAGCUACUAUUAAUUAUAGUUAGGGACCAAACUGGAAUUUUUGCACAUUUUUAAGGGUCAAAUUGUAAUUUUAUUAAAUUGAUGAAGGACCAAAAUGAAAAUAUCAUAUUUAUAACUAUACUGUAAUUUUGCCCAUAUUUCUUCUGUAAUUUUGCCUAGAAUCUCGGAUUAUGCUCUAGGGACCAAUCUGUAAUUUUUUUCAAAGUUUGGGGAUUAAACUGAAAUUUUCAUAAAUUGAGGUACCAAACUGAAAUUUUUUCAUCUUCAACAUCAAACCCAGAUUUUUCACAAAUCACCUAUUGAUAUAUCAAGAUUUUUAACUAGAUGAGGGUUUAGGUCAUAGAUUGGCCUAAUACUCGGAUCAAGAUUUGAGUCAAGUUAGCUUAUUGACUAGUGUUAAUAAAAAAUUAUAUUAUUUUAAGAUUUAAUUUAAUUAAAUAGAUCCAACUACCAUGCAAUUCCACAAUUAAUUUAUUUUAUUAUGAUUUAGUGUUAUGUUAACCAGGCAACAUUUAAUUACCAUGAUAUAAAAUACAAAAAUAGUGGGAACAUAAAAAAACAUGCUUUUAUAUAUUUUUUAUUUUAAAAGUAUAAAUUUUACUUUAAGACUAUUGUAAAAAGAUAUUUAUUUUAAAUUUAUUUAUAUUUUUAUAAUUCAAAAAUUAAAAAUAAAACAGAAUUAAUCCAUACUCAUCUAAAAACAAUUAACUCUAACAUCAUUAUUUUAUAACAAAACUAGCAAAGAUAAUUUAUUAAUCACUAAGUUUUCUGGUUAUAAAUACAUUAGUAAGUGUCUUUGUCUCUUUUGUAUUUCUAACUAUUAACGAAUUGAAAGAAUAAAUUUAGAAUCACCAAUUAAGCAGUGAAUCACACGGGAAGAUUGAAAGAAUAAUUAAAGUGAUUAUACUAACCGACAAGUCGACCCCAAGUCAAAGUCUUCUGUGGAAAAACAUGAAUAAAAGGUGGACGCUGGGCAGCUCACUUUCCAUGAAGAUGAUGGAUACAGAGCCCUCCCUUCUAUCUUUAUGGAAAUCACGUCUAGAAAAUCAUGCUUUAAUUUUAAGCUUGAGAGGGGAUGAUAUAUAUAUAUAUAUAUAUAUAUAUAUAUAUAUAUAUAUAUAUAUAUAUAUAUAUAUGCUUUAAUUUCAACUUGUAUAAAAAAUAAAUCUUAAUGACUGGUGAUUUAAACUUGGGUGUUUUUUCGGUAUUAAUAUAUAUAUUCCUCAAUUAUCAUAAAGAAUUAAGAAAAAACUAAUAAUAAGAUUAAAAUAAAUGUUUUAUAUAUCGAAAUAAUUAAAAGUAAGGUUUACUUAAGGUAUAUAUGGGAUUAAUUUAAAAUAACAAUAAAAUCAAUUUAUUAAAAAAAAUCAUAAAUUUAGUUUUCCUAAAUUUUAAAUGUAGUGUGAAUGCAUUCCGCAAGAAAAAAACAGUGCAAAAUUAGCCUUUCAAGAAAUAGAGAAUCUUCCUCUUUGAAGGAAUUAAUUAGUGGGUUGGAAAAAUGUCGUCUUCUGCUCUAAUAUUUUCUUCACUUUCUCUAUAGUUUUACCUUACACCAAUAUUGUCAGAAAAUGAUACAAUAUACUUCUUGUGUUAUCCUUCAAGAUUUCAAUUGAAAAUUAAGGAGGGUCGUAAAAAAUUUAAUUUUUAUAAACAUAUCCUUAACUCUGUAUCUUCUCUAGAUAUGUCUGUGACUGAGCUCCAUAAAGAAUUCCUAUUUAACAUUAAUCUGUCCAUCAAGUUUUUGAUCCCCGAUUAAGGCCAUCUUGAUAAAUGAGAUUUUACUCUGUAAUUUUAAUGUAUAGCUGUCAAUGACCUGAAACAUGCAAAUUAAAAUUCAAAGUGUGAGCAUUGAAUUUCUUGUCAGUUUACACCCUUCUGUGGUGUUUCCUCUUUCCAUUGAUUGAAGAGCGUCCAAGAGGAAAAACUGAAAAGGCAAAAGUUCUAUUGUACAGUGAAAAAGAGCAUGAGAAAUACACAGAAGCAGAGAUGCAUGAAUCCUUCUCCACUAGCAGCUCUCGUCCAUAGGAUCAUUGUGGUUUCAAGAUUGAUGCCCAAUCAUUUCCCUCUUUGUUCGAUUCCUCAGACCUUUUGGAAACUGUACAUUCCGGGGGAAAGUCUGUGCAAGGGCAAAAGGCGACGGUGGACUUGACAAAGGGCUGAGGGGUGGGUGAGAUGUUAUGUCAAGAAAUGAUUUUGGAAAAUUUCUUCAUAUGUGUUGAAUAACUAAGAUAAGAUAGGAGUCUUGAACAAGGCAAAAGCAUAGGCUCUCCAAGACGAUUGACCAGAAGGAGAGAAGGAAGGCUCUAUAUCCUUAGCACGUCAAACACUCCUUUGCACAUUAGAGAAAUUGUCGAGUUAUUCCUGCUUCUUCUUCUUCUUCCUUUUUUUUUUUUUUAUUUAUAAUAGUCCAGUAUUAUUAUAGAAAGGUGCUCGAGCCAAAAUUAGAGACUAGCUAGCAUAAAAGAAAAACAUAGGACAAUAUAUACAAGACAGGGGAGGAAGUAAUAACAUAACAUAAUAUAUAUAUAUAUAUAUAUAUAUAUAUAUAUAUAUAUAUAUAUAUAUAUAUAUAUUAAAAAAAACUUGAGUUAACGCAUCAACUCAACGACCCGAAUCAUGAGAUCAGGAUAAGCAAACUCAAUAUUAAAAGAUGAAAUUUAAAAAAAAAACCUUAAAAACAUAUAUGGUUUAACAAUAUUAAUUAAUUAUUAAAAUCUUUCAUUUUAUAUAUAUUAAAAAUAAAUAUUAAUAACUAUUAUAUCAAUUUGUGAAUGUUUCAAUUUGAAUGCGAACAAAUGUUUUAUAUAUGACAUUUUUCUUAAGAAUGUCUCUUUCAUUAAAACCAAAAUUAUUUAACAUGAUUAGAUUUAAUACCCUGAGAGUUUAGGUCAUAGAUUGGCCUAAUACUCGGAUAAGAUUGAGAUCAUAUAUCAGACAAGUUAGCUUAUGUUGAAUGGUGUUAAUCUAAAAUUGUAUUAUUUUAAGAUUUUUUUUAGAAAAAAUCAAAAUUGCGUAGUUAAAAAAAAUAAAACUAGUUUUUGACUGAAUUAACUAGGUUGUGGGUUGAUUUAUUUAGUCGAUUAGGCUUGGUUGGGUCAGCUCUCACUUAGUUUUUUCUAAACCUGAAUUGGGUUAGGUUCCAGAUUAAAAUGUUAGGCUUGAAUUAAAUUUAAUAAUGCUGAUUAAAACCACAUUGUAGAAAAAAAAUUAAAUUGCAUAAAAGUAAUUAACCGAAAACUUGUAUUCCUUCUUGUAAAGCUGAACCCGUGUCAGUUUUAUUGAAGGAAAACUAUGAACCAAAGGUUAAUGCUACUUUCAUGACGAGAAGACUUGCUACUUUCUUUAUGGAAAUAACGUGUGGAAAAUCAUGCCUUAAUUUUGAUGGCGAUGGUAAAAUCAAAGAGUAUCGUUGAUAAUUAAAUGCUUAUGCAUAAAAAAUAAAUCUCAAGUGUUAGAAUGCAACCACUGAUUAAUUAAUGGACAACGGACCUUGGAUUAAUACAUGACGCAACUUUCAAUGGAAUUAUAUUUGUGGAGGUAUUUACUCGGAUGUGAAUUAUAUUUUUAUUUUUUUAUUUUAAAAAAAAUUCUAUAUACUACAACUAGCUUAAGAAAGUCAAAAAAAUUUAAGUGAAAAAAAAUAUAUAUAUAUUUAUAUACACUCACGCACACACAAAAAUAUAGUCAAAUAAAUCAAGAACUAUGUGUGUUAAUAAGUGGAAAAAAAAACCUUAAACGAUAACUCAAAAUAAAAACUAGAAAAAUCAAGAGACAAGUGUAUAUCAAGAUAUUUAAUUUCACAUGACGUGACAUUUUUUUUUUUGGAUUCGACGAAACCUCACCCCUCCGAAAAGCACACUUUGUGGGCCCAGGUGAGGGAGUAAAACCCCGGCUGUCCCAGGCUCUUACAAAAGGUGCACGCCCUGACUCGAACUCGAGACCUGCUGUGCAGAUCUCAAACCCUUUGCCAUCACGCUACGCCCCUUGGGGACAACGUGACAUUUACGCAGUAUUGUUUUCUAAAUUUUCUAAUUAAAAUAAUUUUUUAUUUGAUCAAACGAUAAUAUAAACAGACACACACAUUCUAAAUUGAUUGAAUAAAAAAAAAAUAUAUGCAAAGCUGUAUAUAUUAAAAAUAUUAUUUGAAAAUAAUUUGUUUUUCAAAAAUAAAGUUCAUCUAUGUAAAAGAUUUUAAAAAAAUAUAGAUUAAUCAAAAAAACCUCUUUAAAAAUUAAAUUCAUGAUUAAAAAAUAAUCAUCAUUUCAAAUAGGCUUUUUAAAUAACUAAAAAGAGAGAAGGGAUAUUAAUAUAAAUAUAAAUAUAACUAAAAUUAAGAUUAUUUUAAAAAAAUAGAUAAAAAAAAUUUUAAGCGAAAAAAAGUGAACAGACACGGUGAACUUAACUCAUAAACUCAACUGAAUUUAAUAUUUUUUUCGUUAAAUUUAUUAUAAAUAUAAAAAAAAACAAAAUUAAUAUCAUUCACGGUAAAACAUAAAUAAAAAACAGUACAACCGCAUAGUAUUCACCUCAGGCAUUUUCUUUUAAAUUUAUAGCCAAACCUUAAAAAUAAACUUUUGUGCUCAGUAUCUUUUUAAGGUGAAUUAACAAGUUUCAACUCAUCUCUGUAUCUUCUCUAGAUACAGAGAAUUCCUAUUUAACAUUAAUCUGUCCAUCAAGUUUUUGAUUCCCAAUUAAGACCAUCUUGAUAAAUGAGAAUUUACUCCGUAAUUUUAUUGUAUAGCUGUCAAUGACCUGAAACAUGCAAAUUAAAAUUCAAAGUGUGAGCAUUCAAUUUCUUGUCAGUUUACACCUUUCUGUGGUGUUCCCUCUUUCCAUUGAUUGAAGAGCGUCUAAGAGGAAAAACUGAAAAGGCAAAAGUUAUGUUGUACAGUGAAAAAGAGCAUGAUCAGAAAUACACAAAAACAGAGAUGAAUGAAUCCUUCUCCACUAGCGCUCUCGUCCAUCGGAUCAUUGUGGUUUCAAGACCGAUGCCCAAUCAUUGCCCUCUUUGUUCGAUUCCUCAGACCUUUUGGAAACUGUACAUUCCGGGGGAAAGUCUGUGCAAGGGCAAAAGGGGACGGUGGACUUGACAAAGGGCUGAGGGGUGGGUGAGAUGUUAUGUCAAGAAAUGAUUUUGGAAAAUUUCUUCAUAUGUGUUGAAUAACUAAGAUAAGAUAGGAGUCUUGAACAAGGCAAGAACAUAGGCUCUCCAAGACAAUUGACCAGAAGGAGAGAAGGAAGGCUCUAUAUCCUUAGCACGUCAAACACUCCUUUGCACAUUAGGGAAAUUGUCGAGUUAUUUCUGCUUCUGCUUCUGCUUCUUCUUCUUUUUAUAAUAGUCGAGUAUUAUUAUAGAAAGGUGCUAGAGCCAAAAUUAGAGGCUAGCUAGCAUAAAAGAAAAACAAUGAUUAAUUGCAAGAGAUGGUUACUUAUACCAGUAGCAAUUUAGUAAUGAUUAAUUAGCAUUUAUAUUAAGAUGUGGCUAUUAAUUCAAAUGUUAACAAUGAUUUUCUUGGAAGGAUGAUUGCCUCUUGGUUACUUUAAAAUAUACGGUUUUUUUAGUUCAAAUCUAUUAAUAAAAAUAUAGUUUUAUUGAAUUUUUUUAUAUACUUUUAUUAGAGAAAUUAAUUUAAACACAUUUAUAUACAGACACUAGUUUAUCAAGUACUUCAAUAGAAAAAUAAAAUCAAUUAGAGUACUUAAAUAAAAAAAAAUAUAAAUUAUAAGCAUUUUACAUAUCUUUAUUGUUUAUAAAUUAAAAAUAAAAUAAUAUCAAUCCAGACUAAUCUAAAAAAAAAUUAACUAUGACAUCAUCAUUCUAAUAAUAAAACUAAUAAAGAUGUUUUAUUGAUUAAAUUUCGUGAUACAGGGUUGAAACAAAAAAGAGAUGAAGAGAGAGGAGGGAAUGGAAAGAAGGGAAAAAAGAACUCAUGCGAUCUGUUGUUUGUAAGUUUUUUACAUAAUAUAUAGGAAGGUAUUUUAAUUAUUUUGUUCAAAUUAAAAAUUUUCAUUGACUAAAAAGCGUAAUUAUCUAAAACAUAAAAGCAAAGUAAAAAACUCAAAUGCUUCAUUAAAAAACUCAAUUGAUUCGGUGCUUUAUUAGUUUCUAUAGUAUGGUGUCUUAUGCAUUUUGUUCUAAUCAUAUAUGGGAAAGUGUUUGGUUGAUUAACGUAUAUCAUGACUUUGUAUGGGUCCUACCACAAACUCUCUCUUUUGAAAUAUUAAUUAAGAAAAAGCUAUAAUUUAUAGUUUUUUUAAAUUUAUUUUUUCAAAUUACAAUCAUAUAAACUACUAUAAUAUCAAAUACAUAUUUGAAUAAGACUCAGUAAAAAUUUUCUUCUUCUAAAUACAAAGUGGAAAUGAGUUACUUUCUCCAAAAAGAAUAUAUACAAUAUUAUCGAUUAUCUAAUGCAAACUCCGUCUAACAUACACAGAGAAAGAGAGAGAACCUUAACUAUGUUUAUUUUAUGCACUUUAAUUAAAAAUAAAUUUUGGAUUGUACGAGAGACUUUAAUUAAAUUUCAAUAUUAAAUUUAUGCACUUUAAUUAACAUACACAGAUCAACUAUUAAUAUAUCAAGACUUUUAACUCAAAUUCAUUAUUUAAACAAACCAUAACUUAAAAUUAUUAUCUUUAUCUAAAAUCUUUAAAAAUCAAUGAAAUAACUCAUUAUUCAUAAUAAUUAACCUGCUAAGUUAUUUCUGCUUCUUCCUUUUUAUAAUAGUCGAGAAUUAUAUAUUAUAGAAAGGUGCUAGAGUUAAAAUUAGAGGCUAGCUAGCAUAAAAGAAAAACAGAGGUAUAUACAAGACAGGGGAGGAAGUGUGCGUGCGUGCGUGUGUGUGUGUGUGUGUGUGAUCCCUUCUCAAGCUUAAAAGUAAAGCAUGAUUUUCUAGACGUGAUUUCCAUAAAGAUAGAAGGGAGGGCUCUGUAUCCAUCAUCUUCAAGGAAAGUGAGCUGGCCAUCGUCAACCAUUUAUUUAUGUUUUCAACCAUUUAUUUAUGUUUUUCCACAAAAGACUUUGACUUGGGGUCAACUUGUCGGUUAAUUACUUUUAUGCAAUUCAAUUUUUUAAAAAUAUAUAUAUAUAUGCUUUAAUUUCAACUUAAGUUAUAUACGGGACGAUAAAAAAAUAACAAUAAAAUCAAUUUAUAAAAAAAAUCAUAGAUUUAGUUUUCCUAAAUUUUAAAUGUAGUGUGAAAGCAUUCCGCAAGAAAAAAACAGUGCAAAAUUAGCCAUGACAAUAAGUCUUUUUCUUUCUAAAGAGUUUAUUUUUUGUAACACAAUCAAUAAGUAAGAUGGAUGGGAAUUUGCAGUGUGAGAUGGGUUUGUGAGACUAUAUAUUGCCAUCAGCAUUUUUUCCAUGAUAUAGGCUUGUAGGAUGGUCCAUGAGACCAUUGCUAUAUAUCAAGCGUUUUUUCUACGAGAUGGGUCCAUGAGACCAUUACCUCGUAAGCUUGGGAAUGGAUAACAUGAUUUAAUGUUUAUUUAGUUUAAAAAAAAAUUAAAUGCUUAUGCAUAAAAAAUAAAUCUCAAGUGUUAGAAUGCAACCACUGAUUAAUUAAUGGAUAAUGAACCUUGGAUUAAUACAUGACGCAACUUUCAAUGGAAUUAUAUUUGUGGAGGUAUUUACUCGGAUGUGAAUUAUAUAUAUAUAUAUAUAUAUAUAUAUAUAUAUAUAUAUAUAUAUAUAUAUAUAUAGGGGCACACACAAAUAUAGUCAAAUAAAUCAAGAAUUAUAUGUGUUAAUAAGUGAAAAAAAAAAUAUUAAACUAUAACUCAAAAUAAAAACUAGAAAAACCAAGAGACAAAUGUAUAUAAAGAUAUUUAAUUUCACAAGACGUGAUAUUUACGCAGUAUUGUUUUCUAAAUUUUCUAAUUAAAAUAAUUUUUUAUUCGAUCAAACGAUAAUAAAAAUAGACACAUACAUUAUAAAUUGAUUGAAUAAAAUAAAAGGAGAAAAAAUAAUAUGCAAGGCUGUACAUAUUAGAAAUAUUAUUUGAAAAUAAAUUUCUUUUUAUUUUCAAAAAUAAAGUUCAUCCAUGUAAAAUAUUUUUAAAAAAUAUAGAUUAAUCAAAAAAAUCUCUUUAAAAAUUAAAUGCAUGAUUAAAAAAUAAUCAUCAUUUUAAAUAGGCUUUUUAAAUAACUAAAAAGAGAGAAGGGAUAUUAAUAUAAACAUAAAUAUAACUAAAAUUAAGAUUAUUUAAAAAAAAUAGAUAAAAAAAUUUUAAGCAAAAAAAAGUGAACAGACAACUUAUAAACUCAACUGGAUUUAAUAUUUUUCCUGUUAAAUUUAUUAUAAAUAUAAAAAAACAAAAUUAAUAUCAUUCAUGGUAAAACAUAAAUAAAUAAAUAAAUAAAACAGUACAACCGCAUGUUAUUCACCUCAGGCAUUUUCUUUUAAAUUUAUAGCCGAACCUUAAAAACAAACUUUUGUGCUCUGUAUGUUUUUAAGGUGAAUUAACAAUUUUCAACUCAACUCGGUACCUUCUCUAGAUAGAUCUGUGACUAUGCCUUGGAUUUUCUCAAAACUACUAAGUGUGUGCUUGAGAGGGUGAUUAUAGUUGUUUUUUAAAGUGUUUUUCACUCAGAAAAACAUGUCAAUAAUAUUUUUUUAUAUUUUAAAAUUUAUUUUCGAAAUCAGCACAUCAAAAUGAUUUAAAAACAUCAAAAAUAUAUUAAUUUAAAGUAAAAAAAAAAUUCAAAUUUUUGCGGAAGUGCUUUUGAAAAGCACUCCCAAACACUCCCAUGGUUGGAUACCAAGUAAAUAGAGAUAAAUUUAUUUCCUGUUAUUCUCCGAUAGUAUCUUCGUCCCUUGAUAGAACUUUCUUGGAGAUGAUGAGCUACCACUCCCUUUUGACUUUGCUGGCCUCCCAAAUAUAAAUAAAGAAUUCCUCUUGAUAGAAUUUUCUUCGAAAUGAUGAGAAUAUUUUAGAAUAUUCUGGUUGACGCCAGCUGUCAACAACUAUCUUACAUUCCCAACGCAUGCCUUUGCAAGAUGUUAAAGGCUCAUCUAAAAACAAUUAACUCUGAUAUCGUUAUUUUAUAACAAAUUAGCAAAGAUAAUUUAUUAAUCACUAAGUUUUCUGGUUAUAAAUACAUUUGUAAUUGUCUUUAUCUCUUUUGUAUUUCUAACAAUUAACGAAUUGAAUAUAUAAUAAAUACCGACUGAAAGAAUAAAUUUAGUUUAAAUGUGCUAAAGUUUAAAUAGGCGACUUUAGAAUCACCAAGAAGGCAGUGAAUCACACGGGAAGAUUGAAAGAAUAAUUAAAGUGAUUUUACUAACAUUGUAAAAGUAAUUAACCGAAAAGUUGACCCCAAGUCAAAGUCUUCUGUGGAAAAACAUGAAUAAAAGGUUGACGCUGGGCAGCUCACUUUCCAUGAAGAUGAUGGAUACAGAGCCCCCCCUUCUAUCUUCAUGGAAAUCACGUCUAGAAAAUCAAACAUUAUUAUUGCCAUCUGCGUUUUUUCUUAGAGAUGGGUCCGUUCCACCAUUUCCCCUCAAGCUUGAGAUAUAUAUACGUGACACGAUUUAAUUUCAAAUCUUAAUGUAGUGUGUUAGAAUGCAACCACCGAUUGAUUAAAUUUAAUGGCUGGUCAUUUAAACUUGGGUGUUUUUUCGGUAUUAAUAUAUAUAUAUAUAUAUAUAUAUUCCUCAAUUAUCAUAAAAAAUUAAGAAAAAACUAAUAAUAAGAUUAAAAAUAAAUGUUUUAUUUAUCGAAAUAAUUAAAAGUAAGGUUUACUUAAGGUAUAUAUGGGAUGGUAAAAAAAUAACAAUAAAAUCAAUUUAUAAAAAAAAAUCAUAGAUUUAGUUUUCCUAAAUUUUAAAUGUAGUGUUUAUAAUUAAUUAAUUAAUUGAGAAUUUGAGCUCUUCUAAAAGUUGUUUAUGGACUUUUGUUUUCCGGAGAAAACUCCCUUAAAACCUUUGAGCACUUCCUUCUCUAAAAUAUAUGUUUUUGCCAUAACUCAGGGGCUCUGUAUCUUUUAAGGUGAAUUAGGCUUUAUAUCUUUUUAAGGUGAAUUAACAAGUUUCAACUCAUCUCUGUAGAUACAUAGAAUUCCUAUUUAACAUUAAUCUGUCCAUCAAGUUUUUGAUCCCCAAUUAAGACCAUCUUGAUAAAUGAGAUUUUACUCUGUAAUUUUAAUGUAUAGCUGUCAAUGACCUGAAACAUGCAAAUCAAAAUUCAAAGUGUGAGCAUUGAAUUUCUUGUCCGUUUACACCUUUCUGUGGCGUUUCCUCUUUCCAUUGAUUGAAGAGCGUCUAAGAGGAAAAACUGAAAAGGCAAUCACUAGCGGCCCUCGUCCAUCGGAUCAUUGUGGUUUCAAGAUUGAUGCCCAAUCAUUGCCCUCUUUGUUCGAUUCCUCAGACCUUUAGGAAACUGUAUAUGAGAUGUUACAGAGUGACGGAGGACUUGACAAAGGGCUGAGGGGUGGGUGAGAUGUUAUGUCAAGAAAUGAUUUUGGAAAAUUUCUUCAUAUUUGUUGAAUAACUAAGAUAGGAGUCUUGAACAAGGCAAGAACAUAGGCUCUCCAAGACGAUUGACAGAAGGAGAGAAGGAAAGCUCUAUAUCCUUAGCACGUCAAACACUCCUUUGCACAUUAGAGAAAUUGUCGAGUUAUUUCUGCUUCUGCUUCUGCUUCUGCUUCUUCUUCUUUUUAUAAUAGUAGAGUAUUAUUAUAGAAAGGUGCUAGAGCCAAAAUUAGAGGCUAGCUAGCAUAAAAGAAAAAGAAAAACAGAGGACAGUAUAUACAACUAUACAAGACAGGGGGAGGAAGUAAUAACAUAAUAUUAAUAACUAUAUAUAUAUUAAAAAAACUCGAGUUAACCCAUCAAGUUUACGACCCGGAUUAUGAGAUCGGGAUAAGCAAACUCAAUGUUAAGAAAUGAAAUUAAAGAAAAAAACCAUAAAAACAUAUAUGGCGUAGUGUCUUAUCGAUUAAGUUUGAUUGGGUCAACUCUCACUUGGUUUUUUCUAAACCUAAAUUGGGUUAGAUUCUAGAUUAAAAUAUUAGGCUUGAAUUAAAUUUAAUAACACUGAUUAAAACCACAUUGUAGAAAAAAAAAAUGAAUCGCGUAAAAGUAAUUAACCGAAAACUUGUAUUUCUUCUUAUAAAGUUGAACUCAUGUCAGUUGUUUUUUAAGGAAAAAUAUGAAUCAAAGGUUAAAGCUAGGCAGCUCACUUUGCACGACAAUGACGGAUAUAGAAGACAUAACGUGUGGAAAAAUCAUGCCUUAAUUUUGAUGGUGAUGGCAAAAUCAAACAGUAUCGUUGAUAAAAUGAACCACAAAUAAUAUUAUUUCUAAAACACUUCUUGUCAUUGUGAUGACAAUAAGUCUUCUUCUUUGCAGUGUGAGAUGGGUUUGCAUUUUUAUUUUCCACGAUAAUUAAUUAAUUAAUUGAGAAGUUGAGCUCCUUAAGAAAAGUUGUUUAUGGACCUUUGUUUUCCGGAGAAAACUCCCUUAAAACCCUUGAGCACCACCUUCUCUAAAACAUCUAUCUUUGCCAUAACUGAGAGGCUCUGUAUCUUUUUAAGGUGAAUUAACAAGUUACAACUCAACUCUGUAUCUUUUUUAGAUAUGUAUGUGACUGUACCUUGAUGUUCUCACAACCAUUAAGAUGGAGACAAAUUUUCUUUUCUGUUAUUCUCCGAAAAUAUCUUCGUUCCUUGAUAGAAUUUUCUUGGAAAUGAUGAGCUUCCACUCCCUUUUGACUUUGCUGGCCUCCGAAAUAAUUAAAGAAUUCCUCUUGAUAGAAUUUCCUUGGAAAUGAUGAGAAUAUCUCACAUUCCCUUGGCAUCGUGUUCCAUGCCUUUGCAAAUUAUUAAAGGCUCCAAUGCAUGUGUCCUUUUAUUCAUGUUUUUCCACAAAAGACUUUUGACUUGGGGUCAACUUGUCGGUUAGUAAAAUCACUUUAAUUAUUCUUUCAAUCUUCCCGUGUGAUUCACUGCUUAAUUGGUGAUUCUAAAUUUAUUCUUUCAAUUCGUUAAUAGUUAGAAAUACAAAAGAGACAAAGACAAUUACUAAUGUAUUUAUAACCAGAAAACUUAGUGAUUAAUAAAUUAUCUUUGCUAGUUUUGUUAUAAAAUAAUGAUGUUAGAGUUAAUUGUUUUUAGAUGAGUUUGGAUUAAUUCUGUUAAUUUUAUUUUUAAUUUUUGAACUAUAAAAAUAUAGAUAAAUUUAAAAUAAAUAUCUUUUUACAAUAGUUUUUUAGUAAAAUUAGAGUAAAAUUUGUACUUUUAAAAUAAAAAUAUAUAAAAACAUGUAUUUUAUGUUCCCAUUAUUUUUGUAUUUUAUAUCAUGGUAAUUAAAUGUUGCCCGGUUAACAUAACACUAAAUCAUAAUAAAAAAAUAAUAAUUAUGGAAUGGCAUGGUAGUUGGAUCUAAUUUUUUUAUGGAAUGGCAUGGUAGUUGGAUCAUAAUAAGAGUAUUCAAAUUAAGAAUAUUUAAAUGAGUGUUAAUUGGGUUUAAAAGACUUACAAGCAAAAUAUAAGUUGUUUGUUAGAAUUCUUAUGGAUCCGAUAGAAAAUUAAUACUUCAUUCAUAUACAUUACAUGAGCAUAUAUAUAUUUCUUUUAUCAACAUAAUGAUAUGUUUAUUUAUGUAACAGGUCCAUCAAAUAUCCAUGGAGAUCAUUAGUUUAGGGCUCUACUUUGUCAAGCUUAUGUAAAUAUUUAACUUAAGCAAAAGGGAAUUAACGCAUUUAUGUAGUAUGCUUUUGUAUAAACCUUGAUGUAUUUAUAAAAGUUCAGCUUAGCAUGUAGUACUUUAGUUAUCUUGUAAUUAACCCUUCUGAAAUAUUUAAAAACACUUAUUAUGUUGUAAAUGCUUUAUUUACAUGUUAGUAUUCCUUUUUCUUUUAAUUUUAUGAUAUGAUAUAUGGGCUAUGUUCAUAUUGAACUUGCUCAUAGGAUAUAUAUAAAUAUAUAUUGUGUGGAUUAUAUGAGGUGUUGAAUUAUGAUGAUUAAUAUAAGGUUCGGAAUUAUGGGACCUUGUGAUGAUGGAUUGAUUGUGUAAAUUAAUAGUAGUCGAUAACUUGGGAUGUUCUAAAUACAAACAAAACUCUGCUGAAUUUUUGGUAGAUUUAAAAAAAAAAAUUACCCUCAAAUUAAAAGCAUAUGUUGAGAUCUUUUAACAUUGAUCAAGUCGUAUAGUUGGUUCUGUUACAUGUUAGGUAUACAAUGUCUCUGUGAUAUGGACAUAAUGAUUUUUGAUGUGUCAAAUUCUUACUAUUUCACUCUUAAGAGUAGAAAGAUCUACUUCGUUGGACAACCACCAAGGCUUAACAACAAUAAUGAGAAAAUAAGCAUGUGAAAGGAAAAAGACUUAAUCUUAUAAGCCCAAAUGAUUUUGAGAAUCAGGUUCAUGAAGAGUUUGUUGCAUUUGCUUUAGUGGCUAAGAAAGUUUUAGAGAAAGCACUCGAAGAAAUAAGUGUAGUUUUGAAAGAAUUUCAAGAUGUUUUUCCUCUCAAAGUUCAUAAUUCCUUACCCCAUUAUACGUGACAUUCAACACGUAAUAUUUUAUCCCUAGUUACCUCUUGGUUUCAAGCAAGAAACACACUUCAAUAUCAUUAUGCGUUACUGUAUUCCUAAUAGAUGCCCUCUUAGCAGACAUACCCAACCCACAACUAUUCCAGAAUAAAAUCUUCAUUGAUAAAUGAUUUUAAACCUUACCAAGUUAUACUGCAAAAUGGAAUUAUUCCCAAAACCCAAAGCAAAUAACAUCCUCUGCGCCUCAUCUUCAACAAUACAUUCUGCUGUUGCAGCAGAACUGUAAGUUAUCAUAUAACGAAGAUUCCCUUUUCUGAUUCUAGAAUCCAGUGAACCUGGUGAUUCCACCUCACGUUCAUCCUCCACCCGCUGAAGACUACCAUUGAAAGAGAAAAGCUCCACCUUUGGGUGUAAACUGGAUUGAUUGCAUCCCAUCUGAAUCACGUGGGCUUAAUGGAAGGAACGAACAAUUGUCGGUUUUAAAAGUUUGGUUUGUAACAAUCAUUGUAAUUCCAAAUUUCCAUACUCCUUCCAUUUAAGCAAUUAAUAAUAACAGAGAAUAUGUAUAAAUCUCAAUGUUGUUUUAAAUUUUAUGUAAGAUAGUACAGUUUCAUUCAAAAAAUGAGAAAGAACAAUAAAAAUCCUCAAAUUCUACCACCUUCAAUUCUCAUUCAUCAACAACAGCAUACAUUCAAACAAGUGAUCAAUAGUGUUGAUGAAAAAUAAAUCAUUAGCGAUCAAGUGACGAGGACUAUAGUAAGAUUGGCGCCAUUGUAAGCUUGACAAGCUUUGCCUACUCUAAUUAACAGCAACGAAAGAUUCAGUGCCUAAUCUCUGGACGGAGAAGGGGACGCCUUUGUUAUGUACAUGGUUGCCCUAAAUGGUUCGAUGAUGCUCAUUUUAAACAUUUUUUGUCAAGGUUGUCAAUUUUGCUCCGUUUAGUGUUUCAUUUUUUUAAUUGAAACGGUAUGUUUUGGUUUCGGAGCAUUUCAGUGUGUUGUUUCAGGAUUAUAUAUAUAUUAACUCAAUUAAACAUAAUUUAAAUUUAAAUUUAAAGAUAAAUUAACUUGAAAUUAUGCAAUUUAAAUUUCAAACACAAGUAAAAAAGUGAGAGACUGAUAUGACUUGAUCGACUAGAUGGGUCCAAAGACAACCUUUACGACUGGUAAGAAUAUAGUUUGACUCAAAAAAAUUUAAGAUGAUAUUUUUUAAAAAAUAUAUUGAGAUGACAACAUAUUAAAUCAACCUGGGUCAACUCGAUCGGAUUAACUUUCUAAAUUCGUAAUCCAGGUUAUGAGACCAUAAUAACCUAAAAUAAAGCAAAUCAAAACAAAUUAUAAAGCUGAAUUCUCAAUAAACAUGUUAUUGAAUGGUUAAAUUGGAAAAAUUUUAAUAUAAAAAAAGACACAAAAAAAUGACCUUCAGAGACUAUUGUCGUCACCAGAAUGUUUUGCCCGCCACACAAGCUUCACAUAUCUUUUGCAACUCAGAUUUGGAAACUUUAGAGUACCUUUUUAUAUACUGUAACUUUUCUAGGAGUGUUUGGAUGAAAGUUUUGGAUUAGUGGGGUAUCUAAUGUUGUUGUCGAGCACUUUAGACUCGCUACUUCUACAACAACAUGGAAUGGUGCAGGGUAAAUUCCAAAGAUUAGCUUGGAGACUAAUCUCUAGUAGUAUUACUCGGGGUAUUUGGUUGUUGAGGAACAAAAUUGUUUGUGAGGAGAGAACUAUAAGUUUGUUUGAUUGUUUCUCUAUCAUCCUUUAUCAGGUUGCUAUUUAGUUGUAUACUCUGUAUUCAAACUUUACUUAUACAGGAAAUGAUCUCUUAAGAUCUUUUGAUGAUAUCAAAUUGUGGUGUAAUAAGAAAUCUUAGGUAGUUUCUUUGUUUUUUUGUUGUAGCAAAUCAGUUUUGUUUUCUUUUUUUCCCCCUUUUUUCUUUUUUUUUUUGUCCUAUGAGACUAUUGUCAUCUGCAUUUUUUCCAUGAUAUAGGCCAGUGGGAUGGUCCAUGAGACCAUUGCUAUCAAGCGUUUUUUGUACGAGAUGGGUCCACGAGACCAUUGCCCUGUAAGCUUGGGAAUGGAUAAUAUGCUUUAAUUUCAAUUUAGUUUACAAAAAAAUUAAAUUAAAUGCUUAAGCAUAAAAAAUAAAUCUCAAGUGUUAGAAUGCAAUUACCGAUUAAUUAAUGGACAACGGACCUUAGAUUAAUUAAUAUAUGAUGCAUCUUUCAAUGGAAAUGUAAAUGCUUUACUAGAAUAUUAUUUUUUUUUGUAUUUGUUUUCUGGUUAUAUUUAAUUUUCAUCAAUAUUCCUAACAUAAAUUGCUACGUAUUUUGAAUCUUGAAGGAUUGAAAGAUAGAAAACAGAAAAGAAAAGGAGACAAGGCAGUUCAAAAGAAGAAGAAAAAAGUACGAUAGUGAAAGAAAGAGAAGAGAAUAAAAGUGGAGCAGUUUUUAUUAACUAUAUAAAUUUUAUAAUUACUAAUAUUAAAUUCAAAAUAUGUACAUAUUACAAAUAUGUAAACAUAUCAUAUGGUUUAAAAGAAAUGGCUUUUAUAAACAUAUAUGGCUUAACAAUAUUAAUCAACUCCUAAUAUUUUCAUUUUAUAUAUAUUAAUUAAAGUAAAUAUUAAAACCUAUUAUAUUAAUCUGUGAAGGUAUUUACUCGGAUGCAAAUUAUAUUUCUAAUUUAUUAUUAAAAAAAAUUCUAUAUACUACAACUAGCUUAAGAAAGUCAUGUUUAUCAGGAUCAUAGAGUAAAAAAAAGAAAAAAUUGAAUUGCAUAAAAGUAUCACUAGCUUAAGAAAGUUAUGUCAUCUGCAUCUUUCCUCGAGGAGAGGCAGUGAGACGUCCUCUUCCAACCAUCAUGCAUUUUUUCCAUGAGAUGGGUUCGUGGAAAAACUUUGGUUUAAUUGGGAAUGCUGUUAUUGAUUGGAAAAUUUUUAAUUAAAAUAAAUUUGAUUUUUUGAUUGGAAAAAAAUCCUUAAAUGACAUUAACACAUGACUCCACUUUAUUUUCUUAAGAAAAAAAAUAUUGUAACCAUAUAAGUUUCAAGUUUAAAGGGUUUUCAUUUGAAGGGGUGUGUUAGAGAAUAAUAUAAAUCAUAUCUUAGAAUCUAACCUAAUAGCUUAAGCUUUUGGGUUGAAUCGGUUCUUUGACAUGGUAGCGGAGCCUUGAUGACCAAGCGAUCACGAGUUCGAAUCUCAUCAUCCCCAUUUAUUAGAUAAAAAUUAAACACAAGGUAAUGUGGAUCUGUACAAGUUUCAAGCCCUUCUAUUGGGUUAAGAUGGUAUCUUGAGGUCUCACCUAACAACUUAAACUAUUGGGUUGAGAUGGUUCUUCGACAGGCUACCAGAUGGUGCGGCGCUACACCUCUGUUCUUGCUUUUCUCUGCUUGUUUUCUCUUCUUUUUUUAUUUCUCUUGUUCCCUUUGUCUCUCUCUGUAUUAUCUAUGUUUGUUCAUUUUUCGUCUAUGUCUUUUUGUAUUAUCUGUCUGUGGUUCUCCCCUUCUAUGUGGCUUUUCUUUGUUUGUCUUGAUUUCUCUGGGUUUGUAUUUGGUUGGUUCAACAACCUACGGUGAGGGGAAGUUGAAUAUUAAAGGCUCCCAUGCCUCUCUAGCAAUAAUAUUAUUUUUUAUUUAUCCCCAAAUACAUGUGUCAUUUAUCAAAAUAAUUAAUUUAAUCACCAAAAAAAAACAAAUAGAUCCAACAACCAUGCCAUUCCACAGUUAAUUUUUUUUAUAUUAUGAUUUAGUGCUAUGUUAACCGGGCAACCUUUAAUUACCAUGAUAUAAAAUAAAAAAAUAAUGGGAACAUAAAAUAAAUGUUUUUAUAUAUUUUUUAUUUUAAAAGGAAAAAUUUUACUCUAAUUUUACUCAAAAACUAUUGCAAAAGGAUAUUUAUUUUAAAUUUAUCUAUAUUUUUAUAGUUCAAAUAUUAAAAAUAAAAUAGAAUUAAUCACUAAGUUUUCUGGUUACAAAUACAUUUGUAAUUGUCUUUAUCUCCCUUGUAUUUCUAACCAUUAACGAAUUGAAUAUAUAAUAAAUACUAAUUAACAAAAGAAUAAAUUUAGCUGUAUAAUGUACUAAAGUUUAAAUAGGUGACUUUAGAAUCACCAAGAAGGCAGUGAAUCACACGGGAAGAUUGAAAGAAUAAUUAAAGUGAUUUUACUAACCGACAAGUUGACCCCAAGUCAAAAGUCUUUUGUGGAAAAACAUGAAUAAAAGGUUGACGUAAGACCAUUGCUAUCAAGCGUUUUUUCUAAGAGAUGGGUCCGUUCCACCAUAUAUAUGCUUUAAUUUCAACCACCAUAAAAAAUAAAUCUUAAUGUAGUGUGUUAGAAUGCAACCACCGAUUGAUUAAUUUUAAUGGCCGGUCAUUUAAACUUGGGUGUUUUUUCAGUAUAUAUAUAUAUAUAUAUUCCUCAAUUAUCAUAAAAAAAUAAGAAAAAACUAAUAAUAAGAUUAAAAAUAAAUGUUUUAUUUAUCGAAAUAAUUAAAAGUAAGGUUUACUGAAGGUAUAUACGGGAUUAAUAAAAAAUAACAAUAAAAUCAAUUUAUAAAAAAAUAAAUCAUAGAUUUAGUUUUCCUAAAUUUUAAAUGUAGUGUGAAUGCAUUCCGCAAGAAAAAAAACAGUGCAAGAUUAGCCUUUCAAGAAAUAGAGAAUCUUCCUCUUUGAAGGAAUUAAUUAGUGGGUUGGAAAAAUGUCGUCUUUUGCUCUAAUAUUUUCUUCACUUGGUCUAUAGUUUUACCUUACACUAAUAUUUUCAAGAUUUCAAUUGAAAAGGAGGGUCGUAAAAAAUUUAAUUUUUAUAAACAUACCCUUAAUUAACUUAAUUUGGAUGUGGAUAAUUGUUUGCAAUAUAUUUACAUCCAAUAUAAACAAUUCAUCAAUGAUCAAGUCGGCCUUGGUUAGCUAAAAUAUUGAAAAUACUUGCUCUCUCCUUUUUUCUUUUUUGGCCAUGCAGUUCCUAUAUAUAUAUAUUAGUUGAAAUUUUAUGAUGUCUAUUAAUCCUUUUAAAUUAAAGUCAAGUUAUUAAUUAUAUCCUAUAGAUUUCUAGAAAAACUAAUUCUCUCAAAUUUCGUACAUUUUACUUACAAACUAUAAAAGGUGAUUGCUACAAACUAAAAUUUCAAACAAGGAAGCUUAAAUCUCUUUUAUCUACAUUUGAAAUUUACAAAAAAUAAAAUUAUAUUGGAUUAAGCCUAAACACUAUAUAAAAUUCUUGAACAACACAUUAAAAACAAAUCAAAGAUACUUUUCAAAAUAUCAAAUCAUUAAAUCUUACAUAUCAAAUAAAUCAAGUUAUCAUAUAUCAAAUUAAAAGGAAGAAUUAAAUGAUUGUUUUAUUUUUUAUAAAAAUAUUUUAAAUAGAAAUUAUAAUGUGGAUCAUAUGGCUCAAUGCAAAUUAAGGUCUCACAUAUAGCCAGCUAUAGCAUGGGAUAGCCAGCGGUCAUUCCAUCAGGAGAUUUGUGAAUUCUGAAGCCUUUGCAAUGUGCAUGGCAUGUGUCCAAGAACCCACCAGGAACUCCAUUUUGACUGGGAAACCUUUGACGAACUGUAUUAUAUGUGAUUUGCUCCUGGUAUUAUAAAUUAGAAAGUGUAAAUUGUAAAUCCCAACCAAUAAGAUAUCUACAUAAGAGUCUGUAAAUGUUACAGAUGAUUUAAGUUUGUUUAGCAAAUUUUUCAAGAACAUGUUUGUCUUUGAUAGCUUAUUGUCAUAGCUGUGAACUCUGAAGAAAAUUGAUGUAAGAAACCAAAGUCCAUUUUGUUCUAGAUUGUAGAUGGAUAUAAGCUUGGUGAUUCCCGAUUCUUUUAUUAAUUUCAUUUUAUACAUUCCCUGUGAUGUGUUCUUAAUUUAUAUACCACACCGAUGUCUGUUAGGUUCUGAUUCAAUCGAAUUGGAGCCGAUCAAAAUUGUAAUGACUCAGUUUCUUUUAUGACCUGGAUUGGGCUUCACAUGCCCUUGAUUAUGCCCAAGAAGAAAACUAAAUAAAUAGUAGAUGAGUAGUGUACUGAAAAUAAAUAUUUUCAGCAUAUUACAUAGAUCUAAAACAAUAGCACACAGGAAUUAAAAAAGAGGAGGGAUCGCUAGGGAUACAAGAUUUGCAGCCAAAACUAUGACCUGACAUGUUCAGGAAACAGAAGGGAACUAUGACCUGACAUGUUCAGGAAACAGAAGGGAGGUGUUUCUUUUAAACACAAGGCAGAUUUUUAUGAUCUUAUUCCUUUUGGUCAUUAAAUUUUCUUAAAAGGAGCUUUGGUUUGAUUCCUACAAGCUGGGGGCAAAUCUUCAGCGUUUCGACAGUCAGCCUCAUGAGCAAAAGAAAGACAAUGUGCGACCACUCCAAGCUUCUCGUUGCUCCCCUGUUCCGAUUAGAAAUGGAGAUUCAAGAAGCUAUGCUACUGUCCUGAGACAAGAGUUCCAACGAAAUCUACUGUAAGUUCCCAAGACACUCUUUUAUAACACUUUGGUCAUUUCCAUGACUUUAUCUGCAUAUCUUGUGCAGGCCAGUUCCAUGUUUUGAGAUUUGAAUAUUAUUUUAUUUUAUUGUUUAGCACUUAGUCUAUUCGCCAGGUUGGGAAAAAUAUUCAAAUUAGUUUUGUUGGCAUGUAACCUCACCAAACAAUUUAAGACUUCACUAAACAAUUUGCGUAGACCGUAUUGACUGGGAGUCAACUAUUGUCGUAGUGCUUUUUUGCACUAUCUGUGUGCGUGAAUGGAAAGAAAAGCAGGGUGGCAACUGGGGUGAGAAAAUGAAUAGAAAACUCCAACAAGGGUGUGAAAAUGAGUUACUUCUCCAAAAAGAAUAUAUAAAUUAUUGAAUAUCUAAUGGAAACUGUCGUGAACGCGGAUGCUUGACUUGCUGUGUACCAUUUUGAUUUUUAAACACAACCAUGCCGUAAUUUCCUGGUGAUUUCCUUAUGCAUACUGGUGGUCUUCCAGAAUCUUUUUCCAAACAAUCCUCGUUAGACCCUGCUCGGGGAUUAACCUGGAGUAAGAUUUGUAUCAUGGUUUUUUAUCAUGUUCCAGGUCAACUUGGAUCAACUAAAUUUUAUGAGUAUGUCAAAACGACAUUGUUUUUUAUAUAUAAACAUAAAUAUGAAUCUUGAGCUCUUUUAUAAUCUUAAGACGAAGUAUAUUAAUAGUUGAACCAUUAUCCACCAAGAUACAAUUCAUCAUCUUUUCAUCGAUAUAUCUUUUAAUAAAAAAAUAUCGUUUAUGGAGUUUUGAUUCAAGCAACAGGUCUUCAUCGUUAAAGAAUAUCUAUGUAGUGUAUACACCUUGAGACAAGUCGAAAGAGUUAGUCAUGACAGGUUUAGUAGGAGUUUUCUUUAUAGUUUUCUCAUUUUUUAUGUUAAAUUAGGAAGAGAUCAAUAAGAAACUGAACUUGAAGAUGGACUAUAUCAUUGUUAACUUCUUGAUCCGAAUACUCCAACAUGAUGGUUAGUGCAAAUUUUUUUUUUUUUAAAAAUAGCAAAAACAAAGUAAUUAAACAAGACAGACUUAGGAUUCCACAGAUAAAUAUAUGGCCAUAUUUGUUUCCCGGAAUUCACUUUCCGGGAAGCCACUUUCCAAACUUUCCUGUGUUUGUCUGCCAUUAGAAAAGUUGGUCAACGGAAAACACUUUCCAGUCAAAGGAAAAUUUAGCUUGGUUUCCAGGAAAGUGUUUUCCUUGAAAAUUUAUGCGGAAAACACUUUCUGAAAGUUGUGAAAAAUUUAAAAAUGUCAUAUUAUUUGCUGAUUAUAUCAAAUUUGGUCCUCAAACUUUUGAUUGCUAUAUAUAUAUAUAUUUUUGUUUUGAAUAUUUAUUUUUCAAUUUCAUCUCUUAAAAUUUAAUUUUUAUAUUAACUUUGGUCCUCAUUUUUAUAAUUGUUAUUUGCUUUUCCCUUAUCAUUUUCUUAUUGAAAUUUUUUAUCUAUCAAAUUUGGUUCUCAUUCUUUUGAUUGUUACUUAUUUUAUUUGAAAUAAUUUAUGAAAUGUUAAUUAUUAUUAUUAUUUUAAUUUCUUCAUCUUUCAUUUUUAUUUUAUUUUUUAGAUUUGAUUUUUAUUAUUUUGAUUAUUAUUAUUUAUUUGAGAUAAUUUAUGAAAUUAUAUUUUUUUUCAAUUUCAUUCUCAUUCAACUUUUUAAUUUGUAAGAUUUGUUCAUCAUUAUUUUAAUAAACUUGAGAAAAUAAAAUAUUAAUAAGUUAUUUUCCAGUUCAUUUUCCAUGACAUAACCAAACACUGAAAAAUAUUUUCCAACUUAUUUUUCAUUACACUACCAAACAUCGAAAAAUAAUUCACUUUCCUGGAAUUCACUUUAAAAAAAAAACUACUUUCCAGCAAGCAAACGGGCCAGUUUCAACACUUCUCUAUUGAAACGUUCAACAAUAAGGCUAAGCUAUGAGGUCAACCCACUAAAAAGCACCCAUUAGCUGGACACAUUCAAGAAAAUUGCCGACAAGUUUCGAACUAACACAAUUUUGGGCCGAGAAUGCAAGAAGCAAACCACUGAUUCCCCCACCAGCAACCACAACAAAUUCAGUGCUCCCAUGCUAAGAUCCUCUGAUGUUGGAGAACUAGCGAAAUUUAAUACAAGGCUUCAACACUCCGAAGCCUGCUAGAGAAAUAUUAAAGCAAAAUAAGUAGUAGCAUUAAACAACAGCCAUUUCAUCAGUUUUAAUUUUAGUAUAACACAAUAAUAUGAACCAACCUUGAUUCUCAAAGGCACCCAACUAAUUCAUAGCCUUCAAAUCAAGACUUUGCAAUUCUUUAAAAGGCAGAAACAAAGAUGCGUUGAGAACCCACUCCCCUAACCCCCAAUCCCCAGCACCCCCAAGAGAGAGUUGGAUCACUCGCCUUUCGGUGGUAUCGCACACGAUCCUAGACCACUCACAACAAUUAUUGCCCAGGUAUUUCAACAGUUAUGGCUUGUGUGGGUUUUGGUUCACGAUGGAGAUGAUGGAUACAAUAAUGUAUUUCGACAACAAAACUUUCAAUGCUUGUGAAUGGCUCUCCAACUAAAGAGUUCUUUAUCGAAAAGGGAUUGCGACAAGGGGACUCUUUAUCAACAUCUCUUUUCAAUAUAGCAACUGAGGGUCUUAGUAGAAUGCUAAGAAGAGAUGUGGUUUGGGACUUAUAAAAGGUAUUUGUUUUGGUCACUUUCAAGUUUGUAGAUGAUACACUCAUCUUCAGUUCAUAUGAUUUUCCAUCUCUUCAAAACAUCAAAAUAACCAUGUGAUGUUUUGAGUUGAUUUCUAGGCUGAAGGUUAAUUUCCACAAGAGCUCAAUCACGAGAACUAUUGUUAUUUCUUCAACUGCUAGCAAUCUAAUAUGUAGUAUGGAGGGGAUGCCAUUUAAGUAUUUGGGCCUGCCUAUUUGUGCAUCUUCAUCUCAUGUGGAAAACUAUUGUUAAUAGAAUCAAUAGCAAGUUGGCACUUACCUAUUGGUGAGAGAGUGUGCUUGCUUAAAUCAAUUAUAAAUAAUCUUCCUAUCUACAACCUUUCUUUAUUUCCUAUCACAUCCAUUGUUGCUACCAAAAUUGAGAAACAUAUCAUAUCUUUCUUUGGUUCUUAGGAGGAAGGAGGGAAAAAACUAUGCAAUGUUAAAUGGGCAUCGGUGGUUCCUCCAAAAAAAAACAAAAAGGGCUGGGUAUAGACUACAUUAUUGAUAAAAAUCAUGGGUUACUAACACUUCCAUAGCAAAGAGAUAUGUAUUUUCCCUAUUAAUUUCUCAAGUUACCAUAAUGAGAGUGUGAUGUGACUCCAAUAAAUGUAGGAUAUGUUAAUUAGGUAUACAAUGUCUAUGUGAUAUGGACAUAAUCAUUUUUGGUAUGUCAAAUUCUUACUAUUUCACUCUUAAGAGUAGAAAGAUCUAGUUAGUUGGACUGCAUUCCGAUCUGCAAUCUUCCUAUAUAUCCCAAUUGUUGUAUUUGCUUUAGUGGCUAAGCAAGUUUUAGAGAAACCACUUGAAGAAGUAAGUGCGGUUUUGAAAGAGUUUCAAGAUGUUUGUAAUAGAUUUGAUCCCUAGUGUUAUAUUGACCUCUUGGUUUCAAGCAAGAAACACACUUCAAUAUCAUUAUGCGUAAUUGUAUUCCUAAUAGAGUUAUGAUGUAAGUUAUGAUGUAACGAAGACUCCCUUUUCUCAUUCUAGAAUCCGGUGAUUCCACCUCACGUUCAUCCUCCACCCGCUGAAGACUUAUACCAUUGAAAGAGAAAAGCUCCAGCUUUGGGUGUAAACUGGAUUGAUUGCAUCCCAUCUGAAUCACGUGGGCUUAAUUAAUGGAAGGAACGAACAAUUGUCGGUUUUAAAAGUUUGGUUUGUAACAAUCAUUGUAAUUUCAAAUCUCCAUACUCCUUCCAUUUAAGCAAGUAAUAAUAACAGAGAAUAUGUAUAAAUCUCAGUGUUGUUUUACAUUUUAUAUAAGAUAUUACAGUUUCAUUCAAAAAAUGAGAAAUAACAUUAAAAAUCCUCAAAUUCUACCACCUUCAAUUCUCAUUCAUCAACAACAGCAUACAUUCAAACAAGUGAUCAAUAGUGAUCAAGUGAUGAGGACUAGAGUAAGAUUCGCACCAUUGUAAGCUUGACAAGCUUCGCCUACUCUAACUGUAACGAAAGAUUCAGUGCCUAAUCUCUGGACGGAGAAGGGGACGCCCUUGUUAUGUACACGGUUGCUCUAAAUGGUUCGAUGAUGCUCAUUUUAAACAUAUCAUGUCAGGUUGUCAAUUUCGUUCUGGUUAGUGUAACGGACCCGACUGUACGACUUGAUCAAUGUUAAAAGAUCCCAAUAUAUUCUCUUAGCCUGAGGAUAAUUUUUUUUUUAAUCUAUCAAAAAUUCAGCAGAGUUUUGUUUGUAUUUAGGACAUCCCAAGUUAUCGACCACUAUCAAUUUACUCAAUCAACCCAUCAUCACAAGGUCCCAUAAAUCCGGACCUUAGAUUAAUCAUCAUAAUUCAACACCUUACCCAAUCCACACAAUAUAUAUCCUACGAGUAAGUUCAAUAUCAACAUAACCCACAUAUCAUAUUAUAAAAUUUAAAAGAAAAGGAAAUACUAACAUGCAAAGAAAGCAUUACAACAUAAUAAGUGUUCUUAACCAUAUCAAAAGGGUUAAUUACAAGAUAACUAAAAUACUACAUGCUAAGCUGAACUUUUAUAAAUACAUCAAGGUUUACACAAAAGUAUACUACAUAAACACGUUAUUUCUCUUUUGUUUAAGUUAAAUAUUUACAUAAGCUUGACAAAGUAGAGUCCUAAAUUAGUGAUCUCUCUGGAUAUUUGAUGGACCUGUUAUAUAAAUAAACAUGUCAUUAUGUUGAUAAAAGAAAUAUAUAUAAGCUCAUGUAAUGUAUCCGAAUGAAGUAUUAAUUUCUAUUGGAUCCAUAAGGAUUCUAACAGACAUCUUAUAUUUUGCUUGUAAAUCUUUUAAACCCAAUUUACACUCAUUUGCAUAUUCUUAAUUUGAAUACUCUUAUUUAUUUGCAUGAACCGGGUGACCUUGCAAAGUCUAUUCUUGUAAUCCAUUUCCCAGCAAUCAUAUCACGAAUACCAUUAGCCGAAGCAAAUCUUGUAAUUCAUCUCCCGGCAAUCAUAUCACGGAUGACAUUAGCCGAAGCUAAUCUUGAGAUUCAUCUCCCUGCACUCCUAUCACGGAUGCCAUUAGCCGAAGCUAAUCUUGCAAUCACGGAUGUCAUUAGCCGAAGCUAAUCUUGUAAUUCAUUUCUCAGCACUCCAAUCACGGAUGCCAUUAGCCGAAGUUAAUCUUGUAAUUCAUUUCCCGGCACUCCUAUCACGGAUGCCAUUAGUUGAAGCUAAUCUUAUAAAUACACUAGACUUUAUUUACAUUGAACACGAUAUUUAUUAUAAUUGCAUUCACUAGAGGAAUUUUAAAUUGUAUAAGUACAAAUAGGAGGGAAAAAUCACGCACCUGCUUCGCCUGUUUCGUGACCUCCUCUAACAGAAGAUCCAAUCCUGGUUGCUCCUCCUGAAUCACAAGGAAGUUUUUGGUUAUGAUUCCUUCAAGCUGAUAUUAUAGAGGCUCCAUAUUCAUUCAUUACUCAUAUGUUACUUUCUAUGCAUGUUCAUUUCCUUAUAAUAACAAACAUACAUAAAUCAAGUAUAUUUUCAAAGUUAGUAUCUCAAUGUGCAAGUGUUCGUAUGACUCAAUUCUUUUAUAUUCUUACAUAUAAUAUUCACGUGAAAGUCUACUAUUACUAUCUAACUUUGAACUGUUACUGUCCAACGGUUGCUGUCCAACAGUUGCUGUUUGAACAGUUGCUGUUUGAACUCUUAUCAGAUUUUUAACUAUAUCUAGAGUUCUAGAACUCCAUUUUAAGUGAGAUUGAUCUUGUUGGAAAGCUAAGACACGAGGCUACAAGUUCUCUAAAGGAAGGAGAACCCAGUUCUGCCUCCAGGAUAGUCAAAAUUGCUCAUCAACCCAUCAAUCCUACUGCUCUACAAAAUCAGUCACGACUCAGUCUUGGUUGGUAACCCAUAACUGGAGUUAUACAUCUCCAAAUUGAGCAAGAUUAAUUUCCUUGGUUAGCUAACAUCCAAAUCUACAAUUUCUAUAAAGGAAUCUGAUCCUAAUUCCCUCAUCCUCCUACCCGAAAUCUCACCAAAAGUUAGGAGACAAGUUUGUCCAGAUUCGUUUGCCCCUCCCCUUCACACAAUACUUUCAUAAACUACACACCACACACAUGAAUUAACUUAAUCUUAAUAAUAAGUACUUUUUCUCCAAUUCAUGUCUAAGAACCCUAACCUAUGAUUCAAUAUCAAGGCAUCAAUUCAUUAUCGAUUUGAAAUGAAUUUUUUUAAUAUCAUGUUUAGAACACCUUACCCAGUACAAAUUAAGAUUUUGAUCUCCAACCAGUUGAAGAUUUUCAACUCCCUCCUUUCUUUUCUUCUUGUUUAAUUUCUUGGUAAUCCCUUGCUCUCAAGUGUUUAUCCCAUCUAUAAACCCUUAAUCUUGGAUGGGUUCUCGAAAUUUUAGUGUUUCUCUCUUGAUUUCGCAAGAAUGGGUAUAAAACUCCUUAUUUUCUCUCAUUAUCGUUCCUGCAGAUUUUUGGUGAGGAGAGAGUAUUUAUACUCUAUAGUUUCCCUUAUUUGUAUUUAGGCCCCAUUUCCUUUAAAUUUCUGAAUUCUUGUCUUUUAUUUAACCAUACGCAUGAAUUUCUUGACUUUUAUUUCUCAUAUAGUUAGUUUUCAAUUUAAGCAACCUUUAUUUUUUUAUUUUUUUUCUGAGGUUUACAGUUAGUGUUUCAUUAUUUAAUUGAAAUGGUAUGUUUUGGUUUCGGAGCAUUUCGGCGUGCUAUUUCAGGAUUAUACUGUUCAUACUAUUCAUAUAUAUAUAUAUAUAUAUACAUACUCAAUAAACAUAAUUUUGAUUCAAAUUUAAAGAUAAACUAACUUGAAAUUAUGCAAUUAAAAUUUCAAACACAAGUAAAAAAAGUGAGAGUUGAACCAAUAUGACCCGAUCGACUAGAUAGGCCCAAAGACUACCUGAAUGACUGGUAAGAAUAGAGUUUGACUCAAAAAAAUUUAAGAUGACAUAGUUUUUUAAAAAAUAUUGAGAUGACAACAUAUUAGAUCGACCGGGUUCAACUCAGGUUAACCUUUUAAAUCCGUAAUCCAGGUCAUGAGACUAUAAUAACUCUAAAUAAAACAAAUCAAAACAAAUUAUAAAGCUCAAUUCUUAAUAAACCUAUUAUUUAAUAGUUAAAUUGAAAAAAAAUAAUCUAAAAAAAGGACACAAAAAAAAUGACAUUUCAAAACAAAAUUAUGAAAAUGUCACUAGCAGUCUCGCAAGGCCUUUCUAAACUCCAAUUGCUCUAUAAUUUUAACCUGAGAUAUAACAAUAUGUUAGGAAAAUCUUCAUAAGAUUUCAGUCUGAUCCACCAAUCGAAUUGAAAGAUAUGAUUGAUAUCGUAAAACUAGCUAAUAUUGUUUUAGAAAAAAAAAACAUUAUUUGGCCGGAAUGGAACCGGAACAUUCGAGCCAGAAUUUUGGCGGAAUUUAUGGAACGGGCUAAGACUCUGAGCAAGAUGAAAUUUGUUUCAGUUUGUUUUAUUUUUUAAAUUGGAAAGAGAUAUACCAGUCAUUUUGAAUGGAACAUAACAAAAUUGACAACCUUGUAUCAUGGUUGAUUAGAGUUUUUUUUUUUUUGUCUUUUUUUUCAAAAAUUUUUCCAACAUUGAGUUGAUUGGUAAUCGAGCUUCAUAAUUUAUAUGUUAACAUGCCAAAUUCAUGACCUGAGUCAUGAGACUAUAAUAACCUCAUAAAAGUAUAUUGAACAAAUUACAAAGCAUAAUUCUCAACCACCAGUGUUUAAAAAUGAAAUUGAAAAAAUAACAUAAAAAAUGACUCAAGUCAACUCAAGAACCUGCCAAAUCCGUGAUCCAGGUCACAAGACCUAGAUAACCUCAUAGAAAGCAAACUGAAAAAAUAAUUCGGGUCAACCUAGGUUACCCUGCCAAACACGCAACUCAGGUCAUAAAACUAGGAUAAUGCUAUAUAAAGCAAAUAGCAACAAAUUUUAAAGCAUAAAUCUCAAUCAACUUAUUUUAAAGCAUAAAUCCCAAUCAACUUAUUACAAUUCACUCGCAUUGUUCACUUUAGUGAACAGUGCUACAGUGGAGCCAUGCUCCACUGUUGAGGUUUCUCCCAGACGAGAAGCAAUAAAACGUUUAAGGAAAUAAAUGUUGCUUCUCCAAAACCUGCGGUGCCAUAUGGGUCCUACGUGCUGAAAGCACUUUUAUUUUCUUAACCAAACGUUUAUUAGCGUGGCUGCGGGUGAACCUCACCCGCAACCACGUUACCAAACGAGCACUUAGUCUCAAAGAAGAAACAAUUACUUGGUUCUAUAUCCUUAGCACGUCAAACAUGAGGGUAUGAACAGUAACCAUUGUGUCCACUAUAAAAUAUAAGGGGGUGAACAGUGCGGCUACAAAGUAUUCACCCCACACACUUUAUAUUAUAAGUAACUAGUUUUUGUAUUGGCACUCCGCGGCGGGGUGGUUAUUUUUUUAAGUAAAAAAAUAAUAAUAAGCAGGCUCUUACAAUGCACUUUUUAAUAUAAUUUUUUUUCAAUCACAAAUCAAAAUGCCUAUACAUAUAUUUAGUAAUUAGAUCGAUAUUUGAUAAAUAGGUAACUAAGAUUAAGAUAUUUGAUAUCACGACAUGAAUCAUGUGCUUAGUUGUGUUUAACAAUUAUGUUUCCUAGAGUUUUUUUUUAUGAACCAACCAUAUAUUCCGAUAAAAGGUAACAAAAAAUUCAUACCAAUAUUGAAUGAAGAAACUAAAAAAAAAAACCAAUAAAAAAAAGACUGUAUAAAUACACUAAUUUAUUGACCAUAUUGACAAAACAAGUCAAAACUGUAUAAAUACACUAAUUUAUUGACCAUAAGUAAAUGAUUGAGAUAAUAAUACGAAAAGAAAAACUUUUUACCGGACAAUGAUCAAUCCUGGUGAUGUCCAAAGUGUAAAUCAAACAUUUUAUAUCUUGCCAUGAGAAACAAAUAUAUCACAACUUGUUUUUAUUGUAUUCUAUUAUGACUUGUUUUGUGCCUUACAUUAUUUAAUAUAUUAAAAUAAAUUUAAUAAAUUAUACUGAAGCAAGAUCUAAUAUUAGAAAGUUAACGGAAAUAAUAAAUAUAUUUUUAAAUAUAUUUACAGUUCGGUCCCUUAAUUAACUUUUUGUUUGUAAAAUGUGGAGCUGUCAGCAAUAUUUCCUUAGUUUGUGUCGCUAACUGUGAUUAAAGGAUCAAUUAAUUAUUUAUUUAAAUCAACCAGAGGGAUUAAUCUGUUUGUUUAACAAAAAUACAGACACUAAUUAAAUAGAAUUUAACUCAAAUUUUAAUAAUCAAUAUUUUUAGAUGGAAUCUUGGUAGAAAAUUUAAUCAUCAUAUCCUGGGUAUUUUGGAAACAAAAUUGGAAACUUUGAAUGAUUUCACUAUUACUGCUAUAUGGGGUCGUCAUCCUAGGGCUUGGUAUGCAGUUCCCUCAUUAGGCCUUUCGGGGGGAUAUUAUGUAUAUGGAAUCCGAAUCUUUUUUGUGUCUCUAGCUGUUCUGUUGCUAUGAAUGGCUGUAUUUUGCAUAUUGAAGGCACCUUCACUCGGUCCAAUCUAGAUUGCCUAGUCUCUUUUGUAUAUGCUCCGAAUGUUGGGAACCUGAAGAAUGAGCUGUGGACUUAUCUUGUUACAUUCAGGGAUAGUGUUAGCAUGUCGUGGUGUCUUGCAGGUGAUUUUAAUGAAACCUUAUUCCCAUCAGAUAGGAAAGGCGGCUCACAAAUAACAUCUUCCAUGACAAGAUUUCAAAAUUGCAUUGAUGGUUGUAAUCUUAUGGAGCUCCCCUUAAAUGGGAGAAAAUUUACAUGGUCUCGAGGUAAUGCGGCGAGCCGUAUUGAUAGAAUAUUUUUAUUGGGGGAUUGGUUGCAGGCUUUCCCGUCCUCUACUUUAUUCGGUCUCUCAAAAUAUUCAUCUGAUCAUAGGCCUCUGCAUCUGUUGCUAGACUCUACAAAUUGGGGCCCGAAACCUUUUCGCUUCAUGAAUUGCUGGUGGCUUGCGUCUGAUUUCAGGAUUAUGAUUCAGAGCUUUUGGAGAUCACUCACGGUUUCAAAAUCUGGCAUAAGGAAAAUGGUCCCAGCUCUAAAGAUGUUGAAAGAGAGAUGUCGGCAGUGGAGUAAAGCUACUGUGGGAAACAUGAAUAACAGAAUUGAAGAACUGGAACUUGAAGCUGACUCAAUGGAUCAUCAAAAUGAGUGCAGGGUUUUGACUGCUGAUGAACUGAUUAGAAGUAAUUCCAUUGCCUCCCGGCUCAAAAUCCUGUAUAGAGCUCAAGAGUCUGCCUAGCAUUAGAAGUCAAGAAUUCAGUGGUGUAAGCUUGGAGAUAAAAAUACCCGAUUCUUUCAUUUAGCUGCAACAACAAGACAGAAAAAGAAUCAGCUUGCAUGCCUAGAGGUUGAUGGACAGAUCCUAUCUAAACCAAGCGAUGUGAAUCUAGCUGUCUUUCACUUUUUCCGCAACCUAUACUCCCAUCAGAACAGACCUAGAGCUUCAUGUUCAAACCUGGAAUUCUCAAGGCUGAAGCAUUCAUCCUCGGCUGCUCUUGAAUUGCCAUUUUCUGCAGAAGAGAUUACAGCAGCUGUGUGGGAUUGUGAUGGAAAUAAAGCUCCAGGUCCUGAUGGUAUUAACUUCCUUUUCAUCAAGAAAGCAUGGAACAUUAUAGGUGAGGACAUUAUCCAGAUGGUUGAUGAAUUCUAUCGGACUAAUCUCCUUCCUGCAGGUAUCAAUAGCACCUUUGUUACUCUUAUUCCGAAGAUUAAAGGUGCUAACAAGCUAUCAGAUUUCAGACCUAUUAGUUUGGUGGGCAGCCUAUACAAGAUCUUCUCAAAGAUUCUAGCAACUAGGUUGAAACAUGUUAUGCCAGAGGUCAUCUCUCAUCAUCAAAAUGCUUUCAUCAAAGGGAGGCAAAUUUUAGACAGCGUCUUGAUUGCAAAUGAGGUUCUUUCUUUCAUCAAGAAGAAAAAGGGUAAAGCUUAUCUUUUCAAAUUAGAUUUUCAUAAAGCCUUUGAUUCGGUGUUAUGGGAAUAUAUUAAUGAAAUCAUGGCUAGUAUGGGCUUUGACCUGGUUUAUGCAAUGCAUAUCAACGGCAAAAAUGUCUGUGCUUGUUAAUGGGUCUCCCACGGAGGAAUUCUGCUUAGCAAAAGGCCUACGCCAAGGAGACCCUCUCUCUCCGUUUCUCUUCAACAUUGCAGUCCAGGGCUUGAGUUGUAUGUUGCAGCGUGGCUGUGAUUUGGGUUUGACUUCGGGUAUAAACAUCGGCAAUACAGGGCUUGUCAUAUCUCACUUACAGUUUGCGGACGACACCCUUAUGUUCAGUUCAGACUCUUUACAUAGCAUGCAGAACAUUAAACGUAUCCUAUUAUGCUUUGAACUUGUCUCGGGGCUGAAGGUCAAUUUUUAUAAAAGCAGCAUUGUGGGUGUGGGUGUAGCAGCUCAUACAUGUAACUUCACGGCUCAGCUUCUCAGAUGCAAGCAGGAUCAGCUGCCUCUCAUGUAUCUUGGGCUCCCCAUUGGUGGAAACUUGGGCAGAGCUACAAUGUGGAAUCCUAUUUUGCGCAAUAUCAGUUGCCGAUUGGCUUCGUGGAAAGGCAGGUUCUUAUAUAUUGGGGGCUGUUUGUGCUUGAUUAAAUCUGUGCUCAGUAAUCUCCCCAUCUACUACCUAUCUAUGUUCCCCAUGCCUGUUACGGUAGCCUCCAAAAUUGAUCAGAAACUUCGAUCCUUCCUCUGGUCAGGAAAUGAGGAAAGGCACAAAAUAUGCAAUGUCAGCUGGGCCACUGUUACUCUUCCAAAACAUGCGGGGGGUCUUGGGAUUGGUUCCUUAAGGGACAAAAACACAGCUCUGCUAUUUAAAUGGUUAUGGAGGUUUGGGUUAGAGGAAUCAAGUAUGUGGAAGGAUGUGAUCAAAAGCAUCCACAACACCAAUUGCUCUAAACUGCUGCUGCAAGCUCCUAUUCCAGGAGCUGCAACUACAUGGUCCCGGAUUGUUAAUCAUUGUGUGAGAAAUAAUAAGCUGCAGGAUAUUGUGAAUGAGCAAUCUCUGGUUCUUAUCGGAAAUGGCAAGAAGACUAUGUUUUGGCUUGAUUGCUGGCUUAAUAACCACUGUUUAGCAGAGCACUUCCCUACUCUUUUCCAAUUAUCCAAUGACAAAGCUGCCAGCAUUGCUAAGAUGGGAAUAUGGGAAGGGUAUAAGUGGAUUUGGGUUUUUUCCUGGAUACGUCCACUACGGGGGCGAAACAUUGGCUUGCUCGAUCAACUAUAUGCAAUCCUAUCGACAGUAUUGGUAAGCCAUGGCCAUCUUCUUGGUAUGUUCUCUGUUCCAGUUGGUAUUUUAGACUCUAAUAUUGCUGAGUUAAGGGCUAUUGUCAAAGCCAUUGAACUAUCAGCAUCUAAUUGUCUCCUCCACCAUCAACACCUCAUCAUAGAAUCUGACUCUGUCAAUGUUAUUAGCUAGAUGAAUAAGCCUCACAGCCGUCCCUGGAAGCAUCAUAAUUUGUUCUCCUUUGUUAAUAGACUGAAACCAUAUUUUGGUUCAAUCACCUUCUCCCAUAUCUUUCAUGAAAGUAAUUGCAUGACAGAUUGCAUGGCUAAACAAGGAGUGCGGAGAUCAAGUGAAUUUGUUGCCUGGCUUUGACUCCACCAUUUUUCUGUGGCCUUGCUCUUGUGUCUUCUGCCAUUAUGUCUUUGAGUUAUUUCUGUUAUGUUUUGUAGAGGAAUGUUUAGCUUUGAGCUCAUUCGGAUGGAUAUUCUAUGGUUUUCUUUGCUUUUGUUUAUCUUAGUCUGCGCUUUAUCCUAUAUAUGGCUUUUUGCCAUAGUAAGAUAAUGUGUAGCUUCUGUACUACUCCCGCCAGACUUUGGCGUUUAAUAAUAUACGCAUCUUUCAAAAAAAAUCCAUGUGAAUCGCACGACUUGUCCAUAUCUUUCUUAUUGAUUACAAAUAGCAUUGAGAAUUAAAGAAUAUUAUCUUAAUAAGUUCCAAUUUAUUCUACAAAAACUAUAUAUAAAGAUGUAUACAAAUUAGUUAUUUAUUGUUUGUAAGUAUUAUUGUAUUGCAAAGACAAAAAUAAGAUGCAACUUAUGGCGUGGUCGUCCAACCUGGUUCAGGUUUUGAUCCUGUUAAAAAUCUAUUUUGUUGAAUUGUUAUCUACUUGUGAGUUAUUGGGUUAACUAGAUCAAUUUUUUAAACAAAACAAUAUCAUUUAAAAAAAAAAAAUUGGUUCUGACUUAGAAAUAUAAUAUUAGAAACUUAAAUCUUAUUAUUAUAAAAGACUCAAUGGUAAAUUUAGUUUUGAAAUAGAUUUUUGUAAAAUCAAAUAUCAACUAAGCACCUGGAAAUUUAUUUGAAAUUACAAUAACCUUGUAGAAAACAAACAUAAAUAGAAUUAUUAAAUUCAAUGGAGUCCAUGACCUGAAUUACGGGUUCAACGGGUUAAGCCACGAAGCUCUGAUCGAUUUAAAAUAUUGUCGUCUUAAUAUAAAAAAAAAAUACAUCUUAAAAAAAAUAAAUUAAGCUAGACUACGUUUUUACCUAUUAUCUGGGUUGUUUUUAGGUUCAUCAUUUCGACUGAGUUAUAUUAGGACAACUACUACAUAAUUUAAUUUAAAAUUAAAGCUAAACAAGAAAUUAGGUAAAGAGAUUUUAAGAUUGAUUUGUUGGAUUGGAUUUAAUAACAAUACAAAAAAUCUAAAUAUUUCUUUUUUAUUAAAAAAAAAUUCAAUCCAACUCUCAUCGUAACGCAGUAUAGUAAGAUAAAUAGAUAUAAAUAUUUUGAUGGAUACUCGGGAUAAAAGAUUGUUUGAGGACAUUUUGCUAAUUUCUUUUGUUAUCUAAUCAAUCAAGCUCAUAGUGAAUAAGUAUAUUAAUAUAUACAAUUAAAUUAAAUAACAUAUAAGAGAAAAAUGGUCGCAAGCUAAAGCUAAAGUGAUGCGACGUUGAGCCACUAGUCGAUAGUUGUAACGUCAGUUUGUUGGUUCGUCGUUCGUUUCUCGGGCGAGUUUGGUUGUGCUAAACACAAUGAACCAAUAGAGUGCUUUGCUUUCUUACUUGGAGAUUCUGGAGCCUUGGAUUUUUUGAUAUUUAGGUUAUCUGUUUCUAGAAAAGAAAGAAAGAAAUAUUUAUAUUAUCAAUGCAAUGCAAUGAAACGACUAAAUAACAUUUAAUUAUUAUCAUAGCUUUGUCCUCGUACCUAAGGAAGUAUACUACGUCUUUUUCUCCAUUGUUUGAGUUUGAAAUUAUAUCUGUGAACCCAUUAAUUUAUCUAGAAAAAACAUUUAUUGGGUAAUUGGAUCAAUCAUUGAGGUCGUCAUAUCAUAUAUAAACCAAUUAUUUUAAUUAAAACAAUAUCAUUUUAUUUAAAAUUAAAUUUAUAAUACUAACUGAAUCCCUAAAAACACAAUUAGACCAAUCAAGUUUUAGCAAGUUAAUUUUUUUUUUUAAUUUUUUCAUAUUUAACUUGAAAUUCAAUCCAAAUUAAAUUAUAAAUUAUGGGUUUCUUAAAUUAACACAUGUUGGGUCAGGUCUACCAAUUAUGAUUGGAAUCCAGGGUUAAUAUCUAGAAGAAUUUAUUAAAUUUCUGUAUAAUUAGUCAAUCGAUGAGGGAAUUUAGUUUUGAUUGAUGGAGAAAUUAAUUUAAAGAUACCAUGCAAGAUAUAUAUAUAUAUAUAAACAUUUAAAGGGAAACGGACCCACCAUCAAUUAUUGUUAUUCGUUUAAUUAUAAAUAGAAUGAAGAGAAUGAUGCUCGCUGCACUUUUAUCAGCGACUGAUAAACCCCAGAAGGAGAACACUCUACAGAAUUAUUCCAUACUUUUUCGUAAAUUAUAAAUUAAAAAGAAAUUGGUUAUAACAUGGUUAACGAACACAGCACAAAAAUAAACAGGUGUAUUUCUUACAUAAAUUCUUAUUGUUUUGUUUUUCCAUUGGUUUCAUGAAAUUCUCUCAACAAUUGAACAAAAAACACUACAUCAUAGCUCACAAACAUACAUUUUAUAAGUCAAUUAAACCUCUUGUUUUUCUUAUGUGUCUUUUUAUUGUAAUCUCUGCAAGGUGACACCUGACAGAGCAAUCUGUUGAUAGGUCCAAUUCUGCUUUAUGUUGUGUUUCUUGCUGAGCAAAUAAAGGUCAUGGGUUUUCUUUCUUUCUUUUUCCCUUAUAAAAAUGGUCAUGCGGCCACAGACAGUUGCGAAAAAAAAGAAGCACUUAAUUAUCACUUAUUUGGUAAGUAGCGUACUUAUCAGAUGACCCUCAACCAUCAGUACCCAUUAUAAAUUAAUGUCGACAAGAGUAAAAUUAGGAGUUACCGUGACUUUCCAACAUCUAUCAUUAUAAAUUAAGUAUCAACAACGAUUAAGACUAAUUGUUUUACCAAGAUUCUCAACCAUUGUAAAAAUAGAUUUGAAAAAAAAAUCAUAGCAAAAAUUCAAAAAAAUAAAAAUUGCAUUGCUUUCCAUAUAUAUUUUAGUUUUUCUUAUAAUAAUAAUAAUAAUUAUAGUCUCUCGUGUCUCACAACUGUAUGUGUUUUUUCUUGAAUAAGCGCUAAUGUUCUUUGAGGGGUCCAAGCACCAUAUACUGAAAGAAAGAACUAGUUCAAAUUGAAGCACCAUGAGUUUCUCUACGGCUUGGUUCACCACCUGCUGGUGCGGCAAGUUAUGAACUAGCUGGCUAGUUUUUUGCUUCCUUGGUUUUAGAAGCACCAUGUGUUCAAAGAAUAGUCAACAAAGAAAAAGAAAAAGAAAAAGAGAAGGGCAAAAGGUUAAUUAAAAUCAGCAGGACUGCCAUGAGGCAACCUCAAGUAGUGAACUUGAAGGAAUAAAAAGUGCUGGGAAGUAAUUUUUGCUGAAACUUCUUGUGUAACAUCUUCUUUUGAUGAUGACCUCUUGGAUGGCUGCAUGAAGCUUGUUCCGUUUUAAAUUUCAAGGUUAAUCUAUUUCUAUGAGCAUUGGUGUUUCAAUUUCAACCUUAAGUUGCAACUGAACUUAAAUGAAUAGUGUUGGAUUUGGGCCUUCUAUUUGCUUUAACUUCUACAGGAUUGAAAUGAUAGUGAUCUUAAAGUACAAAAGCAGCAGACAAAAAUCAAUUAGCCACAAUAUAUAGUGUAUGGUUUCCUAGUUUCUCAGUAUAAAGUUGAAUGUUUUGGUGAUAUCUCUACAUCCAAAAUCAUAUAGACAGCUACUGCUGGCACUUGCAGUGGUCAAUGAAUACUAUAGAGUACAUAUUGCAGUUUGAGAUAAGGUUAACUCGUUGCAUUUUCAUAUAUUGAAAGGAUUUCUCUUCUUUUCUUUGUCAGUUACAGAACAUGCAUAGAAGUGUUCUUAUUCAGAGUAAAUGCUAUUGUAAUGUUUUCACGGACUCCCUUGCUUUGCAACUAAGUCACUAAUUAUCUUGGAACAUAGCCAUAAAUAAAAGGUUCUUCCAGUUCAAGAAAAUUAACCAUGAAGCUAGUAGCUAGAAUUUUUAGACAGAAUGGUGGCCAAGUAAACUCCUAUACUCUGUACCUCUGGAAUAAUGCAGGGAAAGGAUGUCUAUGUAUUUUGAUGUCUUAUAUUACUUGACCAACUCUUGCUUAUCUCAUUAUUUGUUUUUACUUUUUGCUAAUGAUUCCACACAUUUUUGAUAUUGGUGUGGUUUAUGACUUCAGGGUUCUUACUCGCUACUGCAACUUCUCUAUACUUGCUUGGUCAUUAAAUAUGAAACGUGAUGAUUUGCAUAUGCAGAAUGGAGACAUUAAAGAGGCAUCUUCUGUUUUCUAGUUAGGAGGGAUUACCAGAACUCAAGAAAUUUGUCGUACAUUUUGAGGAAAAGAUUUAUACCACCGCUACCAAUCAGGUAUUUGCCUAAUGCGAGGUUCAAUAAUUACGAUAUUAUCUAGACAUGAAUAUACACACGCAUUUAUGCUUGUACAAAUGUGUGUGUAGUGUGCCUACAUUUCCACACCUUUCAUUCUGUAUGCAAGGCUGAUUAAGAGUUCGCAUCUUUUUGUUAAUUCUCUUGACAAGUGUUUUAUUUAGAGUGACCAAGUUCAAGUACAUGGGAAGUGUGCAAAAAGCAAAUAGCGAAUCAAUACAUAAAUAAGUAAAUAAAAAGAGAGGAAACAGAAGUCUAUCCUCACAAAAGAUGAAAUGAUAGAGCAUAUAUCCAUUUUCCUCCUCUUGUAACAUGGAUUGCUCUGAGAUCUAAUGUUUUGUUAUUAAUAUCUUAUUUUAGUCUGAUUAUCUGCAUAAAAUAUCUCUGGUGAUGCUUUUGAUGAAGAUCAGGUCUCAAAAUGCCAUGCCCACUGCCCCCAUGGAUCCAGCAGGUAAUAAUGCAUUCGAGCAUCGAAUUUCUAAACAUCUUACCUUUUGUUUUUCUUCUCGCAUUGUUAUCAAACUUUUUUACAUUUUAUUGUUCCAUAUUGCUAUGUAUAUCGCCUUGCUGGCAAAAUGUCAUGAUCACCUCCACAAUACUAAUUCUGUAAUGCGUGUGAAGUGUUUCAUCCUUAACUUGUUAAUGAACGAGGACUAUGAUGCAUGGCUAUUUUAUAUUUUAUGAUUGAGAUGGUAGAUUUUAAAGAUUUUCCUUUUUAGGAGAUAAGACGUCACUUUCUUGCUUUUCUUCCGAGAGUAUUCGAUCCUUUUUUCGUACAAAAUAAUGAUGCCAUGCAUUGAAUUCCCAAACAUAUUACCUUAUGUUUUGUUUGGUCGCAUUGUUAUCAAACUCUUUUACAUUUUAUUGCGGCAUAUUGCUAUGUGUAUGGCAUGCUUUAAUCAAAAAUUUGAUUAAUUGAUGAAUGUUAGGCAAGAAAAUUACAGAAUAUUUUUGUUUUUUGCCUCCUCCUUUUCUUUCCCCCACUCCGAAAAUUGUCAUAUUAUUUUUGUUUUCAACCGCCUCUUCUUCCCCCAACCCUGAAAAUUGUUUAUAUUUGCUUUGGAAGCAUGGCAAACUUCACUGCCUCUCAGCUUAAGGAGAUUGCAGCAGGUCUCGAAGCUUCUGGGCAUCAAUUUAUCCGGGUAGUUAGAAGAAACAAAAAGAGUCAAGAAGACAAGGAAGAUUGUUUACCCGAAGGAUUUGAGGAAAGAAUGGAAGGCAAAAGGAUGGAUACUCCAAGUUUUGAUUCUUGAUUAUAAAGCAAUAGGUGCAUUUGUGACUCAUUGAGGAUGGAACUCAACUCUUGAAGGCAUAAGGCCAAUAUUUGCUGAGCAAUUCUAUAAUGAAAAGUUGGUGACUGAUGUUUUAAAAGUUGGUGCUGUCGUUGAAUAUAUUAUAGCUGUCAAGGUUCUUGAGUUUUCCCAAAUGUGAUGAUAUGAUCUCAAAACCUGCAAGAGAGUUGUUUGUAAGAGUAAGUCAUGAUGAGCUCACGAUAUGCAAAACAGAUAGAAACAAAAGAUAAUUAGAAUUGAUGAGAUGCUGUUGUUCAAUUGAUGUAUGAUUCUCAAAUUAUACAUACAUAUAUAUAUAUAUAUAUAUAUAUAUAUAUAUAUAUAUAUAUAUAUAUAUAUAUAUAUAUAAUUGAUAUUUAUAAAAGCAUUAACUGUAGCUGAUAUAGUUUUAGAGGAAUAUUUGGUACUUUGUUUCCCAAAAAAAAAAAUAGAUUUUUCUGCGAAGUAGGAAAAAAAAAAAAAAAAACUGUUCAAAACUUAUUCAAGAAAUUAUACAGUUAGCGAGUCACAGAUGAUGAAUCUUAAAAAAAAUUGGCAAUAAUAACAGUACUCUAUUACUAUUAAUUAACUUAAAUAUUCAAAACUUAAAAAUAUUUUUUAAAUUUAUCCAUGCCAAUUUAUCUUAAGAGAGUCGCAAUCUGUGACUAGUUAAAUUAUAUUAUUUCUUUAAAUAAAUUUUGCAUUGUGUUAUUUUUUGUUCUAGGUGCUAUUUUGCAAAAAAAGAAAAGAAAAGAAAGAUUAACGUUUCAGUUAUUCAUUGUUCUUGGAUUUGUAGGUAUAACAACUGAAGAUAGCAAUCAAAAGCGAUGGUGACAUGGUAGAGCUUUGAGUUAUUGCUGUGUUCUAAUGAUGAAGAUGUAGGAAAACGAUCUCCCUUCUGCUGUCUGGAGCUGGGCUUCCUCUCCCUGUAAGAACAAGCAACAUCUUAUCUGCGUUGUUGUUAGUGGCCACUUCAUCGACCCAUUAGUGGGUGGAUUUUAAGCUUAAAAAGGAUUUUUUUUAAAAAAAAAAUAAAGGAAGAAAGAAAGGAGAGGGGGGGCAUCAUCACGUGAAAAGCAAGGAGGUUGCCACCCAUUAUAGAGUGUGGGGCACUCUUGCAUCUAAGAAUAUAUGAUCCUGAGGUUGUUCUGGUGAUGGGUAUUGGCCAUUACAUAAAGCUUCGACAAGCCCUUUUAGCUGCCUGUUAUUAGAAUUUGUAUAAUGAGCAUUCAAACUUAAACUUCUUUAAAUGGGAUGAAAACGAGUGAAAAUCAAGAAGUUGGAGGUGUUCAUCUCUAAUGCAUAGCUGAAGAUCCUUUGUAAGAAAAUACAGCUAAAGACAAAGUGUGUGUGUGUAACAGAGAAAUUGUCGAUAAUAGCAAUCAUGUUCUUUGUCUCUUGUGUCAUAUCUUCCAAAAAUCUUAAAGUAAUUGAUGAAAAAGUGGAUAUACCACUUUGUCUUCUUUAUAGCACUACUGGCCAAUAUGAGUUAAAAGCAUUAAAAGGUCGUGAACGCGGAUGCUUGACGAGCGAGUGUUUACUUGUUAAUUUUUUUAGAAGGAAUCUGGAAAAGAAUAAAGUCAUCUAUUUCACUUUGGGACAACAUUCCUCACCUCUCCCCGCCCGAGCUCUCUCCCUCCCUCCCUCCCUCCCUCGCUCGCUCCCUCUUCCGCCUCUCGGAAACCGCCGCAUCCAUUAAGGCUUCAGAUUUCUGCCAGGUGCUUCCUUUUCUAUCAUGCUUUUGUUUUUAAAAUUUAUGGGUGUUUUCAUUUAUUUUAUUGUAAUUAUUAUUCAGAGACAGAAAUCCAUUUUAAUAAGUAAAUUAAAAAAAAACAAAUAAUCGAUCCGAUGAAAUCUCUGCUAGUGAACGCAAUUCGAUUUUAAUAAGUAAAUUAAAAAAGUAUAUAAUCGGAUCCGAUGAAAUCGCUGCUCGUGAACGCAAUUCAAAGAAACGCACAAUCAGCCGAUUCUAAUAUUUUCUUUUGCAACCCCACCCUAAUUUACAUGAUAUUAUUCGAUUUUUCUCACAGUUAUUGUUGUAAUAAUCAAGCCCUGAAUUCUUGAACCCAAAUUUAUCUUAUUUUAUUUUAUUUUUUAGUUUUAUUUUUAAGUGGAGAAUAGAAAUCAAUUCAAAUCUUUUAGGCUCGAUCGAUAAUUUGUUAAUUAGUUUAUGCAGCAGCUGGAGUGGAAGGGAUAUUACUGCCGGAAUGGCCGAAAAAUGAGCUGUUUGGUUGAUUCUUCUUUUUUGGAAUUUACUGAAUUCUUCAAAAUUAUUGUGUUUUUAACAACAAUACGAUAUCCUUGGGUUUCAUGCUCGCUCACAAAUGGAAAAAAGAAAGAAAGAAAAGAACUUUAAAUUUUAUAAUUUGGUCAUGUUAAUGCUCGUCGUUUUCUUCUUCAUUUUCCUAGCUUAAAACAUCCUAGACAAUCUCUUUGGGAUGGGUUAUUGUUUUUGGCCUCUUCAUCUUCUAUUUGUGCUGUGGUAUUUAGUCUGCUGAUAUUCUUUGGGGAUUAAAAUGCCUCGUUUUAUGACUUUGUUUUGUUUUCUUCUUCUUUCUUUAUUCUUUUGGGGAUGUGGUAUUCUCCUCUUUCUAUUUACACUCUUUGCUCCCUACAACAUUUAUUCUUUCAGAAAAGUAAAUACAUACAUAAAUAACAACAGGAGAGGAGGGGGAGGGGGAGGGGGUUUGACGGUAUGUAUUUGGAUGCAUGAUAUCUAAAUUGGUAAGCACCUGAAAAAGGUCCUGAAUCUAAAUUGGUAAGAUGUGAUAUACUGAUAUCUAGAGAGAUAACUUAAUCUAUCUAUUGAAGUAAAGCAUUUAAAUGCGUAUACAAUGUUUUUGGAUCAUUAAAUAUCUAUUUGAUCAGAAUCUGUGAACCUAAAGCCACAAUGAAUACAAAUGCAAGUUUGUCAUUGUAAACAUUGCAUCGAUGAUGCAUCACAGGUGUUGCUAGAAAACAUCAAGUUAAAAUUGAAGCACCAUGAGUUUCUCUAUGGCUUGGUUUACCAACACUCACCAUCAGUUGGUGCGGCAAGUUAUGAACUAGCUGGCUAGUUUUUCGCUUCCUUGGUUUUAGAAGCACCAUGAAGAUUCAGGCCCAAAUCUUGCUUACAAUACUCAAAUACCCAAGAUCCUAGCACCUUGCCCUGAAUGGUCGUGUAUAUUUGUUAUGGCUGUUCAGAUUUUAUGCAUCCAUGUUUGGUAGAAUUCUUUAAUAAAGUACAUGCUAUUAGAUGGAAGUUCUCUUUAAAUCUAUUCAAGUCUGAAUAAACUGAUAUUCCAAUUUUCAUGACUUUGAUUAGGCGGAGAACUUGUGAUGGACACAGGUGAUUGGAGAACUCAAUUGCAGCCUGGCUCACGGCAAAGAAUAGUCAACAGAAUGUAAGUAUCUGUUUGCUAAUAUGUACAAGUGCUGCAAAAUAGUAAAUCUUGUAUUUAAAUGAAAGAAAAAGAGAAGGGCAAAAGGUUAAUUAAAAUCAGCAGGACUGCCAUGAGGCAACCUCAAGUAUCAUACACUGCUGUUUUUGUCUUUUUCAUUUUUCACGUGUUUCUCACAAGAAGUGAACUUGAGGGAAUAAAAAGUGCUGGGAAGGAAUUUUGGUGGAACUUCUUGUGUAACAUCUUCUUUCAAUGAUGACCUCUUGGAUGGCUGCAUGAAGCUUGUUCCGCUUUAAAUUUCAAGGUUAAUCUAUUGCUAUGAACAUUGGUGUUUCAAUUUCAACCUUGAGUUGCAACUGAACUUAAAUGAAUAGUGUUGGAUUUGGGCCUUCCAUUUGUUUUAACUUCUACAUGGUUGAAAUGAUAGUGAUCUUAAAAUAGAAAAGCAGUUGAAUGUUGAAUGGUGUAUGGUUUCCUAGUUUCUCAGCAUAAAGUUGAAUGUUUUGGUGAUAUCUCUACAUCCAAAAUCAUAUAGACAGCUACUGUUGGCACUUGCAGUAGCCAAUGAGCACUGUAGAGUAUAUAUUCCAGUGUGAGAUAAGGUUAACUCAUUGCAUUUUCAUAAAUUAAAGGGAUUUCUCUUCUUUUCUUUGUCAAUUACGGUGCAUGUAUAAAAGUUUUCUUACUUAGAGUAAAUGCUAUUGUAAUGUUUUCACAGAAUUCCCCUGGUUUGCAACUAAUUCACUUAUAUAUCUUGGAGCAUAGCCAUAGCCAUAGCCGUAAAUGGAAGGUUCUUCUGGUUCAAGAAAAUUAACCAUGAAGCUCGUAAUUAAAAUUUUAGACAGAAGGGUGGCCAAAUGAACUCCUAUACCCUGUACCUCUGGAAUAAUACGGGGAAAGGAAGUAAAAAUAGAUGUCUGUAUUCUGAUGCCAUAUAUUACUUGACCGACACUCGGCUAUAUCAUUAGUUGUUUUUAUUUUUUGCUAAUGAUUCCAUUGAAUACAUUUCUGAUAUUGGUGUGGUGUGUGAGUUCAUGGUUAUUUCUCACUGCUGCUAACUUCUCUAUACCUACCUUGUCAUUAAAAAUUAAACGUAAUGUUUUACAUGUGCAGAAUGGAGAUAUUAAAGAGGCAUCUUCCGUUUUCUGGUCAAGAGGGAUUACAAGAACUCAAGAAAAUUGCUGUACGGUUUGAGGAAAAGGUUUAUACUGCCGCCACCAGUCAGGUAUUCGGCUAAUGCUAGGUUCAAUAAUUUCGAUAUUCUCUAGACAUGAAUAUAAACAUGCAUAAGUUUGUGGAUUUAUGCAUGUACACGUGUGUGUAGUGUGUCCACACUCUCACUGGUCAUUCCGUAGAAGUUCUCAUCUGUUCAUUAAUUCUCUUGACAAGUGUUUUAUUUAGAGUGACCAAGGUUCUUUUCAAGUACAAGGGAAGUGUGCAAAAUGCAAAUAACGAAUCAAUACAUAAAUAAUUAAAUAAAAAGAUAGGAUACAGAAGUAUAUCCUAUAUCCUCACAGAAGACGCAAAUAUAGAAAGCCUAGCAUAUUAGAAAGAGCAUUUAUCCCUUUCCCCCCUUCUCUUGUAACAUGGACUGCUCAGAGAUCUAAUGUUUCCUUAUUGAUAUCUGAUUUCAGUCUGAUUAUCUGCGUAAAAUAUCUCUGAAGAUGCCUCAGAAUACCAUACCCACUGGCAAUGGUAACAAACCCCUGUAUCCAGGGGGGAAGUGUGCAAAAUCCAAGCUUUGAAUUUCUAAACAUCCUUACCUUUUGUUUUAUAUUUCGCAUUGUUAUCAGACCCUUUUACAUUUUAUUGCUGCAUUUUGCUAUGUAUAUACUAAUCCCUGUACUUUUACAUUAUGUUAAUAAACUGGUCCCUUCAUUAGUUUUUUGUUAGUCAAAUGUAGAGUUGUUAGCAAUAUUUCCUCAAUUUGUUCCACUAACUUGACGUUAAAAUGUGACCAAAGAAUCAAUUAAUUAUUUAAAAAACUUGAGGGAUUAAUUUGUUUGUUUCACAAAAAAAUACAGUGGUUAAAUAAAAUUUUACUCAAAUUUUUAUCAUCAUAUUCGUGAGUGUUUACUUGUAAAUAUUUUGGAAUGAACACAGUGGUUAAGUUUAUGUUUUGCGCAGCAUAAAAAAAAUCAUCUAGGCUUAAAUAAUUAUUUGGCAUCAUAAUUAAAACUCUAAUCCAAAUUUCUCUCAUCUGGCUUCUUAUCUAUAUCAAGUUUAAAAUUAACCAAUGUGAAAGUUGCUCUAACAUGAUAUAAUUAAUGUGAUGGGUUCCAAGUCAAUUCAUAUGACCAGUAAAAAAACAUAAUUUAGCUUUAAAAAAAAAAUUCAAGAUGAUACUUGUUUUGAACAUUGAUACGACAUCUUGGAUCGACUCUAGUUUUGUGACGUAACUCUUUAAACCCAUGACUUGAAUAAUGGAUUCUAUCUGGUUUAAUUUUUUAUAAAAAAAAUUAUUUUUUACUUAAUAAUAUGAUAAUAAAAAUAAAAACUCGUAAAAUUGAGCACUAAUCAAAUAUUAAGAUAUUUAUUUGAGACUGCAAUAACAUCAUUGAAAGCAAAUUGAAACAAAAUCAAUUCAAAAUCAAAUAAAUGUUAAACAAAUAUUAAAAGAUGAAACCAGACAAAAGCCAAAAAGGAUUUAAUUGAAAGAAAGAAAAUAUUGGAAUGUAGAGUUUAAAAACUAAGGAAUAAUAUUUAUUAAACUUGAUCCUAAUCUAUCGACUUGACUUCUUACCUAACAUAUAUUUAAAAUUAAUUUGUAAGGGAGUUGUCUGUACAUUACCUAGUUGACUUGACAUGUGCAAAUUAAAGCAACCUGAAUGACCAAUAAAAACAUGGUUUGGAUUUUAAGAAAAAAAAUCAAGAUAUCUUUUUUUUUUAAUAUUGAGACGAAAAUAUAUUAGAUCAACUCAAGCUCCGUGGCUAAACUCGUCAAAUACGCAACCCAGAUCAUGAACUCCACUAGAUUUAAAAACUAUUUUUUUAUAUAAUGAUACAAUAACUAAUAUAAACACUUAUAAAAUUGAGAACUAAACAAAUUUAGUGACGUUUAUUUGAUAUUGUGAUAACUACAUAUAAAGAAAAAAACAAAUUAUGACCAAUUCAAAAUUAACAAAAUAUUAAAGUGAAAUUGAAAGGAAAAAAAGGGCAAAAAUCAUUCAAUCAAAAGAAGAAAAAAUUAGAAGAUAGAAUUUUUUUUUUAAGGGAGGAUAUGAAUAGCAAAAUAGGAGGGAAAACCCUAACUUUUUUUAGUAUAAUAAAUGAUGUUUAAUUUAAUUAAAAUCUUUAUCUCAUACAAUUAGACCUAAAAAGAGAAGAAAAUUUCUAAAGAUUGAUUUGUAAAAAAACAGAAAAAAAAAUCAAAUCAAGAAGCGAAAAAAUACAAGGACCAAUAUACACACACAUAGUGAAAGAGUUAGAAAAGCAUAACUUUUUUAGUAUAGUAGUUUAUUUCUAAUUAAAUUGAAAACUUUAUCUCAUAUAAUUAGGCCAAAAAAGAAUUAAAUAAAAAAAAAAGGAUUAAUUUAUAAAAAGAAAAAGAAAAAUAAAGAAUACAGAACCAAAUCAACAAAGAAAAAAACUAAUUUUUAAAAAAUAAAGUGCUCCACUAUUCAUAUAAAAUAGAACAUCAUUAUAGUAUCCAAUUAGACAGUGACCCAUAUUACUGGCUAUUUUAAUUUUUUUAAAGAAAAAAAAGUUUCAGUAUUUUCAAAUGUGAUAAGUUUUUUUUUUAUAAAAAAAAACAUAUAUGUGUGCAAGGGAAUAGAGAUUUGGUUUGAGAAUACAUGCUAAAAAUCUAAACAUGAACUAAAACAAAGUGGAAUUAAAAAGAGUAAAAAAAAAAAACCUAAAAGAGAUCCAUGAUUCAUUAUAUAUAUAGACUAUGAGGUUACGAGGUAAAAUAUUAUGGAUUAGCAUAAUAUAAUUACUUUUUACCCUUCUCUACACAACAAUUACCUUGCUAAUAGGGGUAAAGUUGUCUUUUUCAAUGAUUUUAAAGGUUAUUUAUAAAUUCACUGGAGAUAAUUUAGUAGGUUUACUCCUUUUUUGCAUAUUAAAACUACAUCAUUGCCUUUGCAAGCCAAAAAAAGAAAAAACAAUUAACCUUUUGUUUAAGAUCUAUUUUGUAUUUUGUAUUUGAUUUAUACAGUAAAAUGACAUUAAUGCCUUAGAGAGUUAAAAAAUCAUCGACUUUAAGUUACUGGGCCUUAAACUUUGUUAUUUAUUUUGGUUUUUUUUUAUAGGGUUAUUUCUAUCUCAUAUCUCAAGUUGCAGAUAAGUUAGGUUGGAUGCAUACUUAAUUAAUUAAUAAAAGUCAUGUAUAUAUUUUUGCAAAUUGGAUGCACACUUAAUUAACAUACUUAUUGAAUAUUAAGUCAGGCAAAAAAUCUAUAAAAAGAAUAUACAAGUGAGCCAAACAACAAUAUUAAGAACGAAUAAGAGGUAGUAAAAGAAGAUGAUACCAAAGGACGCAAAAUCACAAAAAUUCAUGAAACUACAUUAGGCUCUCUACAAGUGAAUUGUUUAAAAAGUUAAAAGAAAAUAAAUGCACUUUUGUCCACAGCAACAACUAAAUGCACUUUUGUUCAAUACCAAGAAAUUAAACAUUUUUUAAAAAAAAAACUAAAUGAAUUGUUUAAAAAGUUAAAAGAAAAUAAAUGCACUUUUGUACACAGCAACAACAACUAUAGCAAAAUGCUGGGCUGUAGAAUCUAGAUGAUUGUCCACAGCAACAUGAAAAAAUCAUAUAUGCUUAAGUAACUAUUUGGCAUCUCAAUCUAGUAAAUUAAUCUUAAAUUUCUUAUAUCCGACUCUUUACCUAUAUUAAAUUUAAAAUUAACCAACAUAAAAAUUGUUUUAAUAUGACUUAAUCGAUAUAGUUGGUUCAAAGUCAAUCCAUAUGACCGAUAAAAAAUGUAAUUUGGCUUAAAAAAUUUCAAAAUAACAUCUUUUUUAUAACAUUGAUACGACAAUAUAUUAGAUUGACCCUGAUUUCAUGACUUAACUCUCUAAACCCACUACCUUAAUAACGGACUCCUUCUAGUUUAAAAACUUUUUUUUAAUUAUUUUUUACUUCAUGAUAUUAUAACAAAAAUAGAUGCUCAUAAAAUUAAGCACCAACCAAAUAUCAAGAUAUUUGUUUGAGAUUACAAUAAUAAAUAUCAUAAAAAGCGAAACCGAAACAAGACCAAAUCAAAAUAAAUCAAAUGUUAAAGGAUUAAACCAGGAAAAAGCCAAAGAGGAUUCAAUUAAAAGAAAGAAAAAAAAAAUAGAAGGUUGAGUUUAAAAACAAAGUAACAAUAUGACAUUGUUAUUAAACUUAAAGGAAAAAAAAACUAAUUUAAAAAAUUAAAGUGUUUCACUAUUCAUGUAAAAAUGAAAUACCAUUAUAGUAUCCAACUAUAUAGGUGACCUGCACUAUGGGUUAUUCUAUUUUUUUAAAAGCAAAAAAAUAAAGUUUCGACAUUGUUAGAUUGUGAGAAAAAAAAAGUUUUAAAAAAUAUCCGUGUACAAAAGAGGAGAGAGAUUUGGUUUGAGAAUGCAUGGUAAAAAUCUAAACAUGAACUAAAAAACAAAGUGGAAUUAUAAAAAUUAAAAAAAAAACUAAAAGAGGUAAAUGAUUCAAGUGAUUCAUUAUAGACUAUAAGGUAAAACACUAUGGAUUACACACAAUAUAUUUACUUUUUUCUCUUCUAUACACAAAAUAAUUGUCUUGCUAAUGGGGAUAAAGUUGUUUUUUUAAAGGGAUCUAAAGGUUAUUUGUAUAUUGAUCGGGGAUAAUUUAGUAGAUUUACUGCUUUUUUUGAACAUUAAAACUACAUCUUUGCCUUUGCAAGCAAAAAAAAAAAAUUGUCCUUUCGUUUAGGUUUAGGGUUUAUUUUAUCUUUCCUAUUUUUUUUCAUAGUAAAAUAACAUCAAUAUCCUUGAUAACAAUACAACAACAAAGGAAAAUACCAAUAUUUAAAAUACAACAACUCUUUUUUUCCCAUCUUCUGUUUUCUUUUUUUCAUAUCAAUACAACAACAAAGAAAAAUACAAAUAUUUAAAAUACAACAUAAAAUUUAUUUUCCUGUAGAAUCAAUGUAACAUUAAAGAGGCAUCUUCCGUUUUCUAGUCAGGAGGGAUUAUAAGAACUCAAGAAAAUUGCCAUAUGACUUGAGGAAAAGAUUUAUACUACCGCCACCAAUCAUGUGUUUGCCUAAUGCGAGGUUCGAUAAUUACGGUAUUCUUUAGACAUGAAUAUACACACGCAUUUAUGCAUGUACAAAUGUGUGUGUAGUGUGCCUACACUUCCUCACCGUUCAUUCUGUAUGCAAGGCUAAUUGGGAGUUCACAUCUUUUUGUUAAUUCUCUUGACAAGUGUUUUAUUGAGAGUGACCAGGUUCAAGUAUUGGGGAAGUGUGCAAAAAGAAAAUAGCAAAUCAAUACAUAAAUAAUUAAAUUAAAAGAGAGGAAACAGAACUAUAUCCUCACAGAAGAUGAAAUGAUAGAGCAUAUAUCCAUUUCCCCCCUUCUCUUGUAACAUGGAUUGCUCUGAGAGCUAAUGUUUUGUUAUUGAUAUCUGAUUUCGGUCUGAUUAUCUGCGUAAAAUAUCUCUGGAGAUUCUUUCGAUGGAAAUCAGGUCUCAAAACGCCAUGCCCACUGCCCCCAUGGACCCAUAAGGUAAUAAUGCAGCCAAGCAUUGAAUUUCUAAACAUCUUACCUUUUGUUUUUCUUUUCGCAUUGUUAUCGAACUCUUUUACAUUUUAUUGCUGCAUAUUGUUAUGUAUUUCGCCUUGCUGGAAAAAUCUCAUGAUCACCUCCACGAUGCUAAUUCUGUAAUGCAUGUGAAGUGUUUCUGAUAAGGUCCCAAUCAAGAGUGAUACACAAUUGCAGAAAUGCUAGGAUUCUCUUAGGGUGAGAAUUUACCACAAUAUUGUUUGGAUAAACAUAAUGCUAUUCUUUUUAUUCUUCUUCAUACAUAUAAAGAACUAAACCAUAACAACUUUCAGCAAAUCCAGCCGAAAUGGAAAUAACAGAUUACAAAACAGAAAUGCAAAUAAUGUGAAAGUGGCUGCUUUAUUUUCUCCCAUUGAAUCGGAAGCAUGAUUCCAAUUGACUUGCUUGUAACUCCCUUUAAUCACGAUAUCUUUUAAUCACGAUAUUUUAAAUUCUUCUUUAUGACACGUGGGGUCCUUCGUGGCAGCAGCUCUCCAAGCUGCGUAUCAUUACCCCCCACAUCAAGUGGAUGCUUGUCCCCAAGGUCCAAGCUUGGGUGGUUCGUUAGCAGUUCAGCCGUUGGUUCCCAGAUGGCAUCAUUUGUAGACAAAUGUUUCCACUUCACCAAACUCUCCUCAAUAAAUCUUGCCCCAUGUGGAAUCCAACGUGUGUCCAGAAUAGCUUCUGGUGUGACCACAAUGGUGCCUUCUUCAUCAAUAGGUGGAAGUUCCAUACUAGUGUCUGCUUUGUCACCCAACUUCCUUUUAAGCAACGACACAUGAAAAACUGAAUGUAAACGUGCCCCCUCCGGAAGCUUGAGUUUGUAGGCCACAUCACCGACUCGCUUUUCAAUUGGGAACGGACCAUAAAACUUGCAAGCAAGUUUUUGAUGAGCUCGUCGAAAAGCAGUCUGUUGGCGAUAAGGUUGUAAUUUGAGAUACACAAGGUCACCUUCUAUGAAUUCGACAUCCCUUCGCCCACGAUCAACCAACUGUUUCAUGCGAUUCCUAGCAUUCGCUAAAUUCUGCUUGAGAUUCCUAAGAAGUGUGUCCCGUACCUGAAGACUGUGAUCAACUUCAUUAACUGGUGAAGAGCCUGUAGCAUAAAGUGGAAAUGUAGGUGGUAAGCGUCCAUAAAGAGCUUGAAAAGGUGUCGUUCCUGUUGAUGAAUGGUAAGCUGUAUUAUACCACAGCUCUGCCCAAGGAAGAAAUUGGCUCAACUGUCGUGGUCUUUGGUGAACAAAACAGCGCAAAUAUUGUUCCACACAAUGAUUAACCACCUCUGAUUGACCAUCCGUUUGAGGAUGAUAUGCUGAGCUCAUCUUAAGCUGAGUACCAGACAUCUUAAAAAAUUCCUGCCAAAACUUACUAAUAAAGACUUUAUCUCUGUCGCUCAUAAUAGAACUAGGCAUGCCAUGUAGCUUCACCACACCAUCUACAAACUUUUCUGCCACCAUCUUUGUUGUGAAAGGAUGUGUUAAGGCCAAGAAGUGAGCAGAUUUGCUUAGAUGGUCCACUACCACUAAAAUGGUAUCGCGACCAUGUGAAGUAGGGAGACCUUCAAUAAAAUCUAUAGUAACGUCAUCCCAUACCUGACACGGAAUAGGAAGAGGUUGCAAGAGCCCAGCUGGUUUGAGAUUAUCAGCUUUAGUUUUCUAGCAUGUCACACAUGUGUGGACAUAUUCUUUGACAGAAUGAUACAUAGAUGGCCAAUAAAACUGCUGAGAUAGACGUUUGAAUGUACCCAAUAUACCAGAAUGGCCGCCCAUCUUUGUAUCAUGAAAUUCCUGUAGUAAUUGUUCUAUCACAGCUGUGUUAGGAGGCACCACAACACGUGUUUUGAAGAAAACUAACCCAUCUCGCCAGGUAUAAGGUUUUCCAGGACUAUUUUGAGCUUGCUGAAUAAUUUGUUCCAUAUAUGGGUGUCCAGUGGAGGCCUUUUUUAUGUCUUCCCAUAAAGUUACUUGUGGCACAGACAACGCAUUAAGAAUAGGGCUUCCAGACACUCUUGAUAAUGCAUCAGCAGCUGAGUUGUCGCGUCUUGGGCGAUAUAUGAUUUCAUAGUCAUAGCCAAGUAAUUUAGCCACCCAACGUUGUUGUUCUGGUGUCCCAAUUCUUUGCUCCAAUAGAUACUUUAGACUGUGCUGGUCCGUUUGAAUGAAGAACUUUUUGCCCAGUAGAUAUGGUCUCCAAGUGCGUAUUGCCUGAAGGAUGGCAAUCAUUUCUUUGGCAUAUGUUGACCAUGAAAGUUUGGCCACUCCGAGUUCUCGGCUGAGGAAAGCAAUGGGUUUACCUUGCUGUGUCAACACUGCACCAAUACCCUCUCCAGAAGCAUCAGUUUCAAUUGUAAAUGAUUCAUUGAAAUUUGGCAUAGCUAAAAUAGGUGUGGUUGUCAUAGCUUGUUUGAGCUGUAGGAAAGUUGCCUCCGCCUCUUGACUCCAUCUGAAUUGCCCUUUCUUCAAGAGAUUGGUUAAUGGCUUUGCCAGCAGACCAUAGUUGCGCACAAAUUUUCGAUAAUAACCUGUAAAGCCUAGAAAACCAGGUAAGUCUGAAAUAGUGCUUGGCCUUGGCCAAUUUACCAUAGCUGUAAUUUUGCUUGAAUUAACCUUGACCCCUUUAUUAGUCACAAUGUGACCGAGGUACUCGAGCUCUGACUGCCCAAAUGUAUAUUUGCCUUUACAAAAUAUGUAUGUUGCCGUAGAAUUUCAAAAACCUUUGUAACAUGUUCAAGAUGCAUGGUCCGGGCUAUAAAUCAAAAUAUCAUUAAAAAAAAAACUAAUAUGAAUUGACGGAGAUGAGGAUGAAAAAUAGAAUUCAUAAUAGCUUGGAAAGUGGAAGGAGCGUUGCAAAGACCAAAGGGCAUGACCAUAUAUUCGUAGUGGCCAUUAUGGGUACGGAACACAGUUUUGUGAGUGUCUUUUGGAUUUACUCGUACUUGAUGGUACCCUGCUCUUAAGUCUAAUUUUGUAAAGAAGGCAGCUCCAUGGAGCUCAUCAAGCAUGUCAUCAAUGGUAGGAAUAGGAAAUCGAUCCUUAAUGGUUACGCUAUUGAGAGCUCUAUAAUCAGUACAAAAACGCCAAGUGCCAUCUUUUUUUUUAACUAACAAAACAGGUGAAGAAAAGGGACUAGUACUUGGUUUUAUAAGUCCCAAUUUAAGCAUGUCUUGAACUUGUUUUUCAAUUUCAGUUUUUUGAAAAUAGGCAUACCUGUAGGGCCUCACAUUAAUAGGCUCAGUAUCUUCUUUAAGAGGAAUGCAAUGAUCAACUUCACGAGCUGGAGGUAACUGUGUGGGCUCAUAAAAAAUGUCCUCAAAGUUGUUGAUGAUUUCCUUCAUAUCUGUUUGCAUAUUGGGUCGUUCCAUCUUUUCUAUGGAUUGACAAUACACUGUAAAAGUGGAACAGCCAUGACGGACAUCUUUAGUAAUUGCUGAUAGUGAAGCAGGUUGUAUAGCUUGGCUAUUAGAACCAUUUAAUGUUUGAGCUUGAUUCUUCCACCAAAAGUCCAUUGUAAAUUUUUUCCAAUUACACACCACUGGUCCGAGUUGUUCAACCCAUUGUACACCAAGAACAAGAUCAAGGCCUGUGAUAGGUAUUGAAUAAAGGGUUAAUGAAAAUGGAAUGUUUUGGAGAAUAACCUGGACUUGUUCAAACCUUCCUUGGCACUUCAUUUGAUUGCCAUCUGCCACCCUUACAGUGAAGGGUCUCAUAGGAAUAACAGGUAAUUGAAGCUCCUCUGCUAUUUUAGAAUUGAUGAAAUUAUGGGUAGACCCACUGUCGAUGAGCACUGUUAGAGUGUGAUUCCCAACUCGUCCUUCAAUCCUCAUGGUUCGUGGUGUGGACCAACCCGUGAGUGCAUGGAGUGAAAUUUCUGGCUCAGUGUUCUCCUCAGCUAUGUCCUCUACUGGAAUGUCAUCAGUAACUUCUUCGCACAUGACUCUGACAGGUUCACUAAGGCUUUCUAGUAAUAACAGUUGCGGUCUUUGGCACUUAUGUCCAGCAGUGAAUUUGUCAUUGCAAUUGAAACAAAGCCCUUGUGCACGCCGUCUCUGCAUUUUAUCCCAUGUUAGUCUUUUUAUCGGAACUGGAAAACUGGAUUUUGGUGGGGGAAAAGUCAAUGGUGUGCGAGUUAAUUGUGUUGGCCGUGUAAAUUUCCCUUGCCGCAUUAUUUGUUCAUCCUUCAUUUUAUCUAAACUGAUAGCCUCUUUCAAAGUCCGUGGUUUGAACAUCCGAAUAGCAUCAGAAAUUUCUACUUUAAGUCCACCCAUGAAUGUUGUAACAACCCCGAUUUUUCUACAUUCUUUUUCGCGAUAUAUUGGAAAUUUUCAGGUAAAUUUUUUUUUUUGUGAUAUACAGGUUCCACCAAAAUUUCUACCAAAAUUUCGGCAGAGUCUCCCCUAUACUGGUAGGUCCCAGGUUAUCGACAUAUACCAUGUUUACACUUCUAAUAUCUCACAUCUCAUAACUCAAAAUCACGACCCAAUCAUCCUGGGUCUCAACCCAACUCAUUAUCAUCAACACAACACAUCUUAUUCAAUAACAUCAUAUAAUAUAGUUCAAAUGAAAGAUUCAAUUUCAACUAUAAAUAUGCAUGGUCAAAUAGGUACUAAGAGUUUAAACCAUUAGAGUAAAGACAUACAUUCAAAUUUACGGAUUAAUAUUACAUCUCAAGUUUUAUAAUUUACAUAGUCAAAAGCAAAAGAUAUCUAAACUAGCAUUACCCUUGACGCGACCCUGAUGGACCUGAAAAUAGAAAUUAACAUGUACACAUAAAUAUAAAAGAUAGUAACAAGCAAUAACAAUGGCAAACAAUAAUCUCUACGGAAUUUCUUUUGAUAUAUAAAAUUAGGCAUAAACCUCUUUUACAACAUAUAUUUUACAUUUAUUACCAAUAUCCAUCUAAUAUCCUAUCUCAUUUACCAAGAAUAAUUCCAUCUUGGAAAUCUCAACACAACUCAACGGUUUGCGAACACCAUCUCUUUAUAAAUCAAUUCUCACUUGAUACCAAGAUAUUCCUCUCUUGGUAUUAUUAGCUUAUCUCAUUCUUUUGGAAUAACUAAUUAAUAUUUUCCCUUUUCUGAAUCUGUUGCUAGAAGGUAAUCACUGAAACUAAUAAAUCUCAUUAGUAUCAUUAGUCUUCAAAUAUUGGGCUAGACUAAUCAAUUUAAGAAAUACUGGCACCGAUGAAACUUCAUCGAUACCAUUAGCAAUCCAAACUUGGAUGGCUAAUCAAUUCCAUUUGAUUCUUCCAUUCGUACCGAACCCCUUUUAUCUUUCUUAUUAACAUCAUAUGCAUUGUAACCACGGUUGCCAAGUAUCAUUUGCACACAAUCUUAGUUAUCGACACUACGGUCACUAAGCAUCCUUCACAAAACCUUGGUCACCUUCAUCACAGUGCCAAGUAUCAAUUUAUGCCCUUAGCCACCAUCAUUAUGGUGUUAAGUAUCAUUGUAAUGUAUCCUUAGCCACCGACACUAUGGUAACCAAUUAUCUAUCAAUUCACCUCCAAUCUCCAAGUCAUUGUGUCUACCCAAUAACCACAUUAAUUAAUUUACUCAAUAUGUUAGUCAUAUAUUAAUUAUUUUACUCAUAACAUUUAGAAUUUACUAUUUCUAACUUCAAUCAAUUAAUUCACAUAAUCUUUUCAAAACUUAACUAUCCGGCUAACUCAUCUCGAUUGCCAAUAAUUCUGGUAAUUUCAUAUAAUUACCCACACUUUUGGUUAACCUCCAUCGGUUACCAAUACAUCUGGUAAUUCCAUACGAAUUACUCAGCCUCCAGCUAACUUCUUUUGUUUGUCAAUUAAUCCUGUAAUUCCAUACGAAUUACCCCAUAUCCAGUUAACCUUCUUGUUAACCAAUAAACCCGGUAAUUCUCUUAAUUGUCCAAGAAAUCUGGCUAACCCAUCUUGGUUGCCAAGGUCAAUCCGGUAAUUCCAUACGAAUUACCCAUCAUCCAGCUAACCUCUCUUGUUAGCCAAUGAAUUCGGUAAUUCCAUACGAAUUACCCAUCAUCCAGCUAACCUCUUUUGUUAGCCAAUCAAUCCGGUAAUUCUAUACGAAUUACCCCAUAUCCAGUUAACCUUCUUGUUAACCAAUAAAGCCGGUAAUUCUCUUAAUUGUCCAAGAAAUCUGGCUAACCCAUCUUGGUUGCCAAGGUCAAUCCGGUAAUUCCAUACGUAUUACCCAGCAUCCGGCUAACCUCUUUUGUUAGCCAAUGAAUCCGGUAAUUCCAUACGAAUUACCCAUCAUCCAGCUAACCUCUUUUGUUAGCCAAUCAAUCCGGUAAUUCCAUACGAAUUACCCAAUAUCCCGGCUAACCUCUUUUGUUAGCCAAAUAAUUUCGGUAAUUUCUCUUAAAUUACCAAUAAUUCUCAUUUGUAAUAAUCACUCAACUUAUUCAUUUGUUUCAUUCUUUUAACAUCAAUUAAACACACAACACAAAUAUUUAAGAAAAACUAAUAAUUACAAAAUAAGGUGAUGAAUCACCUACCUAGAAUAGGUGCACGUGCUGCCACUCCAUGCAAUUGUCCAGUCCCCACAGCUUUCCCCUGUACCACCAGGGAUUCAAUUUUUAUCAACAAUACAACCAACAUCACAUCUUCAUUUAAUUCUCAUUCAACUAGUAUUCUCAAACUAAUCACAAGGAAUUUUCUUUAAGAUCUCAUACUCUUACUCAUUUUAAUGUUUAUAUUUAUUCUUAUAAUUUUGUUAUCAAAACCAUCACUCAACAGCAAUUCCAAGCAACGAUUAAAAAUUGUCUAAUUCCGAUCAAUUAAGCUUAACCAACCCAUAACACUAUCUAGUGUCUUAAUCAUAACUAAAGUUGUAAAACUCAGUUUUGGGCGUGAUUUAUAUCUCUAUGAAAGGCUAAACAUAGAGAUACAAAUUUUAUGAAGAAACCAACUCCAAAUUAUUUUGUUUUAAGGCUUAAAAUCAACAAUCACAAUAGCCCUUCUUUAUGGCUAAAAUUUUGGACAACGAGGAUUUUCAUUCCUUGGAAAUCCUUUUCAACUUCCAACUUAUUUUCAUGCAAAAUCAACAUCAUCCAAGGUCAUUUGGCAUCAUUAAAUCACAAGUUCAAACCAAUUCUAAAGCAAAACAUUCAAACAAUUUCCCUACCUCUACAAUAUAGCAAGAUUAGACCAAAAUAAGGAAACUCAUUCCUUUUGAGAUUUCUCCUAUUAUUAUUAUUAAUACAACAAAAUGAUGAACUAUUCAUUUUCUUUCGCUUUCUCCUCGUGCGAUUAAACAUAUACGGCAAACCUUAACAAUUAAUAUUCUCAGAUCAUUAUCACAACAAUAAUUUCACUCUACUAAUUGGGAUCCAUGACAACCUUCAUUAACUAACCAUUUGCUAAAAACACUUAUGGCUAGCUUUAAAUAUGUUUUAUUUUUUUCAAAUUUUUUUCAUUUCAAUUUCUUCAUGGUUCCACCCCAUUUAUAUCCACACAACCAACAAGUUAGCUUUCUAUUCAAUCAACAUGUUCUAUUCAAUCAACACGUUCAUAUAGCAAUAUUCUUUACUAUUCUUACACAACAAUCAUUCUUCCCCUCAUAUAAAGAAUACACAAUUAAUCUAUAAUAUUACUAAUAACAGGAACAUAUUUUAUCAUUACAUCUUCCAUAAAACCUACACCCACACAAUUCUAAUUUCAUCAAAACAUGUAUUUAAUCAAGCUUACUACAUUUUGCAAAAACUAGCAAUAGAUUCAAAAAGCAAUAAGUCAUCAACCUCUGAUUAUUGUUUCCCACCCAACGGUCAGACUACAUAUCAUAGCGUUGUGCAUAAUAUAUCUCAAAUUCAUAAUGAUCCAACGGUUAAAUCUCCCUAGAUCUGAAGAAAACCGAGCUUACCUGAAAAUGAACGAGCUACUGUUCAACAUGCACGCAACCUUGCCGGAGAAAUAUGUUCCGAUCUCCACUGUCCAGAAUGAAUUUAACAUCUACGCGCACCACAUAUCCAACAAUUAGCAUGAUCCAACGGUGGAAGAGAGAGAAAUCGGCCGGCGACCAAACUGCCCUGCAGGUGCAUUUCCUUUUUGUUUUCCAUGAAAUUCCAGAUGAUGAUUUCUGUCAAAUGGAUUGUGUUCCUUCCAAUCACUCCGGUCAGUUAGUAGAGGAGUGUAAUGAGAACAACACGUCCAAAACGCAGCUUGAUCCAACGGUUGAUUCCCGAGAUAUGACCACCGGAGCAUUAUUGGUUUUCUCCAAAAUUUGCAGCUCUCUCCCCUUAUCCGCUUUUCUCUAUUUUUUUUCUUUUUUUUCUUUCUUUUUUUCUUAACUGGUGGCCUCUUUGCAGAUUUAUAGGCACCUUUUUUUUUCAUAAUUACAAUUUUGUCCCUCUUUCAUGCUUUUAUGUAUUUUAUUUUAUUUUUCAUGUAAACUAUCUCGUUUAUUUCUGUUUAAAUCGCUAGUCUUUACCAAACUCUGAUUGGGAUGAGAUAUUUAACCAAGGUAGGAAAACAUAUUAAUAGGCUUCAUACAAAAUUUCAUCCCGAUCCGACGAUUGGAUUGAGAGCUCUGCUUCCUAAUGUAAAAUUGAUCAGUUCAUAACUUUUCGUAAACAAUCUAGAUUUUUUUUUUGUUCAAUCUUCACAAAAAAAAAAAACAUAUCAAUUAUCAUUCUAAACCUUUAAGGUCAUUUAAUUAUUUUGGAAUGUAUUCAUUUUAGGAUUUCCACCUUUAUUUAUUUAUCGGGCUUAUUAUCGUUUCAAAAUAACAUCACUGAUUUUUAAGCGGUGCUUGCACCUUCAGUCCUACCCUUUUCAUUGUACUAUCAUUUAUUAUAAUGUAUUCUUUAUUACCUCACUUAUUUCCUAAAAAUAUUUUGUCAUUUUUCUCAUUAUUUCAUCCAUCAAAACACGUUACCAGUUUCUCUAUCCUUAUGAAUUCUAAACCAAAAUUCAUUUUAUGAAGGUCAUCUCUUCUAUUAUAUAUCAUUAUUUAUCUAUUAUUUCUAAUCUUGGUUUCCAUCACUCAUUGAAAUAUUACCACUUUCAGUCUUAUGUUUACAUGAGGGUUUAUACAUCUACAUAUUUAAAUUAUAAAUUUCCAGGGUUUCACAAAUGUGCCCACCAGCGCCUUUUGAGUCCAACCAUGAACUCGAUUGCCCAACCUCUCAAAUUCCUUCUGAUAGUCCCUUAAGGAACCCACUUGUCUGACCUUUGAUAAUGCUUCAUCAAAAUCCUCAUAUUCUGUGGGCCCAAACCGUGCCCAAAGCUCUUCUUCAAAUAUCUCCCACGUGACAGUGCGCCCUUCUUCCUUGUGAGCUCGAUGCAACCAUUGCCACCAUUGGUUGGCUUCUCCUUCCAAAUGGAAUGAGGCCAAUGAUACUUUUUGAUUGUCCGCAGUCUCUUGAUAUUCAAAAAAUUGGUCCACCCAAUUGAACCAUUCGGUUGGAUCAUCCCCAGAAUAUCGUGGAAAGUCUAACUUGGCCAUUUUUUAUGAGAAGACGUGGCGUCCACACUCAUUAUCAGUUUUCUUCUUUCCCCCAUCAGUGUCAUCCCGAUAUGUGCGUGAGAAGCCAUCCCGGUCGUUGUUGUGGUAACUUGAAGACGCCUUGGAAGCGAUCAUGACCUCUGAAAGUUUGUUGAUGGUUUCCUCCAGGCUGUGCAAUCUAUUGAUCAUGUAAUCUUCCAGUCGCUGCAUGCCAUCUUGGACUCCACCAAGUCCUGUCUCCAAAAGCUCAAUUCGUUCUUUGUUUGUUGCCAUUGCGUAGGCUCUGAUACCAAUUGAUAAGGUCCCAGUCAAGAGUGAUACACAAUUGCAAAAAUGCUAGGAUUCUCUUAGGGUGAGAAUUUACCACAAUAUUGUUUGGAUAAAAAUAAUGCUAUUCUUUUUAUUCUUCUUCAUACAUAUAAAUAACUAAACCAUAACAACUUUCAGCAAAUCCCGCCGAAAUGGAAAUAACAGAUUACAAAACAGAAAUCCAAAUAAUGUGAAAGUGAUUUCUUUAUUUUCUCCCAUUGAAUCGGAAGCAUGAUUCCAAUUGACUUGCUUGUAACUCCCUUUAAUCACGAUAUCUUUUAAUCACGAUAUUUCAAAUUCUUUUUUAUGACACGUUGGGUCCUUCGUGGCAGCAGCUCUCCAAGCUGCGUAUCAGUUUCAUUCUUAACUUGUUAAGGAACAAGGACUGUGAUGCAUGGCUAUUUUAUAUUUUAUGAUUGAGAUGGUAGAUUUUAAAGAUUUUCCUGUUUAGGAGGUAAGACGUCACUUUCUUGCUUUUCUUCCGAGAGAAAGUAUUUGAUCCUUUCUUCAUAUAUAAUAAUGCUGCCAAGCAUUGAAUUUCUAAACAUCUUACCUUUUUGUUUUGUUUGUCGCAUUGUUAUCAAACUCUUUUGCAUUUAAUUGCAGUAUAUUGCUAUGUGUACGGCAUGCUUUAAUCAAAAAGUUGAGUACUCGAUGAAUGUUAGGCAAGAAAAUUACUGAUUAUUUUUGUUUUCUGCCUCCUCCUUUUCUUUCUCCCAACCUGAAAAUUGUCAUAUUAUUUUUGUUUUCAGCCGCCUCUUCUUCCCCCAACCCUGAAAAUUGUCUGAGGACACUUUUAUGCUUUGAAUCAAAUCCAUCCUAAUUCUUUCGCUCAUAACUUUAUGUGUGAACUGCCGAUGUUUGAUCAUUUGUCUUCCUUGUUCAGUGCCUUCUUUUUUUCUUUGACAUGGUUUCCUUUUUUCCUUUUAUCUUGAACAGCAUCCCAUAGUAUGCCCCCUCAAGUUCAGAAUCAUGGGCUAUUUCUCCCUAUCCUAUUGUCCACUGAUCAAUCUCAAGUACGCUAGCAGUUGUUAUCACAGAACAUGCAGAAUUGCAUGGCAUCUAAUGCAAUUCAAAGUUCUGCUGGUUUACUAGCGGCACUGCCUCUUGUCUCCGGUGUAACCCAGACUAUCCCCAACACUGUUGUCCAGAAUCCUAACAUGCAGAGUAUCCCCGGUGUUUCACAGAACUCAGUGGGGAAUUCAAUGAGACAAGGGAUUCCCUCCACUAUGUUUGCCAAUUCUCAUAAAGAAAUGCCAGGUAAUGCUCUUUUUGGUAGCUUUAUGUCUUCCACUUAUGGCAUUAGAAAUGCCACUGCUAUUGGAACUAUUGCAAUCACACAUGCAUUUGGCAUCACACGAUGCCCUUCAGUGCUCUGCACCAACUUUUCACCUCCCAUAAUGGUUCUAGUCAGUAAUGCUUUUUUAGGUAGCUUUAUGUGCUACUGCUGCCACUUAUGGCAUUAGUAAUGCCACUGCUAUUGAAACCAUUGCAAUCACACACACAUUUGUUACCCACAUCAUACCCUCCAGUGCAUUGCACCAGCUGUUCACCUCUCAUUCUGGAUUUAUAGGGUUUGUCCGUCUGUUUGAAUGAUUACAUAACGUUUAGAUGGAGUUCCUAGUACUCCUAGUUCAAAAAGACUUGUAUUCCUCUGUAGGAAAAUACUAAUAGUCCUAUCUAGAAUAGGAAAACCUAAUGAAGCUCGCUAUACUUUGGGAUAAUAAAAUACUAAAUGGAAAAUAAAAUGAGACUUGCAAUAUUCCAUAAUUUUCAGCAAGCGUGAAAAUUACAGAAAUACCCUUGUAUAUGGAAAACACACAAAAAUACAUGAAUUCUAAUCUUUGUUGCCCGCAUUGAAAUAUUUGUAGCAUCCCUAGAUUCUACAGCACAGACUGGACAUGCAAAAGGCGCUGAUUGACAAGAGUAGAUCUAUCAAAAGGUAAUUUCUGUGAUUUACUGUUCAUUAGAUGGAGUUCAUGUAUGCCAUAGUCUUAAAAAUAAAAGUGCACUAUUUCUGAAUGACUUACAGUUUAUCUUUUGUUAAGUGAAGAGUUAUUUGCACGAUUGCAAUCAACUUGUUGUGAAAAAUUUCCAGUAUUGAAUUUUAUAGAAAAUGAGGUUGAAAUUCUGAAUGUCUCAAGUCAUAACUGCAUAUUUGAUAAGGACAUUUUUCUUGUGCUUAAGUGAGUAUUAAAACGGGAAUAAGAAUGGUUGUUGUUAAGGAUCCAUGGGGUCAUGCAUAGGAUCUAAGGCUAAGAAGCGUCGCUAAAGUUGUGAAAUCCAUUGACUUGAGCUAGAACAGCAGAAAACAAUGAUGUGUAGUUUGCAGGGAGACAGUAACUGAACUUAACCAACCCCUGAAUCUUGUCUAAUGGUGUACUUACACAGUCCUUUGCAUCUUUCCAUUCCAUCAAUAUCGACAUCCUGUUGAGUUUCUAGCAUUAAUUCCACUCUAUUAUUUUUAUCUCAACUAAUUUAUGUUGUCCUCUGCCCUUUUUUUGUUAUUUUAUUUUUAUCAAUUCCCUUAAGUUUGUUUGUUUUACUUUCUUUCUGACUGGCACCUGAAGAGAUCAAGCAUAUGAGCGAUAAUGUUUUGCUGGUUAUUUGUACUUCCUAGAUCAAAGUUAUGAAGGAGACUUAUUUCCCUGAAAUAAAUGAAAUGUAUCAGAGAAUUGCUGCCAAGUUACAGCAGGUAAAUUGUCUCUGAAAUUUCUUCCGGAUUAUCUGUGCAUGCAUGAUUAUCUGCAAUUUCCCCAUGUUGAGUUUUGUAUUAGUUUGUUUUCCUCAUCAGCAUUGCCUGUCACUGUAUCAUCUGCACUAUUCACCUACCCCACCCCCAACCGCCCCCACAACCAUGCAUCGACACAGAAGAAGUGGAAUAGAAACAUUUUGUUUCACUAAUGUUUUGCUACAAAGGAUCAAUGCAAUUUUUAAUUCUCGUGUAUGUUAACUUUGCUUUCUAGCAUGACUCUCAUCCGCAACAACCGAAGUCGGAACAGCUUGAAAAGCUGGAGGUAUUCAAGGCCAUGUUGGAGCGCUUGAUAACAUUCUUACAGGUCUCUAAAAACAAAAUCACACCUAGUUUCAAGGAGAAAUUGGGUUCCAAUGAGAAGCAUAUUGUAAGUUUUCUAAACCCAGGCAGAUCAGGAAGCCAAUUCCUAAUCUACAGCGAGGACAACUUCCCCAGCCUCAUGUGCAACCUAUGCAGCAAUCCCAGUCUCCAGUUCCUCAAUUGCAGUCCCAUGAAAAUCAACUGAAUACCCAGUUGCAAUCAAUAAAUGUGCAAAAUUCUAUACCAACAAUGCAGCAGAACAAUAUGUCAAGCUUGCAGCAUGGUUCUCUUUCAUCUUUAUCUGGGUUUUCUAUGUCACAACCAAUCAUGAUGAUGUGGGACGAGAGAUUUUACGAGAAGAAAAGGGGGUAGAGAGAAUGAUAUUGUAGCAAAAAUAACUAAUCAAAUAGAAAGGCUGAGCUUAGAGACAGCACACUACAAAGGAAGCACCCAAUAGCUAGACAUACAAUCAUAACAAAUUCAUCUUCUAAAGUUGGAGAACUUGCGAAAACUAGCAACCAUAAAAUAGUAACAAGUAUCUAUGCAAUCUUCGAUGAAGUACAACCACCUACGUCGCCAAUAUGGAUUGAUGUAGAGAACUGCUGCAAUCGUCAUCACCACAACUGUGUAACAUACACUGAAACUGAUGUAGAAAAACUCCAUGUCUAUGAAACCAUCAUCUUCUUGUUCAUCAUGAGGCACUGGCUGGGACAACACUACUUCUUCACUACAAUUGUUUCGCAAUGGAGGUCCACACAAGAAAGGAUUUCCUUCGUAACAGCUUUCAUCGAAGGUCCCAAACUGAUAUUUUCUCUCGGGUGUCUUACCUGACAAGUUAUUGUGCUCCACACUAAAAACUUCUAGUGUGGUCAUUUCAGUAAGUUGUGGAGGGAUGUCACCAUUCAAGUUGUUGUAAGAAAGAUCCAAACUCUCAAUCCGCUUCAGGUUUGAGAAUGUUGCAGGGAUAGAUCCAGUGAGAUUGUUGUGUGAUAAGUUUAAUGACAGUAUCUCGCUUAAGUUUCCAAAUUCUGGUGGGAUUGCUCCUACAAAGUUGUUAUUGGAGAGAUCAAUACCAGACAUGUAGAUGAGAAUUUUCCCUUUGUAACCAUAAUACAUAUUUUUAGUUGUAAAUUCUAUCACUUCUUCUGUAAAGUUAGUCCAAUAACCCUUUAAUAAGGUGUAUAUGCUAUCCACUUGUGGUGGACCCAUUAUUUCAUAAUAAGCCUUUUCUAAGAACCCUGGUAGUAAAAGAACAUCGAGAUUCACUAAUGCUUUCUGGGAACUUUCUUUGAAAGUAAGAUUUUCCAAACAGGAGGGUAAUGGACCAGAAAGCUGGUUUUGUGAAACAUCCAAAAUGCUUAAUUGUUUUAAUAAGCAUAACUGAACAGGGAACUCACCAUCAAAGUGAUUAGCUCUCAGAAGAAGAACACUCAAUGAUGAAAGAUUGCCAGCCCAAUUUGGAAUUGAGCCGGUGAAGCUGUUAUCUCUAAGAUCCAUCGUAACCAGGGAAGAGCUAUUAUAAAAUCCAUAUUUUAAUGGACCGCUCAAUCUAUUUUUGGAUAGAUGCACAUGGGUUAUUUGUGGUGAAUUGAAACAAGAUGGAAUAUAUCCAAACAAAUUGUUCUCAGAAAGGUCCAAAUAUUCAAGCUGGUCAAACUUACAAAAAAAGUCUUUUGGGAUAGGACCCUUAAAAUGGUUUUUUGAAAAAUCAAUUGCUCUAAGGUUCGUCGAAUUGACGAACCACCUUGGAAGCAUGCCUGAAAAUUGAUUGUUACUCAAAUCCAAUACAAUCCACGUUUUCCACCCGUUUAAUGGAAAAUCUGAUAUUUGACCCCAAAAGUUGUUAUCACCUAGAUAGAGAUAUUCUGAGGUAGAAGAAUUGAACACGGAGGUUGGUAUUUGCCCACCCAAAUUGUUGUUUGACAGCUUGAGAAACAUUAAUGUUGUUAGUAGUUCUAGUUUUACCGUGGACAAUUGAUUGUUGGAUAAAUCUAAAACUCUCAAAGAGCUAAUAUUUCCUAAACAAGAAGGAAUACAACCCGUGAAUCCAUUCUUAGCCAUCCUUAAUCCCUUCAGAUUUGGAAAGAUCAAACAAAUAUCCUUUGGAAUUUGACCGCUCAUGUUGUUGUUGGAUAUAUCCAAUUCGGUCAUUUUCGGAUAUGGGUGAUCUUGCAACUGCAAAGUACCAACAAAGGAGUUCCCGCUCAGAUAUAGUUGCUCCAAUCGUGUAUUGUUCUUAAGCAACCACGAUGGAAACAUUCCGGUGAUGUUGUUGUGGGAGAGAUCAAGGAAUCUUAAGUGGUAUUGGUAAUAGAGGAAGUUGGGAAUUUCUAUAUUGAGUGCUUCCGUUGUUUUUGUCGAGCUAAAAAAGACUAGUUGGAACUUUGGAAUCAACUGAUCAAAUGCAGCAGGUUCUAUUACUAAUCUGUUGUUCUCAUUGCAGAAGAACUUGAGGCUUGAGUGGUUCAUAAAAGGUUUCAUUGAAGUGGGAACUUCAAAGAGGUUAUUUGAUAGUGAGAGGAAUUCAAGGGAUAUGAGGUUGGUAAGGGGACCGAAGGCAAUAUUUCCAGUAAAUUGGUUUUCAGAAACAUCUAAUAGUUGUAGAGAAGACAAGUUCCCCAAACAAUAUGGGAGUGAACCUCCUAAAUCAUUUUCAGAGAGAUCUAAUUGCUUCAGAUUCUUCAUUUCACACCAACCUGUACAAUUUAUGGAUAUAAAGUCGUUAAAGAUGAAGGCUAAGUCAAACAUGAUAAAAUACUAUCAUUAAAUUGAUCAUUGCAUAGAUAUAAAGUCCUUUUUUAUAUAUAUAUAUAUAUAAUGUAAUGAAUAUUAUUGAUUAUUCAACAUAGUUUUAAAUAAUAUAAUAUUUUUUAAAUUUAUAAUAUUAUAAAUUAUAAAAUUAUUGAUACUUGCAAUGAAGACCAAGUCUCAAAAUACCAUAUCCACUGGCAGUGGUAAUGCAGCGAAGCAUUGAAUUUCUAAACAUCCUUACCUUUUGUUUUAUAUUGCUAUGUAUAUACAAUGCUUUAAUCAAAACCUAUAAUGCAGGAAUAUCUGCAGAUGGCCAUUCCCAAAGGGAAAACUAAUCUUCCCUAGAAUAUUACAAAGUGCCAUUUCUACAGUGAGACACUGAAUAGUGAAAUUAGUGUUUCGUUUUUGUUGUUUUGUUGCUGAUAACUAGAUCUGUUAAAUCUUUUCCCUGUACUUUUACAUUAUGCAGUAAACUGGUCCCUUCAUUAGUUUUUCGUUAGUCAAAUAUUGUAGAGCUGUCAGCAAUAUUUCCUCUGUUUGUUCCACUAACUUGACGGUAAAAUGUGAUUAAAGAAUCAAUUAAUUAUUUAAAAAACGUCGAGGGAUUAAUUUGUUUGUUUCACAAAAAACAGACACUGGUUAUAUAAAAUUAUACUCAAAUUUUUUUCAUCAUAUGCGUGUGUUUACUUGUAAAUAUUUUGGAAGGAACUAGUUUAUGUUUUGCGCAACAUAAAAAAAAUCAUCUAGGCUUAAGAAACUAGCUCGAUCUAGUGGAUUAAUUUUUAAUUUUUUUUAUUUGACUUUUUAUCUAUAUCAAGUUUAACAUGAAAGUUAAUGUCUUUGUUUAAUUCGCAUGAUAACAAUUCUAUGUCUAAGAUCAUUUGGUUGGCAUACAUAUGUAAACCUAGGUGUUGUUAGUUCGAGGGAAGGAAGACACAAUAAAAAAUAAACAAACAUGGAUGAUAUGUCAUUUAUGUUUUACUUUUUUUAAUUAAAAAAACAGGCUUAAUAAAAAAUAUCAAGCGAGGUCAGAUGCGCGAGCCUUGUUUUAUAAUUUUUUAUUCAAAUUUUAAUAAUUGUUUUCAAUUAUUAUGCAUAUGACAUAAAAAUCUGUUCAUGAAAAUUAAAUUCAAAUCACUUUUUUAAUCUUAGAAUUUUUAGAUAUAUUUUUAGCAUAAUUUUAUCAUAUUUAUGAUUUUUUUUAACUUUCAAUCACAUGAAUAUAUUAUUUUGAUACAUUUUUAAUUUGUUGUGACAAUUAUAGAAUAUUCUUUUAAUAGAAACAAUGAUUCUAGUUAAGAAAAAAAUCUUGCAUUCAUCGAGAUAAACAAGAAAUAUGUUAAUAAGAAAAUUUAUCUUGAUGGAGAAAAAUUCAAAACGACUAAAUUUUCAAGUUUAAUAACAAUGCCAAGGAGUUUCCUUAGACUUGGAUAUUUUGUUCUACGUUUAAAGUUUUUUUUAUCUCCAUAACAUAGCAUUAGCAUACAAACUUGUAUAUUUUUAAGACAGCGUUUGGUUACUAUCCGGGACAAUAAAGACAAAGACAGAGGAGACAAGACAUAAAAGAAGAUGGAGAUAGAAUUGUGUUCAGUAGUGAUGUACAAGAUAAAAUAAUUGUCUUUGUAUCAUAUUUAGUUAUGUUGAAUAAGAAAGAAUAAAAUACAUAAAAAACUAUUUUACCUUUAAUAUGUAUUGUUGUCAAACUUCCAUAUUUAAAAAAUAAUUAUUUUUAUUUUUUUACUUUAGUUUAUAUUGAAUGUUGAAAUUAUUAAUAUUAUAAUAACCCUAAUUAUAAAACCAGGACUGAUUUGACAGGUUGGUUUAAGGCGUAGACUUGCCCGAGUUUUAGAAAAAUAGAUUAAUGAUUAACUAGACCUGACCUGGUAAAAAAUAUGAGUCAGGUUAAGAUAAAACACAAGUAAAAAACCCAUUGACUUUUUUGAAAAAGAAAAUUGGUCAAAACAAGGUUUCUUUGACUAUUUUUUUUAAAAAAAAAUUGGGUCAAUCAGGUUGACCUUCCCAACCCAUGACCUACACCUUUCCUUUGGUCAACUCCUAAGUUGAGUUUUAAAACUAUGAUAUUAAUAAUUUUUAUCCAUACUCAGGUCAACCUGUGUUGACCCUCUCGAUCCAUGACCUAGGCCUUACUUCUGUCGACUCCCGAGUCGGGUUUUAAAAUAUGAUAAUAACUAUUUUUAUCCUUACAUUAAUCCGGGUCGACUCUCUUGAUUCGUGACCCGAGUCUUACCCCAAAUUGACUAUCGAAUCAAAUUUUAAAACUAUGAUUAUAACCACCUUUAUUUUAUGUUGACCCGGGUCAAUCCGGGUUGACCCAUAUAACACGUGACUCAAGCCUUAUCCCGAGUCGAUCCCCGAUUUGGGUUUUAAAACUAUAAUAAUAACUAUUUUUAUCAUUACAUUUACCUAGGUCAAUAAUCAACCUCACUUGUGACCCCAAAAUUGCCCGGGUCGACCCUUAAAUCGAGUUUCAAAAUAUGAUAAUAACUAUUUUUAUUUUUAUACUAAUACAGGUCAACUCAACUCGUGACUCGGGCCUCAACCAGUGACCCAGAAUUUACCCCGGAUCGACCUCAAAGUUGGAUUUUAAAACUAUGAAAAUAAUUAUUUUUACCUUUAUAUGUCUUAAUUAGACAAUUUAGAAUUGAGAGUUUUUUAUAAGGAUAUUUUAGAAAUAAAAAAUAAUAAAUAUUGUCUCUAUAAACAUGUCCCUUCUAUACCUCAUAUUUUGAAAAUAUAAAAAUUCACUCUAAAAUUAUUCUAGAGACAAAUUUAUUUUUAUGUAUUUGUCUUUAUCUCUUUAACCAUAUAUAUUUAUAUCUUUAUUGUCUUCAUCCUUUUUAUCACACGACAAUGACCAAACAUUACCUAAAGGAUCUACAACUACUGAUGACAAACUUGGCUUUAUUUCAUCUUUGAUUUCUUCUCAAUGAUAUCUCACCUAUAUGUGUGGAGGCACUAGAUCGUUGAUUGAAAGGUUGACUUUGAAAAAAUAUAUUCAUAAAGUAAUGUUUGAAUCUUGGUGUUUUUUAUUGGCUCAAAAAAAUUACCAACCCACCAAAACCAACAUGUAUGAAACAUUUAGAUUUAAUAUUAUAUGUAUAAUUUAUUAUCAUAAUUGAUAUGCUAUUCAACUCACUAACUUAGUAGGAUGACCUAUAAUACCUGUUGAUCUAGGAUUUUAGCCGAAUCAAGCUUUAAGCCAGAUAUAAUAACUAUGAUUUUAUAAAAUUACUAUGAACUUCCCUUUUAUGUCUUCUUAUUUACUCAUUUGAUUUUAUGAAGUUAAGAUGUUUGCAUUUAUAUCAUGAUUAAACUCUAGGAUAACAUUUAGUUAUUACUUCAGGAUAACAAAAAUAAAGAUAGUAAAGACAAAAUUAUGUUUGGUUGAAAAGACAUAGAUAUAAAAAUAAUUUUUUUCAUGGGAUAAUUUUAGAGUGAAUUUAUGUACUUUCAAAAUAGAAAGUACAAAUAAGAUAUAUCUUCAUAAACAAUAUUUUUUAUUUUUAUUCCUAAAAUAUCAUUGAAAAAACUUUCAAUUCCAAAAUUGUCUAAUUAAAACAUGUAAGAACAAAAAUAGUUAUUAUCACAGUUGUAAAAUCUAACUCGAGGGUCGACCUGGGACAAGGCUUGGGUCAUUGUUUGGGUUGACCAUUGACCCGAGUCAACAAAAAAAUAAAAAUAGUUAUUAUUAUAAUUUUAAAACCUAACUUGGAGGUCGACUCAGGGCAAGACCCGGGUCAUAGGUCAGGAGGGUCAACUCUGGUUGAACUGAGUUAAUGUAAGGAUAAAAGUGGUUAUUGCAAUAGUUUUAAAACUUGACUCAGAGAUCGACCUGAUGUAAGCUCAGGUCUUGGGCUAGGAGGGUUAAUGCAUGGAUAAAAAUAAUUAUUAUCAUGAGUCGAUUUGAGACAAAGCCUAGGUUAUGGGUUGGGAGGGUCAACCCGAGUUGACCCAAUUUUUUUUUUUAAAAGAAUCAACACAACUUUGUUUUGACCAUUUUUUUUUAAAAAAAAAUAGCUGGUUUUGCCCUAUGUUUUAUCCCGAGUCGACCUGUGUUUUAUCCCGAAUCAACUCGGUUUUUUAAUUCACCUAUCUAUUCUUAAACUUAGAUUAAUACAGGCUUAGAGACGACUAGGUCCCGAAUAGAUUCACUAGGUCAGUCUAGGUUUUAUAACUAGGAUUAUUAUAAUAUUAUUAAAAUUAAACUAAAGUAAAAAAAAAUCUAAUUAUUUGUAUAAAUAUGUAAGUUUAACAAUAAUGCAUAUUAAAGGUAAAAUAAUUUUUUUAUUUUUUAUUUUUUUUAUUUAUCAUUAUCAAAUAAGAUAUAGAGACAGUUACUACCAAACACAAUUUUAUUUUCAUCUCCUUUUAUAUCUUGUUUUCAUGGUCUUCUUCCUUUUUAUUCAGGACAGUAACCAAAUAUUACCUAGUUAUAACAUAUAGAAACAUAUAAGUUGUCAAGUUCAAGCCUUUCUCUUAUCGAUUUAAAUAAAUUGAAACACAAUUGCAAGAAGAUUCGAGUGUGUUUGGUAUUGUGAUAGCUUUUGUGGUUGUGAUUUGAAAAAAAAUUGUUUUAUAAAAAAUACUUUUGGUUGAGGUUGGUUUGGUAUUUAUAUAUAUUUGGUUCAAACUGUGGUUGAAAUUGAGGUUGAACAAAAAGUAGUUUAAUGUGUUUGGUUAAGAAUGCUUUUCAAAUUGAGGUUAUAAAAUAAUUAAAAAAAGAUAUUAAUAUUAAUGGUUUUUAAUUUAAAUAUUGUAGAUUUAACUACUGUUAUUACAUCAUGAAAUAAAUAAUACUUUAUAUAAAAUAUUUUUAUUGUUCCAUUAAACUAUCUACAAUUCCAUCACGUACGAAAUCCAUCCGACAAGGACUACAGUUUCCUUGGUUUUUUAAGUGCGCAACAACAUCAUGUAAAAUAUCAUCAAGAACAAAAUUAGGAUUGCGAUCAAAUUCUGUAAAUGUUACGUCAUUAAGCGAUCUCCUUCUAAUUUAUGUAGUGUCAUUGAAUAAUGUUAAACAUUAGUUUUUUUGAAUAAAAUACAAUUAAAAAUAAAAAAAUUGAAUUUUAUUUUAUUUUACUGGGUCGGACCCGGUUCAAUGCAUUUAGCUUUGAACCGGACCCAAUUCGGCCGGAAUAAUAAAACAUUCUCCACUGUUCACGUGAACAGUGGAGAGUGAAGUAAUUCACUCUCACUAGGUGGAGACAACAGAAGAAAAGAAAAGGCAGCUUUGAGCUGCUUUCAAUGACACUGCAUUUUAAACAUAAAUUAUAAUGGAUCCUGUAAACAGUAAAUAAUAUUUUAUUAAUUAUCACAUGAUUGAUUUCUGUGGUUUGUUACAAAAACAGAAGCAACCACAGAAAUAAUCAGGUUCAAAGAAGAAAAGACAUAUGAUUAAAGUGCCACGCAACCUUUUGACAUUAUCAGUAUUUUGAUGUAUUUCCAUUAAUUUAUAAUAUACAAGUAUAUUUCCACGUUUCUUUUAUUUGGAUAGAACAUCUUUCCAAUAGAAUUUGUUUUUAUUAGAAUUCCAUAUUCAUGAUAUUUUUUUAAUAAUAAAAAUAGCAUUGGAUGAGUUUGUAUGUCAAUUGAAACUAAAAAUGUGUUAGAUACGAUCGAUGGAUUGAACAUGAUAAUAUAAAUAUCAAAUAAUGUUUAAUUAGAUUAAAUUGAACUAGAGAAUAUAUGUUUUUAUUCUAUGUUUGGUGCACACAAAAUAAGAUCAAAUAAUUUUAUUUUUAUCAUUGAGAUUUUUUCAAUCAUUUAUUUUAGUCUUUGCAUUUUAUUUUUAUGAUAUUUUAGUCCUUACUAGAAUUUCUUUAUCAUCUAGAACAAUCUAGUUCUUAAAUCAAAAAGGUUUUUGCAAUUAAACUCUUACAUGUAAAUAUUUAUUUUAAUAAAAUUGGUCAAAUUUUGGUUUUCCAAAUUAAAAAAUAAAUAAGUGAUAAAUAAAUAAUAGAUAAUAUAAAAAUUAAGAAAAAAUAAUUUUGUACAAAUUUUUUGUCCUGAGGAAAACUUUGGACAAGACAAUGACAAUGAUCAAUCCUUGUCAUGUCCAAAGUGUAUAUCAAACAUUUCAUAGCUUGCCAUGUGCAACAAAUAUAUCACAACUUGUUUUUAUUGUAUUCUAUUAUGAUCUCUUUUGUGUUUUAUAUUAUUUAAUAUAUUAAAAUAAAUUUAAUAAAUUAUACUGAAGCAAGAUCUAAUAUUAGAAAGUUAACGGAAAUAAUAAAUGUACCUUUGCCCGUCCCUUCAACAAAAUGCUGAGCUGUAUACUAAUUCUCAGAGGCAGUGAUAACUAGUUGUUCUAACUAAUCCCUAUACUUUUAAAUAUGUUUACAAUUCAGUCCCUUCAUUAAUUUUUCGUUAGUAAAAUGUUGAGCUGUCAGCAAUAUUUCCUUAGUUUGUGCCGCUAACUUGACGGUAAAAUGUGAUUAAAGGAUCAAUUAAUUAUUUAAAUCAACUUGAGGGAUUAAUCUGCAUUUGCUUAACAAAACGACAAACACUAGUUAACUCAAAUUUAAGGUAUGUUUGUUUUUAUAUUUCAAAAACGUUUUGAAAAAAUUUGAAAAUUUUUUAUUUUUUUCUUUGCUUCAAAUUAAUAUUUUUUGGUAUUUUUAGAUCAUUUUGAUAUGCUAAUAUUAAAAAUGAUUUUUUUCAAAAAACAUAUUUUAAUAUAUUUCUGAGUGAAAAACAUUUUAAAAAAUAUCUGUAACCACACUCUCAAACAAUCACAUUCCCAUACAGGUUAAUCAUCAUAUGCGUGCAUGCGUGCGUGCAAGUGGGGUUCAAUCCGGGUGCCCUAGCAUUAUAUUAUAAUACUUAUAUAUAUAAGAAACCCUGUAUGGAUUCGUACAACACUGGAAUGCAAUGAUUGAAUGAAAUAUUACAUGGACAUUGGACCUGCUGUGUAAACAUGUUUAGGAUGGAUGCGACGACAUUUCAGAGUUUUUGCUUUCAACUUGGAAACCAAUGUCAUAACCCAAUUCUGGGUUAUUCCCCAAAAAUCAUUUUUUUUUCAAAAUAAAAAUCAAAAUAAUAAUAAUAAAAGCUGGAAACGUGGAGAAGGCAAACCGGGGAAUCAAGUUGUAAUUUUGGAGGAAAUUCAAGGCCUAAUUGUACCCCAUUAUGCCAAAAAAUGGAGGAAAAAAAUGCAAAUUCAAGGUCAAAUUAAAUGACUAUUGGAUGAAUUUGCAUAAAAAUUAAGUCCAAGAACAUAAUUAAAUUUUUAAUAGGCCAAUUUGAUUUAAUCAUGGGCCAAAUUGAAUUUUAAUUAUGUUUAAGAAUUAAUUUGGGUCCAAUUGAAGGAUUUAGUUAAGUGCAAGGACUUAAUUAUACUUUAAAUGGGUAAAAUUAAUUUUAUUUGGGGCUUAAUUGGUGAAAAAUUAAGUUUGGGAGCCUAAUUUGGGCUUAAUUGAGAAGAUUGGAAUUUUAAGAGAUCAAAUUUAAUUUUUUCCAAGUUAAUUGCUUGAAAUCAGGGGCCAAAUUGCAAGAAAAUUGAAGUUUUGGGGUCAAUUAGGGGUUAAAUUGACAAAAUUUGCAGCCAAGGACCAAUAUGCAAAAAGUGCCAAACUAUAGGGCCUAUUGGCAAAAUCCAGGGUGAAAUUGAAGAAAUUGAAAGUUUAAUGGUUGAUUAGGGGUUAAAUUGCAUAAAUCCAAGACUAAAGACUUAUAUGCAAAAGGCGCGUAAAUUUGGGGUUCCAAUUGAAGUUCAGCAAGGGCGUAAUUGCAUUAAAUCAAAAGUUUAUGGUCAAUUAGGAGUUCAAUUAAAACAAAUUGAAAUCUGGAGGACUAAAUUAAAACUUAGUUAAAAUCCCUAAUUCAAACCUAAAACAACAUUGUUUUGAAUAAUAAUAAUAAAAAAAGAAUCAGACAACACGUCGUCUGGUCAUUAUUUAUUGUCUUCUUCUUUUACCCGGUUAAUCAUCAUAUGCGUGCGUGCAAGUCAGGGUUAUUGUGUUGUCUAUUCCGUGUGUAAUGUGGGGUUCAAUCCAUGUGAAUCGCACGACUUGUCCAUAUCUUUCUUAUUGAUUACAAAUAGCAUUGAGAAUUAAAGAAUAUUAUCUUAAUAAGUUCCAAUUUAUUCUACAAAAACUAUAUAUAAAGAUGUGACAAAAUCUUAAGUUCCAUUUUAUUCUACAAAAACUAUAAAGAUGUGACAAAAAGAUGCAGCUUACGGAUCAAGCCUGGUUCAGGUUUUGAUCCUGUUAAAAAUCUAUUUUGUUGAAUUGUUCAUCAACUCGUGAAUUAUUGGGUUAAAUAGAUUAAUUUUUUAAACAAAACAAUGCCAUUUUUUUUAUAUAUAAAAAAUUUGGUUCUGGCGUAUAAAUAUAAUAUUAGAAACUUAAACCUUAUUGAUUAGCAAAAACUCAAAGGGAAAUUUUGAAAUAGAUUUUUGUAAAAUCAAAUAUGAACCAAGUACUAGAAAGUUUGUUUGAAAUAACAAUUACUUUAUAGAAAGCAAAUAUAAAUAUAUUUAUUAAAUUUAAUAAAGUUUAAAAUCAGCAAGUUAAGCUACGAAACCCUGAUCAAUUUAAUAUAAUGCCGUUCAAUACAAAAAAAAAAUACAUCUUAAAAAAAAUUUAAGUUAAAUCAUGUUUCUACCUAUUAUUUAGGUUGUCUUCAGACUUAUAAAGUCGACUAGGUUAUAUUAGAAAAACUUUUAUAUAAUUAAAUUUAAAACUCGAGUUAGGAAAUUUUAAUAUUGAUUUGUUGAAUCGGAUUUAAUAACAAUACCAAAAAUCUAAAAUUUACUUUUUUAAUCAAUUUUUUUUAAUUCAACUCGUAUCAUAACACAGUAUAGUAAAAUAAAUAGAUAUAAAAUAUUUUGAUGGAUCCUCGGGAUAAGAGAUUGUUUUAGGACAUUUUGCUAAUUUCUUUUGUUAUCUAAUCAACAAGCUCAUAGUGAAUAAGUAUAUAAAUAUAUACAAUUAAAUUAAAUAACAUAUAAGAGAAAAAUGGUCGAAAGGUAAAGCUAAAGUGAUGCGACGUUGAGCCACUAGUCGAUAGUUGUAACGUCAGUUUGUUGGUUCGUCGUUCGUUUCUCGGAUUUAUUGAUCUUUAGAUUGUCUGUUUCUAGAAAAGAAAGAAAGAAAUAUUUAUAUUAUCAAUGCAAUGCAAUGCAAUGACUAAUAAGAGCUUGAAAUUAAGAGGUUUGCUUUCUCUAUAGUUUCAGGUUCGAACCCUGUGGUUGCUCAUAUGAUGGCCACUGAAGAUUUACAUGGUCGUUAACUUUAGGGCCCGUGGAAUUAGUCGAGGUGCGCAAAUUAUUAUCAUUUUAUCAAUGUAUACUACAUCUUUUUCUCAAUUGUUUGAGUUUGAAAUUAUAUCUGUGAACCCAUUAAUUUAUCUAGAAAAAAAAAAUUUAGGUAAUUGGAUCAAUCCUUGAUAUCAUAUAGAGAUAAAUUAAUUGUUUUGAUUAAAACAAUAUCAUUUUAUUUAAAAAUAAAUUUAUAAUAUUAAUUGAAUCACUAAAAACACAACUAGACCAAUCAUGUUUUAAAUAUUUUUAAAUAUUUUUAUAUUUAAUUUGAAAUUGAUUUAAAUUAAACUUUAAAUUAUGGGUUUUUCAAACUAACAUGUGUUGGGUUACGUCGAUUGAGUUAGGUAUAACAUAUCUAGAAGAAUUUAUUAAAUUUCUCUAUAAUUAGUCAAUCGAUGAGGGAAUUUAGUUUUAAUUGAUGGAGAAAUUAAUUUAAAGAUACCAUGCAAGAUAUAAAAAAAAACAUUUAAAGAUAUCAAUUAUUGUUUUCCGUUUAAUUAUAAAUAGAAUGAAGAGAGCGAUGCUCGCUGCACUUUUAUAAGCGACUAAAGUAGUUUCCAUCUUAGAUACAGUUAGAAUCUCCCAUAUCUGUCAAAAUGCCAAAAAAGCUAUUCGCAAAGAAACUCUCAAAAACUGACAUUAAUUAAAUAUAGAAUGGCAGUUCCAAUGGAAAGCCUCUACGCUUUCCAAAUCCCAGAAGGAGAACACUCUAAAGAAUUUGGUGUCACUGGCAUCCAUGGCAAGAGGUGGAGGUUCCGAUGUUGUACAAGAAAAACUGAGUUGAUCACCUUAAACCAGUCAUGUUUUCAGUUUGGAUUGAGUUCGCCAAAAAAAAGGGUUCUCAAAAAAGGUGAUGAAGUCACCUUCUCUGUGCUGGACAUGAAGGGAGCUGAGGAUCUGGAAUUGGGAAUUCAAGCUCGGAAAAGAAUCAAGCUAUUCGGCCAAGAUUUUUGGAGUAAUCCUUUGUGAAGAAGAAGAAGAAGAAGAAGAAGAAGCUACUCCUCGCAUAAGUAUAGAUUUUGUGCACCGAAGAUUGUGUCUGUGAGUAAUAGAGCUGGUUGCCUAUGUACAAUUAGUAUGCUUUGGCAGGAACUUCGUGACUGGUCCUUGGAUAGCUGAGAAAGCCAAGUCUAUGGCAACUUCAGGGGAAUCCAGGAGCAGGAAAAAAAUCAAGGUGAAAGGAUAUGAAUUUGCUAGUGCAACUGCUGCAAAGGAUCUAGGAGACAUAAAUUUGCGAACUAGAGAAGAGUUAAUUUUGAGCUCUGCAUUCUUCUUGCAUGUUCAUCUGUUUCCCGUUGUGGUUGAUCUUAGCAGUUCUCAGUAUAGUAAUUUGCAUUUCCUUCUAGAUCAGAUGAUUAAUGGAUUAUCAGGCAUGGACUGCGAUGUAGUCGGUGCUAGGGAAUCAACAAAGUUAACUCAUUGUAUUUUCAUAAAUUAAAGGGAUUUCUCUUCUUUUCUUUGUCAAUUACAGUGCAUGAUGUAUAAAAGUUUUCUUACUCAGAGUAAAUGCUAUUGUAAUGUUUUCACAGAGACUCCUCUAUUUUGCAACUAAUUCACUUAUAUAUCUUGGAAACAGAAAGGCAAUCAACGAAGAGUAAGGCAUCUUCUGAAGAAACAAAGAAAUUUAAUGCCCUAAACUAAGCAGCAGGUAGAAGGCAAAAACUGAGCUCAAAUUUUCAGUAAGGGACAAACGAAAAAAACCAAAAAGAAAGCAGAGAAAAAUACAGACUCAAAUUCACAACACCCAUUUUCUUUCCAUUGGAACACUUUAAAUAGUUUAUUAAAUUUAUAAUGAUCUGAUUUCUACGCAUAUUACAAAAUCAACUUCAUGAUCAAUUCUCUAUAAUUUCGGCAUUACUAAAAACAUCCAAACUAAUAAACUAUUAGUUAUUUUAGCCAUUUUAAUAAACAUUUUAGUUAUGAAUUCACCAAACAUUUUGAACAAUUCAUAUGGAUGAAUUAACAUGUUAAUUUUAGAUUUUUUAACUUAUUAAUUCCUUCAUGAAUUACUUCUAAAGCAUGUUAUAUAUAUCUAAGCACUUUUAUAUAAUAUAAUUCUAUCAAAUUCACUUUUACCCAAUGUAUAAUAUAAACAUCCAUAAAAAAUAACUUAUAUUGUCAAUGCAAUGAAAUGACUAAAUAACAUUUAAUUAUUAUAAUAGCUUUGUCCUCAUACCUAAGGAAGUAUACUACGUCUUUUUCUCGAUUCUUUGAGUUUGAAAUUAUAUCUUUGAACCCAUUAAUUUAUCUAAAAAAAAAUUUAGGUAAUUGGAUCAAUCCUUGAGGUCAUCAUAUCAUAGGGAUAUAAAUCAAUUAUUUUUAUUAAAAAUAAUUUUUUUUUUAAUAUUUUCAUAUUUAACUUGAAAUCGAUUCAAAUUAAAUUUUAAAUUACAGGUUUUUCAAAUUAACAUGUGUUGGGUUAGGUCUAAUAUAUCUAGAAGAAUUUAUUAAAUUUCUCUAUAAUUAGUCAAUCGAUGAGGGAAUUUAGUUUUAACUAGUUACAUGACCCGCGCGAUGCCACGGGUCAAUUUUGUUUUGCAUAAAAAAUAUCAAAAAAAGCUAAGAUCUAAAAGUGUUAGGUCUUUCUAUAAAGUUAUACCCAAAAGUCUUGGGUUUGGCUACAACGCCUGAUCCAAAAAUAAUAUUUAUAAUAUUAAUAAUAACAUUAAACUUGCAUAUAUCCACGAAUAUGUACAAUAUUUGAAACCUAUAAUGCAAGAAUAGCUGCAGAUGUACAAUAUUUUUAAUUUAAAGAAUCAAUUAAUUAUUUAAAAAACUUGAGGGAUUAAUUUGUUUGUUUUACUCAAAUUUUUAUUGUUUACUUGUAAAUAUUUUGAAAGGCACAACAUGAAAAAAUCAUAUAUGCUUAAGCAACUAUUUGGCAUCUUAAACUUAAUCUCGUAAAUUAAUCUUAAAUCCUUUUUAUUUAACUCUUUCCCAGUAUCAAGUUUAAAAUUAAUCAACAUAAAAGUUGUUUUAAUAUAACUUAGUUAAUUUAAUGGGUUCAAAAUUAAUACAUAUGACAUGAGAUCUACCAGCCAUCAUCUGGCCGGAAACGGGCCGCGAUCGUCGACUGCCACCGAAGCUUCAAGUCGUCGAUUCUCGCUCAUCAGCCAUCAACGGCCGUCAAGACCACCACCAUAAGAAUCCUCGACAUCAGAUCUACCAGGAUCGACCAUCGGUUGGCCAGAAAUCGCGCCGGAAAAUCUCCCCGCCGCCAACAGUAGCCGCGCGUGUGCCACACGCGCCGCCAGUGGCAUUUUUGUAAAUUUUGGAGAAACCCGAGGGUAUUUCAGUCUUUUACCUAUACAGUGGCACUCAGGUAAUUUUUCGGGGUUUCUACUGGUAUUUUUGAUAUUUUUUAUAUAUAAAUGCUUGUAAAUUUUCUUGCAUGUUGUAAAAAAUACAAAAACCAAAGUCGACACGUCUCUUUUUUUAAAAGGACCGAUGUCAAAAAUGUAAAUACCAAAUAUGGCAUAUGUCCAUUAUUUUUUUUUGGUGACCCAGACGUAAUUCUCCUUUUUAGGGUUGAAACGUCAUAUUUUAGACAAGUCUCCUAAUUUUUAGGGACUGAUGUCAUUUUUAACGUGUCUCCUAUUUUUAGGGACCGACGUUAACCAUUUAAAAAAACAAAUUACCAAUAAACCCAAAAUAUAAUGGAUUAUAUCCAUUAUUUCUUUUGGUAACUCAGACGAGUCUCCAAUUUUUAGGGACUGAUGUCAUUUUUAACGUGUCUCCUAUUUUUAGGGACCGACGUUAAUCAUUUACAAAAAUUUACAAAUAAGCCCAAAAUAUAAUAGCAUUUGAAUCAAAUAAAAACACACAAGUAAGGGUAACCUUUCUUUUGAAAGGAUGUUUUAAGGGUGGUGUCUACCUUCCCUUAAUCAUAACUAACCCCGUACCCGAAUCUCUGGGACCAGUGUCUAAUUUGGGAUUUCUAGUUCCCUCAAAUUACUAGAUGGCGACUCCAAUAAAAUCUUUGUUUCCCCCAAUCGAGAAAAAAACCCUUUUUGUUAAACAAACAAAAAAAGCGGGAGCCGUCGCCCGACGUCGUGUAUCGACAAAUGUCUGCAAAUCUUGUGGUCAUAUACAGGGUGCCGGUUUUCUUUCCACGAGCCAAAACCAUUGCUCCCUUUGAUACCUUCCACAUACCUCCAGAAAAAAGGAUUGAAUGACCACUAUCAUCAAGUUGUCCGACCGAGAUCAGCUUCUUCUUUAGAUCAGGAACAUGCCUUACAUUUUGCAAGGUCUAUAUAGAUCCAUUCAUUGUCUUGAUUUGUACAUCUCCUAAACCCACAAUAUCCAAUGGUUGUCCAUCGGCCAGAUAGACUACACCGUGAUCUCCAGCAAUAUAGUUUUGCAUCAUUUCAUGGUGUGGUGUACAGUGAAAUGAAGCACCAGAAUCAAGAACCCAAUCAUCAACAGGACUAUGCACAGCAAGAAUCAAAGCAUCUUGCACCUCAUUUGUGGUAGCGUUUGCAGAGUCAGCUUCAGGUUUUUUCGGUUUUGUGCAAUUCCUCAUGAAAUGACCGGGUUUGCCACAAUUCCAACAUUCAACCUGUUUUCUGGGUCCAAACUUGCUUUUACUUCUAUAUCUUGAUUUUGAUCUGCCUCUGGAUAAGCCUCUAUCAUGUCUCCUCCCUCGAGUGUUGAUGUUGAGAGCUGAUCCUGAGCUUGAACUUUCACCCGAGUCUUUCCUUCGCACUUCUUCAGCCAAAAUCAAGUCUCGAAUGUCAUCAUACUUCAGUUUGGAUUUUCCAGCUGAAUUGCUCACGGCUGUCCUCAUGCCUUCCCAACUGCUUGGAAGUGAAGCUAGCAAGAUGAGUGCACGAAUCUCAUCAUCAAACUCAAUCUCAACAGAUGAUAAUUGAUUUGUGAUGGUAUUAAAGUUAUUGAGGUGUUGUGUCACAGAAGUGUUUUCGACCAUCUUCAAGUUGAACAACUUUUUCAUCAGGUGCACUUUAUUAUUUGCUGAUGGCUUCUCAUACAUCCCAGACAAGGCUUCCAUCAAUCUUGCAGUGGAUCUUUCUUUCGUAACAUUGUGAGCAACUCUUCUUGAUAAGGAUAACCGGACAAUGCCCAGAACUUGUCUAUCAAGAAGUAGCCAAUCUUCUUCUUGCAUAUUUUCUGGUUUGCUCCCCAACAAGGGAAGAUGAAGUUUCUUCCCAUAUAGAUAAUCCUCAAUUUGCAUUUUCCAGUAUCCAAAAUCUGUCCCGUCAAAUUUUUCAAUUCCAGCUGCUUUUAUUUCAUCUGCCAUUUUUACUGCUUCUCCGAUUCGAAUUUCCCAAAUCUGACCUUACAGAUGUGUCCGGAACAGCCGAAAACCUUGGAAAUGACACUGAGAUAACCCCAAUCGGACUUCGGAUGGCUCAGAUUUUAGCAAUCAAAGUUUUGGAUUAACGGACGGUGCAGAUGCAGCCGCGUGUCAACCAGAGUACCGCCUGCGUCGCACCGGAUCAAAACCUCAGUAGCGGUUCUGAUGAAGCCACGUGUCAGCAGAUUAGGUCCUGCGUCACACCGUAUCAAAACUCAGUAACGGUUAUGAUGAAGCCACGUGUCAGCAGAUGAUGGCCUGAGUCACACUGGAUCAAUACUCAAUAGUGGUCCUGAUUUAACCACGUGUCAACUGAUUGGAUCUUGCGUCGUACUGGAUCAAAACCCCUCAACGGUUGUGAUGUAGCCACGUGUCAGAAUAUCAGCUUCUGCGACACAUCGGAACAAAACUCAGAGAUGACGUGGCAGGUGACGUGGCAGGUGACGCGGACGGUGACCGUACGGCUGUGCUGACGUGGCGGGUCAGCCCGACCCGUUUUGCAGAAGUCGGGCGAAGAUGGAGCGUGGCGCGCGUACGGCGCGUUGGUGCGCGUGGGCAGUCUGGGCGUCGGCGCGUGUUGGCGCGUGCGGGCAUGCAGGACGUCGGUUCUUCGCCGGGUUUUCAACAGUGGAUUCGUCCGGUUGUCCUCUACACGAUGGUAUGUUCAAAAACACGUUUUGAGAACUUUGAUUUUUGAGUUUGGAUCAAACACCCUCUUUGUCAAGAACAAGCUCUGAUACCAGUUGUUGGGUAAUUCCAGAACUCAAACACACAUCAAUUUACGUGGUUCGGCAACUUGCCUACUCCACGGAGCUACUGGUUUGUAUUAAUCAAGCUUAGAAACAAUACAAACAACAAAACAAGGAGGAGGAGAAAAUCUUCUCUACUCAACUCAAGCUCUCUCUCUCUCACGUUUUUCUCUCUGUGUUUUCACUCUUCUCUGUGUUCUUCACGCUUCAACCCUCCAGCUCUUCACUGAGCAUACAUAUAUAUUAAGCUAGGAGUGAAGGGCAUAAAUCAUGCCAUGAUUUAUGCCCACCGUUUGCCUCCACUUGUGCUAAGUGGAGAUUAGGUAUUCCCACUAAGCACAUAGUGGAGGUGGGACAUUGCUUGUCUCCAAAUAGCUAACAUAACUGAGGUGGGGUCGCCCUUGAAACAUUGGUAGAUGUAAGUGUUGCUCACAUGCAUAGAAUAUUUUUUUUCUACUUAGUAGUGGUUUUGGCAAUUUUUUUCAGACAAGUCUUGAGAGUUGAAAGAGUAAUCACACCCGAGUCAACCAACAAUCCAAAUCAGCUCCCUUCCUAAUGGUUCAGGAAUGAGAAGUCCAGCUUAUAUAUUUGAUAUAGAGACGGUACACUACAAAUUAAGCACCCAAUAACUAGACAAACAAUCAUGAUAAACUAGGAACAAUUGUCUUCCCAGUAACAAAUUCACCUUCUCACGUUGGAGAACUUGCGAAAACUAGCCACCACAAAAUAGUAGCAAGUAUUUAUGCAGUCUUCGAUGAAGUACGACCACCUGCGUCGCCAAUAUGGAUUGAUGUAAAGAACUGCUGCAAUCGUCAUUACCACAACUGUGUAACAUACACCGAAGCUGAUGUAGAAAAACUCCAUGUCUAUGAAACCAUCAUCUCCUUGUUCAUCAUUAGGCACUGGCUGUAACGGCACUGCUUCCUCACUACAAUUGUUUCGCAAUGGAGGUCCACACAAGAAAGGAUUUCCUUCGUAACAGUUUUCAUCAUCAAAGGUCCCAAAUUGAUAUUUUCUCUCGGGUGUCCUACCUGACAAGUUAUUGUACGCCACACUAAAAACUUCCAGUGUGGUAAUUUCAGUAAGUUGUGGAGGGAUGGCACCAUUCAAGUUGUUGUAAGAAAGAUCCAAACUCUCAAUCUGCUUUAGGUUUGAGAAUGUUGCAGGGAUAGAUCCAGUGAGAUUGUUGUGUGAUAAGUUUAAUGACAGUAUCUUACUCAAGUUUCCAAAUUCUGGUGGGAUUGCUCCUACAAAGUUGUUAUUGGAGAGAUCAAUACCAUACAUGUAGCUCAGAACUUUCCCCUUGUAACCAUAAUACAUAUUUUUAGUUGUAAAUUCUAUCACUUCUUCUGUAAAGUUAACCCAAAAAUCCUUUCCCAAGUUGUACAUACUAUCCCCUAGUGGUGGACCCAUUGUUUCAUAAUAAGCUUUUUCUAUGGACCAUGACGGAAAACCAUAUCCGAGAUCCGCGAGCGUUUUCUGGGAACUUUCCUUGAGAGUUAGAUUGCCCAAACAUGAGGGUAGUGGACCAGAGAGCUGGUUUUGUGAAACAUCCAAAAUACUUAAUUGUUCUAACAAGCAUAACUGAACAGCGAGCUCACCAUCAAAGUUAUUAGCCCUCAGAAGAAGAACACUCAAUGAUGAAAGAUUGCCAAUCCAAUUUGGAAUAGAGCCAAUGAAGCUGUUGUCUCGAAGAUCCAUCGUAACUAGGGAAGAGCUGUUAUAAAAACCAUAUGUUAAUGGACCGCUCAAUCUAUUUUUGGAUAGAUGAAUAUGGGUUAUUUGUGGUGGAUUGAAACAAGAUGGCAUAUAUCCAGACAAGUAGUUAUCAGAAAGGUCCAAAAAUUCAAGCCGGUCAAGCUUACAAAAGUCUCUUGGGAUUGGACCCUUAAAAAGGUUUUUGGACAAAUCAAGUACUUCAUCGUACGUAAAAUUAAAAAAGCUUCUUGGAAGCAUGCCUGAAAAUUGAUUGUUACUCAAAUCCAAUACACUCCAUACUUUCCACCCAUAUAAUGGAAAAUCUGAUAUCUGACCCCAAAAGUAGUUACCACCUAGGUAGAGAUAUUGUGAGAUAGAAGAAUUGAACACCGAGGUCGGUAUUUGCCCACCCAAACUAUUGUUUGACAGCUUGAGAACCUGUAUUGUUGUUAAUUGUUCUAGUUUUACUGUAGACAAUUGAUUGUUGGAUAAAUCUAAAAAUGAAAGAGAGCUAAAAUUUCCUAAACAAGAAGGAAUAUAACCUGUGAAUCCAUUGUCAGCCAUCCUUAAGAUCCACAGAUUUGGAAAGAUCAAACAAAUAUCUUUUGGAAUUUGACCAUUUAUGUUGUUGUUGGAUAUAUCUAAUUCGGUCAUAUUCGGAUAUGGGUGAUCUAGCAAUUGCAAAGUACCAACAAAGGAGUUCUCGCUCAGAUAUAGUUGCUCCAUUCGUGUAUUGUUCUUAAGCAACCAUGAUGGAAACAUUCCGAAGAUGUUGUUGUGGGAGAGAUCAAGGGUUCUUAAGUCGUAUUGGUAAUAGAGGAAGUCGAGAAUUUCUACAUUGAGUGCUUCCGAUGUUGGACUACUUGACAAGCGGAAAAAGACUAGUUGGAACUUUGGAAUCAAAUUAUCAAAGGCAGCAGAUUCCGUUACUAGUCUGUUGUUCUCACUGGAGAAGAACUUGAGGCUUGAGUGGUUCAUAAAAGGCUUCAUUGAAAUGGGAACUUCAAAGAGGUUAUUUGAUAGUGAGAGGAAUUCAAGGGAUAUGAGCUUGGUAAGAGGACCAAAUGCAAUAUUUCCAGUAAACUGGUUAUCAGAAACAUCUAAUAGUUGUAGAGAUGACAAGUUCCCCAAACAAUCUGGGAGUGCACCUCCAAAAUUAUUUCUAGCGAGAUCUAACUGCUUCAGAUUCUUCAAUUCACACCAACCUAUACAAUUUAUCUUGAAACAAUCAAAACAAUGUUGAAAGAAUCUUUUAUUGAUGAUGUAAUUAUAGGCGGAUGGAGAGUUGUUAAUUUACCUUGAGCGGGUAGGGUGCCAUGGAGGUCACAUUCAGCAACAGACAAAACUUUAAGAGCAGGCAAUGCUCCAGUGUUCUGGAGAAAGUUUAUUGGGAGAGAAGUAUUAUCUAGAUGCAAUUCUUCAAGGGUGCUAGAAUUGAAGAAAGUCCCUGUGAAAAAGAAAGAAGAAGAGAUAUGAUGAAAAUAGUGGUGGUACAGAAUAGCCAUUCCAUUCAAUAUUAUUAAUUAAGAUUUUAAGAAACUAAACUAUGAUUAACCUUGACUUAAAUUAGUAUCCUUGAGAGAAAGGGUCUUCAGCGAUGGCCAUGAACGCAAUGACUGCAGGAUGUCCAGAUUCCUUAAACCUAUGAUAUUUGGAUAGAAACAACAAAUUGCUUGAAGAAUCUAGAGAUUUCAAAAGGUAUUGUUAAGAAAUGAAGUAAAUAAUAGAAGAUGCCAAGAGAUAUUCAUAACUUUACCAUUGAUAGUCGUCGAUCCUAGCAACAUAUUGCCUGAUAAAUUUAAAGACUUGAGAUGAGAAAGUCCACGCAGAUGUGAUAAAAUGCUGUCAUUGAAUAUAUUAUUAUGGCUCAGGUCCAGGUUCUCGAGUUUCCCCAAAUGUGAUGAUAUGAUCUCAAAACCUGCAAGAGUAAGUCGUUAAAGUCGUUAUAUAAAAUAUAAUUCUAAUUUUGAUCUUAUUGGAAAUAUUACGAAACAAUUUUUAAAUAUCAUUCUAGUUUCGAUCUUAUUGGAGAAAAAAAAACAAUUUAUGGAUAUAAAGUCGAUAAAGAUGGAAGCUAAGUUAUGGAUAGACUUACAAAACAAGAUAAAGAAACUUAUAAUUAAGAUCUCAUCGGUAAUUAAAACAAGAAUAAUAAUCGAUCCUAGAUAGCAACAUAUUGUCCAAAUAUUUCACCAUAAAAUCACCCAUCACCAUUCACCACGACCAUAAGGCAAAAUCCUCCACCACAUAAUAAUAUUUUGAUUAAAAAAAGGUCCAAAAUAAUAUAAAACCAUGAUUAAAAAGGAGAGGAAAUAAUAAAUGGCUACAAACAAGAAUUAAAUAUCAUAUAUGUGGGUUUUAUGUUGUUCUCUUUAUUGAUAAAACAGUCGAGAGUUUUUCUAAUAGAGAAAUUGGCUGUCGAGAGUGAUUUGUAUUGGAUAGUUUUUUUGAUAGUUUUUAUUAAAUAGAUAUAAAGUCCUCAUUUUUGUUGAUAAAGAAACAAUAUAAUUAAGAGAAUGUCAUGUGAAGCAUUUAGGUAGGUAGAAACUGUGUAUUAUACCUGAUCCUGUCAGCUGAUUGCCUGACAGAUACAAAGAUUUUAGGGAUGAAAACCCAGUUAGAGAUGGAAAAAUGCUAUCGUUGCAUUGAAUCUCACUUAGAUGAAGGUUCUCCAGCUUUUUCAACCUUGAUGACAAGUCUUUGAGACCUGCAUGAUGUUCCUCAAUAGCAUAUUGGAAGGAAAUAAACGCAUAGAAAAAAAAUGAUAUGAGAAGGAGAAAAGAAAAGGUUUCAAAGCUAAAUAAUUAAAAGGUUACCAUAGAAGCUACCUCCUAAUCCAGCUGUCAACCCAUCGGUAAUUAAAACAAGAAUAAUAAUCGUUAAAUAUCAUUCUAAUAAUAAUCCAUGGCAAGUUCAAAUCCGUUGGUAACUGAAUUCCUCUAUCUAUUUAGUUAGUAAGAUGCUUAGUUGUCACUAAUUUAGUAAUUAUAAUUUGUUCCUCUGUUUUCUAGCAACUACUUUCCCAAUUUUAUCCAUUCACCACGACCGUAAGGCAAUAUCCUCCACCACAGAAUAAUAUUUUGAUUAAAAAAAGGUACAAAACCCAUUAUUAAAAAGAGAGGAAAUAAUAAAUGGCUACAAACCGAAAACCGGUCCAAUAUGUGGGUUUUAUUUAAAAAGAUAAAUAUAAAAUAUAUAUUUAUAGGAGAGUUUUGAAGUGAACUUCUGAUUACUAAUUUAAUCUAAAUAUUACAACACUUUUGGCAUAAAAGGGCUAAAAUAAGAAUAAAAUAUAUGCCUCUUGGACCUAAUUCCAAGUGCCUCUUUUCUUGAUAUAAAGUCCUCAUUUUUGUUGAUAAAGAAACAAUAUAAUUAAGAGAAUGUCAUGUUAAGCAUUUAGGUAGAAACUGUGUAUUAUACCUGAUCCUGUCAGCUGAUUGCCUGACAGAUACAAAGACUUGAGGGAUGAAAAUCCAGUUAGAGAUGGAAAAAUGCUAUCGUUGUAUUGAUUCUCUCUUAGAAGAAGGUUCUCCAGCUUUUUCAACCUUGAUGACAAGACUUUGAGACCUGCAUGAUGUUCCUCAAUAGCAUAGAAAUGAUAUGAGAAGGAGAAAAGAAAAGGUUUCGAAGCUAAAUAAUUAAAAGGUUACCACAGAAGCUACCUCCUGAUCCAGCUGUCAACCCAUUGAAUGAUAGAUCCAAAGACUUGAGAGUGGAAAGGUUACCAUUGAAACAUGACAAAAUGCUUUUAUCAUUAGUAAAUUUGUUAACACGUAGGUCAAGAUUGCUCAGUUUUGAUGAUAGGACUUCGAAGCCUGGGAAGAGAAUCAUCAAAGCAAGAUAAUUGACAUUAAACACCAACCAACCAACCUUCAUUUAUUUUAUGAUUAUAAUUAAGUGCAGAAACAUUGAACUAACCUUCAUUCUCCAUGCAACCAACCAAUCCAGUACCUCCCAAAUCAAGACCUCGCAAUUCUUUGAAAGGCUGAAACAAAGAUGCGUUGAGAACCCAAUCGCCCAAGUGGAAAUCCCUUGCCCCCCAAAGAGAGAGUUGGAUCACUCGCCUUGUAGUGUUAUCACACUCGAUCCCACGCCACUCACAACAAUUACUAUUGGUGUCCACCCAAUGAUCUCUCCAGGAAACGCCAUGUGGGUUGAUCAAAGAUUGGAUCUCCAAGAGACCAAUCCUCUCCUCCUCCAAACACCCAUAACAACGACCAUGCCAUUCGCCAACCAAAGUGAAUAAUGCUAGCAACAUCCAAGCCCCAAUUCUUUUCAUCAUCAUCUUAGAUAAUUCUAUGAACUGCUACGUAGAAUAUUGUUGUUUGUUAUGUGCCUUUGGGCAACCAUAGAGGUCCUAUUUAUACUACACUCUGGCCAUUUCCAUGACUUUGAGAUGUUUUCUUUAUUUCAUUUCUUUUUGGAAUAUUUUUGGAUUUGAAUAUUAUUCUAUUUUAUUGUCUAGCACUUAGUCUAUUUGCCAGGUUGGGAAAAAUAUUCAAAUUAGUUUUGUUGGCAUGUAAACCUCACCAAAUAAUUUGCGUAGACCGUAUUGACUGGGAGUCAAUUAUUGUCGUAGUGCUUUUAUGCACGAUCUGUGUGCGUGAACGGAAAGAAAAGCAGGGUGUGAAAAGCAUUAAAGGUUGUGAACGCGGAUGCUUGACUUGCUGUGUACCAUUUUGAUUUUUAAACACGGCCAUGCAGUCAUUUCCUGGCGAUUUCCUUAUGCAUACUGGUGGUCUUUCAUAAUCUUUUUCCAAACAAUCCUCGUUAGGCCGGCUCGGGGGUUAACUUAGAGUAAGGCAUCGUUUGACAUUGCGUUUGUAACUGCGUUUUAUUAAAUUUUGAAUUUUUUAUUUUUGCUAAAAUUAAGUGUAGCUUGUACUUUUUGGAUCUUUUUGAUGUGCUGAUGUUAAAAAUAAUUUUUAAAAAAUAAAAAAAUAUCAUUAGCAUGUAUUUCGGCACGAAAAGCUAUUUGAAAAGUACCCGCAACCACACUGCCAAACACGCUCUAAGAUUUGUAUCAUCGUUUUUUAUCAGAUUCAAGAUCAACUUGGAUCAAUCUUAAUUUUAUGCUAUUGUUUUUUAUAUAUAAACAUAAAUAAAAAUCCAGAUCUCUUUUAUAAUCUUAAAGGUAGUAUAUUAAUAGUAGAACCAUUAUCUAUCCAGAUACAAUUCAUCAUCUUUUCAUCGACAUAUCUUUUAAUUAAGAAAAGCUGUUUAUAGAGUUUUAAUCUAAGCAAUAGGUUUUCAUCGUUAAAGGAUACCUAUGUGGUGCUAAGUUCUUCUAAAGUUGGAGAACUUAUGAAAAUUAAUGCAAGGCUUCAACACUCCGAAGCCUGCAAGAGAAAUAUCAAAGCAAAAUAAGUAGCGUUAAACAGCAGCCAUUUCUUCAUUUUUAAUUUUAGUAUAACACAAUAAUAUGAACCAACCUUGAUUCUCAAAGGCACCCAACUAAUUCAUUAGCCUUCAAAUCAAGACUUUGCAAUUCCUUAAAAGGCAGAAACAAAGAUGCGUUGAGAACCCAAUCGCCCAAGCGGAAAUCCCCAGUACCCCUAAGAGAGAGCCGGAUCACUCGUCUUUCGGUGGUAUCACACACGAUCCUAGACCACACACAACAAUUACUGCCCAGGUAUUUCGACAGUUAUGGCUUGUGUGGGUUUUGGUUCACGAUGGAGAUGAUGGAUACAAUGAUGUAUUUCGACAACAAAAUUUUCAGUUCUUGUGAAUGGCUCUCCAACUAAAGAGUUCUUUAUGGAAAAGCGAUUGCGACAAGGGGACUCUUUAUCAACAUCUCUAUUCAACAUAGCAACUGAGGGUCUUGGUAGAAUGCUAAAAUUAAAAGGAGAUGUGAUUUGGGACUUAUAAAAGGUAUUUGUUUUGAUCACUUUCAAGUUUGUAGAUGAUACACUCAUCUUCAGUUCAUAUGAUUAUCCAUCUCUUCAAAAGAUCAAAAGAACUAUGUGAUGUUUUGAGUUGAUUCCUAGGCUGAAGGUUAAUUUCCACAAGAGCUCAAUCACUAGAACUAGAACUAGAAUUGAUGAUGUUGUUAUUUCUUCAACUGCUAGCAAUCUAAUAUGUAGGAUGGAGGGGAUGCCAUUUAAGUAUUUGGGUCUGCCUAUUUAUGCAUCUUCAUCUCAUACAUCCGUUUGGAAAACUAUUGCUUGAUUAACUCAAUUAUAAAUAACCUUUCUUUAUUUCCUAUCCCAUCCACUGUUGCUACCAAAAUUGAGAAACAUAUCAUAUCUUUCUUUGGUUCUCAGGAGGAAGGAGGGAAAAAACUAUGCAAUGUUAAAUGGGCAUCAGUGGUUCCUCCAAAAAAACAAAAAAGGUGGGUAUAGACUGCAUUAUUGAUAAAAAUAAAGCCUUGUUUUUCAAAUGGCUAUGGAGGUUUGGGAGGUCUAAUACAAGACUAUGAAAAGAUGUUAUCUACAACAUCCACAACCAAAAAGCGUAUUUGAACAUGCCUUUAGUUUGUGUUAAUUUAAAGGGUAGUACAUGGUCCAGGAAUGUCGUUACUUUUUAUAAGAACGAGGGACUUCAAAAUAUUGCCAAGAAAGAAGUUUGUGGUUUGGUUGGCAAUGGUAGAGAUAUUAACUUAUGGAAUGAUGUCUGGCUGAUAGAUUCUUGUCUUGCAGUUCAAUUUCCUAGACUUUAUAGUCCACCUGAAGAUCAUGUCUCCCCUGUAGCUACUGCAGCAGUAAAAGCUUCUAUCCAACCAGCCAGUGUGAGGCCUUCCCCUGUUGCUAGCAAUGUAGCUUCUUCAAGUAGCUAAAGUUCUGCUUCAAUAAAUGCCACGACAUCAGCAAUAACUGGUGCUACAACAAUGAGCUUCAACUACCCAAACUUCCCUGGCAAAAUUGCAGAAUGGUGCGUACGAGAUUCUAAUCCCUGAACAUGUUGGGGGCCACGAUAGCCUACAGAGGAACCCAUCCUCAGGCUAUGCCUUUCUUCAAUGGAUCAAUUCUAUUCUUCUUGAAUGUUUCAUCCUUCAUAGCUUCAGCGACAGCAACAACCAUUCAUACAGACACAACAAAGCCAACAGGGUCAUCAAAAUCCAAGUAUUUCUAGUGGCUCCUCGUCAUCCCAGAAGCAUUUGCUGAAUUAGGUGGAAUCAGCAGCGGUCAUCAAGAUCCAACCAUUUACAGAAUCAUCAGCAGAAUCAUUCCCUGCCGAACUAGCAGCGGCAGCUGAUGCAAAAUCAGAAUGUUACUCACAAACACCUCCUCCUUUUGCAAUGUCAUUUGCUCCAUCAACGGAACCACAACUUCCCCAGGUCUUGAUGUUUCAUUGCUGGUACAGAAUCAUGCUCUUCUCCAAAGCCCUCCAGAGGCAGCAAGUCAUGGCUAUCACUUCAUCACUGCGGCCCAAGCAACACAGCAGACGAAUUACCGUGUGCCUGAAGAAGGGAAAAAUGGAGGAAAUGACACUUCAAAUAUGGAAGGAGAGAGAAAGGCCGAUAUGGUUGGAGGACAGACCCCAUUAACUGGUGGGCAGUCAAUUGUGUUCUCUCGGCUAGAUUUUGUGUUCUCUCGGCUAGAUUUAACAGACUCCUCUGUUUCAACAAUGCCUGUGAACAAUGUUGUUGAUAGCUCAGCCCGAACUCUUAACCUUGGGUCCACUCUUGCUCGGACCUCAAGCCCUGUUAUGUCAGCUACUAUUGGCAGUGUAAAUGCACCAAGUAUACAACAACAGAUGCAGUGGAAUCAGCAGCAGCAGCAACGAAGUCAGCAAAUCCUUCAACUUCAGAAGCGUCAACAAUUUGCAGCUGCAGCUUCCACUCGAAGUGAAACACCAACAACUAGUAAUGGAAGUGUUUAUUCGGACCACAUCUCAUCAUCAUCAUCUAUGGGCACCAAGUUACCUAAUGCACUUUUGCAUUUCCUCAAAAUCUUGUUCAAAGCGGCAGUAGCAGCAGCAGUUAACAAAGCAUGCACUGCAACAGGCUCAACUAAUCUACGCUAAUGCUUUUAUGCAAGCUCAAGCUCAAGCUCAAGCUCAACAUGUGGCAAAUUCAACAAGCUUUGCAUCAACAGCUAGUGGGUUUCAUCUGCAAAGACAUCGCAAUGAGCAGCAACCGCAAUGCAUCGGCAACCUCUUCUACAAGGAUGUUGUUGUUAUGUCAUCCGAUCAUGUAAAUUUUUGUGACUCCCAACCUCCUAGCAACCACGAGAGGAUGUUUCCAGUUUUUUUUUUCAACAGCUAAUGCUUAGAUAACAAAAAUAGAGGAAUAACUGAUAGAGCUCCAGCAUUCGAGCAGAGUUUAAUAAAAAAAUAUAAAGUAAGGUUAGAUGCGUGAGCCUUGUUUUGUAAAUUUUUAUUUGAAUUUUAAUAAUUGUUUUUAAUUGUUAUGUAUAUGAAUAAAAAUUUGUUCAUGAAAUUUCAAUUUAAAUCACUUUUUUAAUCUUAGAAUUUUAAAAUAUAUUUUGAGCAUGAUUUUAUUAUAUUUAUGAUUUAUUUUAACUUUCAAUCACACAUAAAAAUAUAAACAUACUAUUUUGAUUUUUUUUUAAUUUGUUCUGACAAUUAUAGAAUAUUCUUUUAAUAUAAAAAAUGAUUCUAGUUAAGAAAAAAACUUGUAUAUUCACCAAGAUAAAACAAGAAAUAUGCUAAUAAAAUUUUUUAUCUUGAUAGAGAAAAAUUCAAAACGACUGUAUUUUCAAGUUUAAUAACAAUGUCAAGGAGUCCCUUAGACUGGGAUAUUUUGUUUUACAUUUAAAGUUUUUUUGAUCUCCAUAGCAUAGCACUAGCAUACAAACUUGUAUAUUUUUAAGGCAGCGUUUAGUUACUAUCCGAGACAGUAGAGACAGAGACAAUGGAGACAGAGGAGACAAUACAUAAAAGAAGAUGGAGAUAGAAUUGUGUUCACUAAUAAUAUAUAAGACAAAGUGAUUGUUUUUGUAUCAUAUUUGAUUAUGAUAGACAAGAAAGAAUAAAAUAUAAAAAAAAUAUUUUACCUUUAAUAUGUAUUGUUGUCAAACUUACAUGUUUUAAAAAAUAAUUAGUUUUAUUUUUUUACUUUAGUUUUAUAUUGAGUAUUGAAAUUAUUAAUAUUAUAAUAACCCUAGUAUUAAAACCAGGAUUAACUUGACAGGUUGACCCGAGGCCUAUACUGGUCUAAGUUUCAGAAAAAUAGAAGAAUGAUUAACUCGACCUAACCUAGUAAAAAACAUGAGUCAACUUAAGAUAAAACACGGGUCAAAACCCAUUAAAUAUUUUGAAAAAGAAAAUUGUUCAAAACAAGGUUUCUUUGACUAUUUGUUUUUAAAAAAAAUUAGGUCGAUCGGGUUAACCUUCUCUUGGAUUAACUCCUGAGUUGAGUUUUAAAACUAUGAUAAUAAUCAUUUUUAUCCAUACAUUAACUCAGGUCAAUCUGUGUUGACCCUCUCGACCCAUGACCUAGGCCUUGCUUCUGUCGACUCCCGAGUCGGAUUUUAAAAUUAUAAUAAUAAUAAUUUUUAUCCUUACAUUAAUUUGGGUCAACUCUCUUAAUUCGUAACCCAAGCAUUGCCCCAAGUUGACUAUCGAAUUAAAUUUUAAAACUAUGAUAAUAACCAUCUUUAUUUUAUGUUGACUCGGGUCAAUCUAGAUUAACUCAUCUAACACAUGACCCAAGUUUUAUCCCGAGUCGAUCCCUGAUUUGGGUUUUAAAACUAUGAUACUAAUUAUUUUUAUCAUUACAUUAACCUAAGUCAAUGAUCAACCCCACUCGUUACCCAAGAAUUGCCCAGGUCGACCCCCAAAUCGAGUUUUAAAAUAUGAUAAUAACUAUUUUUAUUCUUCUACUGACACAGGUCAACUCGACUCAUGACUCAAGCCUCAACCAGUGACCCAGAAUUUGCCCCGGAUCGACCCCCAAGUUGAAUUUUAAAACCAUGAAAAUAAUCAUUUUUACAUUUAUAUGUCUUAGUUGGACAAUUUGAAAUUGAGAGUUUUUUUAUAAAAAUAUUUUAGGAAUAAAAAAUAAUAAAUAUUAUCUCUAGAGACAUGUCUCCUCUAUACCUUACGUUUUGGAAGCACAAAAAUUCACUCCAAAAUUAUUCUAGAAACAAAUUUAUUUUUAUGUAUUUGUCUUUGUCUCUUCAACCAAAUAUAUUUAUAUCUUUAUUGUUUUUAUCCUUUCUAUUAUAGGACAAUGACCAAACAUUACCUAAAGGAUAUACAACUGACAAGGAUGAACUUGGCUUUAUUUCAUCUUUGAUAAUUUCUUCUCGAUGAUAUCUCACCGAUUUGUGGAGGCAAUUGAUCAAAACCUAGUUGAUUCAAAGGUUGACUUUGAAAAAAUAUAUUCAUAGAGUAAUGUUUGAAUCUUGGUGUUUUUUAUUGGCUCAAAAAAAUUACCAACUCACCAAAACCUGUAUGAAACAUUUAGAUUUAAUAUUAUAUGUAUAAUUUAUUAUAAUAAUUGAUAUACUAUUCAACUCAGUAACUUAGUAGGAUGACCUAUAACCUGCUGAUCUAAGAUUUUAGCCGAAUCAAGCUUUAAGCUAGAUAUAAUGACUAUGAUUUUAUAAAAUUACUAUGAACUUCCCUUUUAUGUCUUCUUAUUUACUCAUUUGAUAUUUUUUUUUAUGAAGUUAAGAUGUUCACAUUUAUAUCAUGAUUAAACUCUAGGGUAACAUUUAGUUAUUAUCUUGGGAUAAAAAGAAUAAAGAUAGUAAAGACAAAAAUAUGUUUGGUUGAAAAGAUAUAGAUAUAAAAAUAAUUUUUUUCAUGGGAUAAUUUUAGAGUGAAUUUAUAUAUUUUCAUAACAGAAAAUACAAAUAAGACAUAUCUUCAUAAACAAUAUUAUUUUUUAUUCCUAAAAUAUCAUUGUAAAAAACUUUCAAUUCCAAAAUUGUCCAAUUAAGAUAUGUAAAAAUAAAAAUAGUUAUUAUCGUAGUCUUAAAACCCAACUUGGGGGUUGACUUGUAGAAAGAUAUGUGAUCUUUGUUGACCCAAGUCAAGGUAAAAAUAAAAAUAGCUAUUAUCAUAGUUGUAAAAUCUAACUUGAGGGUCGACCUGGGACAAGGCACGGGUCAUUGUUUGGGUUGACCAUUGACCCAAGUCAACAAAAAAAUAAAAGUGGUUAUUAUUGUAAUUUUAAAACUUAACUUGGAGGUCGACUCAAGGCAAGGCCCGGGUCAUGGGUCAGGAGGGUUAACUCUGGUGGAACCGGGUUAAUGUAAGGAUAAAAGUGGUUAUUACAAUAGUUUUAAAACUCGACUUAGAGAUCGACCUGAGGUAAGCUCAGGUCUUGGGCUAGGAGGGUUAAUGCAUGGAUAAAAAUAAUUAUUAUCAUAAUUUGAAAACUUGAUUCAAGAGUCGACCCGAGACAAAGCCUAGGUUAUGGGUUGGGAGGGUCAACCCGAGUUGACCCAAUUUUUUUUUAAAAAAAAAGAAUCAACACAACCUUGUUUUGACCAAUUUUUUUUAAAAAUAACAGGUUUUGCCCCGUGUUUUAUCCCGAGUCGACCCGUGUUUUAUCCCGAAUCAACUCGGUUUUUUAACUCACCUAUCUUUUCUUAAACUUAAAAUUAAUCCGGGCUUAGAGACAACUAGAUCCCGAAUAGAUUCACUAGGUCAGUCUAGGUUAUAUAACUAGGAUUAUUAUAAUAUUAUUAAUUUCAACACUUAAUAUAAACUAAAGUAAAAAAAAGUUCUAAUUAUUUGUAUAAAUAUGUAAGUUUACCAAUAAUACAUAUUAAAGGUAAAAUAAUUUUUUUAUAUAUUUUUUUUAUCAUUAUCAAAUAAGAUAUAGAGACAGUUACCGCCAAACAUAAUUUUAUUUUCAUCUCCUUUUCUAUCUUUUUUUUCUUUAUUUUCAUGGUCUUCUUUUUUAUUCAUAACAGUAACCAAAUAUUGGCUAGUUAUAACAUAUAGAAACAUACAAGUUGUCAUGUUCAAGCCGUUCUCUUAUCAUUUUAAAUAAAUUGAAACACAAUUGCGAGGAGAAGAGUGUGUUUUGUAUUGUGUUAGCUUUUGUGGUUGUGGUUUGAAAAUUGUUGUUUUAUAAAAAAUACUUUUAGUUGAGGUUGGUUUGAUAUUUAUAUAUGUUUAGUUAAAAUUGUGGUUGAAAUUGAGGUUGAACAAAAAGUAAUUUAAUGUGUUUGGUUAAGAAUGCUUUUCAAAUCGAGGUUAUAAAAUAAUUAAAAAAGAUAUAUAUUAAUAUUGAUAGUUUUUAAUUUAAAUAUUGUAGAUUUAACUACUGCUAUUACAUCAUGAAAUAAAUAAUACUUUAUAUAAAAUAUUUUUUUAUUGUUCCAUUAAACUAUCUACAAUUCCAUCACAUACGAAAUUCAUUCGACAAGGACUACAGUUUUCUUGGUUUCUUAAGCGCACAACAAUAUCAAGUAAAAUAUAAUCAGGAACAAAAUUAGGAUUGCGAUCAAAUUCUGCAAAUGCUAUGUCAUCAAGCAAUCUCCUUAUAAUUUAUGUAGUGUUAUUGAAUAAUGCUAAACACUAGUUUUUCAAAUAAAACAUAAUUAAAAAUAAAAAAAAAUUGAUUUUUUUUUAUUUUACUGGGUCAGACCCGGUUCAAUGCAUUUAGCUUUGAAUCGGACCCAGUCCGGCCAGAAUAGUAGAGACAUUCUAAGCAACUUCAAGUGAGUCUCGUAAACAGUAAAUAACGUACCAAACAAUUAUUUUUAGUAAAGCAGAAGCAACCGAAGAAGAAGAAGAAGACAUGUGAUUACGGUGCCAUGCAGCAUUUUGACAUUAUGAGUAUUUUGAUGUAUAUCCAUUAAUUUAUAAUAUACAAGUAUAUUUCCAUGUUUCUUUUAUUUUGAUAGAACAUUUUUCCAAUAGAAUUUGUUUUUAUUGGAAUUCCAUAUUGAAUGGAUGUCAAUUGAAACUAAAAAUGUGUUAGAUAAGAGCAUACUAAUAUAAAUACCAAAUAAUGUUUAAUUAGAUUGAAUUGAACUAGACACCAUAUGUUUUUAUUCUAUGUUUGGUGCACUAAAGAUAAGAUCAAAUAAUUUUGUUUUUAUCAUUGAGAUAUUUUCAAUCAUUUAUUUUAGUCUUUGCAUUUUAUUUUUAUGAUAUUUUAGUCCUUACUAGAAUUUCUUUGUCAUCUAGAACAAUCUAGUUCUUAAAUCAAAAAGUUUUUGCAAUUAAACUCUUACAUGUACAUAUUUAUUUUAAUAAAAUUGGUCAAAUUUUGGUUUUCCAAAUUAAAAAAUAAAUAAGUGAUAAAUAAAUAAUAGAUAAUAUAAAAAUUAAGAAAAAAUAAUUUUUGUACAAAUUUUUUGUCCAAUCCUUGUCAUGUCCAAAGUGUAUAUCAAACAUUUUAUAGCUUGCCAUGUGCAACAAAUAUAUCACAACUUGUUUUUAUUGUAUUCUAUUAUGAUCUGUUUUGUGCCUUAUAUUAUUUAAUAUAUUAAAAUAAAUUUAAUAAAUUAUACUGAAGCAAGAUCUAAUAUUAGAAAGUUAACGGAAAUAAAUGUACCUUUGCCCGUCCCUUCAACAAAAUGCUGAGCUGUAUACUAAUUCUCAGAGGCAGUGAUAACUAGUUGUUCUAACUAAUCCCUAUACUUUUAAAUAUGUUUACAAUUCAGUCCCUUCAUUAAUUUUUCGUUAGUAAAAUGUUGAGCUGUCAGCAAUAUUUCCUUAGUUUGUGCCGCUAACUUAACGGUAAAAUGUGAUUCAAGGAUCAAUUAAUUAUUUAAAUGAACUUGAGGGAUUAAUCUGUUUGUUUAACAAAAAUACAGACACUAGUUAAAUAGAAUUUAACUCCAAUUUUAAUCAUCAUAUGCGUGCGUGCGAGCGAGCGAGCGAGUGUUUACUCGUUAAUGUUUUUUUAGAAGGAAUCUGGAAAAGAAUAAAGUCAUCCAUUUCACUUUGGUCCAGCAUUCCUCACCUCUCCCCGCCAGAGCUCUCCCUCCCUCCCUCCCUCCCUCCCUCCUCCGCCUCUCGGAAACCGCCGCCGCCAAGAAGGCUUCAGAUUUCUGCCAGGUGCUUCUAUUUCUAUCAUGUUUUUGUUUUUAAAAUUUAUGGGUGUUUUCAUUUAUUCUAUUGGAAUUAUUAUUCAGAGACAGAAAUUCUAUUUUAAUGAGAAAAUUAAAAAAAAUAAUCGAUCCGAUGAAAUCUCUGCUAGUGAACGCAAUUCGAUUUUAAUAAGUAAAUUAAAAAAAUAUAUAAUCGGAUCCGUUGAAAUCGCUGCUCGUGAACGCAAUUCAAAGAAACGCACAAUCAGCCGAUUCUAAUAUUUUCUUUUUCAAUUUUUCCCCUUAAUUUACAUGAUAUUAUCCGAUUUUUCUCACAGUUAUUGUUGUAAUAAUCAAGCCCUGAAUUCUUGAACCCAAAUUUAUUUUAUUUUAUUUUAUUUUAUUUUUUAGUGGAGAAUAGAAAUCAAUUCAAAUCUUUUAGGCUCGAUCGAUAAUUUGUUAAUUAGUUUAUGCAGCAGCUGGAGUGGAAGAGAUUUUUCUGCCGGAAUGGCCGAAAAAUGAGCUGUUUGGUUGAUUCUUCUUUUUUGGAAUUUACUGAAUUCUUCAAAAUUAUUGUGUUCUUAACAACAAUACGAUAUCCUUGGGUUUUAUGCUCGCUCACACAUGGAAAAAAGAAAGAAAGAAAAGGACUUUACAUUUUAUAAUUUGGUCAUGUUAACGCAAAAAAAAUAAAAAUAAUAGUUUAUGAUGACUCAUUGUUUGGUUGAUAACCCUACAUGAUAUAUCUUUCUUUUUAGGACUUCCUAGCUGGUCUUGAGUAUGAGGUGAAAGCUUGAGGAGGGCAGUUGGUCCUAACCAAGGACUGUAUUGUGAUUGAUUGAGUUGAAAGUUAAGAGCAUGUGGAAGUGUAAAACAAAUGACUUUGUUCACUUCACCCCAAAGGCGCACCUGUGCAUCUAGUUAGGAAGAACAUUUUAUAACUUACCUCAAGGUCGAGCAUGGUCAGGGUUAUUGUGUUGUCUAUUCCGAGAAAGAUGUGCCUGCAAAUUUAAUCUUAUUUCAACAAGAGUUGUUAAGUUAAUUCUUAUCAGUCCUCUUUAGAGUUGAUGAUGACAUGAAAUAUUCAUGGUUAAUGCUUGUCGUUUUCUUCUUCAUUUUCCUAGCUUAAAACAUCCUAGAAAUCUAUCUAUUGAAGUAAAGCAUUUAAAUGCGUAUACAAUGUUUUUGGAACUUUAAAUAUCUAUUUGAUCAGAAUCUGUGAACCUAAAACCACAAUGAAUACAAAUGCAAGUUUGUCAUUGUAAACAUUGCAUCAAUGAUGUAUCACGAGUGUUGCUAGAAAACAUCAAGUUAAAAUUGAAGCACCAUGAGUUUCUCCAUGGCUUGGUUUACCAACACUCACCAUCUGAUGGUGUGGCAAGUUAUGAACUAGCUGGCUAGUUUUUUGCUUCCUUGGUUUUAGAAGGACCAUGAAGAUUCAGGCCCAAAUCUUGCUUAUAAUACCUAAAUACCCAAGAUCCUAGCACCUUGCCCUGAAUGGUCGUGUAUAUUUGUUAUGGCUGUUCAGAUUUUAUGCAUCCAUAUUUGGUAGAAUUCUUUAAUAAAGUACAUGCUAUUGGAUGGAAGUUCUUUUUAAAUCUAUUCAAGUCUGAAUAAACUGACAUUCCAAUUUUCAUGACUUUGAUAUGCUCUUACUCUUCUGUUGUUCCUGACUUUCUUUUUAGGGUCUAUUCUAACAUGCAAUAUAAUUAUUAUUUUUUUUUUUGGUGAUUGAAGUGAUUUUUUUGGUUGGCCAAAACCCCAUGGAUGCCAAUAAUUGGAGGCCCACUGCCCCAGGCGGAGAACCUGUUAUGGACACAGGUGAUUGGAGAACUCAAUUGCAGCCUGACUCACGGCAAAGAAUAGUCAACAAAAUGUAAGUCUCUGUUUCCUAAUAUGUGCAAGUGCUGCAAAAUAGUAAAUCUUGUAUUUAAAUGAAAGAAAAAGAGAAGGGAAAAAGGUUAAUUAAAAUCAGCAGGACUGCCAUGAGGCAACCUCAAGUAUCAUACACCUCUGUUUUUGUCUUUUUCAUUUUUCACGUGUUUCUCACAAGAAGUGAACUUGAGGGAAUAAAAAGUGCUGGGAAGUAAUUUUUGUUGGAACUUCUUGUGUAACAUCUUUCGAUGAUGACCUCUAGGAUGGCUGCAUGAAGCUUCUUCCGCUUUAAAUUUCAAGGUUAAUCUAUUGCUAUGAGCAUUGGUGUUUCAAUUUCAACCUUGAGUUGCAACUGAACUUAAAUGAACAGUGUUGGAUUUGAGCCUUCCAUUUGCUUUAACUUCUACAGGGUUGAAAUGAUAGUUAUCUUAAAGUACAAAAGCAGCAGACAAAAAUCAAUUAGUCACAAUAGUGCAUGGUUUCCUAGUUUCUCAGUAUAAAGUGGAAUGUUUUGGUGAUAUCUCUACAUCCAAAUUCAUAUAGACAGCUACUGUUGGCAUUUGCAGUAGCCAAUGAGCACUGUAGAGUAUAUAUUGCAGCGUGAGAUAAGGUUAACUCAUUGCAUUUUCAUAAAUUAAAAGGAUUUCUCUUCUUUUCUUUGUUAAUUGCAGUGCAUGUAUAAAGGUUUUCUUAUUUAGAGUAAAUGCUGUUGUAAUGUUUUCACAGAGUUCCCUUGGUUUGCAGCUAAUUCAUUUAUAUAUCUUGGAGCAUAGCCAUAGCCAUAAAUGGAAGGUUCUUCCAGUUCAAGAAAAUUAACCAUGAAGCUCAUAGCUAGAAUUUUAAACAUAAGGGUGGCCAAGUGAACUCCUAUACCCUGUACCUGUGGAAUAAUACGGGGAAAGGAAGUAAAAAUAGAUGUGUAUUUUGAUGCCAUAUAUUACUUGACCGACACUUGGCUAUAUCAUUAUUUGUUUUUACUUUUUCCUAAUGAUUCCGUUGUAUACAUUUCUGAUAUUGGUGUGGUGUAUGAGUUCACGGUUCUUUCUCACUGCUGCUAACUUCUCUAUACCUGCCUUGUCAUUAAAAAUUAAAUGUAAUGUUUUACAUGUGCAGAAUGGAGACAUUAAAGAGGCAUCUUCCGUUUUCUGGUCAAGAGGGAUUACAAGAACUCAAGAAAAUUGCCGUACGGUUUGAGGAAAAGAUUUAUACUGCCGCCACCAAUCAGGUAUUCGGCUAAUGCUAGGUUCAAUGAUUUCGAUAUUCUCUAGACAUGAAUAUACACAUGCAUAAGUUUGUGGAUUAAUGCAUGUACACGUGUGUGUAGUGUGUCCACACUUCCUUACUGGUCAUUCUGUAGAAGUUCUCAUCUUUUCGUUAUUUCUCUUGACAAGUGUUUUAUUUAGAGUGACCAAGGUCCUUUUCAAGUACAAGGGAAGUGUGCAAAAUGCAAAUAACGAAUCAAUACAUAAAUAAUUAAAUAAAAAGAAAGGACACAGAAGUAUAUCCUCACAGAAGAUGCAAAUACAGAAAGCCUAGCAUAUUAGAAAGAGCAUAUAUCCCUUUUCCCCCUUCUCUUGUAACAUGGACUGCGCAGAGAUCUAAUGUUUUGUUAUUGAUAUCUGAUUUCAGUCUGAUUAUCUGCGUAAAAUAUCUCUGAAGAUGCUUACAAUGGAGACCAAGUCUCAAAAUACCAUACCCACUGGCAAUGGUAACAAAACCCUGGAUCCAGGAGGUAAUAAUGCAGCCAAGCAUUGGAUUUCUAAACAUCCUUACCUUUUGUUUUGUAUUUUGCGUUGUUAUCAAACUCUUUUACAUUUUAUUGCUGCAUUUUGCUAUGUAUAUACCAUGCUUUAAUAAAAGAGUCGAGUAAUUGAUGAAUGUUCAAAAAAAAAUUACAGAUUAUUUUUGUUUUCUGCUCCCCACCCCCCCACAACAAAAAAAAAAAAAAAAGUCAAAUGACACUUAUGCUUUGAGGUAAAACCAUCUUAAUUAUUUCCCUCAUAACUUUACGUGUGAACUGUCAUUGUUUCAUUUGUUUUUCUUGUUCAAUGCCUUCUUUUUUUUUCCUUUGACAUGGUUUUCCUUUUUGCCUUUUAUCUUGAACAGCAUCUCAUAGUAUGCCGCCUCAAGUUCACAACCAAGGGCAGUCGCUCCCUAACUCAUUGUCCUCUAAUCAGUCUCAAGCACGUCAGCAGUUAUCACAGAACAUGCAGAAUAGUAUGUCAUCUAAUGGAGUUCAAAGUUCUGCUGGUUUACAAUCAGCAAUGCCUUCUGUCUCCGGUUUAACCCAGACUAUCCCAAACACUGUUGGACAGAAUGCUAACAUGCAGAGUAUCUCUGGUGUUUCACAGAACCCAGUGGGGAAUUCAAUGGGACAAGGGAUUCCCCCCAAUAUGUUUGUCAAUUCUCAGAGACAAAUGCCAGGCAGGCAACAGGUUGUUCCUCCACAGCAACAGCAGCAGUCCCAAAAUCCUCAGCAGUAUCUUUAUCAGCAGCAGAUGCAACAUCAGCUUUUAAAGCAGAAGCUUCAACAGGGAAAUCAUCCACACUCACUUGUGCAAUCUCACAUCCACCAGCAGCAGCAGCAAAAUUUGUUACAGCCAAAUCAGUUGCAAUCUUCUCAGCAAUCUGGUUUGCAAACAUCAACUGUUAUGCAGCCUUCAAUGAUGCAAACUGUCUCUGGCCUUCAACAGAACCAACCAUCUUCUGUUCAACAGUCAACACAACCAAUGCACCAGCAACAUCCACAAUCAGUCCUUAGGCAGCAGCAGCAACAACCUCAACAGUCUGCUGGUAUUCAUCAGCAGCAAACACCAAUGAUGCAGCAGCCACUAUUGCCUCCACAACAGCAGCUAAUGGGGCAACAAUCAUNNNNNNNNNNNNNNNNNNNNNNNNNNNNNNNNNNNNNNNNNNNNNNNNNNNNNNNNNNNNNNNNNNNNNNNNNNNNNNNNNNNNNNNNNNNNNNNNNNNNACAGCAGCUAAUGGAGCACAUCAAGUACACUAACAUGUCGCAAAAUCAGUUAAUUGGACAACAAAACAUUGUUGGGGACUUGCAGCAGCAGCAGCAGCAGAGAUUGCUAGGGCAGCAGAAUAACCUUCAAAAUCUGCAGCAGCAGCAGCAGUUAAUGGCUCAACAAAAUAACCUCUCAAGCAUGCAUCAGCAACAGUUGGCCCCUCAAAGUAAUGUCACUGGUUUACAGCAACAGCAGUUGCAUGGAGCUCAGCCUGGUAACUCAAGCAUGCAAUCUAAUCAGCACUCUCUACACAUGCUGCAACAGCCCAAGGUUACGCUGCAGCAGCAAGCACAACAAAGUGGAAGUGGUUUGUUGCCGAAUCAAGGGCAGCAGUCACACUCACAGCUGCCACAGCAGCAAUUGAUGGCACAGAUUCAAUCACAGCCUGGACAGCUGCAACAGCAAUCAAAUCCAUUACAACGUGAUCUGCAGCAAAGGCUUCAAGCAUCAGGCUCCUUGCUUCAACAGCCGAAUGUGAUUGAUCAGCAAAAGCAGUUAUAUCAACCUCAAAGAGCCCUUCCAGAAACGUCCUCAAGUAAGUUUUUCUCAUCCUUGCAGCUUUCUAGCCUUGCUCCAACUUUAAUUUUGCAGCUUUGUGCUUUCAUGUUAGAUUAUAACAUAUUUAUUUAAAUUUUUUGAAAAUACAAUAAUGGUUCAAGUCAGUAAUGCUCUUUUAGGUAGCUUUAUGAGCUAUGGCUGCCACUUAUUGCAUCAGAAAUGCCACUGCUAUUGGAACCAUUGCAAUCACACAUACAUUUAUUUGAAUGAUUACAUAUCGUUGAGAUGGAGUUCCUAGUACUCCAAGUCCAAAAAGGACUUGUAUUCCUAUGUAAGAAAAUACUAAUGGUGCUAUCUAGGAUAGGGAAAACCUAUUAAAGCUCCUUAUUCUUUAGGAACAAUAAAAUACUAAAUAGAAAUAAAACCAAGACCUACAAUAUUCCAUAAUUUUCAGCAAGUGUGAAAAUUACAGAAAUACCCUUGUGUGCGGAAAACAUUCAAAAAAUACAUGAAUUCUAAUCUUUUGUUGGCUGCAUCAAAAUUUUUGUAGCAUCCCUAGAUUCUACAGCAGAGACUGGACAUGCAAAUGGUGCUGAUUGGCAAGAGGAGAUCUACCAAAAGGUAAUUUCUAUGGUUUACUGUUCAUUAGAUGAAAUUCAUGUAUGUCAUAGUCUUGCAAGAUUUCAAUGGAAAAGGUCUCCUGGAAUAUGGUACAAGGGAGUUUUAUUCAGCUAUGGUUGUGAUUAGUUAGGAAGCAUUGUAAGUUCCAUGAUUGCAGCAACUAAGAAACGAUAAAUUACUGAUAAGAUGAUUAAAGGUAAAAUAUUCAGAUUUCUAGGUCAAGAGGGUUAUUUUCUUGGUAUUGACACGACAAUUUUUUCUAUUGCAAAUCUCUCCCUUUCAAUUUUUUCCCUGUAUUUCCAUACAUUUAGUGUGGUGAAUUAUUAUUUUAUUAUUUCCAACAAGUCCAAUUGACAAUACUUCUUACUGUAAUAGACCGACUUGAAAACAAGAGUGAACUGUUUCUGAAUAGUCAUCGUUAUAUUUGGUUAAGUGAACAGUUAUUUUCAGGAUUACAAUCAAAUUUGUUCUGAAACAUGUGACAAUGGAAGAAAGGAAAAUAAGUGGACCUAAUCCAUUGAAUCAUGACCAUGUCCAGUAUUGUUGAAUUUUAUAGAAAACGAGGUUGAAAUUCUGAAUCAUUUAAUGGCUGUAGUUGCAAUUCAUAACUGCAUAUUUGAUGAGGUCAAUUUUUUUGUGCCUGGGAGGGUACUAAAACGGGAAUAGGAGUGGUUGUUGAUAAUUAGGAUAUAAGGGUUGUAAAUCCAAAGUUAUAAAGCUAGGAAGUGUUUACCAAAGUCGUGACAUCCAUUGACUUGAGUUAGAACAAUAGAAAACAAUGGUGAGUAGUUUGCUGUGAGACAAAGUAACUGAACUUGACCAACCCCUGAAUCUUGUCUGAAGAGGUAACUACACAAUCCUUUGCAUCUUUGCAUGCAAUCAAUAACGAUAUUCUCUUUUGAGUUUUCGGCAUUGAUUCCACUGCUAUUUUUAUCUCAAACAAUAUAUGCUGUCGUCUGCCAUUUUAUUUAUUUAUUUAUCAGUUCUCUCAAGUUUGCUUAUGUUUCUUUCUGACUCUGGCACCUGAAAGAAUCAAGCAUAUGAUUGAUAAUGUGCUUGCUGGUUAUAUGUACUUCCUAGAUCAAAGUUAUGAAGGAAACGUAUUUGCCUGAAAUAAAUGAAAUGGACCAGAGAAUUGCUACCAAGUUACAGCAGGGAAAUUGUCUGUAAUUUUUUCCGAUUUAUUUUCCCACACAUGAUUCAUAAACCCCCACAGUUGAGCUUUUGUAUUAAUUUGUUUUCCCCAUCGGCAUUGCUUGUCACUGUAUCAUCUGCACUAAUUACCUCCCCCACCCCCAACCACCCCACAACCAUGCAUUGACACAGAAGAAUUGGAAUAGAAACAUUUUUUUCACUAAUGUUUUACUAGUUUUGCUACAAAGGGUCAAUGCAAUUUUUAAUUCUCGUGUAUGUUAACUUUGCUUUCCAGCAUGACCCUCUUCCGCAACAACCGAAGUCAGAACAGCUUGAAAAGCUGAAGUUAUUCAAGGUCAUGUUGGAGCGCUUGAUAGGAUUCUUACAGGUCCCUAAAAACAACAUCACACCUAAUUUCAAGGAGAAAUUGGGUUCCUAUGAGAAGCAGAUUCUAGGUUUUCUAAACCCAAGCAGAUACAGGAAGCCUAUUCCUAAUCUUCAGCAAGGACAACUUCCCCAACCUCAUAUUCAACCUAUGCAGCAACCCCAAUCUCAAGUUCCUCAAUUGCAGUCCCAUGAAAAUCAACUGAAUUCCCAGUUGCAAUCAAUAAAUAUGCAAGGUUCUGUACCAAAGAUGCAGCAGAACAAUAUGUCAAGCUUGCUGCAUAAUUCUCUUUCAACUUUAUCUGGGGAUUCGACGUCACAAUCAAACAUGAUGAAUCCAAUACAACCAGGCUCCAAUUUAGAUUCUGGACAAGGAAAUGCACUGAGCUCAUUGCAGCAGACACCUGUAGGAUCUGUACAACAGAAUCUCGUGAGCAUUUCCCAACCAACCAAUGUUAACACAAUGUCAACACAAAGUGGGGUGAGUAUGAUGCAGCCAAAUAUGCCCCUUCAGUCGAAUUCCAAUAUGAUUCAACACCAGCAUCUAAAACAGCAGCAGCAGCAUGAACAACAUAUGCUACAAACACAACAGCUUAAACGAAUGCAGCAACGCCAGAAUUUAAUGCAGAAUCAACAGAUGCUGCAGCAGCAGCAGCAAUUACACCAGCAAGCCAAGCAGCAGUUGCCUGCACAGAUGCAGACACACCAAAUUCCACAGCCGCAACAGAUGAAUGAUGUAAAUGAGAUGAGACAGGGGAUUGGAAUUAAGCCAGCAGUCUUCCAACAACAUCUCCCAACAGCUCAACGCACAGCUUUCCCACGUCAACACAUGAAACCUGCACCUUCAUUUCCUAUUUCUUCACCUCAACUACCUCAGCAUGCUUCCCCUCAAUUACAACAUUCAUCUCCUCAGAUUGACCAGCAAAAUCUACCGUCUUCUGUAACCAAAACUGGAACACCUCUGCAAUCUGCGAACUCGCCUUUUGUUGUCCCAUCUCCUUCAACUCCUUUAGCUCCAUCUCCUAUGCCAGGAGAUUCUGACAAACCAGUUUCUGGUAUUUCCUCACUCUUAAAUACUGGAAAUAUUGUACACCAACCAUCUGUUGCACAAGCACCGGCUCCAUCCCUUGCAAUUGGCACUCCUGGGAUAUCUGCAUCACCUUUGCUUGCAGAGUUUACCAGUCCUGAUGGUGCUCAUGGCGGUGCUUUGACAACUGUUUCUGGCAAGUCAAAUGUUACAGAGCAACCACUUGAGCGCUUGAUUAAAGCGGUUAGUGAUGCUGUCCUUUUGGUUUUACUCCACCCC